GUCGUAUGUAGACAAGGUUCCGAUGACAAAUAUGAAUAUGAGACCAGAUCCUGCCAGUGGCUAUCCUGGUCGGACUUACCGGUUUUACACUGGGGAAACCAUUUACACAUUUGGAGAUGGACUAAGCUACACCCAGUUCAACCACCACCUUGUUCAAGCACCUAAAUCAGUCUCCAUCCCCAUAGAGGAGGGUCACAGUUGUCACUCAUCAAAAUGCAAGUCUGUGGACGCUGUGCAGGAAAGUUGCCAGAAUUUAGUCUUUGAUAUCCAUCUAAGAGUCAAUAAUGCGGGAAACAUAAGCGGAAGUCAUACGGUUUUCUUAUUUUCUUCUCCCCCAUCAGUACACAACUCACCCCAGAAGCACUUACUGGGCUUUGAGAAAGUCUUUGUGACUGCAAAAGCUAAAGCCCUGGUGAGGUUCAAGGUGGAUGUUUGCAAGGAUUUGAGCAUUGUUGAUGAGCUUGGAACCCGAAAAGUUGCCUUAGGACUGCAUGUGCUUCAUGUGGGAAACUUGAAACACUCCUUGAAUGUGAGGAUUUGAAUACUCUUCCAGCAGAAAAAUGCUGGUCUUCAAAUGAAAAGGGUAAAGAUCAAGAUGGAAAUCGAACUACAAUAAGUUGAGAGAGUUAAAGCAAAUUCUCAAACAUAUGUCAUUUGGCCCCAAUUUGUUCAAAUCAAAAUUUUGAAAUCCAAAUGAAGUUUCCAUUUUGAAAUUUCUCCCUGUCUUCCUGUGUGUUGUAGAGGUGGUAAAAAUGCAUGGUUUCUCAGUGUAGACAAGCAAAUUAUCAAUACCCAAGUUUAAUUGAGUUUAAUUUGAACUUAAUAUUCUGCUGUUUUUAAUUUAUUUAAAAACAAGUUUUUGUUGGGUUGGCUGGCUUAAAAUGCCUGGUCAAGGGUUGGCUUCUGUGGAACAACUGCUCUGAUCUCUUAUCUCUUAUCUCAUAUCUAUAGAUUAGAGUUUUAUCUCUUUUGAUUCAAGAGCAAUGUUUUACCUCAAUCCAUUAAAAUUCAACAUUGGGUUGAUUAAAGGCUGUGAGUCUUUGUUUGACUGAGAAUAAAAAUUAAAUUCCAAAGGCUUAUUAUUGAAUUAUAAGUUCUAACGGCGACAAUCUUUUCUUAAUAGAGGUAUUUGUGCCUCAACUUAUCAUUUUUUUUUUCAUAAAAAAAAAGGAGAUUCAUUUUGUAUUGAUAUAAGGUGGAAAAAUUUGACUUUGUUUUGAUUGUAUUUUUUUUUCCUUUUAGAUCUUUAGUUUUUGCAACACUCAAAUCCAACUUCUUACUCAAAAUCAAUUUUAAAAAUUUCUUGUAUUUAUUGACUUAAAAUAUAUCAAACCACCUUAAUUUCAUAACAAUUCAAUUUACCAUAAAUUAACAAAGUUGUUAUAAAGAAAAAUUGAAUAAAACUAAGAUACGAAUGAACCAAAAUUUCAGUAAGAGGAUGUUUAUUUUUUUAGUUUUUUUACUGAAAACAAUUUAUUUUUUAUUUGUGUUUUUUUUUUUUACUUUUUCGUGAUUUAUUAUAAAUUUUUGGUUGAAUAGGAAAAAAAAUUAAAAUAUUUGACUUUUUCUAAAUAAAAAAAAUAACAUAUUGAUUUUUCUUUAUUUUUUCAUAUUUAAUAGAAAUAAGAUAUUAUAAAAAUAAAUAAUUUAAUCCUUAAUACUAUUACACUAUUUAGUUUUAAUUUCUAUUUGAAAAAAAAAAAACACAAGAUGCACUGUUUUAGGAAGUGAUCAUUUACAAUAUAAAUAAUAAGUAGAAUUUCUUAAAUAGAUCAUUGUUGGCCUUAUAGUUGAGGCUAGUAAGGUUUAUUACACCAGUUUAUUCUAGUUUCUAAUUGCCUUACUUCAUUAUUAAGAUAAAUCAUUCCAUUCUUUGUUAUCCGGUAAUUUCUCGAGUGGGGUUUUGGUUUAGAAGUUCAUUUAUGAAAGGAAGUUGAAAUUUGAAAGGAUUUAAGUCAAGAAAAGAUUAACUAAGGUGGAAAAUUUUUGUAUUGAUAUAAGGUGGAAAAUUUUGACUUUAUUUUGAUUGAAAAAUUCUUUUUUGUUUUUUUUCUUUUUUCCUUUUCGAUCUUUAGUUUUUGGAACACUCAAAUCCAACUUCUUACUCAAAAUCAAUUUAAAAAGUUUCUUGUAUUUAUUGACUAAAAAUAUAUCAAACCACCUUAAUUUCAUAACAAUUCAAUUGACCACAAAUUAACAAAGUUGUUUUAAAGAAAAAUUGAAUAAAACUAAGAUACGAAUGACCCAAAAUUUUAGUAAGAGGAUGUUUUUUUUUUUAGUUUUUUUUACUGAAAGCAAUUUAUUUUUUAUAAGUACUUUAUUAUUAUUAUUAUUAUUAUUAUUAUUAUUAUUAUUAUUAUUAUUAUUAUUACUUUUUCAUGAUUUAUUAUAAAUUUUUGGUUGAAUAGAAAAAAAUUAAAAUAUUUGACUUUUUCUAAAUAAAAAAAAGUAACAUAUUGAUUUUUCUUUAUUUUUUAAUGUUUAAUAGAAAUAAAAUAUUAUAAAAAUAAAUAAUUUAAUCCUUAAUACUAUUAAACACUAUUUAGUUUUAAUUUCUAUUUAAAAUUAAAUAAAUACAAAAACACAAGAUGCUCUAUUUUAGGAAGUGAUCAUUUACAAUAUAAAUAAUAAGUAGAAUUUCUUAAAUAGAUUAUUGUUGGCCUUAUAGUUGGGGCUAGUAAGGUUUAUUACACCGGUUUAGUCUAGUUGCUAAUUGCCUUACUCCAUUAUUAAGAUAAAUCAUUCAAUUCUUUGUUAUCCGGUAAUUUCUCGAGUGGGGUUUUGGUUUAGAAGUUCAUUUAUGAAAGGAAGUUGAAAUUUGAAAGGAUUUAAGUCAAGAAAAGAUUAACUAAGCAAAAAAGAACAUUAUUAUUACACACCUUUUCAAUAACGGUUAAUCUUUAAUAUUGAAAGCAAGUUUUGAAGUUAAUAUUUGAAAUAAAUUCACUAGUAAUGAUUGAUAAUCUACCGGAUAAUCAAUCGUUAUUAUGAAUAUCAAAGAUAAGAUUGAAUUGAUAUGUUAAAGUUUUAUAGGACAUUUGUUUUUUUUUUUGUUUUACUGGUUGUUGAAAAUAAUUUGUUUUCAGAUUUUAAAUGUUUUUUUUUUAAUUUUUAUUUAAUUUAUUACUUAUUCUUAAAUAUUUUUCAUAGAAUAAAUUAAACCAAAAUAUUUAUUUUUCUUUUAAUGAAAAAAGUAACAUUUUUAAACCCACACAAAAAUCUGAACCCCCAAUCCUUGUCAUCAUAACGAGUCUCCCCAUCCUUUAUCACCUUCCUAUUUCAUCACUUUACUUGAACCACCACCUUCUUUCUCUUCUUCCACGGCUUCAACUUCAAUAACCUUUAAAAUAAUUUCUAUUAUUUUAAAAUUUUUAGAAAUAUGUUAAAUUAUUUUUGAUCAAUUAAGAAUUAAUUUUAAAAUUAUUUUUCUUAAUACAUUAAGAUGUUGAUUUUUAGCAUAUAAAAGACAAACAACUUAAUACUCGAUAAAAAUAAAAUAUUAAAAAAUAAACAAUUUAAUACUUAAUAAUAUUAAGUACUAUUUAGUUUUAAGUUAAAUUCCAUUGGAAUUAAGUUAAAAAAAAAAAAAAAAUCCAGCACCUCAACGAAUGUUUAAUCAUUUUGGAAAGAAAUGCAAUGAUAAAUCCUUGGUCCAUUUAAUAUUAAACAUUUAUGUGUUAAGCUAGAACAAUUAAAAGCUAGAACAAUCCUUGGUCCAUUUAAUAUUGCAAGGAUUCAAUCAUCUUUACCAUCUAUGAUUGUCCUAUGUACAAAGAGGGUAACAACCAAAUUCCUAAGGAUAUGUUUGGUUUUGGAAAGCACUAAAAAAAAAAAAAUCAGGGAAAAUAAUUUUCUUAUAUUUGAUUUCACUAUGAAAAAUACAAAAUAAAAUAAAAAUAUAUUUAAAAUUAAUUAGAAAUUUACAUAUUUUAAAUUUAUUUAAUUUCUAAAUAAUGAAGAAAAAUUAGUAAAAUGGGUUUGAAAUAACAUAUCAAAAUAAUUUAUUGGCUUAAAAUUUUUUUUAUUCUAUUUUCUCUCAUUUUUUCUUUACUCUAUUUUUUUCUCUUUAUUUUCUUCUCCUUACAUUUUCUCUUAAAUUUUAUGGGACCAAAUAUAGCCUAAGGGAAUUCCGACACAAGGUUAUAAACAUUCUAUAAGCACAUAAUAACAUUACCGCUAAUGUGUGGUUGGAAACAACCCACUUGUCUUCAUUUCAACCUAACUACAUAAACCUUAAUGCAAAUACUGGUGGCAUAUGCAAAAUGAAGUAAGGGACACUCAUCAUUCACAUGCAAAGGAAACCUAAGGGUUGUUUAAGUUAAUAACAUCUUAUUUGCACCUCUUUGACCGAGAUAUAAAAGGUUGGGAGGCUAAUUUUGAUAAGUUUUUCUUCUCUUUUUCUUUAUCCUAUAUGAAAAUUUUUAAGCUAUAACAUAAAGCUAGUAAGGUUGAAGCUAGAAUAGGUAACUCUAGGUUAGCGAAUCUUGGUAAUCUUCAUCACAAGUAGGAAAUAUUUUAGUUUAAAACUUAUAAAAUCCUAUGACAAAGUUGUAUUAAUCCUUAUGAAGGAAGAGAUAUAUCUUUUAUUAAUCCUUAUGAAUUAUGAUAUUAAUGGGUAGUUAUACUCAAUGGAGUUAAUAUGUUAAAAUUCAAAGUUGGUGACUGUUUGAUGAAGUUAUUAAAUAUAUGAAUAAGAUGCAUGGUGGGUUGUGGGUCAUGUGCUGGACUUUGUGAUACAUAUAUACAAACAAUCACGGUUUGAAAUGUUACGAAAUUUCAGUGAUAUUUCGCUUAUGUCGGUCGACAGAUCGAUAAGUUCAAACUUAGGCCAAAAGGCUUGGGUUGAACCUUGGUUACCACUAGGCCAAGUCCACGUUUAUAAAUAUAUGUUUACAAUAAAUAUAUUGAAGUUCAUUAUUAAAAAAAAUUAAUUCUAAUUAUUUUAUUUUAAAUUUUAUAUUAAUUGAUUAAUGAAAGUACAAAAAUCAUUAUUAUAAUUUUCUUAACAAGUCUCUUUUUUAUAUCAUUUAUAUGAUAAUUAAAUAUAAAAAUAUAAAUAUUUUAAAAAUUAUAUAUGUAUCAUCAUUUAUAAUGCAUUUGAAUUAAAUAAAUUAUAGUUUUAAUAUUAAAUGUAUUAUCAUUUAUCUCAUUAAUCCUAUUUUGAAAAACACUAUCACUUCACAUUUAACUUUUUUAUAUUUAUCAUUUUAAUUUUAUUUAAUUUCGAAUGUCUUUAUUUUAAAAUAUUAAAAAUACAAAUUUAUUCAAAAAAAAUACUAAGAUAUAUCAAUAAUAAUAAUGAAUUUCUAAUAUUUUAUAAAUUAAAAUUAAUUUGAUAAGAUAAAUAAUUAAUUAUUAAGACCGAUAUAUCCCUUUUUAUCGAUAUUUUUCUCCUUAACCAUACGUAUAUCAAUUACACUUAUAAAAUAACUUUAAUGUGUGUAUUUUUACUUAUUUUAUCAUUUUUUUGGAGUUUUUCCAAAUAAUUCCAUGAAUUUUGCAUAAUUUUCGUCUCAGCCAUAUUUUUGUCAAAAUCUCCAUCAAUAUUUUUCCAAUAUAUUUGUGUUUAUUAAUAUUUCAAACCAUGAAAAUAACUAACUCCAGCAUAAGACUCAUGCAUAAACAACAUUGUAAAUGGUGAGUAUUGUAGAUGGUGCUUUAGGGCACAGGAAAUGGUGAAUCCUGCAUUGGUAUUGAACGUGACAAAGAAUUGGAAAAAACAAGAAAAAAAGGGAGAUUGACACCAAGGAAAGGUUGGCCUUAUAAUUUAAGGAGGCAUGAUUGUUGGGUGAGAGCCCUUAGAAAAAAAAAAAAACUGAUUUUAGCAUUGCUUUAGGUGCACUUGUGAAUGAAUGAAGGAGCAAUAGUUCUUGGGUAAGAGCCCUUAUAGAAAGAAGAGUAAAGUACCUUAGAGUGAAAGAUCUAAAACAUAUUUUUGGAAGAUCUUAGUUAGAUAGUAGGGGUAUAGAUAUAUGUCCCUAAAAUACAAGUUUAAAUGGCCAAUGCUAUUGUGAGAUUGGUGUAUUUGAAUUUCCUUGGUUGAUGAUGCUUAUGGUGCUAUUAUUGAUACCAUAUGAUUUGAAAUGUUAUGCUACUAAUUGUACAUACUUAUUGAAUACAUCACUUAGCACUUUAUAACUUAAAUUUUAACAUAAAAUCAUUCUCUACUAGGUUGUGUAAUUUAUNNNNNNNNNNNNNNNNNNNNNNNNNNNNNNNNNNNNNNNNNNNNNNNNNNNNNNNNNNNNNNNNNNNNNNNNNNNNNNNNNNNNNNNNNNNNNNNNNNNNAAUUUUAACAUAAAAUCAUUCUCUACUAGGUUGUGUAAUUUAUCCCUUCAACUCAUUUUUCAACUUUAGUUGAAGGUGCUUAUUGUAUUGAAAACUUGAUGCAUGACUUGAAGGUGAUUGAUCCUCUUUGUUGUGUAAAAUAUUGGAAUAAUUGGAAAAAUCCAUUCCAAGCCUUGAAUCAUCAAGGUACAUGCAACUAUCUUCCUAGGAACACUAGAUCUAGGCAAUGAAAGCAUUAAAAACAAUAACACUCUAGAUCUAGGUGCUAAAAAAUAUUACCUAUGAAAUGGAUGUUCCCAAAUAAAUUCCAAUUGAAGAAGAGAAUGGUGCAAAUCUUGAAAAUCCUGCGAUCUUUGUAGACAUACUCGAAUCUCUCCUUUCCUUAUCCCAAAAUUAGGUUAGGUGUAUACAAAAACUUUUAGGCUAUGUUUGGUUGGCUAGAUAUAGCAUGGGAUAGGAUAAGAGAAAGGAUAUCAUAUCCUAUCCCAUGUUUAAUUAGUGAUGGGAUAGGAUUGAGGUUUGAAAUGUCAUGAAAUAUUAUUGAUAUUUCGUUGAAAUUUUGGAUAUUAGAGGCCCCUAAAGUGAAAUUCCUCAUUGAUAGCUCGAUCGAUGGAAAAAUCGGAUAAUAUCGGUGAUAUAUCAGUGUGGUCGAUAAAAUAGACAAUUCAUCGCCAAGAAUCGGGCUAGUUGCAAGAAAUCUAUAAUAUUUAGAUGAUUUUUUCUCAAAAAGUUGGUGAUGUUUCGAUUGCUUCUCCCUUCUUUAAUCAAUGGCUAGAUUUCACCCAAGGUGAUCCAAUGGCUAAAAUUUACUCAUGUUUUUAAGAAGGCCUUCAACGGUCAGAUUUAUAAUCCAAGGGUGGAAAAUGAAUCUUGACUUGAUCCAACAUUUAGGAAGGGUUUCCAAUAGAUAGAUGAAGAUUUAAUGGCCAUAUUUCAUCUAAAUUUUGAUCCAAUGGUUAGAAUUUAAAGGCAAUGGUUUUUUGACCAUCCAAGACUAGUUUGACCAAAUUUUUGUUCUAUAAAUACCUAAAUUUCAUUCCAUUUCAUGCACAAGUGAAUUGAAAGGUUCUUGAUCUUAUAUUGCUCCAAUAGUUAUUUGUAAUUUCUCUCAAAAUUCUUUAAUUUUGGGAAUUUGGUGUUGAAUUUGUGGAUUAACUCCAAUUCAAGGCUAACUAAGGUAUGUUAUAAUAAAUAGUACUUUUAUAUAUGCAUAGUUCAAUUUUAUUUUUAGUUAGUAAUAUAUUAAUAUUAUAUUGUAAAACAUACAAUAGUUUAAUUGAUAUUAUCUAAUUAAUAUGUUUUCAAUCAUUUUAAAGAAAUUAAAUUAAUGGUCUAAUUUGAUUAAUUUUAACAUUAAUGUCAAAUUAAUUUUAAUAAAUUUCAAUUUCAAUUGGUAAUGUUAGUUAUAAAGUUUAAGAAUAAUAGUAAAUUAACUUAGAUUUUUAAUUUUAAUAAUUGUAAAUUAGUUUUAUAUUAAAGUUAAAUUAAAGUGAUUUGUGUAAUUAAUAUCAUAUAUAUAUAUAUAUGCAUAAUUCAAUUUUAAUUUUAAUUUCAAUUAGUAUUGUUACUUAUAAAGUUUAAGAAUAAUGACAAAUUAACUUAGAUGUAUAAUUUUAAUAAUUGUAAAUUAGUUUCAUAUUGAAGUUAAAUUAUUAAUUAAUAUAUCUAAUCUAAAAAAAAAGCUCAAAAUAAAUAAUCAUAAAUUUUUAAGCAAUCUUUCAUUUUUACCAAAAUGUCCUUACACAUAAAUGAUCAAUUCUUCAUAAAACCUUAAAACUUUAUGCCAACAAAGAUUAUGAGCUCAAGCGGGGAUCACUAAGACCCAUAGGAAAAUACCGAGUCUCUUAGAAUCUAAUUAUAAAGUUGACUCAAUAUUCCAUUAAAGAAAGUCAAUUGUGCUCCAAUAAUCUAUGACAUUACAUAAGAUGAAAAUUGAUUAAAGCUAAUUUAAUAAAUUCCUCGGGUUUGUGACCUACUAUCCAUUGGACUUUGAACCGAUAUCCAUAAUCUAAUGUAGUGAAAGCCCUCACUCUCUCAAGAUUAGCUCUACCAUCCUUGAGUCCCAAAUCCUCAUAUUACUUGAUUAAUUGACUUACUCUAUCUCACAAAGAGCAUAUGUCAAUCUCUACUAAAGGAAUUAAUAUGACUACAGAUUUCAUGAUUACAAGUCCUUAAGAUAACCUAAGAGGACACACUAUCUCAAACCUAUGAGAUAUCAUGGUGUCUAUCUUAAGAAUACCUAUUGCUACCUAUCCUAAUCAAUAGUAACUCAAUCCAUAGGGAAUAUAAAGACCUUAGAACUAACUCAAUAUUCUAUCAUGGUUGAGAGACCAUGCGACAUAGUCACUUGGUGAAAUCAUGACUACUCAAUAGCUAACGUCAUGAUGCACCAUAGGUUUUGUCUAAUGUGUAACCAUACACACUAGUGCACUCAGUAUGGGAAACCUAUCUAAUGACCAAGACAAGUCAUAUCUCCAAUUAGGAGGUAGUGCACUUCAGCCUCAAAUGAAUUGCUUAAGUCCAUGAACUAAGUGUGAACUACUCAUCAAAAUACAAGGAACCAUGACUUCAAUUUUUUAUGCAACUCCUAAUGCACCUAAGUCAUGUAUAUUACAAAUAAUGUAGUCUUGAAUGCUAAAAUAAACCAUAAUGUCAAAGUGAGAUAUUAAAGUGAAUCUAAAAACUCAUAAAUACAUCAUGUCAUACUUCUAAGGGCUCUAUCCCAACAAUUGAUAACCUACCAAAUUAGAUGCAUAAAAUUCAUAAAUAAAAACUUGAACUUUGUAGCCAAAUCUACAAUUUUAUAUAAAACCCUGUCAAAAUGGCUAAUGAAAAGUGAUUGAUAUUACAAAAGAACAUAAAACUAAUGCUGUGAAAUGGGUUUUCAAAGUUAGUAAGUGCUUUAGGUAUGUGAUAAAUGAAAUCAAAUAUCAAAAGUCAAAGUCAAUGACAAAUGGUUAUGUGAAGAACUUCUUGGUUAUGUAGAAUUCUCUCAUAUUCAAGAUUUCUUAUAGUUUACUUUUUUAAUCAUAUGGUUGUGAAGCUGGCAUUUCUAUAAAUUGGUNNNNNNNNNNNNNNNNNNNNNNNNNNNNNNNNNNNNNNNNNNNNNNNNNNNNNNNNNNNNNNNNNNNNNNNNNNNNNNNNNNNNNNNNNNNNNNNNNNNNAGCUACCCCUUUGUGAAGCUCAAAGCGAAUUUGGUGUGCCUGAAUUGAGAAGUAAACAAAGAAGAGGAAGAAGAAAAAACAGAAGUUAGUCUAUACUUGAUAUUUGAAGAUGCAUCUUAUUAACAUAUUAGUUUCAUCAUCACUACCACUAUUAUAUAUUAAAACUAAAACUUUAAAUACUUAUUAAUAUUAUAACAUAUAGUUGUAACAAAAAUUAUAUGAUCAAUUUUAGACAUGUUUUAGGCCUGGUUUGAUUAAAAAAAAAUAUACAUGCAUAGAACUAACCUGUGCAAGACGAGUCCCAUGGUCAUUCAAAGGAAGAAAAAUUUCCCCAUGCCAUGAAUCUCUAAAUCCAAUUAUCUCAAGAAGUUCAUCAUCUACAAAAGAUGAUGUAAAGUUUCUCUGCAAAUUACAACCCCAUUAGAAUUGUCAAUAAAACAAUUAAAUUAAGAAAGAUAAAGUUAGCUUGAAUGAAACUGAAAAAAAAAAUGUUUCCAUUAUUCAUUUCUUUUAAUGUAAAACAACACUUUCAAAAGCUCACCUCUUUUUUUCUCCUAAAAUUUGGCUUGCCCCAAGGGUCUAGUCCACCAGGGAAGCUAGGCAUGUUAAGACAAACAAUUGACCUUAUGCUAUAAAUACGAAAAAAGUAAUUAGAAAUAUUAUUGAUGUUCAUUCAAUUGAGAACUAAAUGCUAACAAUAGAUCAAUUACAAAAAGUGGAAGUCCGAAAAAAUAACAUUGCAUGAUAUAAUGUAAUUAAAUUUUGUAUGGUCAUGUCAAGGAGGAUGACAUUUUCAAUGACCGUUCUUGUUAAAUGAAAAAGAUAUAAAGCUGAAAAUAUAUUUGUUAUUCAUGUUAAGGAGGCUAUCUAGUAUUGAUGUAUUGAAGAAUUAGUAAAUAACAAAAAACAUUUGAAAAUCAUUUCAUCAUUUGCUUUUAUUAUUGAGCAUGAAAAAUAAUCCACAAAGGGAUCAACUUUGUUGUUUGGAUUUUCUAAGGAUGGUCACAAUCCAUUUUAGUUUUUGAUUUAAAAUUUUAUUGAUGAAUUAAACAAUUAUAGGUCUUGCUUUUCUAUAAAUUACUUUGACCUUCCUUAUCCUCACUCAACUUUAGUAUUUUAGCUAAUCUCUAAUAAUUGUUCCCAAAUCUUCAUUAAGCUUCACUAUUUUAUCUAAUAUUCAUUAACAUUUACUUAUUCUUUGAACAUUUUACAUUCUUCAAAUUCAAAUUUUAAAGAAAACCAACUCUAGAUGAAAGGUUUGACUAAUGCCUAUUCUUAAAAAAAAUGCUAAACUCAUUUCUUUUUCCUUGCAAUAUCCUUUUUCUAUUUUCCAAUAUUGUAAGAUGUUUCUUCAUUUUCAUGGUAGAAAUAAGGCAGAGAUUCAUGGAUACUCAUCACAUCUUCAUUAUUUAUUCUAGAUAAUUUUUCAGUCUCAUCAUAUAUUUUAGAGGCAUGUAUGCAUGUGACACCAAUCCUAAGAUGGGGUGACACAAAGAUGGAAGUUACAAUGUAUGUCAACCUCAUGACAAAAAUGGUAGAAAAUAAUGUCAUUAGUUUACCUUUGAGGUAAGUUUAAUUUCUUCCAUUGAUGUUGGUGAUCCUUGAUUUUAACACUUAUAGGUAGAGCAAUGUUCCUGCAUCAAUGAAGUUAUUCCUUUCAUGCUUUUUUCAAAUAAUAAAAAAUAAUAUUAAUAUAGUAAGUAAGGUCUACAUUUUUAAAUAUAAUUAUGGGAAAAAUAUAUGAUCCAUACCAUAACCAAUUAGAAAUGCUUGAACACUCUUAAUAAGUCACCUUAUAGCUUAAACAAAUUUAUAGAAAUCAAUCGUACCCAUUCAUCUCAAGUUUUAGUUGAACUCACAAAAUUCAAGGGUAUUGUAUUAUAUAUUUAUAUCUUACUAAUAUUUAUAGUGUUAGUCUAUAUUAAUGAUAAAAUAAUUGUUGGCAACACAUACGAUCAUUGAUUCACAUGUUUUUAGUUCAUUUUCCACUAACUUUAGAAGUUCAAGCUGUGGUAUGGUCUUUAUAGAAAAUAAAAACGUUCUUACCUUUUACUAUCAUUCCAUCCAAAUUAAUUAGCAAGUUAAUAAUGUAUCACAAAGCAUUCCAAAUAGUAAACAUCUACCCCUUGAUUAUUACACUAAAUCGGAAAAUUAUUAUAAAACAUAGAGAAUUAAUUAAAAAUAGUAAUAUAAUAAUAUCACAAUGAUAGAAAUUAUGCCUAAAAAAGUUACCUUGGCCAAGAUUUAAAGUGAGAAGCAUCAAACAAUUCUUGAGCAUCCAACCCUAAUGCAAAUAUAAGAAAGAUAUAAUAUCAUAUAGUUAAGGCAUAUGGUAUAAACAAUCAUCUUAUUCUUAUUGUAUGUGAUCUAAUGCACAAGGAACUAAAUAUCAUUUGUACUCUCAUUGUGCCCAAAAGUUAAAAUAUUCCUAAAUUUAUUUGGAUAAAGGUAAGGGUGAUAAAUUAUUACUUGAAUAUAAACACUCAUCCCAUGUAGAAGACUCAACAUGAAUUGUUCAUCACUAAAAUCAUAUUUUGCACUUGUUUAAAAUUGAAAACCAAAGUAUGUACUAUAGAUGAUGAAAUGUGAUGACUUAACAAUGAGAAAAUUCAAGUAGAAUAAUCACAUAAAUUUGACCACCUAUAUAAAAUGAACUAUAAACAUGCAUAGCUAGCUUCUCAAGUGUAGUAUGAAAAAUUAGAACUACUUGCAUUUUUAACCAAGACACCAACAAGUUGAUUCUAAUGUGAAAAAAAUGAAAAUAAAAUUAAAUCAAAUUUUGACUUUUUCUAGAUGAGUUCAUAAUUUAUUAGUAUAUAUAUGUUUAUUUCAAUCAUUCUAGAUUAGAUUUUGAGCAAGACAAACUUAUUACCACAAAAAUUUUAAAAAAAAAAUUUAGUUGAAAAGCCCUUUCACCACAAAAAAAAAAAAAAAAAAAAAAUCUCAAACAAAAUAUCUUACAUGCUUCAUGAGUGUUUUUAUUUAUAAAAGCUACCUUGGGAUUAGGGGAAACCAAAUAACUUUCUCUUCUAAGCUACUUAGUCUCUCUCAACAUAAGUACCAUAUCCAAAAUUGUCUUUAUUAAUAACUCCACCAUUCUAUUUCUACAAAUGUACAAAAUUCCCUUAUAAAUCAUCAUAUUUAAUAAGUAAGAGAUUUUUCCUUAGAGUUGACUUCAAGUGUAUGUAUUUAUACACACAUAUGUGCAUAUGUAAUUUCUCAUUAUUCUUUAUAAUUAGUUGAGUUUUCCAUUCACAAUCAAGUAUAUGUCAUCCAUAGAUCUCCUCCCAUGUGCAUAUAUAAAUUGGCUAACCCCUUACAAGUAUAAGCACUGUGUGAGCCAACUAUACAACAUAUCGAUAAACUUUCCUUAAAAGCCUCUAGUAUGUUUGGUAUCAAUAGGGAAGUCAUCACUAUCUCUAUAUUAAUUGAGGUAUCAAUAGCUAUAUGGUAGUACAACAUUCUUAUCUCUUUUUAAGGGGGUCGAUGACAUAUUUCUUCAUAGGGGACUUUAAUCACAAUGGAAUAUUUGCAUCCAUCUUGUUAGGAUAAAGCCCUUAAAAAUCAUGACAUGAUAUAAUAAUAAAUAAAUUUUAUUAUUAUUUAAAGAUGAUUCUGGUCUCCUAUUUGCUAUCUUGUUUGUGCAGUAAUCGUGUUAAACAUUCAGGCCUAAUAUCACUUGCAUUAUAUAUGACUUGGGUACAUUAGGAGUUGCAUAGAAAAUUCCAAGUCAUGAAUGGGCUACUUGCAAGUAGAUGAGUGGUUCACAACUGUUUCAUGGACUUAGGAAAUUCAUUUGAGGUUGUAAAACACCACCUACUAAUUGGAAGGAUGACUUGCCUUGGUCAUUGGGAUGAGGUUUCCCAUAGUGAUUGCACUAGUAUGUAUGGUUACACAUUGGACAUGACCUAUGGUGAAUAAUGACAGUUUCAAGUAGUCAUGACUUUACCAAGUUACUAUGCUAUAUGAGUUCUCAACCUUGAGAGAAUAUUGAGUUAGUGUUAAGGCGCUUAAUGGUUUUGACCUAUGUGUGAGACCCUUAGGUGGAUUAGGUUAUUGUUGAUCAAGAGCCCAUUUGAUAGUGAUUCUAGGAUACGUUUCUAACCUUUCUAACACUUGAAUUUUUUAUCAUUCAAAGUAUUAAAAAAGUUAAAAAUGUUUCCUAAAAUCACAACCAAACACACUCUAAGAUAGAUGACAACAAGUAUUCUCAAGAUAGACACCAUGGUAUCUUAUAAGUUUGAGACAAUGUAUUCCCUUGGGUGAUCCUAAAGGCAUGUGAGCAUGAAAAUUAUGGUCAUAGUAGGUAGGUGGUUUUUUUAUGUUACAUCCAUGUGAUUUUGGGUGAUUGAUUUUAUUUAUCAUCUAUCCAUGGGAUUGAUAAGCUCUCAUUGAAUAAUUAAUAAAAAAUGACAAACUAAAAAUUGGUAAUAAAGUUUGAGCUUAGGAUUAAUUUAGGGACUACCUUUUCACACCAUUAUCUCCAAAAAUAGUUUUAUCAUAUUAAGACUACAAAAUUCAUUUUUCAAGUGGUAUUAAAGUAAGUUGGUUUUAAAAAUCAAGUUUUGAACAAUUCUUACAGGUCUUGGUCUGUGAAGAGAGGGUACUUAAAUUAAUUGUCCUCCACUUUUUUUGUGAGCAUAACUACCCUCACUAGAAAGCUAAAAUGGAGUUCGUCUAGAAAAUACUAGAAGAACUUGUAUGGAACACAAUUGAGUUUCGUUGUUACCCCAAUAAAAUAUUGUAGUCCUUUUGAAUUAAAACCCAAGUAAGAGGAGGAUAAAUUGGAUAAUAAAGAGAGUAAGGCGAAUGUCAAAGCCUUUUAUUAUAUUUUCAAUGAGAUUAGUCCUUGACACUUGCAAAUGUGUUAAAGAGGCUUGUUAUACCUUAGCAAUAAGUCAUAAGAACACUUCCAUUAUGAAGUUGUCUAAACUUUGAAUGUUGACUGCUAAGUUUGAAAACAUUAAGAUGAAAGAUGAUGAGGCCUUCUUUGAGUUCUACAUUGAACUCAAUGAUAUUAUUAAUUUUGAGAUCUUUGGGUCCAAAUUGGUUAGGAAAAUCUUGAGAUCUCUCCCAAAGAGAUUUAGACUUAAAGUUUCUACAGUAAAGCAAAGUAAAUAUAUGACUUGAUAAAUGAAUUUGCAACUUCUCUUUAAACCUAUGAGAUGACUCUACCAUCCCCUAGGAGAUCUAAAGGUGUAGCUUUUAAGGCCUCCUCAAAAGAAAAGAAUGUUUAUAAUGAUGAGAGUGAACAUGUUCUCACUCAAUAAAAAAUUUCAACCUUUUUUAAAAAAUUUAAAUUUUUUUUAUGAAAAUACAAAAUAAGAACACAAAAGAUGGCUAAAAAAAGAAAGAAAUCUUUCUAUAAAAAAAAAAAAAAAAAAAAGGAGUUAGUAAAAUUGUCUCAAGUUGAGUGUUUCAACUAUAAGGGUAAAUGACACUUUGAUUUAGUUGCCCUACACCUAAAAAAACAAAAGAAAAAAGAAAACAUUGCAAGUGACUUAAAGUGAUUCUGAAUUUAAUGAUAAUGAGCCCAUGGGAUCAACUAAAAGUGAAGAUAACGACAAUCUUGUUGCUAGUGUCUCACUUCCCACAUCCUCUAAAAUUGAUAGUCCCAUGAAUCAAGUGGUGAGGAAAAAUUAGAUUUUGAUAACCUCCAAGAGGCAUACAAUACAUUGUAUUAUGAGAAAUAUGAACUAAAGAUUGAGAAUAUGAAAUUAUAGAAGAUCUUGAAUAAAUGAUCACUCUCAUUGAACGUCUUGAAUUUGAGAGAAUUGAUUUGAAAGAAAAAUUAAAUUCCUAUGAAUAUAAAAAAGUUGACAUGGAUGGCAAUAUCAAGGAAGAAAUAAGUGAACAUCAAAAUCUUCUUAGUAAAAUUAAGUUCCUUGCAUUUAAAUUUCACAUUGUUCUUGAAAAUAAUAAGUCGUUUAUCUUAAAUUGACAUGGUUGGAAAAAUAAAUUAGGAAGUCAAAAUAAAAUCUUCCCCUCUAACUCUAAGAUCUUAAAUGAAAUGACAUAAAAACAUUAGGGCUUUGGAGAUAAAAGAGACCUAGGUUACAUAACUAAGUCUAAAAUUCCUAUGAAUGAAAGACUUCUUUUAUGAAAGAUAAAGAAAGUUACUCGUCUAGGGAAUCAACCUCAAAGAAGACAAGGUUGCAAUAGAUCUAGACAUGUUGGCAAUAAGUGCUAUGGUUGUUUCUUCAAAAACUUCUAAACACAUGUCAAUAGGCUAAUGAGUGAGUCAAACUCCUUCAGCAAUCAAAUCUUGAAUAUUAAAAGGGAGAGUAAAUCUCAAUUUAUGCCUGGGAAAGGUUAAUAUAGCAUUAAUCCUAAGACUAGAUAAAUUUGGAUCAAGAAAGAUGACUUAAUUACUCCUCAAGGUUUAGGUCUAGUGAGUUCUAAGUCCAUUUCUUCAAAUUCUCUUACUAUUUCAUCCUCUAGGAAAUCUUUGGGAGCUUCCUCUUAGUUAUCAUAUUUUUUUUAUAGCCUAGGGUUUAGUUUUAAUGUUUCAUCAUUUAUCCCUAUAAUAUGCAAUUUUAGGAGUUCUUAAGUCUUUUUGUCUUUUUUUAUUUUAUUUAUUUUAUUUUUAAUUUCAAAAUUUGUUUUUAGUUAGUUUUUAUUGAGUCUAGGUGUAAGAUUUAGGGGGAGCUUAUCAAUUUAUGAGAUUAGGACCUGAUGCUUAGUUGAAGUAAUUUUCUUUAUGGAGUGUCUUAUCCCUUAGAUGCUCUUAGAUUUGAGAACCUUAGGAAAUCCAUAGGGAUUAGUAUCCUAGAUUAAGAUUGUAUCUCUUUUAGAUUUUAGGCUUUUGAAUUUAAGGGAGAAAUUUUUUUAGGGUUCUAAGAUCUAGACUCAUAUUCCUUAAAAGAUCUAAAAUACUUUGAGUUAUUGUUUUCUUAAAACUUUUCGGCAUUUCAUGGAAUUUAGGGCAGAUGGACUUGAAUUUAUUAUCUCCGUCCAUGAUUAGAAACAUUAUAAUUGAUCUAGAGAGUAAAUAUUUUUUUGAAUACUUCAUAAUGUGAUUUAAGUGGUUCCUAAAGUUUUAAAGUUAUGAAAAUCUAUUUCUUCAUAGUUUUCAGAAGGAAUCAAACUAGGUUAUUUCUUCAACUUAAUUUAUGGGUUCUUAGAGUGUUCAUCAUGUUUAAUUCAUUCAUUUGUGAUUUUAAAAAUAUUAAAAUAAUUUUGGGAGUGAAAAAUCUACUUUUAGCAAAUUCUAAAUUUAGUUUCAUUAUUCUAAGCUUGAAAGCUAUCACUUGCAAAAGUUGAAAAAUCCUUAAAAUUUAUGGUAAAGGUGUAAUGAAUGUUUGUGAUUAAUGCUUAUAACUUGUGGCCUUUACAGAAAUUAGAAAUUAUUAAGAGCAGAGAUUAAAAUUUUGGGGAAAUUCUAAAAUCACAUGAUAUGUAUGUAUAUCUAUGUGAAAGAAAUUAAGUAAUGUUAAAUAAACAUCUGACUAGAUGAACUUUAAAUUAAAUGAGUUCUACUUUAGGGCUUUAAAUUAAGUGGUUGAAAUAGUAAGGAGAGAUGAAAUGAGAAUUUCAUGUGUUUAAUAGUUCCAUCUCUUGAAAAUGAAAGUUUUAGUUUUUUCACUAAUGUUUUAUUUACUUUUUUAAAUAUAGAUAAUCUUUUGUCUUCUUGAAAUCAAAAUUGUUUUGAUUCCGCUCAUAGUUUAUCAUGCCUUUGUUGUCAAGAUAUAUAUAUAUAUAGGGCUAAUUUUCUAAAAAAUUAUAAAUCUAUGAGUAUUAAGAAAUUUCUUGGAUAGAAAAUUUUGAUCCUUGUUAGUGUUUAGAUAUUCCAAAAGUGUUCAAAAGUUUUGAAUCUUGAUUUUUAGGAAUUUAAGAAAUUAUUUAAACCUCCUCGUGAAAAUAAGGAAUUUUUGAGGACUUAUUUUGAACUUCAUUGUGAUCAGAGGAGUGAGUACCCAUGUUUUUCCUCUUCCUAACAUGGAUCUCUAAAUUUCUUAAUGUAUUAGGUUGAGAGAAAGAGAGUAUCUAUAUGUGUUAGCCUAAGGGUUCUCCUAAUCGAGUUUUGAUGAUAACAAACCAUGGUUAAGUGACUAAUUUGUUUAAUGGUUAAGAAUCUCAGGCAUAAACUCGAAAAUUCAUCAAAUGACCAAAUGGAUACAAGAUCAAGACGCUUGGAAGACUUGUGAUCAUAGGAAACUAAUGUAAGAUGAAUGCAUGAGUGCACUUAGGAUUUUUAUACGUUUCAUGCAACUUAGAAAACUCGAUUUAUUCUUUAAAACUUCGAUUUCAUUAAAACCUGAGUUUUUAACUAAUGUACCUUAGGAAAAAUGUUUUAUAAUUGGCUUAAUAAUUCACCUAAAGACCUUGACUAAGUGUUUGAAAAGAAAGGAAUUAAAAAAAAUAGGUUUUCGGGGCCAAAAAGGCUCAAUCGGUCAAGGUUAUGGCCAACCGGCUCAACCGGUUGAGGAACUGGUUGACCGGUUGUGCUCGUCCGAUCGAAGACCGGUCGAGGGAGGCCAAAAAGUUUCUCUCUCUCCCAGUAGCCUUCUUUUCCCGAUUGAGGGGAUUCUCUUACCGGUCAAGAUCCGAUUGAUGUCCGGUCGAGGCAACGGUAACCUGUCAUGCAUUAAAUGUUCCAACGGCUAGUGAACCGGUCAACCCCUAGCUCGACCAGAUGAGGUUACCUUUUGCUGUUUUUGACUCCCAGGCUUAGAAACCUAUAAAUUGAGAGCUCCACUUCAUUUAUUGAUAAGAGAACACUUGCAUUCAAUAGCCUACCUAUCUGUUCUUGAUAAAAAAAGCUCACAUUUCUUUCAUAGUACAUUAAAUCACCACUUGCAUAUCCUUUAGUGCACUCUUGUGUGUCAUCUUAGCUUUGUCUUGUAUUUGAGCUAUCCUUAAGCUAGGUUGAGGGAUCAUUUCUUGUAAAAAUCUGAGUGUCAAAGCCUUCAAGAGGUUUGAAUUUUGAAGAGAUUGUGUAAGAGCCCAUUGGAGUCGGAAUCCAAGUGUAAGAAGAUUGGAAGCUUGGUUGAAGCUUCAAGUUAGUGGAACCCUCACUCGGUUAGGAGAUUGAGGAGUGUGGACGUAGGCAAGGAAGUGCCAAACCACUAUAAACCCGAAUUUGAUUUCUCUAAACUCUAUCUCUUUAUUUUGUUUAUAUUAUGUUUGAAUUUGUUGUGAUUGAAAAGAUUUUAAAAACCCAAUUCACCCCCUCACCCCCCCUUUUGGGUGUUUUUCUUAACUAAGCAUAGCCUUUGUUUUCUCAAUAUGUAUUUUGGAUUAUCUUUUGUUACUUUGUUUACUCUCUGAUUCAUGUUAGGUUGUAUAUUGGAUAUUGCUCCAAUUUACACAGGCAUGUUAUAGACCUUUCCUUGGUUAUUUUCCUUAUGUGCCUAAUCAUGCAUUUUUUUUUUCUAUUUUUCAUUUUUGUGAAAAAAAAGGAGUAAAAGGUUGUAAAAAUGUUAUUUGAGUUCAUUGAUUGUAUUUAUGUAUUUUUAUUUAUUCUAUUUUUGGCCAUUCUAUGCUUUUUACUUGUAUAUUAUUUAAGUAUAUAGAUUAUAAAGAGACAUGCAAGCAUAAUAACUAGUUUAGAUUAGAACUUGUUUUGGAUUUAGUAAGGUUUUUAUGAGACUAUAGGGAGCCUCAUUAUAAUUAUUUAUUUUGUCACAAAAUUAUUAAAGGAGGAUAUUAUUGAUGUAUUAGUUUUAUAUUGACUAGUUUCUUCCAUUUCUUAUUAAUUAAGAUGCAUUUAUUCUUAGGUCUUAACAACUAAAAAAACUUUGAGCUACUAUAGAAUUGAGUUUAGGAAGGUAAAAAGUCAUCAAAUUCGAGGUAAGGAUGCAUUUUUGGUAUGGUAAAUUUUUUUGAAUGGAAAUUAUAUGCAAAAGUGUUGAAAAAGCAAUUGAAAAUAGCUUGAAACUUGUGAAAUUGGAGAAUGCACUAAGUAGAAGUUCAACAACAUAAGAAGGGUGUUUAAACGCCUCUUCGUGUUCAAAUAGUUUGUUAUUUUUUGAAGUUUCAAAUUUCAUUUUGAAUUCCAAAACCUUGAUUUUUAAGAUAUAUAAAAAUUGGAAAUUAACUCUUCAUAUCUUUUGAAGAAAAAAGUUAAGAUAAUCCAAAGAGAGAAAUUGUCAUCUACAAAUCUUGAAACUCCAUAUCUCGACACUUUUCAAUGCAAUCUUGAAAGUACUCCUGAUGUUAACAAAGGUCUAAGCUCUAAUUGUUUCAACCAUGAUAAAGGCUUCAAAUGAUUCACUAAAAGUACAAAAGAGUACUACAUUGAGAACGUGGAAGAUAGAAAAAGGUGUUGUCCAUCUAAGAUCCUAAGGAAUGUAUUUAUUCGACUAAGUAAAUCUAUAUACCAUAUUUUCAUAUUUAGUGGAUUAUCUACGGUCAAGGCAACACUCAUGGUGUUUUACACCAAUUAAGUUGCUAUGCUGAGCCAGAGUGGGCUCAAUAGUUAAACCUAUGUUUUCGAGCACAUGUGUAGUGGGGUAAUAAAGUUUGAACUUAGGAUUAAUUCAUGGACUACCUACCCUCUCCCUCUCCUGUCCCUCUUUUGGUAGUUUUAUCAUAUCAAGACUAUUAAAUUUCUUUCAACUUAUGUUUCCUAACAACAUUUAUAUUAUAAUGAAUUGCACAAUAUUUAUGAAAAGAAAAAGUACAAGAAAAUUAAACCCAUUACCUAUUAUAAGAUAGUUCCAAAAUCUUCCACAAAGAUCUUUGUCACCUCCCUGGUAAAAUAUCAUCAUAAGAAGUACAAAUUAAUAAGUUAAGCGAUCUUAUCCACUUCAAGUAUUAAUUCAAAUAAUGACAUAUUUAUUAAUAAAUGAUUAUUCUAAAUUUAAGAUUGCUUUAGAAGAAAUUAAAGCUUAUGGAUGUUUAAGGAGAGUUACUCACUUAGCAAAGUUAAAUGAUUAUAGGUUGGAGUCCCACUAGGAAAAAAGAGAAAGGAAAAGAAAAUUUACCAAUAAAAGAAAAUUCUACCAUGAAGCUAGUAAAGAAAAUGUGAACUACACAUUUUUAACUUAUAUGAUAUAGAUCACAAUCUCUCUCCCAUAUACAUAACUUGCAAUAUCUAGACUUAUUUGGCGAAAAAAGGUGGAGCAAGUUUAAACCCUCACAACUAAUAUGAUAUAUUUUAUAGUAAAGGUACCAUAGCAAAUAAAAAAGAGUAUAAAAAUGUUUUCACCCAUUGAAAUAUGUGUUUCAUCUAUUAAAAUAAAAUUUUCUUAAUCUUAAAAGUAGUAUUUUAGAAAAGUUCAUAAAAUCUUAUCAAUUGUUGAGGUAAGCUAAAUAUGGUAGAAUGGAAAAUAUUAGAUAGUUUUGUCGUGCAUUGGAGUGUAGCAAAGAAGAACCUUGGUAGAAGUAACUUGGUUAGGUCACACCUAAUUAUUGGCAUGACAAUAUGGUCUCUAAAGAAUUUCUAUAUAUUGAUUAACUAUGUUAGCAUUUCAUUAUUGCUAACUAAGGUUUUAUUUUGUGUACCUUAUAGAUUCUAAGAUCUAUCUCCACACUUAAUUGGGCCACUUCUCUAAAGUUGUAAUAUUCUAAUGUAGUUUUGUUAUGCUCUACAACGUUUUCCCAAUCUACUUUAUGUAGGAAUUUCCAUGUCAAUAACCCUAAAUCCUAAUAAGUUAAUAUUUGGGCAAACUUAAAUGAUAGUAGAAUUGAUUCCUCUAAAAGUAUGCAUGAACAACUACAUUAAAGUCAUAGUGAGUACUAGAGUUUGAAGUAUAUAAAUCAAUUCAUACAAGAGGGAUUUUAUAUUUUAGAGGCGUUAUUGAUGUGGUGACAUAUGAUAAAAAAAUCACCAAUUGAUCGACAAUUAAUCUAAACUUUAAAAAAAAAAAAAAAAAACUGAAAAAAGUGGCAAAAUUCAUUAGUCGAAAAUAAAAUUGUGAAAUUGUUUGCAUUGCCACAGAGAGUCGAUAUUUCAUCUAAAAUUUUGGCAAUAAAUGACAAUUUAAUCCUUACUCAAGAAACGUGUGAGGCCAUUAAGGAUGCAUAGGAGAGAAUGGAAACCUCUUCAAAAAAAGUUAGAAAUUCCUUACAUACAUGGUAAUUCAAAUCUCUUACUAACUAAUUUAAAAUUGUACAUAAAGGGGUUUUAAGGAAAAAAGUUCUAACUAAUUUAUAAUUAUACAAGAGGAGUCCUAAAAGGAGAAAAACUCCUAACUAAUUUAUAGUUGUACAAGAAGAGUCCUAAAAUGAGAAAAAUCCUAAAUUAUAGGACCUAAACUUCAAACACAUGUCUAUAAUUUGGUAUUAGCUAAUCUUUAGUUACAACAUCUAUAAUUUGGUCACAUGUCUCAAUAUAUGGAGUCCAAAUAAAACCACUAUCUAGCUUAUUUCUUUAUGAAAUGUCAAUCUCCUUCCAUAUGUUUUAUUUGAUCAUACUGUACCAAAUUAUGAGUGAUGUUGAAUGCAGACUUAUUAUCACAGUAGAAUCUCAUAGGGUAUCUCUACUUGAUUUUAGGAUCAUUUAAAAUAAUCUUAAGCCAUAACAAUUCACAAAUUCCAUGAGUCAUUACUCGAAACUCCACCUUGACACUUGAUUUUGUAACCACUAGUUUUUUUUUACUUUUCUAAGUAACAAGAUAUCCCCAAGAAAAGUAUAGUACUCUAAGGUUGAUCUUCUAUUUAAAAUUAAUCCAACAUAAUUUGGAUUAGUGUAGGCUUUCAAGCAUAACUCCAUAGCUUGUUUGAAUAACAACCUUUUACCAAAAAUUCCUUAACGUGGUAUAUGAUCCGAUAGAUUGCUUGAAGAUGAGUGUCUUUGGGAUUGUGCAUAAACUAAAAAUGCUCACAACAUAUGCAACUUUUGGUCUAGUAUGUGCUAAUUAAAUAAGUCUGCACAUUUGUCAUUAGUGCAUGCCAUGAUUUACAAUCCCAUCCUCCAAGGCCUCUACUAAUUUAUGGUUUGGUUCUAUGGGGUUGUCCACUAGCUUACAUCCAAGUUUCUUGGUUUUUUUUUUUAAGAAUAUCAAUCACAUAUUUCUUUUAUGAAACAAAGAUACCCUUCUUGGAAUGAGCCACAUUGAUUCUCAGGAAAUACUUCAAUCUAACAAGUUCUUUAAUCUCAAAUUCUCUAGUUAAAUACUGUCGAAGAGCUUCCCUUUCUCUAGGAUCAUUACCAAUCAUAAUAAUAUCAUCCAUAGAUACGAAGAAAGUUAUCAGUCCCUUUGAAGUCCAAUGCUUAAUAAACAAAGUAUGGUCACCUUGACUUUGUAUUUCAUUGCCAACAUCACGUUAGAAAAUCUCAUAAAUCAUGUUCUUAGAGAUUGUUUUAAUUCAUAUGAGGUUUUCUUUAAUUUUCAAGCAUUAGUUCUACCAAGAGUUUUGUAAAAUCCUGGAGAAAUUUCCAUAUAGAUCUCUUCUUCUAAGUCCUCAUGCAAAAAUGCAUUUUUGUUUUACAUCAAAUUUUUGUAAGCUCCAACUAAGAUUAGUCACCAAUGAUAAUAACACCCUUACGAUAUUCAUAAUAGCUAUGAAAGAAAAGGUUGCUUGGUAAUCAACCCCUUAGGUUUGUGUUAGCCUUUCGCUACUAACCUAGACUUAUAUCUUUUUAGUUAUACUUGAUUCUAUAUACUCAUUUACACCCAAAUGGUUUCUUCCUCUUAGACAUCUCUAUUAUUUCCCAUGUUCUAUUUUUCUGUAAGGCCUCUAUCUUACCCACAUGACUUGUCUCUAAUUCUCAUUAUUAAGUGCCUCAAAAAGGUUUUGUGGAGUGGUUUUGCUGUACAAAUGAGUGAGGAUUUUUGUGGGAUUGGGAGAAGUUAUUAAAUGACAUAAAUAAUGAUAGAAAAUGUUCCUAAUCGGAAUGGGUAAAUCAAGAUCAUUGUCAACAUUUGAAGUACUAGGAGAGAUAAAACUAUUGUCUAGCCUUGGUUUAGACUCUUGACUAUGUGUGGGUUUAAUGGUGGUUAUUUUUCUCCUUAAGUAAACUUGCAAUGGUUUUAUAACAAUAGUUUCUAGACUAGUGUUAGCAGAAUGAUUCCAAUUCAUUGUUGUUUGAAAAUUGGUUUAAAUCGAGCUUUGUGGUAUUAAGAGAAGAGUAGGUCAUGUGGUCUAUGUCUUCUAAGUUAAUGACCCAAGAGCCAAUGAAGAACAAAUCUAAGGCCCUUAAAAGUAUGACAAAUAGAAAACUUACUUGUUUGUGUCAAAGAACACAUACUUGAUUGUUUAUUCAAAGUACCAAAAAAUAUCUUAACCUUUCUAUCUCUUCUUUGUUUAGUUUUCUAAAUUCUUCAUUGUUGAAACUAUGUUUUUCUCGAGGGCUUUCUUCACAAUUUGCCAUAAUUUCUUGAUUAUGUUUCUUCCAUGCUCUAUUUCCCACAUUCCAAUUCAAGUUUUAAGGUUUUCCAUUAAGUUUCCAACAUUUCUCUUUGGUGUGUUGGGGCUUCUAGUAGUAAGUACACCAAAGUCCUUCACGAUUGAGAUUUUUUACCAACUCAUUAGAAGGUCUAGUUUCUCUAACAAGAUUUGGGUUGAAUUUGUGUGGCUUUGUAGAACCAUGAAUAAAAGACAGUUUGAGCAUCACACUUCUCUUAUUUUCUUUAGCACGAAUGAUGGAGAUGAUUUCAUUCAUGGAUGGAGGCUCCUCUUUUCCCAAAACUUAGACUUGCCCUUGGUCAAACUCCACAUUGAGCCUAACAAGAAAUUCAAAAAUUCAUUCUCUUUCUAUAAUAUUUUUUUUGCACUAUUGCAUCUUCACUACAUUUAAUUUUGAAUGUUAUGGUAGUAGUCAAUUUUCUAUCACAAAUUCUUCAUAAUAUUGGCAAAUUUAAUUACAAAUCUGGUUCCUUGUUUUAUAGUUGAAAUGUUCACCUUGAUUUAAAAAAUUUGAGUACAAUCUCAAACCUUUGAAUAGGUUUGUCGAAUGACUUUGUAAACCUCCCUAGUUGUUGUAAAAAACAUGUUUCACUAAUUUUAAGGGACACUGAAUUCCAUAACCAAGACAUGAUAUGGAAUCCUCUUCAUUCCAGCUCUAAAAGUUUAGAUAUCCAAGCUUUAGUCCUAUGCCAAUCAAAUGACUCAGUUUUCCUUACCAACUAAGACUAUUGAAGAUAUUUCUUUUCAAUAAGGUGCUAAGCAGCUUGGAAGUUCUAUAGUUCCCUCAUGGUUUGGCUUAGUAGUGCUUUUAAUGUUGCCCUAAUAGAACUGAUAGCGGGAGUAUGGUCCAAUAUUUCAAACAUAAUAGUAGUGAUAAAUGGAGAUGAAACAACUAAAAAAGAAAUCAACAAUGAAACCCGAGGAAUCAAAACACCACAAAAAAACUUAAAAUAAGGAUAGGUGGCACUCAAAGUUUUUGCCAAGCACACCAAUAAACUAGAAUAAGCUCUGAUACCAUGUGAAAUUCUAAAUUAUUCUUAUCAUGAAAAUCAAGAUAUAUAUAUAUAUAUAUAUAUAUAUAUAUAACCAACUUCAAUGUGUAUUAUUAUUAUCUAUUUUACCAUUUUUGAGUUUUUUUUUCAUAUUUAUGUAAUUUUCAUAAAUUUUUGUCUUUUUUUUUCCAAAUUUUUGUUCAAUAUUUUUUAUAUUUCCUAAUAUUUUCGUAAAAUUUAAAAAUUGAGAUUUUCAUAAUUUCUGAUAUUUUAAUCCUUGAUCAUGAUGUUGUAAUUUUAUUUAGUUACCAUCUAUAGAAACCAUAAGUUAUAAUUUCUUUAAUAGAUUAAAAUACAAGGAAAUUUUAUUUAAAAUGUGAUCAAAAUCAAUUUUUUAAAAUGGAUAUCAUGAAGAAAAAUUAUAUAUGAAACAAAUCAUGGCUUAUAACGUAAAAGGAAACAAAAAUAAAGUUUUGAAUUGUAAAAAAAGCUUUGUAUGGCUUAAAGUAGUAAGGGUCAAGAGUAUGGAAUAGUAUUUGAUAGAUAUUUUCAAGAUAAUAUUGUUACUANNNNNNNNNNNNNNNNNNNNNNNNNNNNNNNNNNNNNNNNNNNNNNNNNNNNNNNNNNNNNNNNNNNNNNNNNNNNNNNNNNNNNNNNNNNNNNNNNNNNGACCAAUUAUGGCACCCCUAUUGGCAAUAAGCAAUGGGGAGGUUGCAAUUUUGUGCACCAUGGGUCAUUGGCCCAAAAUGGAAAACGGCUUUGUGCAUUCUUUCCUCUAUUUCAUGUACUUGUACUCUUCUCACUCCAUUUUUAUGCUUUGACUAAGCUCCUUUACAUGCACUUACUCACUCAAAAUAGUUGCAAGCCAUUAAAAAAUAGAGAAAAAAUGUAAGAAAGUUGAGCAUAUGCAAGGUAGCACAAAAUUGAGUGAUUGGAGAGUACAAUUGAUGCAAAUAUCAGACAUAAUUUGAUUUCUACUUUGUUGUCCCUACAAUAUUUGACAUCAAUCAAUGUGUUUGUUAGGUAAUUUGACAAAAUUUUAAUAAAAGAGCUUAACAUGCUAUAAGAAAAACCAAUUAAGAUCCACAUGGACCAUAAAUUAGCAUCUACAUUGGUAAAAAUAUAUGAUAUUCUAUGAUCAAAACAAAAACAUUGACAAAAAGAUAUCAUUUUCUUAAAAAAAAUGCAUAAUGAAGAAGUGGAAUUGAAGUACCUUGGUGCUCAUGAUUAAAUUUUUGACAUAUUCAUAAAAGUAUGAAUAUUUAGUAAGUCCAUUGUGCUAAUUGAUUUUUAUAUUAGCUAUAUCUAUUUAUAUAUAUUAAACUUUUUAAUGUUACUUUAACUCCAUUGAUUGAUGGUCCAAGCAUAUUUUUGCUUGGCUUUUUACUUUGAUUAUAGUUACAAAUUUUAUGCUAUAAGUUAAUAAAUUUACUAGAAAAGAUUGAUACAACUACAAAAAUGAUCAUGAUCCCAAAGCAUAUGCAUCGUAGAAAACUAAAACAUUAAUUAUUUGUGCAAAAGAAAAGUUCUCAAUUCGCAAGCAACAUAUUUAUUCUUUUGUAAAUUUAAAAAAUGCUAUAUGACAAAACAUUACCAUGUGCAAUAAGUUGUCUUCGGAAACAUGUCGAACAUGAAGAGUAUUCGGUAUCUCAAGACAAUUUGGAAUUGAUGUCCUCACUACAAAAUUCCAACUGGAAUAAAUUCAACUAUAUUAGCAAUAAGUAACAUACAAUAAAAUCAUUUAAAUUUGGCCCUUGGAAACUUCCAACAAGAAUUAGAACAAGAAUGUGAAUUCUUAAUUACCAUAAAACAAAGUACUCAAACUAAUCAAAUACCAAUUAUUUAAGAAUGUGUAAUAAUGGUAAUCUUCUAUUAUGAAAUGUAUACCUUAGUCGGUGGUGGAAUGUAACUCAAAUUUCUAAUUAAUAUAUACUCAUUUCUAUGAAGAAUAUUAUAUAGAAGAUUUCCUAUGUUGAUAUGUUAUUAUAAUAUAUAUAUAUAUAGAUAGAUAGAAUAAGGAAAAUUACUAGGAAUGUCUUUAUAAAUAUUCUAGGUCAUAUGGGGGAAAAAGUAAUAGGAUGAAAUGGGUUUGUCUACAUGCUAGAUAGAGAUAUGAGGAAUAAUAAGAAAACACCUAGUGAAAUGAAGGUUCAAGAUUCCACAUCUAUAUAUAUAUAUAUAUAUAGAAUAAGGAAAAUUACUAGGAAUGUCUUUAUAAAUAUUCUAGGUCAUAUGGGGGAAAAAGUAAUAGGAUGAAAUGGGUUUGCCUACAUGCUAGAUAGAGAUAUGAGGAUAAUAAGAAAACACCUAGUGAAAUCAAGGUUCAAGAUUCAAGAUGUGGAUAUAAAGAACAAAGAAAUAUAAGAUUUUUUAGGGCUUAAUAUUGGUAUAUAUUUUUCUACCUUUUGUAAUAUUUCCUAUAAUAUAGUAGAAUGAUUUCUCUUAUUAGUAGAUAUAGGCAUGGCUUUUAAACUAUGUUAAAACCUUGUAUUCCGUUGUGUGUUGUUUAUUUUAUCUUUGUAUUCUAGCACUAAUAUAUUAGCAUUAAAGCUUUCACUAGUAUGACAAAUUGGUAUCAAAGCUCAAAUUGAGAAUUCUAGAAGAGACAAAGGGAACAACACACAUAAGUAGAGUAUAGAAAGAAUUAUAGUUGAAAGUAGAGUCAAUUGUUCUCUCAUCAAAAUGUGAUACAAGAAAUGUGGUUUCGUUAUCCAAGAUAACCAUAGCUUCUCUUGUACACUUAUUACAUCCUAAAAGGUAGCAAUGAUGAAGUGUUUAAAUGAUUUAAGUACAUAGCACAUGAUGGGAUUAUGGCACAUGACAAGAUUGUGAUGCACAAAGGUAACAAUGAUAUUUUAGGAGUGUGGUGCACAACGGAAGUUAUGACAGGGAGUAAGGAUUUGAUUCACACAUGUUUAUUAAAGUGUGUAUCAAAGAGAGAUAAAAGAUAAACUUGAUAGAAUUUGAUCAAGAUGAUAAAGAGUUCAGAUCGAUUUCCUUUAAGAUGGUUCUAGUUAGUACUAGAUCAGUGUUUGAGUUAAUUAAAAGAAAGCCAAUAUGCUUUGUACGUUGCAUUAAGUGAAAAAAAAAACUGGAAAAUUAGCCCACUCUUCACAUGAUUUUAAUGCUCUUUAGUCAAGAAAUUUCUAGACAGAUCCACAAUUUCAUAUUAAUGCAAAAGCAUUCAUAAUGUAUUAAACUAUAAAUUUUAGUAACUUUUAGUGAAGUAAUCUAUCUAAACAAGAGAGUAUUAUUUAAUAUAAAAAAAAUCAAAAGAGAGUACUAUUUAAUAUAAAAAAAAUUUUGAAACCUAUCUCAUUAAAAAGACUUCCACAAAAGUUCCCACUAGAAAGAACAUUUCAGUCCCAAAAUCUUGUACUUCAAAAUGUUUUGGAGUUUUAUAAGUGCAAUAGAGAACACUAUAGAGCACUUCAAGAAUCAAAAAGAGCUUUUGGGUAGCCCAAAAGUUGCACCAAAAUGGUGCUCAAAUUUGAAGGAUGCUUAAUAUGGAAUUAUUUAGUCAGAAACAAACGAUUAUAUAUAAAUGAAGCAGAUUGCCUAAGGUUUUGUUCAAUAAGAAGUAUUAAUUAUUUUAUUGACUUUAAAAGGUUUAUUUGAUCCUAACUUGCAAUUAAUUAGGACUUGAAAUUAAGUUACAAGCUAAACUUCCAUUUCUAGCUAAUAAUUCAAUAGACUAACAGAUUAAUUGUGGCUCAAGUGCAAAGAACUAUAAUUUUCCAAGCUUAGAACCAACUAAAAUUAGGUUAAUGUAGCAGAUAUCUAACCACAUGAAUGAGGAGAUAGAUAGAUGUUAUUGAAGAUCAAGCAACUGGGCCGUCAAGGUUUAAAUAGUAAUCCCUUUAGGCCAGCAUAUGGAGCAUGUCACCAACCAAAAUGGAAGGAAUUAAGAAGGCAGAUUUUUUUACAUAAUAGUAACCCAUGGAAGGCUUUUUUUAAUCUUUUUUUUUCUUUUCUGAGACCAUGAGUGGUGGAUUAAGAAAAAUUGAAUCAUAAUUAGGGGAAUAGAUUGGUUCUAUCCCAUAAUAUAAAUUUGAAUAUGUACCAAAUGCUCAGCCAAGGGAGUAAUGCUAUUUGUUAAUUGUUGAUCACAUUGAAGCUCAAAGGUACAGAACUAUAGUGAGGAAAUUGGUAAGGCUUAUAUAUAUUAUGCAUUCUGUUAGUAACAUUCAAACUUUAUUACCUGUCUAUCAAUAUCUCUUCAGCAUCCCUUAAUUUAGGAAGGUAAAAUGCAGGCCUAGAAUCUGUAUCAGAAAGUUGAUUUCCCUGUCAAGUAGUUAACUUAUGCGUUAUCUCUUUAUGUAAUAUAAAUAGGAUGAAGGUAGCAACUUAUAUGAAAAGAUGAUAAUUAUUGUAUUACCCAUCCAAGAGAAAUUGAAAUGUUAACUUGUGUUCCCAAAGGCAUCAAACCAAUUGGCGGUGUCGGAUGGAGUUCCAUAUCACAAACUGCUCGUAAAACCCGAUUUGUUGUAGCAUCACCACCAAAAACCUGGUGAAGCAUAUAUAUAUAUAGUAAUUAUGAUAAAUAAAAGAAAAAAGAUUUUAAUAUAAUAAUUAAUGAAUUUGUUUAAUAUUUUAUUAGAAUAAAUAAUUAUUCAAUUAGAGAGAAUUCUCCAUUUUUAAUUUCACUCGUGUCAUAUUCACUUAUAUCACUUAUGUCAUUUUAAUUAUAUCUCUAUUUUUAUAAUUAUUGACAAACUCGAAUAAUGAUGAUUCAUACAAAAAUUAAUUUUCUAAGCUAAUUAAUAAUUAUUAUUUUUUGUAAUUUUUAAAAUUAACAUAAGCAACUUUAUAUUUUAAGUGGAUUAAAAAUUUGAAUAUAAGAUAAUUUAAGUAAUUAAGAGUGAUUUAUGAUUUUAGUUUUCUGUGAAUAUUUGAAAUAAUUAAUAAGGUAUGGGUCGGAUGAGAUAAAAUUAUGUUUGAGUUUGAGCUUAACAAUUUGUUUUAUUUUUUUCCUACUAUUACUAGAGUUUGAAUGACGCGCCGUUAGAAUUCUUAAGAGCCGAAGCCCAAAUUGGGGCCAAUUGAGUCACAAUUCCCAGGUGCGUUUUGAGGGUACAAAGGAAGCCUUAUAAUUGAAAUUUGAGACAAGAUUAAAUCUUAAAGAUCACAACUACUCAACUUACCAAUAUCCUCACUCUGUCUACAACCUCAGAAUCACUUAUCUGCGGAGUUCUUCCUUUCAAAAACUCUUGAAUGUCAUGUAAUGGCAUGUGAGGAACAACCUCUGAAAUGUCAGAAAGCUGAAAAGUAAAGUUAUUCAAAGCAGCACUAAAACAAAUCCUCUGAAUCAAUCUUGAGGGUGCUUUAAAAUCUAACCAAUUCUGUUGCGAAAAUGCUACGAAGAGAUAGGAGCAAAUCGUUCCCCUGAUUGGCAUCGUCUUUGGGGUUGAUCAUUACAUAAUAUACUAGUUUGCCACCUGGUGCUAACUCAAGUAUGUCAUCCCAACUGCCGCAGUUAAUACACGUUUAGUAUAUGAAAAUAGGAAUUGGAAUAGACAUGAAGGUGUUAUGGUUGAAUGAGGGUUUUAAACAUCUUUUAAUCCCCAGGAUCAUUAGAGAAACAUAAGAAUCCCUCACUUAUGUUAAGGAUUAUCAAAAAUUCUUAUAAUAUAACUAAAACAAUCUAACAUCUUUUAAAUUUAUUAAUCUUUUAAAAAGAAAACCAUGAUAGACACGUGAAUGGCAAAAAAAUAGAAUAAAAAUAAUACUAAUAUAAAAUAAGGACUUAAUUAGUCAUAUAUAUAUUAUGCUAUCUAAAUUAAAAAUCAGUUAUUUUUCCUUAAAAUUAUCUUUGUUUAUUUUAUUUAAAUUAAAAACAAAACAUUUUUUCUCAUGAUUAAGUUUUCUUUUUCUUAAUUUUAUUUCACUACAAAUAAAAAGAAAAUAAAAAAAUUAAUAAAUAUUAUUUAUCAAUCAAAAUUUAUUCUAUUUAACUUUAUUUCUCUACCUUUUCUAAUUACUUCUUUUGUAAACCCAUACACUAGAAGUCAUCUUCAAGAAUAAUAAUGUUCAUAAUUAACUAAAAAUAUAUGUCGUCAUUGUGAAUGCCAAUGAAGGAAAAUUCUAUAUUUUAAUAUAAAUAAUUGGAUUUUAACAUUCAAUAUAAGUCAUUGAUUAAAAAAAAAAAAAACUGGUUAAGGAAAGUGCCAAUCUCCUUCUUAGCUUACUCGUUCAUAUCCUCUUACUCCAUUUUCUACAUGAAAAAAUUCAAAAAUACUUGCCCACAAUCUUAUAAAUUUUUUCCUAUUUAAAUUUUAUAGUCUCCAUAAAAUCUGAACAAAAGUUAAAAAAUAAUAUAUAUAUAUAUAAAACCCACAGGCUUCAAUAAAUUCUCAAAAAUCAAAGAACAAACUCCAUUAAUGAGAUAAUUGCAUCAUUACACAUAAUUUAACCCAUUCCUAUAAUACUUUAUUUGGUAAUUGAUUGCUUAUUUAUAUAUAAAAUCUCGAGUAUUAAUCAAUACAUUAUACUAUAAACAAGUUCUUAUUUAAAUCUCAAAAAAUCUUAAAUAGAUAUUUUGAUUAUAAUAGGUAAAUAUAUCUAUACCAACAAUGUGAUUAGUAUAUGAAAAAUGUGAAAAUAUGAAAAUAGCAACCUACUUAAAAAUCAUGUGACCAUCAUAAAAAAUAUUAAAUUAGAAAGGUGGUAUAUAAAAUCAAGCUGAAAGCAUAGAAACUUACUCCCCUCCUAAGGUUCGGUUCCGCAUAAUAGUGUUGAACGUUGUUGCAGCUAACGGGAGACCAUGAGAAUGGUAUAUCAUUUCAUCCUCCAUUUUCACCACAAUGGGAUGCUUCCGAGGAAGAAAACUUACAAUCCACGUAAUGAGGCCCCAAAUAACCUGAUUGGAAAAGGGCUGCAUACGAUAUAAAUUAUUGGGCCCAACCAUCCUCUUAGCCACACCAUGGAGUCUGGUUGUAAUGAUGAUGACUCUACUCUGAUUUGAUUUGUUACACCACUGGAGUCUCUCCUUUAACCUGAAGUACCAGUCCAGCUUGAUAUCCCAAAUUCCAUCAAACACUAAUAAAUAACUCUUACUCCACAAUGCUUUGCAGAGGGCCUCCAAUAGCUCCUCCUCCUCCACCUCCACACUAUCUCUUUGCCCACCAUCACACUGCUUCAGCAUAGCCUUGAGAAUCUUCUUAAAAUCUAUUUCUCCUUUCUGUAUCGCUUGUAAGUUGAUCCAAAUUCCCACAAUCCCCACACGACUUUGGUUGAAAACUCUUCGGGCCACAAGGGUCUUACCGCAACCCCCAAUCCCCACAAUUCCAAUUUCCUUACUAAAUCCUUCUUCAUCCAAUUCACUUGUACCCAGAACCAAUUUUUCUAUAUUUUUUACUUGGUCUGUAAAGUAAUAGGAAUAAUAAGGGUCUAUCGUUGGUCCAUCAAAUGAUAAAGAGCCAGAAGAAGAAGAAGUUGUGGCUACAUCCGUGACGGCAGAAAGGGAAGUCUGCUCUGGUACUACUGGGUGGUGUGUAGCAACACGCAACUUUUUCUUGAUGUGAAUCAGCUUCCUUUUUGUUUUGCACAGAAACCACAGCUCAGGCAGAGAGUAGUGGCCUUGCCUUUGCCCUUGCCCUUGCUCUUGCCCUUGCCCUUGCCCUUGCCCUUGUGAGGAAUCCUUGUUGAUUUUCAUUUUGCGCUUCUCCAGGAAGAGGAUGCAGUCGGUCAAUGCAAUGCUGAGGUCGUAAAGACAAUCCUUCAUUCCUGUCGACGGCGUGAGGCUUUUAGUUUCCAGAAGCUCUCGAAUUUGUAGAAAAUAAGAAUGGAGGGGGAUGUCAUGAGGUGGAGGGUGUUCCUCCUCUGCUUCUUCCAAUUCAUCCAUGAAUUUGUUCUUAAAAAACUGAAGAAUAUCUGCUGACAUUUUGGCUGUAAAAACCUAAUCUCCCAACUCUCACAAUUAAUAUUUGCUUACAUCGGCAUAAGGCUUUUCUUGUACAAAUGAAGAGAAUUUCGUGUGGUAUAAGGAAACGGACAAGAAUCCAAAGUAGGGCAUUUAAAGAAAGAAAGAAAAAGAAAAAGGAAGGAAAGGAAACGGACAAGAAUCCAAAGUAGGGCAUUUAAAGAAAGAAAGAAAAAGAAAAAGGAAGGAAAUUAAAGCGAAAGAAAGAGGUUUAUGCCGAUGCUUACUUGUUUGACACUCCAAACUACAUCGAAUUCUCAUUGGUGAUGAUUCUCGGAAUUUAUUUCCAUUUUAAUUGUUUUUUUUCAUAAUUUAUGUCAAUUCUAAUUGAAAAUAGUAUAUAUAUAUAUAUAUAUAUAUAUAUAUAUAUAUAUAUAUAUAUACACACACAAAAUUAUAAAAAAUAUAAAAUGUAAAUUAUUUUAUUGGUAUUUCAAUUUAAAAAUAAAAAAUAAAAAAUUUAACAAAAUGUAAGUGAAAAUAUUUUGUCCAAUAUUUCUAUAAAAUAUAAAUAAAAAUAGUAUUAUGGGUGCAAUCCUAUGUUUCUCACUUUAUUGUAUUCCUUACAAAUGAAUUUUUAUUUAUUAAUCUUUCAAAUUUAUUGUGACCCACCAAAAUAUACCAAAAAUAGUAUUUAUAUAUCAAUUAAGAUUUUUUGUUUUUUUAGCUAAACGUGACAAAAAAAUUAAAAUACUAUUUAACUCACCUAUCAACCGUAGUUUGAAAAAUGAAAAACAUAUCAAAGUUGAGUGGAGGAUAUCAAAGAGGAAGGUUUGAGAAUGGAGUGAUGAAUAAGAAAUUUGAAGAAUUUUGUGGUGAUCAGUACAUUCCAAAGUUGAAGAUUUAAUUGUUAAAAUAAGAAAAUUUAUUUAUUAAAUCAUAUUAUUUUUUUAAUAUUUAAGGAAAUCAUUGUUUUAACUUAUUGUAGACCCUAAAAUUUGUCCCAAUUUUAAAUCCCGAUUACAUGUGUUAUUUUAGAUCCACUCAUCCUUUAAUUUUUAAUUUUUAAUUUAUUUUAUUUUAUUAUUUAUUUUAUCUUUUUUAUUUUAUUUUUACUUAUUAUUUUUAUUUGUUAUUAUUAUUAUUAUUAUUAUAUUAUAUUUUUAUAUUUUUAUUUAUUAUUUUAUUUUAUUUUUUAUUUUUCUCUCUCCUCUCUCUUCCUUUUUUUUCCUCCACCUACUCUCAUCCACCCAUUCUUCUCUUUCCACUUCCCUUUGGCCGGCUACCUCACCUUUUUUUUCCCCCCAAAAUUUUCCCCCCUUUUCUUCUCCAUUCAUAUUUCUUCUCUCACUCCCACACCGCGGGCCCCCCAUCCUUCUCCCCCCUCCCUCAUUCCUCAUUUUUCUCCCUUUUUGCUGCUACUUUUUCUGGAGAUAGAAAGAGCCGACCUAUUUUAUUUAUUUAUUUAUUUAUUUCUUCCUCCAUUCCUCUUUUCGUUCCCACGGCCAGCUCCUAUUUUUCCCCCCUUCCCCCUCCAUUCUCCAUUUUUUUCUUUUCUUAUUUUUUUUAGUUUUUCUCCUCCCAUUUUCCCGAGAAGGGCCGACCCCCCAUUUUUCUCUUUCUUUUUUUCUUCAUCCCCUAAUUCCCAGCCGACCCAUCUUCCUAUCUCCUCUUCCAUUUUUUUUUUUAUUUUUCAUUUUUCAACCCCUUCCUAAUUCCCAUACGACCCCAAAAUUUUUUCCUUUUCCAUUUCUUUUUUUUAUUAUUAUUUAUUUCCCAUGUAUUAUUAUUAUUAUUAUUAUUCUUACUAUUUUUUUGAUUUGAUGUUAAUAAUAAUUAUUGUUGAAAUUGCGUUUGUGUAUUUAUGUUUGAUUGUAGGUCUUAUGUUUGGGCUUUGUUAAUUAAUAUGAAAUUUGGGUUAAUUUAUUAUUGAUAGAUUAAUUUGAAAUUGAUUAAUUUGGGUUUGUGGGAUUAAUUUAGGAUAUUUGGACUAUAUCAAUUGCAUAUUAUUUAUUUGGAGUUGGGUCUAUUGUCAAUUUAUUAUUGGUUUGGGCUUAUUAGAUUGAACUUGAAAUAUUACUUUCAUAUUAUUUAUUUAGACUUGGGCAUAUUGUUAAUUUGUUAUUUGUUUGAGCUUAUUGAACUGAACUUAAAAUAUUAUUUCCAUAUUGUUUAUUUGGGCUUGGGCAUGUUGUUAAUUUAUUAUUUCUUUUAUGUAGACUUGUUAAUUGAUGUAAAUUUUGGGGCCCAUAAUGUGGGUGAUAUUUGUUGGAUUAUUUGAAUAUUUGAUAUGGGCUUGACUAAUUUGAAUUAUUUAAUUUGGACAUGGGACAAUUGUGGAGUAUAUUAAAUUAGACCUAGAUUAUGGAAUAUUAUAUUUAGGCCGAGUAUAAUUUAUUUUAAUUUAUCCAAUUUUAGGUUUGAUUGAUUAUGUUUGUAUUUUUUGUUAUUAAUUUGGAUGUUUUAGGUUAAGACCUAUAGUAAUUUGAGCUCAUUUUAAUCGGUGAAAUUUAUGGAAUUAAUUUGAAAUUGGAAUUUGGGUUUGAAUAUUUGUUUGGGAUUUUGUACAUCUUUGGAUAUUUACAUUUGUGUUAUUCUUGUUUUUGCAUGGACCCACUUUGUAAUCUUGUUGAUUGAGUACGAAUUGAUGACACGUGGAGCUUGUUCUAAGUUUAUUUGGGUACAUAUUUCAUUUCUCACUUUUUAUUUAGUUUUAUUUUUAUCAGUUUGUAUAAAUAUUCGUUCGUAUGUAUUAAUUGAGUGUGUAUAGAAUUGAACAUCGAACAAACUAGAAAUUUUGUUUAAAUGAGAGGAAGAAGUCAAUAAAUAUGUUUUAAUAAAAGAAAGUUUUUAUUUUAUCUUAUUUUAUUUAUAAAAAUUCAAAACAAUGCAUUUAGAAAAAUCCAAAAGAAAUGUUUUUAAUGGAAUUUGAAAAUUUGUUUUUAAAUAAUAUUUGUCCAAAAAAUUCUUUAUUUCACAAAAACUUUCCAAAUAUUGUUUUGUAAAUAAAGUUGUCCCAUUUGUAAAUAAAGUUGUCCCAAAAAUUAAUUUUUAAUAAAAUAGUCCAAAAAAAUGUUUUUUUAAAAUAAAUUAUUUUUAUUUAAUUAAAAUUGGAUUAAAAGUCAUUUUUAGAAAUAGAUUAUUUAUUUAUUUAUUUAUUUUAUUUUUUUAUUUUAUUUUUUAUUUUUUUAUUUUUUUAUUUUAUUUUUUUUCCUUUUAAUUAAAAAUUCUUUUGUAAAUAAAGUUAUGUCAUUUUAAAUAAUUUAUAAAAAUCACUCUUUUAAAUGAAAAUGAAUCUAAAUACUUUUGCAAAUAAAAUUGUAAAAAUUCAUUAUUUUCUAGUAAAAGCAAGUAAAAAAUAAUUUUUGUGCCCAAAUUGAAAUUUUGAAAUGAAUUCUUUCGAUACAAUAAGUGUAAAUAGUUUUUUUUAAAAAAAAUUGUAUACAAUUAAAUUUGAGAAAAUAAAUUGUUUCUUUCUAUAAGUAAAUAAAUGGAAAUCAUUAAUUCAAAAUCAUUUUUAAUAAAAUCCUUUGAAAUUUCUUUAAAAUUUUUUUUAAUAUCUUUUAUUUAUUUAAUUCAAUAAAUCAUUUUGCAUAAUUCUCUUAUUAUUUAUUUUGUGUAUUUUUGUAAUUAGAUUUCAUCAUUGUUUUUGUGCAUAUUAAUUCUCACCAUGACUUGUAUAUUGAUUAUUUUUCUUGAUAUCCAUAAUUAAUUAAUUAAUUGCCACAAUUUACUCAAUUCGUUUAGUAGAGGUCGUACGUAUGUGGGCUUAGAGGGGUGCUACGGCUCACCACCGUACCUUCCCAAUAAGUAACCUGACCCCCGGACCUAGACUUGGUUUUUCACAGACCCGUUUUUUUUCCUUCAGGAGUCACACUUAGGGUUUUCUUUCUUAUUUGGUUUUUCCCUUAAAAAAAAUAAAACAAAAAUAAGUGGCGACUCCAAGUCUUUUUCUAAAAAUCAAAUUUUCAUCAAAUAAAAUAAAAAGCGAGUUUCGCCAUUGAGUGGGAACGCAUCGAGAAAAUGCGGGGUCCACAAAAUGGCGACUCCACUGGGGAUUUUUAGAGGGUCAAACUUGAACUCGAGUUGAGAGGAAUGUGGCAUUUGAUUGGUCGAUCAAUGGAUACCCCUCUUUAUGUGUCUUGGUAUGAUUGGUUAUUGAUUACACAUUAAGAGUUUUGACAUGUUUGUCUGUAAUAUAUGUUUGACUGUUAUGUUCAUUUAUGAUGUUGACAUGUUGAUUACAUCGAUUGAUUUUCUCUUACCUACUUUAGCAUAGUGACUCUUCUUGUUGUAUGAUUAUCUUGCUUUCCUGGACAUGUAUAUUCUCAUUUUUGUAUAUCUCAUUCAUCUUGGCAUGAUUGAUUCUAUUUGUUGUAUAUUGUCUUGUUUAUCUCGACAUAUUGUCUAUUCUUGUCAUAUUCCUAUCUUGCUUAUCAUGUUCUUGCCUAGCUUGUGUGUAGAUAUGAGUUAUAUACCUGUUAUUUGCAUGACUACUUUGGUGCAUGACUGCUAUUCUUUUAUGUGAUGCAUGUAUUGUUUGUCUGUGUGGGACACACAUAUAUCCCCUUACCUCCAACUCCCUAGUCUCGGUCGAUCUUGUUUUCCUUGAUCUCGUAUUAUGAUAUGAGAUUUGUUGCUUUGUUUGCUCUUUGACCGAGCUAGCGAUUAGGAGUAGGGUCUAGCGAUGGGCUAUAUCAAUGUUUGGGAGCAUUUUGGGGGAGGCCGACACGUCGAUGCUGAUUGGAGUUCGAUCUUUGAAGACCUGUAUAGCCCGGAGCUAGGUUUCAUGGAUAUUGGUGUGACCAGUGUGUUUCCUUUCCCGUUUUAGCUUCUUAGGGUUAUCGGAUGCACCCACACCGUUCACUGCACACUCUAGUUGACUUUUGAGUGUUGAGAGUUUUGAGAGGUUUCAUCAUAGGAAACCCCCUGGGAUGCUGAGGUAGUGCAUGUGUGGAGGUGAUGACCACUUUGCAUGGAAGCGCCCCGUCUCUUUGGAGGCGCACAGAGGGUAUGAUCGCUUCUGCUAGGGAUCUUUUAAAGUCCACCCAUAUCCAUUUAGAGCCACCUUGACCUCGUAGGUUGAGCCGUAAAUCCUUUUAUUAGGACUCCCUACCUACACGUGGGCCACGUGUAUCCGAGGGCCUUCAAAGCCUCUUUGGUCAUAGUUGGGAUUCAAUAUUCCCUCUUUUAGUCUCCAAUUGAGAGUGCACAGAGAUCAGUACGAGUUUGAGUUACAGUCGGACAAUCCUUCUACAUUUUGAUGUCUUACUCAUUCCAGUUCAGACUAGCAUUUCUUUCAUGUUUUCCCUGUGCCUGCCAUAUCUCGUACUUCAUGCUCUUCAGGAUUGGUUCUUCAUUCUCAGUGCGGAUUUACCAUCUUGGGUUAGAGUACUGGGGAGCUCAGUUCGGUUUUCCGAGAGGUCAGGCAUAGAUCAGCAGACUGUCACAGUUGACUAGUUCACAGAUGCCAUGGAUUCUAUUCAGGUAUCUUGUGCUUCAUGCUCUUCAGGAUUGGUUUUUCGUUCUUAGUGUGGAUUUGUCAUCUUGGGUCAGAGUAGAGGGGAGAUUAGUUUGUUUUUCCGAGAGAUCAGACAUGGAUCGACGGAUUGUCACAGUUGAUCAGUUCACGGCCGCCAUGGCUUCUAUUUAGGAGGCCUUGACCAGUCUCAGGCAGGAGAUAGACAAUCAGUAGAGUAGGCAGUCCUUGAGGAUACUCAUUCAUGUAUGGAUCGUAUUGCGUAGCGUAUCAAGCAGUUGAGAGUAUCUGACAAUUCAUGGACUUGGGAUGAUCUUGAUAGUAUACCAGUGGCUAGUCUACCGGCCAAGUUCAGGAUGCCUGACAUUGAGAGGUACACGGGUGUUGGUUGUCCAUGUAUUCAUCUUCGACUCUACAGUACUGUGAUGAGGGUCCAUGGGUUAGACGAGUCACAGGUGAUCACCAUGUUUCCUUUAUCUCUGAGUGGCGCAACCCAGCAUUAGUUCGCAUCUUUGGAGUCCUCGCGACGUAGGACAUGGGAUGACCUAGCUUAGGAGUUUCUGUGACAGUUCUCACUUAGUACUGUUGUAGAUGUGUCGAGGAGAGAGCUUGAGGGUUUCAGACAGAGAUCAGAUGAGUCCAUUUCUUCCUUCAUCUCCCGCUGGUGGGGGAAGAUGGCAGAGAUUGUUGAUUGACCAUUAUAGAGAGGUGACUUAGUCUUGAGGUUCAUCGAGGAUUGAUUAGAGAUCCUAGAGGGAAGUUCGGACCCAGUUGGAGUGGACUUUAUUUCAUCAGGGAGUUGACCCUAGAGAGCACUGCAUGGUUGAUUGAUUUAGAUGGAAACCGAUUCUUAGAGCCGACCAAUGUGGAUCAGCUAAAGAGGUACUAUGUUUGGGACCAUGGUCGCAUGAUGGGUGGCCAUCAUUUCGGUUAGCCAUAUACCAUUUCACCUUUUUGAUACAUAGAACGUUGCUAGCCCAUUGAGCCUCACAUGUGCAUUAUAGUCUUUCUUUCUUAUCGCCUUACACACAUUUCUACACCGGGAUAGGGGCCCUUUUAGUGUAUGCAUGCAUUAUUUGGGAGUCUCAUGAGUCUUGGACCUACAGGUGCAUCAUUCUCUCAUCAUUUUUUCCUACCAUCACAUUACUGCAUUCCAUCGUAUCUCAGUGGUUGUCCUUCAUCUUUUUUUCUUUGUUCUAUCUACUGCUUGUUUUGUUUCAUAUUCUCUCCACCCUAAGUGGUGAUCCUCCUCAGUUUAUUACAUGGAGGAUAGUCACAUCAUUUCCACUAUCUAUUCUAUGGACACUAGUUCAGAGAUUCUUAGUUUGAGAAGGUCAUCUUGUCAGAGAGAGUUUUUGUUAUCUUAGUUUUGAGAGUGUGUCUAUCCAUCGUUGAUAUCAUCUUUGGGGCUUAUUUUGUUCAUGUUCAGGGUGUGUACAUUUGUAUAUAUGUAAAAAAAAAAAAAAAAAAAAAAAAAAAAAUUGAAAAGGAAAAAAAAAAAAAAAGGAAUGAAAAAAAAAUGAAUGAAAAAAAAAAUUGAAAAAAAAAAAAACGCAUGUGUGUAUUACUUUUUAUCAUUGAGUGUGUAUAUUGAUGUUUGAGGGCCACUUGAUUGAGUAUAUUUGUUGAUGGGAGUUUGUAUGUGAGCUUUUUGAGGCCCUCCAUGCUUUGUAUUCAUUUUUAUUGUAUAUUUCGAGAGUGAGAUGAGUGACCUUCUCUUAGGAGCUCUGGGUCAUUGUCCUUUCCAUCAUUACGUUCAUUGUUGAUGUGACUUCAUUUCAUGUCUGAUUUGAGUUGAUCACUACUCUUAUUUGUGUUAUUUGUUCCAUCAUCAUCCUCGUUUUCACUUCUGAUUCAUCAUUUUCACUUCACGUUUUAUUCUUUUCUUACAGCAACCCAUCUCGGGUUUAAUACUCUCUUCACAUCAUCAUUACACAUGUCACUAUCAGUUCAUUUUGCUUCAUUUGUCUCAUUAUCAACAUCAUAUUCACGUUAGGCAUCCUCAGGUCCAUGACUCACAGGAUUCACUAUACAUGUUGCAUUUCAUAUAUGAGGGCAUGAGUUUUUUAUCAUUGGGUAUUUGAGCUUAGUUUUCCUUCAUUUCUAUCACCUUAUCACCUUAGCCUACGUUAUGUCCCGUGUCUUAAGACCAUCCUGAGGCCAUGGGAUCAGAUGUCGUCUUCGACAGCCUCUACUUGGACAGGUGUUUGAGAUCUGGUUGAUAUUUAGAUAUUGUCAUGCUUCUUCUUCUGGGAGUCGCCUCUUUGAUGUUUAGAUCUGAUUCAGUUGUGUUUGGAUUACCGGGAUCAUGCACUUGACGAUGGAUGAUUUGAUGUCACCUGAUUUUUCUGAUUUAUCACAUAUUCGAUGUCAUACUGGGGCAUAUUCCGUUUCAGGCGAGGUUUACAGAUCUUCAGGGAGUUGCAUGCUUAUCCUCACUUGCGAGAUGUACGUUUGGAUGAUUGAUUGGUUCGCUAUUUUAUGAUGAUCCCUCAAUGGAGCCUCUGUGGAGCCAUUCAAUCAGGCCCACAUUUCUCGGCAUUUGGUUGCCGCCAUGCUUCUUAUCCUGGGAGACGUUCCCUAGUUGUUUGAACUUGAUUUGGAUCACGGAGGUCGUAUGUUCGAUGAUAGAUGAUUCCAUGUCACCUGGUUUCUGACCUACCGUACAUUCGACGUCAUACUGGGGCAUAUUUCCGUCCUGAACGAGAUUUAUAGAUCUUCACGAAGUUAUAUGAUCACUCCCACUUGCGGGAUGCACACCGAGACGAGGACGUGUUCGUUAUCUUAUCAUGAUCUCCCAGGAGAGCCUCUCUUGAGUGAUUCAGUCAGGCGCACACUUUUGACAUUUAGAUGUCCUCAUGCUUCUUCUUUUGAGAGACGCCUUUUGAUAUGUGGGUUGGAUUCAACUAUGGAUUUGGAUGAUUAGGAUCACACAUUUGAUGACAGAUUAUUUGAUGUUGUCCGAUUUUCGGCUUAUUCCACAUUUGAUUCCAUAUUGACAUAUUUUCAUUUUGAUUGAGAUUUAUAGAUCUUCAUGAAGCUACAUGAUCACUCCCACUUGCGGGAUGCACACUGAGACGAGGACGUGUUCGUUAUUUUACCAUGGUCCCUCGAUGGAGUCUUCCUUGAGCCAUCCAGUCAGACCCGUAUUUUUCGACAUUUGUAUGUCAUCAUGCUCCUUAUUCCGGGAGACAUUUCCUUGAUGUUUGGGUUCGAUUUGGAUUACGGAGAUCGCACAUUUGACGGUUGAUGGUUUCAUGUCACUCGAUUUUCGACUUACCAUACAUCUGAUGCCAUACUGGGGCAUAUUUCCGUUCCGGUUGAGAUUUACAGAUUUUCAUGGAGUUGCAUGCUCAUCCCCACUUACGAGAUACACAUUGAGACGAUGACCCUCCAGUAGAGUCUCUCUGGAGCUAUCCAGUUAGGUCUACACCUUUUGGCACUUAUAUGUCAUCAUGCUUCCUCUUGGGAUACGCCUCUUUGAUUUGUGGGUCUGAUUCAGUUAUGGAUUCGGGUGACCAGGAUUGCAUAGUUGAUGAUUGAUGAUUUGAUGUCAGUUGAUCUUUUCGACCUGUCACACAUUCAAUGCCAUACUGGAGCAUAUUCGCCCUAUUGGUCGAGAUCUGUAGAUCUCCAUGGAUUUGCAUGAUCAUCCCCAGUUAUGAGAUACCCGUCAGGUUGAUGAUUCGAUUUCAUUUUGUCCCGAUUCUCUAGUGGAGCCUUUAUUGAGCCUUUCAGUCAGACUCAUAUUUUCUGAUGUUAUCAUGAUUCUUGAGUGGAGUUACUCUAGGCUCAUAGGUUCCCACACCACCAUUUUGGUGGAGUACAUGUUAGAUCUUUUAUGCAUCCUCAUGGAGUUAUUCUUGAGUUAUUAGGGCAGAUCGGGUACAUCUGAUGCCAUGCUGGGGCAUAUUCCUUCCUUUGGCUAUGGAGAUGAUCGUUCUCUCAUAGAUUUGUUACAGUUUUCAUCACUUGGCCGAGGGAUACUGUAUUUGCUUUAUUGGUCACUAUUCUUGUGAUUUUCAUUGAGAUGAGCUUUUAGUGGAGCAUGACAUUCAGGUUGUGAUUGUUCCGCUAUCCACGACCCCGUAGUAGAUUGUUUUGAUGAGAUUGUGGUAGUUACCCUAGCGGAUUAUUCUCUUGAGACUCUCUAGUGGAUUACCCAUUUGAGAUGACGAUGGAUUCCUCCAGCAGAGCAUUCCGAGAUAGAGACGUUUGACUUAUUGUGACAUCUCGUCAGGCCUCGUGAUCCAGAUGGAUGGGUCGCGAGACUAUGUUUAUAGUCGAUUUGAUCAUUCCGACUCGCUAGCAGAGCAUCUUUCGGGACUCAUGGAGUCUCUUUCGGACCCUUCCAACGGAUUGAGGGUUGUGACGACGUGCUACACUAGGGCGCAUUUCCCCAUCAUCAUUUCCUUGCAGUUUGGCGUUCAGAGCCGUCGUUUCAUUUUGGCUUUCAGAGCCACUUCUCAGUUUUAGAGUUCAGAGCCACUAUCGUCUCCCAGUUUUGGCGUUUAAAGCCAUUGUUAGGUUUUCGUUCAGCGUUCAGAGUUGUAGUUCACCCUCGUUCGGCGUUCAGAGCCAUCAUCGUUUCACAGUUUCGGCGUUCAGAGCCAUCAUCACUUCCUAGUUUGACGUUCCGAUUUGCGUUCCCGAUUUCGACGUUCAGAGCCAUCAUCACAUCUUCGUUCGGCGUUUAGAGCCAUCGUUAUCACUUCUCAAUAUCGGUGUUUAGAGUCAUCCUCAUCGCAUUUUCGGUUUUGGCAUUCAACAUCGUCAUCACUUCCCAGAUUGACGUUCAGAGUCGCAUUUUCAGUUUCGGUGUUCAGAGCCAUCAUCGUCGUCUUUUGGUUUUGGCGUUCAGAGCCAUCAUCAUCACAUUUUCAGUUUGACAUUCAGAGUCGCAUUUUCAGUUUCGUCACUCAGAGCCACCAUCAUCGCAUUUUUGGUUUCGACGUUCAGAGCCAUCAACAUCACAUUUUUAGUUUUGGCGUUCAGAGCCAUCAUUGUCACUUCUCAGUUUCGGCGUUCAGAGCUAUCAUCAUCACAUUUUCAGUUUUGGCGUUCAGAGCCACCAUCUUCGCAUUCUUAGUUUUGGAGUUCAGAUCCACCAUGGGUUUUCAGUUUGACGUUCAAAGUCGCAUUUUUGGUUUCGGCGUUCGGAGCCAUCAUCAUCACAUUUUCAGUUUUGGCGUUCAGAGCCAUCAUUGCCACUUCUCAGUUUUGGUGUUCAGAGCCAUCACCAUCUCUUUUCAGUUUCGGCGUUCAAAGCCAUCAUCAUCACAUUUUCAGUUUUGGUGUUCAGAGCCACCAUCGUUGCUUCCUAGUUUCGACGUUCAGAGCCAUCAUCAUCACAUUUUCAGUUUGACAUUCAGAGUCGCAUUUACGGUUCAGGCAUUCAGAGCCAUCAUCAUCGCAUUUUUUUAGUUUCAGUGUUCAGAGCCAUCAUCAUCACAUUUUCAGCUUGGCAUUCAGAUCCAUCAUCAUCGCUUCUCAGUUUCGGCGUUCAGAGCCAUCAUCAUCGCAUUCUUGGUUUCAGCGUUCAUGAGUCAUCAUUAUCGCUUCACAAUUUUUGGCGUUCAGAGCCAUCAUCGUCACAUUUUCAGCUCGACGUUCAGAGUCGUAUUUUCAGUUUCGGUGUUCAGAGCCAUCAUCAUCACAUUUUCAGCUCGACAUUCAGAGUCGCAUUUUCAGUUUUGCGUUCAGAGUCAUCAUCAUCGUAUUUUGGUUUUGGCGUUCAGAGCCAUCAUCAUCACAUUUUCAACUGAACGUUCAGAGUCGUAUUUUCAGUUUCGGUGUUCAGAGCCAUCAUCAUCGCAUUUUUGUUUUGGCACUCAUGAGCCAUCAUCAUCGCUUCUCAGUUUCGGCGUUUAGAGCCAUCAUCAUCGUAUUUUUGAUUUCGGCGUUCAGAGCCAUCAUUAUCGCUUCUCAGUUUUCGGCAUUCAGAGCCAUUAUCAUCACAUUUUCAGCUGAACGUUUAGAGUCGCAUUUUUAGUUUCGGUGUUCAGAGCCAUCAUCAUCGCAUUUUGGUUUCGACACUCAUGAGCCAUCAUCAUUGCUUCUCAGUUUCGACGUUUAGGGCCAUCAUCAUUGCAUUUUCAGUUUGGCCAUCUCUUUUUAGUUCAGGGUUUGGAGCCACUAUCUCUUCUCAGUUUCAGGAGUUCAGGGAGUCGUCGUUCUCACAUUUAGGCAUUUAGAGCCAUCAUCUUUACGCAAUUUGACAUUCAGAACCAUCAUUUCCUCUCGGUUUGGGCAUUCAGAGCCACCAUUCCUUCCCAGCUUGACAUUUAGAGCCAUCAUCCUAUCAUGGUCGGGCGUUUGUCGCCACCUUUUUGGCGUUCAGAGUCGUCGUCCACACUUAGGCGUUCAAAGCCAUCGUUCACAUUCAGGCAUUCAGAGCCAUCAUUCACAUUCAGGCAUUCAGAGGCAUCGUUCACAUUCAGACGUUUAGAGUCAUCAUCUAUAUUUAGACGUUCAGAGCCACAUUACUAGCAUUUAGGAUUGCCAUUUUCUUUUAGAUUAGCAUUCGGAGUCAUUCUUAUCGUUUAGAGCCGCAUCUCCAGUUUCGGCGUUCAGAGUCACCGUCAUUCUCAGUUUCAGUGUUCGAAGCCAUCAUCGUUUCACAGUUUUUGGCGUUUAGAGCCGCAUCUCCAGUUUCAGCAUUCAGAGCCCCCAUCUUUUCUUAUUUUUGCGUUCAGAGCCACCAUUUCUGCCUAGUUUGACAUUCGGAGUCACCAUCUCUUUCCAGUUUGGCAUUCACAGCCACCCUUUCUUUUCGGUUUAGCAUUCAGAGCCGCAUUGUCGCCUUGGCAUUCAGAGUCGUAUCUUCAGUUUAGCGUUCAAAGUCGUUGUUUGUCUUUAGCUCGAUAUCUAGAGUCACUUCUCAGUAUCGGCGUUCAGAGCCAUCCUUAUCGCAUUCUCAGUUUCAGCGUUCAGAGCCAUCAUCGAUUUUUCAGUUUGACGUUUGAUUCAUGCCCAAUUGGUGUCUCAGCUGAUUCGUGUCCAGCUGGUGCUCCUUGAUUGAGGGAGUAAUCAACAAAAUUUAUAACCUAUUACACCAUAUACUAGGGUAGCAAAGAAAAAGCUACUAUAGCAUAGUGGUUCUAGGAUCGUUCACUGGGAAGGGUUUUCAAAUUACAAAUGACACCAAUUCAAAGUGAAUUGGUGCUUUUUCACUUCAAGGUUAGCUUAAGAAAUAAAACACAAACUUUGGUUGGUAAAAGGUUGAGAUUCAAACUAACGGCACAGCAAGUAAUGGAAAUUACUUAAGAAGACAAACAUUCCUUGGAGAUUUAGGUUCACAGGGGAGGUUCCUCAUGCAAAAACAUAGCUCCGGUCAGAUGGUUCAUUUCCUCGCACUAGAGAAUUAACAUAUAGUCAAUUCUCUAACCGGUGAUGUACAGAUGCAUCCCUUAAUUGGAUUUUAGCUUUAAUUCCCUCUCACUGAUGCAACUUGCAAUGGUUCGUGCCUCUCACUUAGCAUUUACCAUUCAAGGUGAUCAUUAACCUUGGACUUCCCUUCUCAAGCUCGCAAGAGAUAACUAAUGGAUGUCUCCUUGGAGUCCAAAAGCUUACCAAGUGUUGGCAAUUCUAGAAAAUCCUACCUUCAAGUCACCUCCCAAAGGCUCGCAAGGGGUAAACUAGUGCAUCUCCAUGGACGAAGAUCACUUGCCUUACCAAGUGUUGGCCCAGGCGACUCCAAGGCGUUUUAAGUUAACUAAAAACAUAGAAAUCACUAAAGGAUCACACUUUCUCUUCAUUCAUGACUGAAACCACAAAGCUACUAAUUCAUGCACUUGGAACCUUUCCCGGCAACCUUAGCUCCAAGGAACUAAAAGUUUAGUUACUCAUUCUCUGGGGAAACUUCCUCAGAGAGUGCAUAACUAGUAAAUGAAAAAUACAAUCAAAUUGAGUAGGUAAGGCAGAGCAAAAGCUCUGUAUUUUUCUUUCUUUCAAACUUUUACAAAAGGUCCGUCGUCCUCGAGAACAGGCUCCCGAGAGCUAAUUAUAUGAAAAUUACAAUAAUAAUUAUUACAUUGAUAUUUACCCUUUUUCCUAACUUAAUAACUAAGGAAUCCUACAAUUGGUGGCUUACAAGGAGAGUUUUGGGAUUUAGACAACAAAAAUUUGAAGACAAAUAUCUCAAUGUGUCGGUCGCAAAUAUCGGGAAGCACUAUGGACCAUUUCGCAGGUGAAAACGAGGUCUGCAAGAUUUCGCAGACGCACAAAAAGGGCUGCGAAAUCACUUCGCAGUAAAAGGUUGAUUUUGCAGCGUUGCGAAGUUGGCUUUCAGCUUGCGGUGUUCGGUUUCCAACGGCUGUAACUCCUUCAUUUCAGCUCCGAAUUGGUACCGUUUGAAGCAUUGGAUUGCUGACUUCCUAAGCUUUAAAAAGACAUAUAGCAUGCAUAAAUUGGACUUCAGGAAGUGCUCCAAAAGUGGCUGACAUGACUGUCAUAAAAAAUGCUUCAUGGCAGAUUUCUCUUUGCUUCCCCUCCUUGCAUUCCGGAUUUGCUUAUGGCAAAGGACUUCAAAGCUUUGGGAUUUCAUGUUUUUGAGCUUUCCAUUGCUUUGCCAUGGAUUCCAAAUAACUCUCCUCAACCUCAUAUUGCUUUGGUGAUUAAAAAGCUAUCAAAACACCAAAACUUAACACAAAUUGAUUAGAAGUGCUUGCAAAGGUCCUUAAUAUGUUAAUUGGGUUAAAAGGCAAUAACUACUACUCAAAAGUGUUUAAAAGAGUUAAUUACAAGCUAUCAAAUAACACUUUUUGAGUAGUAAUCAACAUUCAGAGUGCAUUUCUCAGUUUCGGCGUUCAGAGCCAUCACUUCUCUGUUUGACGUUCAGAGUCACGUUCUUAAUUUCAGCGUUCAGAGCCAUCAUCACUUCCCGAUUUGACGUUCAGAUGUCGCAUCCUCAGUUUUGACGUUCAGAGCCAUCAUCGAUUUCCAGCUUGACGUUCAUAGCCGCAUCUUCAGUUUGGCUCAUGAUUUAUCCACAGUUCAGACGUUCAGAGCCAUCAUUCACAGUUCAGGCGUUCAAAGCCAUCGUCCACAUUCAGGCAUAUAUAAUCACCAUUUCUCCAUAGUUUGGUGUUUAGAGCCAUUGUUCACAGUUUGACAUUCAGAGCCGUCAUGAUCUCUCUACAGUUUGGCGUUCAGAGCCAUCGUUCAUAUUCAAGCUUUUAGAGUCAUCAUCUCUCCGUAGUUUGGUAUUUAGAGCCAUUGUUCACAGUUUGGCAUUCAGAUCCAUUGUUCACAAUCAGGCAUACACCAUUUCCCAACAGUUUGGCUUUUAGAGCCAUCGUAUCCUUAGUUUGGCGUUCAGAGUCGUCGUUCAUGGUUAGGCAUUCAGAGCCAUUGGUCAGCUUGGCAUCCAAAGCCAUCAUAUCUUCAGUUCGACAUUUAGAGCAGUCAGCUUGGCAUUUAGAGCCAUUAGUCAGCUUAGCAUUCAGAGCCUUGAGCUCAUGACCCCAAGUCAUUCUUUUUAUUCUUGGCCCAGAAUCCUUAGCAUUCAGAGCCUUGAGCUCGUGACCCAGAGUCGUUUUCACCCUUUAGGUGUUCAGAGCCACUACUUUCUUUCAUGGGUGUUUAGAAUUAUAGGCCUUCAGAUCUCUAUUUGGCAUUCAGAGCCACAAUUUUCUUUUAUAAGCGUUCAAAGCCAUCUUUUCCAGUCUUAGGCGUUCAAAGCCAUUCAUUUGAUCAAUUUUAGGCAUUCAGAGUCGUGUCCUCAUUUUGGCAUUCAAACUCAUUGCCCAGCUUGACAUUUGGUGCCAUCUUCUUCCUUUAGUUUUGACGUUCAGAGUUGUCGUGCAUACUCAUUCAGGCACCUAAAGUCACCAUCUUUCCUCAUUUUGGCGUUCAGAGUCAUUUUUCCCCAAUCUUAUCAUUCAAGAGAGCCCAUGUCAUACUGGGACAAAUUUGGUGGUCUUUCUUGUUCUUCGGCAAAGUUCACUUCGUUUCAUUCGUGUAUACACUCACUUUACUCGUGAACUCUACCGAAGUGGGGCAUAUUUGUAGACCCCAAAAUUUGUCCCAAUUUUAUCUUUAUAUUAAUUUUGAGCCCAAUUUUAAAUCCCGAUUACAUGUGUUAUUUUAGGCCCACUCACCCUUUAAUUUUUAAUUUUUAUUAUUUUUUUAUUUUUUUAUUUAUUUUAUCUUUUUUUAUUUUAUUUUUACUUAUUAAUUUUACUUGUUAUUAUUAUUAUUAUAUUAUAUUUUUAUAUUUUUAUUUAUUAUUUAUUAUUUUAUUUUAUUUUUUAUUUUUCUCUCUCCUCUCUCUUCCUUUUUUUCCUUUACCUACUCUCACCCACCCAUUCUUCUCUCUCCAAUUCCCUUUGGCUGGCUACCUCACAUUUUUUUCCCCCUUUUCUUCUCCAUUCAUCUUUCUUCUCUCACUCCCACACCGCGGACCCCCCAUCCUUCUCCCUCAUCUCUCAUUUAUUUCUCUUUUUUUCAUCUGGGGGGGGGGGGGUGUGUGCUUCCGGCGGGCCAUUUUUUCUUCAGCCCUCUAUCUCCCCUUGCCCCUCACACGGCGAACCCCUCCCACUCUCCUUCUUCUUCCCUUUGGUCGGCCCCCCAUUAGAGGAGGUUCCUCAAUUUUUUUCCCUUUUUGUUGCUACUUUUUCUGGAAAUAGAAAGAGCCGACCUAUUUUAUUUAUUUAUUUAUUUAUUUCUUCCUCCAUUCCUCUUUUCCUUCCCACGACCAGCUCCUAUUUUUCCCCCCUUCCCCCUCCAUUCUCUAUUUUUUUCUUUUCUUAUUUUUUUUAGUUUCUCCUCCCAUUUUCCCGAGAAGGGCCGACCCCCCAUUUUUCUCUUUCUUUUUUUCUUCAUCCCCUAAUUCCCAGCCGACCCAUCUUCCUAUCUCCUCUUCCAUUUUUAUUUUUUUAUUUUAAUUUUUUAAUUUUUCAUUUUUCAUCUCCUUCUUAAUUCCCAUACGGCCCCAAAAUUUUUUCCUUUUCCAUUUCUUUUUUUAUUUAUUAUUUAUUUCCCGUGUAUUAUUAUUAUUAUUAUUAUUAUUAUUAUUACUAUUUUUUUAUUUGAUGUUAAUAAUAAUUAUUGUUGAAAUUGGGUUUGUGUAUUUAUGUUUGAUUGUGGGUCUUAUGUUUGGGCUUUGUUAAUUAAUAUAAAAUUUGGGUUAAUUUAUUAUUGAUAGAUUAAUUUGAAAUUGGUUAAUUUGGGUUUGUGGGAUUAAUUUAGGAUAUUUGGACUAUAUCAAUUGCAUAUUAUUUAUUUGGAGUUGGGUCUAUUGUCAAUUUGUUAUUGGUUUGGGGCUUAUUAGAUUGGACUUGAAAUAUUACUUUCAUAUUAUUUAUUUAGACUUGGGCAUAUUGUUAAUUUUUUAUUUGUUUGAGCUUAUUGAACUGAGCUUAAAAUAUUAUUUCCAUAUUGUUUAUUUGGAUUUCGGCAUGUUGUUAAUUUAUUAUUUGUUUGGAUUUAUUGGAUUGGGCUUGAAAUAUUAUUUUCCUUGACCAUGUAUAUUUCUUUUAUGUAGGCUUGUUAAUUGAUGUAAAUUUUGGGGCCCAUAAUGUGGGUGAUAUUUGUUGGAUUAUUUGAAUAUUUGAUAUGGGCUUGACUAAUUUGAAUUAUUUAAUUUGGACAUGGGACAAUUGUGGAGUAUAUUAAAUUAGACCUAGAUUAUGAAAUAUUAUAUUUAGGCCUAGUAGAAUUUAUUUUAAUUUAUCCAAUUUUAGGUUUGAUUGAUUAUGUUUGUAUUUUUUGUUAUUAAUUUGGAUGUUCUAGGUUAAGACCUAUAGUAAUUUGAGCUCAUUUUAAUCGGUGAAAUUUAUGGAAUUAAUUUGAAAUUGGAAUUUGGGUUUGAAUAUUUGUUUGGGAUUUUGUACAUCUUUGGAUAUUUACAUUUGUGUUAUUCUUGUUUUUGCAUGGACCCACUUUGCAAUCUUGUUGGCUGAGUACGAAUUGAUGACACGUGAAGCUUGUUGUAAGUUUAUUUGGGUACAUAUUUCAUUUCUCACUUUUUAUUUGGUUUUAUUUUUAUCAGUUUGUAUAAAUAUUCGUUCGUAUGUAUUAAUUGAGUGUGUACAAAAUUGAACAUCGAACAAACUAGGAAUUUUGUUUAAAUGAGAGGAAGAAGUCAGUAAAUGUGUUUUAAUAAAACAACAAUUUUAAAAUAUUAUUUUUAAUAAAAGAAAGUUUUUAUUUUAUCUUAUUUUAUUUAUAAAAAUUCAAAAAAAUGCAUUUAGAAAAAUCCAAAAGAAAUGUUUUUAAUGGAAUUUGAAAAUUUGUUUUUAAAUAAUAUUUGUCCAAAAAAUUCUUUAUUUCACAAAAACUUUCCAAACAUUGUUUUGUAAAUAAAGUUGUCCCAAAAAUUAAUUUUUAAUAAAAUAGUCCAAAAAAAUGUUUUUUUAAAAUAAAUUAUUUUUAUUUAAUUAAAAUUGGAUUAAAAGUCAUUUUUAGAAAUAGAUGAUUUAUUUAUUUAUUUUUAUUUUUUAUUUUUUUAUUUUUUUAUUUUAUUUUUUCCCUUUUAAUUAAAAAUUCUUUUGUAAAUAAAGUUAUGUCAUUUUAAAUAAUUUAUAAAAAUCACUCUUUUAAAUGAAAAUGAAUCUAAAUACUUUUGUAAAUAAAAUUGUAAAAAUUCAUUAUUUUCUAGUAAAAGCAAGUAAAAAAUAAUUUUUGUGCCCAAAUUGAAAUUUUGUAAUGAAUUCUUUCGAUACAAUAAGUGUAAAUAGUUUUUUUUUUUUUAAAAAAAAUUGUAUACAAUUAAAUUUGAGAAAAUAAAUUGUUUCUUUCUAUAAGUAAAUAAAUGGAAAUCAUUAAUUCAAAAUCAUUUUUAAUAAAAUCCUUUGAAAUUUCUUUAAAACUUUUUUUAAUAUCUUUUAUUUAUUUAAUUCAAUAAAUCAUUUUGCAUAAUUCUCUUAUUAUUUAUUUUGUGUAUUUUUGUAAUUAGAUUUCAUCAUUGUUUUUGUGCAUAUUAAUUCUCACCAUGACUUGUAUAUUGAUUAUUUUUCUUGAUAUCCAUAAUUAAUUAAUUAAUUGCCACAAUUUACUCAAUUCGUUUAGUAGAGGCCGUACGUAUGUAGGCUUAGAGGGUGGCUACGGCUCACCACCAUACCUUCCCAAUAAGUAACCUGACCCCCGGACCUAGACUUGGUUUUUCACAGACCCGUUUUUUUUUCCUUCAGGAGUCACACUUAGGGUUUUCUUUUUUAUUUGGUUUUUCCCUUAAAAAAAAUAAAACAAAAGUAAGUGGCGACUUCAAGUCUUUUUCUAAAGGGAGAAUUGUGUUUUGGGCCCAGUUGGGCCCAAAAAUUAACAAAUGGUCCAUCUAUCUAACAAAAUUAAUAGGAAGGCUAUGAGAUAUUAACUGACCAAUAUACCCUUCAUUAGUUCCAAGUCAGCUGGUUGGUAAAUUAAAGUGGUUAAAUUGAAAUGUCAUGUCAUGCUGACUGAAAAAUCUCAAAUAAUGGCAAAAAUGGUCACCAGUCUCCUGCCCCUUUCUCUCCCUCUGUAAACACCAUGGUUAAAGACGAAGCCAACUAUGAAUAUCCCCUAAUCGUGCAGCCGAGGAUUAUGAGCAACUCAGAAAAGCCUUCGCAUGUAUGUGAUCAUCAUCAUUCCCAAAUCGAAAUGAGGGUGGGUGUGAUUAAAUUUUUUGAGAUUUUGAUUUCAUGUUGGUUCCUUUGAUGAUGUGGUGGAUGUUUGUUUACAAGGUUUGAGGAAAGACGUCCGUUUUGAUCUGGUGUUGGGGUGUUCUUAAAAAAUUUUGAACUUAAUAACAGCGUGUUUUAGGGUGUAGGGUGGGGUAUAAAUGAGGCUUUGAUCAUAUCCAUCUUGCCUCAUACAAAUGAAGCACAAGCUAAGUAAAUGAAAGAAACUUCCAGUUAAUCCGUCGGAAAAGAUCUCCUCAAAAUUGGCAUUUUAGCUGUUUGAAAAUUCCUCACUUUAUAAUCUGGUUGUUGGGUUUAUAUUCUAGAGAAUAAAUGGGUAUGGUGCAGAAGGUGAGCUGUGGGGACUAGUUAGUGCACUUAUGAUGAAUAGGAAACCAAAUUGAGUUUCAUUUUCGCCCUUUUCACUGAGCCAUGACAUUGGAAAGUGGUUAACCGGCCCAUAUGCAGUCAUUAAGGUGUACCUAGGUCAAUUUCCUGCAACUGUACAAGGCAUUUACACUAAGUGUACAAGGCCAAUGUACUAAAUGUACAAGGGUGUACAAGGGCGUGUAUCUUAAGGGUUUUCAAGUGAUUUUGAAGAACUUACUCAUUUACUUUUUCCAAUCUUCGGGGACAUUCCUCACACAUAUUGCUUGAAUGGUGCCUCAUUGCACGCAUUUUAUGUGAUGGCUACCAUGUUAAUUCAUUCUAUUAGCUCCCCUACUAAUGAUGCAUAUGAAGCAAAACGAGGCUUAACUUUUUCAUCCUUUUCCCUUAUCCAUGAGAGUGGAAGCAUUGUUUUCCCACCCAUAUGCACUUGUUUGGUCGUCCCUAUUAUGGAUUUGUCCAAUUGUACAAGGCAUUUACACUAAGUGUACAAGGCCAAUGUGCUAACUGUACGAGGGUGUACAAGGGCAUGUAUCUUAAGGGUUUUCAAGUGAUUUUGAAGAACUUACUCAUUUACUUUUUCCAAUCGUCGGGGACAUUCCUCACACAUAUUGCUUGAAUGGUGCCUCAUUGCACGCAUUUUAUUUGAUGGCUACCAUGUUAAUUCAUUCUAUUAGCUCCCCUACUAAUGAUGCAUAUGAAGCAAAAUGAGGCUUAACUUUUUCAUCCUUUUCCCUUAUCCAUGAGAGUGGAAGCAUUGUUUUCCCACACAUAUGCACUUGGUUGGUCGUCCCUAUUAUGGAUUUGUCCAACUGUACAAGGCAUUUACACUAAGUGUACAAGGCCAAUGUGCUAAUUGUACAAGGGUGUACAAGGCUACCUAACUUGAAGGAUUUCAAACGAUUUUCGAAAAAUUCUUUGCUCAUUUCUUUUUUCAAAGGGGGACAUGCCUCGUACUCCCUCCUCAUUUUCCUUCGUACACAUUCAUUGGAAUGUGCUAGCACACGUAUGAUGAAUGGGAACCUAAAUUGGGUUUCAUUUUGCCCAUUUUCACUGACCCAUGACAUCAGCGAGUGGCUAUCCCGCCCAUUUACACUCAUUCAGCUGUAGCUAUGUCAGAUUUGUCCAACUGUACAAGGCAUUUACACUAAGUGUACAAGGCCAAUGUGCUAACUGUACAAGGGUGUACAAGACUACCUAACUUGAAGGAUUUCAAACGAUUUUCGCAAAAUUCUUUGCUCAUUUCUUUUUUCAAUAUUCUUUCAAACCUCCCUUCUUCCUAUAUUCAUCCUCCUUACUUUCGAUGUCACAUAAUGUUGCCUACCAUGACAAACUAAUUUCGAGUGACAUAGUAUCUUCUAAAUGCCUUGAUUUAUGUAAGUGUUGUAUGUGUGCAUAAAAAAUGGGAAGAAAACAUCCAAGUUGUGACAUGAUGUCAUAUUAAUUUAUUAUGAGUGAUUAAUUCCUACUGUUUCAAGGCACCUUGGAGGAUGCAAGACUGACUUUACGCUUUUUGUUUUGUUCGCUCUUAGAUUGAAUUUUUGGUUCGCACGACCGAGAACUUUGAUGAGUUGAUGGUUGCUACAGCUGAGGAAAGCGAAUGUGGAGACUACAAGGAACAAAACUGAAUUAACAUGUUAUGAUCAUACUUGUGUUAGGAGUUUUCAAUUAAAUAUAAACAACAACAACAUAUCAAUUGAUAUACAUAUUUCAUAAUGUUUUUUGAAUUAUUACCAUUACUUAAGUCUUGACAUAAUGGACAUGUUGAUCUAUUAGUUACUGUAUUUAGAAUCUUGAAAUUUUAUCCGAAUGCAUUAUAUAACUGGAUAUAAUUGGAAGGACCCCUUCCAUAUACGGUUGCAUAAUUGAAGUAACCCGUAGCCUUUAUGUGAGGGCAGUGAUAACUUUCGAAUGGUGCCUUCUAUUAUCCCCUUCACCGGCCCUGUGUCAGGCCCUUCGGGCAUGGAUGACAUGGAUCAAAGGCAAAUCAAAUUGAAAACUUAAAAAGCGAUGUCAUUUCAAUAUGCAUGAUUUCUAGUUCAUAAUUUAACCUCAUAUAAUGCAAAACCACAAUCAUACAAUGUUGACUCUCCAAGUUCCAAGCAACUACGUGAGAGAUAAUGAGUGGGCCACCUCGACCGGUCCACGACCGGUUCUCGACUGGCAAGCGACCGAGAAAGUGUAACCGGUCGACCGGUUACCUAUAUGGACGCCCGAUCGCACCCACCCUCGCCUGUAACAGCCGAUCAGAUGGAUCAGUUGAAAGAUGGAGGUUGUACUAUAUCAUACAAAAUUUUUUAGCACCCACAUAAUUUUUUCACAUACUUAAUGUUUUGAUUUUGGAAACAAAUAGUAUUGUUUAGCACCCACAUAUUUUUUUUUCCCAUACUUAUUGUUUUGAUUUUGGAAACAAAUAGUUAAAAAAAUUGCACUUGGGCCCCUUAAAACGAGAAUCAUUAAAAAUAAUAAUAAUAAUAAUAAUAAUAAUAAUAAUAAUAAUAAUAAUAAUAAUAAUAAUAAUAAUAAUAAUAAUAAUAAUAAUAAUAAUAAUAAUAAUAAUAAUAAUAAUAAUAAAAACAACUUCUCUUGAGUAUGCCUUCAUUGAACCCAUAAAUGAGUUCAUUGAUUUUGCAACCAAACACCGAUCACCCACUUCUCUGGAGAAUUCAUUUAAUGCCCUUUUUUAGGACUUUUUUCUCAUCUUGAGUUGCAUAGCUUUGUUAGUUUCUGUUGUGUUUUUUUCAUCCCUUUUUGUUGUACUGUUUAUGUUGUCAUAUCCCUCUUUGAAGGAUAAUUGUUAUAGUUCAGCCUAUUUUUUGGUACUGUUACAUUAGUUUUCUAUACAAUGAGUAGUAUGUUUCUAUUUCUUUUUUUAAAAUCCCAUUAGACCAACUUCCUCACAACAUAAAGCUUCACCUAUAAUUUUCCAGUAUUUAUUAGAAUGAGUUCCAUCACACAAUAAUCCAUUUAUCACGCGUUAAUCAAAGGCCAUAUAAUACUAAUCAAAAGUAAACGUAUAAUUCACAUAAGACAAAAGAAAUCAUAUAUAUAUAUAGUCAGCUGAAAUAUAGAGGAAACAUAGACAUAUAUAGACAUAAACAUAGACAUAUAUAUAUAGUCAAGUGAAAUAUAGAGUAAACAUAGACAACAGAAACAAAGAUGGCAAUGAUUUGCAUCUACGUAUGCUAAUCCUAAAGAGCUCUCGCUGCUAUCACGGCUUAGGAGGUGGUGGUGGAAACACCGAUCAGAUGUAAGCCAUCAUGUCCUCAUGCUGAUUGUCCUGGCGAUCAAGCCUCUGGAGGAUAUGCGCAAAGGUAGCCUGCUGCUGAUCCAUGCGAUCCUCAAUACUCUGAAAUCUCUGCUGCAUACACUGGAAUUGCUCGGUGAAGCCUGUCUGAUAAUGAUCCAUGCGAUCCUCCAUAGAGUGGAAUCACAUAUCCUUGACAAUUGCUAGCUCCUCAAUCCGAGCGCCCAGUGAGCUGAUCUGAGCACCUAAAUCCAUCCAAGCCUGACUAGGGCCGUAUGGAGCUCGAUGAGGUGAUGUAUGUGCAUGAGGUGGAUCAGUGAAUGAUGGUUGCGAAGAUGUUCCCGCUGUGUGCAUUGCGUCAAACGUCAUCCCCCUUGAUACAGUCGGCCCCAACUGGCAACCCUCGGACUGCUGUGCAUGGAUAUCAAACUCAGUCUGUGUAUGCUCAUAAUCUCUCUGAGGGGCAACCCCACCCUCCAUCUCCCCAAUCUCCGCCUCCUCCUCAACGGCAGGCUGUGAUAUUGGUCGCUCCACUUUCCUAAUCCAUGAUCCAUCGGGGCCCUUCUCAAACUUCAUACGGGCCAACGAUUGCUCAUCAUAUGUGUCAUAACUACUUGGGGCCUCAAAGUCCUGCUCCUUGCUCAAAUCAACCCCGGCAUCCUUGAAUACUCGUGUCAGAAAACGGCCAUAGGAGAGAACACGUGUGGAGCUCUCGCAGCAUGCAAGCAUGUGCAUCAUCAUCACAUAUCCAACGUCAAUCCGUCUCCCCGUCAUAAUCGAAUCAAUGAGAAAUGCCUCCAGAUAUGAUACCUCAUCUCGAUGGCCGCCUCGUGGCAAGAGAAUGUACAAGAUCAUGUGGUGAAGGAUGCAAGAUCUGACUGUUAGGCUAUGUGCUGAUGGUUUGCCCAUCCCCCGUGCAUCAGCAAAGCCGCACAUCCUCUGUAUCGCCUCUCUAGGCUCGAAACCCGCCAGAGUGGGCCAAGCCUUAGACUCAUAUACCUUGAGUCCGACUGAAGCGAUGUCUAAAAUGUGGCAUAUGCUCUCCGGGUCAAGCUUGAUCUGCACACCUCUAACGGUCAAAACAAUUGGCCCUCCGUGUCCAUAUGUCACUCGCGAAUAGAAUGCCCUCACUAAUGUCGGAAAUAUCGGCUCGAAAAUAGUCACUAAUGGAAGCCACCCCAUACGUGCGAAUAAUCCCUCAAAGUCGAAAUGUUGUAGUUGGGAGAAAUUAAUAUUUCUCCCUGGAACAACCUUCCUGUGGGAAAACUUCUGCUUGUACCUUUGGUAUUCCUCCAUGGAAGUGAAAAGACCGGUGUCAAACCUUGCCUUUCGGCGAGCCUCCGCCGCACCUGGCUGAGAUGGCUCAGCAGGGCGCUUGCCCUAUGCCCUAGAGGCAGCCGUAUCUCUCCUAGGCGGCAUGAGAGAGUCAAAAUGAAUGAGACGACGGUGGUAGAGAAAUAAAUGAGCAGAUCAAAGUGAUAACAAACCGAAGCAAAGCAGAUUGGCGUGCGGGAACAGGUGAGAAACCGCCUUUGACGCGCGCUGAACGAGGACCCCUUCCAAUACACACAGCCGACCUCCCAAAGAUCAUUCCACACCCUUCAAAACCCACUCCGAAGCCAUGAUAUAGCUGCAAUGCCAUUCAAAGUAGGUUUCCCAAGCUGAAUACCCAAAACCCUUGAAGCCUGAGAUUGUCAAAAUGCCGCGCGGGGGGUAUUUCAAAAGACAACCCCACGAAUCGCUCCAUCGCUCCACCCGUGGUUGACCCCCUCUGUAAGUAAGAAACCGAAACAGUCGCUUUGGCUUGGAAAGUGUGAGAGUUGCUUUGACUCUUGGAAUUCCAAUACUCUAUAACAAUUAAAUGAAAUUGAAUAUAAAUUUCAUUUCUAAUUGAUUUCAAUUGAAUACCUAUGAGUGCAAACAUAUAUAUAUAUAUAUAUAUAUAUAUAUAUAUAUAUAUAUAUAUAUAUAUAUAAGUGAUAAUUUAAAUUUAUAAACAAAUAAUUAAAUAAUUUAAGGAAAUUUCAUAUUGAGAUAUAAAGUUUUCUUAAAUUGUUGGAAUAGUAGAAGAUAAUUACAUUUUGUAAAUUAAACUAAGAUAAAAUAAAAAAAAUCCGAAAAAAUGUUUUAUUUUAUUUUAUUCUUUUGGGGUUGGCUUAAUGUUUAUUUUCUAUUUUUAAUCUUAUUAUUGAAUAAAAUAAUAUUGAUUUAAUGGAUAUUUUGUUUUUAUUCUUAAAAAAUAACAUUUACCACUCCUAAAUUUUAAAAAAUAAUUAAGAUCUUACAAACUAAAUUGUAAAUAAGCAUUUUAGGAUAUUGGACUAACUUAAUAUUUAAUUUUUAAUCAAUUUCUUUAUAUUGAAUACUUUCUAUUAACAUUAAUGACCAUUUUUUAGAAACAACACAAAUCCUCUAUUUUUUCAUAGCAAAAACAAUGUCAAAAGUAGUUCGACCGGUCGAAUGAAUGCGCGCCAGGUGUACCGACUGGUCGACCGGAGCACUUCAGCCGGUUGAUCCCCGGUCGCAAUAGCGGUUGUCAUUUUCUCUCUCUCCCAGUAGCUGUGUGUGAUCGGUUGAGGAAACAGGUUGACCGGUCGAGUGUCGGUCGAUCCUCGGUCGAGAUCCGGUCAAGCGCAUUUUUCGACACUCUCUCUCUCCUAGUGGCUGGUUGUUACCGGUCGCAAACCGGUCGAUACCCGGUCGAAUAUCGAUCGAAAGUAUUUUUUACAAUCUUUCUCUCCUAGUGGCUGUGUGUGACCAGUCAAGGAGGGUGGCUUCCCAGUCGUGUGAACACCAUUGACCGGACGUGAUCCGGUCGAAUACCGGUUGAGGGUUUUUUAACCUGUCGACCGGGUUUGGUUGACCGGUCGGAAACCGGUCGAUAUAUAUUUUAAAGCAAGGUCAUGGGACGGUUCGUGGGGUCGCCAUACAUACACCUUCACUGUACUGAAUAAAUUGUAAACGCUAUGUACACGUGUUGAUGCAUAGGUUUUUUAUAGUUUGUAAUGGCGGUGCCUUUUAUUAGAUGUUUUGAGAGAGCGAGGGAAAAAGCGACUUCAUCAGAACCUUCAUUAAAUAUAUAAGCCAUAAUAUUCGCAAUACAAUGUCAGGUGUAUAUACUUUUUCGUGUAUAAUGUACAAUCAUCUUUAAAAAUCCUCGUCACAUCCUAUUGAAAAGUGUAACUCAAACUGCCAUGAAUCGAUGCCGAUGCGCAUUAUGUGAUGAAAGCAAUAAUCUGCCCAGUAGCUUCAAUCUAUACUUCUUAAUCUUGGCCUGCACUCAUUCAUGUUUAAAAGACAUAUAAGGAAAGGUUAAAUAAGUUGUCGAUGCUAUGCAAUUUUUAUAUAAAUGAUGGCAUAGUGAAAGCCUAUAUGUACAUACCACAUCGAUGGAUUUGGAGAGUCCCCCAUUGGACCAGUUGUCCAUGAAUUUCAUAAUAAAAACGCCGCAGUCAUUGCUAACACAAAGAGCAAUGUGUAAGAACUUAAUAUGCGUGACAUGGGGAGUAUAAUAUUUGGAAAAUGCUAUGAAAUCAAAUUAAACUUAAUUGUGGUAAACACUAACUCAUUUGGUUGGCAUGGUACGUCUGGCAUGACAAAGCUGUACAUGUUCAAGUCUAUAGCAACCAUUUCUUUCUUGUCGGCAACAAGCAAUAGAUCAACCUUGGCCUUAAAGAAGCAAAGUAAUUGACAUUCAAACUUACAGUAUGUUGUACAAUGCAACUAAUAUUAGGAGAGUAGAAGGUACCUUACCAAUUUUUGUUGUAUUCCACUCAUACAACUCCUUUUUCUUCCAGGCCGAGAAUCCAAGAGCUAGAUUCGUUUGUUAUGCAAGUCAUAGACAUAAAGUGUCCAAUGGUUUUUGAAAAGGACCGGUAAGUAGACCUGCAUGAUGCCACAUACAAUGGAUUAGAAAAUAUAAUGGGUCAAGGAGAUCAGAAGUGAAGAAACAUAAAACAUUGGAAUGCAACUCUGACCUGAGUAACAUUCUGAUACGAACCAUCAAAGGCAUACAUAUAUGGAUCAAAACGCGCAACAAUUGCAUCGUGCGUCAAAUGUUUUGCAUUGGAACGAAUCACCAUUUCCUGUAUAUCAGAUGAAAGUACUUAAUGCAUGGAAACAUGUGCAAACGUGUGGACAUGUUAUCAGAACAAGGGAAAUUCAGAUGUAGUGGCCAUUAAAAGCAUUCAUUACAGCUAUGUAGGGGGAGAGAAAUAGUUUUGUCCUUGAUUCAUCAUCGAAUUGCAACAUUCGACAAAAUGCAUCCACGACCUAAAAGAAGAAAUGAUUAAAAUGUAAUCAAUAUUCAGAUUGACUAAUGAGAUGUUACAUCACAUUAAAAUUUAAAAUUAUGCAAACUAGUGGAAAAAUUGAAAUAUUAACAUCAUUGCCAAUCCAACAGUCUCCCUGGAAAGACGCGAGGUUGCCUCUGGUUAAACUUGUGUCGUGCAUUGAAACAAGCUCCUCGCUGCCAACAAAACCAUAUAUGUUAGGGUAAUACCAUUUGUUACAUGUGGAAACACUUGAAAUUGGAGUAGUAUAUGAUAUAACAUGCCUGGGGUCUAAGUCCCCAUCAAAUACAGUUGCAGCUGCCUCUUUUAGGUCCAUCUUGAUGGCAGAAUGUCGGGUUUGUGCCUGCGCUAUGAAUGGUGACAAUACAUUGGGAGCCAUCCGACGCACUCUCCGUUGCCUCCCAAUGCUAUGGGAUCGGGCCACAGUCAUAGAACGCAAAGGUAAGGGGUCACAGACGACUACUUCGUCAUCAGCUGUUUGUGUGGAGUAUCAACAGAUUAGUUAACUGAACCCCAAUACAAUUUGACAUAUUUUCUACGCACUAAUGCAGUAAUGAAUGUGCCCCAAAAUGUUACCAAUAAUAGGUGGCUGGCGAAUAGGAGUGUCUGGUACUUCUUCGGUGCAAUGGAAUGCCAUGUCAUAUCGGGCAGCGGGUGAAUCAUGCUCGGCAUCGGGAAAGUCAUCCGCUGCAUAGCCCGAGUGAUCAACAGUAGGGGAAUGUACACUUCUUUUUCUUCGAGCAUCCAAUCUUUGGAUCAGACCACGCAUGAUGCCAAGCUGAUGCUGAAUGCCCUUUUGAUAAGAAUUUAUUUGGCGUUCAGCUACGUAGUACUUAUCCAAGAUUUCCUGUCACAUGAGAACGAAUUGGCAUAGGCAAAUUUAAUUUCAAACUAGUUAAAAGAAAAUUGGUUAGAAGUUAUUAACAAUAUAGCAAUGAUAACCAAAUUGUUAUGUGAUUCAGAUGGAUUCAAUGCGGAAAGUAACAAGUAGUUUUAGCAUACAUUACUACUUGUCGGUCCACUGUCAUCCUCGACAUGUGUACGGGGAGGUGACGAUUCAUCAAACGCCUGCAUUAUGAGAACAUCACGCAUGUUAAGAACAUAGAAACAUUGGAGGUAUUCAAAUUGCAUGUAAAUCAAUAUAUAACAAACUUCAUGCCGAAUAAAUGACUACCUGGCCAUGUCCAAAACUCCCAAACUCACUUAUCUCAGCAGAUAAGCGCUCCUUUAUCAACUCAUCUGACCAUGCUGAGAGUAGGGGCGCUGUCAUCGGAACAUCAACGGAAGGAAUUUUGAACUUCAUUACGUAAUGGAGCUGCACAAUGGAAAUAAACAUAUGUAUAAUUCUUACUUGUUGGUACUGAUGUUAACAAAUUCAAAGUUACCAAUUAAUGAAUGUUAAAGCAGGCCAAUACCUGGAGGAAAAGAAUGCAACCAUGAACCCAAACGCUGUUCCCUUGCUUAAAUUGUCUUAUACCCUCCACAAGCUGGUCAACAACAAAUUGGCCCCAAUUAACAUCAUUUCUGAAACCAUCUUCAUGGAUGGUAUGCCACAAGUUUCGACAUCCAUCAAUCCUUUAGGUGGGGGCUAAUAGCGUCGCACAAGCGUAGUAAAUGAAUCAUCUACGGAACUCCUCCCCAAUAGGUAAGUUGAGGAGUCUCUCCUCACAUGUGUUGAGGGUACCGAACGGAUGAUCAGACGGGGUAGUAGCAAUAUGUAGAAUUCGUCCAGUCGUCGGGAGGCCAAAGACAAGGCCGACAUCAGCAGCUGUCAGAUCAUACCUUCUGUCGGAUGUAAUGUCAAUGCAUUUGUAGCCAACAUUAAAAUGGGCAAUCAGCCAUAUACAGAUAUUAUGUCGUAUCUCCUUGCAAUUUAAGUGAAGAAGACCUCCAAACUGAAGGUCUCGAACCACGUCCAAUUUCUCAGGUGGCAGCCUGUUGCAUAGUUUUAGAAACCUUGAAGAUGAACAACGUGUGUAUAAUCUGGUGGACUGCAUUGAAAUGGUUGGAGGUCAGUAGUAGUUUACACAUGAAUUUUAUAUAUGAAAAAAAUUAACAUCAAUAGGAAUACGUAAACAUUGUGAAUAAAGCAAUAAAAUUGAAUGAACAAACAAACAUAUUCAUGUGGAAUCAUAAUUUAUGAUUGGAUGUUUAUGUUAUUCAAUCUUUAACAUAAAAAACAACUAUAGGUCGUAAGUUGGAAAAAAUAUGAAGUAUCCGAAAUAAGUUAUCAAUAUUUAAAAACAAGAAAGAAUGCAUCACCUCCGUAGUGGCCAUAGAAAAAUGAAAUGAUUGUUGUAAGCUUCAACCUUGGAAGAACGAGCACCUGGAAAUGCGUGUUAUAGCAGUUAUUGAUGACCUGGAGAAACUAAUAAUAAAGGGAAAGGUCAAUUGACUAUUUCGACAAUUAAUCUGUUUGAUUAAUUUGGUAAUGGUGUUCCAUAAUCAUAGUUGUAAGGAACAAAUAAAUGAAAUACAUAACAAUAUGACAUUUUAGGAAAACGCUUAGAGUUUGGAAGCAAACACGUGUAUGAUCGAUUAUCCAACCAGCAACCAGAUAAAUUACUAGAUAAUUACCAUAUGGACAACGUGUGUAACAAGUAUAUCUAAUUGAGGACAAAUUGAAAGACAAUUUUUAUGACGUCUUAGAAAUUGAUGGCACAUUGAAAUAGGUGCAACCAGAAGAUAAUGCGAUAAGAGGACUAACUCACAACUUGGAAAUAAAUAUAGGGGAAGUCUCGCUUUAUUGAAAAAAAAAUUUGUCACCCUAAUACGUAAAAUAAUGUAACAGAAAUUAUCAUCCUUAAUGAGGCUCCAAAUAAUAAAUGCUCGAUAAUGUAGAGACAGAGAUGGAAUUAAAUAACAACUAAAAAGAAACUGCAUUCAAAGUGCACUUUCAAUUAAGUUGGUUACUGAAAGUAACUCUAAAUAAGAAAAAUUCCAAAAUAGUGCAUCGUGCCUAUAAAUAGGGCAAUACAUAAAAACGAGAAUCAACAACCCCAUACCAUAUACCAUACAACAUAAUGUAUGGAAUGAUACAAAAUGAGGAAAUUGUACAACCAAAUAAAAUGCAAAUGUCACGGCAACGGAUUAUUACAUUUAGAGCGGUUGUGACCUAUUCCAUUGCAUCGAGAGCAAUGAAUUGCUCUCUUAUGACAAAACUGUGAUUCAAUGCGCCUUUGUCGGGGUCUUCCUGGAGGACGUCUCACAUGAGGGGGUUGGCAAGCAAGAAAGGAGUUGCCCGCGCAAUCUAUAACAUAUCCUCCAUCGUCACAAAGUUUCGGCAUAUUGUGUGUUGGUAAUGGUUGAAACUGACCCGAGUAAAUCAAAUCUUGCAUGGAGACAUGAAAACAUGGGUCAAUAUAGUCAUACACGUCGUGUCUCAGUGUGCGGAUGACAGCACAUACGUGUGCACAUGGCAAACCGGACAUUUGCCAUGUCAUGCAAGUACACGUACGUUGAUUCAUAUCGACAACCAAAUAAACCUCUCCAGUAAACACCUUAAACGUCCCUCCCAAAUAGGGUAGCACACUAAUCGGACCAGACCUCAUGAUAUUUGACAUUAACUUCUCUUCAGUUUUCGGUCCAACCACGCUCUUCCACUUUUGUGUACCACGCAUAUGGGUGUCCAACAUGGCUACAAGUUUAUCCAUGUGCAUUAACAAUAAAGUAUAAAUUGUUUGGUGACGCUCUUCUCUUAACCACGCAUUGAACGCCUCUGCAAUGUUACUUGUCAUUUUAUCCCAUCGCUUUUUAAGAAACUUUGACAUUGCCCAAUGUUCGGGAUUGUUUUCCGCAACCCAUUUUGCUAGGUUCUCAUUGAAGCGCACAAGUUUUUCAAAUGCCUCAUUGUAGUCUAUUUCCAACCUAGCAUACGCAAUGCUGUCCAAAAGUAGCAAAGCAUCUUCUUUUCCUUUCUUUCCUCGAAUGUUUUGCUUAUUGAAGAAGCUAGAAAAGUUUUCCUUCACAUGUCGAUAACAAUACGCAUGAUUUCCUGUCCCAAACAACUCGGAAACACUAUGCAAGAUUCCCUGAUGUCUAUCUGAUAUAAUAACAACUUCUUUACCAUCUAAUACCCCCUUUAAUUUAUCCAAAAACCAAUACCAGUCCUCAUAAUUUUCUGAACUUACCACACCAAGGGCUAGAGGGAACAUUCCAUCAUCUGCAUCAUAUGCAAUGGCAGACAAAAGAGCUCCCUUAUAUGGACCGCUUAGGUGGCACGAAUCAAUAGCCAAUACAGGUCGACACCCCAUGAUGAACCCUUGAAUUGAAAAUGCAUGGGCAAUGAACAAUUGCAUGAAGUGACCUUCUUGGGAAGUGUACUCCGCAAUUGUGCCCGGGUUUAUUUCUCUUAGCCUAUGGCAUAACCAAGGGAGAAAAGUGUAAGAGUCGCGUGGUACUCCAUAUAUGCGCUCUUUUGCCUUCUCUUUAAGGUGCCAUGCUUGGUUAUAUGUCAAUUGAACCCCAUGAUCACGUUCAAAAUCCUUACAGAUUUGACGAGGAAGAUAGUCUGGAGUGGUUCUAAACACAUCUUCAACAACAACCGCACCUCUCUUUGAAGAAACCUUCACCUUAGAUGAACACUCAUCCUGAGCUAUAUGAUUAUGAUUCACUUGGUAAGUAUGAACUCGCAAGAUGACAUUUCCCUCGAUAGCGUGAGCUGUUAUCUUCCAAGGACAACCAUCAACCGAACACUUGACAGACAUAUGCGUAGGGGAAUUUUUCUUGUACUUGUAUUCAAACCUUCCACCUAAUGACAUCUGGUAAAUUGCAUUGCGAAACUCCUCGGCAUUUUUAAAUGUAUGUCCAGACCCUAAUAUUGCCUCACGAAAACGAAUCGAUUCCAAAGGGAUGUACUCAGUAUCUGCAGAACGCGACACAAAACCUCUUGAUAACAUCAUAGUUUUAGGAAUUGGAUCGCAUGAUGCAUUAGAGGACGGGAACGUGAUAGGUGGAUCUCUGCAUUGACAUAUAUUAACAUAAUUAGAAUACAUGAUGCGUAAAUUGAUAUUCACAAUAUUUUAAAUAAACAUUGAUGUUAAAGUCCAUUACCGAAAUGCCAACUGUGAAUUCGGGAUAUUUGCUUCAAUGGCUUCCACAGAGGGUAAGUCUACUAGGUAUACAUUUGCAAAGUCAUCACUAUGGGAAACCACGUUAUCCAAAUCAUCCUCAUCUUCUAAAUCUUGGAUGACUCUGGGAUUGAACUUCAGCAUGUAGUGCAUCUUCAUCACAUCAAGGGAAAUGUCAAAUUUCUCUAUGAUUUUUUUGGUGAAAUCUUCAAAUGCCAUUCCUUUAUAUAUGUGAAUACCUUUGCUUCUUCCACCCAAGUAUUCCCAUUGCCCAUCAUUUUUUUGGACAAGUUUGCCACCCACGAAAAUGUAACAAUAUAUCCUAUUAGUUGCGUCCAUUAACCUAUACAAACAUAGCACAAAUAUCAUAUUAUAGACCAAACAAUUAUGCAUAUUAUAGAAAAUGGCCUUCAUAUUUUCUCUCAUAUGGCCUUUUGCUUUGAAGUUCACACUAUUACUAGUCGCCAUGUCUAGAUUAUCACGCAUCAUUUAUGCAUAUACUUUUCCAAAUGUUACUUCACUUAUUCUAUUUUUCACUGGUUGGUCGACUCUUCCUCUGUUUUUUGCAGAUUGCUAUGACCCUCUAGAUCCCAAUAGGAACAUCACAAUUACUUUUCAGACUUAUAAAUGGACAAAUCAUGCCAAUGUCAUUAGUGUUUUGGCUCAUACUCAAUAGACAACUUCAAAUUUAACUUCAUUUCAAUUUGGUUCAAUUGUAUGCUGAAAAUAAUAUUGAGUUGCAUGUGUUUGAUAUUUAGCAAUUGUGAAUAGUAAACAUGGAAAGAGGUAUUUGGCCACUACAAUGAUUGUUAGAAACCAUUCUGGAUUUCAACGAGAAAUCCCUUAAUUGGUUUCUUAUGUAUUGACUUCCUUAAUAUUGGAUUUCAAAAAUAGAAUUAAGGCUCAUUAAACUGCCUUUAAACUGAUCUGUUUCUUUAUUUUGCAUUUAUAUUCAUGUUAGCUACAGAUUUCAUGAAGUUCAAAAUGAUAAUCUAUCUACACAUACUAGGUAUCCCACAAUAUCUCAUACUAUAGGGUUCAAAGAACUUGGGUUUUUUUCGAAAAUAGGUAACAGGCGAACUAGCGUACUAAACUAGACUGCCACACGAGGAAGUAAAUAUAAUGCUCAAUGAUAUAAUUUGAACGAAAGGACAAAAAAUAUGUUUGCAACAAGAAAAUCUAUUUGCAUUUACUUAUCAUAUAUUAGAAUAAAAUUGCACCUAUAAAACUAACUUUUCAAUUCAAUAUGCAAUGCUAAACCAAACAAACAUAAGUGAACCAAGUAAAAUGCAAGGAAAAUCAAAAUAUAUUUUUAUGUCAUCUUCAGCAUCACAAUUAUCAUGAAUGGCAAUCGAGGGUUCUCAUAUUGAUGGAGAAACAAGUGAAUCAUGGUGACAUCACAGUUUAAUAAAAAGAAGUGAUUUUUCCAUGUCAAGGCUAUCAAUCAUGUAAAUCGAACACAAACAUAAUUAUCUAAACAAAAACUUUUUUGAUACCACGACAUGCAUAUGCAAUUAGCCCAUGAGGAUCCUCACUAUUUCAAACUAUGAGCCAUGUCUUAAAAACACCAUAACCCACGCCAUGUCUUAUAGCCAGUUACGGGGUUUAAGCUUUAAGCUUAAAAAAAAAAUACUACUUUACCUGAUGGUCAGAGAAGCUCUCUCCUCAAUGCUUAGCACGGGACGACACCCACGGUGGGGAUUAAUGGCACACUGAAAUCGCCAGAUAAAUUUGGGCAAUGUAUUUGGGCUGAAAUGAAAUGGUCGGGAUAGCCGAAAUGAAGCAUAAACUGAAAUUGUUGAACCUACUAACCUCAACUCUCAACUACUUCGCCACGGAACCCAAAUCUGGUGGUGAUCGUCGACACCAAUUGAUUGACAGAGAUGAAAAACUCCACCGUCUACACCUAAAAUCGGAUGGCCGGGAAACUCCAGAUGAAGAUAGGAUUAGGGCAUUCUUUGGGCAGAAACGAGGGAACACUCAGGAAUGUGAAAACGCCUCUCAAUUUUGGGGAAAACGAAAUGGAAAUCCAACGUCGAUUUUGUUUUUAAUCGGAUGGUCGGCAAACUCCAAAUGAAGAGAGGAUUAGGGCAUUCUUUGAGCGGAAACGAGGGAAACACUCAGGAAUGUGAAAACGCCUAUCCAACGUGGAUUUUGUUUUUUUUUUUACAUUAGCCAGCCAAAGGGCAUUUUCAGCAUAUUAUAAAUUGUAUAGCCUUCUUAUCAAUUUUGAGACUUUGAUUGGGUGUUGGGCUUAAUUUUGUUAGAUAGAUGGACCAUUUGUUAAUUUUUGGGCCCAGUUGGGCCCAAAACACAAUUCUCCCUUUUCUAAAAAUCAAAUUUUCAUCAAAUAAAAUAAAAAGCGAGUUUCGCCAUCGAGUGGGAACGCAUCGAGAAAAUGCGGGGUCCACACUUACACAUUUUGUUCAAGUGUAAAUUUUUUAACAUUUUUUACAACAAACUUAUCUUCUUUCUAACCAAUAUUAUUUACCGGGAAAAAUGUAAUUUGAAAAAAAAAAUACACAUUUCUAAAAUGAAUAUCCAAGAACAAAAAUUUAUCCAAAUAAUAAUUUCUAUUUAUUUUAUGAUACAAACUUAUAACCCUAAAACCAUGUCAAAAUAAUCAUUUAUAAUCUUAUAAUUUAUUUUAAAUUUUCUAUCAAUAAUUUGAAGUUAACAAAUAAUUCUUAAAAUUAAAAACAAUCCCCAUAUUGUAGCAACAUGGAGAAAUUAAUAUUGUUAUUUUAUUUUUAACAAAUUAAUAUUGCUUUAUUAAUUAUUUUAUUAUAAUUUCAAAGAUUUAAUCAAUUAUAACCAUGGUUUGAAAUAUCGGUAAACACGGAUAUAUCAUAAAUAUCAGUAAAAUAUCGGUGGAUAUUUUGAUAAAAAUAUGGGUGAGAUGAAAAUUAUUCAAAAUUCAUGGAAAAGGUAAAAAAAAUUGAUAAAAUAAGAAAGAAAUACAUGUGUUAAACUUAUUUUGUAAGUUUAAUUGACAUAUAUAUGGUCAAGGAUAAUAUUUAUCAAAUAUUUUAGAAAAACAAUUAUCUCAUAUUCCUUUAAUAUAUUUAUAUUCAUUUAUUUUAAAAAUUAAAAACUAUUUUUAUUAAAACAUGUUUUUAUUAUAUUUUAAAUAAAAAAUUAAAUACUUUAAAGAUUUAUAUAAAAUAUUUUAUUUGAGAUUUAAUUUCUAAAAUUUAAUUUUUUGUGGUGACAAUUUUUUGCUAUUGACAUUAAUUUAUUUAAAUAAUUAAAAUUAUUAAAAAUUAUAUUAAUAAUUUAUAUUAUCAAAUUAAUUUUAUUUUAUAAAAUAUUAGAAUUUCAUUAUUAUUAUUUUUAUAUUUAGCAAUUUUUGAAUAAAAUGAUAUUUUUUACAUUUUAAAAUAAAAACAUUCAAAAUUAUAUAUGAUUUUUUAUACUAUUUAUAUUUUUAAUAUUUAAUUAUCAUAUAAAUGAUGGUUUUUAUACUUUAAGUAAUCAAUUAAUAAAGUUUAAAAUAAAAUAAGUAAUUAAUUUAUUUAUUAAAAUAUUUUUAAAUAAUAGAUUUUAAUAUAACUUGUGCGCAUAUAUGUUAACAAUAAUGAAUCAGCCUAGGUGAUAGUUGGUAUUCAACCCAAGCCUAGGCUACAAGCCAGCAACUUCAAAAAAUAUUUAAGGGAGGGAGUUUGACUGAGAGCCCGUCGUUGACUGGCCAUAAAAUCGGGAGAUUUCGGGAAAAAUCCAGAUAAAUGCCAAUAUUUCGGUGAUAAUAACGGGAAAAAAAGAAGAGAAAAAUCGUUGGAUCAACUUUCGAUCCCAUAUUUCGUGUCGGGAAGGCCAGAUAACACACAAUACUGAUUAUUAAUUUAUUUUAUUAUAAUUUCGUAUGAAAAAUUAUUACAUGUAAAAUGAGAAGGAUACGAAGAAUAAUAUGAGAAAUGAACAAGAAAUGAACAAAAAAUGUGAGAAUUCUUCGUACCUUCUUUCAAUUUUUUAUUUUUUAUUUUAUUUUUAAUUUCCAUCAAUUCUAACUUAGUUCCUAUUAUUAAACUAUUUUAUUGCCAUUUCAAGUCAAAAAAACAAAUCUUAAAAUUAUUAAAAUUGUGAAAUUGUAAGUAAUUCUUAAAAUUGUUUUAAAUGUAACAUUUUUUCAUCUCCUCAUAUCCUGCCUUAGAAUUUAAAAUUAUAAUAGUUUUCAUAUCCUCUUAUUCCUUAGAAGUAUAGUAAUAGAUUUUUAUUUUUUAUUUUUUAAUGUAGCUUUGGUACUAGAUUACAUGGAGAAAGGGAAGGUGAAGGAAUUUGUAAUCACUCUUAAAGAUGAAAUUCAUAAGGAUCCGUAUAUCAAUGUGUAGACCUCAAAAUUGGGAUAUAUCUAAAGCAUUUUUUUUGCAAUUAGUUUUUGGCCAGGUGUCGCGCUCUUAGGCAGCCACGUGUCACUCCUGGAUUGGCUGUUGAAGAUUCAGAUGGGCUUUUGAGGAACCAAUAGAAGCUUGACAGAGGGAAAAGAAAAAGGGAUGAAAAGACUGUGAGAAGAGAAACGGCUGAGGGCUCUGAAGCUGCAGGGGAGGCAGAGCUUUCUGGGCUGGCGGCUAGAGAGAGAUGAUUCAGGAGGAGCAGAGAGCUUUUUUCUGCCAUCGGGAAGAGUGAGCAGGGAGGGAGUAUUCUAGAGCCUUGGGGGGAGACCUUUCAGGGAGGGCCGUUGAGAGAGACAUUUUUUGGAGAGAGCUUCCAUCGUCGUUUGAGUUGAAGGAGGGUUUCUAUGGACAUGGCUUGGAGGAGAAGCUAAAGGAAAAAGAAGAGAAAAAGAAGGGGGAGAGACAGGAGAGAAGCGAGUGGGAGGGAUUUUUGAUCAGAGGAGAGAGCUUGCUGGCAGAGAGACCACUUCGACUCCGCUGGGGGAAUCUCUUAGGUUUGACUUUCCGGCACUUAGGUUCUCCAUUUUUACAGUCACACCAUGCCUCUUAUUGAUCUAUGGUUUUUUUAUUUUUGCUGUUGGUAUGUGGAUGCUUGUUUUGGCCAUCAAAGGUCCCGUUUGUUUGAUUUUUGCUUCACUUGCAUGAGUUACAUAAGGGAUACGCUGCUGUUCAUGUGUUAAAUCCACUCGAAAUUUCCUCCUACCUUUCAAAUCUUUUCGAUCUUCAUGCAUCCUCUUCUACCGUCGUCCUAGUUGUUAUUGUCUUGGAGAAGAUUAUCGUCACCCUUAGAUCUCCCUCCAAACCUCCCUCACCCUCUCCCACGACCCCGACAUCCUCCACUCUGUCGGCCAGCAUUCCGAGGGCCACCUCCGGCGCGCCCAGGAGGCGGCGGCUGCUGCUGCAUGCCGCCAUAGCUGCCCUCCAGUCCGUCGUCGGAUCCAAGCGUCAUUCAGAUGGCGGCGAUUGAGGUGUUGAAACUCUAGCCUGUGCCGGUGAUAUUGGAGGUGCGGAGAUGGAACCUGAGAAGCCCAUGGUUUCUCUUAGAGACCUUUGGGCAGAGAAGUCGUGGGUGGCAGCGCUUGCAUGGGAGAUGCCCGGAAUGGCUAAUGGGCUUGAGGGCUUAGGUGAUUUUGCUAUUGGUUUUGAGCUUGUGAUGAAGCCCAGGCCCAAGCGGAAAGACAAAAAAAAAUAAUGAGGAAGAGAAGGCCUCACUGAGUUAUUCACCCAUUUUAAAAUUGGCCCAUUUGUUUGCAUCUACUUUAUAUGAAUCACUUUCUUUAAAGCACUAAUUUCUUAAUAAAUUUUCUAACUUCCAAUUCCCAAGCCCAAUUUAUAAAAUUUUAACCUUCAAAUAAUACUUCAAAAUUCCGAUAUUUAAAAUUCAAUUCCAAUUUCCGAAAAUUCUCAUACUCACUUUAAUUUAUUUAAUCACUAAUACUUUAUUCAUUUAUUUUAAAACUCCAUUCUUAAUUCAUUCUUUAAAAUUUUCGUUUAUCGAAUUAUAUUCCAAAAAUUCCCAUACUCACUUUAAUUUAUUUAGUCACUAAUACUUUAUUCAUUUAUUUUUAAAACUCCAUUCUUAAUCUAUUCUUUAAAAUUUCCAUUUACCGAAUUAUAUUCCAAAAAUUCCCAUACUCACUUUAAUUUAUUUAGUCACUAAUACUUUAUUCAUUUAUUUUUAAAACUCCAUUCUUAAUCUAUUCUUUAAAAUUUCCAUUUACCGAAUUAAAUUCCGAAAAUUCCUAUACUCACUUUAAUUUAUUUAAUCACUAAUUCUUUAUUCGUUUAUUUUAAAACUCCAUUCUUAAUCUAUUUAUUUAAAAUUUCUGUUUGCCGAAUUAAAUUCCAAAAAUUCUCAUACUCACUUUAAUUUAUUUAAUCACUAAUACUUUAUUCAUUUAUUUUAAAACUCCAUUCUUAAUCUAUUCUUUAAAAUUUCCGUUUACCGAAUUAUAUUCCAAAAAUUCCCAUACUCACUUUAAUUUAUUUAGUCACUAAUACUUUAUUCAUUUAUUUUUAAAACUCCAUUCUUAAUCUAUUCUUUAAAAUUUCCAUUUACCGAAUUAAAUUCCGAAAAUUCCUAUACUCACUUUAAUUUAUUUAAUCACUAAUUCUUUAUUCGUUUAUUUUAAAACUCCAUUCUUAAUCUAUUUAUUUAAAAUUUCUGUUUGCCGAAUUAAAUUCCGAAAAUUCUCAUACUCACUUUAAUUUAUUUAAUCACUAAUACUUUAUUCAUUUAUUUUAAAACUCCAUUCUUAAUCUAUUCUUUAAAAUUUCCGUUUACCGAAUUAAAUUUCUAUUUUUAAAAAUUCUAAUAUUCACAUUAAUCUAUUUAAUUAUUAUUAUUUUAUUUAUUUAUUCUAAAAUUCUAUUUUAGACAAUUCAUUUAAAACUUUCGAUUUCUGAAUCAAAUUUCUAUUUCUGAAAAUUUCACUAUUCACAUUAAUUUAUUUAAUUAUUAUUAUGAUAUUCAUUUAUUCUAAAAUUCCAUUUUAAACAAUUCAUUAAAAUUUCCGACUUUCGAUUUUAAUUUCUAAUUCCAAAAACUCCAAUAUUCACAUUAAUCUAUUUAAUUAUUAUUAUUUUAUUUAUUUAUUCUAAAAUUCUAUUUUAAACAAUUCAUUUAAAACUUUCGACUUCCGAAUUAAAUUUCUAUUUCUGAAAAUUUCAAUAUUCACAUUAGUUUAUUUAAUUAUUAUUAUUUCAUUUAUUUAUUCUAAAAUUCCGUUUUAAACAACUCAUUAAAAUUUCCGACUUCUGAUUUAAUUUCUAAUUCCAAAAUUCCAAUACUCACAUUAAUCUAUUUAAUUAUUAUUAUUUUAGUUAUUUAUUUUGAAAUUCCAUUUUAAACAAUUCUUCAAAAUUCAAAAUUCGGAACUUAAUUUCCAAUUUCCAAAAUUCUAAUUUCUUUCAAAUUUAAUAUCCAAAAUUCCAAUUCUUAAAUUUAAUUCUCAAGACUCCAAUCUUCAAAUAAUUUUCGAGACUUCGAUUUCCAAAUAAAUAUCCAAAAUCAAGUUUUCACUCGAAUAGUUUUAAUUCCAUUUCGGUUCUUAAAUAAUCUUCUGAUCUUCUUGAUUUUACAUAAGCAAUAAUGAAUUCUUCAUAAUUCUAAAACACGGGAUUUGUGAGAUUAGCUCAUGAACAAUAAAUCGGGCUUUGUUGGGGGCCCUAUGUUUGACCCCUUUUGACUGUCAAUUAUUGUGCUUACUGUAUUUUGCUUGAGCUUCGUUUUGCACUCCGAUAUGUAUGAGCUAUGUUUUGUAUUCAUUAAUUGUGCACUAAUCCCGUUUCUUGAUAGCGCAUUGUGGCUCUUGGCCCAGGUACGCAUACACUCUCAUUCUGAUACUUCACUAUACAUGUUCCGAUUCUCAUAUGUGCAUGAUCAUUCAGGAUAUUAAUUGAUUUACUCAUCAACUGCCACAUCAGCUUCAUUUUAUCAGUAGAGACCCGACUUUAGGGACUUAGAGGGGUGCUAUGGUCUUCACCGUACCUUCCCGAUAAGUAACCUGACCCCCGAGCCUGAUCCGGUUUUUCGUAGAUCGCCUUUUCCAAAACCAGGAGUCGCACUUAGGGUUUUUCUUUCUUAUUUUGUUUACCCUUUUAAAAAUAAAACAAAAAUAAGUGGCGACUCCAAGUCAUUUUCAAAUUAUCAAUAAAAAUCAAUUUUUCAAAUAAAAAUCGAGCUCGCCAUUCGAGUGGGAAAAGCAUUGAGCCGAAAUGCGGGGUCCACACAAUGGUAGUUCUAACCAUGAUUCACAAUUUAUUUAUAAAAAAGCUUAAUGGUAUUUCAAAUGAAGAAGCGUGCAAAUAGGAAUUGAAUUGUACAGAUGAAGCAAAAACAUUUUACAACAUAUAUGCUAAAGCGAUCAGAUUUAGUGUUUAGAAAGAUGAUUUGAAAUGUGAUAAGAAUGGAGGUAUUAUAUCUCCAAAGUGGGUUUGUUUUAAAGAAGGACAUCGAUUGGCCAAAUGUUUUCAAAAUGAAAAUCGACAAUGUGAGCCAAGAUCAUUGACUAGAGUUCGUGUGAAGCUUCAUUCUGUAUUGGUGUGGACCCCGCAUUUCAGCUCAAUUCAUUCCCAUUUGAUGGCGAAACUGUUUUUUUUUUUUUUUUCCUUUAUUUGGCGAAAAUUUGAUUUUUAGAAAAAAAACUUAAAAUCUCAUAUGUAGGACCCCCACUAAAGCCCAAUUUAUCUUGCAUGAAUUGGUCUCACAAAUUUCAUUAUUUUGGAAUUAUGAAAAAAAAAAAUCAUUCUUACUUAUGAAAAAGAAAAUGAAGGAAAUUAAAGCAAAAGAAAGAGGUUUAUGCAUGACAAUGGGCAAGUCUAAGAUGAAGAUUACGAUAUAUGAUAUUUGGAAAAUAUGUAUAGAUGAUUAACAAUUAUAUUUAUCAAUUUCUCAUAAUUUUAGUAAUUUCACUCUUGUACCUUUUCAAUUCGCUUCUUAAUUGCUUAAUAUCACUCCUGAUAAAAGAAUUUUUAGUAAUAUACCCAAGAUUCUAUUUCAAUGGAUCCUAAUUGUGUCUUUGUAGCUUACCCUUAUUUUGUACCCAGAGUAUCGAAGUUUCUUUAAUAUAUAUUUACUUAUAUAUUAAUAAAAAUUUAAAAUAUUUAUAAGUUUUAUUGAAUUGUUAUUAUAUUUUGAUUAAAAUAUUAAAUUCUUCAAAUUUUUAAAUAAUAUUUUAUUGAAACUUUUCAAUAAAAAAAAUUGUUUGACAACUUUUUGUGAUAAUUUAUUUAAAUUAAUAAAAUUAUAUUUAUUAUUGAUCUUAUCAAAAUAAUUUUUUUAAUCUUAUAUAUUUUUUUAAAAAAAAUUAUAUUUCGGUUAAUUGUCAAAAACUUUAUUAAAAUUUUAAAUGAUAAAUAUAAAAAACUAAAGGUGAAGAGUGAACAAUUUUUUAUUUGAUUAAUGCCAUAAAUGUUUAAUAUUUAAUUCUUUUCAAAUAAAAUUAAUUGGUGAAUAUAGAAAAAAAUUAAAUAUAGAAAAGAAAAUUCACAAAUAUUUUAGUAAAAUCAAUAAAAUUUCGAAUUGGAAGAUUCUUUGUGAUAAAUAUGCAUUUUUUUUUAAUUUUAAAAAUAAAAUUAAAGAGAUAAACAUGGGAAGAAUUAGAAUUACUUUUUUAUUAAUUGUUUUGAUAUUUAAGUUAUUUGUUAAUUAUUUCAUCUUUUUAAUAUUCUAAAGUAUUAAAUCAAUUACAAAAAUGAAAUGAAGGAACAAACUCAAAAAAAUAAUAACUAAAUAAAACCAGUUACAAAAAUAAAAUGAAAUUAAUUAAAAUUAUAAAUUAAUAGACUCUAAUAAAAUCAUUUUUGAAAAAUAAAAUAAUCUAAAAUAUGAUAUAUCUUUUUAUACUUUUGUAGUAUAAAAAAACAUAACAUGGAUAUAUAUCUAUAGACCCCCAUUUAGGCAUGGGUCACUUUUUCUCUAUUUGUUUUUGCAGAUCGCAUUUUUAGCUAGGUGUCGCUAUCCCGGCGGGCCACGUGUCGCAUCCUUAGUGGCCAUAAGGAAUCAACCUCGCUUUUUGAAGCUGAAGAAGGAGUGGGACAAAGAAGGUGGCGGCCGAAAAGGUGGCAAAAAAAGGUGGCUGUAGAAAGAGUGGGACAAAAAAGGUGGCUGCAGUAGGGAUCGUUGGGAAGGCAAAUCCAGAGGGCUUAGGAGAUUUUCUCUGGGAGGUUUUCCAUGGCCAAGAGUGAGUAAAGGAGAGGGGGGGGGGGGGGGGGGGGGGAGGUUUUUCUGAACUGAGAGAGUAAGCUACGGAGGAGGGAUAGUAAGUCCUUGACGGCAGAGAGAGAGACAUUUGAGGUGAGCUGCUUUACUUGAGGAGUCUUUGGAGAGAGAAACUCGUUGAGAGAGCUGAGACUUGAUUUCUUUGCUUGAGGAACCAGGUAUGUACGCAGUUUUCUCCUCGUCUCUCAUUAUUCAUUGAUUUUCCAUAACAUAAUGCUGUUUUGGGUGGAUGUUGAAGGCCAUUGAUCUGUUUGUUGAUAUGUAUGCUUGCAUUUGUGUAGAUUUGUCCAUCUUUUAAUUUGAUAUGCUCCCGUUGUGGUUAUGAAAUGCUUGAGAAUCGUGAGGGUGGUUGCAUUUGAUAUGGUUUACCCACAUGCUCAGAAGAUUCAUGGAUGAUUCAUGAAGUGGAUUUUCUGAGAUUUUCCAUUAUUUAUUCAUCUUCUUUCACGCUCUGUUUCUCUACUUCCCUUGUUUCUUGAUAUCUGUCCAUGGUAUGCGUCCAUUUUCUCAUCCCCGCUCGAAAGAGAUCCUAGAAAAUCUGGAGUAGUUGUCAUGGCAGCAAAGCUCACCUCAUCAGCAUCCCCAUGCCCAUUUUCGUUUAUUAUUCAUCGUUUUAUCCAAUAUGCCUACGUCCCCAUCGUUCAUCUAUCCACCUCUCUCUCUAGGCCGUCAUACCCAUUUCCUCGCUCAAGCUUGCAGGAAUCAAGCAUCCUCCACUGCACUCAUUUUCCUCUCAUUCAUUCUCCAUCCCACUCCCCCACUUACAUGGAGUCUCCCGGGUGCGUACUUUCCUUCACUCUUUCGCAUACCCAUUAAAACCACUCACCCAAGCCUCCAUAUCUAUACAACCCAUACCUAUCCUUCAUGCUAGUCAUAACAACGUUCUACCUUAUCCGGGUGUCUCACUCCCGGAUUCCUUCUGCGCCGCCAUUCCCCCAGGUGUCUCACUCCCGGAAUUCCUCUCCGCCGCCAUUUCAUCCGGGUGUCCCACUCCCGGAAUCCUUCUGCGCCACCAUUCCCCCGGGUGUCUCACUCCCGGUAUUCCUCUCCGCCGCCAUUUCAUCCGGGUGUCUCACUCCCGGAAUCCUUCUACGCCGCCAUUCCCCCGGGUGUCUCACUCCCGGAAUUCCUCUCCGCCGCCAUUCCAUCCUGGUGUAUCACACCCGGAAUUCCUCUCCGCCGACGUCCCACCUUUUCCUUCAUCCCUAGAGCAUUUUCUUUAGGUUCCAAAAUUACAUUUUUAAUAAAGCUUUGCUGCCGCUUUCAUUUCUAGCAAGCAAUUUUUCAUACUUCCUUUGUUUUUAAAAUGUUUUGAAAUAAGCAAGGAAUCAAAUUCUGUAAUUCCAAAUGAUGGAGUUUAUGGAAUUAAUUCAUGAAAAAAUGAAUCGGGCUUUGGUGGGGGCCCCACAUACUUGACUUCAUGAUUGAUUGACUGAUCGAUUGAUUUAUUUGCCAUGCAUGAUUGGUUUACUCUAUUCCUUGACAUGCGCUUAAUUAUACCUGUUCAUUGUUCACUAACCAUGUCUCGCGAUAGCGCAUUCAUGAUUGCCGCCCAGGUACGCAUUUAUUCAUAUUUUGCUCAUUCUCUAUACAUAUUCUGUGUCUCAUAUGUGCAUGAUAGUUCCGGGUAUUCAUUGAUUUCCUCAUCAAUUGCCAUGUCAGUUUCAUUUUAUUAGUAGAGACCCGACUUUAGGGGCUUAAAGGGGUGCUACAGUCUUUAUCGUACCUUCCGGAUAAGUAACCUGACUCUCGAACCCGAUCUGAUUUUUCGUAGACCAACCUUUUCCAAAACAAGGAGUCACACUUAAGGUUUUUCUUUCUUAUUUUGUUUACCCUUUAAAAAAAUAAAACAAAAAUAAGUGGUGACUCCAAGUCAGUUUCUUAAUCAAUAAAAAUCAUAGUUUUUCAAAAUUAAAAUCGAGCUCGCCAUUCGAGUGGGAAACGCAUUGAGCCGAAAUGCGGGGUCCAAAAAAUGGCGACUCCGCUGGGGAUCAUUUAGAGGGUCAAGCUUGAGCUUAAGAUGAAGCAAACAUGGCAUUUGAUUGGUCGAUCAGUGGAUGCUCAUCUCUUGAUUGCACAUUGAGGAUUUCUUGAUGCAUGCUUAGAUGUCAUAUUCAUUUGAGAUUUUGACAUGCUGGAUUAUUGAUGAUUGACCUUAUUGCAUUGCUUAGCGUAUUGAUUCUAAUUUUGGCAUGAUUGUUCUGAUCACUUCACAUGCAUACACUCACCACUGUAUAUCACUCAGCUUGACAUGUUGAUUCUCUUGCUUGUAUAUUAUUUUGAUCGUCUUUUGAGCAUGAUGUCUGUAUCACUAUCCAUCUGAUUGUCGUAUUCUCGCUUAUCAUGUGUGUGGACAUGAUGAUAUAUCUGAGCAUUGCCUGAUUGCAUGUCGCAUGACUACCCUCUUCUGCGUGAUUGAGUGUUGCUUGUUCGUGUGGGUCGCGCAUCUAUCCCCUUACCUCCAAAUCUCUUGGUCUCGGUCAUUUCCUUCAUUUCGGUUCUCACUUUUGCAAGUGUGAGGCCUUCUAUGUGCUUGUUCUCUGACUGGGCCAAAGAUUAGGAGUAGGGUCUAGCGAUGGGCUAUAUCGAUGUACGGGAGCAUCCUGGAGGUGACCGACACACUGAUGUCGGGAGGAGUCCGAUUAUUGAAGACCUGUAUAGCCCGGAGCUAGGUUUCAUGGAUAUUCGUGCGACCAGUGUGUUUUCUCUUAUGUUUUAGCUUCUUAGGGUUUUCGGAUGCACCCACACCAUUCACUGUGCACUCUAGUCGACUAUUGAGCGUUGAGAGUUUGAGAGGUUUCACCAUACGAACCCCCUGGGAUGUCGAGGAAGUGCAUGUGUGGAGGUGAUGACCACCUUGCAUGGAAGCGCCCCGUCUCUUCAGAGGCAUGCAGAGGGUUGCGUACCAAUGGAGGGUACGAUCGCUUCUGCUAGGGAUCUUUAAAAUCCACCCAUAUCCAUUUAGAGCCACCUUGACCUUGUAGGUUGAGCCAUAGAUCCUCCGAUUAGGACUCCCUCCCUACACGUGGGUGCGUCUGAAGGCCUUCAGAGACUCUUUAGUUACAGUUCAGACUAUCAUUCAUUUCAUACUUUUCCUAUACCGUAUCCUCAUUCUGCUUCUCAUCUCAUCAGGAUCGGAUUUCGUUCGCAGUCUGGAUACACCUUCUAGGGUCAGAGUUGAGGGGAGAUUAGUCCAGUAUUCAGAGAGACAGAGUAGGGAUCAACAGGUUGUUACUAUGGAUCAGUUCACGGCCGCCAUGGCUUCUAUCUAGGAGGCUUUGGCUAGCCUCAGGCAGGAGAUCAGUGAUCAGCAGGGUAGACCACCAGCAGUUCAGGAUGAGACACCGUAUGACUCACGUCCACGUCCACCACCCCCACCCGUUCCUUCAGUGCCUUAGGCAUCGCCAUAUGUAUUACACGGGCAUUCUGAGGUCUCUCCGCCCGCUGUUGUCCAGACCGCUGUCGCUGAUGACACGUAUGCGCGCAUGGACCGCAUCGAGCAGCGCAUGAGGCAGCUGAGGGUGUCUGAUGGGUCUGCUGUUUGGGAUGAUUUGGAGGGUAUGCCGGUAGCCAGCUUGCCGGCUAAGUUCAGGAUGCCAAAUAUUGAGAGGUACAUUGGUAUCGGUUGUCCACUCAUCCAUCUCCGACUGUAUAGCACCGUGAUGAGGGCUCAUGGACUGGACGAGUCUUAGAUGAUUACUCUAUUCCCACUAUCUGUGAGUGAGGCGGCUCAGCGCUGGUUCGCGUCUCUGGAGUCUUCGAGACACCGUACAUAGAACGACUUGGCCCAGGAGUUCCUACGACAGUUUUCGUUUAACACUAUCGUAGAUGUAUCUAGGAGGGAGCUUGAGGCUCUAAGACAGAGGGCAGAGGAGUCUAUUUCUUCAUUCAUCUCCUGCUGGCGUAGGAAGAUAGCCGAAAUAGUGGAUAGACAGUCAGAGAGAGAUUAGAUUCGGAUGGUUUUGAGGAGCCUACAGCCGAGGAUCGCCAGAUAUGUGGUCGGGGUCCCGUUCACAGAUUUUGGGUCUCUGGUUAUGGCGUUGUAUGAUGUCGAGGACGACAUCUCGAGAGGUUUAUGGGUAGACUCUUCCCCUAGUGAUGUUAAGGAGAAGAAACCAUUUGUAGGACAGAGGUCGAUAGAUGUUAGUGCUAUCAGUUCAUCCAGUCAGAGGCCCCUUAGGCGUCAUCAGCCAAUCCCACAGCUCCUCGAGACUCAUUCAUCUUACACACCUCAGCAGUUCAGGCCACGGGCACCUCGCCCGACUUAUGAUCAGACAUACCAGCCUCAGACACUAGCUCUGCCUUACUAUGCCACUCAAGGCAUCGAGAUGCCUCCUGUUUCUUAUACAGCCACGGGACAGCCAUGCUAUGCUGCACAGUUCACUCCGAGGCCCGCACCUCAUAUCCUAGGCCUCGAGCUCAGCAGACCUCUGCUCCCUUUGUGAUGAGGACGCAGAGGCAGUUCUCACAAAUAGGCAUGCCAUUGAGCCAGGCUCUUCGGAAGCUCACAGAGGCCGGUUUAUUGACUGCACUCACUCCGAGACCACCUCCUCAGCCUCUCCCUCCUCAGUUCAGGAUGGAUCUACAUUGCGCCUAUCAUCAGGGGUCAGGGCAUGAGACUGAUAGGUGUACCGCACUGAGGCACGUCAUCCAGGACUUGAUCGAUCAGGGUUUGGUUCACUUGGGUCAGCCGAGUGUAACCCAAAACCCAUUGCCGACCCACACUGCGCGUGCGGUUCCCCCUCCGAUCGAUAGCAUGCACUCCAUCGACUUCGCUGAGUUUGACGAUCACAUCCACAUGCUGAGUUGGGAUGAGCCGGAGCCAGAGCCUAUAGUGUUAGACGAGAUUCAUGAGAUAGACAUAGUGACUUUGGGUCCUUGGAUGUCCACACCAUUCAGGCUGACUCCUGAGGCGGCAUCAGUAUAGACGACCACUGUCGAGCCAUUGACUUUCCCACAUUACAGUGUUCGGACUCCGUUUGUCUUGAUUCCAGAUGUUGUUGAGUCUCAGACUCAGUAUGUUGAUGAUUCUCAGACUCUCGACAUUCAGUAUGUUCUCCGAGGAGGUAGAGUGAUGCGACAGCCACCUCCCGCGGCAGCUAGGCCAGUUGAGGGUACAUUCGCUCCCGAGGAAGUCAGAGCUGAGGACGAUGAGAUCUUGAGACAGCUGUAGAGCACUCAGGCUCAUAUUUCCAUUUGGAGCCUGUUGGCAUCCUCGAGCACUCACCGUGAUGCUCUGAUUCGAGCUUUGAGGCAGAUCCAGGUUGAGACUACCACCUCCCCCGAGGGGUUGAUUCAUAUGAUGACGGCCGGCAGAGCCACAUGCAUUGUAUUCUCCGAUGACGACCUACCACCGGAGGGCUCGGAUCACACGCGUCCACUCUACAUAUUUGUCGGUUGUUCAGGCCGCCGAGUCCCGUCUGUUCUUCUGGACAAUGGCUCGGCCCUGAACGUAUGUCCUCUAGCCACUGCCAUUGCCCUCGGAUACGCUCCUUCUGACUUCGGUCCCUCCACUCAGACCGUUCGCACAUAUGAUAGCACUUGGAGGGAGGUCAUGGGUACACUGGAGAUCGAGCUACUGAUUGGUCCGACCCCUUUUGUCGUCGUGUUUCAGGUUUUGAGGAUUCCUACAUCCUUUAACCUGCUUCUAGGCCGACCAUGGAUUCAUAGAGCCGGAGCCAUUCCUUCUUCCCUUCAUCACAAGGUGAAGUUUAUUCAUGAUGGCCGGGUCGUCGUGGUACAGUCUGUGGGUGAUAUGUUCAUCUCUGCCGAGCCUGUACUUGAGAUUAGUCACACUGAUGAUGAUCUGUUUCUGACUGGAUUUACCUUUGAUGAGGUGCAGACCCUUGAGAUGGAGGACUUUUGCCGAGACUUUGUAGCUAUGUCAUUUGACCAGCAUGGCAGCACAAUGGUGCUCGAUAUGAUGAGAGGCAUGUCCUAUCUGCCCGGCAUGGGUUUGGGUCGACGCUAGCACGGGCCUAGCGAGUUCAUGACCAUUCCCGAUCAUGACGUACCAUUCGGGCUUGGAUUCAUUCCCACUGAGGCCGACUAUCGUCAUAUGGCGUGGCUGCGUAGGGAGAGGGUGAGGGUUCGCUUGACUCAUACACCCUUUUAUUAUCCUGUUCGCCCAUACACCUUGAGUCUAGUCGAUUACUUCGUGAGGGCAUCGGAGCCACAUGCACCAUCUGAUGGGAUCAUCGGAGGACUCAGCACCACCCAGGAGGCCGAGCUUCAGCGCCUCAUCCAGCAGUUACAGUUGAGUGACGAAGCCCCUGGCCCUUCGACUUCUGCGUUGAUCGCUCCUCCCUCCCCAGAUCGCACGAGCCUCAUGACGCUUUGCUUCCCGGAUGAGAUCGAUGAGCACGGGGCUUUUGCCGAGAUCUGAGACAUAGUGGACGGAGUCGUGCCACAUGACGAGUACGUUGAUGAGAUGCUCGCGAUGAGCUUGAGCCAGAUUGAGGAGACAGCCCCGCCCGAGCUCGCUUCACCAUUUGAUCUCUUCGGGGUGUCCGUCCUCGAGAUCACCGAGGAGAUCCAGGUCGCCCCCACUCCAGAGGUCGCCGAGGAUGUUAUAGUUGCUGUUGGUUUGUUUGAUGGCCCUGUUGGCCUAGUUGAGGGAGCGUCCGAUCUUGUUGACCCACCUCUUUCCUUUGAUGUUUUAUUGGGAUUUGUCUCCCGUCAUGACUAUGUUUCUGACUUUUCAUCUAUGGAUUUGAGCAUCUUUGAGUAUUUGCUUGUCUUUCAUGUUAUUGAUUUAUCGGCACCAUCUUCACCCACAUCACAUAUUUUUGACAUUGAUGAUGAGAUUGCACAGUACGAUUCAGAUGAUGACUCAUCUUCCGCUACCGAUUCGGAUCCCGUUGAUCAGAGGGUUUCGCCUGCUGUAGGGGACACAGAGAUUGUUGAUUUCGGCACCGCAGAUCAGCCUAGGGAGUUGAGGAUCGGGUCAGAUCUAUCUAUAGAUGAGAGGGACAGCCUCAUCCAGUUGCUCAAAGCAUACUUGGACGUUUUCGCAUGGUCCUAUGAGGACAUGCCAGGCCUUGAUCCAUCUAUCGUCCAGCAUCGUUUGCCACUUCUGUCCUAUGCCAGGCCGGUUAAGCAGAAGUUGAGACGAUUGCAUCCUCGUUGGAGCCUGCAGGUCAAGGAGGAGAUUCAGAAGUAGCUUAGUGUAGGAUUCUUAUCAGUGGUCGAGUACCCGGAGUGGUUGGCCAAUGUCGUCCCUGUUCCCAAAAAGGACGGCAAGGUGAGAGUCUGUGUUGAUUUUCGAGAUCUCAACAAGGCCAGUCCUAAGGAUGAUUUUCCUCUUCCACACAUCGACAUGCUAGUUGACAGUACGGCAGGUCAUUCGAUGUUGUCCUUUAUGGACGAAUUUUUUGGGUACAGUCAGAUCUUGAUGGCUCUAGAGGACAUGGAGAAGACGUCUUUCAUUACCGAGUGGGGCACUUAUUGCUAUAGAGUCAUGCCUUUCGGAUUGAAGAAUGUAGGAGCCACCUAUCAGAGAGCAGCGACCACCCUCUUCCAUGACAUGAUGCAUCGGGAUGUCGAAGUUUAUGUAGACGACAUGAUAGUGAAAUCCCGAGGUAGAUCAGAUCACUUAGCAGCCUUGGAGAGGUUCUUUGAGAGGAUCCGACAGUUCAGGUUGAGACUGAAUCCCAAGAAGUGCACUUUUGGAGUGACUUCUGGGAAACUCUUGGGAUAUAUGGUCAAUGAGCGAGGCAUAGAGGUAGAUCCGGACAAGAUUAGAGCCAUCCUUGACAUACCUGCAUCGAGGACAGAGAGAGAGGUCAGAGGCUUCCUAGGCAGACUUCAGUACAUCAGCAGAUUCAUUGCCAGACUGACAGACAUUUGUGAGCCCAUUUUCCGACUCUCGAGGAAGAGUCAACCUACUGUUUGGGAUGAUCAGUGUCAGCAUGCAUUUAAGAGGAUCAGAGAGUACUUGUUAUCACCCCCAGUCUUGGCACCUCCUAUACCCGGCCGUCCUUUACUCCUAUACAUAUCAGUCUCAGACGUAGCAUUGGGAUGCAUGUUAGCUCAGCUCGAUGAUUCGAGCAAGGACCGAGCCAUUUACUAUCUAAGUAAGAGGAUGCUAGACUAUGAGAUGAGAUAUGUCAUAGUUGAGCGCUAUUGCUUGGCAUUGGUUUGGGCCACUCGCCGAUUGAGACAUUACAUGACAGAGUAUUCAGUGCAUUUGAUAUCCCGAUUAGAUCCUUUGAGAUAUUUGUUUGAUAGACCUGCUCUGGUAGGUCGCCUCAUGAGAUGGCUGGUACUUCUGACUGAGUUUGACAUCCAUUAUGUCACUCAGAAGUCCAUCAGAGGGAGCAUUGUCGCAGAUCACCUCGCCUCAUUACCAGUUUCUAAUGCCAGAGCCAUUGAUGAUGGCUUCCCAGACGAGGAUGUCGCUGCUGUGACUAGUUUGUCGGGUUGGCGCAUGUACUUUGAUGGUGCAGCCAACCAUUCUGGAUACGGGAUAGGCGUCUUGUUGAUAUCCCCUCAUGGUGAUCACAUUCCCAGAUCUGUUCGUUUGGCAUUCUCGGAUCGACAUCCGGCCACGAACAACAUUGUUGAGUAUGAGGCUUGUAUCUUAAGAUUAGAGACAGCCCUUGAGCUCGGGAUUAGACAGAUGGAGGUGCUUGGUGACUCCAAUCUGGUAUUGAGACAGAUUCAGGGCGAGUGGAAGACUAGAGAUGCGAAGCUCAAGCCUUAUCACGCAUAUUUGGAGCUACUGGUUGGGAGAUUUGAUGAUUUGAGAUAUACCCAUCUGCCUAGAGCGUAGAACCAGUUUGCCGAUGCUUUAGCUACUCUAGCUUCCAUGAUUGAUGUUCCUACUGAUGCCACUGUUCGCCCAUUGUUGAUCAAGUCGAGGUCUGCUCCUGCAUAUUGUUAUCUGAUUGAUGAUACAGAGAUAGACGAUGAUCUGCCAUGGUACCAUGACAUUUAUCACUUCCUGAGACUUGGCGUAUAUCCUGAGGCCGCCACGGCCAAGGAUACGAGAGCAUUGAGACAGUUGGCCACCCGAUUCGUGAUCUGUGGUGAGACACUGUAUAGACGAUCACUUGAUGGGAUGUUGCUAUUAUGUUUGGACCGCGCCUCUGCCGUUCGAGUGAUGAGAGAGGUUCAUGCGGGAGUCUGCGGACCACAUAUGGGAGGACAUAUGUUGGCCCGUAAGAUCAUGAGGACUGGCUAUUUCUGGUUGACCAUGGAGAUAGAUUGUUGCCAGUUUGUUCAGAGAUGUCCCGAGUGUCAGAUACAUGGAGAUCUCAUUCACGUGUCGCCCUCAGAGUUGCAUGCAUUGAUGUCACCAUGGCCGUUUUCAGUGUGGGGUAUCGAUAUCAUCGGGAAGAUUUCGUCGAAAUCUUCCAAUGGUCAUGAGUUUAUCCUUGUAGCUAUCGAUUACUUCACCAAGUGGGUGGAGGCCGCCUCAUAUGCGAGAUUGACAUCAGCUGGAGUUGCUAGUUUCAUCAGAUCACACAUUAUUUGUCUCUACGAAGUCCCGCAUGAGUUGAUUUCGGAUAGAGGCGAACAUUUCAAAGCAGAUGUUGACGCCUUAGUGCAGAGAUGCAACAUCCGACAUCAUAGAUCGUCUGCGUAUAGGCCGCAGACGAAUGGAGCGGUAGAGGUCACGAAUAAAAAUAUUAAGAGGAUAUUGCGGAGGAUGGUUGAGACUUCUCAGGAUUGGUCAGAGAAGCUCCCAUUUGCAUUGUGGGCUUAUCGGACUUCUUUUUGCACCUCUACAGGCGCCACACCCUACUCAUUGGUAUAUGGCAUGGAGGCGGUGCUCCCCGUUGAGAUUGAGAUGAGAUCAUUGAGAGUAGCACUAGAGCAGAAGAUUCCCGAGAUGGAUUGGGCUCAGGCUCGAUUUGAUCAGCUCAAUCUCCUAGAUGAGAGGAGAUUGAGGGCAGCGGACCAUGUUCGUGCAUACUAGAGGAAGAUGGCCCGCACUUUUAAAAAGCGGGUCAAGCCCAGACCAUUGCAUGUAGGUGACUUAGUCUUGAGAGUCAUCAGAGGAUUGAUCAGAGAUCCUGAGGGAAGUUCAGACCCAGUUGGAGCGGACCUUAUUUCAUCAGGGAGUUGACUCCAGAGGGUGCUGCAUGGCUGAUGGAUCUAGAUGGAAACCGAUUCUCAGAGCCGACCAAUGUAGAUCAGUUAAAGAGGUACUAUGUUUCAGACCAUGGUCGUAAGAUGGGUGGCCAUAAUUUCGGUUUAGCCAUACACCUUGUUAUUCCCCUUGACGUAUAAACCAUUGCUAGCCCAUUGAGCCUCACAUGCGCAUUAUAGCCUUUCUUUCUUAUCGCCUUGCUCACAUUUUCACACCGGGAUAGGGGCCCUUUAAUGUAUGCAUGCAUUGUUUGAGGGUCUCAUGAGCCUUGGACCUAGGAGCAUGUUUUUCUCAUUAUCUUUUCCUAUCACUGCACCUCUGCAUUUUCAUCUCAUCUUGUUGGUUGUGUUAUUUAUCUCUUCUUCCUUAUCCUAACUACUAUUUGUUUGUUUCAUAUUCUCUCCACCCUGAGUGGUGAGCCUCCUCAGUUCAUCACAUGGAGGAUAGUCACAUCAUUUCCACCAUCUAUCUCAUAGACACUGGUUUAGAGAUCCUUAGUUUGAGAAGGUCAUCUCGUCAGAGAGAGCUUUUUGGUUACCUUAGCAUUUGAGAGUGUGUCUAUUCAUUAUUGGUAUCAUCUUUGGGGUUCAUUUGUUUAUGUUCAGGGCAUGUGUAUUUGUAUAUAUGUAAAAAAAAAAAAAAAAAAAGAAUAAUGAGCAUGAUUACUACUCAAAAAGUGCUAUUUGAUAGCUUGUAAUUAAUCCUUUUAAACACUUUUGAGUAGUAGUUUUGGCCUUUUAACCCAAUUAACAUGUUAAGGACCCUUGGAAUCAAUUCUAAUUAAAUUAUGUUAAGUUUUGGUGUUUUGAUAGCCUUUUGAUCACCAAAGCAAUCCGAGAUUGAGGAGAGUUAUAUGGAAUCUUGGGCAAAGCAAUUGGAAGCUCAGAAACAUGAAGAACCAAAGCCUGGAAGUCCUUUGCCAUAAGUAAAUCCGGAAUGCAAGGAGAAGAAGUAAAGAGAAUCUGCCAUGAAGCAUAUUCUUGAUGACAGUCGUGGCUGCCACUUUUGGAGCACUUUUUGAAGUCCAAUUGAUGCAUGCUAUAUACCAUUUCAAAUCUUAGGAAGUCAACAAUCCAAUGCUUUAAACGGUGUACAAUUUGGAGUUGAAAUGAAAAAGUUACAGCCACUGCAAGUCAAUCAUUCUAAGCUGAAGAAAGCAUUUUGCAAAAGUGUUGCGAAAUCACCCUUUUGUUGCGAAGUGAUUUCGCAGCCUUUUUGAACAGUGUGGUGGAUUUCCUCCUGAAGUUGCCCGAUAUAUGCGACAAGUUGGAAGCUGAGAACCUCAAGAUGAAAGCCAACUUCGCAGCCCUGCGAGAAUACCCUUUUGUUGCGAAGUGAUUUCGCAGCCCUUUUUGAGUGUCUGCGAAAUCUCGCAGACAUCAGUUUCUCUUGCGAAAUGGUCCGUAGUGCUUCCCGAUGUUUGCUACCGACAUUGGGAGAUAUUUUCCAUUAGAUUUUUGUUGUCUAAAUCCCAAAAUACUCCUUGUAAGCCACCAAUUACAAGAUUCCUUAGCUUUUAAGUUAGUAAAAAGAGAAAAUAUCCAUGUAAUAAUUAGUUUUAUAUUAUGUUCAUAUAAAUACCUCUCGGGAGCCUGUUCUCGAGGGAGAGGAGACCUUUUGUAAAGUUUUGGAAAAACAAGUAAAGUUCAGGCCCUUUGUUUUACCUUACCUUCUCACUUUGUAUUUUUUAUUUCUUACUAAGUUAUGCACUCUCUGAGGAAUUUUCCCUAGAGAAUGAGUAACUAAACCUUUAGUUCCUUGGAGCUAAGGUUGCCGGGGAAGGUUCCAAUUGCAAGAAUGCAAAGCUUUGUGGUUUCAGCCAUGAAUGAAGAGGAAGUGAAAUCCUUUAGUGAUUUCUAUGAUUUUAGUUAACUUAAAACGCCUUGGAGUCACCUAGGCCAACACUUGGUAAGGCAAGUGAUCUUCAACCAAGGAGAUGCACUAGUUUACUCCUUGCGAGCCUCUGGGAGGUGACUUGAAGGUAGGAUUUUCUGGAAUUGCCAACACUUGGUAAGCUUUUGGACUCCAAGGAGACAUCCAUUAGUUAUCUCUUGCGAGCUUGAGAAGGGAAGUCCAAGGUUAAAGAUCACCUUGAAUGGUUAAGGCUUAGUGAGAGGCUUGAACCAUUGCACGUUGUAUCAGUGAGAAAAUUAAAGUUGAAAUCUAAUUAAAGGAUGUAUCUGUACAUCACCGGUUAGAGAAUUGACUAUAUGUUGAAUCUCUAACGCGAGGAAAUGAACCAUCUGACCGGAGCUAUGUCUUUUGCAUGAGGAACCACCCCAGUGAACCUGACUCUCCAAGGAAUGUUUUUCUUCCUAAGUUAUUCCCAUUACUUGUUUUGUUAGUUAGUUUAAAUCUAAAUCCUUACCAACCAAAGUUUGUGUUUUAUGUCUUAAGCUAACCUUGAAAUGAAACAAGACCAAUUCUCUUUGAAUUGGUAUCAUUGAUAACUUGCUAAUCCUUCCCAGUGAACGAUCCUAGAGCCGCUGUACUAUAGUAGCUUUUUCUUUGCUACCCUAGUAAAUGGUGUAAUAGGUUAUAAAUUUUGUUGAUUACUCCCUCAUCCAAGGAGCACUAGCUGGACGUGAAUCAGCUGAGACACCAAUUGGGCAUGAAUCAAAUGGCGCCGUUGCCGGGGAAGGUGUCAAGUUUAUAGUGAUACUAUUUCAGAGCACUUGUGAUUUUCAUCACAAGUUUGGUAACGUUUCUUUCAUUUUACUAAUUCUCAUUUUUUCUAAUCCAUAAUCCAAAUUUAUCUUUUAAAUUCAGCUUAGUUUAAUUUUGUUCUUGUAGCCCUAUUUCCUUUUGUUGUCCUUUAUUUUCAUUUUAGUUAUAGAUAGAUACUAGUUGUGUAUGCCAAAGUGGAUACGAGACAGUGGAGGAAGGCUUGUUAAAUGUGAUACACCUCAUAACAAAGAAUUCGAAUUGAGCUUGAAUAUCAUGGAAGCUACACCUGAAGAUCAGCAUAGUCACCAAGGUCAUCAAGAUAAUCUCAAUGAAUUUAGAUCAAUGAGGGACCGCAUGCAUCCACCUCGUAUGAGUGCACCAUCAUGUAUAGUGCCCCCUACAGAGCAGCUAGUGAUCAGACCGUAUCUUGUUCCACUUCUACCAACUUUCCAUGGGAUGGAAAGUGAGAAUCCCUAUGCACACAUCAAGGAAUUUGAAGAUGUUUGUAAUACAUUCCAAGAGGGAGGAGCUUUAAUUGAUUUGAUGAGGCUUAAGUUAUUUCCUUUUACUUUAAAGGAUAAGGCCAAAAUUUGGCUUAAUUCUUUAAGGCCAAGGAGUAUCCGUUCUUGGACUGACUUACAAGCUGAAUUCCUUAAGAAAUUUUUUCCCACUCAUAGAACAAAUGGCUUGAAAAGGUAAAUUUCAAACUUCUCAGCUAAAGAGAAUGAGAAAUUCUAUGAGUGUUGGGAAAGAUAUAUGGAAGCUAUAAAUGCUUGCCCUCACCAUGGCUUUGAUACUUGGCUAUUGGUGAGCUAUUUUUAUGAUGGGAUGUCUUCCUCAAUGAAGCAACUCCUCGAGACAAUGUGUGGAGGAGAUUUCAUGAGCAAAAAUCCGGAGGAAGCUAUGGAUUUCUUGAGCUAUGUAGCUAAUGUUUCAAGGGGAUGGGAUGAACCAACCAAAGGAGAAGUGGGUAAGAUGAAAUCUCAACUGAGUGCUUUUAAUGCUAAGGCUGGCAUGUAUACCUUGAAAGAAGAUGAUGAUAUGAAAGCAAAAUUGGCAGCUGUGACAAGAAGAUUGGAGGAGCUGGAGCUGAAAAGAAUAUAUGAAGUGCAAGCUGUUGCUGAAGCACCAGUGCAAGUGAAGCUUUGUCCUAAUUGCCAAUCAUAUGAACAUUUGGUGGAGGAAUGCCCUGCAAUUUCAGCUGAAAGGGAAAUGUUUAGAGAUCAAGCAAAUGUUGUUGGACAAUUCAAGCCCAAUAACAAUGCGCCUUAUGGAAAUACUUACAACUCAAGUUGGAGGAAUCAUCCAAAUUUCUCAUGGAAGGCCAGAGCAACUCAGUACCAACAGCUGGAUCCACCAUCUCAACAAUCUUCAAGUCUUGAACAAGCAAUGGCUAAUCUCAGCAAGGUAGUGGGAGAUUUUGUUGGAAACCAAGAAGCCAUCAAUGCUCAAAUCAAUCAAAGAAUUGACAGAGUGGAGAGUACUUUGAAUAAAAGGAUGGAUGGAAUGCAAAAUGAUAUGUCCCAAAAGUUUGAUAAUCUCCAAUACUCAAUUUCAAGGCUUACAAAUUUGAACACACUCCAAGAAAAGGGAAGAUUUCCUUCUCAACCCCACCAAAACCCCAAGGGUAUCCAUGAAGUGGAAAGCCUUGAGGGGGAAUCAUCACAGAUGAAAGAUGUCAAAGCCUUGAUCACUCUAAGGAGUGGAAAAAAAAUUGAGAAGCCAACACCCAAGCCACAUGUUGAGAAAGAAGAAGAGAUAAAGAAAGGGGAUGGAAUGGAAGACAAAGAGAGUGAGAUCAGUGAAAAGAAGAAGGACUCUGAUUCAACAAUGAAUGCAAUUCUAGAGAAGGAACUUCUGAAGGAAGAAAUGCUGAAGAAGUCAACUUCUCUUCCUUUUCCUCAAGCAUUGCAUGGGAAAAAAGGGAUUAGAAAUGCAUCUGAAAUCCUUGAGGUAUUGAGACAAGUGAAAGUCAAUAUCCCAUUGCUGGAUAUGAUUAAACAAGUUCCAACAUAUGCAAAGUUCCUAAAGGACUUAUGUACUAUUAAAAGAGGGUUGACUGUAAAUAAGAAAGCCUUCUUGACUAAGCAAGUAAGUGCAAUCUUACAAUGUAAAUCUCCAUUGAAGUACAAAGAUCCGGGAAGUCCUACCAUUUCAGUCAUGAUUGGAGGAAAGGUAGUGGAGAAAGCUUUGUUAGACUUGGGAGCAAGUGUGAAUUUGCUUCCAUACUCGGUCUACAAGCAAUUGGGACUUGGUGAGUUGAAGCCAACGACAAUCACUCUAUCUCUAGCAGAUAGAUCAGUGAAAAUUCCAAGGGGGGUAAUUGAGGAUGUCUUGGUUCAAGUUGAUAAUUUCUACUAUCCGGUAGAUUUUAUUGUUCUUGAUACAAAUCCUACUGUAAAGGAAGCUAAUUUAGUUCCUAUCAUCCUUGGAAGGCCAUUCCUUGCUACUUCAAAUGCUAUCAUCAACUGCAGGAAUGGGCUGAUGCAACUCACUUUUGGCAACAUGACACUUGAUCUCAAUAUUUUCUAUAUGUCUAAAAAGCAAACCACUCCGGAAGAAGAAGAGGGUCCAGAAGAGCUGUGCAUUAUUGACACUCUGGUGGAGGAGCACUGUAAUCAAAAUAUGCAAGAAAAGUUGAAUGAAAGUCUUGCGGAUUUUGAGGAAGGUUUGUCUGAACCCCCUAAUGUGCUUGCUACUCUACAAAGUUGGAGAAGGAUAAAAGAGAUUCUACCUUUGUUCAAUAAAGAAGAAGAGGCAGCUGCUGAAAAAGAAACUCCAAAACUCAAUCUGAAGCCUCUACCCGUGGAGCUGAAAUAUACAUACCUUGAAGAAAACAAUCAAUGUCCUGUUGUGAUAUCUUCAUCUCUGACCAGUCAUCAAGAGAAUUGUUUAAUGGAAGUUCUCAAGAGGUGUAAGAAGGCAAUAGGAUGGCAAAUAUCCGACUUGAAAGACAUUAGUCCUUUAGUUUGUACUCAUCAUAUAUAUAUGGAGGAGGAAGCAAAGCCAAUUCGUCAACUUCAAAGAAGAUUGAAUCCUCAUUUACAAGAGGUGGUGCGAGCUGAGGUGCUGAAGCUACUUCAAGCAGGUAUUAUUUACCCUAUAUCUGAUAGCCCUUGGGUAAGUCCUACUCAAGUGGUACCAAAGAAGUCAGGGAUUACUGUGGUUCAGAAUGAAAAAAGGGAAGAGAUUACUACACGCCUUACUUCAGGUUGGAGGGUGUGUAUUGAUUAUAGAAAGUUGAAUGCUGUAACCAGGAAAGAUCAUUUUCCAUUGCCAUUUAUUGACCAAGUGCUGGAGAGAGUCUCUAGACAUCCGUUCUAUUGUUUCUUGGACGGGUAUUCAGGGUAUUUUCAGAUUGAAAUUGAUGUGGCAGAUCAGGAAAAAACCACCUUUACAUGUCCAUUUGGAACAUAUGCUUACAGAAGAAUGCCUUUUGGUUUAUGCAAUGCACCUGCAACAUUUCAAAGAUGUAUGUUGAGUAUUUUCAGUGAUAUGGUGGAGCGAAUUAUGGAGGUUUUCAUGGAUGAUAUCACCGUAUAUGGAGGUACAUUUGAGGAAUGCUUAGUCAAUUUGGAAGCGGUUCUUCACAGAUGCAUUGAAAAAGACCUGGUGCUCAACUGGGAGAAAUGCCAUUUUAUGGUACGUCAAGGAAUUGUCCUUGGCCAUAUCAUCUCCAAAAAAGGCAUUGAAGUUGAUAAAGCAAAGGUGGAUCUUAUUGUCAAAUUGCCAUCCCCAACAACUGUAAAAGGAGUAAGGCAGUUCCUUGGCCAUGCAGGUUUCUAUAGGAGGUUUAUAAAAGGUUUUUCAAGUCUUUCAAAACCUCUUUGUGAGCUGUUAGCUAAGGAUGCUAAGUUUAUAUGGGAUGAAAGAUGUCAAAAUACCUUUGAUCAACUGAAGAAAUUUUUAACAACAACUCCAAUAGUGAGGGCCCCUAAUUGGCAAUUACCCUUUGAACUGAUGUGUGAUGCCAGUGACUUUGCUAUAGGAGCUGUGCUUGGCCAAAGAGAUGAUGGGAAGCCCUAUGUGAUCUACUAUGCAAGCAAAACACUGAAUGAAGCUCAAAGGAACUAUACAAUUACAGAGAAAGAAUUGUUAGCUGUGGUAUUUGCCUUGGACAAAUUUCGUGCUUAUUUGGUAGGAUCUUUCAUCAUUGUCUUCACUGACCAUUCAGCCUUGAAGUAUUUAUUGACAAAGCAAGAUGCAAAAGCAAGGUUGAUUAGAUGGAUUCUUUUGUUACAAGAAUUCGAUCUUUAAAUCAAAGAGAAGAAAGAAGUGGAGAAUGUGGUAGCUGACCACCUUUCAAGGUUAGUUAUAACACAUAAUUCCCAUCCCUUGCCUAUUAAUGAUGAUUUUCCUGAAGAAUCACUCAUGUUCCUAGUGAAAACUCCUUGGUAUGCUCAUAUUGCUAAUUAUUUAGUUACUGGUGAAAUUCCAAGUGAGUGGAAUGCACAGGACAGGAAACAUUUCUUUGCCAAAAUUCAUGCUUAUUAUUGGGAGGAGUCCUUUCUUUUUAAGUAUUGUGCAGAUCAGAUUAUAAGAAAGUGUGUCCCUGAAGAUGAGCAACAAGGGAUUCUAAACCAUUGUCAUGAGAAUGCAUGUGGAGGCCACUUUGCCUCUCAGAAAACAGCCAUGAAGGUAUUGCAAUCAGGGUUUACUUGGCCAUCUCUUUUCAAAGAUGCCCACAUCAUGUGUAGGAGUUGUGAUAGAUGCCAAAGGCUUGGAAAGCUAACAAAAAGAAAUCAAAUGCCUAUGAACCCCAUUCUAAUAGUUGAGCUAUUUGAUGUAUGGGGCAUUGAUUUCAUGGGACCUUUCCCAAUGUCUUUUGGUAAUUCUUACAUUUUGGUGGGGGUGGAUUAUGUUUCUAAAUGGGUUGAGGCAAUCCCCUAUAAACACAAUGAUCACAGGGUGGUUCUCAAGUUUCUUAAAGAGAACAUUUUCUCAAGAUUUGGGGUGCCCAAAGCCAUCAUCAGUGAUGGAGGUGCUCAUUUUUGCAACAAACCUUUUGAAGCUCUGUUAUCCAGAUAUGGAGUAAAGCAUAAGGUAGCUACACCUUAUCAUCCUCAGACUUCUGGGCAAGUUGAGCUAGCUAACAGGGAAAUAAAGAACAUAUUGAUGAAAGUGGUGAAUGCAAGUAGAAAAGAUUGGUCUAUUAGGCUUCAUGAUUCAUUGUGGGCAUAUAGAACAGCUUAUAAGACUAUUCUUGGCAUGUCUCCCUAUCGUCUUGUCUAUGGCAAAGCAUGUCAUCUCCCUGUGGAAGUUGAAUACAAAGUUUGGUGGGCAAUAAAGAAGCUGAACAUGGACUUGAUCAGAGCCGGAGCAAAGAGAUAUCUAGACCUUAAUGAGAUGGAGGAAUUAAGAAAUGAUGCUUAUAUCAAUUCCAAAGUUGCAAAACAGAGGAUGAAGAAGUGGCAUGAUCAAUUAAUUUCCAACAAAGAAUUUCAGAAAGGGCAAAAAGUUUUACUGUAUGACACAAGACUCCAUAUCUUUCUUGGAAAGCUCAAGUCAAGGUGGAUAGGGCCGUUCAUUAUUCACCAGGUUUACGUCAAUGGAGUGGUGGAAUUAUUGAAUUCAAAUGGCAAGGACACCUUUAAAGUCAAUGGAUAUCGUCUCAAGCCAUUCAUGGAGCCAUUCAAACAAAAAAAUGAGGAAAUCAGCCUCCUUGAGCCAUAAAAAGCCUAAGCAAAGAAGGGUUUGGUGGACGUGGUUUUACCACAGUCCAAAAUUUUUUGUAAAUUUUGUAAAUUUCAAAGUUUUUUUCCAUACUUUUGAUCUUAGUUUUUGAUCUUAAAUCAUGUUUUUAUGUGUGUUGUAAUCUUUUUGAAUGAUCCCAGGUGGAAGAAAAUGCAAAGAAAUUCAAAGGAAGAAAUCAGAGCGAAAUCGGACCAAAAACAGAGUGCAAACAGAGCAAAAACAGGGGUCUGCGAGAUUUCGUAACCUCUGCGAAAUUAGCACUUCGCUGCGAAACCAUUUCGCAACCUAAAAGAAGCCGCAGCGGAAUCGACGUUUCUCUAUGAAAGCGGCCAUCCUUUGCGAAAUCAUUUCGCAGAUCCAUUUUCUCCUCUGCGAAAAUUUUCGAAGCUACGAAGCCAAGUUUGGCACACGAGUGCCACUUCGCAACACAGGAGCCCUCAAUUCGCAGCUGCGAAACGGCUGCGAAGCGAUAAAGCGUAAAAAUCCCUGAUUUCGCAACCAAAGUUCCAUCCCACAGGGUAUUUCGCAAUUGCGAAAGCGAUUUUGGCACACGUGUACCACUUUGCAGCACAGUGACACUCAAUUCGCAGCUGCGAAAUAGAUUGCGAAGUGGCUGCGAAAAUGACUUUUUGCUGCGAAAUUGGCCUUUUUCUGCGAAACUCAAAAUGACCCUUAAUAUUCCGUUAUUUUUAUAUAUACCGGUCAUUUGAGCUACGAAAGGGUUUCAAAAAGAGAGCGCGCCAUACUUGCAGACUGUUCAUCUCCUUGCUAAAGCCCGAUGCCGCACAAACCUCCGUUCAUCUUCUCCGGUCGACACUUCCGGCCAAAUUUCGGCAACCCAAAAUGGCGCGAACCAGAGGGGCCAAGUCUUCCUCUCCUUCAAGCCGCAAGAAAGUCCCGCGAGAGGAGCCCGUUCCAGGUCCCAUUUCUGAGCCUCAGCGGCCAAAAGCAGUUUCUCCUCCGGUGAAGCCCGCGCCGCCAAAGCCUCUGGUGAGGCGUUAUCUCACCAGGUCAGGGGGUCGGCCACUGCAAAAGAGAGACAGGGUUGAAAGCACAGAACCCAUUGAUUUAACGAAGCAGUCCCCAGAACCCUCGCCGGUUCUCUCGCCAGUUUCGUCUCCGGUGCCGCCAGCAGAGCCUUAGGAGCCUCAAUCGCCACUUCCCGAGCCCCAAAUUCUAGCUGAAAUAGCUCCAGAAGAAAUAAUCAGGAGGCCAAUGCUGACUCAGCCUCCAAUUGAGGGGAAUUUGGACUGUAGAGCUCGACCAUUCCACUCUGAGCUGUGAUUUGACAUAGCUACAUUCCAAUUGCGGCCGGAGCUUGCAUAGUCAUUCCACCUGCUGCGAAGAUACCAUAUGGAGCACCUGCUGACUCCAAGAGACUUUUUCUACCCCAGAGUAGCCAUGGAUUUUUAUCAGUCCAUGACUACCAAACAGGUCAGGGAUCCUACUUUAAUUCAUUUUACCAUUGAUGGGAGGCAUGGCAUAUUGGGAGCUCGCCAUAUAGCUGAGGCCUUACAAAUACCAUAUGAGCCAACUCAUUUUGAGGAUUUUAGAGUGUGGACCAGUCCCACUGAGCUGGAAAUGGUGCAUAUCCUGUCCAGAGGAGGUUCCACAUGACCACAUCUGUUGAGGGGGGAGCUUCCUCCAAGCAUGUUUCUUAUUGAUGCAUUUCUCCGUCAUAACCUCUACCCACUGCAACAUUGGACUCAAAGGAGAGGAGUCCUGUUAGAAGGCCUAUUCAAGAUGUAUGAGGGAUAUUUCUUCGGCCCUCACCAUCUAAUUAUGGUAGCCUUUCUCUAUUUCGAAGAGAAGGUACAUAAAAAGAAGUUGCAGAGAGCUGAUGCCAUUCCUCUUCUCUUUCCAAGGCUGCUGUGCCAAAUUCUAGAGCACCUGGGGUAUCCAUCAGAGCCUUAGUUGGAGCGCAAGCGCAUUUGCCGAGAGGUAUUUACUCUCGACAAAUGGAACAACAUGACAGCCUAUAGAGUUGACCAGCCAGAGCGCGAACACCCAGCUGCUAGGAGAGCAUCCCCACGACACAUACCUAAGGGUAUACCUAUUGCUGCUCCUGCCAUUCCCAGAGCUCCACCAGUUACUCCAGCUUCAUCUUAGCCAUCCACUUCAGCUGAACCAAGGAUGGCCAUUCCCAUUUCUGAAUACAGAGAGUUAUGUCGUUCAUUGGAGACCCUCACAGCAUCACAGAGCAGCCUUGCUCAUGAGAUGGCAGCCAUUCGAGCAUGCCAAGAGCAGAUGUUGGCCACCCAGGCUCAGUACACUACCAUCUUAAGGCAGCUCCAGCAUCAUUUUGAUCUGCCACGAGCUGCUGAGCCCUCUACCUCUACCACAGCAGUGCCACACUCUCAUCCCACAGAGCCUCAGGCCCCAUCUAGAGCAGCUACUGAAGAGGCAGACCCGUCUGCCUAGCCCCAGCACCACCCACUCAUCAGAUCAAUAUAUAUAUAUACUGCCUAUGUUUUUUUUUUUUUUUUAUGUAUUUCGUUUUUUAGUUUGUAAGAAAUCUCAUUAUUUUGGUACCAUAUUUGGGAUUUCUUGUAUUGCCUUUCUUUUUCAUUGUACUCAAAUGGAUUCAAAGCAAUACAAGUUUAAUAUUUUUUUUUUGUUAACCUUUAGCAUCAAUUUAUUCUUAUUUCCUUUUCUCACAUCUUUUAUUCUUUUUGAAACAUGUGGUUUCUCCAAUCAGUAUUCGAAAUUGAUAUCAUUCAGGAGGUACCACUUCCUCCCUUUAAUUGCAAUCACUCAUAUCACAUUGAGGACAAUGCUCAGUUCGGUUGGGGGGGGGGGGGGGGGAAUGAGGAAGGAAGUAUGCUAAGUCAUUAUGGUAAUACAAUUAUAUUGGUAAAUCAGUUGUAGUUUUUGCUUUUUACUCUUUUUAUUCUAUUCUCCAUGGAUUUUGAGGAAAAAUUUUCAAAUUAAAAUAGGAGAAAUUGAACUGUUGCUUUUCACUUGACUUAGAGUAUGGAUUAUGCUUACUAAAGUGGUUCAAUUGUUGAAGCUUCUAUUGAAAUCAAAUUUAAUUCUUCCACUUUAAGCUAUUCACACACUGUGCACAAUAGAUUCCGAUUAUAAGAUGAAAAGCUAUUUCCCUCUUGACUUAGAAUAAUUUUGGGACUUGGUACAUUUGACCUUAUUUAAUAAUAUUGAGACACCUUAUGAAAGGCCAAUGAGCCUUUGAAAUAAAGAAAGAAAGUUGUUUUCUUGACUUGAAACCCGAGUAAGGUCUGAGGGGUAUAUGGUGAAAAUCUUUAAAGCCUGGUGCCCUAAGCCUUAAUUGGUUGGGAGUCACCGACCUCAAUGCUCGUUACAAGGGUGAAUAGGUAGAGUUAGCAUAUGGUAGGUGCUUGGGUAUUAGAAAUUCAUUCUCAAAAGUCCGGGGAAAAAUCCGAGGAGUUAGUGGUUGAAAUAUCCUUAAAGCUUGAUGCCCUAAACCUUAAUUGGUUGGGAGUCAUCGAUGGACCCCCAUUACAUGGACAAUUUAGAAAGAGUACCCCAUUAAGCCUCCUUAAAAAAAAAAAAAAAAAGUGUGUUCUUUUCUUAUUGAUUUUGGUCAGUUUGCUAAGUGUUGAAAAGAGAUAGGUUGGGGGGAGAGAUUAGUUUAGCAUAUUAUUUUCGGAAGCUAAGGAACCAAUACACAUAGAUUUUUGAGGAAGAAUAAAGUUUGGUUCUUUGAAAGUGGAAAUGAUUUUAAAACUUCAGUUUGCAUAAUGCAUUCCCUUGAUUGACAGUGUUUAGCAUAGUUUGUUAUAACUCUUGUUGAAAUUUGGGUUUGUAUUUCUUCAAUGUUCCAUGUGGGAGUUAGAUCAUCAUGCCACUUAAAUAUAUAUAUAUAUUUUUUUUUUGAAGUAAUCAGCAUGAUGUUGUAAAUUAUAGUAAUGUUUAUUUUUAUUUUUUCUCCUUUAUUGUUAAGGGACUAGCAAUAUGUCGGUUGGGGGGAGUGAUUACUACUCAAAAAGUGCUAUUUGAUAGCUUGUAAUUAAUCCUUUUAAACACUUUUGAGUAUUAGUUUUGGCCUUUUAACCCAAUUAACAUGUUAAGGACCCUUGCAAUCAAUUCUAAUCAAAUUAUGUUAAGUUUUGGUGUUUUGAUAGCCUUUUGAUCACCAAAGCAAUCCGAGAUUGAGGAGAGUUAUAUGGAAUCUUGGGCAAAGCAAUUGGAAGCUCAGAAACAUGAAGAACCAAAGCCUGGAAGUCCUUUGCCAUAAGUAAAUCCGGAAUGCAAGUAGAAGAAGUAAAGAGAAUCUGCCAUGAAGUGAUUCUUGAUGACAGUCGUGGCAGCCACUUUUGGAGCACUUUCUGAAGUCCAAUUGAUGCAUGUUAUAUACCAUUUCAAAGCUCAGGAAGUCAACAAUCCAAUGCUUCAAACGGUGCACAAUUUGGAGUUGAAACGAAGAAGUUACAGCCACUGUAAGUCAAUCACUCUAAGCUAAAGAAAGCAUUUUGCAAAAGUGUUGCGAAAUCACCCUUUUGUUGCGAAGUGAUUUCGCAGCCUUUUUGAACAGUGUGGUGGAUUUCCUCCUGAAGUUGCCCGAUAUAUGCGACAAGUUGGAAGCUGAAAACCUUAAGAUGAAAGCCAACUUCGCAGCCCUGCGAGAAUACCCUUUUGUUGCGAAGUGAUUUCGCAGCCCUUUUUGAGUGUCUGCGAAAUCUCGCAGACAUCAGUUUCUCUUGCGAAAUGGUCCGUAGUGCUUCCCGAUGUUUGCUACCGACAUUAGGAGAUAUUUUCCAUCAGAUUUUUGUUGUCUAAAUCCCAAAAUACUCCUUGUAAGCCACCAAUUACAAGAUUCCUUAGCUUUUAAGUUAGUAAAAAGAGAAAAUAUCCAUGUAAUAAUUAGUUUUAUAUUAUGUUCAUAUAAAUACCUCUCGGGAGCCUGUUCUCGAGGGAGAGGAGACCUUUUGUAAAGUUUUGGAAAAGCAAGUAAAGUUCAGGCCCUUUGUUUUACCUUACCUUCUCACUUUGUAUUUUUUAUUUCUUACUAAGUUAUGCACUCUCUGAGGAAUUUUCCCCAGAGAAUGAGUAACUAAACCUUUAGUUCCUUGGAGCUAAGGUUGCCGGGGAAGGUUCCAAGUGCAAGAAUGCAAAGCUUUGUGGUUUCAGCCAUGAAUGAAGAGGAAGUGAAAUCCUUUAGUGAUUUCUAUGAUUUUAGUUAACUUAAAACGCCUUGGAGUCACCUGGGCCAACACUUGGUAAGGCAAGUGAUCUUCAACCAAGGAGAUGCACUAGUUUACCCCUUGCGAGCCUCUGGGAGGUGACUUAAAGGUAGGAUUUUCUGGAAUUGCCAACACUUGGUAAGCUUUUGGACUCCAAGGAGACAUCCAUUAGUUAUCUCUUGCGAGCUUGAGAAGGGAAGUCCAAGGUUAAAGAUCACCUUGAAUGGUUAAGGCUUAGUGAGAGACUUGAACCAUUGCACGUUGUAUCAGUGAGAAAAUUAAAGUUGAAAUCUAAUUAAAGGAUGUAUCUGUACAUCACCGGUUAGAGAAUUGACUAUAUGUUGAAUCUCUAACGCGAGGAAAUGAACCAUCUGACCGGAGCUAUGUCUUUUGCAUGAGGAACCACCCCAGUGAACCUGACUCUCCAAGGAAUGUUUUUCUUCCUAAGUUAUUCCCAUUACUUGUUUUGUUAGUUAGUUUAAAUCUAAAUCCUUACCAACCAAAGUUUGUGUUUUAUGUCUUAAGCUAACCUUGAAAUGAAACAAGACCAAUUCUCUUUGAAUUGGUAUCAUUGAUAACUUGCUAAUCCUUCCCAGUGAACGAUCCUAGAGCCGCUGUACUAUAGUAGCUUUUUCUUUGCUACCCUAGUAUAUGGUGUAAUAGGUUAUAAAUUUUGUUGAUUACUCCCUCAUCCAAGGAGCACCAGCUGGACGUGAAUCAGCUGAGACACCAAUUGGGCAUGAAUCAAAUGGCGCCGUUAUUGGGAGUUCGUAUGUGAGCUCUCUGAGAUCCCAUGUUAUUUGCAUUGCUUUGUCAUAUCUAUUUGUGAGAGAGAUGAGUGACCUUCUCCUAAGGACUCUGAGUCAUUGUCCUUUCCAUCAUUACAAUCAUUAUUGAUGUGACUUCACUUUAUGUUUGAUCUGAGUCGAUCACCACCUUUCUUCACAUAUUCAUUGUUUAGCUGUCAUUUUUAUUGUUGCUUGUGAUUCAUCUCAUUCACUUCACAUCUUAUUCUCUCCUUACAGCAACCCAUCUCGGGUUUGAUACUCACUUCGCGUCAUCAUUACACACAUUACUAUCAGUUCAUUUUGCUUCAUUUGUCUCCUUAUCGACAUCAUAUUCACGUUAGGCAUCCUCAGGUCCAUGGCUCAUGGGAUUCACUAUACAUGUUGCAUUUCAUAUAUGAGGGCAUGGUUUUCUAAUCAUCGGGUAUUUGGGCCUAGUUUCCUUUCAUUUCUAUUACCCUAUCGCCUUAGCCUACGUUACGUCCCGUGUCUUAAGACCACCCUGAGGCCAUGGGAUCAGAUGUCAUCUUUGACAGCCUCUAAUUGGACAGGUGUUUGAGAUCUGGUCGACAUUUAGAUAUUGUCAUGCUUCUUCUUCUGGGAGUCGCCUCUUUGAUGUGUAGGACCGAUUCAGUUGUGUUCGAAUUACUGGGAUCGUGAGUUUAACGAUGAUUGAUUUGGUGUCACCUGAUUUUUGACCUAUUGUACCUCUAGUGCCACACUAGGGCAUAUCCUAUUUCAUUUGGAGGUUUACGGAUCCUCACGGACUUGCACGAUCAUCAUCAUUUAUGAGAUGCUCACUGAGAUGUGGACGUGAUCGUUACCUUACGGAGCCUCUCGAGACCCAUCCAACUAGGUCCGCACUUCUUGACACUUGGAUGCCAUCAUGCUUCUCCAUCCGGGAGGUACAUCCUGGAUCUAUGUGCAUGAUUUCAGUUAUGGAUUUGGAUGACCAGUAUUACAUGUUCGACGAGAGAUGACUUCAUGUCAUUUUGUUCUUCGGACCUGUCGCGCACCUAAUGCCAUACUGGGGCAUAUUUCCGUUUUGGAUGAUAUUUACUGAUUUUCAUGGAGGUCACAUGUGCGACGAUAGAUGACUUCAUGUCAUUGUGUUCUUCGAACCUGUCGCGCACCUGAUGCCAUACUGGGGCAUAUUUCCGUUCGGAUGAGAUUUACAGAUCAGGAGGGAGUUGUGUGCUUAUCCUUAUUUGCGAGAUGUAUGCCGAGAUGAUGAUCUAUUCGCUGUCCUCACGAUCAUUCCUUAGUGGAGCCUAUUGAGAGCCAUCUAGCCAGGCCCGCGCUUUUAGAUGCUUAGAUGUCGUCAUGCUUCCUUCCGAGGGACGCCCCUUUGAUUUAUGGGUUUGAUUCAGUUGCAGGCAUAGAUGAUUUGAGCUCAUCUGAUUUUUUUUUUAGCAUGUUGCAUUCUUGAUGCCACACUGGGGCAUAUUCCCCAUUUCGAUCGAGAUGUGGAGAUCCCCCACUGAUUUGCAUGAUCAUCCCCAGUUAUGAGAUACACGUCAGGUUGAUGAUUCGAUUUCAUUUUGUGCUGAUACUCCGAGGAGCCUCUCUUGAGCCGUUCAGCUAGAUUCUUACUCUCUGAUAUAGUCGUGGUUCUUGGACGAAGUUAUGUCGAGUGCCUAGAUUCCCACAUCAUCAUUUUAGUGGGGUGCAUAUCAAGUCUUUUACGCAUAUCAGGAUAGAUCGGGUACAUCUGAUGCCAUACUGGGGCAUAUUGCCCUCAUUUAGCCUCGUGUUGAUUUCAUGGUUGUCAGACGCAUUCGUCGAUCUUUGCGAGUUAUCACCUAGAGCAUCCCCUUACCGUCAGUUUGUUUAGGGCGUUCCCCCUACUGUCAUUUUGUUUAGGGCAUCCCCCUAUUAUUUUCUGGUGUAGCAUUUAGAGUUAGCCUUUUGGUUUGGCUUCCAAAGCUGUUAUUUUCUCAGUGUAGCAUUUAGAGUUAGUUUUUUUAGUUUGGCUUCCAGAGCUAUUAUUUUCUCAGUUUAGCAUUUAGAGUUAGUUUUUUUGGUUUAGCUUCCAGAGCUAUUGUUCUCUCGGUUUAGCAUUCAGAAUUAACUUUUUGGUUUGGCUUCUAGAGCUAUUAUUUUCUAGUCUAGUGUUUAGAGUUAGCUUUUUGGUUUGGCUUCCAAAGCUAUUAUCUUCUCAGUUUGGUGUUUGGAGUCAGUCUCGUAAUUCAGAGUCAGUUUGUUUAGGGCAUCCCCCUAUUUUUAGCUUGUUUAGGGCAUCCCCCUAUUUUCAGCUUGUUUAGGGCAUCCCCCUAUUUUCAGUCUGUUUAGGGCAUCCCCCUACCUUCAGUUUGUUUAGGGCAUCCCCCUUUGUUUCGGUUUUUCACCACCAUAGAUCAGACAUCUAUGGGCAUUUCAGAUUAUCACUACCAUAGAUCAGAAAUCUAUGGGCAUUUCAGAUUAUCACCACCAUAGAUCAGACAUCUAUGGGCAUUUCAGAUUAUCACCACCAUAGAUUUUCAUCUAUGGGCAUUUCAGUCAUUUCACCACCAUAGAUUUUCAUCUAUGGGCAUUUCAGUCAUUUCACCACCAUGAAUUUUCAUCCUUAGGCUUUCAUAUUAUCACCACCAUGGAUUUUCAUCCUUGGGCUUUCAGAUUAUCACCACCAUGGAUUUUCAUCCUUGGGCUUUCAGUUAUCUCACCACCAUAGAUCAGACGUCUAUGGGCAUUUUUAUUGUAUCGCCACUGUAGGUCUUCACAUAUGGGCCUUCUAGUCUAGUGUUUAGAGUUAGCUUUUUGGUUUGGCUUCUAGAGCUAUUAUUUUCUCAGUUUAGCAUUUAGAGUUAGCUUUUUGGUUUGGCUUCCAGAGCUAUUAUUUUCUCAGUUUAGCAUUUAGAGUUAGCUUUUUGGUUUGGCUUCCAAAGCUAUUAUUUUCUCAGUUUAGCAUUUAGAGUUAGUUUUUUUUGUUUGGCUUCCAAAGCUAUUAUUCUUUCGGUUUAGCAUUUAGAAUUAGCUUUUUGGUUUGGCUUCCAGAGCUGUUAUUUUUCUUAGUUUAGCGUUUAGAGCCAGCCUUGUCGUUUAGAGUCACAGCUCCUGACGUUCAUAUUCACUGGCAUUGCACGUCUCCCCUUCAUGGAUUUGCACUUAUUCUCACUCUCCUCACCCCGUUACCCGGUGCUUAUCGUAUAUUUAUCACGUAGUCGCAUAGGGCAAUCUCCUUUGGACGCAUUCUUGUUCAUACUCCAGGGUGGUUCGACCGUUACUUAUUUUUGACAUCGAUUUUUGGGUCACUUUUGGAGAUAUCUUAGAGAGAGCCUGGAUCCUUAGUGUAGCUUCAGAGGCACUUGAGACAUCAUAUUUCUCUUUUAAGAUUAGAGCCUUUGUGUUCGUUUGUUGGCCUGAGCGACUUUGCGUUUCACCAUUGUCCCUAUGGGGGUCUCCUUGGUUCUUCAGUAGAGUUCACUUCAUUCCACUCACUAUUCACACUUGCUUUUCACUCCAGCAUUCAUAUUCCUUACACUCGUGAACUCUACCAAAGAGGGGCAUAUUUGUAGACCCCCAUUUAGGCAUGGGUCACUUUUUCUCUAUUUGUUUUUGCAGAUCGCAUUUUUAGCUAGGUGUCGCUAUCCCGACGGGCCACGUGUUGCAUCCUUAGUGGCCAUAAGGAAUCAACCUCGCUUUUUGAAGCUGAAGAAGGAGUGGGACAAAAAAGGUGGAUGCCGAAAAGGUGGCAAAAAAAAAAGGUGGCUGCAGAAGGAGUGGGACAAAAAAGGUGGCAGAAAAGGUGGCUGCAAAAGGAGUGGGACAGAAAAUGUGGCUGCAGCAGGGAUCGUUGGGAAGGCAAAUCCAGAGGGCUUAGGAGAUUUUCUCUGGGAGGUUUUCCAUGGCCAAGAGUGAGUAACGGAGGGGGGGGGAGGUUUUUCUGAACUAAGAGAGUAAGCUACGGAGGAGGGAUAGUGAGUCCUUGAUGGCAGAGAGAGAGACAUUUGAGGCGAGCUGCUUUACCUGAGGAGUCUUUGGAGAGAGAAACUCAUUGAGAGAGCUGAGACUUGAUUUCUUUGCUUGAAGAACCAGGUAUGUAAGCAGUUUUCUCCUCGUCUCUCAUUAUUCAUUGAUUUUCCAUAACAUAAUGCUGUUUUGGGUGGAUGUUGAAGGCCACUGAUCUGUUUGUUGAUAUGUAUGCUUGCAUUUGUGUAGAUUUGUCCAUCUUUUAAUUUGAUAUGCUCCCGUUGUGGUUAUGAAAUGCUUGAGAAUCAUGAGGGUGGUUGCAUUUGAUAUGGUUUACCCACAUGCUCAGAAGAUUCAUGGAUGAUUCAUGAAGUGGAUUUUAUGAUAUUUUCCUUUAUUUAUUCAUCUUCUUUCAUGCUCUGUUUCUCUACUUCCCUUGUUUCUUGAUAUCCGUCCAUGGUACGAGUCCAUUUUCUCACCCCCGCUCGAAAGAGAUCCUAGAAAAUCUGGAGUAGUUGUCAUGGCAGCAAAGCUCACCUCAUCAGCAUGCCCAUGCCCAUUUUCAUUUAUUAUUCAUCGUUUUAUCCAAUAUGCCUACGUCCCCAUCGUUCAUCUAUCCACCUCUCUCUCUAGGCCGUCAUACCCAUUUCCUCGCUCAAGCUUGCAGGAAUCAGGCAUCCUCCACUGCACUCAUUUUCCUCUCAUUCAUUCUCCAUCCCACUCCCCCGCUUACAUGGAGUCUCCCGGGUGCGUACUUUCCUUCACUCUUUUGCAUACCCAUUAAAACCACUCACCCAAGCCUCCAUAUCUAUACAACCCAUACCUAUCCUUCAUGCUAGUCAUAACAACGUUCUACCUUAUCCGGGUGUCUCACUCCCGGAUUCCUUCUGUGCCGCCAUUCCCCCAGGUGUCUCACUCCCGGAAUUCCUCUCCGCCGCCAUUUCAUCCGGGUGUCGCACUCCCGGAAUCCUUCUGCACCGCCAUUCCCUUGGGUGUCUCACUCCCGGAAUUCCUCUCCGCCGCCAUUUCAUCCGGGUGUCCCACUCCCGGAAUCCUUCUGCGCCACCAUUCCCCCGGGUGUCUCACUCCCGGAAUUCCUCUCCGCCGCCAUUCCAUCCUGGUGUAUCACACCCGGAAUUCCUCUCCGCCGACGUCCCACCUUUUCCUUCAUCCCUAGAGCAUUUUCUUUAGGUUCCAAAAUUACAUUUUUAAUAAAGCUUUGCUGCCGCUUUCAUUUCUAGCAAGCAAUUUUUCAUACUUCCUUUGUUUUUAAAAUGUUUUGAAAUAAGCAAGGAAUCAAAUUCUGUAAUUCCAAAUGAUGGAGUUUAUGGAAUUAUUUCAUGCAAAAAUGAAUCGGGCUUUGGUGGGGGCCCCACAUACUUGACUUCAUGAUUGAUUGACUGAUCGAUUGAUUUAUUUGCCAUGCAUGAUUGGUUUACUCUAUUCCUUGACAUGCGCUUAAUUAUACCUGUUCAUUGUUCACUAACCAUGUCUCGCGAUAGCGCAUUCAUGAUUGCCGCCCAGGUACGCAUUUAUUCAUAUUUUGCUCAUUCUCUAUACAUAUUCUGUGCCUCAUAUGUGCAUGAUAGUUCCAGGUAUUCAUUGAUUUCCUCAUCAAUUGUCAUGUCAGCUUCAUUUUAUUAGUAGAGACCCGACUUUAGGGGCUUAAAGGGGUGCUACGGUCUUUACCGUACCUUCCCGAUAAGUAACCUAACUCCCGAACCCGAACUGAUUUUUCGUAGACCAACCUUUUCCAAAACAAGGAGUCACACUUAGGGUUUUUCUUUCUUAUUUUGUUUACCCUUUAAAAAAAUAAAACAAAAAUAAGUGGCGACUCCAAGUCAGUUUCUUAAUCAAUAAAAAUCAUAGUUUUUCAAAAUCAAAAUCGAGCUCGCCAUUCGAGUGGGAAACGCAUUGAGCCGAAAUGCGGGGUCCACAAUAUCUAAUUUGACUAGAUUAAGAAGAAUGUGACCGUAGUAAUAAUAUAUGAAAAUUAUAAUGUAAAUAUGAAGAAUAUGAUUAAGAUAUGAAAAAUAUUAUUAGAGUAUGAAAAAUGUUACAAAAAUACUAAAAUAUGAAAAUAACAGCGGAAUUAAAAAUCAUGUGACCAUGAUAAAAAGAAAAUAUAACCAAAUAUUAAAUUAGAAAGGUGGUAUAUAAAAUACAAAAUAAAUAAAAUUAAUAAAAUAUUAUGUAAAUAUUUGUAGUCUCGAAAUGAUAAUAUAUUGUGUAAAAAACCUCAUCUAAAGCUUAUGAUGUAAAAAUAAUAAACAAUAAUAUUAUAGAUUAUUGUCUACAUCUUGUUGAGUCUUCCUUUGUCUUGUUUCCCUUUUCUAAUUAAGAAUUCUCUUCUGAAUUCAAGAGAUGUGCUUGAGCAGGUUUCUGACCAGAUUGACUGCUUCUUCCAUCACUUUCAUUUCAACCAAACUGGGCUUCCUAUGAAUUUUCUUGCAAGUUUCUCUAGUGCGCCUGCCUUUAUUGCAGAAAUUGCACCAAAGGCUAUCCAUCUCAUUUGGUUUUCUUCAACAAAUUUCUCACUAGUAGCAGCACUAUUUUUGCUUUGAAUUCACCAGAGUCGAGCCAUUUGAUGGUAUUAUUAAGCACAACACAACGAUUGUAGAAGGAAAAAGUUGAGUCAUUAGGGAUUUUGUUUGCAGAUAGAGUCUACAUUUGGUUCCUUUUUCAGGAAAAAGUAGUGUUGGGACGUCUAGAACUGGUCAAUUAUGGAUAAUCAGGUUAACAAUGUCAAGGAGGUCUUAGGUUUGUUUGGUCACCUUUAUUUCAGGUCAGUUGAGGAACAGGAAAGGAUUGAAGGUUGGAUUGUCCCUCAAUUCCGAUUGACCCUUUUAAGAUGAAGUAAUAAAGGAAACUGCUUUUAGUAUAAAAAGAAUAAGGCACCAAGUCCUGAUGAGUCCUCAAUUUCUUAUGAAAGAUCAGGCUAGUAAGAGUGACACUUUUAAGAGGAAAAGAAUAAAGCUCCAUCCCCUGAUGAGUUUUCAUUCAGUUUCUUUUAGAAAUGUCAGCUGACUAUGAGGGAGGACUUUCUGAAAUUGUUCUCCUUGUUCCAUAAUUAGUUGCUCCAUGCUACAUAGGUUGAAUAGUUUUUGGAAAAUUAGAAACAGUCUAUAAAUAUCUAACCAAGCUGCUGCUUCUUUAACCUUUUAUUAUUGAUGAAAACUGAAAAACUAUGUAGCUACCAUCCAAGUUACUCCAAACACUAUCCGAGCCAAGAUUUCUUAAGGAAAAAUCCUUUGCAAUGAGAUGAAACCAGAAAGUUCUGGAUAAUCACUUAGUAUAUUUCUUCUAGGAAAUCAUAAAAAAAUCCUUACAAUAAGUAGGUUCUUCUCCUUUAAUUUUAGCCUCAACUACUUUUUGAUGGUUUCCAAUAUACAAUUAGUAGCCUUUAUGUGUUCGUAUACUAUAGUUCUAGUAAAACUAAAAAAAUAAAAAAUAACUGACCUUUUGACUUCUAAUUUAAUAAAAACUUUUCCCAUGAUAACUAUUCAAACUUGCUAUCAAUUCUCUAUUAAGGACUCUAUCAUUCUCUCCUCCUUAGAAGAAACUCGUCCUCAAGUUUGGUGUUGUUGGAGACCUCUUUUACUUUCUCAUGAGUGUGAGAAUGUUGAAUAUAUUCCCAUAUGUUUUGACAAAUCAACUGCAUAAGCAUUCUUCCCAAUCUUCUUGAUGAUUCGGUGGGGUCCCAUCUUUCUUUUGCAUGUUGUGUUGACUGCUUAGCGGUCUUUGCAAUUAAAUUAGAAGAUCAGUAAGACCUCCUCAGGGAUUUGGCUAUAAUGAUAUGGUAGCUUACUCUCUGAGCAUAGGGGAAGAAUUGAGCUAUGCAGAACCUAAAAAUUAUUUGGAAGCCAUUUCUUGCAAAGAUUCUCCAAAGUGGAUGACUGCUAUGCAAGAGGAAUUUGAAUCACUGCUAAAAAAUGGAACCUAGAAGCUUGUUGAUAAGCCUAAAGGUUGUAAAGUAGUAUGAUGAAAGUGGGUGUUUAAGAAGAAAUUAGGAAUCCCUGGUAUAGAACCUGAAAGAUUUAAAGCAAGAUUAGUUGCCAAAGGUUAUACACAAGAAAAUGAGUGGAUUUUAAUGAAAAUUUCUCGCCUGUGGUAAAGCACACCACCAUUCGGGUAUUACUUGCUUUGGUGUCAUUGUGAAAUCUUGAACUUGAGCAAAUGGAUGUUAAGACGACAUUCUUACAUGAAGAAUUAGAAGAAGAAAUUUUUACGUAACAGCCAGAGGGUUUUAUAGUUAAGGGAAAAGAAAAUCAAGUUUGUUUGCUUAAUAAAUCGUUGUAUAGGCUAAAACAAUCCCCAAGGCAAUGGUAUAAAUGGUUUGACAAGUUCAUGACUAGUGUUGGAUACUCAAGGAGUAAGUUUGACAGCUGUGUAUAUAUGAGAAGGCUAAUAGAUGGGGGUUAUGUCUAUUUGUUAUUAUAUGAUGAUAUGUUAUUGGUGAGCAAUAGCAUAACGGAGAUAACUCAUUUGAAGACAACUACAAUAUGAAUUUGAGAUGAAGGAUCUUGGAUGUACCAAGAAGAUUUUGGGGAUGGAGCUAUAUAGGGAUGGAUCUAUUGGUAUUUUGACAAUCUCCCAAAGAGAUUAUAUUGAGAGAGUGUUGAACACAUUUAACAUAGGUGCUGCAAAGGUUGUUGAUACACCAAUUGGAGCUCAAUUCAAACUUUCUUAUGAUUUGUCACCAAAAACAGAAUAAAAAAUGCAAGAGAUGUCUAAUGUACCAUAUGUUAAUGGCAUAGGAAGUAUUAUGUAUGCCACGGUCUGCACAAGACCUGACAUAGCCUAUGGUGUGAGUUUGCUUAGCCGUUAUAUGAGUAAUCCCGGAAGGGAUCAUUGAGAGGCUUUGAAAUGAAUUUUGAGGCAUCUCAAGAGUAAUGCAAAUUUUGGGCCCAUGUACCAAAAAAAGUAGAUGACAACUGGUUCGAUUGAAGGUUAUGUGGAUUCAGAUUAAGCCAAGGACUUAGAUGAGAGAAGAUCAAUAAUAGGUUAUUUGUUUAGGGUGUGUGGAUUCAUAGUAAGCUGGAAGUCUACACUACAAAAUGUUGUGGCUCUCUUUACCACUGAAGCUGAGUAUGUAUCUAUUAUAGAAGCCACUAAAGAACUUUAUGAUUAAAAGGUCUAGUAUCUUAAUUAGGAAUGAAUUAGAGAAAUGUAACAGUUUUCUGUGAUAGCCAAAGUGUUAUUUGUUUGACAAAGAAUCAAGGUUUCCAUGAGAGGACUAAACAUAUAGAUGUGAGAUUCCACUUCAUAAGGGAUAUCAUGAGUUAGAAUUUGAGAAGGCAAAACUCUGUUCUCUUCGUAGGAAAAACAAGAGUGAAAGAGUGUUUAUAUAUUGUUCAAGAAACUAUAUUACAAGAAGUAAAGACAACUGUAGAGAUAGCUGUCAUAACAGAAAGUACAGCUCACAAGAGCUUCUAGAAAGAAGUUGUUACAACAGAACAACACAAAUAAAGGAAACAGAAAGCAAGUAAAGACUAUCAUGUGGGAUCUGUAACCACUUCCUCUAUCUUUGGCUUAUCAUCCCCCCUCAAGUGAAAGGGUCUUGGAGCUAUGCAAAGCUGUGACUUGAGAGACAAGAACCGAGAACUUGUAAGAUGCUUAGUCAAAAGAUCAGCUGGCUGAUCUUCAGUAGGAACAAAAUACAGUUGUAUCUUGCCUCGUAUGACUUGAUCUCGGAUGAAGUGAAGAUCUAUUUCAAUGUGCUUCGUUCUAGCAUGAAACACAGGGUUCUUUGCCAUAUGAUAAGCACUGAUAUUAUCAUACCAGAGCAGGGGAAUCGCAGGUAUAGGAACACAUAACUCUUGCAACAAGGCUUGCAUCCAUAUAAUUUCUGCAGUAGCUAAGGCAAGGCCACGAUAUUCAGACUCGGCACUGCUGCGAGACACCACCUUUUGUUUGGUAGAGGACCAAGAAACUAAGUUACCUCCCAGAUACACCAAAUAGCCACUAGAACUUCGCCUAUCAUCAGGUUGAGCACCCCAAUCUGCAUCUGAGAAGCCUUCGAUUGUCAAAUUGGUUAAAGGACUCAGCAAUAACCCAUCUUGCAUUGUUCCUUUAAGAUAACGAAGGAUUCUUUUGACUGAAAGCCAAUGAGCUGAGGUAGGCUAUUGCAUGAAUUGACAUGCCUUAUUAACUGCAAAAGCUAUAUCAGGCCUUGUUAUUGUUAGAUACUGAAGUGCCCCUACCACACUUCGAUAUUGAGUGACUUCGUCCAUAGGAUCACCAUCAAACUUGGACAAAUUCUUCCCAACAGCUCCGGGUGUUUGUGCUGGUUUGGUAUCAAACAUUUUAGUUCGAUGAAGCAGAUCAGAAACGUAUUUGGUUUGGCUUAAAUUCAUAAAGCCUUCAUGGUAAGAGACUUCUGUACCGAGGAAGUAUGAUAGCUGUCUCAAAUCUCUCAAAGUAAAAAUAGAAUCAAGCUUAGCAAUGAGUGAGGAAAUCUGUGUUGAGGAGCAGCUAGUGAUGAUUAUAUCAUCAACAUAGACAAGAACAAUCAAAGUAGUAGACUCACCAAAGUGUAGAAACAUAGAACUAUCAGUUCUAGAGUUGCUGAAUCCCCACUGUAUAAGGGCAGAACUGAGUCGUUGAAACUAGGCUCGUGGUGCUUGUUUCAAACCAUAUAGAGCCUUCUUCAAUCGACACACUUUGGUUGGGAAUGUAGUAUCCAAGUAGCCAGGAGGUUGAGACAUGUAGACUUGCUCUUCUAACUCACCAUUGAGAAAAGCAUUGUGAACAUCAAGCUGCCUAAUUUCCCAUUGAAAACCGAGAGCCACAGUUAGUAUGAUUCGAAUGGUUGCAGCCUUAACUACUGGACUAAAGGUCUCAAAAUAAUCAAGACCAUGAGUUUGGUUAUACCCUUUAGCCACAAGUCGGGCUUUAUAUCUCUCUAUGCUCCCAUCUGGCUUGUGUUUCAACUUGGAUACCCACUUACAGCCUAUUAGAUUAACUUCAGAAGGCUGUUCAACAAGAUCCCAAGUUUGAUUCCGAUGAAGAGCAGCAAUUUCUAAAUCCAUAGCUUGAAUCCAAUUUGGAUCCUUGAGAGCUUGUUUGAGUGUAUACGGUUCUGAGAUCUUUACAGCAGAGAGAUCAAGAAUGGUCUUCUUCUUGGUUAUACCUCGUAUUAGCCUUGUUGUCAUGCGUGGAGCAGGGGAAGGGGAAGGAGGUUGAUCCUCAUGUAUAGCUUCGGGUAAGGUACUAGAGGCAGGAGUAACAGUAGGACUACUCACAGAAUCAGAAGCUUCACUCGUGGAAGGAGAGGAAGAAAGUGAAGAUGUGUGGCUGCCAUUAGAACAGAAGGUUGGAGAAGGAAAGGAAGUUAUAAUGGCUGGAGUUAAAGUAUCUGUUGAAGUAUCUUUGGUUGGGGAGAGAGGGUGAGUUUUAGCUAGAGGAAAUUGUCCCUCAUCAAAAACAACAUGAGGGGUGAUGUAAACUCGUCCAGUCAGAAAGUCAAGACACAAAAAUCCUUUGUUAUGAAGACUAUAACCAAGAAAUAGACUUUGAACAGAACGAUAUUGAAGUUUGUGACUGUUGUAAGGACGAAUGAAUGGGUAACACAAGCAGCCAAAGACUCUAAGGGACUUGUAAUCCGGAACCUUUUGAAAAAGUGUGAAAUAAGGGGAGUUAUUCUGGAGUACCUUACUUGGCAUUCUAUUGAUGAGAAAUGUAGCUGUCUAGAAGGCAUAUUGCCAGAAUUCCAUUGGUAAGGAGGCAUGAGCCAACAAGGCCAACCUGGUUUCAACAACAUGCCUAUGCUUUCGUUCAACUCUCCCAUUCUGAGCUGAGUUAUACGGGCAAGAAAACCGAUGAAAAAUGCCUAUUUGUUGAAGAAACGUCUUGAAGGAUCUGAACUCACCACCAUUAUCAGACUGUAGGCAUUUGAUUUUAGCAUCAAAUUGAUUUUCUACUUGGAGUUUGAACUUCUUAAAAGCAGGAAGGGCUUGGUCUUUUGUUUGAAGAGGAUAGAACCAGGUGUACCGUGAGUAGUCAUCUAGAAACAAGAUGAAAUAUCUAGCACCAGAGGUAGACUUGACUGAGGCAGGUCCCCAAAGGUCAGUGUGAACAAGUUCCAAAGGUUUGGAAGCACAAGAAAGUGAAAGAUGAGUAGGUAAUCUGUGACUUUUAGCAAGCUGACAAGAAGAGCAAACAGUAGAACAAACAGUAUUUUUAUUCUUUUCAAAAGAGACAUUACAACUCUGCAUAAUUUGGGUUACAAUGUCAGUAGAAGCAUGACCUAGUCUGUGAUGCCAUAACUUCACUUUAUUAUCAAAGAUACUGGAAUUAUGAGAGUAAAAAGUAGAAGAAUUAGUAGCACCAACAAAGGCUACUUUCUUGCUGUUCAAAACUGGGAAUCGGUAAAGUCCAUUCUCAAGCUUGCCUUGAGCAAGCACCUUCUUCGUAUGUAGAUCCUUCACAAAGAAACUAUUAGACCGAAACUCAAUUAAGGCAUUAUUGUCUGAGCAGAAUUUAGCAACACUUAUCAAGUUUGCUGAUAUAAAGGGGACAUGAAACACCUUUUUGAGAUGAAAAGAACGUGAAUCAGAAAGUAAACGAUGAGAACCAGUGUUGGAAAUGGAUAGGUGCUUACCAUUACCAAUUGUCACCUUAUCUGUGCCCGUGUAUGGUGAAGAACUGGUCAGAUUGCCCACACUCUGAGUCAGAUGAUGACUGGCUCCAGAGUCAAGAUACCAAGUGUCAUCUGCAAGAUUAUUAGAAGAGGCAACCAUAGCAGGUAUAGAGUUUGGAUUCCCAGCAUUUGAGGGAGAAGUAUUACUGCUCUGAGAGCUUUGAUAGGAGAUAUCAAAUCUGUGAUAACAGAUCUGAAUGGUAUGACCAAAAUUGCCACACAACUGGCAUUGUGGCUUCUCAGAACUGUUGGAAUUGUGCCUCCCAUUUUGGCCAUAUCGACCCCCUCGACCACGACCUCUGUAGGUAUAGUUGCUGAUGUUUGGGGUAUGAUUCUGUCCUCGACCGCCGUUAUACCUCCUUCCACCGCCUCUGCUAUUAGAUGAAGAGGCAUAAUUGGCUGAUAUAGGAGAGAAUUGUUCAAUCGAGCUUUGUUGCUCAAGGCGAUGUUCAAACGCAAGAAGCAUACUAUGAACAGCUUCAAUAGAGAUCUUGUCAUCUCUAAUAUUAAUAGCAGUUACAACUGCAUUAUAGUCGGAUCCAAGUCCGUCGAGGAGAUUCAUAACCUGGUCUUGUUCUAAGAUAGGUUCUCCAAUUACUGCUAGACUAUCUGCAGCUCCUUUAACCUUCAUGAUAUAAUCGAUCAUAGACAGAGAACCUUUCUUGGUUGACUGUAACUCGAGCCUUAGCUGCAUAAUUCUGGCUCUGGAGGAAGACGAGAAGGUUUUCUCCAAUGCAUUCCAAGCAGAGUGAGAAGAGUUGUGACCAAUGAUUUGUGCCAUGAUCGUUGGUGUGAGAGACGAGUAGAGCCAGUUGAGGAUCGUUCGAUCUUGUCUUUUCCAAGCAACAAACGCAGGAUUGAUCAAUCCUGAACUGAGUUCUUUAUCUGGACAGAUGGAAGAUCCGUCUAUGAAAUCUUCAAAUCCAUUGGAAAAAACAACAUUAUCAAUCUAAGAUUUCCAUAGAAUGUAAUUAGUCUGAUCAAGUUUCACAGGUAGAGUAUGAUUGAGCAUCUGAUAAGAAGGAUGGGACUCCAUUGUAGUGCUUUGUCCAGAUCCAAUCGAGCCAGAGGAUGAAGAGGAUUGAGUGGAAGCGGAAGCCAUGAUUGGAUCUUAAGGAAAGAGAUGGAAAACUAAGAAAAAAGAGGAGAAAAAAAAAUAGGAGAAUACUCACACCUUUGAUCGAGAGGCUCUGAUACCAAGUUAGAAUUUGAGAAGGCAAAACUCUGUUCUCUUCGUAGGAGAAACAAGAGUGAAAGAGUGUUUAUAUAUUGUUCAAGAAACUAUAUUACAAGAAGUAAAGACAGCUGUAGAGAUAGCUGUCAUAACAGAAAGUACAGCUCACAAGAGCUUCUAGAAAGAAGUUGUUACAACAGAACAACACAAAUAAAGGAAACAGAAAGCAAGUAAAGACUAUCACGUGGGAUCUGUAACCACUUCCUCUAUCUUUGGCUUAUCAUUAGGAUAGGUCAGAAUGAAGCAGGAAUGAUAGCAGAAAUGGGAGCAGCAGCUACUAAGGUAACCCGGACCUCGUUUGGCUAAUCCCGGAAGGACAAGGAUAGCAUUGAGAGGUUGUAAAUAAGAUGGCAGGUUGGGAAUAAACGCCAAUUGGAAAUCUUUCCUUGCGUUGGUGCACCAUCACCAUGUCACCUUCUUGAAAGCUUAGGUUAUGCCUCUUCUAAUCUGCAUAUUUUUUUUACUUUUUAUUCGACUCCUCCAUCUUCAAUCUGAUUUCUUCAUGCAGUUUUUUUCACUAAGUUAGCCAUAUUUUUUCCCUUUAAGCUAUCUCUUCCCAUUUUUUGUAAUGGAGCUAAAACAUAGAGAUCCAUUGGUUACUGCCCAUAAAUAACUUCAAAAGGACUUUUGCUUGUGGUUCGAUUCUCUACAUAGUUAUAGGCAAAUUCGGUUUGUGCAACCAAAGCUUCCCAAUGCUUUCAGAUUUUCUCCAAUUGAGCACCUCAAUAAAUCUCCAAACUUCCAUUGACAAACUUAAUUUGUCCAUCUAUUUGAGGAUGAUAAGAAGUACCGGAUUGCAACCUAGUUCCAAGCUUCUUCCAUAAAGUUCUCCAAAAAUGAGAGAGAAACUUGGAGUCUCAAUCUAAUGUGAUUGAUUUUGGAACUCCAUGCAAUUGAACACUCUCUCAAAAGUAGAGAAUUGCUAUAUUUGAUGCAUCCAUAGUCUUCUUGCAACAAAAGAGAAAAGCCAUUUUUAAAAGUCUAUCAACCUCCUCAAAGAUGGAAUCCAUUCCCAUUAACUUCUAGGCAGCCCUACCACAAAGUCUCUUAGAACUGCAGGAAUUAGCAGGGUAGUGUACAAACCUCUAUUUUAAACUUUUCCUUUUGAUUCCUUGCAUGUUUGAAACCUUUUAACAAGUUUGUAAACAUCCCUCCUCAUUUUUGGCCAAAAGAACUUUUGUUCAAUCAUAGCAUAUGUCUUACCUUGCUUAAAAUGUCCACCUACGCCUCCAUCAUGCAUGUCUUGAAUAAUCUUUUCCCUCAAGGGGCAAUCUAGAACUUUUUUUUUAUUAUUAUCUUGGAAUAGGAAGUCAUCAUGCAACAAAUACUUUCUUGGCUGCCCAUUAGUACAAUCUUUCCAAAUUGAACCAAAGAAAGGUUACCCGGGUAAAGAUAUUUGAAGGAAUCAAAACCCUUAAUGGUAAUAGACAUACUAAAUAACAACUAACUUCUUUAACUAAGUGCAUCUGUCACUUUGUUAUUUUUCAUCACAAAUGAGAAUCGUUGCAAGUAAGAAACCCAAUGGGCAUGCCUCUUGCUUAACUUUUGUUGGUUGUUGAGAUGCUAUAAAGCUUCAUGAUCUACAUGCAAAAUAAAUUCUUAAUGUAUCGAGUAAUGCUCCCAAUGCUUAAGAGCCUGAAUGAUAGCAUAAAAAUUCUUUAUCAUAAGUGUUAUAUCUCCUUGUGUCAUUCAAUUUUGCUCUAGAAUGAUACAGGACUGCCUUCUUGACUUAUAACAGCUUCAAUCCUAAUUUUGAAAGCAUCGCACUCUACUACAAAGAGCUUUUUAAAAUCUGGCAGAACGAAUACACGGGUUGAGAUGAGCAUCUCUUUAACCUUUUGAAAACUUUCUUUAGCUUGUUCUGACCAUUGAAACCUCUCUUUCUUCAUGCAAUCAAUUAUAGGAGCAAUUAUGGUGGUGAAAUUCUUGAGGAAGCAUUUAUAUAAUGAGGGUUCAAUAGUGUCUUUUCUUUCUAUCCUGAAUCACGUGUCUUUCUCCUAAGAUUGAAAGAGGUAAAUAAAAAAGUCAAAUCGCACCAUCUCUGUAAUAGGUAAAUGCCUCGUUUUCUCCUAAAGUAGUUAGAAUUAUUCGUGAUAAGAUAUUGGCUACAAUUGAAAAGGUCUUAUCAAUAAAAUUUCCAUUUAUCCGCGAUCUAGGCAUAGGUAGCAAUCCAUUUUAUAAUUCUUUCCAUUACCACUUGUGGGAAAAUAAUCCCACAAACAAAGGAAUUGUACAGUACGAAAUAACAAGCCGUUGAGUAUUGGAAACAAGCUAUAGCACUUACUCCUAAUAAUUAUAUUGAAGUGCAUAAUUGGUUGAAGAUCACGAGGCAUUUCGAAUAAAAACACUUUGUUUAUUAUUUAGAAUUUUUUAUAUUUCUUAUUAUUUGUUGGACCUAUCAGUAAAAUGAAAUGGAUCAUUCCUAUGCCUAUGGGAAGAACCAAUCAAAGAAUUUCAUUAUAUCCCUUCUAAGAUCAUUCUAUUUCAUUGUAUCUCGUAGGGAUAAACGAUACACAAAUACAUUAGAGAAUAUAUUUCUUUAUUUUCUGAUUCUUGAUGAAGGGUCUACAAAAUGAGUCUAACUUCUAAUUGCUUUAACCUUACUGUUAUCAACUUUUAUUCCUUCAACACUAACUAUAUAUCCCAAAAAUAGUAAAGAAUCAAUGAAAAAUUUGUACUUCUUCAUAUUGGUAUGAAGCUUUUCUCUUUUGAGAACAUCUAAUACUUCCUUCAAGUGCUGCAAAUGAGACUCCUUGAAUGAGCUAUAAAUAAGUAUAUCUUCAAAACACACCAUCACAAACUUUCCAAUGAAUGGCUUCAAAACAUUUAUCAAAUGCAUAAAUGUGUUGGGUGACCAAGAGUCAUCAUAGUCCAUUCAUAAAGGCCAUGCUUAGUUUUGAAUUUUGUUUUCCACUCGACACCUUCUCGAGUCCUAAUAUGGCAAUAGCCACUUUUAUUAUUUUUCAUUGUUGCACAACCUUGGACUUGGUUGCAGGCUUGAAAGUGAGUGUUUGAUCUAAAAUUCUGUAAAUCAUCAGUCUUUGCCACUGAUUUCUACUUGAUAUCUCCUUGAUGCCUAUUACCCUUCAAUUGAUUAGGCCCCCUCACACGUUUAAUUGAGUGGUUGUUAAGCCAUCUUUGCUGACCUUCAACCUUCAUGGCUAACUGAAUAGCACCAACUAGUGUCCAACAUGGUUGUAGCUCCACCAAAUUUCUAAUAUUUGGCCUCAAUCCCAUCAAAUAAUGUUGUAUCAUCUACACAUUCAUUUCAAUUAGUUGUAUUCUAGGCUGCAUUUUGUAAAAUAAUGUUGAUCACAAUUUGUAGUAUGAUGAAAUGUUUGUUGCCUCUCCAAAGGUAAGACUCCACCAUCUUCAUUUGAAAAGUCCCCUAUUAUUUGCUGGAACUCCUCAAUAGUAGGUUGAUUUCUCAAAUUCUUCCAUUUGUAUGUUCAAAUAUUCUGACUUAUUUGGCCUUUUAAUGGUGGAAUUCAGAGCACUAAAAAUACCAGCUUGCUGCAACCUAGCACAUAACUGAUUAAGGUGCUAUUGUAAGUUUAAAUUUUUUUCUCUAAUUGGACCUUUUCCUACUAGUUUUGAUAAUGUAGCAUUCAAAUGAUUCCCAGCCUAGCCAUUGAUUCAAAACAAUCAUAAAUCUGAAACAGAGGCUCUGAUACCAAUUAAUGAAAAUUGAAAAGUUAUUCUAACUAUUUAGAGAGGCAGGAAUGGUGUAGGUUCAGCCUAGGAGCUUAAGUGACAUGAUGAUUAUCUCUUUUAUGUGUUUUAGGGACUCCACUAGAGGCAAGACCCUAUGGAGGAUUGCUUGUCUCACUUUGAUUUGGAUCAUGUGAAGAAAGGGAAAUGCUAGGAUCUUUUAAGGACAAAUGGAAGACUCCUGGGAUGAUGUGGGACUUAGUUUGUUUCUAUGGUUUUUUUUUUUUUUUUUUGGGCUUCUUGCAUUGAUGCUUUUAAAGGCAUUCCUUUGAAUGUCAUUCAACUAAGUUGGAGUUCGGUAUGUAUGCCCAAAGGGGUGGGCUGAUUUGUGGAUGAGCCUACUGGUGUUUGAGGAGUUGUAAUACUUGUAUAUUCUUUUUUUUUUUUUUUUUUUUUUGUAUAGAUCUCCUUUUAGAGGAGGGGUUUUUUUCGAUGGUUAGAUUAGGUUUGUUGUCUUCAUUAGGUUGUGUAUUUAUGGGAAGGAUUUCUCAUCCUUCUCAUUGAACUUCUUUAAAGCAAUCAAUGUAUUUCUUGUUUUCUGAUUAAAAAAAAAGAAGUUAUUAUAGCUACUAUCCAAGUAGACUACAACCAUGUUACUCCAAACAACUUCAAAGCCAAGAUUUCUUGAGAAAAAAUCUAGGAAAAACCCUUUGCAUAAUAAGCUUUAUCCAGAAAGUUCUGGAUAAUCACAUAGUAUAUUUCUUCUUGAAAAUUAUAAAAUAAAUUCUUUUAAUAAGUAGGUUCUUCCCUUUUAUAAUGCUAGCCUCAACUACUUUCUCAUGGUUUCCGAAAUGCAUUUAGUAGCCUUUAUAUAUUCAUUUACUAUGGUUCUAGUAAAACUAAAAAAAAAAAAACCGAUCUUUUGACUUCUUAUUUAAUAACAAACUUUUCCCAUACAAACCUUUGACUAUUCAAACUUGCUAUCAAGUCUCUAUUAAUGACUACAUUAAUUAUGUUGUGGCAAGUUUAGCAUUUGUGGGAUGCAUGUUUUAACCUUAGGGCAAGCUUUUUAAGGUUUCUUUAAUUGUGGGUACUAAAUGAAUAUUAGGACAUUUUGUUGUCAUAUUAUAACUUUCCCAAAAUAAUAUUAGGAUUAAGAGAUAUGUGAUAUUUUCUCCUCUCAAUAAUUGUUCACACACUAUAAAUCUUUGAAAGUUGCUUCAUGAUUUGCACUAAUUGUAGAGUGUUACCCUCAUUUUACUAAGAGUUAAAAGGUUUUAAUUGUAGAAACCACUAAUCUUGCAUUUAUUAAUUAUCAUAUGUGGAAUUCCAAAAUUGGAAAUUAAUUAUUUUUAGAGUUUAUAUAAAUUUUUAGUACUUUUGACUUUCAAACAGAUAAUAAAAUAUUGCAUUUGUCCCCCCUUUUUUACUAUAGUAAUUCAAACUUCGAAAAAAAUUUAAAGAUGUAGCAGGUGGAAUAUGUGUCAAUAUGAACUCCAUUCUUCUUGCUAACCCUUGAGAACCAGUUCAAUCUGCAUUAGAUUUUUUCUUUUUUUGCCAAGUAUGAAGUUCAGUUUUCUACAAUAUUUUCUCUCUCUCUUUUUUUUUUUUUUUUUUUUUGUAAAUGAUUUGAUUUUUUUGCUAAUAUGACUGAUUCCUUUGAAUUGUAUUUACAGAUGCAAGGUUCUAUCACCAGUCCGCCGGUAGUGGCUGAGAAAUUGGUUAGUCUGGAAGAAAAUGUUGUUGGUUCAGAUAAAAAUGUUGCUGAUCUUGACAAAAAAUAAUGAGGAAUCCUUGACUUUGGCAUAAAUACAAUGAAAUUAUGCUAUUUUGAGUUGUUGCAGAUAGUUAUGUAUAAAUUCCAUUUCAUGGAUGCCAGAUUUAAUCGCAUGCUUUGGAUGUCAUUGCUGAGAUUUGUUUUGUAGUCUCCUUGCAACAGUUUUCCUGGGCAAGAUCUUUAUUUGCUUACCUGUCAGUCAUAUUUGCAUCUUAACCUCUUCAUGUUAAUUAUAUCAACCAUUUAUUAGUAUGGAGUUUCUUCUUGUUUUGAGUUCUUAGGUGUCAACCCCAAUUAGAUGCAUUGUCUUUAUGUUUGAACAUGUAAUGAACUUGACCACAAGCUUACGCAUGUAACUAAGAUUCAGUGACAUCCAUUCUGUUUUCACUUUUCUCAUGUAUCUAUACGAACCUUUAAAGCUUAGGCAUAGUAAAGAACUCAUGUAAUAAAUUUGACCAGCUUUGUGGCUUUGAGAUCAUCAAAUUGGCUUCAAGAUUUCAUCUGAUCUGUGGUAGUAGUUGCUUUAUUAGAUUUGGGUAUUAGUUUCAAUUUUUAGUGUAACCUUCAUUGCAGAGGUUUACUUUUGCAGUUACUAAAGUUUAUUGACAAAAUGAUUUUACUUGUUAUUCUGGUUAUGUGCCUAGUUCAUUACUCUAAUUACAACUUCAUAAUCAAGAUGUACCUCAACUUCUAGCUACUCUAAUUACAACUUCAAAUAUCUUUUAAUUUUAAAAACAAAGCUAGAAAUUAUCAAACCAUUUCAAGGAUUAAAUAAUUAAAUAUUAGCUCAAAUUCUCAACUAAAUUACUUAUUAAAAUGGUGUAACUUUUUGAAAACUAGAUAAACACGAGGAAAUAAUUAUAAGAAGAAAGGGGGAGAAAGAGUAAUACCAAGUCUUGAUAUAGAAAAUCUCCAAAGAGAUGAAAAACAAGCAGCCUAUAAGAUUUACUUAGUUCAAGUCCAUCAAUCCAUUCUAGACUAUUUGAGUAGUAUUUUCCAACUUAAGCUAUACAUUUUCCAGAGUAUACUUAGAGUUUACAUUAAGUUCGAUCUUGACCUCUUCUUGAAUCCCAAUAAAAAAAAAAUGAGUUUUACCAUGAUCUAAUAACAAUAAAAGACAAUGAUGAAAGAGCCAAACAAAUCAAGCUCAUUUUAAAAUAAAUCUAAUCAAAAUUGUUUUGAAGUUCAAAAUGAGUUGGAUUUUCUUGGAAGACAAGCAUACUCAUGCUUGAAAGGGAAGAGGAGUUCAAUGGAGUGUGUCAUGAUUGCCUAAUGUUCUCCAACUUGAAAACAAUAAUUAGGGUUUAUGUAGGGAGAAAAAAAAUUCAAUCCAACAAUUGGAAAUAUCUCACAUUGUGAAGUUGGAUUGAUCCUAUUUAAGGUUAGAUCUAUUUUGAAAAAGGAUAAAAUAAAAUAAAAAAAAUAAAAAAAGGGACUUAGCUAAAAAGAGUUAUCCAGUUACUCCCAAAGUUUCUUUCUGAAAUCCAAGAUAACCAUUAAUUUGAAAAAUCUGAUUAAUUCAAUCUCAUCCAUCCACCACCUCAAUUGCAUAUCUAAACUUUCAAACACUUUCAACACCUUGAUCAUCAUUAGAUAAGUAGUCUUUGGGAGAACUCAGAAAACCUGAGUUUGAAAGUACACUUAGGGGUUGUUAUCCAUAAUUGUCAACCUAGCUAAAACGCUUACAAUCUUCCCUUUUGACUAUUUUGGUACAAAAACCCUUUAGAACACAAAUAAGUACAAGCAUACCUCAUCCACUCUCAUACAAGGAGUACUCACCUGAUCAACCUCAUAAACUAGAUACCAUUAACCUUGCAAAUAAUGAUCAACAAGUACACAAUUAGUAGCACUUGCGCAUAGACUAGAGUAUAGCAUAAAACAAGUAUCACAAUGCAAUAAUUUAACAACAGUAAAUAUCCUUCUCCCCUUUCUUAUCCUAGGAAAAAGCAAAAGGGAAGUUCAUUUAUUGACAAUAUCAUAUCCAUAAUAUGCAAUAAAGAAAAAUGAGAAUAUUGAGACAUAUAGCCUACUAUGUCUGUAGAGAUCCGAAUCAAAGAGUGCUCAAACAAACACUUUAUAUCCCUAAACAAAGAUACACAAUGACAGAUCAAAUCAGCUCAUUUGAAGCCCAAAACUAGCCAAUCAAUUGAAAUAUCUGAGGCAAUUAUUACCAACAUACCCAUGGCAAUAUGAUAAAAAGAAGAAAGUGUUUAGCAAAUGGGAAAAAUGUUAUCCAAGCAACUAACUAAAGUGUAUCAAAGAUGGUCAUGACUAAAAACCUACAUAGAUUACUAGCAUAAGCUAAGAAGCAUAAAUAUGGAAUACCACCUAUGGAAACUUAACAAAGGCUCUAGGAGUUAUGAAAAUAGAUAUAACAAGGAAAACUUUCCUUUACCUCUCAUUACAAGGGCUUAAUCCAAAACCUUGAGAAGGUGUUCUACUACUAUAGAAAUGAAUUCCAAGCCACAAAGAUUUGCCAUCUUAGACUUUGGAGACAUGAAAAAUAUGUUUCAUGCACUCACAAUAAACAAAUAAAAGGCUAGAUCUAACAUUACUAGGAACCAAAAACAACAAAUUCCCCAAAGCAAUAAGAAAUCCCUUAAACAUUCUACUAUGAGAAUAUCCACAAAUGAAAGUUGGAGAAACAACCAAACAAUGGACUUAGAUUAAGACAAAGGGAUUGAAAGACCAUGGAUGCAUGAUUGUCAAAGUCAAAAGACUGCCAGAGAGAGAUGAAAUAGUGUCAAAGAAGUCUCAAAUGAACACCCACGGAGAAGACUUUAACAUCAGCUAUGAAAGGUGAACUAAACAACUUCCUAGAUAAAUUUAACAAAAAAAAAAAAAAAUACUUGUCUUGGUUUCCAUAUUAAGUUUUAUUUUGAGCUAAGGUACAAUUUACCCAAACAUCUCUAUAAGCUAUUAUUGAGCUUAAAAAGAGUUUGAUAUUGUUUAUGUUGCAUAGAUUUAAGAUGUCAACAAACUAUGACAAUAGUAAUUUUUUAAGUGGAAUUUGACAUAUGUUUUUUUAAGUUAGGAUAUGUUAGUUGAUCACAUAAUAAGAGAAUUUGUAACUUAAGAAUGGUAUAGGUAAUCCUAAGAGGCUAAUAGCUUUCAUCUUAUUAAAUUAGAAACACUAGGUUAUGGGUAGACUGUAUACAAUGGAAAGUAGGUCAUAGACCCAAGCACUUAGUGUCUCAUUGUAAUAUACACAAGUUAAUAGAGUGCAAUUAACUUUCUAUAGUGGAAUGUUGAGUCAAUUUCAAAAUUGAAUUAUAAGGGAAUCGAUACUAUCCUUGUGGGUCUUAAUGGUCCUUGCUCGAACUCAUAUAUCUUGAUGAUAUGGUUUAAGAGGGUUGAAUCGAUUUUUAGUUCACUUAUGUACAUAAAGGUGUUUUGAUGAUUGCAAAAGGUUGCACAAAAAUUAAUGAACAAUAUCUCUUAACUUGGCUAAUUGAUUAAUUAGUCUCCUAUUGGAUUGUUAAUUAAUUAGGAUUCUUUUAGACUCGAUUAAAUAACCUAAGCCCAAGGUAGGCUCAAGUCUCUUGAGUGUAGAGGGAAGUCUAUAAAUUCCCCCAUAGGGGUUAGGGCUUUAGACUAAUGCCUCUUCCAUUUUUUCCUCUAUGUUUAUAUAGAGAAUCCUAGCCUCCAACCUUUAAAGAUCUCCACCAUCCAAUGCUAAGGCUCAAGGACAAAUGAUUGGGUGGAAAAUUAGUGGGUUUGGAAGACUUUCAACUACCACCGUGCACUCGACAACAUUCUUGAUUGCAAGGAUCAGUUCUAGGAACAUUCGAAUUUUCGAUAAGCACUUCUAACCCGUAAUACUAAUUCCUAUUAAGUUUUGAAUGUUAUUGUUUCCGUUGGGCAUAGGGAUCUAGUGGCCCUAGGAAUAGUUGCAUACACCAAAUGAGAUUCAAGGCUUGAGAACAAAGUAAUUUGGGAUUCAUAAAAACUAGUUCAUAAAAAGUUGUGUCUUUAAUAUUUCUCUUCUACACACAACUAUAUUUUUUCAAAUGUUCUUACUAAGCAAAUAGAUUCUAAAUCAUAUGAGACCAAAUCAAAUAAAACUUAAUGCUUUCAAUUCUUUAAUGGAUCUACUAAUUUUUAGAGUUUGCAAAGUUGACCUAAUUAUAUAUAUAUAUAUAUAUAUAUAUAUAUAUAUAUAUAUAUAUAUAAAAUAAAAUAAAAACUUGGCUUUUUUAGGUAUUAAAAAAAUUGAAAAUUUUCUUGUUUUUUUUUUCAAUACAUUUCAAAUAAAAAAUUAUUAACCAAAAAAAAAAAAAUCAAUUAUACCUUUAUGAAGAUGUUAAUAUUCAUAUUUCAUAAUAUAUACUACAAUAAUAUAUUUUUAAAAUAUAUAUAAAUUUUUUAUUUCAUUAUAAUAUUAAUAUUCACAUUUUAAUAAAAACUAUUUAUUUGUUUAUUGAUUUGAAAUUACAAUUUUUUUUAAUAAGACUUGAAUUAAAUUUAAUUAAUCUUCUAAAAAUUGAAUUAAUAUCUUAUAAAAUCAAAAUAGAAAAUAUUAUUUUAAAAAAAACUAAAAAAAAUUAUCCAAAAUUUUAUUUUAUUUUUUGCUCUUUAAAAAUGUUUUUAAAAAACACCUUUAUUUUUAAAAAAUACCAAAAGACUGUUUUUUGUUCUUUAACUUAAAUAUAUAUAUAUAUAUUAAAUAAGUUCUUAAAAAGACCCUUAGAUAUUUUUUUAUAUACAAUAUUUAUGUUGGAAUUAAGCCCUAAAAAGGAUAACAUGAUGUAAUAGAUAUAGAUGUAUUUAUAAACUUAUUUAUUUAUGUUUCUUGGUUUCCUUUUAUUAAACCAUUUGCAUUAAUAGGUUAUUUGAGCAUUCAUGCCCCACAUCACUCACAUUGUACAUAGUUUGGGUGUAUUAGGAGUUGCAUAAAAAAUUCAAAUCAUAGGUUCCUUGUAGAGUGAUGAGUUGUUCAUUGUCGGUUUAUGGAUUUGGGCAAUCCAUCUGAAACUGUAGUAUACUACCUCCUAAUUAGAGGCAUGAUUUGUCUUGGCCGUUAGGAUGGUUUUUACAUGGUGAGUGCACUAGUGUAUGUAAUGCGCAUUGGAUAGGACCUAUGGUGAAUCAUGACGUAAGGUUAUUAAUUAUCAUGAUUCACCAAGCUACUAUGCUGUAUGGACCCUUAACUUUGAGAGGAUAUUGAGUUUGUAGCAAAGUCAACAUAAGGCUUUGACCUAUGAGUGAGAUCCUAAGGUAGUCUUAUAUCUCUAUGUAUUGAGUCACAAUUGAUGGAAAAGUAUUCUAAAAAAAGGCAUCAUGAUAUCUCAUGGAUUGAAAUAGUGUGUUCCCUUAGGUGACAUAUUCUCUAAAAUACUAUAGUCAUAGCAUUUUUUUUAAUAGAAAUUUGGCAUAUGUUCCUUGGAGUUAGAGUAUGUCAAUUGAUCAUAUAAUAAAUGAAAUCUAUAACUCAAAUAUUAGAGAGGUAAUCUUGAUAGGUGAUAGCACUAUCUUAUUAAAUUAUGGACACCAAUUCAUGGGGAGUCUGCAUGUAGUGGAUAGUAGGUCACAAACUCAAGGUACGUCUCAUUGUUAUUUAUAUAAGGUAUUGAAGUAUAAUUGAUUCUCUUUAGUGGAAUGUUGAAUCAACUUCAAAAUUGGAUUUUGAGGGAGCCAAUACUCCUAUGGACCCCCCUAGUUCCUAUUCUAAGCUCAUAUACCAUGGUGACAUAGUUUAUGAGGGUUAAAUUGACUUUUGGUUUACUCUUGUGCAUAAGGGCAUUUUGGUAAUUGUGUAAGGCUACACAAGGGAUGGUGAACAAGUUAUUUGAAUUAAGCUAAUUGAUUAAUUAGAUGACCUUAUAUGGUUAAUUAAUCAAUUAAAACCCAUUUUAGAUUAAAUUAAGUGACCAAUCUUUGGUAGGCUCAAGUCACUUAAGCUUAGUAGGGGAACCCUAUAAAUACCCCUUUAGAGGUUAGGGUUUCCUUCACUUUUGGAGAGAGAAUCGUCUUCCACCUCUAAAAAGAGAAAGCUUAGGAUUCCUCUAUCCAAAGCCCACACUUUAGAGUGUCAAGAUCGUGGUUCAAGUCAUCGAGCAAAAGAUCUUAGGUGUGCAAGACUUUCAGAUUCUUUGUUCUUCAUUUUCAUCGAGUAGAAUUGAUUUAAGAACAUCCAAAUCAAAGGUAAAGUUUUUUAAUACUUUUCCUUUUGAUCCUAGAUUCAUAAAAAUAUGUUUUUUUUUUUUUUUUGCUUCCAUUGCAUAGGAUCUAGAGGCCUAAGGUAGUUUGCAUACACCUAUAUGAUCAAGGUAUGGUAAUGGAGAGGUCUAAGGUCUCCAACAAUUUACUAACUAUUUCUUCAUGUUCUUGGUCAUAGAAGUCUUGUAUUUCUACAAGUUGAAGUUCACUCUACUAUGUUUAUGAGCUAGAUACGUGUGAUUUGCCUUGUUUUUUGCAUUGGACUAAGGUUUGGUUAAUUUCAUAUUAUGAGGAUAACAAAACAAGGCUUGAUUCUAAAGUUCUUUAAUUGUAAUUGACAAGAAGAUUCCCUUGGAGUAAUCAAGAAAAAAACUAUAUGAAGUUGAAGAGGAAAUAAAAAACAAGAUUUAUCAAGAUUAUUUUUAGGUUAAUUUAUGUAAGAUUAUGGGUAUUCUAAGUUAGGAUUGCAUAUCAUUUAUUUAAACAUUCAAAACCCAUCUAAUUGAACUCAAACUUACCGUAAAUUUUAAUUCUUUAUUGUUUCUUUCUUCUAUUUUUCCUCUCUAUUUUCUUUUCCUUACAUUUUCCUUCAAAAUUUUCAAGAAUCAAACAUAGCCUUAAGUUCAUUUAACUUUCUAAAUAAACAAUCUAGCUUUUCUAGGUAUUGAUCAAUCACCUUCCUAUGACAAGUUUUGACAACGAGACAUACUUGAGACCAGUAAUAACAUUAACCUUGGAUAGAGUGUUGUCUUAUACUUUUUAAGUUAUUUAAACAUGAGAAUGAAUGAGAAAAAGAAUAAGAUAUCCAUUACUAUUCCUUAUUUUCUCGCAUCAAACACGCCUUUAGGGUAAAACUCUUAUAAAAUAAUAUUCUUAAGGUUGAGAACCAGAAGAAAAUAGUCUCAUUAGUUUCUGAGUAUCAUUACCCAAUAAUAUGGCUAAUUAACAGUAAAAAAAAGUCUUCAAUAAUCAACCCUAGAAGCCCAUUGAUUCCUAUUUUGAUAGACUAAUAUAAUUUCGUAAGAGGAAACAGUUUAAACAGACAUGCCUAACUAACGAUGAUCGUACUCCUAGAAAAGGAGAAAAGGAGAACACAAAACAGAUUGAGUACCCAAACUUUUCUAGUUGACCAAGCACUGUUUCACCUCUAGGUGUUUAACCAAAUUUCAAAGCCUUCAAUCACCAAGCUAGGUAACUUCAACUCCAGCAAUGUCUAAAAUUUGAUUGUACAUCAUUGUUGAUGUAUGAUUCAAAAAAAACAAAAACAACAAAAAGCACCAGUUUAGAUUUUAGUAAAAUCCACACAAAGAAGGCAACAACGUUAAAAGACAUUACACAUGUGCCUAGGGCACUUGGGUUCUGCUAAUUCAACUCAGCUACAUGGGUGAUUCUGCCAAUUCUAUUUCUAAAUUCCUAAAACAUGUUACAUGAUCCAGCUUACUCUUUUAGGUUCUGCUAUUAAUCAUACUGCUGCCGGAGCUGCAUCUCUGUCUCACUUUUCCAAGAAGCAUGAGAUGACUGCCCCUUCAUCCUCUUGUUCUUCUCCUUUUCUUUGAUGGUUGAUCCCUUCUUCUUGUCAGUCUCUUUAUUUGCAUCUGCAAGUGGGCGAUCCCCACAUUGUGGGCAGACCAUUCCUCGCGCACUGGAGUAUGUCUUGGGUAUUCCACAUUGCAUACACAUCCUACAACCAAAACCAGAAUUGAGAUUGAUAGGCUGAUAAAUAGCUAGAUAGAUGGGGUUGUGUUCAUUAACUUGGGCUACCCAUUGACAAAAAAGCAAUGAUGAUGCACCUCAGAAGUUCAGCAGCAUCUUCUGCAUUAGGAUUAGCAGCAGUUGCCACCCGCUUCCCUUCCCCUUGUGUUGUGCUCAAAGAACCCUUUGGAGGUUGAACUGAUGAUUUUGGAGCAAGGUUACCCUCAAUAUCACUUCUCACUCUCUCAUGGAUUCCAACUAGCUGGGCUUUGGAUUUCACAACAGCACCUAAAGUAAUAUAAGAUCCAACUUUAAAGUUACUUCUCAUGAUCUAAGGGAUAACAUUAAAUCAAGACAAAAACCAUUUUCUUGCAGAGGAACAAAACAAUAAAUUGAGACAGAAGCGCAUGAGAGCUGAAUCUAUCUCACAACACCGAAAACAAAGUUCUAUCUCACAUUUAGUCAAUAGUUUGAAACACAUAAUUCUUAGGAAUUUAAAAACCAUAAUUAGUGUAUGAUUUAUUAUAUUAAAGGCUUUGAUGUAGCACAUCCCUCAACUGUUGAGCAAGGUUGUUUAUAAUCAAACAACAUUCUGCUUGAACUACAGUUGUACAUGUGAGAUGUAGAUGAAAACAAAGUUCAUGAGUAGAUAACGGUAUGAGUGGUUAUGUCCUUUUAAGUGGUUUAAGGAUUGAAAAUAAAUGCACAAGCUUGUUGAAUUCUGGACAAGCAAGGAAGAAGAUUAAAGAGUUUGGUAAUGGAGUAAAAAUAGGGAAAAGGUUUCUGAUUGAAGGUAGGGCUUCAGAAUAAAGUGCACCAAGUGGUGCUGGUUAUUUGUAGAGCAGGAUGGACAGCUUACCAUAAAAUAAAUAAAUAAAUAAAUCAAGAAGAAAAGCAAAAGAAGAAGAUAGAAAACUUUCCAUAAGCCCAGUUGUCAAACCCAUCUCCUACUAAAAUUUAGAGACUUCCGAAAAAAAAGGAAUAAAUUAUGUAAUAACUACAUAAGAGCAUCGUAUCCACUAUGAAAGGUGGAUCCUUCAAUUUCACCAAAAAUAGCCGUAUUGACACGAAAUGACAUGAGUGUGGGUGUAGUAUCCUUGUAGGACACUCCUAUUUUACUUUAGCUGUGACUGUUUGAUUUUCUUUCAUUGAUAUCAUUUUAUUCUUUUAACUUUAUUAGUAAUAAUCAUAUUAGAGAAAAAGAAGAGUUAAUUGAAAAGUGAAUUAUUGAAAAAAAAUUGAAGGAUAAAAGGAAAAAAAAGAAAUUAGAAGGAAAAGAUCGCAGCUUUUAAAAAUGAUAUCUUCACUUCAUAUUUAUUCUUAAUUGAUUUUUCUUUUAUUAUGUCGUAUCCUAUAAUUGUGCCCCUUUCUAGAUCUUUUAGUCAAGUCCUCAUAUCCUAAAAUUGGUGAAGGAUCGGACACUUAGACACAUACCGGUAUCUGACAAUCAUACUCACAACCAUGCAACAUAGCUUAUCCAAAUAAAUAAAUAGGACCAAACAAGACCAAGAAGGUGAAAAGAUUGAAAAAAACCCUAAUCAAGCAAUUAAUUUGGCAUAGAACAUGCAAAACAUAUUUAAUAUUGAAAGUGUAAAUUUCUCCAAAUCUGAGGAGCCAGGUAGGGUGAACGAUGCCCCAGGAUUUCCUUUCCUUUUAGGCAAUUUUAUAGAUUUUUUAUUUUUGGUUCUUUUGAUAGGUAAACUAAGGCACAAGGAAAUUAAAAGGAUCAAUUUUUUACAUAUACCAAGUUCAGGUAACUAAAUCCUGAACAAUUUAAUACCAGAAUAUCUUUGGCUUGACAUUUCAGUGAUUGUUACCACUUUUCAAAUCCUGAUAUUAUGUAGCCAUCCAAAGUUCAAGCUUGGAAUUGGAUUUCUAUUAACUCCAUUGGCUCAUGCGACCCAUCCAAACAACAUAUUCAAUUCCCCGUCCAAAUGAAUAUCAAUGUAAAUUAGACAACUCAUCCAAGACCUUUACAGAACUGCCCCAGAAACCAGGUAACAUCAUCCAACAAUAUAGAAGAUGAUUCACUAAACCAUCAGUCAUCACUUCCUCUGAAUCAAAAGAACGAUUUAGAGAAGCAAGAUGCAGCUACAUCUUAUAACAGCAAAGUGUGGGGCAUAGCUGGAGACAAUAAAUUGAGAGGUUAUGGUUGGUUCCCAAAAGAUUUAAGAGAAAAUGCGAGGGAAAAACAUAUAGAAGAAAAAUGAAAGAAAAAGUGAGAAAAUAAAAUUUUAAAUCAAUAAAUUAUUUUUUUAUAUUAUUUCAAACUCAUUUCACUUAUUUUAACUCUUUUAUAUAAAGAAAAAAGAAUUUACAUACGAGUUUCCAAAUAUUUUAUAUUUGAUUUUCUUUCGCAUUUUCCAUUACAAUAAAACCAAAUGUGAUAAAAUCAUUUUCUUUAAUGAUUUUUUCAUUCUUUAGUACUUCCCUAGAAUCAAACACAGUGGGAAUAUCCUAGGAAAGUGAGAAAAGUGACUUAAUCAGCUUAUUUUGGGCUCUCGGUGAAAGAUAAAGAACACUAAGAGAAAUUUAAAAGAAUCAUGUGUUAAUAAAAUAUUAAAUUUGUUGUACAUUGAGAUAGAUCAAGCAAGAAAUGCUCACACUACUAAUUUGGCAAACCAAAAAAGAUCAAGCAAUUAUAAAUUUAUUGAUAUUCUGCAAGAAAUUAAGGACCGUUUAGUGGUUGAAGUGACAACAAUUUGUUUUCAGAAAUAGAGAAAAUGAAAAAUGACACAAAAACAUAAUUAGUGCUCAUUUGUAUACACACCUUGUUAAUUUUUUUCAAAAAUAGAAAAUGGUAGUAAUUUUCAUGUACAAGAACUCUUCGAGACUUGCCUUAAAAAGAUGAUAACUUAAAAAAUUGUUUAAACCAUUUGAGAUAUUAAAAAAAUUUUACUACCUCAAAUUUUAAAAAUUUUAAAGAUAAUUUUGAAGAAUAUAAGGUAAGUUCAUAAUUUUUAUAUAAGAGUUAAAGUUAUUAUUUUUUAUUUUUGAAAUUAGAAAAUAUGAAGUGUGUCCAAACAAGCAAUAGGUAACACACUUUUAACAACUUUUUCAAAAACAUAUCCUGAAAUUGGUGCAAUUUUAGUUACCCUAUGUUUGGUUAUUGGAAAAUUUGAAGGAAAUGAGAGGGAAAUAAAAUAAAGAGGAAAAAAAAGAAAAAAAAAGUGAAAAAAAGUAAAAAAAAUAGAAUUAAAAUUAAUAAAAAAAUCAAACACGAGAAAAUCAUUUUUUUUUUUAUCAAUUUACUUGGGUUACAUUUGGAUCCUAGAAAGUAUGGAGGAAAGAAAAAAAGUGCUAAGGAAAAUAGUUUUCUCAUGUUUGAUUUCACUAUGGGAAAUAUGAAAGAAAAUAAAAUAUAAUUAAAAUUAAUUAAAAAUUUGUACAUUUUAAAAUUAUUUAAUCUUUAUAUAAUAGAGAAAAAUAAGUAAAAUAAAUUUAAAGAAACAUAUAAAAAUAAUUUAUUGACUUUGAACCUAUAUUUUAUUUUUUUUUAGUUCCUCUUUCCUUCCACUUUUCCUCUGGAUUUUCUUCUCCUUAAAUUUUCCCUCAAACUCCAGGAACCAAACAUAACCUUGGUAUUUUGCUAGAAUCAAAGAUAGCCUUAAAACCCUAAAACUUAUAUAUAAAAGUUUCAAGAAACAAGAAAUUUAACAAUAGAAACCAAUCCAGAAACAAACAUGUCCACCAUUCAAAUUUUCAAAACCAAGCAAACCUGAAUGUCCCACAAUCAGGGAGGAAAUGAACCAACCACAUUGAUUCCAAGGUCUAAUAAAAUCUCCAAUCAAAGAUGAAAGAACUUUGGACUAAAAGAAAUACCUAGAACCUGUGAUAAAAUUCCCACUUAUUUGCAGCAUGGGAAAAAAAAGAAAAAUUUUAAUCAAAAUUUCCACUUGUUUGCUGAAAAUACAUGGUACUAGAAAAGAAAUCAGGAAAUUGCAAUGAAAAUUCCCAUUUGGUUGCUGAGAAAACAUGGGCAAAUGAAAGGAACCAAGAAGUUGUAAUCAAAAUUCAUUUUGUCGCUUAAAAAGGCAUAGAAAAAGAAAAGAAAGCACGAGACUGUAAAAAAAAUUAUCACUUCAUUGCUCAGAAAAUGUGGAGAAGAGAAAACAAAAAAGUCCUUAAGAUAAUUAAGAGGACGCACCUACCCUAAUCAAUAGUGACCCAAUCCAUAGGGAAUAUAAAGGUCUUAACACUAUCUCAAUAUUCUAUCAUAGUUGAGAGAUUAUGUAGCAUAUUAGCUUGGUGAAAUCAUGAUUACUCGAUAGCCAACAUCACAAUGCACCAUACGUCUUGUCCAAUGUGUAACCAUACACACUAGUGCACUCAGUAUGGGAAACCUAUCUAAUGACAAAGACAAGUCAUCUCUCUAAUUAGAAGGUAGUGCAUUACAACCUCAAAUGAAUUGCUUAAGUCUAUGAACUAGGGGCUAAUUACUCAUCAAAAUACAAGGAACCAUGACUUCAAUUUUCUAUGCAAUUCUUAAUGCACCUAAAUUGUGUAUAUUACAAAUGAUGCAAUCUUGAAUGCUAAAAUAAACCAUAAUGUAAAAGUGAGAUAGUAAAGUGAAUCUAAAAACUCAUAAAUACAUCAUGUCAUUCUUUCAAGGGCUCUAUCCUAACAAUUGAUGACCUACCAAAUUAGAUGCAUGAAAUUCAAUAAUAGAAACUUGAACUUUGUAACCAUAUCUACAAUUUUAUAUAAAACCUUGUCAAAAUGGCUUAUGAAAAGUGAUUGAUAUUACAAAAGAACAUAAAACUAAUGAUGGGAAAUGGGUGUUCACAGUUAGUAAGUGCUUUAGUUAUGUGAAAAAUGAAAUCAAAUAUCAAAAGUCAAAGUCAAUGACAAAUAGUUAUGUGAAGAACUUUGUGGUUAUGUAGAGUUCUCUCAUAUUCAAGAUUUCUUGUAGUUUACUUUGUUAAUCAUAUGGUUCUGAAGUUGGAGUUUCUUUAAAUUGGUACAAUAGUAACUUCAUCUUAACUAUUAGAGUUUCCCUCAUGUUGGUAAUUGCAUUGAUUUUUAUGAAAUCAUGAAAAUAUCCAUCAUAAGGUUGUAUAAUUGACAUUUCUAAAUCAAUACCAUAACAAAGAAGUUUAUAUAAAGAAACCUAAAUGGGUUUAUAGGUUAUAAAUGUAAGUGAAAUAUAAUUUCAUCAAUAUCCACCCAUCAAAUAUUUUUGGCUUUAUAUAUAUAUGCAUAUAAAGUUUUUAUCAUGUUAUCCUCAUAUAAAGGUUUAGCAUGAAAACCUCAAUGAAGAUUUCAACCUUGUUGAGAAGAUUCAAUUGGAAUAGGACUUAGCUUUGUUUGCUUUUUGAAGCAUUGCAAGCAUUUUGGUUUUACAUGAAUAAGAGAUUUCAAUCAAGUAGUUGUUAUCAUCAAUAAGGAUAGGUUGUUUCCAUCUUGUCCCAUCAAAAUUCAUGUAAAUAUGCUUAGUUAUCCCUUUGUGAGUCUCAAAGCGAAUUUGGUGUGCCUGAACUAAGAAGUAAACAAAGAAGAGGAAGAAGAAAAAAUAGAAGCUAGUUUAUACUUGAUAUUUGAAGAUGCGUCUUAUUAACAUGUUAGUUUCAUCAGCACUACCACUAUUAUAUAUCAAAACUAAAACUUCAAAUACUUUUUAAUAUAUAGCAUAACAUAUAAUUGUAACAAAAAUUAUAUGAUCAAUUUUAGACAUGUUUUAGGCUUAGUUUGAUUAAGAAAAAUAUAUAUGCAUAGAACUAAUCUAUGCAAGACGAGUCCCAUGGAUAUUCAAAGGAAGAAAAAUUACAACCCCAAGAAGUUUCAUCAUCUACAAAAGAUGAUGUAAAGUUUCUCUGCAAAUUACAACCCCAUUAGAAUUUUCAAUAAAACAGUUGAACAAAGAAAGAUAAAGUUAGUUGCAUGAAACUGAAAAAAAAAAAAUGUUUCCAUUGUUCAUCUCUUUUGAUGUAAAACAAGACUUUCAAAAGCUCACCUUGUUUUUUCUCCUAAAAUUUGGCUUGCCCCAAGGGUCUAAUUCACUAAGGAAGCUAGGUAUGUUCAGACAAACGAUUGACCUUAAGCUACAAAUAAGAAAGAAGUAAUUAAAAAUAUUAUUGAUGUUCAUUUAUCCGAGAACUAAAUGCUAACAAUAGAUCAAUUACAAAAAGUAGAAGUUAGAAAAAAUAGCCUUGCAAGAUAUAAUGUAAUUAAAUUUUGUAUGGUCAUGUCAAGGAGGAUGGCAUUUUCAAUGACCAUUGUUGUUAAAUGAAAAAAAUAUAAAGCUGAAAAUAUAUUUGUUAUUAAUGUUAAGGAGGCUGUCUAGUAGCAAUGUAUUAAAGAAUUAGUAAAUAACAAAAAGCAUUUGAAAAUCAUUUCAUCAUUUGCUUUUAUUAUUAAGCAUGAAAAAUGAUCCACAAAUGGAUCAACUUUGUUGUCUGGAUAUUCUAAGGAUGAUCACAAUCUAUUUUAGUUUUUGAUUCAAAAUUUUAUUUAUGAAUUAAACAAUUAUAGAUCUUGCUUUUAAAUUACUUUUACCUUCUUUAUCCUCACUCAAUUUUAGUAUUUUAGCUAAUCUCUAAUACUUGUUCCCAAAUAUUCAUUAAGCUCCACUAGUUUAUCUAAUAUUCACUAACAAUUACUUAUUCUUUGAACAUUUUACAUUCUUCAAGCCUAAAUUUAAAAGAAAAGCAACUCUAGAUGAAAGGUUUGACCAAUGCCCAUCCUUCAAGAAAAUGCCAAACGCAUUUCUUUUUCCUUGCAAUUUUUUUUUUUUUUUUGUUCAAUUUUCUUAUGUUGUAAGAUGUUUCUUCAUUUUCAUGGUAGAAAUAUGUUAGAGAUUCAUGAAUAUUCAUCACUUCUACAUUAUUUAUUCUAGAUAAUUUCUCAACGUCAUCUUAUAUUUUAGAGGCACAUAUGCAUGUGACACCAAUCCUAAGAUGGGGUGACACAUUGUUCUUGUUGGGAUUUUUCCUUCUUAGAUCUUUAUUUGUUUUGAUUAUUGGAUUUUUGGAAUCAAGGCUAGACAUAGAAAUCAUGAUUGCUUCAUUUUCAAUUUCAUGCAUAGAUUGUCUUCCAUGCAUUUAAAAGUCUCACUUUGAACAAUUUACAAUCCUAUAAUCUAAUCUUCUUGUUUUUAGCCAUGCUAUUUAAAUCUUUAUCUUAUAAAGUUUGAUUAGUUUUAAUAUUAUUUUAUUUACUUGUUUAUUUAUUCAUUGUUCAUAGUUUAUAGUUAUUAGAAUACUUUAUCCAAUUUUUCAUCUUACAAAGUUUAAUAGAUUUAGUAUUUACUUGUUUUUGUCAUGCUUAGUUUCAUGUCAUUAGGAUGGUCUCCAUGAAAAGGUUGAUGAUGGUAUUUAAUUUGUUUUAGGUUUGUUGUAUUAGUUUAUUUCCCAUGCCAUUAAAAAAAAAUCUUAUCUUGUAAAAGUUUGAUAGUUUUAACAUCUUCCUUUUUAUCGAUUUUUUUGGCCUAUUUGCCUUAGGAAUUUUAGUUAUUAUCUUGAGAUCCCAUGAUAUUUAAUUUAUGUUUGAUAGUUUUAACAUCUACCCCUUUAUUGAUCUUAGCCUCAUUCCCUUAGAAAUUUUUAGUUAUUACAAAAUGCCAUGCUUAGUAUUAAUUAUUUUAGGUCAACUUGUAUUUUUAAUUUAUCAUGCUUAGGUUACUUCGAUUGUGUUAAUUUAUGUGCUUAUAAAUAACAAUUAUUGUUUUAUUGAUUAGUAUAUAUGUAUAUCUUUGAAUUACUUAGGCAAGUGUCCUUUAGUUUAUUUUAUUAAUUACAUGUUUAUAAAAUCCCAUGUUUAGUAUUAAUUAUAACUUGUAUUACUUAGUUUAUCAUGCCUAGGUUUAUUUUGAUUGAGUUAUUUGACGUACUUAUAUGUUAUAAAUAUUUCUUUAAGAAUUUGUAUGCAUAUUUUUGAGUCCUUUAUGUGAGUCUCCUUUAGUUUAUUUUAUUAAUCAUAAAAUCCCAUGUUUAGUUUUAAUUAGUUUAGGUUAUCUUGCAUUAUUUAGUUUAUCAUGUCUAGGUUAUUUUGAUUGUUAUUUGAUGCACUUAUAAAUAAUUGAUAUUGGAUUAUUGAUUAGCAUAUAUGUUAUUGAGCUAUGUAGGUUAGUUCCCUUUAAUUUGUGUUGUUUUAUGCUUUCGCAACCCCAUGCUAUAGUUUUAUAAACUCAGGUUAGCUUGUAUUCUUAGUAUUCUAUAUUUAGGUUCCUUUGUUAAUAUUGUUUUAUAUACUGUUUGUUAGUUUAUUAAUUAGAGAUUAGUAAAUUUUUUUAGGCUUAGUUUCCAUUAGUUUGUUGAGAUAAUUUUAUGCUUUCAAAAUCCAAUGUUUAGUUUUAUGAAUUUAGUAGUUUGGUAUGUUAAUUUUAUACUUUAAAAAAUCCCAUGUUUUAGUUCUAUAGUUUUAGUAUAAGCCUGUGUUCUAGCUUCUUAUGUUUAAGUGCCUUUGAAUUUGCUAUUUUCUGAUAUUUAGAUUAUAGAAAAUAAUGAAGCAUUUCUUGAUUAUUGUAAUUUAGUUCAUGUGCCUUGAAAAAUUUCUUAGAUUUUAGAAAAUAAUUAAGUAUUUCUUGAUUGUUGUAAUUUAGUUCAUGUACCUUGAAAAUUUUCAUUUGUUAAAUUUGAUUAUUUUUGUUUUAUGAUAUUUAGGUUUUAGAAAAUAGUAGAUAUUUCAUGAUCGAUAAGUAAUGAGGCUAGCUUUUGAUACCUUGAUUUAUAGUUUGUAAUCUUUCAAAUUAUUUAAUUUUUUUUUUAGUUAACCUAUUACAUGUUAGUUUAUUUAAUAUUUCAUGUUUGUUAAUUUAUUUGAUGCAAGUUUGCCAAGUUUUCUUUAUUAAUUAAUUCUUUAAAAAUGUAUUGGUUGAUCGUGUGUAGUUUCUCAAGCUAAUUAGUUUUAUUAGUUAAUGUAUUGCAUAUUAGUUUAUUAAAAUACUUCAAGUUAGUUAUUUUAUUAGAUAAUUUUCCUUUUUAAUUAUUUUUAAAAAAAUGGUAUUGAAAAACUACUGAAAGUUUAAUAGGGAAUACCCAACUAAGGUAAAUGGGGUGAUUAAAAAAUUUAAAUAAAUAUUUGUAUAUCAUACCAAAUUCUUUUAACCUAAUAGAUAUUAGGGGUAUCCCAAAUAACUAAAUGAGUCAUACCUAAAAUCUUUAGAUAUAUAAAAAACUAAUUUUUACCUUUUAGAAAUGUCAUGUGAUUAGUUAAAGAUAAAAUAAUAUAAUUAUUAAUGUUCAAAAUAUAUGCCAGGAGAUGUUAGGGAUGAUAAUAGUUACCAAAAUGACCACUCUAAUCUCAAUAACAACCUAACAAAUCAAUCAAAGGAAUUCAAUAUAAUCAAUCAAAAUAUAAGUAGGAAUAUAAAGAUAUUCAAUGAGACAAAAGAUUUUUACGUGGAAAACCCCAACAAACAAUGGACAUAAAAAAUCAUGAGGUUUAAGACCUACUAAUCUAAAUCCACUAUUUGAAAUCAAGUUACACAUAUUUACUUGACCAUUUUACCCUAAAGACUUACUCUACAGAACCUACAACUCGAUUCACGUUUGCAAUGCAGUAACUUCCUAUUGCUCCUUAGUAGAUCCUUCAGCUACUUCGAAGGGAUGAUAAUCUUCAACCUAAUAAUCAAAGAUCAAAUCUUUGAAUGAGAUAUCAAGAAUGAAAUGGCAUGUUAGGGUUUCUCUCUAAGAUCUUUAAAAAGAUCUUCUUAAUGAAACCCUCUCAACUAAAGCAAAAUCUCUAACCUUUAAUGGUUAUCAAGGAGGUAUUUAUAAGCAAAAGCCUAAACAAUUUCAAUAUCUUAAGUUUUAAAAUUAGAGUUUGAGUGAAAUUCAUCCAAAAUCUGUUUCUAAACUCAAUAAGAUGCUCAUGACCGCUUAAGUAGACUUCAAACCGAUUGAGUGAACUCAAAACCACUUGAGCAGGAUUAAUUGCUUGAGUAGUCCUUAUUUCUUUUGAAAAGUCAUUUUAAAAUAUUUAGUAGGUAGAGAGCAUCUCAUAUUAACCUCUUUGCCUUAAACUAUUAGGAUAGAGCCCUUAAAAGCAUGACAUGAUGUAACAAAAUUUGGAAUUCAUUAUUUAUUUAUUAAUAUUCUAGUUUCACUUUUAUCUAUCCUUAUUUCAUGUAUUACACUUUAUGAGUAUUCUUGUCUACAUCUUUUGCAUUGUACGUGAUUUGGGUGCAGUAGGAGUUGCAUGGAAGAUCCAAGUUAUAGGUUCCUUACAAAUAGAUGAUUUUUUCACAACUGGUUCAUAAGUCUAGGAAAUCCAUUAGAGGCUACAGUGCACCACCUCCUAAUUGGAGGGAUGAUUGGUUUUGGCUAUUGGAAUGGAUUUCCCAUGGUGAGUGCACUAGUGUGUAUGGUUACACAUUGGAUUGGAUCUAUGAUAAGUCAUGACUUAAGGCUAUCAAGUAGUCUUGACCUCACUAAGUUGCCUCAUUGUGUCAUCUCUCAAUCUUGAGAGAAUAUUAAACUUGUGUUAAAUUUAGCAGUGGUUUUGACCUACAAAUGAGAUCGUAAGUUAAUUAUAUAUUCCUUAUGGAUUGGGCCACUGUUAUUGGAAACCGGUAGCAAUAGGUAUUCUUAAUGGAGGCACCAUGAUAUCUCAUGGGAUUGAGACAAUGUGUCCCCUUGGGUGAUCAAAAUGAGGUGUUUUCACAGAAACUAUUGUCAUAGUAGUUCCUUAAGUGGAACUUGACAUAAGCUCUUUGAGAGCUAAGAUAUGUCAAUUGAACACACAAUAUAAGGAUCUAUAACUCAAAAAUAGUAAAGGUAGUCUUGAAAGGCCGAUAGCUUUCACCUUGUUAAACUAUGGACACUAGUUCAUGGGGAGACUAAACACAAUGGAUGGUAGGUCACGAACCUAAGUACAUAGUCUUGUUGUUAAUUACAUAGGAUACUAGAGUUUAGUUGAUUCUUUAUAGUGGGAUGUUGAAUCAACUUUAGAAUUGAAUUAUAAGGGAGCCAAUACUCCUAUAGGUCCCAAUGGUCUCCGCUCUGAGCUCAUAUACCUUGUUGGCAUGGGUUAUGAGGGUUGGAUUGACUCUAGGUUCACUUUUGUGCAUAAAGGCGUUUUGGUAAUUACACAUGGUUGCAUAGGGGUAAAUGAAUAAGGUAUUUGGAUUAGGCUAAUUAAUUAGUUAGUAGGCCUUAUUGGGUUGGUUAAUUAAUUAGGACCCAAUUUAGGCUAAAUUAAGUGACCUACGCUUAUGUGUGCUCAAGUCACCUAAGCCUAGUUCGGAACUUUAUAAAUACCCUAUAGAGGUUAGGUUUCCAUAACCUUUUGUCUUCCACCAUCCAGAGAGAAAGAGAGUCAUAACCUCCACCCUCAUUUCCUCUCCACUCAAAGUGUGCUAAAAACAAGGUUGAGUCAUUAGGUAGAAGCUCGUGGGUUUGUGAGAUUGCCAACAACUUCAAGGUCAUCUUCAAUACUUGGAAUUUAAGGUUUAGGAACAUCUAAACCUAAAAGUUAGUACUUUAACCCUAAAAAAUCAUUUUUGAAAAUUUGAUAUUGUUUUCAUUGCUUAAAUCUAAGAUUUUAACAUAAACAUGAAAAAUUCCUAAGACAAGAUUAGCAUACUUUUUAAGUUCAACUCUCAAACUACGCAAGUAGGACCAUUUUAGGUGAUUCAACUAUUUUAUAUCUAAAUUAACAAAGAUCCUUAAUAUCAAUAUUAUCAUGUGAAGAGUUCCAAUUUUAGGAUUGACCACUCUUACUAUUAAAAUAUCUAGUCUUAUGUUUAAGAAAAUCUUCAUUCCUUAAUUCCUUUGCCCAAACCACUAUUGAAAUUGGCAAUGAUCGAGAAUUGAGAUGGACUUUAAGAUGAUGAUGAAAGUCCAUACCCUUGAUGGGCUUAAUAUUGGAGGCUAUAGGCUUGCCUAUGAACUACUCUUACUUGAUCAUUUGAAUUGAUUAAGAGCUUUAGGGUUUUUGUAAUUACGAUGAUGAAUAAAUUAUCUUCUAUGUCUAAAAAAUUUUGAAAAUUUUUAUUUCAUAAAUUAGAAACAUUUUGUAAUAGGGCAAUGUGAACUUUUAAAAUUUUCAUCACAAUAUUUUUUUGAAAAUUUAAUUUGAUAAGAAAUAUGCUCUCAAAUUCUAAAAUCUAUUUUCAUAAAAUUGUCAUUUACAUAAUUCCAAUUUGAUAAAUAUCUUAUCUUGGAAAUUUUUUCAAAGAAAUUUAUUUUCAUCAAAUUACUAAGUUUCCUUAAAUCAUUUAGUAAUGUCCUUUAAUGAAAGAUUACUUCCUCUAAAAUUUUCCAAAAUAUUUAUUCUCCAAAUUGGGAACUCUAAUAUAAUAAGAAACUUCAAUUUAUGAAAAUUUGAGAGCAUCUCCGAUAAGGAAAUAUGUAAUUUUGGAAGAUUCUAAAAAAAUAUUUUAAGAAAUUUGAAAAUCAUUAAGAAUAAUAAUAAAAUAAGCUUUAGUUCUCACGAUUAAAAAUUCCUCAUAAAACAUACUAUCCUUAUUUCUAUACCUUUUCAAUUUAAUAAAUAUUGUUAGAUUUGGAAUCUAAUUUUCAUACCAAUUUAUUGCAUUAAAAUGAUUAUAACUAGAAGUUCUAAUGAUAUUCUUAAAGAUAAAUUAUGCAUUUUAAACAAAGUUUCAAUUUUUUUUUUAAUUGAGGAAUAGUGCAAUAAGAAAAUUUCUAAAAUUUGAAAAUAAAAAAUAAAAAUCCAAACAACACUUUAUCCAAUAAGGAAAACUUUAAUAAAAAUAUUUAAAAUCCUUGAGAAUAAUUUUAAAAAAGAAAAUUUUGCGCUUUUGAUUUAAAUUUUAUUUUAACAAAAUUUAUUUCCUUAAUAUAUAGUAUUCAUAAAUUUAAUAAGUAAUAUCUUUUUAGACUCUAAUUUUCUCAAAAAUUUAUUUCCAUCAGAUUACUAAGUUUGUUUUUUUUUUGCAAAACAUAUAUAAUAGGAAAAAUAUAUAUAUUAGGCAUAAAAAAUAUAAAAAAGAAAAUUCAAAUAAUUUCCCUCAGCCUUAGGGAUCCUAUCACAUACUUGGUAAGAUUUCUUGGGAUUUAAAAAUCCAAAUUUACCAAGAUACCCUUAUAACAAAAAUUACGGUUAGUAAAAACAAAAAUCCUUAAAAUCUAGAAAAACAAGUUAGUAUUGGUCGUUGUACAAAGGAGUGUUUGAGUGAGAGAAUGAGUGAGAGCGAGAGAGAGAUAGAGAGAGGAGGGUUGGGUUUUUUGAAAGACCACUAGUAUGAAAGGUAGGGUCUAACCUUAAAACCCAAGGGGUUUAUAUAUACUCUCUUGUGAGCUCAAGUGACUUUGACCCAACUUGGGCUUAGGUCUUAAUCCAUUCCUUAAUGAACUCUAAUUAAUUUAUUAAUUCAAUCUAGAAAAACUUAAAAUAAUUAAUUAUAAUUCUUAAGAAAUCUUUCACUUCUAUCAAAAUGUCUUUAUGCACAUAAAUGAUCAAUUCUCCAUAAAACUUUAAAACUUUAUGCUAAUAAAGACUAUGAGCUUGAGUGGGGCCCACUAAGACUCAUAGGAAAAUAUUUUCUUUUAGAAUCUAAUUCUAAAGUUGACUCAAUAUUCCACUAAAGAAAGUCAAUUGCACUUUCAUAACCUAUGACAUUACACUAAGAUGAAAAUUGAUUAAAUCCAAUUUAAUAAAUUUCUCAAGUUUGUGACCUUUAUCUAUUCGAGUUUGAACUAGGGUCCAUAAUCUAACAUAGUGAAAGCUAUUACACUCUUAAGAUUACGUCUACCAUCCUUGAGUCUCAAAUCCUCCUAUUAUAUGAUCAAAUUGACAUAAUAUAUCUCACAAAGAGUAUGAGUCAAGCUCUAUUAAAGGAAUUACUAUGGUCCCGAAUUUUAGGCUAACAAGUCUUUAAGAUAACCUAAGAGGACACACUAUCUAAAAUAAAAUCUAUGAGAUAUCAUGGUACAUGUCUUAAGAAUACCUAUUGCUACGUACUAAUUAAUAGUGACCUAAUCCAUAGGGAAAAUAAAUACCUUAACACUAGUAUAGUAUUCUGUCAUGGUCUAGAGACUAUAUGAUAUAGUAGCAUGAUGAAAUCAUGAUCACAUGAUAGUCAAUGUCACAAUUCACCAUAGAUCUUAUCUAAUGUGUAAUCAUACACACUAGUGCACUCAACAUGGAAAACCUAUCUAAUGAUAAAGGUAAGUCAUCUCUCUUAUUAGGAAGUAGUGUGCUAUAACCUUAAAUGAAUUACCUAUGUCCCUGAACUAGCUAUAAGCCACUCGUCAAAAUACAAAGAAUUCAUAACUUCAAUCUUUUGUGCAACUCCUAAUACACCCAAGUUAUAUAUAUUACAAUCAUGCAGUCUUGAAUGAUAAAAUAAACCAUAAUGUAAAAGUAAGACGGUAAAGUGAAUCUAAAAACUCACAAAUAUGUUAUGUCAUACUUUGAAGGACUCUAUCUCCACAAUUGAUAAUCUACCAAAUUAAAUGCAUGAAAUUCAAUAAUAAAAACUUGAACUUAGUAACCAAAUCUACAAUUUUAUAUAGAACCUUGUUAAAAUGGCUUAUGAAAAGUGAUUGAUAUUACCAAAGAAUAUAAAAUCAAUGAUGUGAAAUGGAUUUUCAAACUUAGUAAUUGCUUUGGUUAUGUGACAAAUGAAAUUGAAUAUAAGAAAUCGAAGUCAAUGACAAAUGGUUAUGUGAAUAACAUCUUGGUUAUGUAGAGUUCUCCCAUAUUCAAGAUUUCUUAUAGUUUAAUUUGUCAAACAUAUGGUUAUGAAGUUGGCCUUUCUAUAAAUUUGUACAAUAGUAGUUUCACCCUGACUAUAAGAUUUUCUCUCAUUUUGGUAAUUGCUUCGAUUUUUAUGUAAUCACUAAAAUAUCCAUCAUAAGGUUGUACAAUCGAAUAUCUAAAUCAAUAUCAUAACAAAGAAGUUUAUAUAAAGAAACCUAAAUGGGUUUAUAGUUUAUAAAUUUGUGAAAUAUGAUUUCAUCAAUAUCCUCCAUCAAAUCUUUUUGCUUGUAUAUAUAUACAUAUAAAGAUUUUAUCAUGUUAUCCACAUAUAAAGGUUUAGUAGGAAAUCCUCAAUGAAGAUUUCAACCCUAUUGAGAAUAUUCAAUAGAUGUAGGACUUCUAGCUUUGCGUUUGCAUUUUGAAGUUGAAGUUGCAAGCAUUCUAGUUUUAGAUGAAUAAGAGAUUUCGAUCAUGUAGUUGUCAUCAUCAAUAGGGGUAUGUUGUUUCCAUUUCAUCCCAUCAAAACUCAUGUAAAUAUGCUUAGCUAUCCCUUUGCAAAGCUCAAAGCGAAUUUGGUGCACCUGAAUUGAGAAGUAAACAAGAAGAACAACAAUAAAAAGCAGAAGUUAGUCUAUACUUGGACAUUUGAAGAUGGAUAUUAUUAACAUGUUGGUUUCAUCAUCACUACCACUAUUGUAAAUCAAAACUAAAACUUCAAAUACUUAUCAAUAUUUAGCAUAACAUAUAGUUGUAACAAAAAUUAUAUGAUCAAUGUUUAAACGUGUUUUAAGCUUGGUUUGAUUGAGGAAAAUAUACAUGCAUAGAACUAACCUGUGCAAGACGAGUCCCAUGGCAAUUCAAAGGAAGAAACUUUUCCGCAUGCCAUGAAUCUCUAAAUCCUAUAAUCUCAAGAAGUCCAUCAUCCACAAAAGAUGAUGUAAAGUUUCUCUACAAAUUACAAUCCCAUUAGAAUUUUUUAAUAAAACUGUUAAACAAAGAAAGAUAAAGUUAGCUUGAAUGAAACUGUAUAUAUAUAAAAGUUUCUAUUUUUCAUCUCUUUUGAUUGAAAACAAAACAUUCAAAAGCUUACCUCUUUUUUUCUCCUAAAAUUUGGUUUGCCCCAAGGGUCUAGUCCACCAGGGAAACUAGGCAUGUUAAGACAAACAAUUGAUCUUAUGCUACAAAUGAAAAAAAAAAAACAAUUAGAAAUAUUAUUAAUGUUCAUUCAAACAAGAACUAAAUGCUAACAAUAGAUCAAUUGCAAAAACUAAAAGCAAAAAAAAAAAAAAAACAACAAAUAGUCUUGCAAGAUAUAAUAUAAUUAAAUUUUGUAUGGUCAUGUCAAGGAGAAUGACAUUUUCAAUGAAUGUUGUUGUAAAAUAUAUAAACCUGAAAAUAUAUUUCUUAUUCAUGUUAAGGAGGCUAUCUAGUAUUGAUGUAUUGAAGAAUUAGUAUACAACAAAAAGCAUUUGAAAAUCAUUUCAUUAUUUGCUUUUAUUAUUGACCAUGAAAAAUGAUCCACAACGAGAUCAACUUUGUUGUGUGGAUUUUCUUAAGGAUGGUGAUAAUCCAUUUUAGUUUUUGAGUUAAAAUUUUAUUGAUGAAUUAAACAAUUUUAGGUCUUGCUUUUCUAUAAAUAACUUUGGUCUUCCUUAUCCUCACUCAACUUUAUUCUUUUAGCUGAUUUUUAAUAAUUGUUGUCAAAUCUUCAUUAAGCUCCACUAAUUCAUCUAAUAUUCAUUAAAAUUUACUUAUUGUUCAAGCAUUUUACAUUCUUGAAGCCUAAAUUUAAAAUAAAACCAACUCUAGAUGAAAAGUUUGACUAAUACCCAUCCUUAAAGAAAAUGCUAAACUCAUUUCUUUUUCCUUGCAAUAUCAUUUUUUUUUUCUAUGUUGUAAGAUGUUUCUUCAUUUUCAUAGUGGAAAUAGGGCAGGUUCAUGAAUACUCAUCACAUCUACAUCAUUUAUUCUAAGAUAAUUUUUCAACCUUGUCUUAUAUCUUAGAGGCACAUAUGCAUGUGACACCAAACAAUUAAAAAAAAUAAAGAUGAUGUGACACAAAGAUGGAAGUUACAAUGUAUGUCAACCUCAAGACAAAACUAAUAGAAAAUAAUGUCAUUAUUUUACCUUCGAGGUAACUUUAACUUCUUCCAUUGAUGUUGUUGAUCCUUGAUUUUAACAAUUAUAGGCAAAGUAAUGUUCCUGCAUCAAUGAAGUUAUUCUUCUCACAUUUUUUUCAAACAAUAAAAGUAAUAAUAUUAAUAUAGUAAAGAAAGUCUACACUUUUAAAUAUGAUUAUGGGAAAAAUACAUGAUCUACACCAUAACCAAUUAGAAAUGCUUGAACAACCUUAAUCAAUCUUAAUAAAUCACGUUAUGGUUUAAACAAACUUCAAGAAAUCAUUCGUACCCAUUCAUCUCAAGCUUCAGUUGAACUCACAAAAUUCAAGGCUAUUACAUUAUUAUAUUUUCUCUUAGUAAUAUAUUAUAGUGUAAGUCUAUAUUAAUGAUAAAAUAAUUGUUGGCAACACAUACAGUCACUUAUUCGCAUAUUUUUAGUUCAUUUUUCACUUAUUUUAAAAUUUCAAAUAGUAGUACAGUCCUUAUAGAAAAUAAAAGCAUUCUUACCUUUUACUAACAUUCCAUCCAAAUUAAUUAGCCAGUUAAUAAUAUAUCCCAAAGUAGUAAACAUCUACCCCUUGAUUAUUACACUAAAUUGGAAAAGUAUUAUAGAACAUAGAAAAUUAAUUAAAAAUAGUAGUAUAAUAAUAUCAUAAUGAUAGGAAUUGUACAUCAAAAAGUUACCUUGGCCAUGAUUUAAAGUGAGAAUCACCAAAACAUUCUUGAGCAUCCAACCCUAAUACAAAUAUAAGAAAGAUAUAAUGUCAUAUAGUUAAAGCAUAGGGUAUAAACAAUCAUCCUAUUCUUAUUGCAUGUAAUCUAAUGCACAAGGAGCUAAAUAUUAUCUGUAUCCUUGUUGUGCCUAAAUCUAUAAACAUUCCUAAAUUUAUUUGGCGUGGAAAAUGUUAGAAAUAUGUGGAGAAAGAAAAUAAAGGUAAGCGUGAUAAAUGAUUACUUAAAUGUAAGCAUUCAAGUCAUGUAGAAGACUUAAUGUGAUUUGUUCAUUACUAAAAUCAUAUUUUGCACUUGUUUAAAAUUGAAGACCAUAUACUAUAGAUGAUAAAAAUGUGAUGACUAAACAAUGUGAAAAUCCAAGUAGAAUAAUCACAUAAAUUUGACCACCUAUAUAGAAUGAAUUUGAAACAUCCAUAUCUUACUUUUUAAGAGUACCAUAAAAAAAAUUAAAAUUUCUUGCCUUUUUUACUAAGACACCAAUAAGUUGAUUCUAACGUGAAAAAAUGAAAACCAAAUAAAAUCAAGUUUUAACUUAUUCUAGAUGAGGUCACAAAUUAUUAGUAUAUAUAUGCUUAUUUCAACCAUUCUAGAUUAGAUUAUGUGUAAGACAAACUCAAUACCACAAAAACAUCAUACUUUUUAGUUGAGAAGCUCUUUCACCACAAAAUAUUCUCAAACAAAAUGUCUUACAUGCUUCAUGAGUGUUUUAUAUAUAUAUAAUCUACUUGGGAUUAAGGGAAACCUAAUUAAAUUUCUCUUUUAAGCAACUUAGUCUCUCUCAACAAAAGUAUCAUAUCCAAAAUUAUCCUUGUUAUUGACAACUCCACAUUUUGUAUAUAUGUAUACACACAUAUGUGCAUAUCUAAUUUCUUGUUAGUCUUUAUAAUUGGUUAAAUUUUUCAUUCACAAUCAAGUAUAUAUCAUCCAUAGAUCUCCUUCCAUGUGCAUAUAUAAAUUGGCUAACCCUCCUGAGUACAAGCAAUGUGUGAGCCUACUAUGCAAAAUGCUAAUAAACUUUCCUUAGAAGCCUCUAAUAUGUUUGGUAUCAAUAUGGAAGUCAUCACUAUCUUUAUAUUAAUGGAGGUAUCAAUAGCUUUAUGAUAGUAUAACAUUCUUAUCUCCUUUUAAGAGGAUUGAUAACAUAUUUCUUCAUAUAGGACUUUAAUCAUGAUGACAUAUUUACUUGCCUCCUAUUAGGAUAAAUCCCUUAAAAACAUGACCUGAUGUAAUAAUAAAUGGAUUUCAAUAUUAUUUAAAGAUGAUUUUGGUUUCGCAUUCACUAUCAUUGUACAUGAGAAUACAAAAUGAGACAAACACAUGAGAUGGCUCAAAGAAAGAACAAAAAAAUCUUUCUCUAAGAAAAAAUAAAUAAAUAAAAAGUACUCAAUAAAAUUAUCUCAAGUUGAGUGUUUUAACUAUAGAGGUAAAGGGCACUUUCAUUUAGAUUUCCCUAUUCCUAAAAAGAAAAAGAAAACAUUGCAAAUGACUUAGAGUGAUUUCGAGUCUAAUGAUAAUGAGUCUAUAGAAUCAACUAAAAGUGAAGAUAAUUGGUAGGGUGGAUCCUUAUUAUGAAGACAGUAGGUAGCCAUUUAAUUUGCCAUCUUAAGCCAAAUUUUAUUUUGGUUUUUAUUUGCUCCAUGCUGCCACUGCCAAAUCCCCAUUUUUACACUAAUAAAAUCUUGCAUUUUUUCUUCCAAUAAGAGCCUACCUAUAUUUCAACUAAUGGAAGCAAUCUUUGGCCUUCAAUUAUUGCAUAUAAAUAACAAGCUUCUAGUGAUCAUUUGGUGAGACAAAAAAUUCCAACCAUUGAGAGUUGUGUAGAAAAGUGAGACAAAAAGAGCACUAAGUGAUAAAAUUUUGAUGAUUACGAGCAUAUCCUAGGGUGUGUUAAACUCAAGUAAGGAUAAUACUUGAGUAAUAUUUUGUCCCAAUUUUAUCACAUAGUGAAUUCUUUUCUCAUCUUUGCCCAGUGGAGGUUUCCCUCAUUAUGAGGGUUUUAGCACGUAAAUUAGGUGUUCCUUUUUAUUUGUCACUUUUAUUUUAUGUGGAUUGGCACUGCCACCCAUUUACUAAUUUAAAUUUCUGAAGGUUGACAUAGCCACCCAACUGCUUACUUAGGUGGUGUUUGUUUUUUGGCUGAAUAGAAAAAGCCAAAUAUUUUGGCUUUUUCUAUUCAGCUAAAAGUACCUUAUUGAUACUAACCAACAUAAUUAAAGUGAACUUAUUAUCAAUAAGUUUAAUUUAAUGAUGUUGGUUGAUGUCAAUGAGUUACUUCUAGCUGAAUAGAAAAAACUAAAAUAUUUGGCUUUUUCUAUUAAGUCAAAAAACAAACAUAACCUUAAAUUUCUAAAGGUUGACAUAGCCAUCCAACUUAUUCAUUUAAUUUCCUAUGGAUUAGCAUUGCCACCUAAUUACUAAUUGACAAUUAUGGUGGAUUGGCAAAGCCACUCAAAUAUUACUUGUUGUAAUGUUUAAUAGGUCACACGCAUUCCCAACAACUGGUAUUAGAGCGUGAUUAGGAAGUUCAAGUUCGGGUAGAAUCAUGGCCGAAAAUUAUUUGGGUACCAUGAUUAAAUUUACAGCUACAAAUUACUCAUUUUGGAAAUCCAUGAUGGAGGAUUUCCUCAAUUGACAAGAUUUAUACGAUCAUAUUGAGGGAGAUAAUGCUAAGCCAAGUGAAAUGCCAGACGCAGAUAGAAAGAAAUUAAAGAAGAAAACAUUGGGUUCUAUUUUCCAAUGGGUGGAUAUUAGUCUUUACAACCAUGUUGCCAAAGAGACGAAUCCCCAAACUCUUUGGAAGAAUUUGGAGAGCAUGUAUGAGACAAAAAAACGUACAAACAAAAAUUUUAUUAAUGCAAAAGUUGAUAAAUUUAAAGCUAAAGAAGGAAUGAUCAUUUGUUGAACAUUUGAAUUAUUUUGAAGGUUUGAUCACUCAAUUACCUAUUGCAGGCCUUUCUCUUGAUGAUGAGACCCAGGCAUGCUUGCUACUCAGUUCAUUACCUGACAACUAGAAUACUUUGGUGGUACUAUAGGAAAUUUAGCCCUAGAAGGAAAAGUCACAUUGGGUAUGGUUAGAAAUAGCAUAUUCAAUGAGGAAAUUCAAAAGAAGGAUUUGAUGGGCAAUGACACACAUGCCCUUGUCACAGAGAACAGGGGUAGAAGUAGAAGCAAAGGACGUUAUGGGCAAACAAAUCAAGAGGCAGAUCAAAGUCUAAAGAGAAGAUAAAAUGUUAUCAUUGUGGUAAAAUGGGCUACAUGAAAAGGAACUGUAAAUUUCUAAAACAGGGAAUAGACAAGAACCAAAAGCGGGUAGACGAUAGGAAUACCACUACUACCACCUCUACCAGUGACAACAAAGUGACCUUACUCUACAACCAAGAAGAUUGUUUUCAUGUAGCAGAUCAAGAUGACGAGUGGAUAGUGGCUCAGCAGCAUCAUACCACUAUAUUAAAAAUAGAAUAUUUUUCCAUUUACAAAGUGAGAGACUUUGAUGUUGUGAAAAUGAGAAACACAAGUGUUUCUCAGAUCGUGGAGAUUGGCGACAUCUGCACAUAAACAAGUACAAGGUACACAUUAACAUUAAAAUAUGUGUGACACUUUCUAUGUCUACGUUUGAACCUAAUUUCUAUAUGUAUGCUAGACAAGGAUGGAUAUAGCCACUUUAUUGGUAACAACAAUUAGAAACUCACCAAAGGAUCUUUGGUGGUGGUGUGAGGCAAAUUAUGUUGCUUAUUGUACAAAACACACGUGAAAGUGUGUGAAGUCAACUAAAUGCAAUUGAAGAUGAUGCUUCUCUAGAUUUAUGGCAUAAAUAGCUGCUGCAUAUGAGUGAGAAAGGGUUAUAACUUUUGGCCAAACAGCCCCUCAUUCCUAUAGCCAAAGGCAAUCAAACCCCUAUGACUAUUGUAUAUUUGGAAAGCAUCACAGAGUUUCAUUCCAGAAGAAUUCCAAUCAAAAAUUGGAGAAAUUGGAAUUAAUGUAUUCUAAUGUUUGUGAAUCCAUGGAAAUAGACUCGUUGGGCGGUAACAAAUACUUUGUUAGUUUUAUUGAUGACGCUUCAUGGAAAACGUGGGUAUACCUGAAGUGUACAAAAAAAAUCAGGUAUUCCAAUAUUUUCAACAAUUUCAUGCCAUGGUAGAUAGAGACGAGAAAUCCACUAAAGCUUCUUCAAAUAGAUAAUGGUGGAUAGUACAUCUUUAAAGAACUUAAAGAAUAUUGCUCAAAGCAUGGAAUCAGACAUGAAAAGACGGUUCUUGGUAUGCCACAGCACAGCAGCGUUGUUGAACGGAUGAAUCGAACUAUUAUGGAAAAAUUCUAGUGUAUUUUGAAAAUAGCUAAACUUCCUAAGUUAUUUUUGGGUGAAGCUGUCAACACCGCUAUUUACCUAAUUAAUAGAACACCAUCAGCUCCUUUGGACUUUGAUAUUCCUGAGAGAGUUUAGACUGGAAAUGAUGUUUCAUACUCUCACUUGAAGGUGUUUGGAUGCAAAGCAUUUUUACAUGUACCUAGGGAGCAAAGAUCAAAGCUUGAUGAUAAAACAAUUCCUUGUAUUUUCAUUGGAUAUAGGGAUGAGAAAUUCAAAUACAAGUUGUGGGAUUUAGAAAAGUAAAAGAUAGUCAGAAGUAAGGACAUCGUGUUUCACAAACACGAGACCAUUGAAGAUAUGGAGAAAAACGUGGGUAGUGCAAAACUCACAUAUGAAGGUGUUGCAAAUUUAACACCAGGGCAGACUUCAUUAGAGGGUACUACAAAUGAAACAAAGAUGAAAGGAUCAGAACAAGGAACAAAAAUGGAAAAACCAACCAUUGGGGAUGAGAAAAAUGUAGACGACAAUAAUACAAGAGGUGCUAACCAGGGGAGCAAACCCUUCCACCAGAAAAAGAACCUCAAUUAAGAUAAACUACUGGAGAACUUCAAUCAUCUACAAGGUAUCCCAAUUCUAAGUAUAUUUUAAUUACUGAUGAGGGAGAACCUGAAAGCUUCUAGGAAGUGCAAUCUCACAAAGACAAAGACUAUUGGAUAAAAUUCAUGCAAGAAAAGAUGAAUUCCUUGUGGAAGAACCAUACAUACAAGUUUACAGAACUACCAAAGGGGAGGAAAGCACUCAAGAACAAAUAGGUGUUCAAACCAAAGAAAGACAACGAGAAGUUGUUAAAGUACAAGGCUCGAUUAGUGGUAAAAGGAUUCGGUCAAAAGCAAGGUAUUAAUUUUGAUGAAAUAUUUUCAUCUGUUGUGAAAAUGUGUUCAAUUUGAGUUAUACUGGGAUUAGCAGCAAGUAUCAAUCUCCAAUUGGAGCAACUCGACAUAAAUACUACAUUUUUGCAUGGUGAUCUUGAUGAAGAGAUCUUUAUGGAGCAACCAGAAAGCUUCAAGGUUAAAAGGUAGGAGACCAUGGUUUAUAGGUUAAAGAAAAGCCUAUGUGGAUUAAAACAAGCACCAUAAAAAUGGUAUAAUAAAUUUGAUUCUUUCAUGAUGAGUCAAGAGUACAAGAGAACAGUUGCAGAUCCAUGUGUAUAUGUUCGGAGAUUCCUUGACGAUAAAUUCAUCAUUCUCUUAUUAUAAGUUGAUGAUAUGAUGAUUGUAGGACAAGAUGCAGAUAUGAUUUGGAAACUAAAAAGAGAAUUAUCAAAGACAAUUGACAUGAAGGAUUUGGGUAUUGCAAAGCAUAUCUUGGGGAAGGAGAUCCUACGAGAUAUAAAUUGACAAUUUUCUUCCAUUUCUUAUUAAUUAUGAUGAACUUAUCUUUAUAGGUCUUAACAACUAAAAAAAAUUUGAGGUACCACAGAAUUGAAUUUAGGAAGGUAAAAAGUCAUCAAAUUUGAGGAAAUGAUGUAUUUUUGGUAUGGUAAAGUUUUUUUAAAUGGUAAUUAUAUGCAAAAGUGUUGAAAAGGCAAUUGAAAAUAGCUUGAAACUUGUGAAAUUGGAUAAUGUACUUAGUGGAAGUUCAAAUAGAUAAGAGGGGCAUUCAAAUAGUUUGUUAUUUUUUAAAGUUUCAAAUUACAUUUUGAAUUACAAAAGCCUUGAUUUUAAAGAGAUAUAAAAAUUGGAAACUCUUCAUAUUUAGGGUUUAGGUUUCUUGAGUAUAGAUUUGUUUCUUUCAACUUAUGUUUCCUAAGAACAUUCAUAUUAUAAUGAAUUGCAUAAUAUUUAUGAAAAAAAAAAAAAGUACAAGCAAGCUAAACCAUACCUAUUAUAAGAUAGUUCCAAAAUCUCCCACAAAGAUCUUUGUCACCUUCCUGGUAAGAUAUCAUCAUAAGAAGUACAAAUUAGUAAGUUAAAAAGUCUUAUCCACUUCAAGCAUUAAUUCAAAUAAUGAAUUAUUCAUUAAUUAAGUUAAAAAGUCUUACCAAUAAAAGAAAAUGCUACCAUGUAGCUAGUAAAGAAAAUGCAUAUUAUACAUUUUUUUUUAAUAUCUCCCAUAUACAUAAUUUGUAAUAUCUAAAAUUAUUUAAUUAAAAGAGGUGGAGCAAGUUUAAACCCUCAUAAGUCAACUGAAAAUGAUGCCCAAUCAACUAUUUAUACUAAUGUGACUACUAUAAAAAUAGGAGUACACAUGUAUGAUAUGUAGAUAUAUUUUGAAGCACAAUGGUAGAUAGCAAAAAGUAGGGGAAAGUGUCUUCACCCAUUGAAAUAUAUGUUCCACCUUUAUGGGUGUUUGCUCAAAAUAAUGCUCGAUAAACUAUUUGUACUAGGAGAGAUAGAGCUAUUACCUAGCCUUAGUUCAGACUCUUGAGUAUACAUGGGUUCAAUGGUAAUUGUUCUUCUUGUUGAGUAAACUUACAAUGGUUUUAUAACAAUAGUUUCUAGACUAAUGUUAGCAGAAGGAUCCAAUUCAUUUUUUUAAAAACUGGUUUAAUUCAAGCAUUGUGGCAUUAGGAAAAGAUUAGAUCAUGUAGUCUAUGUCUCCUGAGUCAAUGACCCAAGAGCCAAUGAAGGAUAAAUAUGAGGCCCUUAAAGUAUGAGAAAUCAAAGAUUGCCUUAAAUUAUGAGAAAUAGAAGACUUACUUGUUUGUGCCAAAGAACACAUAAUUAUUUAUUCAGAGUACCAAAAAAUAUCUUAGCCUUUCUAUCUCUUCUUUGUUUAGUUCUCCCAAUUCUUCACUAUUGAAACUAUGUUUUUCUUAAGGGCCUCCUUCAAAAUUUGCCAUAAUUUCUUGAUUACGAUUUUUCCAUGCUUUAUUUUCCCUAUUCUAAUCCAAGUUUUAAGGUUUUCCAUUAAGUUUCCUAUACUUCUCUUUGGUGUUUUAGGGCUUCUAGUAGUAAGUACACUAAAGUCCUUCACGAUUGAGAAUUUUCAACUUAUCAAGACGCCCAGUUUCUCUAACAAGAUUUAAGUUGAAUUUGUUUGGCAUUAUAGCAACCAUGGAAAAACCAUGAAUAAAAUACGGUUCAAGCAUCACACCUCUUUGAUUUUCUUUAGCACAAAUGAUGGAGAUGAUUUCAUUCAUGGCUAGAGGCUCCUCUUUUCCUAGCACUUAGACCCAUACUUGGUUAAACUAUAAAUUGGGCCUAGCAAGAAAUUCAAAAAUUCAUUCUUUUUCUAUAAUUUUUUUUGGCACUAUUGCAUCUUCACGGCAUUUAAUUUGAAUGUUAUGGUAGUAGUCAAUUUCCUAUCACAAAUUCUUCAUAAUAUUGGCAAGUUUAAUUACAAAUCUAGUUCCUUAUUUUAUAGUUGAAAUCUUCACCUUGAUUUGAAAAUUUGAGUAGAAUCUCAUAUCUUUGAAUAGGUUUGUUGAAUGGCUUUGUAAACCUCCCUAGUUGUUGUAAAAAACAUACAUGUUCCACUAAUUUUAGGGGACAUUGAAUUCCAUAACCAAGACAUGAUCAUAGAAUCCUUUUCAUCCCAACUCUAAAAUUUUAGAUUUCCAAGUUUUAGUCAUAUGCCAAUUAAAUGGUUCAAUUUUCCUUUACCCUUUAGGGAGGUUCACACUAACUAAGAAUAUUGAAGAUAAUUCUUCUCAAUAAGGUGCUAAGUAGCUUGGAAGUUCUACAAUUCCCUCAUGGUUUAGCUUAGCAGCGCUUUGAAUGUCGCCUUAAUAGAACUCUGGUAGCAGGAGUAUGGUUCAAUAUUUCAAACAUAAUAGUAGUGAUGAAUGGAGACAAAACGAAUAAUAAAUAAAUCAACAAUGAAACUCAAGAAAUCAAAACACCACAAAAAACUUCAAAUAAGGAUAGGUAGCACUCAAAGUUUUCAUCAAGCAUACAAAGAAACCAGAGAAAGCUUUGAUACCAUGUGAAAUUCUAAAUUAAAAUCAAGAGAAUGUAUUAAACCAACUUCAAUGUAUAUGUAUGUAUGUAUGUAUGUAUUAAUUAAACAAACUUCAGUGUGUAUUAUUAUUAUUAUCUAUUUUACCAUUUUUUUUUUCAUAUUUAUGUAAUUUUCAUAAUUUUUUGUUUUAAAAAGACACACACACACACACACAUAUGUAUGUAUGUAUGUAUUAAACCAACUUCAAUAUGUAUUAUUAUUAUCUAUUUUACCAUUUUUUUUUCAUAUUUAUGUAAUUUUCAUAACUUUUUGUCUUAAAAAGAUUUUUUUCCAAAUUUUUGUUCAAUUUUUUUAUAUUUCCUAAUAUUUCUAUAAAACUUCACUAUUGAUAUUUUCAUAAUUUAUGAUAUUUUAGAAACCAAAAGAUUAUAAUUUCUUUCAUAGCUUAAAAUACAUGGAAAUUUUACUAAAAGUGUGAUCAAAAUCAAUUUUUUAAAUGAAUGUCAUAAAGAAAAAUUAUAUAUGAAACAAAUCAUGGGUUAUAAAGUAAAAGGAAACAAAAAUAAAGUUUUGAAUUGUACAAAAGCUUUAUAUAACUUCAAGUAGUAAUGGGUCAAGAUCAUGGAAUAGUAUUUUGAUAGAUAUUUUCAAUAUAGUAUUCUUACUAAAUAUCUUGUGACCAUGUGCUCUACAUAUAGAAAAUAAAAAUAUGAAAUACUUGAUUUUUACCAAAAAUUAUCUAAGCACGGAAGUGCGAGAUAGAGGAAAACAUCCAAAUCAAGAUUACAUCAAAAGGGAUCUACACUAAUCUAAACUAAAACAUGAAGAAAUCAAAACCCUAAAAAUAUAUCAAAGAGGCCUUAAGACAAACCCCUUUCCAACUGCAAAAUGGGAUAUUUAUACCAUUCCAAGGUUGCCUUAACGUGGAGAGAUGUUGAGAAAUUUUAAUCCCAAAGAUCUAAAGGAUAGGAGAAAAAUUCCAAAAAAAAAUGUGUCCAAGCAUAAACAAUUAUUUUAAUAGAGCUGGUGUCACCCUUAGGAAAGCAUUGCACCCAAAGUGGCAAUAAGCAAAGGGGAGGUUGCAAAUUUGGGCACCAUGGGUCAUCAUCCCAAAAUGGAAAAUGGCAUUAUGCAUUCUCUCCUCCUCCCUUUCCCCUUUCCCCUUCCCCCCUCCCCCCUCCCUCCUCCCUCCCUCCUUCCUUCCCUUUCCUAUUUCAUGUCCUUGUACUCUUCUCACUCCAUUUCAAUACUUUGACUAAGCUCCCUUAUAUGCACUUAUUCACUCAAAAUAGUUUCAAGACAUUAAAAAAUAGAGAAAAAAUGUAAGAAAGUUAGAGCAUAUGCAAGGUAGCACAAAUUUGACUGAUUGGACAAUACAAUUGAUGCAAAUAUCACACAAAAUUUGAUUUCUACUUUACUGUCCCAACAAUAUUUAACAUCAAUCAAUGUGUUUGUUAGGUAAUUUGACAAAAUUUUUAAAAAAAAAAAAAAAAAAAGCUUAACAUGCUAUAAGAAAAACCAAUUGAGAUCCAAAUGGACCAUAAAUUAGCAUCUACAUUGGCAAAAAAUAUGAUGUUCCAUGAUCAAAACAAAAACAUUGACAAAAGAUAUCCUUUCUUAAAAAAAAAAUGCAUAAUGAAGAAGUAAGUGGAAUUGAAGAACCUUGGUACUCAUGAUUAAAUUUUUGACAUAUUCGUAAAAGUAUGAAUAUUUAAUAAGUGCAUUGUGCUAAUUGAUUUUUAUAUUAAUUGUGGAGACAAAUACUAUAAUAUAUAUUAAACUUUUUAAUGUUACUUUAACUCCAUUGAUUGAUGGUCCAAGCAUAUUUUUACUUGGCUUUUUUACUUUGAUUAUAGAAACUUGAAUAUGGAAAUGACAAAGUUUAUGCUAUAUAUUAAUAAAUUUACUAUAAAAUAUUGAUACAACUACAAAAACAAUCAUGAUCCCAAAACAUAUGCAUUGUAAAAAAUUAAUGCAUUAAUUAUUUGUGCAAAAGCAAAGUUCUCAAUUUGCAAGCAAAAUAUUUGUUCUCUUGCAAAUUAAAAAAAUGUUAUAUGACAAAACAUUACCAUGAGCAAUAAGUCGUCUUCAGAAACAUGUUGAACGCGAAGAGUCUUUGGUAUCUCAAGACAAUCUGGAAUUGAUGUCCUCAUUAGAAAAAUCCAACUGGAAUAGAUUCAAACUAAAAUCAUUUAAAUUUGGCCCUUGGAAACUUCCAACAAUAAUUAGAACAAGAAUGUGAAUUCUUAAUUACCAUAAAACAAUGUACUCGGACUAAUCAAAUAUCAAUUAUUUAAGAAUGUGUAAUAAUGGUAAUCUUCUAUUAUGAAAUGUAUACAUUUGUCAGUGUUGGAAAGUAACUCAAAUUUCUAAUUAAUAUAUACUCACUUCUAUGAAGAAUAUUAUAUAGAAGAUCUCCUAUGUUGCUAUGUUAUUACAAUAUUAUAGUUUUUUUUUAUAGGACAAGGAAAGUUAUUUGGAACGUCUCUAUAAAUAUUCUAGGUUAUAAGGGGGGGAAAAGAAAUAAGAUGAAAUGGGUUUGUCUACAUGCUAGAUAGAGAUAUGAGAAAGAGUAGAAGACGCCUAAUGAAAUGAAGACUCAAGGUUCAAGAUGUAGAUAUAAGGAAUAAAGAAAUAUGAGAUUUUUUAGGACUUGACAUUGGUAUAUAAGGAACAAAGGUUCAAGAUCUGUAAUAUUCUCUAUAAUAUAGUAGAAUGAUUUCUCUUAUUAGUAGAUAUAGGAAUUAUUUUUAAACUAUGCUAAAACCUUUUAUUCCUUUGUGUGUUGUUUAUUUUAUCUUUAUAUUCUAACACUAAUAUAUCAGCACUAAAGCUUUCACUAGUACGAAAAAUUGGUGUCAAAGCUCAAAUUGAGAAUUCUAGAAGAAGCAAAGAGAACAAAACAGAAAAGAAGAUUACAAAGGAAUUUUAGUUGAAGGUAGAGUCAGUUGUUCUCUCAUCAAAAUGUGAUACAAGAAAUGUGUUUUCUUUAUCCAAGAUAAGCAUAGCUUCUCCUGCACACUUAUUCCAUCUUAAAAGGUAGAAAUGAUGAAGUGUUUGAAUGAUUUAAAUCCAUAGCACAUGACGGGAUCAUGGCACAUGACAAGACUGUGAUGCACAAGGGUAACAAUGAUAUUUUAGGAGUGUGGCGCACAAUGGAAGUUAUGAUAUAUAGUAAGGAUUUGAUUCACAUAUGUUUAUUAAAGUGUGUAUCAAAGAUAGAUAAAAGAUAAACUUGAUAGAAUUUGAUCAAGAUGAUAAAGAGUUCAGAUUUCCUUUUAAGAUGGUUCUAGUUAGUACUAGAUUAAUGUUUGAGUUAAUUAAAAGAAAGCCAAUAUGCUUUGUACAUUGCAUCAAAUGAAAAAAAAUAAAAAUUAGCACACUCUUUACAUGAUUUUAAUGCUCUUUGGUUGAGAAAUUUCUAGACAAAUCCACAAUUUCAUAUUAAGGCAAAAGCAUUUAUAAUGUAUACGAUUAUAAAUUUUAGUAACUUCUAGUGAAGUGAUCUAUCUAAAUAAGAGAGUAGUAUUUAAUAAAUAAAAUAAACCUAGCUCAUUAAAAACCACAAAAGUAUCCUACACGAGCUCCCACUAGAAAGAACUUUUCAAUUCCAAAAUCUUGUACUUGAAAGUGUUUUGGAGUUUGAUGCAAUAGAGAACACUAUAGAGCACUUCAAGAAUCAAAAAGAGCUUUUGGGCAGCCCAAAAGUUGCACCAAAAUGGUGCUCCAAUUUGAAGGAUGCUUAAUAUGGAAUUAUUUAGUUAGAAACAAACGAUAAUAUAUAUAAAUGAAGUGAAUUGCCUAAGGUUUUGGUCAAGUAGAAAUAUUCAUUAUUUUAUUGACUUUAAAAGGUUUAUUUGAUCCUAUGUUGCAAUUAAUUAGGACUUGAAAUUAAGUUACAAACUAAACUUCCAUUUCUAGCUAAGAAUUCAAUAGACUAAUAGAUUAAUUGCGGCUCGAGUGCAAAGAACUAUAAUUUUCCGAGCUUAGAACCAACUAAAAUUUGGUUAAUGUAGCAAAUAUCUAACCACAUUAAUGCAGAGAUAGAUGUUAUCGAAGAUCAAGCAACUGGGUCGUCAAGGUUUAAAUAGUAAUCCCUUUAGGCCCGCAUAUGGAGCAUGUCACCAACCACAAUGGAAGGAAUUAAGAAGGCAUAUCUUUUUACAUAAUAGUAACCAAUGGAAGGCUUUUUUUUAGUCUUUUGUUUUUUCUUUUCUAAGACCAUGAGUGGUGGAUUAAGAAGAAUUGAAUCAUAAUUAGGGGAAUAGAUUGGUUCUAUCCCAUAAUAUAAAUUUGAAUAUGUACCAAAUGCUCAGCUAAGGGAGUAAUGCUAUUUGUUAAUUGUUGAUCACAUUGAAGCUUGAAGCUCAAAGGUAUAGGACUAUGGUGAGGCAAUUGGUACGGCUUAUAUAUAUUAUGCAUUCUGUUAGUAACAUUCAAACACAAUUAGCAUACUAUGAUUUGUAGAUUCACGGAGCUAACAUCUCUCUGAAAUGUAAAAUUAAUUAAAUAAGAUUAGAUUUAGAUCUUUCUCAUAUUGUUUCCAGUUUCACAAGGGAAUGCCUACUGUGGACUGCUAGACAGAUUGCAAAAUUAGUCAACAUAUAUGGCAAUAGAAUAAUAUACCAUAGGAAUAACUAAGGUGCAUUAGGCAUAAAAACCACUGACAAUGACAUAUCUACAAUGUACCUAGUUAGACAUUUACCAUAUCCAUCAGUAAGGAAAUGUUAAGCGCCACUAAGCCUCUAUUAACUAGACCAUCACAAUCCAAACUUUUCACCAAAAAUGAAUAUAAAGACUGAAGAGAUUAGUUUUCUGAUAUUGGACACAAAAAUUGAAGUGCAAGCAGUUGGACCAUGUUAAUUAGCUUUCUAAAGCAUGCCAUCCAAACAACAAAUGAAAUUCAAAAAGUCACGUACCAUUUUCCUAACUAUAACUCAAAUUUCUAAUUAAUAUAUACUCAUUUCUAUGAAGAAUAUUAUAUAGAAGAUUUCCUAUGUUGACAUGUUAUUAUAAUAUAUAUAUAUAUAUAUAUAGAAUAAGGAAAAUUACUAGGAAUGUCUUUAUAAAUAUUCUAGGUCAUAUGGGGGAAAAAGUAAUAGGAUGAAAUGGGUUUGUCAACAUGCUAGAUAGAGAUAUGAGGAAUAAUAGGAAAACACCUAGUGAAAUGAAGGUUCAAGAUUCAAGAUGUGGAUAUAAAGAACAAAGAAAUAUAAGAUUUUUUAGGGCUUAAUAGUGGUAUAUAUUUUUCUACCUUCUGUAAUAUUUCCUACAAUAUAGUAGAAUGAUUUCUCUUAUUAGUAGAUAUAGGCAUGACUUUUAAACUAUGUUAAAACCUUAUAUUCAGUUGUGUGUUGUUUAUUUUAUCUUUGUAUUCUAACACUAAUAUAUUAGCACUAAAGCUUUCACUAGUAUGACAAAUUGGUAUCAAAGCUCAGAUUGAGAAUUCUAGAAGAGACAAAGGGAACAACACACAUAAGAAGAGUAUAGAAAGAAUUUUAAUUGAAAGUAGAGUCAAUUGUUCUCUCAUCAAAAUGUGAUACAAGAAAUGUGGUUUCGUUAUCCAAGAUAACCAUAGCUUCUCUUGUACACUUAUUACAUCCUAAAAGGUAGCAAUGAUGAAGUGUUUAAAUGAUUUAAAUACAUAGCACAUGAUGGGAUUAUGGCACAUGACAAGAUUGUGAUGCACAAAGGUAACAAUGAUAUUUUAGGAGUGUGGUGCACAAUGGAAGUUAUGACAGGGAGUAAGGAUUUGAUUCACACAUGUUUAUUAAAGUGUGUAUCAAAGAGAGAUAAAAGAUAAACUUGAUAGAAUUUGAUCAAGAUGAUAAAGAGUUCAGAUCGAUUUCUGGUUCUAGUUAGCACUAGAUCAGCGUUUGAGUUAAUUAAAAGAAAACCAAUAUGCUUUGUACAUUGCAUUAAGUGAAAAAAAAAAAAAAAACUGGAAAAUUAGCCCGCUCUUCACAUGAUUUUAAUGCUCUAUAGUCAAGAAAUUUCUAGAUAGAUCCACAAUUUCAUAUUAAUGCAAAAGCAUUCAUAAUGUAUUAAACUAUAAAUUUAGUAACUUUUAGUGAAGUAAUCUAUCUAAACAAGAGAGUAUUAUUUAAUAUAAAAAAAUCAAAAGAGAGUACUAUUUAAUAUAAAUUUUUUUUUGAAACCUAUCUCAUUAAAAAGACUUCCACAAAAGUAUCCCACUAGAAAGAACAUUUCAGUCCCAAAAUCUUGUACUUCAAAAUGUUUUGGAGUUUUAUAAGUGCAAUAGAGAACACUAUAGAGCACUUCAAGAAUCAAAAAGAGCUUUUGGGUAGCCCAAAAGUUGCACCAAAAUGGUGCUCAAAUUUGAAGGAUGCUUAAUAUGGAAUUAUUUAGUCAGAAACAAACGAUUAUAUAUAAAUGAAGCGGAUUGCCUAAGGUUUUGUUCAAGGAGAAAUAUUAAUUAUCUUAUUGACUUUAAAAGGUUUAUUUGAUCCUAACUUGUAAUUAAUUAGGACUUGAAAUUAAGUUACAAGCUAAACUUCCAUUUCUAGCUAAGAAUUCAAUAGACUAACAGAUUAAUUGUGGCUCAAGUGCAAAGAACUAUAAUUUUCCAAGCUUAGAACCAACUAAAAUUAGGUUAAUGUAGCAGAUAUCUAACCACAUGAAUGAGGAGAUAGAUAGAUGUUAUCGAAGAUCAAGCAACUGGGCCGUCAAGGUUUAAACAGUAAUCCCUUUAGGCCAGCACAUGGAGCAUGUCACCAACCAAAAUGGAAGGAAUUAAGAAGGCACAUCUUUUUACAUAAUAGUAACCAAUGGAAGUCUAUUUUUUUUUUCUUUUCUCAGACCAUGAGUGGUGGAUUAAGAAGAAUUGAAUCAUAAUUAGGGGUAUAGAUUGGUUCUAUCCCAAAAUAAAAUUUUGAAUAUGUACCAAAUGCUCAGCCAAGGGAGUAAUGCUAUUUGUUAAUUGUUGAUCACAUUGAAGCUCAAAGGUACAGAACUAUAGUGAGGCAAUUGGUAAGGCUUAUAUAUAUUAUGCAUUCUGUUAGUAACAUUCAAACUUUAUUACCUGUCUAUCAAUAUCUCUUCAGCAUCGUAUAAUUUAGUCAAGUAAAAUGCGGGCCUAGCAUCUGUAUCAGAAAGUUGAUUUCCCUGUCAAGUAGUUAAAAAAAAACCAUCUCUUUUAUCUCUUUAUGUAGUAAUAGAAAUAGGAUGAAGGUAGCAACUUAUAUGAAAAGAUGAUAAUUAUUGUAUUACCCAUCCAAGAGAAAUUGAAAUGUUAACUUGUGUUCCCAAAGGCAUCACACCAAUUGGCGGUGUCGAAUGGAGUUCCAUAUCAUAGACUGCUUGUAAAACCCGAUUUGUUGUAGCAUCACCACCAAAAACCUGGUGAAGUAUAUAUAUAUAUAUAUAUAUAGUAAUUAUGAUAAAUAAAAGAAAAAAAGAUUUUAAUAAAAUAAUUAAUGCAUUUGUUUAAUAUUUUAUUAGAAUAAAUAAUUAUUGAAUUUGAGAGAAUUCUCCAUUUUAAAUUUCACUCGUGUCAUAUUCACUUAUAUCACUUAUGUCAUUUUAAUUAUAUCUCUAUUUUUAUAAUUAUUGACAAACUGGAAUAAUGAUGAUUCAUACAAAAAUUAAUUUUCUAUGCUAAUUAAUAAAUUUUUUUUUGUAAUUUUUUAAAUUAACAUAAGCAACUUUAUAUUUUAAGUGGAUUAAAAAUUUGAAUAUAAGAUAAUUUAAGUAAUUAAGAGUGGUUUAUCAUUUUAGUUUUCUGUGAAUAUUUGAAAUAAUUAAUAAGGUAUGGGUCGGAUGAGAUAAAAUUAUGUUUGAGUUUGAGCUUAACUGUUUGUUUUAUUUUUUUCCUAGUAUUACUAGAGUUUGAAUGACGCGCCCUUAGAAUUCUAAAGAGCCGAAGCCCAAAUUGGGCCCAAUUCAGUCACAAGAUUCAAUUGGGAUGUUAAAUUACAAAGGAAGCCUUAUAAUUGAAAUUUGAGACAAGAUUAAAUCUUAAAGAUCACAACUACUCAACUUACCACCAUCCUCAGUCUGUCUGGAACGUCAAAAUCACUUAUCUCCCAUAUUUCUUUGAAAAACUCUUGAAUGUGAUGUGAUGGCAAUUGAGGAACAACCUCUGAAAUGUCACAAACCUGAAAAGUAAAGUUAUUCAAAGCAGCACUAAAACAAAUCCUCUGAAUCAAUCUUGAGGGUGCUUUAAAAUCUAACCCUUUUUGUGGCCCAGUUGCUACGAAGAGAUAGGAGCAAAUCGUUCCCCUGAUUGGCGUCGUCUUUGGGGUUGAUCAUUACAUAAAAUAAUAGUUUCCUUUCUCCUAGUAACUCAUGUAUGUGAUCCCAACUGCCACAGUUAAUACACGUUUAGUAUAUGAAAAUAGGAAUUGGAAAGCCAUGAGUAUGGUUGAAUGCCCGAGUAGAUGAUUUAAAGAAACAUAAGAAUCCCUCACUUAUGUUAAGGAUUAUCAAAAAUUCUUAUAAUAUAACUAAAACAAUCUAACAUCUUUUAAAUUUAUUAAAUAAUACGCCAUAUAUAUCUUCCAUUUUUAAUAUAAAAUUCAAAUAUUAAUACCUUUUGUAUAAACUAUGAAAAAAUAAAUGUUAUUGAUUUUAAUUUUUUUUAUAUAUAUUUUAAAUUUCUAAAAUAAAAUAUUUUUAAUUUAAUAAAAUAUAAAUUAUAUAUUUAUAAAAUCACAAUUCAAAACUAUAAAUUGGCAAAUUUUCAAAUUCAAUCUUUUAAAAUAUUAUUUAUAAAUUGAAGUAAUUCAAAACAAAAUUCAACAAAAGAGGCAAAAAUUCUUUUUCUACAUUUUCUACAUGAAAAAAAUUCAAAAAUACUUGCCCACAAUCUUAUAAUUUUUUUCCUAUUUAAAUUUUAUAGUCUCCAUAAAAUCUGGACAAAAGUUAAAAAAUAAAAAUAUAUAUAUAAAAAAAACCCAUAGGCUUCAAGAAAUUCUCAAAAAUCAAAGAACAUAACUCAAAAGGACUAACUAAAUAAAAAAAGUUACAAAAAUAAAAUGAAAUUAAUUAACAUUAUAAAUGAAUAGACUCUAAUGAAAUCACUUUUGAAAAAUAAAAUAAUCUAAAAUAUGAUAUUUCUUUUUUUAAAUUUUUCCUUUUUAUAUAUUUUGUAUUAUUAUUAUUUUUAAAGGAAGAAAGAGAUAAUUGCAUCAUCUACACAUAAUUUAACCCAUUCCUUUAAUACGUUAUUUGGUAAUUGAUUGUUUAUUUACAUAUACAAUCUAGAGUAUUAAUCAAUACAUUACACCGUAAACUUUCUUAUUUAAAUCUCAAAAAAUCUUAAAUAUAUAUAUACCAACAAUGUGAUUAGUAUAUGAAAAAUGUGAAAAUAUGAAAAUAACAACCUACUUAAAAAUCAUGUGACCAUCAUAAAAAAAUAUUAAAUUAGAAAGGUGGUAUAUAAAAUAUACGUAAAAAUCAAGCUGAAAGCAUAGAAACUUACUCCCCUCCAUAGGUUUGGUUCUGCAUAAUAGUGGAGAACGUUGUUGCAGCUGACGGGAGACCAUGAGAAUGGUACGUCAUUUCAUCCUUCAUUUUCACCACAAUGGGAUGCUUCUCCGGAAGCCUGUCCGUAAUAUGGCCCCAAAUAAUCUCAUUGGAAAAGGGCUGCAUACGAUAUAAAUUAUUGGGCCCAACCAUCCUCUUUGCCACACCAUGGAGUCUGGUUGUAAUGAUGAUGAUUCUGGGCCUGCGCCUUCUACUCUGAAUUGAUUUGUUACACCACUCGAGUCUCUCCUUUAACCUGAAGUACCAGUCCAGGUUGAUAUCCCAAAUUCCAUCAAACACUAAUAUAUAACUCUGACUCCCCAAUGCUUUGCAGAGGGCGUCCAAUAGCUCCUCCACCUCCACACUAUCCCUUUGCCCACCAUCACACUGCUUCAGCAUAGCCUUGUGAAUCUUCUUAAAAUCUAUUUCUCCUUUCUGUAUCGCUUGUAAAUUGAUCCAAAUUCUUCGGGCCAUACGACUUCGGUCGAAAACCAUUCGGACCACAAGGGUCUUACCGCAACCCCCAAUCCCCACAAUUCCAGUUUCCUUACUAAAUCCUUCUUCAUCCAAUCCACUUGUACCCAGAACCAAUUUUUCUAUAUUUUUGACUUGGUCUCUAAAGUAAUAGGAAGAAUAACGGUCUAUCGUUGGUCCAUCAAAUGAUAAAGAGCCAGAAGAAGAAGAAGUUGUGGCUACAUCCGUGACGGCAGAAAGGGAAGUCUGCUCUAGCUUUUUCUUGAUGUGAAUCAGCUUCCUUUUUGUUUUGCACAGAAACCAUAGCUCAGGCAGAGAGUAGUGGUCUUGCCUUUGCCCUUGCCCUUGCUCUUUCCCUUGCCCUUGUGAGGAAUCCUUGUUGAUUUUCAUUUUGCGCUUUUCCAGGAAGAGAACGCAGUCGGUCAAUGCAAUGCUGAGGUCGUAAAGACAAUCCUUCAUUCCUGUCGACGGCGUGAUGCUUUUAGUUUCCAGAAGCUUUCGAAUUUGUAGAAAAUAAGAAUGAUGGGGGAUGUCAUGAGGUGGAGGGUGUUCCUCCUCUGCUUCUUCCAAUUCAUCCAUGAAUUUGUUCUUCAAAAACUGAAGAAUAUCUGCUGACAUUUGGCUGUAAAAACCUAAUCUCCCAACUCUCACAAUUAAUAUUUGCUUACAUCGGCAUAAGGCUUUUCUUGUACAAAUGAAGAGAAUUUCUUGUGGUCUAAGGAAACGGACAAGAAUCCAAAGUAGGGCAUUUAAAGAAAGAAAGAAAAAGAAAAAGGAAGGAAAUUAAAGCAAAAGAAAGAUAUUUAUGCCGAUACUUACUUGUUUUACACUCCAAACUACAUGGAAUUCCCAUUGGUGAUGAUUCUCGGAAUUUAUUUCCAUUUUAAUUGUUUUUUUUUUCAUAAUUUAUGUCAAUUCUAAUUGAAAAUAGUAUAUAUAUAUAUAUAUAUAUAUAUAUAUAUAGUAUUUGAAGUUUACAAAAUUAAUCUUAAAAUUAUAGAAAAUGUAAAAUGUAAACUAUUUUAUUGGUAUUUCAACUUAAAAACAAAAAAAAAAUAACAAAUCUAAGUGAAAAUAUUUUGUCCAAUAUUUCUAUAAAAUUUAAAUGAAAAUAGUAUUAUGGAUGCAAUCCUAUCUUACAAAUGAAUUUUCAUUUAUUAAGCUUCAAAUUUAUUGUGAUCCACGGAAAAAUAUACUAAAAAUAGUAUUUAAUAUACCAAUUAAGAUAUUUCAUUUUUUUUGCUAAACAUGACAAAAAAAAAUUUAAAAUACUAUUUAACUCACCUAUCAACCGUAGUUUGAAAAAUGAAAAACAUGUCAAAGUUGAGCGGAGAAUAUCAAAGAGGAAGGUUUGAGAAUGGAGUGAUGAAUGAGAAAUUUAAAGAAUUUUGUGGUGAUCAAGACAUUUCAAAGUUGAAGAUUUAAUUGUUAAAAUAAGAAAAUUUAUUUAUUAAAUCAUAUUAUUUUUUCAAUAUGUAAGGAAAUCAUUGUUUUAACUCAAGUGUAAAUUUUUUAAACAUUUGUUACAACGAACUUAUCUUCUUUCUAAUUGAUAUUAUUUAUGGGGAAAAAAUGUAAUUUGAAAAAAAAAAAAAACACAUUUCUAUAGUGAAUAUCCAACAACAAAAAUUUAUUCAAAUAAUAAUUGCUAUUUAUUUUAGGGAAAAGUGAGAUUUGAUUCACUAAUAUAAAAAUAUAUAGAAAAAAGAACCUCAAAUAUUUUAAAUUAAUAUUAUCUUCAUCUAUUUAUUGUAAGAGUUUUUUUUAAAUAUAAAAUAUUUUACACUAUGGUUGUACUUUGAUAUAUAGUAUAAAAAUAAUUAAUUAAUUAAUUAAUUAUUUUAUAUUAAAUAAACUAAUCAUAAUUAAAAUAAUUAUAUAUUAUUAAAUUUAUUGUUUAUUAUUUAUUAUUUAAUAAACAACGUUAUUACUUUUUGAAUUAAUAAUUAUGAUUAAAUAGGAUUUGUUUGAUAAUAUUUCCUCUUAAAAUUCUAGGAAAGAAAAAAAUAUAUUAAUGAUUUUUUGCACAAUAUUUUUGUAGAUUCCAAAAUUUAUCCCAAUUUUAUUUUUACAUUAAAUUUGAGCCCAAUUUUGUCAAUAAAUUCUAAAUCCUAAUUAUAUGUGUUUUUUUGUCCACUCAUCCUUUAAUUUUUAUUUUUAUUUUAUUAUUAUUAUUUUUAAAAUUAUUUUAAUUUUAUUUUGUUUACUAUUAUUAUUAUUAUAUUCUAUUUUAUUUAUUUUUAUUUUUAUUUUCCCUCUCCUCUCUCCUCUCUCUUCCUUUCUCCUUCACCUACCCUCACCCACCCACUUCUUCUCUCUCCUCACCAUCGGCCAUCAUUUCACAUUUCCUUUUCAAUUUUUACUUUUAGUUUUUAUUUUAUUUUGGAUUUUUUAUUUUGAUUUUGAUUUUUUUCUCCCUCAAUUUUUUCCCUCCCACUCUUCUCUCUCUUCCCCAAAAACUCCCUUUGGCCGGCCCCCCCUCCAUCUUCAUUUCCCUCCAAUUUCUCCCCCCAUUUCCCAAGAAGGGCAGCCCCAAUUCCCAAGGACGGCUGCCAUUUUUUUUGGGGGCCCCCUUCUUCUCCUUCCUCUCCCGAGUCUGCUACGGGAGGCAGAGGGGGCUCCUCUAUUUUUUUUGGGCUCUCCUCCUCACAGCUGGGGAGGGCCUUUUUUAUUUCUUUGAUUUUCUUCCUUCCCGGAACACCCAUUUUGGGACGGCCAGGAACCGAGACUUCUCCCCCAUUUUUUUUAUUUUAUUUUUUUCUUUCUUUCUUUAUCCUCUUCCAUCAUACCCGACUUCCAAAGGCACCAGGAUCCUUCCUUCUCCCCUUUCAUCUCAUUUUCUUCCAAUCAUUUUCCAUUUUUUUACCCACCAAUCUCCCACUGUCGCCGGCGAGCCUCGGCCAGUCGCCGCCGACGGCCCGUUCCCCUUCUCUCUCGCUCCCUCAUUCCCUCACUUCCCCAUCCCAUCCGUUUUCAUUAUUAUUAUUAUUAUUAUUAUUGUCAUUGUUAUUGUUAUUGAUAUUGUUGUUGUUGUUAUUUUCUUUAAUUUUAAUAGUAACCGUUGUUUGUGAAAUUUGGAUUGCUGAAUUAAUAUGAAAUUUGAGGUUGAUUUGUUAUUGGUAGAUUAAUACAUAAUUUGAUUUCAUUUAUUGUUAGUGAAUUAAUUUGAAAUUUGUUAAUUUGGGUUUGUGGGCAUGUUGUAUUUGGUGAUUAAUUUGAGGAUAUUUAGAUCAUAUCAAUUGCAUACUAUUUAUUUGGACUUAGGCCUAUUGUUAAGUUGUUAUUUGUUUGGGCUUGUUAAUUGAUGUGGAUUUUGGGGCUCAUAAUGUGAGUGAGAUUUGUUUGAUUAUUUGAAUAUUUGAUAUGAGUUUGACCAAUUUGAAUUGUUUAAUUUAGACAUGAGACAAUUGUGGUGUAUAUUUAAUUAGACUUAAAUUAUGGAGUAUUAAAUUUAGGUCUAGUAGAAUUUAUUUUAAUUUACCCAAUUUUAGGUUCGAUUGAUUGUGUUUGUAUCUUUGACUAUUAAUUUGGAUGUUCUAGGUUAAGACCUAUAGUAAUUUGGACUCAUUUUAAUUGACGAAAUUUAUGAGACUAAUUUGAAAUUGGAAUUUGGGUUUGAAUAUUCGUUUAGGAUUUUAUAUAUCUCUGGAUAUUUACAUUUGUGUUAUUCUUGUUUUUGCAUGGAUCCACUCUGCAAUCUUAUUGGUCGAGUACGAAUUGAUGACACGUGGAGCUUGUUGUAAGUAGUUUAUUUGGGUAUAUAUUUUAUUUCUCACUUUUUAUUUGGUUUUAUUUUUAUUAGUUUGUAUAAAUAUUCGUUCGCAUGUAUUUAUUGAGUGUGUACAGAAUUGAACAUCGAACAAACUAGAAAUUUUGUUUAAAUGAGAGGAAGAAGUCAGUAAAUGUGUUUUAAUAAAACAACAAUUUUAAAAUAUUAUUAUUAAUAGAAGAAAGUUUUUAUUUUAUUUUUUAUUUAUUUAUAAAAAAAAUACAUUUAGAAAAAUCCAAAAGAAAUGUUUUUAAUGGAAUUUGAAAAUUUGUUUUUAAAUAAUAUUUGUCAAAAAAUUUCUUUGUUUAACAAAAAUUUUCCAAAUAUUGUUUUGUAAAUAAAGUUGUCCCAAAAAUUAAUUUUCAAUAAAAUUGUCCAAAAAAAAUGUUUUUUAAAUAAAUUCUUUUUACUUGAUUAAAAUUGGAUUAAAGGUCAUUUUUUAGAAAUAGAUGAUUUAUUUAUUUAUUUUUAUUUUUACUUUUAUUUUUAUUUUUUCCUUUUAAAUUAAAAAUUCUUUUGUAAAUAAAGUCAUGUCAUUUUAAAUAAUUUAUAAAAAUCACUCUUUUAAAUGAAAAUGAAUCUAAAUACUUUUGUAAAUAAAAUUGUAAAAAUCAUUAUUUUUUAGUAAAAGCAAGUAAAAAAAUGAUUUUUGCGCCCAAAUUAAAAUUUUGUAAUGAAUUCUUUUGAUACAAUAAGUGUAAAUAGUUUUUUUUUUUUUAAAUUGUAUACAAUUAAAAAUUGAGAAAAUAAAUUGUUUCUUUUUAUAAGUAAAUAAAUGGAAAUCAUUAAUUCAAAAUCAUUUUUAAUAAAAUCCUUUGAAAUUUCUUUAAAACUUUUUUUAAUAUCUUUUAUUUAUUUAAUUCAAUAAAUCAUUUUGCAUAAUUCUCUUAUUAUUUAUUUUGUGUAUUUUUGUAAUUAGAUUUCAUCAUUGUUUUUGUACAUAUUAAUUCUCACCAGGACUUGUAUAUUGAUUAUUUUUCUUGGUAUCCAUAAUUAACCAAUUAAUUGCUACAAUUCCCUCAAUUAGUUUAAUAGAGACCGUAUGUAUACGGGCUUAAAGGGGUGCUACGGCUCACCACCGUACCUUCCCAAUAAGUAAUCUGACCCUCGGACCUAAACUUGGUUUUUCACAGACCCGUUUUUUUCCUUCAGGGUCACACUUAGGGUUUUCUUUCUUAUUUGGUUUUUCCCUUAAAAAAAAUAAAACAAAAAUAAGUGACGAUUCCAAGUCAUUUUUUUUUUCAAUAAAUAUAAUCAUUUUCAAAUAAAAAACGAGUUUCGCCAUCGAGUGGGAACGCAUCGAGCAAAAUGCGGGGUCCACAAUUUCCUAAACUUUUAGCAAACUAAAAUAAGAAUCUUACGGGGCAUUUGUUUGAAAUUAUCAAUUGAUUUAAAUGACAUGGCAAGUAAAAUGACAUUUUUGGGAAUAAUUGGAUGACUCAUUAAAAAUUGCAUGUAUUUAAAUUAUUUUUAAAUAGAUGAAGUUAAUACUAAUUUAAAAUAUUUGAGGUUCUUUUUACUAUAUAUUUUCAUAUUAGUGAAUCAAAUCUCACUUUUCUGUUUAUUUUAUUACACAAACUUAUAACCCUAAAACAUGUCAAAAUAAUCAUUUAUAAUCUUAUAAUUUAUUUUAAAAUCUUCUAUCAAUAAUUAAUAUUUUUAAAAUUAAUAUUGUUUUAUUAAUUUAUUUUAUUGUAACUUCAUAUGAAAAAUUAUUAUAAUUAAAAAGAAUGUAAAAUGAGGAGGGUAUGAAGAAUAUGAGAAAGAUACGAAGAAUGUGAGGAUUCUUCAUACCCUCUUCCAUUUUUUAUUUUUUUUUAAAUUUCCCUCAAUUCUAACUUAGUUCCUAAUAUUAAACUAUUUCAAGUCAAAAAAACUUAAAAUUAUUAAAAUUGUGAAACUCUUAAGUAAUUCUUAAAAUUGUUUUAAAUGUAACAUUUUUUCAUCUCCUCAUAUUCUAUCUUAGAAUUAAAAAUUAUAAUUAUCUACUUUAAGAAUUUCCAAAAAUAUUCAUUUCCUAAUUAGAAACUAUUGUAAUAGGAGCAUGUCAAUCAUGAAAAUUUUAAAAUUUCCAUAAGAAUAUUUUUCAAAAUGAAUUUUGAUAAAAUAUCUACUCUCAAAAUUUUUAAAUCUAUUUUUCUAAAACUCUCAUUCUAUAUACAAUUCCAAUUAAUAAAUGUUUUAUUUAGCAAAUGUUUCAAAGAAAUUUAUUUCCAUCAAAUUACGAAGCAUUUUGGUAAUAGUCUUUUAAUUAUAAAUUAUCUCUCAUGAAAAUUUUCAAAAUAUUUAUUUUCCAAAUUAAAAACUCUAGUGUAAUAAGGAAAUUACCAAUUUAUGAGAUUUUGAAAAUCUUGAGAGUGACUUAUCCAAGAAAGGAACUUCAACUUCUCACAUUCAAAAUUUGUCACAAAUUUACUUUUCUUAUCCUUACACCAUUCCAAUGUAAUAAAUAUUCUCGUGAAAACUUCAUAAUAAUUUAUUUCACUAAAUACUACCAAAAUCACAACUUUUUUUAAUAAUUUCUUAAUGGAUAAUAUAUUCUCUAUAAAAAAACUUCCAAAGAUGUUUAUGUCCUUAAAAGGAAUAAAACAAUGCAUUUUGGAUUACGUCUCCAUUAAAUUACUAAAAGUUUUCAAAAAUAUUUUGGUAACCCUUCUGAUUAUAAAUUCUCUAUCAUGAGAUUUUUCAAAUCUAUUAUUUUUCUUUUAAACUAAGACUCUUAUGCUAAAAUAAUUGCUCUUUUAUUCUUUAUCCUUGAACUAGUUAUAUCCAAAGUAAAUAAUUUCCUCAUCCUCUUAGAGGGGGAGGAGAUUGGAGGACUAUAUAGGUGUAAUUCUCCUUUUCUUGGGGAAGAGUUGGGGGGGGGGGGGGGGGGGGUUGGGGAGGGGGAACCCAAGAAACCCCCNNNNNNNNNNNNNNNNNNNNNNNNNNNNNNNNNNNNNNNNNNNNNNNNNNNNNNNNNNNNNNNNNNNNNNNNNNNNNNNNNNNNNNNNNNNNNNNNNNNNCCUAAAGUUAAAAUGCAGUCUCUAAACAACCACAUUAUUGAGUUUUAUGGAUCACAUUCAGAUCAAGAGUAAGGUGGUGUUUGUUUUUUGGGCUGUUUGCUGAAAACCAUUUAGUUUUGGAAUUUAGGUUGUUUGUUGUUGUACUUUUUCAUGACUUUUUAUAAACUUUUUACUAAAUAGAAAAAGCCAGAAUAUGUGGCUUUUUCUAAAUAGAAAAAAUAACACAAUGGUUUUUUUUACUUUUUAAUACUUAAUAAAAAUAAAAUACUACAAAAACAAACAACCUAAUAUUUAAUACUAUUAAGUAUUAAGGUUCUAUUUAGAAUUAAGUAAAAAAACAAACGCCACGUGUUUGGGAGGGGGAGCCUAGAGAACCACCUAUACAUAAUCAAGUGGAUGGUUUAAAAAGGAAUAACAUUCUCAUUAGCAACAAACAAUUUAAAUAAAUAAUCUUAGAAAAAAAUUUCUCUUGAAAAUUUACUAAGAAUAUAAAAAAUAUUGUUUUUUUUUAAAAAGGUUUGUGAGAAAAUAAAGGCCAAUCUUAAUUACGAAAAUACCCAAGAAGGAAGGUAAAUUGGGUUUUUUUAAAAAAAAAAUUCAAACACAAUAUAUUUAAGCAAAAGAAGCACAAAUAUAAAGAGAUAAGGUUAGAGAAAGCAAAGUUGGAUUUUAUAAUGGUUAGACAUCCUUUGCCUACGUCCACUUUCCUCAAGCUUCUAACAAAAUGAGGGUUCCACUAUACUUGAAGUUUCAACCAACCUUCCAACACCUUUACACUUGGAUUCCGGCUCCAAUGGGCUUUUACACAAUCCCUUCAAGUCUCUACUCGCUUGAAGCUUCUAACACUCAAAUAACAAAUUUAAAUAUUUCAACCUAGCUCAACAAGAGCUCAAAUACAACUCAAAUGCUAGGAAAAAUCACAAGGGUGCACUAAGGAAUAUGCAAGUGGAUAUUUAAUCCAUCAAGGAAAGAAUGAGAGCUUUUUGAUGAAGAACAGGUAGAUAAACAAAUAUAUCUAAACUUUUCACCCCUCGUGAACUUGUUGAACUUUCUUGUGAUGAAGGCUAAGUCUUCACUUUUUUUUUUUUCUUCAACUUCUUCUUUUUCCUUAGUCGUAGCUUGAGAGCUAUGCUCUUCUUCUUUUUGUCUUCUCCUUCUUGUUGCUUCUUUGCCAAAGUGAUCUCAUAUGUCAUCAAUGAUCCUAUGAGCUCCUCCAAAGAUAGCUUUGUUAAGCCUUUGGCUUCUUGAAUUGCGAUGACCUUUGCAUCCCACUUUGAUGGAAGUGACCUCAAGAUCUUCAUCACCUUCUCCAAUUCCUUGUAGGUUUUUUUCAAGGCUUCAAGACCAUUUACAAUAUAGGUGAACCUAGUGAUCAUCUCAACAAUAGUUUCAUUAUCUUUCAUAAAAAACAAUUCAUAACUAUGAACAAGUAAAUUGAUUUUUGACUCUGUAACUUAAUUUGUUUUAUGAGUUACUUCAAGUAAUCUCCAAAUUUCUUUAGCCGAUUUGCAUUGACAAAUUCUAUGAUAUUCAUUUCUAUCUAUAACACAUUGCAAACUAUAAACGACUCUAGCCUUUAAUUGAAAAUUUCUUCUAUCACGCCCAUCCCAUUCUUGUUUGGGUUUUGGAACCAUGACUCCAUCAACUAGUUUUGAAGGAAUAGUUGGGUCAUCUUCAAUGAUAUCCCAUAAGUUUAAAUCAAUUGAUUGUAGAAACCAAGUCAUUUUAGUUUUUUAAUAGAGAUAAUUAAUUCCCGUAAAAAAAAAAAAAAAGAGGUCUAUUAGUUGCAAAACUUUCCAUGUGAGAUAAGCUUGAUGGAUUAGUCAUGUCCUCUUAAAUGAUUAAGUUUUAAACAAGAGGCCUAACUUUGAUACCAAUUGAGAAAAUAAAGGCUAAUCUUAAUUAAGAAAAUACCUAAGAGAAUGAGGAGGAGGGGAGAAGAGGGGGAGGAGGUGAAUUGGGUUUAAAAAAAAAAAAAAACCUUUUCAAACACAAUAUAUUUAAGCAAAAGAGCACAAAUAUAAAGAAAUAAAGUUAGAAAAAGCAAAGUCAGAUUUUAUAGUGGUUCAACAGCCCUUGUCUAUGUCCACUCUCCUCAAGCUCCUAAUUGAGUGACGAUUCCACUAUACUUGAAGUUUUAACCAAGCUUCCAAUACGUUUACACUUAGAUUCUGACUCCAAUGGGCUCUUACAUAAUCCCUUCAAGUCUCUACUUACUUGAAGCUUCUAACACUUACAUAACAAAUUUAAAUCUCUCAACCUAGCUCAACAAGGGCUUAAAUACAACUCAUAUGCUAAGAAGAAUCAGAAGGGUGCACUAAAGAAUAUGCAAGUGGAGAUUUAAUGCACCAAAGAAAGAAUGAGAGUUUUUUUUAUGAAGAACAGGUAGGUAAACAAAUAAAUGUAGGUGUUUGUAAACCCUCAAUUUUGUCCCUUUAGCACGUCUUUAAGUUCACUUCCAAUGCUCCACAGUAGUUCCCUGGUGGCCCAUUGCUACUCAUAUUACUUACUUUUUUUGAGUCAUCUUGGAGACUUUAGUUGAGGGAUUUAUCUUAUCCCUUAUUGUGACCCUUGGCAAUCUUGAGUUAAGUCUAGGAUUUUCCUUUCUUUUUUGGACAGCUCAUUUAGAUACACUUUUAGGAUAGCGCACUUAGGCACCGUAGGUCACCUAUAGAUGUUUCUGCAUGGUUUGCACGGUUGCAUGACUCAUAUUUUCGUAUAGUUGCAUGACCCGUAUUUUUGCAUGGUUGUAUGACUCAUAUUUUUUGUGGUUACAUGGCUUGUAUGGCUUGCAUGUGUUUGAUUUUUGUUUUUAUUUUAUUUUACUUUAUUUUUAUUUAUUUAUUUUUUAGGUGCGUGAUUUAAAUUUCUUUUGAUCUUCAAUUUCAUGAUAUUUUUUUAUGUUAAUCUUUAUUUUAUUUUAUUUUUAUUUUUAUUUAUUUUUAUUUUUACCUUUAUUUUAUUUCUUGCAUGAGGAAACGGGAUGGCAUUCUUUUUGGAAGGAGGAUAACCAGAAUCUUGGAGAAAGGAAAGUGGCAGAUUUUUUUAGUAGGAGAAAGGAAAAUUUCCUUUUUUAAAAAAAAGGAACAAGAAAAGAAAGCAAGAGAACAAAGGAGGUUUUCAAAAAGGGGACUGGCAGCACACAUGGAGAACAGGGGAAGAAGGAAAAUAGGGAUUCACGAUUUUGUUGAGGAUUUUCAGAGAAUAACCAUAGCAGGGAAGCCAAGUAAUCGGGUGGAGACUGCCCAGGAUGAAUAUUCCGAGAAAGGUGGGAACUUUAUAAAGGCUGUGUAAAACGGGGUUUCUUGGGGUUAGACAGAUGCAGAGGUUAUCAUAGUCCCUGAAGGUUCUUAGUUUGUGGCAUUCUGGGUUCAAUGUUCGUGGAUUUAAACUAUGAAGAUGUUCCUCGUAUAUUUGUGAUUGAUUGACGAAUCUGCAUUCUUUGGGUUUUGUACGGUAAAAAAUGGGCAUCUAAGGUUUGAUAGUUUGGUUGAAAUUGAGGUUUUUCUCGGCAUUGAAAGUCAAGAAGACAACCAGUGGAUUGAGGAUUUCUCUCGGGGAAGUAGUGGAAUGGAGUUUAGUUCAAGCGCUGCGGAAUCUUGCUCUAUAUCCUGGCGGAACAGUGUUUAGUCUGAGGCUACAUCCUCAAAAUAUGUUGAAAUGCUAUUAAAAUAUGUUGGGCAGGAAGAAAUUGUUCCAAGUCAAACUACUGUCAAGGACCCAGGUGCCUAUGAUGAGUUGGGUCGGAGCAUGCUGUUGAAGUCAGCAACAGAGGUGCAGAAAAUUGUGCCAUAUUAGAGCAGAGGAUAACCUCCCAUGCGCAGCUGACUUAUGGAAAGAGCAGUUUUGUGAAGAAAAAUGAUGAUUUGUUGGAAAGUGGGAACCAAUUGAAUAGUGAAAUUUCAACUAGUCACUUGAACACUUCUCUGUCAUCUGAGGAAACCAAUGAACUUUCUGAAGGUAAUUAUUAUGGAAGUGGAAGCCAUCAUGAGGGAGAUAUUUCUAGUAAGCUUGCGGUAUCUUCUUCAGUUGAACUGCGUGGGGAAUCACAUACAACUGAAAAUGUAAAAUGUGUAAUUGGAGUUCAUGGAAAAGAUAUAAAUGCUGAAAAGAUCGUGUUCUAAUUUCCACUCCAUCAGCCUACUCAAAUACGCAUUCAAAACGCAAUCUCCAGGCAGAGUGGUGCUCAUAAUUUUGAUUCAGAUGUUCCUGUUGUUGGGGUGCAGAAUGUGAAGUUGAGUACUGAUUUGAGUAAUUUGGAACAUGAGAUUGAUGGAUCCUUGUUUAUUGGUGAAUGUAACAGAGAAAGUGAGGAUGAUAGUGUUAGCUUUGGAUUGAUUGUUAUGGCAGUGAAUUCUUCUUCUGAACAUGAUACAGUGGCUUUUAUAUUUAAUGAAGGCAGGGUAAAAGAAUUAAUUUUGCGGUCGUUUGAAGAGGCGAAGAAGUAGGUAAUCACAGGAGCCUGAACUUUUCUUCUGAGAGUAUUAUUCAGGAUGAGAAGCUGUCCCACUUCCAACUAUAUUCAUCAGUAGAAACAAUGAAGAAUCUAAUUACCUGUAGCAAUGCACUUUCUCUCAGUAUCGAUACAUCAGAAUCUGAAUUUGGUGAUGUUCCCAAUCGUUUUAUAGCAAUGAGACCUCCUUACACAUGGCGAACUCAGCUCUAUCAAACAUCUUUAUCCAAGGAUGUGACGGACCGCCAGAUGUCACUUUCCUGUGGUCUGAGAGCAAAUAAAGAAACUGAUUUUCCAUACUGCAUGAGGACCUUUUGGCUUUGAUAUUUCGUUAGGUGCCACUCUUGCCACAAUAGGAAAUGUUCAGAAUGGUUUUAAUGCAACCCAAGUUAGUCCUUGUGGAGGGUGAGGCGAAUGAUGGUCAUCAAUGAAGUCAGCUGCUGUAGAAAUCAGUGAUGAAUGAUUCAUCCAAUUUUGCAUCUUUCAUGUGUCAGUUCUGGUUCAUAGAAUAUAGAAAAUCCCUGAAUUUGUUGAUUAUUUAUGGAGAAGUCUGAAACUGAAGCCCUACUGAAGCUUUUGCCUUGGCCUAAUUUUGCCCAGUUUUCUGAAAUGAUACUUAUUGCUCCACACGAUUUGGAUCUGAUCUACCUUCUACAUUGUAUUCUCCUCAGAAAUCGUUUUCCAGUAAUGGCAUAUUUUAAUUCGGAGUUCGACUUGAAGGAUUUCCGCAUCCCUGAUUAUAUUCUUGUUCCAAAAUCAGAGGUUGAGGUUGUUUCUUAUGUACCCGAGUGUUCAGUGAUAGUGUUCAUCAACUCCAAGAGCAGAGGAUCCAACUGGCAAGGGCAAUCUAUAGUGAUUCAGAUGUGUUUUUCCUAGAUGAUCCCUUUAGUGCAGUAGAUGCACAUACAACUGCAAUUCCUUUCAAUGAAUGCGUUAUGGCUGCUCUUGCUCAUAAAACCGUCAUUCUAGUGACUCAUCAAGUGGAGUUUCUCUCUGAAGUUGAUAAAAUUCUGGUUAUGGAAGCUGGACAGAUAACUCAAUCAGGAAGCUAUGAGGAGCUCUUGACAUUCGGGACAGUAUUUGAGCAGCUCGUAAAUGCACACAAGAAUGCAGUAACAAUAUUGGAAUUUUCAAAUGAUGAACAAGUAGAACCUCAAAAAUUGGAUCAGAAUCUGCUAGAGAAGUCUCAUGGAUCUCUCUCCACCAAAGAAAACAGUGAAGGAGAGAUUUCUAUGAUGUUAGGUAAAAGCCACAAUCUUGUAUCAUUAUUGCACAGGGAAUAGAAUCUUGUUGCUGAUAUAUUUUCAAUUUUAACUAUUACAAUAGCAUCUGAAGCUAUUAUAUCUUGUGUUCUUAAAUUUAUUAAGAACCUGUUGAACCUUGAUAGUGAAUUGGAUGACGAAGACAUCACUAUCAAAAAUGUUCUACUUCCGAACAUUGAGACUCUCAUCCGCAGCUUGCAUUGUCUUUUCCAAAGUUGUAAUGCCACAAAAAGCAUAUUGGUCAAAUAUCCUGGAGAAACAGAGCUUAGAAUUUUCAAAUUGUUGUCAAAAUAUAUAAAGGAUCCAUUGCAAGCAAGAAAAUUCAUUGAUAACUUGCUCCCCUUUUUAGGAAAGAAAGCUCAGAAUUCUGAUGCAUGUUUGGAAGCUUUGCAAGUUAUUCGAGAUAUUAUACCAGUUUCAAGGAGUGAAACUUCUCCAAAAAUUUUGAAUGUUGUUUCUCCUCUUCUAAUUUCUGCUGGAUUGGAUAUGCGUUUGACCAUUUGUGAUCUUCUUGGUGUUCUUGCUGAAACCAACCCUUCGGUACUCUCUGUGACAAAUCUUAUAAGUGAAUUGAAUAUGACCUCUGUUAUGGAAACGGGUGGCCUGGAUUAUGACACCAAAGUUCAUGCUUAUGAAAAGAUUAGCAUGGAGUUCUUUUAUCCUAUCCCAGAGAAUCAGGCACUGGUCAUUUUGUCGCGUUGUAUAUAUGAUAUGUCAUCCAAUGAACUGAUCCUAAGGCACAAUGCAUACAGGUUAUAGGUUUCUUUUGUUGAAUUCUCCGUCCAAAUUCUUAAACUUGGAGUGAAGAGUGAUCAUGAAAUGUCUGAAGCAAUGGUAACAUCCAUAGCUGAUGGUUAUUGAACUGAAGCAUGCAUUCAGCGCAUGAUAAACAAAUUCCUUUUGAAACCGGCAGUAUGUUGGGCAUGGAGUUUGCCAAGAGAGGUUCUGAAACUGUUGAGGUGGCUCUCUAAAUUUGAUUGAAUGCGAGACUCAUAAGAAUGCUGUAAGAGCAACCAGAAAGCAGGCAGAAAAACCACAUACAAGCAGCUUUAAAUCAAGUUGCUGCAUUCGUGAUUAAAGGAAGUUACAGGCACCAGGUCAGGGAAUGGACGAGUAUUCAUGGGUUUGGAGAAUGUUGACCUCAGAAUGUACAUGUACUGGAGUUCCCUAGCUGCUUCAAAUUACUUCCAGGUUGCACAUUUGCUCUCUUUUUCCUCACGUUGGAAAUUCAGCAUUUUCCACUAUGAAGCCAGUCCGUGAGAUGCUGUCUUUCAGUGUGUUCACUCCAUAUUAUUCUGAGACUCUGCUUUAUAGUAUGGAUGAACUCCAAAAGAAAAAUGAGGAUGGAAUAUCAACUUUGUUUUAACUCCAGAAAAUUUUUCCAGAUGAGUGGAAAAACUUUCUUGCUCGGAUUAAUCGGGAUGAGAAUGCACAAGAUUCAGAACUUUAUGAUAGUCCUAGAGAUGUCCUUGAGCUUAGAUUUUGGGCUUCUUACCGGGGACAAACAUUAGCAAGAACUGAAAAAAGAGGAAAAGCCUGAUUAUGUGAGGGGUGCUGUUAACGCUGUUCAAGAUCUCUAUGAUGUUGUGCGACAUGAUGUACUUUCUAUUAAUAUGAGGGAACAUUAUGAGACAUGGAAUCUGUUGUCAAAAGCAAGGGUUGAAGGACACUUAUUUUCUAAGUUUUUUUCACAAAUUCCUUUUCAUGAAGAUGCCUGCAGCUAAGCCAGUCCGUGAGAUGCUGUCUUUCAGUGUGUUCACUCCAUAUUAUUCUAAGACUCUGCUUUAUAGUAUGGAUGAACUCCAAAAGAAAAAUGAGGAGAUGGUCAGAGCAUCAGGGAAAUUAAAGCUACUUGAUCGUUUCCUCCCAAAACUUCAGAAAGCAGGGCAUAGAGUGCUGCUUUACUCACAGAUGACUCGCCUUAUGGACAUUCUAGAAGUCUAUCUACAAACGAAUGAAUUCAAGUAUCUGAGACUGGAUGGCUCAACAAAGACCGAGGAAGGGGGACCAAGCUAAAGUAAUUUAACGCUCCGGACUCUCCUUACUUCAUGUUUCUUUUAAGCACUCGUGCUGGAGGUCCUGGUCUGAACUUAUAAACAACAGACACUGAUAUUUUUGGACAGCGAUUGGAACCCUCAAAUGAACCAACAAGCAGAGGAUCAGGCCCAUCGUAUAGGGCAAGAGAAAGGGGUAAGAGUUUUUGUGUUGGUAAGUGUUGGAUCAAUUGAGGAGGUAAUCCUGAAGUGUAUAAUUUCGAAGUCCUAUGCUCUCACUGAUUCUACAGAGAGCCCGGCUGCCACGAUAUUUUUUUUUCUUGUUCCAGUCACAUCGAAGACUCAGAGAUGAUGUCUGACCAACUUCAAAAUCAGCCAGAGGACUAAACUGGCCCUUUUAUAGCAAUCUCAUUCGUGUCUUCCCCACUCUCAUACCAAAGAGCAUAUUUAAAAUGCCAGUCAUGUACAGAACAAGAAUUGUAGCUACCCCAACUAAGCAAGCUGGAAUUAUCGUUUCCUGUUAAGUUCCAUUGUCACCCGUGAUUGAAUGAAGCUCUCAAGCUCUCUUCCAGUAAUGUCUUUGAUAUCAAAUGCCCACCAGAAUCCCUAUUCAGUAACUGCUUCAAGUCAGUAGUAAAGUGAAGAGCUGUGACUAGAUUUGCUUCAUGAACUCUCCUCAUCAGGGCAGUGGACCAUUUUCCAUACCAUAUCAGUCACACUCUGGUGGCCUAUUAUGUGUCAGUUUGAGCUCAUGGAUCCAAGGGAGACACGGAUAUGGAAAGCUGAUUACGCCAGGGUCCGUAUUUCUCAAGAGCAACUCAAGUUUGCUGGAACUCUUCACCCCUCACCAGAUAUCACUAAAGCUUUGAACAACAGGGAGUCCCGGAAAGUGCCGAAAGAAAGCAGAAUGUAUUCAGGGAUUCAACACCAGCAAGGCAGUCAGUCACGUCUCCAGGCUUCACCCAUACAGAUGCCACCUUGGUGCCCACCAUCCUCUUCUUAUUACUUAUUUUCUUUCUUGUGAACUUACACGUUUUUUUAAUUUGGAUUUCAAAAUCUUUUCCAUUAAAUAACUCUUUUUUUCUUUAAAAUCCCAUCCUUAGGAGUUCAUAGACAUUAAAAUCCAGAUUUCAAUAAAUCUUUUACUGCCAUUUUUCCUCUUGGCAUGCAUUUUCACUAUUUUAUUUUAACUUUCAACCAUUUUCUUGAUUUUCUCAAAUUUUCGGCAAACGUGAACAAACUUCAUGAUUCCAAACAAUGGAAUUCAAAGAAUCAAAUCAUGCAAAAUUAAUUAGGGCUUUGGUGGGGCCCGACAUCCACGAUAUUCUCUUCAAUGUUUGCUUGAUAUCUGAUUGAUUGUGCUUCCUCUUUGAGGUACGUGAGAUUAUUAUGCACCUUGUUUCCCAUAGAGGUGUGGAUGCUCGCUAAUUAGGUACGCUCUUUCUACCCUCCAACUCUAAAAUUCUAUGAAUGUGUAUGUUAUCAUGAGUCAUGUCCAUGUUUGAUGCCAUACUUGAUUGCCUUGAUGCUUGUUUGAUCAUCUUUGAUAAAAAUGCAUGUUAUGUGUCAUAUUUUCAAACUAACCUUUGAUGUCUUUUGAUGGUGCUUAAGAAGCGGUUCAGGUAUGCACCCUAACUCUCCUUUAUUGUGAUUUGAUAUUGUUUUGCAUGCUAUUUUUUGAAAAUCACCUUAGUCUACCUAGGUACCCUCAAUUAAUCAACUGAUUGCCCCAUCUCCCUCAACUUAGUCGGUAGAGACCUUUAUAGGACUUAGAGGGUGCUACCUCUUAGAGGUACCUUCUCAAUAGGUAACCUAAUCCCUGGACCUAGACUUGAGUUUUUCAAAGACAUGCUUCUCCAAAAAUUAUAGAGUCGUUUUUUAGGGUUUUCUUUUUUGUUUUAUUUUUCUUUUAAAAUAAAAAUAAAAUAAGUGGCGACUCCGACUUUUCCAAAACUAAUUUUUUACUAAAUAAAAGCAAGUCUUGCCGAUUGAGUGGGGAUGCAUGUGAAAAAUCUGGGUCCACGGUGAGCUCAUAAAUGAAGUGAAGCUCUCAAUUUAUAGAUUUCUAGCAUCGGGAGUCAAAAUGCCAAAAAGUAGCCUCGAUUGAUCAAAGAAGGGGUCGACCGGUUGACUAACUAUUGGACAAUAAAUGCAUGACAGGUGACCAUUAGGCCUUGACCAGAUCUUGACUGGACCUUGAUCGGGAAAGCGUAACCAGUUGAUUGGUACCCUAAUCGGUUAAGUCGGUUGUUUAGUGUCUCAAUUGGUUCACCAUUUUUUGCUCAAAAAUCUAUAUUUUUCUAUUCAUUUUUACUUCUAACACUUAUGCAAGGUCUUUUGGUCAAUGAAUACGUCAAUUUUGAAAUGAUUUGCCUAAGGUUCAUAUGUUAAAACUCAGGUUUUAAUGGAAAUUUAACUUUGAUGCAUAAACCAAGUUUUUAAAGAUGCAUGAAAAUAUAUGAAAAUCCUAAGUGCACCCAUGCAUUCAUCUUACAUAUGUUUUCUAUGAUUAAAGGGUCUUCCAUUUGUCUUGAUCUUGCAUCCAUUGGGUCCUUUGAUGAAUUUCUCGAAUAUCCUUUUGAAUUUUGAAAACUAAAACUUGAAAUUCUUUUUAAUUCAAAACAAUUAACAACUUGACUAUGGUUUGUUAUCAUCAAAACACAAUUAGAAGAACCCUUAGGCUAAUAGUUUGAACACUUAUUUUACUAACUUUUUUAAUUAUAAAUUAUCUAUCUAAUUUCCAAAAUUAAUUUAUUUUCUUUAAUUUCGAAAUCUUAUGCAAAAAAAAAAUAUUUUAUAAAGAUUUGGAAAAUAAAAGUUUUUCCUUAAAAGAAAGAUUUUAUUCUUAGAGAUCUCAAAGAUUUGAGAAGAUUUUAAAUAAAAUUAAAAUCUCUAAAAAUUAAUUUUAAAAAGGAAAGAAAGUUCUUGAUCCUUUUCGAAUUUAUUUUUUCUUAAAAUAAAAUUUCCUAAUGAUGCACAUUCCAAUUUAAAUAAGUUUUCUAAUUUUGAAAAAUUCAUGAAAAUUUAUUUUCAAUUAAGAAUACCAUUAUUAUUUAGGGCCACAUAUGUAAUUAAUAAAGAUAACAUAUAAUAAAAACAAGGGAAUAAUUAAAUAGAAAUAUUUCUCAUGUCCUUUAUGGACUUUAUUGCAUAUUUGGUAAUUAAAAUUAGGACAAAAUUCAAAUUACCAAAAUAGCAUUAUAACCAAAUAUUAGGUUUAGUAAAAAUUGAAAAACCCCAAAAGGCCCGAUUACCACUAAAAAAUGAGCCCAAGAAAAGGCCCCAACAACCAAAAACAAUUUGGCCCAAAUUGAAUCCUAAAACAACAUGCUUUUUGCACAAUCUUGCUUCAAUCAACUAUAUCUCUUGUUUAAACUCCAAAUUGCAAAUCGUUUGAAGCGUUGGAUUCCCAACUUCCUAAGCUUGAAAACUAUAUAUGGUUUGCCCUAAGAAACUCACAGGACUAGCCCCAAUUUUAAGUCACAGUCAGCAUCAUUGUGUUAUCAUGCUCUUUGUGUAGCUUUGCUUCAAUUGGUCAAAUUUUCCCUUAUUUCAACUUUGAAUUGUGAUCCAUUUAAAGCAUUAGAUUCCUAAAUUCCUAAGCUUCAAAAAACUCAUGAGAGAUGGUCUCAAGUUUGAGUUAAAGUUGAUGCCAUUGUUCUGCCAUGGAUCUCAAAACAAGAACUUCGAAGAAUAUUUCUUUUUUCUUAAAUCACAAUAGGAUUACAAAAAGAAACUUCAAGGUUCUUUCUUUUCUCUUGGGUCACAAUAGAUGGAUAUAAAAAACUAAAAUUUUUACAAUAAUAAAAAUUCUUAUGCUCCUUUAAUGGAGCUUACAACUCAUCUAUUAGGAAAAAAAAUACUCUUACAAUCAAAUAAAAAUCCUUUACCCCUUAUGGAGUGUACAACCCAAUCUAGAGAAAACAAAGAAUCCAAUCAUAAUUAUAUCCAUCAUGUUAUAUUGAAAACCCACAUACAUUUGUCUUGAGGCCAUGGAAUAAACCAAAAUACCUUAUAAAACAGAGUUAGCAUACCCUAGAGCUGAUCUAACAUACAAAAACCUACCUUAGGGCUCUAAUGCCAGUUAUUGGGAACCCCGAAUUUCUCUAUUCCCUAUCUCUGAAUCUGGUAGAGUAAAUACAUCUAUCCCUAACAAUCUUUAGAUCUAACACAUUGAAAAAAAAAAAAAAAGGCUUCAAAAACAAUUUUAUAAUAAAGAUCUAGAGAUCGAUUUGAAACUCAUACCUGAAUCUGGAUGUUCUCAUAUCAAUUCCUAGUUGUGAAGAACAUGCUUGAAGGUCUCAUACACCCAAGAUAUUCUAAUCGAUGACUUAUACCACAAUCUUGACACUCCAAAUUCCCAAGCAUCAAAACCAUAUGUGGCUUACCCUAAGAAACUCAUGGGAGAUAGUCUUAAUUUUAAGUUAAAGUUGAUGUCGUUGUGUUGCCAUGGAUCUCAAAAAAAGAACUUCCAAGAAUAUUUCUUUUUUCUUAAAUCACCAUAGGAUUACAAAAAAGAAACUUCAAGAUUCUUUCUUUUCUCUUGGGUCACCAUAAAUGGAUAUAAAAAGCUGAAAUUUUUACUAUAAAAAAAUUCCUAUGCUUCUAUAAUGGAGCUUCUAACUCAUCUAUUGAAAAAAAAAUAUUAUUACAAUCAAAUAAAGAUCUUUUACCCCUUAUGGGGUGUACAACCUAAUCUAGAGAAAACAAAGAAUCUAAUCAUAAUUAUAACCAUCAUGUUAUAUUGAAAGCCCACAGACAUUCAUCCCUGAGGCUAUGGGAUAAAUUAUAAUACCCUAUAAAAUAGAGUUAGAGCACCCUGAAAUAGAUCUAACAUGCAAAAACCCAUUUUAGGGCUCUAAUUACCAAUUGUUAGGAACCCUGAAUUUCGUAGGGUGCAUGCAUCUAUUCUUAACGAUCUUUAGAUCUAACAUAAUGAAAAAAAAUGGCUUCAAAAGCCAUUUCAGAAUAAAGAUCUAAAGAUUUGAAACUCAUACCUAGAUUUGGAUGUUCUCAAAUCAAUUCCUAGCGGUGAAGAACAUACCUAUAGGUCUCAUACACCAAAAUAUUCAGGUCGAUGACUUAAACCAUGAUCUUGACACUUCAAAGUGUGGGCUUUGGAAAUGAGGAAUCUUAGGCUCUUUUUCUCUUUCUCUCUGGAGGUGGAAGACAACUUUUACGCUAAAAAGUGAUGGAAAUCCUAAUCCCUAAGAGGUAUUUAUAAGGUUUCCCUAUUGGGCUUAAGUGACUUGAGCCACCAGGGCUUGGGUCACUUGAUCUAGCUCAAAACAAGUCUUAAUUGAUUAAUUAACCACACAAGUUCAUCUAAUUAACCGAUUAGCCCAAUUCAAAGAACUUGUUUAUUAUCCCUUGUAAAACCUUGCAUAAUUACCAAAAUGCCCUUAUGCAUAAGAAUGAACCUAGAACCAAUCCAAUCAUCAUAAACCAUGUCAUCAUGGUAUAUAAGCUUAGAAUGAGAACUAUUGGGACCCGUAAGAGUAUUAGCUCCCUCAUAAUCAAAUUUUGAAGUUGAUUCAACAUUUUACUAAAGAUAAUCAAUUGCACUCCAGUAUUCUUGUGUAAUUAAUUAGAUUGUCUUGUAAGGUUAAUUAAUCAAUUCAGGCCUAAUUUGGGUAAGAUUAAGUGAUUGAUGCCCAUAUGGGCUCAUGUACUUAAACUUAGUAGGAGAAUCCUAUAAAUACCCCUUUAGGGGUUAGGGUUUCUUAAUCACUUUUAACGUUGUAUUUCAUUUUUAUAGAGAGAGAGUCAAACCUUCCUUUUUUCCAUUGCCCACCUUUUGGAGUGUCAAGAUCAUGGCUAGAGUCAUUGAGCGAAAGAUCUUGGGCAUACAAGACCUUUAGAUUCUUCUUUUUCACCACAUGGAAAGGAUUUAGGAACGUCCAAAUCGGAGGUAAAGUGUUUUGUAACCUUUAAUUUAGAUCCUUAAAUGUUAAAAAUGUUAUGUUUGCUUUCAUUGUAUAGGAUCUAGAGGCCUAGGGUAGAUUGCAUGUACCUAUACGAUCUAGGGCAUGAAAACAGAGAAAACCAGGGUUCCCAUCACUUCCAUCAUCCUAGCACAUAUAGCUUGCUUGCAAAAUUCCUUAAAAAGCCUGUCAUUUCGCUUUAUUUUGUUGCAUUUCUUCUCAAAUACAUGCACUAGCUCUCAAAAGGACUCAAGUUUGUAUUCAAGGUAAAACACACUUUUGUUUGUUUUUUUAACUUAUUGUUGAAAGUAACUUGCUUUCAAACUUCAAUUAAUAUGUUUUUAACUUUUUAUUUGACUUAUUAUUUAUUCUUAAAUAUUUUUCACUGAAUAGAAAAAAAAAAAUCAAAAUAUGACUUUUUUAAAACAAGAAGUAAUUUAUUCAUCUCUCAUCCUCAACCUAGUAAAACACGAUAGCAACACUCAUCCCUUAUCUCAUCUCAUCCUAGCUACUUAGUUUUAUGCUUUGUCCCAUUCAUUACCUGCCCCUACUACCAUUAUCAUCACAAUUGCCUAUCAGCAUCCCACUUGCCACACCUCUCAUUUAAGUCACACAACAAUAGUUUAACCAUAUUUAAUUUUAAAAUAUUUUAUUUUGAUUAUAUAAAAUAAAAAUAAAAAUAAAAAUUAUUUUUUCAAGGAUGAUAAUGAUAAAUUAUUUAUUAUAAUAAUUGCUAUUAUUUUAAGAUUUGUAAAAAUAUGUUGAACUUUUUGGUCAAUAAGAAUUAGUAUAAAAAGUAUUUUUCUUAAUGCAUUUAGAUGUUGAUUUUUAGCACAUGAAAAGCAAACAACUUAAUGUUUUGUGGACCCCGCAUUUUGCACUAUGCGUUCCUACUCAAAGGCGAAACUCAUUUUUUUAUUUUAUUUGAUGAAAAAUUGAUUUUUAAAAAAAGACUUGGAGUCGCCACUUAUUUUUGUUUUAUUUUUAAGGGAAAACCAAAUAAGAAAUAAAACCCUAAGUGUGACUCCUUAUUUGGAAAAGAUGGUCUGUGGAAAACUGAAGUCAGGUCCAAGGGUCAGAUUACCUAUUAGGAAGAUACGGUGGUGAGUCAUAACACCCCUCUAACCCUCUAAAAACUGGUUUCUACUAAAUAAGGUGAGAUGAGUAUGGCAAUUGAUAAGGAAAUCAAUGGAUACUAAUGAAAUGAUCAAAUACUAAAAUGAAACAUGCAUAAGAAUAAGCAAAGUGGGAGUGAGAUCGUACCUUGGCAAUAGACAAUAAAGUGCUAUCAUGAAACAAGGUUAGUGCACAAUGAUAAGUGUAAAACAUCUCACACAAAACCAAUCGAGAUCAAACAAUAUCAAUCAUGCAAUUCACUUGAAUUAUUUUCGAAAGAAAUGUUAUGAAUGUUGGACCCCCACCAAAGCCUAAUUGAUUUUGCAUGAAUUAAUCCCACAAAUUCCAUUGUUUUUGGAGUUACGAAAAUUCAUUCAUGCUUAUUAAAAAUCAAGGAAAACAAAAAAUUAUUUUAAAAUCAAAGAAAAUUUGAGAAAAGUGUUUACUUGAAAGGAAAUGUAGCAAGUUUAUUUAAAAAUGAGAUUUUUAGCAGCUUAAAACCUUAAUUGAUGAUGAAAAGUGGUAGAAUUAAAAAAAUAUUUGAAAAUUAGAGUGAAAUUAAAAUUAUUUAAAAGAAAACUAGAGUUUUGAAAUUUAUUUGAAAAUUGAAGUCUCGAAAAUUAUUCAAAAAUUGGAGUUUUGAAAAUUAAAUUCAAGAAUUGGAAUUUUGGAAAUUAAAUUUGAAAGAAAUUGAAAUUUUGAAGAUUGUUUGAGAAUUGGAGUUUUGAAAGUUAAAUUUAAGAAUUGGAAAUUUGGGAAUUAAAUUUGAAAGAAAUUGGAAUUUUAAAAAAUUAUUUGAGAAUUGGAGUUUUGAAAAUUAAAUUUGAAAAUGGAAUCUUUAAAAAAUUAAAUUUGCAAAUUGGAACUUUGGAAAAUUAUUUGAAAAUGGAAGUUUUGAAAAUUAAAUUUUUUUUAAAAAAAUUGGAAUUUUGAAGAAUUAUUCGAAAAUGGAAGUUUUGAAAACUAAAUUUGAAAAUAAUUGACGUUUGGAAAGUUAAAAUUUUGAUAAUUAAACUUAAAAAUUGGAGUUUUGAAAAAUUAAAUUAAAAAUUGGAGUUUUGGAAAUUAUUUGAAAAUGAAAGUUUGAAAAAUUAAAUUUAAAAAGAUAAUUAAAGUUUGGAAAGUUAAAGUUUUGAAAAUUAAACUUAAAAAAUGGAGUUUUGAAAAAAUAAAUUGAAAAUUGGAAUUUUGAAAAUGAGAGUUUUGAAAAUUAAAUUUGAAAAUGGGACUUUUGAAAAAUUAUCUUCAAUUUAAAGUUUUGAAAAUUAAAUUUUUGGCAUCAAAAGUUGAAGAAAAAUAAGAAAAAAAAAUGACAUAUGGCCUUAACAUCAUUGGCCAAACGUGUACAAACAUAAUAUAAGGAAUAACAAAUAGAAAAGGCGGAGCACCAGCAGCACCACAUUGAUGCCAAGUUCCCAGCAAACCAUUUCCAGUAGCCACCCAUAUUGCAAUAUAAACAGCUCUCCCAGCAAACCGGAAGCUCAUAGUUUUAGCAUCACUGGAGUUUGCAGCUCUCUCUUUCCUAUUUUUAUCUCUGUAAUCCUCUCUAAGGAUCUUGGACCAGUCUGGAAUGUUUACCGGCAGCGAGCUGACCAUCACGGUGCUACGAUCGCCUGACUCUCCACGCUUCGACGGCUUUUUCGCGAGUCGUGAACUCGAAACAGGCUUGCGGAACUUGGGCAAGGCGGAGUGGGAGGAGCUCCAGAUAUCGAACUCGUCGACCUCUAUGACGACCUCGGAAGCGAUCACAGGAGCGUCACGAUUAGCUAGUAAGAGUGGCAGGGGCGCCACGGAAGCCAUCUGAGUGGUCAACUGGGGAGCCGACAUCGACCGCGGCGCGGCGAAUAGGGUUCGAUGUCCAAAACCAGUGGAGCUAGGCUACUGAAACAAUGGGGUUGUUGUUGUUGUUGUGGUUGUGGAUGAGAGAAUGGAGUGGAGAAGAAAGAAGUUGAGUGAGAAAUGAAUGGUGGAAGGCAUGAUGAGAUGAAGGUGGCCAUGCGCAUAAGACUCCAUGUACGUGAGAAGGGGAGGGAAGUGAACCAAGAGUGAGGGGGGUGGUGUGGUGAAGGAGGUGAUGAGCUGAACGUAGGUUAGUGGGUAUUAAAAAAUGAUGAUGUGGGUAUGGUGAUGGGUAUCGGCUGCUGGUAAAUAUUGUCCCAUUUCUUUUGCAACUUUGUUGUAGACUCCAAUCAGCAUCUCUAAGCAUUCCAAUGUGGUCCACAUGGCUCUCAAACAUCCGGAAAUUUCCAACAACAUGAAAAAUGGCUCUCAUGGUGCUCUCCCAGAAACACCCCCAACCAAGAUGGCCAACCCAGCGACUGGGAUACUCUCAAACACAACAAAGACCAAAACAAAGCAAAGAAACAAAGCAUGAUUUCUGUUUCUAUAAAAACCGAAAAAAACGAACAGAAAGUGUAUGUAGACCGACUCCGAUAUGUAUGAUCUCUAAUGCCCACUCUCAAUCAUCAAAACCAACUAUCAGCGAAAUAAAAGAGCAGAAUGAUGCAAAAAUGGGAAAACAGAGCAUACGAUGGUUGUACCUGAAUAGGAGGAUUGCUCAACUCUAAGCACUUGAGUCUGUAGCUUUUCCCCACUCAGCAAAAGCCUUCCCCUGCUUCCUUGAUCUUUCCCUAGCUCUCUCUUUUUUUCUCCGUGUCCUCCAACCUAAUCCACUGCUCCUGCCAUCCUCCUCUCAAGCUCACUAUGCCAACCAUCAUCCUUUAUUCAGAAACGUCCCUCUCCCAACCACCACCAUGGCAAGAUGGCAGUCCUUUGCCACACGUCCCAACAUGCUUGGUUCCUCCAGAAACCGAUCCCCACUCUAGAAACUAGUUGUCAGCUUUUCCUGAGGUGGUAAAAAUAUGCUCCAAAAACAACAAAAAAAAGACUUAGAACAAAAUGAGGUCUACACACUUAACACUCUUAAGCACCAUUUAAUUUUAAGUUAAAUUAAAUUUUAAAAUUAAUUAAAAAAAACAUUAUAAUAGACUAAUACUUGAAAGUAUAAUUCAAUUUUUGUUAAAAAUCAGUUCUUAUAUAUAAAAGAUAUGCCUUUUUUAGCGCUAACCAAUAGUCUCAUUGUCCCCAUUUUCGAAAUUAAUAAAAUUAAACUUUUACCAAUAAUUCUCUAGAGAACAAAAUUUGUGUAUAUAACUUCACAAAAUAUUUCAAAAUAACAAAUACCCUGGAUGAAGCUUUGAAAUUAUUAUUAUUAUUAUUAUUAUUAUGAAUAAUACAAUAUACCGUGAGAACUUUCCCAAAUGCUUCUCAAACAUAAUUAUGGUAUACUUAUUUUUUUAUCUUGUAAAUAUGUAUAUACUAUUCCAUUAUAUAGAAUCACUUCUUAAUCAAAAACAUGUUUGAUGUUUAAUUGAAUAAUGAGAAAUUAUAAAUUAUUUUUUAAGCUCAAUAAGAGCUUAUAUGUCUAGUUCACUAAUUUUGUUGAAAGAGCUCAUGACUUUAAAAAUAAUAAUAAUAAAAAAAUAAAAAAAUAUUGAUUUUUGUAAAAGUUCUAUUUUACCUUAUACAAAAACUUCUUUUAUAUUUAAUAUAACUUUAAAAAUACUUUUAUAUUAAUCACAUGAAUUUAAUAGAUUGUAGGAAAAAAAAAAAACAUUUAAAAAUAUUAUGACUAGUUUGAUAAUAUUUUCGAAAAUAGUUUUCAAAAAACAGUUUUUGAAAAUAGUUUUUAUAAAUAGUUCUCUAAUAUUUUUUAGAACAAAAAUUUGUUUUAGAAAUUAGAAUGAUUUUAAUAUAUUUUAUGUAUUUUUAAAUAUUUCUUAAAAAUAUAUUUUCUUUGUAUUUUAUGUUUAAUAUUUUUUUAUAUUUAUACAAUUAUUUUUAAAAUAGAUCUUAAAAAAAUAAGGGAAAACAUUUAAAAACAACUAUAGAAAAUAAACUCUGGUUGAUAAAAAAUUGAAGGAUUGAGUUUCUAUUGUAUAUCUGUUGUACGUAUACAAGAACUUUAAAUAGAAAUUGAAAAGUUGUUAGCUAUACUCCUAAACAAGUGGAGUUUGUUGAGGGACUUUGAACUCCUGAGAUAAAGGAGUCUUUUGUGGAUGAAUUGGUCUCAUUGACCUGUUCUUCUACACGCCCCCUCAAUCGAAAGGGUAAGGAAUGAACCCUGAGAUUGUCACACAGAAGAAGAAAUCUACUAGAGGUCAGCGGCUUCGUAAGUGCAUUUGCAUGCUGAUCCUUGGUAGAAACAAAUUGAACAUGAAGUUGGCCACGAAGAACUUGAUCACGAACAUAGUGAAAGUCAAUUUCAAUAUGUUUCGUGCGAGCAUGAAAUAGAGGAUUACUGGUUAAAUAAGUAGCUACUAUGUUGUCACACCAGAGAAUCGGAGAAUGGGCAAUUGGAACACGAAGAUCAGUGAGCAAAGACUUUAUCCACUGAAUUUCUGCAACAACAUUGGCAAGAGCUUUGUAUUCGGCUUUUGUGCUACUACGAGCAACAAUUUGCUAUUGUUUGCAGCCCCAUGAAAUGAGAUUGUUGCCCAAGUAAACACAAUAAGCACCAAUUGACCUUUUGUCAUCACGAUCGGAUGCCCAAUCUGCAUCGCUGAAUGUGUGAAGCUUAAUAUUAGUAGUUGGUUGGAUCAGUAAAGCAUGAGAAAUGGUGUUCUUCAAAUAAUGCAAUAUGCGUUUGACAACUGCCCAAUGUGGCUCCAUUGGAUUUUGCAUAUACUUGCUAACUUUAUGGACUGCAAAAGUAAGGUCAGGUCGAGUAAAAGACAGAUAUUGCAGCCCGCCAACUACACUUCGAUACAAAUGAGGGUUGUGAAAAGGUAUGCCAGCAGAUUUUAUUAAGGGCUAUGAAGUCAACAUUGGAGUAACACAGGGCUUUGCUUUGUCCAUUUUACUACGUAUAAGGAGAUCAAGAAUGUAGUGACGUUAAAAUAAAUACAAACCAUGAUCCCUUUAGAUGGCCUCAAUGCCUAGAAAGAAACUCAGUUCACCCAUGUCUUUUACUGCAAAGUUGUCCUGCAACAAGCUUAUCACUUUGUUAAUGUCAUGUAUAUCUGCACCAGUUAUAAUUAUGUCAUCGGCAUAAAUUAAAAAAUAAAUAAGAGUGGAGCUAUGGUGAUAAACAUAAAGUGAAUGAUCCGCCUGACUUCCUAUAAAACCAAGGGCUUGUAGCUAAUCAAUCAAGCGAGAAAACCAUGCUCGUGGUGCUUGACGAAGACCGUAGAGCAAUUUUUGCAACUUACAAACAUGGUGUGACAAUUAAGGAUGAAUGAACCCUGGAGGUUGAGUCAUAUAGACAUCUUUUUGCAAGAUGCCAUGUAAGAAAGCAUUCUGUAUAUCAAUUUUUCGAAGAUGCCAACCACGAGAGACUACUAAUGAUAGAACCAUCCUUAUAGUGGUAGGUUUCACCACUGGGCUGAAUGUCUCUCCAAAAUCAACACCCUCCUGUUGAUGGAAUCCUUUGGUGACUAGGCGUGCUUUAAAUCGUUCAAUACCACCAUCAGCUUUUCUUUUAAUUUUGUACACCCAUUUGCAGCCAACAAGAUUGGCAUGAGGAGUUUUAGGAACCAAAGUCCAAGUUCCAUUAGCUAACAAGGCAUCGAACUCUUUAUUCAUAGCCUCCCGCCAAUUGUGAUGUUUAAUUGCAGUUGAAUAGCAAGUUGGUUCUUUUUCUGGUGGUUGGAUGGUGGCCAUAAGUGCUUUGGGAAUGGGAUAUCGAAUAUGGGAGUCAGAUGCUAAUUUUGGCUUGUAGAUGUUGUUUUUGCUUCUUGUAAUCAUGGAGUGUAUAUUCUGAUGUUGCGGGAGAGGUGGAAAAGGUAAGAGAAGAGGUGCUGGAUGGUCUUCAUGCUGAGAUAGAGUAACAUCCCUAGUAGGAGAACCCGAAACAAUAUGAAGAUUGGUGUGAGGACGAGAUGGCGAGGCCAUAUGUAGAGGGCUUGGUGCAGCAAACUGAACAUUUGUACCUGCAAAAACAGAUGAGCUAGAGAGUGAUAGAUUGAGAUUUGGUGGGAGAACAAUAGGAGCAGGUUUUGGAGUAGGCUCGAUAGACUCAGGACUUGUAUAUGGAUAAAGAGAUUUGUCAAAGACAACAUGACGUGAGACAAAGAUUUUUCUUGUGGACACAUCUAAACACUUGUAACCUCGAUGACCAACACUAUACCCAAUAAAUAUGCAGGUUUUGGAUUGAAAGUCCAUCUUAUGUUGAUUAUAUGGACGUAAAUAGGGCCAGCAAGUGCAACCAAAGGCACGUAAAAAAUUAUAAUCGGGUUUGUGAUGAUGGACCAUUUCAUAUGGUGAUCGAUGCUGUAAAAUUGGAGUUGGCAAUCUAUUGAUCAGCGCCACUAAAAGACCGACGUCUACUCCCUUCUGAUCCUCAAUGGCCUCUUCAUCCUCUGCAACCUCAAAUCAUUCUAUUGAUCCUACUACUACUGUCCCAUCCCUCUCCAAUCUUCCAUUUACUAUUAGCGUCAAACUCAACUCCUCCAACUAUCCUAUAUGGAAAGCUCAAGCCCUGCCCUACUUUAGAGGUCAAGCUGUUUUUGGCUACCUUGAUGGCACAAUCCCAACCCCACCUUAAGAAAUUGAUGCUCCUCAUCCCAACACAGGUGCUAUUAUUAAAAUUCCCAAUCCUUAAGAUCUUCAAUGGCUUCGUCAGGAUUCUUUAAUCCUCGCCACCCUUAAUGCUUCGCUCACUGAAGAUGUUCUCACUCAAGUCAUGUCUUAUACAACCUCUCGGCAGGUUUGGCUUGCACUAGAGCGAACCUUUUCUUCAAUUUAUCGUGCUAAAGCAAUUCAGAUUCGCACUCAGUUGGCAAAUGCUAGAAAAGGCGCUCUAUUCGCUAAUGCAUAUUUUCUCUCUAUCAAGCGAAUGGCUGAUGAACUUACUCUUGUUGGACAGCCACUUAAACCUAAUGACAUAAUCACCUAUGUGCUUGUAGGACUUGGCUAGGAAUAUGAUUCCUUGGCUUCAACAAUUACUUCUCGGUCUGACCUUAUCACCUUGGAGGAAUUUUACUCACUCCUUCUAAUCUGUGAGUCAUGAAUCCAUCACAAUAAUCAGUUCCUUCACGUUACUGCUUCCGUAAACAUUGCCACCAAGCAACCUCAACAGCAAAACCAAUCCAUUUUUCGUACGGCUGCAAAUUUUCAACAAUCUCACUGUGGUCGCGGUGGCUACCAUGGCAAAGGACGUGGUGGUCAUUUCACUUCCCAUGUUUAGGGUCCAUCAAACUCCGUUAUAUGUCAGGUAUGCUUCAAACUGGGACAUACUGCCAAAAAAUGCUAUCACCGUUUUAAUUUCUAUUAUCAGGACCAACAAACUCCCAAAAAUCAGCCACAAGCCAUGGUUACUGCGCACUAUCAACAUACUGAUAAUGAGUGGCAUCCCAACACAGGAGCUACCCAUCAUCUCACCAAUGAUGUGGACAAUAUUCAUCUUCAACAUGGAGACUAUGGCAGUCCAAAUCAUAUCCAGGUGGCUAACGGUGCAUGUCUGAAAAUAGUCCAAAGUGGAACUUCCACUCUCUCAUCUUCUUCCAACUCUUUUGUACUUAAUCAAAAUUUGCUUGUCCCAGAUAUUAAGAAAAACCUUCUCUCUGUUCAGCGUUUUUGUCUAUACAAUAAUGUUUUCUUUGAAUUUCAUGCUUCUUUCUUCCUUGUGAAGGAUUACUUGGGGAACAUCCUAUAUCGAGGACCACUCAGUAAUGGUCUUUACAACUUCUCAACUUCUCUUGCUCGUCUUCAGCCACAAGCUCUAUCUAGUGUUCGUGUGUCUACCAAUAUCUGGCACCGUCAUCUUGGUCAUGCUUCCUUUCCCAUUCUCAAUAAGGCUAUUUUAUUACCUAUCCCAAAUAAAAAUAUUUCUAUUUGUUUUGAAUGUCAGCUGGCUAAGAGCCAUGUUAUGCCCUUUAAAAAUGUGCAUGUUUCUGCUUUGAAACCAUUGGAGUUAAUAUAUUCAGAUAUUUGGGGGCCAACUCCUGUUUUAUCAACCUCUGGUGCACGUUAUUACAUCAGUUUUCUAGAUGAUGUUACUCUAUCUCAGCAUGAAGACCGUCCAACACCUCCUCUCUUACCUUCUCCACCUCGUUUGCAACAUCAGAAUAUACACUCCAUGAUUACAAGAAGCAAAAACAACAUCCACAAGCCAAAAUUAGCAUCUGACUUCCAUAUAUUGAUUUCCCAUUCCCAAAGCACUUAUGGCCACCAUCCAACCGCCAGAAAAAGAACCAACCUGCUAUUCAACUACAGUUAAACAUCACAAUUGGCGGGAGGCUAUGAAUAAAGAGUUCAAUGCUUUGUUAGCUAAUGGAACCUGGACUUUGGUUCCUAAACCUCUUCAUGCCAAUCUUGUUGGCUGCAAAUGGGUGUACAAAAUUAAAAGAAAAGUUGAUAGUGGUAUUGAACGAUUUAAAGCAUACCUAGUCACCAAAGGAUUCCAUCAACAAGAGGGUGUUGAUUUUGGAGAGACAUUUAGCCCAAUGGUGAAACCUACCACUAUAAGGAUGGUUCUAUCAUUAGCAGUCUCUCGUGGUUGGCAUCUUCGACAAAUUGAUAUACAAAAUGCUUUCUUACAUGGUGUUUUGCAAGAAGAUGUCUAUAUGACUCAACCUCCAGGGUUCAUUCAUCCUCAAUUGUCGCACCAUGUUUGUACGUUGCAAAAGUCGCUUUACGGUCUUCGUCAAGCACCAUAAGCAUGGUUUUCUUGCUUGACUGAUCAGCUACAAGCCCUUGGUUUUAUAGGAAGUCAGGCUGAUCAUUCACUUUAUGUUUAUCACCAUGGCUCCAUUCUUAUUUAUUUUUUAAUUUCUGUCGAUGACAUAAUUAUAACUGGUGCAGAUGUACAUGCCAUUAACAAAGUAAUAAGCUUGUUACAGGACAACUUUGCAGUAAAAGACAUGGGUGAACUUAGUUUCUUUCUGGGCAUUGAGGCCAUCCGAAGUGAUCAUGGUUUGUAUUUAUCUCAACGUCGCUACAUUCUUGAUCUCCUUAUACGCAGUAAAAUGGACAAAGCAAAGCCUUGUGUUACUCCAAUGUCGACUUCACAAUCCUUAAUAAAAUUUUCUUGCAUACCUUUUCAUGACCCUCAUUUGUAUCGAAGUGUAGUUGGCGGGCUGCAAUAUUUGUCUUUUACUCGACCUGACCUUGCUUUUGCAGUCCAGAAAGUUAGCAAGUAUAUACAAAAUCCAAUGGAGCCACAUUGGGCAGUUGUCAAACGCAUAUUGCGUUAUUUAAAGAACACCAUUUCUCAUGCUUUACUGAUCCAACCAACUACUGAUCUUAAGCUUCACACAUUCAGCGAUGCAGAUUGGGCAUCCGAUCAUGGUGACAGAAGGUCAGUUGGUGCUUAUUGUGUUUACUUGGGCAACAAUCUCAUUUGAUGGGGUUGCAAACAACAUAAAACUGUUGCUCGUAGUAGCACAGAAGUCGAAUAUAAAGCUCUUGCCAAUGCUGCUACAAAAAUUCAGUGGAUAAAGUCUUUGCUCACUAAUCUUUGUGUUCCAAUUGCCCAUUCUCUGAUUCUCUGGUGCGACAACAUAGGAGCAACUUAUUUGGCCAGUAAUCCUCUAUUUCAUGCUCGCACAAAACAUAUUGAAAUUGACUUUCACUAUGUUCAUGAUCAAGUUCUUCGUGGCCAACUUCAUGUUCAAUUUGUUUCUACUAAGGAUCAGUAUGCAGAUGCACUUACGAAGCCGCUGACCUCUAGUAGAUUGAGUUUGACGCUAAUAGUAAAUGGAAGAUUGGAGAGGGAUGGGACAACAGUAGUAGGAUCAAUAAAAUGAUUUGAGGUUGCAGAGGAUGAGGAGGCCAUUGAGGAUCAGAAGGGAGUAGACGUUGGUCUUUUAUUGGCUCUGAUACCAUAUAGAAAAUAAACUCAGGUUGAUAAAAAUCUGAAGGAUUAAGUUUCUAUUGUAUAUCUGUUGUAUGUAUACAAGAACUUUAAAUAGAAAUUGAAAAGUUGUUAGCUAUACUCCUAAACAAGUGGAGUUUGUUGAGGGCCUUUGAACUCCUGAGAUAGAGGAGUCUUCUGCGGAUGAAUUGGUCUCAUUGACCUGUUCUUCUACAACAACAAAAAUAUGUUCUCUAUGUUUUCAAAACAAGCUUUCAAAAACUUGUUUGUCAAAAAAUUAUUAAGAAGUGUUUUUCGAAUUUGAAAAACAAAUUUUGGUAAAAAGAAGAUACUUUUAGAAAUAGUUCCAAACAUGUUUUUAAUAGUUUUUGGAAUAAGUUUUCAACAAACUAUUUUGUAUAAAAAAAAUAAAAAUUAUAAAAAAAAGUUUUUUGAAACAUACUGUUAAUACGUUUUGUGGUAACAACGAUGUACCAUUUAAUAUGGGAAACAAAUUUAUACCAUCUUCCGGGAGUUGUUUGGAUGGAUCUUUAGAAGAUAAUGGUUAUGGUCUCAUGCCAUAUGGGCAUAUGGUAAAGAGAUGACGGGAACAAUAAUGUAAAAAUUAUUAUUUUUUGAUUUUUUUUUCAUUUAUUUACAUGCGUUUAAAAAAAAAUUAUACAAACAAUUUGAAUGAAAGAUUAAAAAAAUAAAAAAGAAAGAAAUAAAUAAAAAAUAAAUAUGUACACAUAUUUUGGUGGAGCCGUGAGUGUGUUAAUGUUGUGGAACCGCAGGGAGUGCUGACUAAGUAAGGCUUCUGGGUGGUGCGGGUUUUUCUCAUAGAGGCGGCGGCAGUGGGUGGAAUGAUGACAGGUGGGCGUCUUUGACCGGGUUACUGGUCUCCCUUCUCAUUCUCUUUCUCUCUCUUUUUAUUUAUUUAUUUAUUUUUUUAUGAGACAUCACUCAAUACCACUAUUUUUAUUAUUUAUUUCCUUUCAUUUUCCCAACCACUUACUUUCAAUUUUCCAACCAUUUCCUUCACCCUUCGCCACCAUUGCCCCCUUUGACACUCCCUCUCCGCCAUUGCUAACCACUACUCUCCUCCUCUCCUAUCUCCCCCUCCCCCAAUUCUCUCCUGCAAAUUCAACUUCAACGAAUAUAGGUUCAUUUUCCCGGAAAAUCCCCGGACUUUUUCAUCUGGGACUAUUUGUUCGGCCAGUGUAACCAAACUCUCCCUCUAUGCUCCGCGGCACCGCCAAUCCUCUCCAACGCAUUCAAAUUCAAGGAUAUGGCUUCCCUUUCCUGGGAAAUUCCGGGGAGUUUUUGGUCUGAAGACUUUCUGUUGGGUGAGUGUUGACUUGAGUUGACCCACAAAGUGCCUGUGCGUGAGAGGGUGGUUGAUGAAGAGUUUGGGGUGCUAGCUGCGGAGAGGUGGCGGUUAUGGAGCCGGGGGUCUUCGGUUCGGUUUUUGUUUCCUUGAUUAUAGUAUUCUCUGCGUUUCUGAGGGUCUCUGGUAAUUCCGAAGGUGUGUUCUCUCAUCCUUUUUUAGUGAAUUUGAUGGAGGUUUGGAGGUUUUAAUUGAUUUAGGAGAUGAAUGCGAUGAAUUGUUUGUUUGUUUUCUUUAUUGGAUAUUUGGUAUUGAUUGCUGUAGAAUCGAAUUUGGAAAAUCCAUGGUUGACAACUUUGUUUGGUUUGACUUUCUGGGUUUUGUUUGGUUGCUGAGAAAUAUGUUGCAAUACACUAAAGCCCUGUUUGGCAAUGCUUUUUCUGCAGUUUAAAACCACUUCUUUGGGAUCUGUUUGUGGCAAGGCUAGUUUUUUAGGUAGUUGUUACUAAAUAACUUGCUUGGUCAAUUGACCAGACUUGUAAUUUGUAAAUUUCUGCGUAUUUCCUUUUUUAAUUUUAAUUUUAAUUUUUAUUUAUUUACUUAUUUUAAUGUUUCUUUGUGUGUGUUUGCGCACUUGUCUAAAACAAGAAGUUGGGACCUGUUUAAUAUAUGUUUUUUUUUUCCAAAGCUCUGAAAUUCCUCACCUCUUAAUCUGAAUUUUCAUCUUAAUUAAUAAAAAACUAUCUGAACCCUUUUUUUUUCUUUUUCUUUUUUCCAAAUUUCCCUUUAUUCUGCUGAACAGGCCUGAGUGUUGUAUAUAAUUUCCCUUCAGUCUGAAGUACUUGCAGACUUGCAGUUGAUGUGACUUUAUGUUUUUGACCAGAACCUGAUGUUUGCCUCAUGCAUGUGAACCAGGUGAUGCUUUGAAUGCGUUGAAGUCAAAUUUAGAAGAUCCUAACAAUGUUUUGCAAAGUUGGAAUGCUACCCUUGUCAAUCCUUGCAAAUGGUUUCAUGUUACACGCAACAGUCACAAUAGUGUUACAAGAGUGUAAGAUGCUUACUUUUGUUAGAUUUUUUCACCCAAACGCAACAAGUUAUAUUGUUUCUUGCCAUUUGGAGUCAAUGUUGUCUUUAUAUGUUAUUUUUCGGCUGUUAUAUUGACAUUUUUCCAACUGUAUACUCACAGUGAUCUUGUAAAUGCAAAUUUAUCCGGUCAACUGGUUCCACAGCUUGGUCAGCUUACAAAUUUGCAAUAUCUGUGAGUCAUAUUUCUAUAAUGAAAUUUGUUUGCCAUAUCUGUUUGAUGUUCAAGCAUAUAUGCUUGUUAUCUUUUAUGUUCCCUUCUGAUCGCUUUUCCCCCCAUUACAGCCAAAGCCAUAAAUUGCAAGGUUUCCAUUUCUGUGUUUUUAUUUCUCAUUGAUAUGUGGUAAUAUUUUUAUGAGCUUUACAUUAGUUUCUUGUAGAAAUAUGUAGCCUUGGUCCUUAGAAGGGAAAAUAAACUUCAACAAUUCUAUUGGUUACUUCAGAAUUUUUGCUUCGAUAAUAAUAAUAAUAAUAAUAAUUUCUUCAAUAAAGAAGCAUGUGGUUCAGUGUUCAGUUGCAUCAAGUUUUCAGGGGACAAAUAUUCUCAUUUGUUCUUCUUAUGCGUUCAUGACUUACAUUAAGAAUUCAUAUUUUUCCUGGUUACAGAUUCUGUCCCAACAUUAAGGUUUCACUUAGAGAAAUGAACUUCAAGAGCUUGUUUGGCUGUGUUUCACAUUUUAUGUUUCUAAUAGUGUUUUAAUUAUUUGCUUGUGAUAUCUGUUUUCUUCAAUUUGCCCUUUUUCUAAUCUUUCAUGUUUUACAUAUUAACACUCUACAUUGCUUUGUAUUCAUCAAAUUCACCUGAUAUGGCAUUUUGAUUUCCAUUUUCUAAAUAGAACAUGUUUCAAGAAGUGCAUCCAAAUGAGAACAAGUGUCUUUCUAGAAACAUGAAAUGUUGUCAAUCUUUCUUUGAUCAACAUAUUGGUUUCCUGACCUCUGCUCUAUCUUACAUGUUCAUUCUUGUCAUUUUAAUCGGUUAGAUGUUGUCAUGUUAUAUAUUCUGAACUUAGUUGGUUUUGAUAAUUCCUGUUAGGAUUAUUUUAUGAUUUUAUUUGAUGAGGUGUUACGAGUGUUUGUUCACCCCUUUACGUAUUUACGAUUAACUGCUUCAAUAAUUGUAAUACUUCCAAAAGAGUGUGUUUCUGUUCACCAUAAGUGUCUAUCUAGGGAAAACCUUUUAUAUGUUCAGAAAAUUCUCUGUGAGUCAUAUUUUUAUAAUGAAAGUUGUUUGCCAUAUCUGUCUGAUGUUCAAGCAUAUAUGCUUGUUAUCUUUUGUGUUCCCUUCUGAUUGCUUUUCCCCCCAUUACAGCCGAAGCCAUAAAUUGCAAGGUUUCCAUUUCUGUGUUUUUAUUCCUCAUUGAUAUGUGGUAAUAUUUUUAUGAGCUUUACAUUAGUUUCUUGUAGAAAUAUAUAGCCUUGCUCCUUAGAAUGGAAAAUAAACUUCAGCAAUUCUAUCGGUUACUUCAAUAAUAAUGAUAAUAAUAAUAAUAAUUUCUUCAAUAAAGAAGCAUGUGGUUCAGUGUUCGGUUGCAUCAAGUUUCAGGGGACAAAUAUUCUCAUUUGUUCUUCUUAUGUGUUCAUGACUUACAUUAAGAGUUACAGAUUCUGUCCCAACAUUAAGGUUUCACUUAGAGAAAUGAACUUCAAGAGCUUGUUUGGCUGUGUUUCACAUUUUAUGUUUCUAAUAGUGUCUUGAUUAUUUGCUUGUGAUAUCUGUUUUCUUCAAUUUGCCCUUUUUCUAAUCUUUCUUGUUUUAGAUAUUAACACUCCACAUUGCUUUGUAUUCAUCAAAUUCACUUGAUAUGCCAUUUUGAUAUCCAUUUUUUAAAUAGAAUAUGUGUCAAGAAGUGCAUCCAAAUGAGAACAAGUGUCUUUCUAGAAGCAUGAAAUGUUGUCAAUCUUUCUUUGAUCAAAAGAAAGAUGUCGUCACUUUACAUAUUUAAAUAUAACUGAGUUGGUUUUGAUAAUUCUUAUUAGGAUUAUUUUAUGAUUUUGUUUGAUGAGGCUGUUAGGAGUGUUUGUUCGUCCCUUUACAUAUUUAUGAUUACUUGCUUCAAUAAUUGUAAUACUUCCAAAAGAGUGUUUCUAUUCACCAAAUGCGUCUAUCUAGGGAAAACCUCUUAUAUGUUCAAAAAAUUCUAGAACUUUACUAUCUUACUUUUUAUGUAAAAAAAGAAGCGUAGUGUGGACCCACAUUAUUCAUGUGAGUCCCUUACUUGACAGCAAGACUCACUUUCUUGUAAUGAAAAACUGCAUUCUUGUAAAAACUGGAGUCAUCACAUUUUUUUUCUUUUUCUUUUUUGUAAGGGAAAGUAAAAUAAGAAACUAAAACCCUAAGAAAAAUGACUCCUUAAGUUUUGGAAAAAUAUGUCUUUAAAAAAUUUGAUUCUAUAUCUGGGAAUCAAGUUACCUAUCGAAAAGGUAUGGUGAUUAAGUUAUAACACCCCUUUAAGUUCGUAUACCUAUGGUCUUUACUAAGCGAAUGAAGCGAUUCAUGACAAUUGAUUAAUAAAUCGAGGAUACCAAUAAUACGACAAUAAGAUACAUAUAAGUCAUGCGGUGUGAAACACGUACACAAAAAUGUAUACAAUUAAUGAAUGUGAAACACACAAAAUAGAAUUUAAUCAUUUGUUAAAGUUGCAACAUUUCAAAAGAAAUUUAUUUGUAUUGGAAACAAUUCUAAAUUAAAGAAGUCAAACUUAUUUACUCACAAUGUUUCAAUUUAUUUACAAGAGAUUCAAUUUUUAUUCACAUCCAAAAUUAAUUUUAAAAAAAAAUUCUUGAUUUUAUUAAAAGAAUUUUGAUUGAAUUUGAAUUUGUUAAAGAAAAAAGUUUCAAUUUGAUCUUCUAUUAAAAAAGAAAUGAUUUUGGUUUAAACUUUAUUAAAAAAAAAAAACAAGAUUCCACAAUUAUAAAGAAACAUCAAUUCUAUUUUUUGAAAAAUGAUUUUUACAAGGAAAAGGGGAUUUAUUUAAUUUAAUUACAAGAACCAAAUUUCAAUUUAUUAAGAAAACAAAUUUUUACAACUUUUAUUUCCUCUAGAUUUUUAUUAAAACAAUUUUCAAGAUUUUUUUAUUCAAUCAAAAUUUGGAACUUUAUUAAAACCAUUUUGAAUAUUUUUUUUAUUAAAACAAAAUCUUAUAACUUUUAUUAAGCAAACUUUUGGAACAUUUUAUCAAACACAAACUUAGAAAACUUUAAUUUAAAAUAAAAUUUGAGGACUUUGAUUAAAAAAUUAACUUCGAGAAAAUUUAUUAAAACACUUACUUUGAGGGUUUUUAUUAAACAAUUUUUAGAAUUGAUUAAAACACUUAUUUUGAGAAUUUAUUAGGACACUUAUUAAAACUUUUAAGACUUUUAUGGAAACAAACUUUAAGUAAAUUUAAAAGACAUAACUUGGAGAACAAUUAUUAAAAUAUUUAUUUUAAAAAUUUUAAUUAAACCAAAUUUGAGAACUUUUAUGACUUUUGUGACUUUAAUGAAAACAAACUUUGAGAAUAUUUAUUUAAACACUUAUUUUAAGAAUUUUCAUUAAACAAACCUUAUGAAAAAAACAAUUUUAAAAGAACAUUUAUUAAAAUAUGCUUUUUAGUAAACAAACUUAUUAAAAAAAAGGGUUUUGUAAAGAACAUUUAUUAAAACAUAAAUUUUAGUACACAAACUUAUUAAAAACAAACGAUUUUCUAAAGAAAAUUGAUUAAAACACAAAUUUUAGAAUUUCAAUUUUAUUAAAAAAACAAUUUUCUAAGAGGCAUUUAUUAAAACACCAUUUUGAGUAAACAAACUUAUUUUUAAAAAAUGAUUUUCUAAGGGAUAUUUAUUAAAAACGAUGUUCUAAGGAACGUUUAUUAAAACACAAUUUUUAGUAAACAAACUUAUUAAAACACAAUUUUCUAAGGAAUAUUUAUUAAAAAAACAAUUUUCUAAGAAACAUUUAUUAAAACACAAAUUUUAGUAAACAAACUUAUUAAAAAAAAAAUAUUCUAAGGAAUAUUUAUUAAAACACAAUUUUCGAUAAACAAACUUAUUAAAAACUAAUUUUCUAAGGGACACUUAUUAAAAUACUAUUUUUAGCAAACAAACUUAUUGAAAACGAUUUUCUAAGGAACGUUUAUUAAAACAUAAUUUUUAGUAAACAAACUUAUUAAAACCCGAUUUUCUAAGGGACAUUUAUUAAAACAAAAUUUUAAGCAAACAAACUUUUAGGACUUUGAACAUUUUUAUUAAAAAAAAAAAAUUUCUAGAUUUAUUAAAAAUGAAUUUUUUGAUUUUGAAAUGAAAAAAGAAAAGAAAAAGAAACCAUUUUUUAAAUAUAUUAUAAAAACAAUUUUUUUUGAAUUAUUAAAGAAAAGAAUUUUAUGAAUUUAUUAAAAAAAAUAAUUUUUUGAAUUACUUUAUAUUAAUCCAAAUUCCUGAAUUUAGUAAUAACAGUUCUUUUAUAUUAAUUUAUUAAAACCAUUUUUUUUUUUUUGCAAUUUAUUGAAUAAAAUAAAGAAAAACUCAUGUAAGAUCAAUCAAAAACCCAAAUAUGACAGAAAAUGAAAUAUGAGGAAAAAAGACUAGCAUAAAUAGAAUUACAAAAAAUUUAAGAUAUAACGAAAUAUGAGACAAUAAGAUUAAUAUAAACAGAAUUACUAAAAUUUAAAAUAAGAUGAAAUAUGAGACAACAAGACUAAUAUAAAUAGAAUUACAAAAAAUUGAGGAUCAAAUUUACACAAAUAUAGAAAACUUGAAAUAAAAUAUAAUACAUACAUUAUCAACAGAAUAAUAAAUAAAAAUGACAAACAUAUAGAUGAGUAGAAAAAUUUAGACAAAUGUGCAUACAUACAAAAUAUAGAGCAUAAUGAACAGAUAAAUAAAAUAGGUAGAGAACUGAAUAAAUGAUAGGAUAAAAUAUUCAACUACCAAAAUGCUCACAAAUAUAAUAAAUAUAAUUUCUGGUGUUUCCUUUAAAUUUUGUUGUUCUAACUUUAUUUGUUCUAUUUCUUUUCUAACAAAUUUUUCUUCUUUGACUAAUUGUUCUUUAAUAUAAUCUAGUUAUUUCUUAACAUAUUAUGGUUCUUAAAGUUUUCCAACUUCUUUUCUAAUUCCUAGGACUAUAUUUAAUUUUUCUAAGGAUUUUCUUUGUCUUAUCUGGAUUUCUUCUAAACAAUUUAUAUUAUUUGUAUUUUCUUUCUGAAUUUGUUUUUUAUGUUCUCGUAAUAUUACAUUUGUUAUUUUUAAUUGUAUUUCUACUAAAAAUUUAAUUGUUUUACCUCUUGGGUUUGUAGAUAAGGGUUCAUGAAUUUUCAUUAUUUUCUAAUCAGAUGAGCUAGAAUAUAAGUUGUCAAUAUAAUAUUUUAUAAUUUCUCUUUUAAUUAGGGUUUUUGUAGCAAAAAGUUUGUCAAAUGAUUCUUUUAUAGCUAUUUUGUAUUCACUCAAAUAUUUAAGAGAGGUUAGGUUUUUAAUAUCUCUAGUUAAAUCUUUUACAGUAGUCCUUAAAGUAUGCAAUUUAUCAUAGUUUUAUCUAAAUGCAAUUUAUCAUAGUUUUAUCUAAAUUCUUUACGUUGAACAUACAACCUGUUAUUAAGUUAUUUUACAUGAUCAUGAUUUAUAUUAUAUAUACCAAGAGGAUAAGGGAUAAAAGACAUUAAUUCAUAUCAAAUCAGCAAGCUAAAUAAACAGAUCAAGUGAAUAUAAUCAGACUUUUAAUGGGGUAAGAUAAAGUUCAGUACUCUAAAAAAUUAAUUUGAAUCAAGAGUUAUUUUUUUCUAAUUAAUAUACUAACAAUAUGCAUAAAGUUCUGAUACCAAUCUUUUCACAAACUUUUCACAUAGUCAAGGCAAAUGGCUAAAACUUUGAAUUUAGUCGUUGAAAAUCAGAGUGUAAACCAUGAGAAUCAAAGUUUAAAACCAAAACCAGUGUGAAUGCAUUUAUUAUACAAUUUAUUUAAUGUAAACCCUUUCAAUAUACAAUGUAAAAGCAUUUAUUACAUAUAAAUACAUUUUUUGAAGAUCAGAUAUCUCAAAAUUCUCUAAAUGAACUCAAGAUUUUAAAGCAUUAUUUCGUGUCAAGGUAAUACCCCCUUUUUGACCAGACAAAGUCUCCUUAACAUGCCAAUUUUCCGGCAAAAACGAGUUAAGGUCAAUUGUUAAGACUAAAAACUCUAGUUUAAAAACCUGAUUUUACACCAAAAACUUUUUCAAUAACCCGAUUUUUUUAUUUUAAUAAUUUGGCAGAAACAUUAUAUAUAUAUAGGAUCUAUGUAUAUUGCAGAUAUUAAUAUUAGUAUAAAUAAAACUGUGAUUCAAAUAAUUUUCAUUUCCCUACUUUAUCUGUUUACCCCUUUUACCUCUUAAGGGUUAGAAAAAAAAAACACACAAAUAAAUUAAAUUACAAAUAAAAUAAGAACAUAAAUUUAAUAGAAAUUUCUUACUUUUUAUUAUUGAAUGUAGAAAUUUACAAUUGAAGAUACAACUAAAAUUUCUCUAUUUCUCUCAAUCUCUUUAUUGAUCAUUGGUUGAUCCACUAUCAGUUUGCAACUCAUUUAUAGAUAAAAUUUUUACAACACGACAAACUAAAGUUAAUUAGGGUUGUUGGCAGUUACAUUUACAAAGUCAUAAAGGUUUGGUAGAAUUCAAUGUAACUUUUGACUUCCUUCCUUCUUUCUUCUUUCUCUAAUUUCUAGAUUCUUUCUUUUUCUUUUAUUUGUCAUAUGUGUUUUACACAGUCAAUGGGACUUUAUUACUUUGUCUGCCACUUUCAUUUCUCGUGGUUAGGGACGCAUUUAUUGCUUCAAUGUCGUCAUUGAUGACAUCAACGUUCCAUUGUGUUUUACACAUUUUGAUAGCUUUCUUCAUCAAGUUUUUCCCAAAAUGAUGCAUCAUCGCUGAGGUAAGAAGAUGGUUCUAGUAAUUCUACAGUAAGCUCGGUUGUAAAAUCUUGUUCUUUAGGGGUAACAGAAGGUUUUGGAACAAUAAUAUGUUAUAAAGGUUUAUUUCUCCAUAUAGACAUGAUUUUUGUUUCUCCAAUGAGAUAAAAUAAUUUAUUUCGGGUUGGUCUAAAAUCAUAAAUUUGAAAAGCUCUAAAACGAGUAAAAAAUUCUGGAAAUUGAUUUAAACGAGUCAUUUCCCAUUCUGGUUCUUGUUGAGGAAUAAGUGAUUCUUUAUUGUGUUUUAUAUAAACAUGGUGAUAGGCUAGUACUAUCGAUCCAUUGAUUUGAAAUAAAGGUGGAAUGGUUUCAAAAGAAAUGCAAAAACUGAAAUAGUAAGAUACAAUAAGCCAAAAAGACUUCAAUGGAAAACCAAAACAUAACUUUUUAGCUCUUUACAACCAAUAUAUGAAUAUGAAACAAUAUUAAACAUAGAUAAUACACAAGACCUUUAGAAAACCAUAGAAAAUUGGGAUCAAUCCUUAAAUUCAACCGGUGUAGUAGUAUCCUUUGAGGUUUAACUCUUUAUUUUCUCAAAACCUUUUUUGAAGAACAUAAAGUUAUUAUAGAUAAUUUUUGGUCUCUAAAACCAAAAAUUUUUCCAAACCAAAAUUUAGAAUAUGCUUAUGGAAAAACCGUGUCAGCUUUAGCCCAACAUUUACAAAACCUUCAAAACCAACUGAUUGCUUUAGAAACCCAAAAAUUUGAAAACCUUAAAAUCCAAGAAAAUCAAGAAAGACUGAUAAAGGAUUUGAAAACCAGUACAAUGUCAACCAGUCAAACUAGUUGUUCAAAUGGUCAACCUAAAAUACUUAGUUUAAUUAAGAAAUCAGCUCUUCUGUUUGAAAAAUAUGAAAAACUUGUUAAAAACCUAAUUGGAGCAAAUAACUACUCUUUAGUCGAAACCUUCUUUCUGCAAACCCAAUAUAACAAAGUGUUUAAAAAUCAAGAACUUUUGUAUAAACAUUUUAGAACUAAAAAUGUUAAGAUAAAAACAGGGUAUAUGACAUAUCAUGACCUUGAAUUUUUCUUUGUUAUAUAUUUGGAGUACCCUAGUUCAUGGAUCAAGGAACUUUAAAAAAUGUUUUUAUGAACCAGAUAUCUCAAAUCCCUGAAAAUUUCCUAAAUAAAUGAAAAGAUAUUUUAACCUAUCUAAUAAAUGAAAAGAUAUUUUAACCUAUCUUUUCAAAAUCGAAAAAUAGAUAGACAUUUCUUUUGAAACCAUUCCACCUUUAUUUCAAAUCGAUGGACCAUUAGUGACAGCCUAUCACUAUGUUUAUAUAAAACACAAUAAAGAACCAUUGAUUCCUCAACAAGAACCAGAAUGGGAAAUGACCCGUCCAAAUGAAUUUCCAGACUUUUUUACUUGUUUUGAAGCCCUUCAAAUUUAUGAUCUUAGACAAACUCAAAAUAAAUUAUUUCAUCUUAUUGGAGAAACAAAAACCAUGUUUAUAUGGAGAAACAAACUUUUAGAACACAUUAAUGUUUCAGAAUCUCUUAUUACUCCUAAAGAACAAGAUUUUAUAAUCGAACUCAGUGUAGAAAUACCAGAAUCAUCUUCUUACCUCAGCGAUGAUGCAUCAUUUUGGGAAAACCUUGACAAUGAAAGUUAUUAUAAUCUGCAAAAUGCAAUGGAAUGUUGAUGUCAACAAUGACGACAUUGAAGUAGUAAAUACGUCUUCAACUACAAGAAUUUAAUGCAACAGCAGAAGUUCAAAAUCAAUAAAGCCACGUAUACUGCAUGUGAUGAAAAAGAAGAAAGAGGCAAGGAAGAAGCCACUAGACAUAAGGUAAAAGAAGAAAGAAAAGUCAAAUCUCAUAAGUCUUUACCAUCUUUGCAUUUAUUGUUAACUAAACCUUUGAAGACUUUGUAAAUAUUUUUGCUUGUCAUAUACCAACUGCCAACAACCCAAUUAAAUUUAGUAUAUCAUAUUGUAAAAAUUUUGUCUAUAAAUAAGUAGUAAACAGAGAGAGAAAAAAAACGAGAAAGAAAAAGCAAGUUGGAAGUGAGCAAUCAAAGAGCAAUUAAAGUGUUAGUUGUAUAUUCAACCUGUAAAUUUCUACAUUCAGCAAUAAAAAGUAAGAAAUUUAUGUUAAAUUUCUAUUCUCAUUUGAUUUUAUUUGUCUUUUUUCUUACCCUUAGGGGUAAAAUGGGUAAAUAGAUAAAGUAGGAAAAUGAAAAUUAUUUGAAUCAUAGUUCAGUUUUCUUUUACUAGUUAAUAUCUACAAUAUACAUAAAUAUUUCAUAUAUAUAAUGUUUCCAUCAAAUUUUUUUUAAAAAAAGGUUAUUUAGAAAGUUUUUUUUUUAAUGUAAAAUCAAGUUUUAAAAUUAGAAUAUUUAGUCUUAACUCUUGACCUGUAACCCCUUUUUGUCAAAAAAUUAGCGUGUUAGGGAGACUUUGUCUGGUCAGAAGGGGGGUAUCACCUUGACGCGAAGUAAUGUUUUAAAAUCUUGAGUUUAUUCUCUGAAUUUUUUUAAAAUAGUUGAUCUUUAAAAACAUAACUUUGAUACAAUAAAUGCUUUCACGCUAUAAACUGAAAGUAUAAAUUUAAAUAAAUAUUAUAAUAAUAUGUGAUAAAUGGUUUCACACAGUAUGUUGAAAGUUUUUAUUUUAAAAUAACAAUAUAAUAAAUGCCUUCACACUGGUUUUGGUUUUAAACUUCGAUUUUGAAUGAAAAAUUUUCAAGUUCCUGCCAUAGCCUUGACUGUGAAUAUCUAAUUAUGUAUGUGGAUGAGAAAAGUUGGUAUCAGAGCUUUAUGUAUAUUGUUAGUAUAUUAAUUAGGAAAAGUAACUGUUGAUUCAAAUUAAUUUUCAGAGUACCAAACUUUAUCUUACCUCGUUAAAAGUCUAAUUAUAUUUGCUUGAUCUAUUAAUUAAGUUUGCAUGUUUAUUUAGUCUGAUAUGAAUUGAUGUCUUUUAUUCCUUAUUCUCCUGGUAUAUAUAAUUUAGAUUAUGAUCGUGUAAAAGAACUUAAUAGUAGAUUGUAUGCUCAAUGGAAAGAAUUUAGAGAAACUUGUGAUAAAUUGCAUAAUUUAAGGACUAUUGUAAAAUAUUUAACCACGGAAAUAAGAAACCUAACUUCUCUUAAAUAUUUGAAUGAAUACGAAAUAACUAUACAAGAAGCCUUUGAUGCACUUUUUACUACAAAAACCUUAAUUAAAAGAGAAAUUAUAAAAUAUUAUAUUGAUAAUUUAUAUGUUAGUUCAUCUAAUUAGAAAAUAUUAAAAACUAAUGAACUCUCAUCUACAAACCUAAGAGGUAAAAUAUUUAAAAUUUCUAGUAGAAUCACAAUUAAAAAUAAGUAGUCUUACAAGAACAUAAAAACCAAAUUCAGAAAGAAAACCAAAAUAAUAUAAACCAAAAUAAUAUCAAUUGUUUAAAAGAAAUCCAAAGAAGACAAAGAAAAUCCUUAGAAAAACUAAACACGAUCUUAGGAAUUUGAAAAGAAGCUGAAAGACUUUAAGAACCAUAAUUUGCUAAUAAAUAACUUAGAUUAUAUUAAAGAACAAUUAUCUAGAGAAUAAAAACAAUUAGUUCAAAAUUAUAAAAUAACUAGAUUUUUAAACCAACAUACUAUAUGUUCAAUAGGAAAUAUUAUAUAUUUAGACUUAGUAUCUCCAGAAACAAAACAUAAACUAUUAAAAAAUAAAACCAAUAAAUAUAUGCAUUUAGGAAUAAUUUUAAUAGGAAUAAUAGGACUUCAUCAUAAAGAAAUUUGAGCACUUAUAAAUAUUAACCUUUUAGUUACUAGAAACAAUAUAGUAGGACGAGCUCUUUUAGCCAGCGCAAAAGUUAAUAUGAACUAAAAUUACUUAGUCAUUGGCUGUAUACCUCAAUUUUGUAUAGAUCUUAUGGAAUUCAUAGAAAAAAUAAAAAUAACUAUAAAUACUAAAGGUUAUGAUAUGGAAUUAGGAAGUAAGAACCUUAGCAUAGCUAUAAAAUUUAUAUGAAAAACCACUAAUGCUCUAAGCUUAAAAUGUAUGAUGGAAUUUGAUGAUAUAGUAAAAACCUUUGUAAGUAAGACUGUAAAUAUGAUAGAAGCAAAACCUAUAAAUAUAGACUAUUUGCUUGGAUGAGAGUGGGAAUUACCCCAAAUAAAUAAACUAGUAAUAAAAUAUUCAACAUCUAGUAGUUUAUAUGAAAAUCAAGAUGGAAGCACAAGGAUAACCUUUGGAAACUAUAAAACCAUAAAUGUAGAGGUAGAAUCAAAUAGUGAGAUGGAAUCUAUAAAUGUUAUACAAGAAGAUAUUUUAAUAAACAUUGAAAUAGUAGAAAACCUAUACAAAAAUUCAGAACUAGUUAAUAUAAUGUUAGAAGAAUUCAGUAACCCAACGUUACUAGAAGAACAUGUAGAUCAAGAAAACUUUGUUGAUAUAAUGUCUAAAAACUAUACAGAUUAGCAAAUAAUAAAACAACUUUAUAAAACCAAUUUGAUAAAAAAACUUAAAGAUAUAGAAACAAUAAAUCAAUUUACUAUUCAACCAAAAACUAAAGAAAACCUAGAAAUAAUCUCAAAUGAGUCGGUAAAUACAAUAAAUGUAGAAAAAGAAUUUGUAAAUAUAAAAACUGAAAUAGUAAGGUGUAGUAAGUUGUAUGGUAAGCCAAAAGGACCUCAAUGGAAAACUAAAACAGAAUCUUCUAGUUCUUUACAACCAAUAUAUGAAUAUGGAAUAAUAUUAGAUAUAGAUAAUACACAAGAUCUUAAGAAAACCAUAGAAAAUUGGGAAGAAUCCUUAAAUUCAGCCGGUGUCGUAGUAUCCUUUGAAAAUCAACAAAAAAUUUAUGAAUUUUGUAAAAGCACCCUUGGAAGAAUUGUAUCUUGACCAUAUAAGAUCUGAAUGUCUUGAACUUAAAAAACCAUUAAAUGAAUGAAGUAGAAAAACCCAGGUAAAAAUAAACCUAAAUAAUGAGUAUUAGAUAGAUAGUGAAGAAGAAGAACUCAUUAGUGAAUUAGAUUUUGAAAGUGGAAAUUCAAGUGUAUGUAGUAUAGAUGAUAGUGAAACCGAAAGAGAAGAAAUUUGUACAAUUAUUGAAAAAGAGGAAAAUCAACCUAAGAGAACCUCUUUAAAUUUAGAAAACCUUAUUCAAUCUUUAGAAAGUAAAAUAAAACCUUAUAAUAUGUGGAAAGACUUACAAGUAAUAAUUAAAGGAAAAAUCUUGGAAGAAGAGGAAGGCAGUUCAAACUCUAAAGAAAUAAAAGAACCAAUAAGUCUUGUAAAAUAAAUAAAAGAACUAAUAAGUCUUGUAAAAACAACUAUACAAACAAUAGAACAAGUAAAUAUGACAAAUAAAGUUAAAUCUAUGAUUUUUCCAACAACAAUUAAAUUAAAAACCAUAGAAUUAAAAGUAGAUGCAAUGUUAGAUAUUGGAGCUAGUAAAAACCUUUUAUUUGAAACCCUAGUACCUCAGGAAGACUAGAAAAAAUUAGUUCAACUAGUAGAAUUAGUCCAAUAUAAUCAACAAAAACUAAUACUAACCAAGUUAUUUCAAAUGUACUAAUCAUAAUUAACAACAUAACUUUAGUGUUACCUCAAACCUAUCUUGUACCUACUAUAAGUUUAUAUCCUUUCAUUUUGGGUUUAAAUUUUGUACAUUCUUUACAAGAAGGGAUAACAAUGCAAAAUAACUAAAUCAGUUUUCAUCUUAAAACGACAACAAUUAUUUAUGCAAACAUGGAAAAUGCAUCAAAUAAAAAUCAUAAUGUAACCUCUCAUCAAAUUAACAAAGUAGAAGCACAAAAGGAUAACAUAAUUAAUGAUUAUUCAGAACAAUUAAGAAAUGCAGAUAGGUUAAAAAACCUUAUAUUAGAAACAAAAAAAUAGGAAUUAUAGGGGAAAAGGAAGAUAAUUUAAACUCUCAAAAAAUAAAAGAACCAAUAAAUCUUGUUGAUACAACUAUAUAGACAAUAGAAUAAGUAAAUAUGAAAAAUAAAGUUAAAUUUAUCAUAUUCCCAACAACAAUUAAAUUAAAAACCAUAGAAUUAAACGUAGAUGCAAUGUUAGAUACUGGAGCUAGUAAAAACCAUUUAUUUGAAACUUUAGUACCUUAAGAAGACCAGCAAACACUAGUCUAACCAGUAGAAUUAGUCCAAUAUAAUUAACAAAAACUAAUAUUAACAAAGAAUAUUUCAAAUGUACCAAUCAUCAUUAACAACAUAACCUUAGUAUUACCUCAAACUUAUCUUAUACUUGUUACAAGUUUAUAUCCUUUCAUUUUAGGUCUAAAUUUUGUACAUUAUUUACAAUGAGGGAUAACAAUACAAAAUAACCAAGUUAGUUUUUAUCCUAAAACUACAACAAUUGUUUAUACGAAUAUAGAAAAUGCAUCAAAUAAAAAUCAUAAUAUAAUCUUUCAUCAGAUUAACAAAGUAGAACACAAAAGGAUAGUAUAAUUAAUAAUUAUUCAGAACAAUUAAGGAAUGUAAAUACAUUAAAAAAAACCUUGUAUAUAUUGAUGAUAUUCUUGUUUUUUUUUUUUUAUAUACUUUUCAAGAACAAAUAAAGCAUUUAGAAUUUGUUUUUGAAAAGCUAAUUAGUCAUGGACUAAUAAUAAGUACAAAGAAACUGAAAUUAUUUAAAACCCAAAUAGAAUUUUUAGGAUUAGAAUUGGAGGAUGGACAAAUAAAAAUACAAGAUCAUAUAGUACAAAAAAAUAAAUAAUUUUCUAGAUAAACUCGAAGACUUAAAAACCCUUCAAAGUUUUUUAUGAUUAUUAAACUAUGCUAAACCAUAUAUUAAAAACCUUAGUAGAUUAGUUGGUUCUCUUUAUAGUAAAACAAAAAAUACAAGAUAAAGAUAUUUUAACUAAGAAGAUGUUAAACUUUUACAAAAAAUAAAGGAACUUCUAAAGCAUAUUCCAACCUUAUAUUUACCCUUAGAAAGAGAAUACAAAAUAGUUCAAAUUGAUGCUAGUCAAAUAGAAUGGGGAGGUAUGCUUUUAGCAGUUACUAAUACUGGAGAAGAAAAAUUUUGUAGAUAUUGUAGUAGAACUUUCAAUGAUUAUUAAAAGAACCUUAGUUUACAGACUUAGAAAUAGAAGCAAUAAUCUUAGUCUCAGAAAAAAUUCAACUAUUUCUAAAUGAAGAACAAUUUACCUUAAGAACUGAUUGUGAGAACAUUUAAAAGUUCUUUGAAAAUAAAAACUCUUCAAAAUUGUCCACCAAAAGAUGGAUAAAGUAUCAAAACUCUUUAAUUGAUUUUAAACCUAAAUUUGAACAUAUUAAGGGAAGAAGUAUUGAAUUCAAACUUAAGGUUUAACUCUUUAUAUUCUCAAAACCUUUUUGAAGAACAUAAUGUUAUAGUAGAUAAUUUUUGGUCUUUGAAACCACAAAGUUUUCCAAACCAAAAUUUAGAAUAUGCUUAUGGAAAAACUAUGUUAGCUUUAGCCCAAUAUUUACAAAACCUUCAAAACCAAUUGAUUACUUUAGAAACCCAAAAAUUUCAAACCUCAAAAUCCAAGAAAAUCAAGAAAGAUUGAUAAAAGAUUUGAAAACCAGUACAGUGUCAACCAAUCAAACCAGUUGUUUAGAUAAUCAACCUGAAAUGCUUAAUUUAAUUAGGAAAUCAACUCUUCUGUCUAAACAAUAUGAAAAACUUCUUGUUAAAAACUUCUGUCUAAACAAUAGUACCAGCCUAUCACCAUGUUUAUAUAAAACACAAUAAAGAACCACUUAUUUCUCAAUAAGAACCAGAAUGGGAAAUGACCCGUUCAAAUGAAUUUCUAGAAUUUUUUACUUGUUUUCAAGCUUUUCAAAUUUAUGAUCUUAGACCAACCCAAAAUAAAUUAUUUCAUCUCAUUGGAGAAACAAAAACCAUGUCUAUAUGGAGAAAUAAACCUUUAGAACACAUUAUUGUUCCAAAACCUUUUGUUACCCUUGAAGAACAAGAUUUUAUAAUCGAGCUCACUAUAGAAUUACUAGAACCAUCUUCUUACCUCAACGAUGACACAUUAUUUUAGGAAAACCUUGAUGAAAAAAGUUAUUACAAUUUGCAAAAUGCGAUGGAAUGGUGACGUCAGAAAUGACAACAUUGAAAUAAUAAAUGCGUCUCAAACUACAAGAAUUCAAUGCAAUAAUAGAAGUAUAGAAUCGACAAAAGAUCUAAUAGCCAUGUAUACUGCAUGUGAUGGAAAAGAAGAAAAAGACAAGGAAGAGACUAUACAUGCGGUAAAUAAAGAAAUUAGGGAGAAGAAAGGAAAAUCAAGACUUCAUAAAUAGAGUUAUAGAAAUUUAAAACAAGAUGAAAUAUGAGACAACAAGAUUAACAUAAACAAAAUUACAGAAAAUUUAGGACAAAAUUUACACAAAUAUAGCAAACUUGAAAUAAAAUAUAAUACAUAUAAUAUCACAUGUCAAUACAUAUCAACAAAAUAAUAAAUAAAAAUGACAAACAUAUAGAUGAGCAGAAAAAUUUAGACAAAUGUAUAUACAUACAAAAUGUAGAAUAUAAUGAAUAAAUAAAUUAAAUUGGUAGAGCUCUAAAUAAAAUAUAGGAUAAAAUAUUCAACUACUAAAAUGCUCACAAAUAUAAUAAAUAUAAAACAAGAUAAAUCUAAGAAAUCCUAAAAGGAACAAAAACAUGAUUCAAAUAAAGAGAUGAGAAAGAAAUAACUUACCUAAAUGUAGCCCUAAAUCAAUCCUAACUCUCCAAACCUCCAAAGGCAACUCCAAGAUACGAAUCUAGUAUAAAAAAACAAAUGGAUAGCCCCACAGUAAAUACACGAUAAGGAAAAACUUUCACUCACCAACGAUAUACAAUAAAGAAAGAAAGAACCCUAAGAAAAGUAAGAGAAGAACACUAAAAAACAAAGUAGCAGCACCUCGCCUCUCUUUGGUUAUCCUCCCCCCUACUUAGGGCUUAUGUGCCCUUUAAGUAUAGUUUUCAAGACUUUCUCCCUAAGAAAUCUUAUGGGCCCCUGCAAAACAAAUAAAGCCCAAAAUGAGGACUGAUAACCCAAGCCCAAUUAAAAUAAAAUAACCUAAGUCCAAUUAAAAUAAAUAACUGAAGCCCACAACUUAAAAUCUAAAUACUCACAAUCUAAAAAUAAAAUAGCCCAAACCCAAUUAAAAUAAACUAACCCAAAUCCAAUAAAAUAGCCUAGGCCUACAACUUAAAAUCUAAAUACUUAUAACUCGAUAAAAAUAAAAUAACUCAUAUCCAUUUAUAAGGAAAUUUGAAUAUCAAUUCACGCAAUUUUGGAAAAAAAAACUAAAAUUGAACCUCAUGCAAUUUUCUAACAAAUAAAUAAAUUUAUAAGUAUAUAAAAAAAUAGAUAAGUAAAGAAAUAAAUAAUACAAAAUAAUAAUAAUAAUAAUGAUAAUAAUAUAGACAUUAAACACUAUAAUCAAAAUUCAAAUGUUAAUCUAGUGUAAUUAAUGAUAAAAAAAAUGAAAAGUUGAAAUCUCACGACUAAAUAUUGAAAAUUUAAUCCAAGCAAUAAAAAAAAAAAAAAACAAAAAAAAAUAAGUCAAAUACUCACUUAAACUCAUAAUCAUGUAAUCACAACUCAAAAAACAAGCCUAAGUGCACUAAGCCUAAAGAAUCUUUCUUAUAAGUGAACCUAAGUGGGUUGGGUGAAAUUACCUAAAAUGUGCCUAAGUGAUCUAAAUGGAAAAAUCUCUCAGUGAACUAAGUGGAAUCUAACCUAAGGAGGUGCCUAAACGGGCCUAGGGGAGUCUAGAUGGGCCUAAGUGGGCAUAGUGUCCUAGGAAAUGCCUAAAUAUAUUGUCCUAAAAGGGAAAGUGCACCUAAAAGGGCUAACCUAAGAGAAAAAGGAAAAAGAACCUAGAUCUAACUCAAGGUUGCCAAUGGUCACAUUGAAGGGCCACAUAAAUCCCUCAACCAGAGUCUCUAAAGUGGCUCAAGCAAGUAAGCUACAUGAAUAGAAAUGGGUCAUUGGGAACUAAUGUGGAGUAUUGAAAAAGCACUUAAUAGGGCAUAAGAGAAGCACAAGAAUAUACCUAGUAUCCUAUGUACAUGGAGGAGAAAAUUGAGGGUCUACAUGUAGUUUGUUAUGGAUGUAGAAAUUCAAUUGCUUUUGUUGUGAAGCCAUUGUUGCAUGCUUUUCUUUGUUAGCUGCAUAAUCCAUUGUUGCAAAUAUUGAAUAUAUAUACAUUCACUAGUCAUACAAUCCAUGCCUUUUGAGUCUCAAGUUUAUAUUAUCUACCUCCUAGAGUUGGCCAUUUGAUUCUGCUUAUUGUUAUAUAUAUUGAAUUAUAGGUUAUGGAUGUUCUAUGCCUUUUCUUUUUUUAUAAAAAAUAAAAAUAAAAUGCUUAGAAUAUGCUUUCGUUACUUCUUUUUUUGAUCCAUGAAUUAUCAAAAUUAAACUUUUAUGGCAGGGAACUUCAUAAUAAUAAUAUAAGUGGAAAAAUACCAAAGGAGCUUGGGAAUUUGACGAACUUGGUGAGCUUGGAUCUUUCAAUGAACAAUUUAAAUGGUACAAUUCCGGACACAUUGGGCAAGCUUACAAAACUACGUUUCCUGUAUGAAUACACAUCCUUCAGGAACUUUCUUCAAUCAUUAAAUUUUCUUACCUUCUAGUUAAUUUAGCUUCCUUCAUAUUUCUUUUUGUGUCUACUAAUUAAAAGGAUUGCUCACAAUAAGCUAGUUUAGCGCUGAUAAUUCAGAUGCUUGUACUUAGGGCAAUUGUGUUUAAAAAAUAUCUUUUGGGUUUGUUCUCUGCUUCAUCUAAUCAUGAUGGUAAAAAAUUUGAUACACGUGUAUUUAAUUUUAAGAAAUGCAUUAGCAUACAUUAUUGAUCAUAUUGAGUCUAAUAUAGUAUAUUUCUAUUUUGAUAGAAAUGCAUAGCUCUUUAUUUCCAUUGUGUUUGAGACAUCAUAUUGCAUUUUUACUAUUUUGAUUUCUUAAGUACAAAUUUAAUCUUCAUUUAUUUAUACUAUCUUAGGGGAAGGGUCUUCUCUGUUCACUUUUAUACCUUACAACUAACUUUUUGCAUUAAAUUGUAAUAUGGCAUAGGUGUAAACUUAAACAGAAAUUAUUAGUAGGUUGUUUAGUUCCCAUUCCUCCUUUCCUUCUCUAUAGGAGGUGUAACUCUCUUUUGUACAUGCAGGACAUACAUUCUUCUAGUUGUAUUUUAUGACAGAGAAAAUAUUACAAAUUGAUAGGUCUAGUUUAUUGUAUUUAUUCCUUCCCUUUUUCAACCAAUCCAUACAACCAUUUGGAGAGUAAACAUCUAUUUUGGACAACCUAGUGUAGUCCAAGAGUCAAUUGUUUGGAUAAUUGCUGAUUGGUCCCCUUAGAACUCAUUACCACUGAUGGGGGAAAACCUUUUAAAGUCUAUUCAAUAAGGAAAAGGAAGACCUAAGUAAACUUUAAGUAGGAUUAAUAUUAAUUAGAAUUGAAUUAGGAUUAGUAUUUGUUGGAGUCAAAUUAGGAUUAGCUAGUUAAAUUAUAACAUAAUUAGAGUUUAAGUCUUGAUAGAUUAUUAGAGUCCUAGUAGACUUUGGAUUUUAUAAUUAGAAUUAGAGUUAUAAUAAAUUAUUAGAGUCCUAGUAGACUUUGAAUUUCUUAGAGAAGCCUAAAAAUAGGUUAAUCAAUGUAAAGCAAAUGGAUGAAUUGAUUGAUAUUAAUAAUAUUAUGUUUUCUUCAUUGCAAGUGUUGAAAUCCUCAAUGUUGAGACUCCAUAAAUUUUUCUUCUAGGUGAGGUCCUAGAGGGCCUUAGUGAGACUCUAAGGUUUUCAUUUUUUCUUCCUCGUUCUUCUUUCUCUCUAUUUUUUUUUUCUUUACCAUAAAAUUUAUUCAUAGUUCCUCUUUUUAUACUCUAAAAUCAAAACCCUAGCCCACCUACUUUUGAGUGUAGGCAACCAUCUUAGGGUUGUCCUACAUUGGUUUUGGUAUUAGAGUAAAAGUUCUUGGCUUGAAGGCAUAUGCAAUUGAGGAGAUGAGCAACUUAUGCAAGCAUGAGUUCCAAAAAAACUUCUAACAAUCAAGAUGCCGUACAACAAUCCCAUCAAGAUGCUAUAAUAUAAUUAAAUAGAAAACUUGAUGAGAUCAUGAAGUUAUUAGAAAAGAGUAAAGAAAAAAGACCAAUUGAAGAUGAGAUUAGAAGUCAUCAAUUUAGACAAUUGCCAAGUCGAUCACCCGAAGAACAAGACAAUUUUAUGAUGGGGAAUCAAAGAAGGGGCAAACUCUUUGAGCAAGAUGAUGGUAUGACAAAAAAGGUACACCUUGAAGUUACUGAAUUUUAUGGAAAAUUAAAUCCAACGACUUUUCUUGAUUGGAUUGUGUUGAUGGAAGAUUACUUUGAUUGAUAUGCAAUGCUCGAAAAUAGAAAAGUUUGUUUUAUGAAGGCAAAGUUGAAAGAAGCAACAUGUCUAUGGUGGGAUAAUACUAAGAAUCAACUUCAUAGAAUUGGCCAACCACCUAUAGACACAUGGGAAGAGAUGAAGUUGAAGAUGAAGGAGCACUUUCUCCCAACUGAUUAUGAACAACUUAUGUACACAAAAUUGUUUUCCCUUAAACAAGAUACUUAGUCCGUUGAAUUAAUACAGAUAAAUUCCAUGAAUUGAGCAUUUGAAAUCCAGUUCGGGAAAGUGAUGCUCAACUUGCAGCCCGUUAUAAAGUUGGACUUUGAAUGAAGAUUCAACUUGAGAUGAUAGCUACACACACUUAUACAAUAGACGAUGUUUAUCAACUAGCCCUUAAAAUAGAAGAAGGGCCCAAGUUUCAAGCUUCCAGACAUCCAAAUUCACAAAUUGGGAGCACUUUCUCCAACUGGACAACAAGUAAACCUUUAGGCACCACAAAUUUCCAAACUUCUAACCAUGUGAAUAGUGAAGGCAAUAAUAAACAAGCCUCACAUGUGCCUACUAGAGAUGCUAAUAAGGGUAAAACUUCAAUGAACAUUGAAGACAAAAAGGUAACUAUGACUCCUUUAUGCUUUAAGUGUGGUAGGCAUGGUCAUUAUGCUGUUGUGUGCCCAACCAAAGGUUUACACUUUUGUGUUUAAGAACCAGAAUCUGAAUUGGAGGGUUACCCAAAGGAAGAAUAAACCCACAAUGAAAAUGAACUUAGUGAAUAAUGUGACUACUAUGAUGGUAUGACAGAAGGACAUAGUCUUGCAAUACGACCUUUAUUAGUUGUCUCAAAGGUAAAAGGAGAAGAAGAUUGGUGACAUACUAGCAUUUUCCAGACAAGUAUUUCUUGCCAAGGGAGAUUAUGCACCAUGAUCAUUGAUGGAGGUAGUAGUUUGAACAUAGCUUUGCAAGAACUUGUUGAAAAGCUAAACCUUAAAAUAGAGAUGCUUCCAAAUCCAUUUCGAGUAACAUGGGUUAAUGACACCUCUAUUUUGGUAAGUUUUUGCUACUUAGUAACAUUCCUUUUUGGUAAGGACUUUGAAUAGUCUGUAUGGUGUGAGGUCUUACCAAUAAAAGUAAGUCAUAUUUUACUUGGAAUACCUUGGCUUUUUUAUAGAAGAGUUUAACAUGAUGGUUGCAAAAAUACAUGUACUCUCAUACACAAUGGGCUUAAGAAGAUCCUUUGUCCAAUGAAAGAAGCCCCACCAAUUAAGAAGUCAAAGGACGCACAACCAAAAAGGGUGCUUAUUAUGCGUUAAUUUGAAAAGAUACGAGAAAAAAUCAAAAUCAGCAAUGAGAACUAUAAGGAGACAAUAGAUGCGCAUCAAAGUUAUAUUCACUUUCAAGAAGGUGAUCUAGUAAUGGUUCAUCUACGUCUAGAAAGAUUUCAUCCGGACACAUAUCAAAAGCUUCAAGCUAAGAAAAUGGGUCUAUUUCGGGUACUAAAGCGAUUGGGUGAGAAUGCAUAUUUGUUAGAAUUCACUUCAGACUUGCAUUUUAGUCCAAUAUCUAAUGUUGAAGAUUUGUUUAUUUACCAUGGCCAUCAAAAUGAGGUAAGUGGAGAAUUGGAUCUUUAAUUACCACCUACUCUUAGCCCAUGUCUUGAGAUUGAGUAUGUUCUUAAUGAUCAACGUGUGUCUACUUAACAAGGUGUAUGGUGUGAGGUCUUACGAAUAAAAGUAAGUCAUAUUUUACUUGGAAUACCUUGGCUUUUUUAUAGAAGAGUUUAACAUGAUGGUUUGCAAAAAUACAUGUACUCUCAUACACAAUGGGCUUAAAAAGAUCCUUUGUCCAAUGAAAGAAGCCGCACCAAUUAAGAAGUCAAAGGACGCACAACCAAAAAGGGUGCUUAUUAUGCGUUAAUUUGAAAAGAUAUGAGAAAAAAUCAAAAUCAGCAAUGAGAACUAUAAGGAGACAAUAGAUGUGCAUCAAAGUUAUAUUCACUUUCAAGAAGGUGAUCUAGUAAUGGUUCAUCUACGUCUAGAAAGAUUUCAUCUGGACACAUAUCAAAAGCUUCAAGCUAAGAAAAUGGGUCUAUUUCGGGUACUAAAGCGAUUGGGUGAGAAUGCAUAUUUGUUAGAACUCACUUCAGACUUGCAUUUUAGUCCAAUAUCUAAUGUUGAAGAUUUGUUUAUUUACCAUGGCCAUCAAAAUGAGGUAAGUGGAGAAUUGGAUCUUCAAUUACCACCUACUCUUAGCCCAUGUCUUGAGAUCGAGUAUGUUCUUAAUGAUCAACGUGUGUCCACUCAACAAGGUGGAUACCAAGAAUUUUUGGUGAAAUGGUGAGGCAAACCAUGUUCUGAAAAUACACGGAUUAUGACAAUAGAUUUUCAAAAGCUUAACCCCGAUCUCUAUUAAUUUUAUCAAACAUCUAACUCGUUAGAGUCGAGUUCUUUCAAGAUGGGGGGAAUUGAUGGUGAAAAACCUUUUAAAAUCUAUUCAAGGAGGAAAAGGAAGACCUAAGUAAACUUUAAGUAGGAUUAAUAUUAAUUAGAAUUGAAUUAGGAUUAGUAUUUGUUGGAGUCAAAUUAGGAUUAGCUAGUUAAGUCAUAAUAUAAUUAGAAUUUGAGUCAUGAUAGGUUAUUAGAGUCCUAGUAGACUUUGGAUGUUAUAAUUAGAAUUAGAGUUAUAAUAGGUUAUUAGAGUCCUAGUAAACUUUGGAUUUCUUAGAGAAGCCUAUAAAUAGUCUAAUCAAUGCAAAUCAAAGGGAUGAAUUGAUUGAUAUUAAUUAUAUUAUGUUUUAUUCAUUGCAAGUGUUGCAAUUCUCAAUGGUGAGACUCCAUUAAUUUUUCUUCUAGAUAAGAUUCCUAAAAGUCCUUAGUGGGACUCUAAGGUUUCCAUUUCUUCUUCCUCAUUUCUUAUUUCUCUCUAUUUAUUUUAUUUUAUUUAUUUUUUUGCCAUAAAAUUUAUUCCUUGUUCCUCCCCUUAUACUCUAAAACCAAAACCCUAGCCCACCUACUUUUGAGUGUAGGCAACCAUCCUAGGGUUGUCCUACAUCAACCAUUGUGCAAAGAGUUUUGUUUAGUUUCUUUGUUGUGCAAGUAUAUGUUGAUUGUGUUAAAGAAUAUGAUAUAUAUAUAUAUUGUGGACCCAAAUCCUACAAGCUUAAGCUUUUAGGAAACUUGGUUAUCUAACAUAGUAUUAGAGCCUCAUUUGGUGGGAGGUCAUGUGUUCGAGCGUCAUUACAUUUUUCUUUCCCCAAUUUAUUGAAUCCACAUGUAUUAAGUCUACAUGCAAGGUCAAAAGAGGUUAAUUGUGGUUGUUUGCCUUCAGGUCUUUAUGUGUGCAUGAUCUCGUGUUUGAGCCUCAUCACACUUUUAUUUCCCCAAUUUGUUGGGCCCACAUGUAAGUCCAAAAGAGGCUCUUUGCCUACAUGAGAGAGGGUGUUAAAAACAUGAUAUACAUUGUGGACCUAAAUGCUACAAUAAAAUUGGUUGUCUAAUAGAUUAUAUGUCUUUGCUUUGUUUGUUGUUUGCUUUUCAAUGAUUAUUAUGAAACCUAACAGUGUUUAUUUUGUAAACUGUCUGCAUGGAAAUAGGCGGCUUAACAACAAUGCCUUGACAGGAACUAUUCCAAUGUCUUUAACUGCUGUUAUAACACUGCAAGUCCUGUGAGUACUAAGUUGAUGUCCUAUCCAGAGAAAGCUAUUUUUUCCCCUUAGCUUCCAAUGACAUGAUUUUGUUGCAAGAAUAUGACAUUAUAAUAUUCUUAUGUGGAUGCAGGGAUCUGUCGAACAAUCACCUAAGAGGAGAUGUACCAGUAAACGGCUCGUUUUCAUUAUUUACUUCUAGCAGGUAAACUGGGUGCAAUGUCAUUUUUAUGAUAGUACUAUUGGGUGACCUAUCUAAUCCGUAUGCUAACUGCUGUGUUGCAAUUUUGCAGUUUUAACAAUAAUGACCUAAACCAAAUUCCACUUGUUCCACCUCCACCAAUUUCUCCAACACCAAUAACUUCUUCGGGUUUGUCAUUAUUAUUUUCUGUUUUUAACUAGUAUUAGGUCCAAGUUAUCUGAUUAAAAGAAAGUAUCAACUCAAAGUUGUUGCUGAUAUUGGACCCUUCUGUGUUUUCAUUGCUAUGUUUUCCUUUCACUUUCAAUUGGACAUGUCUUCUACCCCCUUGUCUGGUCAAGUCAUCCUGUACAUGAGUUUUAUCUAGUUUCGUAACUCAUCCAUCUUUUUUUAUUUUCCUUUUAUCUGAUAUAUAUAAUUGAAAAUAAGCAGAGAGAAACUUUAUAAUUGAUGAAUGUGAAUUUAAGAAAAUCACUUCAGAGGAUGGUUUAUUUAGUUUCAUCAACAUAGUAUCAUUUUUGAGCAAUUAUUGUUUCUAUUAAAAAUUUUGGUGUUUCUUUGGCCUAAAUUGCUGGUUAUUAACUAUUUUCUGAGCUUUUAGAGAAUGUGGAUUGGACUUAAUCAAUAUCAGAAACAGGCACUCGUGAGUAUCAAAUUCAAUUAGAAUCUAACUUUUCUUGGAACAUCUUAUAACUCACUCUAGAAAAGAAAUGAAUUGCUUUAUUAUUUAGAGGUUCUCAGUUAAUGUUCAAAUGUUCUGAUUAUCACAAAUAAUAAUGAUAAUAAUAGUAUCAUUUUUGAGCAAUUAUUGUUUCUAUUAAAAAUUUUGGUGUUUCUUUGUCCUAAAUUGCUGGUUAUUAACUAUUUUCUGAUAUUUUAGAGAAUGUGAAUUGGACUUAAUCAAUUUCAGAAACAGCCACUUGUGAGUCAUCAAAUUCCAUUAGAAUCUAACUUUUCUUGGAACAUAUAACUCACUCUAGAAAAGAAAUGAAUUGCUUUAUUAUUUAGAGGUUCUCAGUUGAUGUUCAAAGGUUCUGAUUAUCACAAAUAAUAAUGAUAAUAAUAGUAUCAUUUUUGAGCAAUUAUUGUUUCUCUUAAAAGUCUUGGUGUUUCUUUGGCCUAAAUUUCUGUUUGUUAACUAUUUUACGAGCUUUUAGAGAAUGUGGAUUGGACUUAAUCAAUUUCAGAAACAGGCACUUGUGAGUUGUCAAAUUCAAUUAGAAUCUAACUUUUCUUGGAACACCUUAUAACUCACUCUAGAAAAGAAAUGAAUUGCUUUAUUAUUUAGAGGCUCUCUCAGUUAAUGUUCAAAUGUUCUGAUUAUCACAAAUAAUAAUAAUAAUAAUAGUUUACUAUAUUUAUGUUUUUUUGGAUUUCAUUGAUGUAGAAAACAGUGCCACUGGAGCUAUUGCUGGAGGAGUUGCUGCUGGUGCUGCACUUCUGUUUGCUGCCCUUGCAAUAGUGCUUGCUGGAGGAUUUUUAUAGUUUGAGUUUAUAACUUAGUGGUGCAUCCUUUUAUUUACUUCUUUGAACUCUUUUGAGUCUUUUUUGAUAUUUGUUUGGUGUUGGGGAUUUCAGCUAUGGCUUCUAGUUUAUAAUAUUGGGGGUGGUUAUUCAGAGAUUACAAGUAGGUGAAUUUGUUCCAUACUUUCCCUCACAGAAAUCCAAUGAUCUAUUUCAACCUUGACGUCAUUCAAGUGCUUAAAAUAAUGUUGUUACAAUUACAAGUUAAAGUGAUGCACAACUCAGAGACCUCUCAGACUCCUGUUCUUGUAUUGAUUUUAGUGAAAGACUUUAGAUGGCAAAGUCGUGUUUUCAAAUGGUAUGAAAAUUAAACUCAAGUUAUCUCAUACUUUUCCUAGCAAGUCAAAAGAGUAGAAUUACGUACGUGAACUAUGGCAAAGACUAUAGUCAAAGCAGUGUAACCAUAAGGGUCACAGAAGUCUUUUCCAGAGAGUAAGUGGGUAUCAAAUAUAGAAAAUGGUCCUAAUUUACAAACAAUAGAAAGCCUGAAAGAUGAAUUAGCUUAAUACAGUCAAUGUUUGUAAAGGACCAAUCAUACUAUGUAAUCAGUGAAAGUUAGUUUGGUUAGACUAGUUCAAAUUGGACUCAAAUUUUAGAAUGGAUAGGAUUCCUUGAUUUGAGGAAUUUUAGAAUGGAUAGGUUCUUUUAUUUGGGGAAUUAUUUGAAUUCUAGUUUUUUUGUAGGUAGUAAAAGUUUUAUUCAGAUUAGGAUUAGAAUUAGAUUUGCUUUUAGGUUUCCUUAUUUUUAGCCUAGGAAUUUUCUAUUUGUUGGUUAUUUAAACAGAUGUAGCCUGUGUUAUGAAAAAGUGCAAUAAAAUAAAAGUUUAUCCAAAAAACCUUUCACGGUUUUAUGGUAUCAAAGCUAGAGAGAAAAAAAAAAGUUUAAAACACUUUUGUCUCAAGUUCACCAAAUGUUGAUCCCUCACCAUCUUGCUCUCAAGCACAAUCAGGUAGAACUCAAUACCCAUUUAGUGCCUUAGCCAAUUCUUAUAAACCUUGGAUCAUUGAUUCUGGAGCUACAAAUCACAUGAUAGGGUCACCCACUUCAUUUUCAACAUAUGUACCAUGUGCUGGUAAGAUGAAAGUUCGAAUUGUGGAUGGGUCAUAUACCCCGGUCGCUGGAAAAGGAACCAUCUCCUUGAAAAAAACUUUUUCUCUUGAAUCAGUCUUUCAUGUCCCAAAUUUGUCGUGUAAUUUAUUGUCCAUUAGUAAACUCACUAGAGAUCUCAAUCGUGUAGCUAAAUUUUCUUCUGCUGGUGUUAUUUUUCAAGACUUAGCUUCGAGGAGGACGAUUGGUAGUGCAUGUGAGUGUGAAGGUCUAUACCACUUUGAUGACCGUGAAGUUGUGUAAGGACAAGCCGUUGUUUCUGGUAGAAGUGUUUUAUCUUUUCUUUUUUAUCAUGAAAUAAUGUUAUGACACUAUAGAUUGGGCCGCCCUAGCUUUCCUUAUCUUAGGUUCUUGUUUCCAAAACUUUACAAAAAUAAAAGGUUGUCCAAUUUUCAAUGUGAAGUGUGUCAAAUGGCAAAGCAUACCAGAUUAGUAUUUCUUGCUAACCUUAUAGGCCCUCAAAUCCUUUUACUCUCAUACAUAGUAAUCUUUGGGGACCAUCUCCGGUAACAAAUCUAAUUGGUGCAAAAUGGUUCAUUACCUUCAUCGAUGAUCAUUCAAGAAUUUGUUGGGUUUACCUCCUUAAAGAAAAAUCUGAAGUCUUUCAAACCUUCAAAAAUUCCUAUUCAAUGAUCAAAAAUUAGUUUCAAACGUCCAUUAAAAUUCUUAGAACUGACAAUGGUAAUGAAUAUAUAAAUGUUGUUAUUAGAGACUUUUUAUCAACUAAUGGGAUUAUUCAUCAAAAAAACAUGUGUAGAUACUCCACAACAAAAUGGAGUUGCUGAAAGAAAGAAUAGACAUCUCUUAGAAGUUGCUCGGUCCUUAUUAUUUUCAAUGAAUGUUAGAAAAAUACAUUGGGGGGAUGCCAUUCUUACAACAGCACAUUUGAUCAAUAGGAUGCCCUCAAAAGUUCUUAAUUUUAAAAUUCCCAUUGCUGUUUUUAUUGCUUCAUUCCCAGAUUCCUGAAUUUGCCAAGAUUUACCAAAUAAAAUUUUUGGGUGCACUAUUUUUGUACAUGUUCAUUCACAUAAUCAUGGUAAACUUGAUCCUAGGGCUAUAAAAUGCUUAUUUUUAAGAUAUGCAGCAAUUAAAAGAGGAUAUAGAUGUUUUGAUCCUAUUAAUCAGAAACUGUACAUCUCUAAAGAUGUAACCUUCUUUGAAUAGCAGCCCUAUUAUACUUUGCUUCAGGGGGAGAAUUCUAGUGAAGCUUCGUCAUGGGAAAUUCCACAAUCUCCUAUUCUGGUUCCUACACUCCUAGCAACCAGUCCGGUGUCUACUCAAAUCAGUCCACUCCCAGCAACCAGUUUGGUGUCUACUCAAAUCAGUCCACUCCCAGCAAUUAGUCCACUCCUGGCAACCAAUCUGGUGUCUACUCAAAUCUCUCCAUCCAUUCAUUUCGUUCAAUCGAACCCAACAAUAGUUCCAAUACAUAACAGAUUAUCAAAUGCAAGGGAAUUGCCACUAACAACACAGUCUACACUGUAGUUCAAAGUUUACUGAAGGAAGUGUAUAGUACCUAAUACACUCACGCCUUGCCAUGAGGCUACAUCGGAGAUAAUGCCUGAAUUAGGUUUGGAUAAUUCUUCACCCCCCUCACAUUCCUCACUUCCUACAGAUCCAGUGCCUAGUGACUUAGAUCUCUUGAUAGCACUUAGGAAAGUUGUUAGAUCCUGUACCAUUCAUCCCAUAUCUAAUUUUGUCUCUUAUCAUAGAUUAUCCUCAUCUUUUUUUGCUUCUAGCUCUCACCUUUCUUCCAUAGAAAUUCCAAAAAAUGUACAAGAAGCAUUUGGUGAUCCAAGUUGGAAAACAGCGGUUGUGGAGGAAGUCAAAGCUUUGAAAAAAAUGGAACAUGGGAACUUGUUACCCUACCGAAAGGUAAAAGAACUAUGGGAUGUAAGUGGGUCUUUUCAGUAAAAUACAAAUUUGAUGGCUCGGUGGAAUGGUACAAGGAAAGAUUGGUUGCUAAAGGAUUUACUUAGACUUAUGAGAUAGAUUACUAGGAGACUUUUGCAUUGGUGGCAAAAUUGAACACAAUUCGAAUUCUUCUCUCUUUGGCUGCAAUGAUUAGCCUCUUCAACAGCUAGACAUAAAAAAUGCUUUUCUCAAUGGGGAAUUAGAGGAGGAGGUUUACAUGGUUGUACCACCAAGACUUGAACAAGAAAGCUCCAAUAAAGUUUUUCAAUUGAAGGAAGCUCUCUAUGGUUUCAAGCAAUCACCCCGGGCAUGGUUCGAAAUACUCUCAAGAGUAGUAAAACAAUAUGGCUAUCUUCAAGGACAUUAAGAUCAUACCAUGUUUUACAAAUCUACUGAUGAGGGUAAAAUAAUUGUUCUCUUAGUUUAUGUUGAUGGUAUGAUUUUAAUAGGCAAUGAUCAUGUAGAAAUUGAAGCUUUGAGGAAGAUCCUAGCUAAGGAGUUUGAGGUGAAGGACCUUGGGGCACUAAGGUAUUUUCUAGGGAUGGAGAUUGCUAGAAAUAAAAAUGAAAUCUCUGUUUCUCAAAGAAAGUACACUUUAGACUUACUCAAGGAAAUAGGGAUGCUUGGUUGCAAGCCCAACGACAUUCCAAUUGAUGCAAGACACAAGAUAGACCCAACUGAAAAAAAGGGAUCCAGUUGACAAAGGAAGAUACCAAUGGCUGGUUGGAAAGCUCAUCUACCUCUUUCACACUAGGCCGGAUAUUGCUUUUGCAGUAAGUACAAUCAGUCAGUACAUGCAUUCUCCAUAUGAAGCACACAUGAAUGUUGUCUAUAAAAUACUGCAAUAUCUCAAAGGAACCCCAAGAAAAGGACUUCACUUUGGAAAGCAUGACCAAUUCAAAAUAGAGGCCUUUACGGAUGCAGAUUGGGCAGGGUCUAUAGAAGAUAGGAGGUCAACAUCUGGCUACUGUACAUUUGUGUUUGGAAAUCUCAUCACAUGGAGAAGUAAAAAGCAAAAUGUGGUAGCUAGAAGUAGUGCUGAAGUUAAGUUUAGAUCAAUAGCUCAUGGAAUUUGUGAAGUCUUGUGGAUCAAGAGAGUAUUAGAAGAACUAAAGAUUACAAUUCAUCCUUUAGCUAUGAUGUAUUGUGACAACAAGGCAACUAUAAGCAUUUCCCACAAUCCAGUCCUCCACGAUUGAACAAAACAUGUUGAGGUGGACCGACCACCAUUUCAUCAAGGAAAAAAUUGAGCAAGGGGAAAUAUGCAUGACAUAUGUGCCAUCCAAAAGCCAAAUUGCAGAUGUUUUAACUAAAGGGAUCCCGAGAGAAGACUUUGAAAAUAAUGUGGACAAGUUGGGUAUGAUAGACAUUUAUGCCCCAACUUGAGGGGGAGUGUUGGAAAGUUAGUUUGGUUAGACUAGUUCAAAUUGGACUCAAAAUUUGGAAUGGAUAAGAUUCCUUGAUUUGAGGAAUUUUAGAAUGGAUAGGUUCCUUGAUUUGGGGAAUUAUUUGAAUUCUAGUUUUUUUGUAAGUAGUACAAGUUUUAUUCAGAUUAGGAUUAAAAUUAGAAUUGUUUUUAGGUUUCCUUAUUUUUAGCCUAGGAAUUAUCUAUUUGCUGGUUAUUUAAACGGAUGUAGCUUAUGUUAUGAAAAAGUGCAAUAAAAUAAAAGUUUAUCCAAAAAACCUUUCAUAGUUUUACAUAUAAUAAAAAACAGGGUGAAAAGCAACCAGAAGCAAUAGUCUACUACCAUUAUUGGAAAUUAUUGUGUUGAUAAGAUCCCAAGAAGAAAUAAUCAAUGAUCUGAUAAGUUGAGAUUCAAUAUGUGGGGGAAACAUUGCAACCAACAUUUACCUUAGGCAGUGUGCUUCCAGACAAGACAAUGAUAAUUGGGCAAACUCUAUUACAUAGGGUAUAAGAUUUUUGUCCUUUUUUUGGUUUGAAGAACUCAAUGAUAGUACCUAUAUAUAUAAAACCCAAUGAUAGAGAUUUUAGAAUUAGCAGUUAGUUUCAUGGUAGAGGCUAUAUUUAUCUAGGGGGUAGACUCUCAUUCAUAGUCCAUUUCAAGCUUGCCUAUCCAUGAUCCUGUUAGAGAAGAUCUAAAGGGACACUUUUAUUUGUGUGGGUGGGGGUUUGUUGUUGAGACAGGUAGCAUGUAACAUCUUUAGUUGGGUGACUGUUUUUACACCAAAGAACAUGUCUGGGCUAGGACUAGAAUUUUUUUUAUUUCUAAUAAAGCUAAAGAGGCUUUGGAGGAUUAUUAUGGUGGUUAGAGAUCGAAAAUAGGCUUUGGAAAAGUGUCUUAGGGGAAAAGUUCCAAAGAGAGGGAUCUUGUUCACAGUUGAUAGGAAAAUGUAGUUUCUUAAGCUACAAAUGUUCCUUAGAGCUUGAUGAGGUGGGGCAUAAUCAUGUGGUUAGGAUUGAAUUCAUGACCUCCCACUAAACAAGACUCUAAUACCGCGUUAUGCAACUAAUUUUCCUAAAAGUUUAAGCCAUUAGGUGGUGGACCAACAGUGUAUAUCAAGCUCAUUUGGGCUUUGUUACUAACCUGGCUGAUGAUUAUCUUGGGGGAUAGUUUCCGGGCAUUGGAAUUUUAGGUUCUCUAGAAGUUUCCAUGAUUGAGAGUUGGAGAAGGUGUAAAGUUUUCCAGCUUGCAUUUAUUGGCAUAUUAUCAGGAGAAUGAGAGGAUGUGUUAGUCUUUAGAUAAUCUAAGGGAAUUCUUUCUUCAGAUUCUCUUUUAGGUUAUUAUUGUCAUGGCCUAAUCUUACCGUGCUAACAUCUGCCAGUUGGAGUUUUUGUGUGCCAUCCAAGUUUAGCUUUCUAAUGCUAGAAGUUGUUCAUAAGAACAUUCUCAUCAUAGACCAGCUGAUGCAAAGGAGUUAUACCCUUGGGAAGUGGUGGUGUUUUUGCAAUUAGGACGAUAAAUAGGCAAAUUAUUGCUAGAUAACAUGUGAUCUAUGGACCUUUGUGGCUUUUUGUCUUUGCUUUUGUUUUUUCUUUUUCCCUGUUGUUUGUUGUCUGUUUGUUUGUUUCAUGGAUUUUGCCUUCUUUAAUCAAAAGAACCCUGUUCUGGCAAUUUAUGGGGAAAAAGAGGCAGACAGUUUGAAGGAAUGCUCUACUCUACCCUUUUUUUUGACAAUUUAAUGUGAUCUCUUCACUCAUUAGAAAAGAAAAAGUUGAAAGGAAAUGUUGAACAUAGAAGGCUGGGUCAAACUCUUGAGGCAUGGUAAAGUUACUUUUUAGAACAAUGGGAAUCUUUUAGAAGCAUUUUCCCUGUGUGGAACCCCCAUACCAUUUUAUUUGUCCUCCUUUUUGGGUAUGGUCUCAAAGUAGAAGGCACUUUGUUUUGGCUAGGCUCAUAGUAGUAGUUCUUCAACGUUUCCUGUAUGUAGCACUAAGAAGAUUGAAGUAAAUAUAGGACCUAUUAUAUAUAUGAGAAAAGAGAUUAUAAUGAUGUUUGAUUAGAUCUCUGGUACUAUUUCAUGCACCUAUUUCCAGAGUCACCUAGAGUCUCACGGAUGAGAAAAAAAAUGCUUCGCCUGCAUCAGCAUAGCAGUGAAUUGCCACAAAAUUUGCUAUUUGGAUGGUGAACAAUUCAGGAAAGCACUAGCAAGAGGGAACAUAGCAAAAAUGAAUAAAAAAAGCCCAAAUAGUACAAGUAAAGCACCUCUUGUUCAAGGACAUUUAAGAAAUUGUGUUUGGGAAUCAUUCAAGAAAAGGAAGAAACUAGGGAAAAUUGCAGAAGAGUUGGUGGAAGAAACAAGUGAAGAAACAAGAAAGCAAAUUGAAAGUGUCUAGAAGAGAAGAAUUCCAGAGAGGAAGCAUGAGCACACUCAUCUACAAAUUGAUGUAUAAUUCUUUUCCACAUAUAAUAAUCCUAAUGAAUCUAAUAAUGGUCUCAUUAUAAAAAAUAAUGAGAAUAAAAUGUUAACCUUGAAAACAACUCAUUUUAUGAGUGGUAUUGACAUUGAAGAAUAGCUGAUACCAACAUUUGUUGUUAGAGAAUGAAUUUCCCUAGGAAAAAGACAAUAUAUAUAAAGAAAGAGGUCAUUGUUGGAAUAUGUGCCCAUAAACAAAUGAGAUGUUUUUUAUUUUGUUGAUUAUUAAUAUUUUUUUAAGGAAUAUGUGCCCAUGUUAUAGAUGCUUUAUAAAUAUCGAAAACCCUAGAUUAUUUAAUUGUAACUUUAAAUAUUGUAUAUAAGUGUUAUAUACAGGAGGAUAAUAUUUAAAGUAAAAUAAUCUAAUAUGUUCGUAAUUAAAAAUUAAAGUUGGGAUCUUUAAUUUAAAAUUACUAGCGCGGUUCAUUACAUUCUGAAUGAAAUGAUCUUAUCCGGAUUGUUAAUAAUGAGAUUAUUGGAAUGAAAGCGCUUCAUAUAAUUUGAUUAUAUAGGACUGGAACACGAUUAAUUAUGAAUCUCUGAUAAAUUCCGUUAUAAUAUAGAGCAUUCAAUAUUAAUCAAUGAUGGUCAUAUAUGCAUUGAUCUUAAUUCUGAGUAAUUAAUAGACUCCUAUUUAUUGUAUUGUAUUUUUUGACAUACCGGGUAAUGACACAAAUACAUAGUGUCAAAUUCUUGGUGUAUUGGAAGUAUAAUAAAAUAAAUAGUCGGGAAUAUUAAUAUACAAGAUGAAAUCCAUUCCUUCGUUAAGAAGUCAGAUGGACGGUUCCCAUAAGUAUUGGUUCGAGCCUUGAAUGAUAAGAGCGCUCAAUUUAUGAUUAGACCAUAAAUAUAUUAUUCAUUAGAGAACCAAUGGCACUUAAGGAGAAAGAUAUAAUUAAAGAGGUUAACAGAAAAACCUAGCUUUAAUUAUGAACAGUUUAUGGAGGAUUGACUCAUAUGUAGUGACUAUAUCAAUGGGCAAUUCAAAUCAUUUGAAUAUAUUUAAUUUUAUAAUUUUAAGAGUGCAAUUCCAAAUUUUUAGUGGAGUAAUUUUUGGAAUUAAUAAUUUGAUUUUUUAAUUAAGUUGUUAAUUAAUUGUCAAAAUUAUUGGAGCUUAAAAUUAUAAUGUCCAUAGUUCCUCUCAACGGCUCCAUUAAAAUUAUAUGAACAUUUUUUUUUAUGUUGGGUUGAUUUUAUUAGUUUGGAAUUUUGAAUUCUAAAUUAAUUUCACACAAUCUUGAUUUGAUUUAUUUAUUUUAUAAUUUGAUUAUUUAAAAUAUUUUUUGAUACAAUGUGGUGAAGACCACACUUACUUGUAUUCCCUAAGAAACACUUUUUAAGUGGGGAUCAUGGGGAGAGAUAUUCUCUCCCUGGUUUUUCAAAAUUCAAAAUUCAAAAUAUGUUAGUUAUUUUUUCUUGGUUGUAUUAAAAAAAAAAAAAGUUUUUUUUCUCAAUGAGAAGGGGGAUGAGAAUGCAAGUUUUCAAUAGAUUAAGUUGUGUGAUAAAAACCCAAAAAAUAAAAAAACGCCUACUCGUUUUGAGUUCAUCAUAAUUUGGAGAACGUAAGAGAAAGAUCCAUGGUGCUUUAGAGGAUUUGGAAUUCUAAGAUCUUUUUGACGGAGUUCAAAUUUAUCAGCCUAAUCGCAAGGUACAAUUCUAAAUUACCUAUAUUUGUUAUUUCAUUAAAUUAAUACAAGUAUUGAUCAUUGAGAAAAAAUUUUGAGAAAAUUUUUCUGGUUUCUGUUUUUUCUUUUAUUUAUCUGGUUUCAAAACCAACAAUUGGUAUCAGAGCAGGUUGAUACUCUGUAUUAAUUUAAUGAAUGAUUAUUUGAUAAUCUUUGCAUGGUUUUCGGUAGGCACUUUUGCAUAUUGAUGUUUGUUUGUUUUUUUUUUUUUUUUUUAUGUUCAUGGUGAUGAAUGUUUGUGGGAAUGGAUUGGUCGUUUUUUUUUUUUAUUUAUUGGUUCCAUGGAUUUUGUUAUUUUUGCAAUAAUUAUUUUAUUAGAUCUUUUGUAAAUAGGAUUCUUGCUGUAAUUCCUAUUUUAUAAGAUCUUUUGUAAAUAGGUUUGCUGCUGUAAUUGUAAAUCGGUUUUGGGUUGUAUUUAAUGUCCAUGGAACCUGGCCAUUUCCGUUUUUAUAUUUAUAAAGUUGAUGAUUACUUUGUCUUGCAAGGAGUGGAGCCAGGGGAUUCAAACCCAUGAAGGAUGGGUAUUCCCUGAUUGUACCACCAGGCUAUGGCUCCUAGCUGGUUAUGUAUAUGAAGAAGGUUUAUUUCACGUUGCCCCUGAACUUUAUCCCUGGCUCCACCACUACCCUUGUUUUAGCAUGUCAUUUUAGUUAGAAAAGUGCCUACCUAUUUUUGUAUGUCAUGCAUUCAUGCGUUUAUUUUAUUUUGCUAAAAUUGUUUUACUUAAUUAAUGUGAUGGACCUUGUAACAAAUUUAAUGAGAUUAAAUUUGUUUUUUAAGUGGGUCAAAUGUGAUCAUUAUAAUUUUUUUUUAUUAUUUUAUUUUAUAUAAUGUCACAGAUGACUUAAUUUAUAAUUUUAAAUUGUUUAAAAUUAUAAAGGCUUAGUAAUUUAAAAUGUUUAAAUUGUCUAAGGUUUAUGAAACAAUAGUUGUUUUAUAAAUUAAAUACACCUUUUGCAAUAUAAUGAGUGGGAGCGGGUAAUAUUACAAUAUAAACCCUAGGUCUCCACCAUUAAUACAACACUGUGAGUUUUUAGUAGCGCUUAGAGACGCUUUGAUUUCGUCCUCCCUACGGAAAGUGUCUACUAAUUUCAAUAACAAGGUUGUCUUCCAUGAGACAGGAUUUUAAGAUGUAUUUUAGAAUUGACCUACCCUACGGCGGCAAUUUCUAAAUUAAGUCUUAAAAAUCUGAUAUGGUGGGUUACACUCAUAAAGAUAUAAUUAAAUUGGUUAAUUAUUUUCUUGACCGAACUUAAAGGAAAUUAAUAAGUAUUAGAAAUAUGAGAUAUUUUGGAUAAUAUUUAUUAAUUGAGAAAGUCUCACUUUAAUUAGCAAUUAUUUGACCUACCCUACGACGACACUUAGUUGUGGUAAUUAAAAUUCCUUAGGAUGUUAAAGUAUAUUUUUUGGUGUAUUUUAUCAUGAGCAUUCUUGCUUCAUAUUUACUUUGCCUUUAAUUUUCUUAUGACAUUUAUGCAAUUAUUUAUUGAAAAUAUUUCUUAUUUUUGUUCAGCAAAUAUGUCAAACCCAAUUUUCUCACUUCUCGCCUCUCAAGUUUUAACUGGUGAAAACUUUGUAAAAUGGAAAAGCAACAUGAACAUUCUUCUCAUUAAUGAGAACUACCACUUUGUCCUUAAGGAGGUUUGUCCUCCAGUGCCUCCAGCUAAUGCCUCCAAGGCUGUCUCAGAAGAGUAUAACCGUUGGAUUAUUGCAAAUAACAAGGCCUGCUGCUACUUGUUAGCAGCAAUGGAUGAAGUGCUUAGAACUAAGCACGAGGGCCUUGAAACUGCAAGCGAGAUUAUGGAAUCUCUACAGCAGAUGUUUGGACGGCCCUCUGAGCAGGCCCGCCACGAAGCUGUGAAAGCUGUUAUGAACAGUAAAAUGAAGAAUGGUUCUUCAGUUUGUGAGCACGUCCUUAAAAUGAUUCAUCACUUUAAUGAGGCUGAAAUCAAUGGAGCUAAAAUUGAUGAAAAUACUCAGGUUGGCAUGAUCUUAGAGACGUUUUCUCCUUCUUUCCUCCAAUUCAGGACAAACUACAUCAUGAACCAUAAGAAAUGUAAUUUGACAGAAUUCCUAAAUGAGCUGCAAUCUUAUGAGACCCUUAUAGAUGAUAAGGAAGGCAAGACAAAUAUUGCUAAGGCUAAUGCAGUUGUGGGAAAGGCUUCUUCUUCAAGGAAUAAGAAGAAGAGAAAUGUGAGAAAUCAAAAGGACAAGAAGAAGAUCCAAAAGAAGAAAAGGAAGGCUGUUGAGCCUAAACCUAAGGGGAAAUGUUUCCAUUGCAAUCAAGACGGCCAUUGGAAAAGGAACUGUAAGAAGUACCUUGAUGAGCUGAAACAAAAGAAGAAACAAGGUAAAUUAGAUUUAUUAGUAAUGGAAACAUGCUUAGUUGAGAAUGAUUUCUCAAGCUGGAUUAUUGAUUCAGGAGCAUCUAACCAUGUUUGUAUUUCUUUGAAGAUGCUUGAGUCAUCUAAGGAUCUUGAAGAGGGAGCUUUCAUGAUGAGAGUUGGCAGUGGGGCAAGAGUUUCAGCGACAGCAGUUGGGACAGUACGACUGUCAUUUGCUAAUAAUAAAUAUUUGUUAUUGCACAAUGUUUAUUUUAUUCCGGAUUUCAAACGGAAUUUGAUUUCGGUUUCAAAGUUACAUGAACAAUUUAUUUCUGUUUCUUUUGAUGUUGACUCUGUUUCAAUCUAUAAGAAUGGAAUGAAUAUUUGUUCAGGUUAUGUUGAUAAUGGUAUAUAUUUUGUUAAACCAAUUUUCAAUAAUUUACUUCAAACCGAAAUGUUUAAAGUCGCUGAACCAACCCCUAAAAGAAGAAAGAUUUCUAAUGAUAAAAAUGACACAUAUUUGUGGCACUUAAGGCUUGGUCACAUUAACAUAGAUAGAAUUGAAAGAGUAGCAAAGGAUGGUCCUUUGAGAGAGCUAAAAGUUGGCACUCUACCAGUUUGUGAAUCUUGCUUAGAAGGCAAAAUGACCAAAAUGCCAUUUUCGGCUAAGGGUGAAAGAGCAAAAGUACCUCUAGAGAUCAUACAUACUGAUGUAUGUGGACCUUUGAAUGUCAAAGCAAGAGGGGACUAUGAAUAUUUCGUCACAUUUAUUGACGAUUAUUCAAGAUACGGAUAUGUAUACCUGAUACAAAGAAAAUCCGAGGCUUUUGAAAAGUUCAAAGAAUUUCGUGCUGAAGUAGAAAAACAACUUAGCAAAUCAAUCAAAACUCUUCGAUCAGAUCGAGGAGGAGAAUACUUGGUUUAUGAAUUCAAGGACUACUUGAUUGAAAAUGGAAUAUUAUCACAGCUCACGGCACCUGGGACACCUCAGUAAAAUGGUGUAGCCGAAAGAAGAAAUCGCACUUUGCUUGACAUGAUGAGAUCAAUGAUGAGCUAUUCUUCUCUGCCAACCUCAUUUUGGGGAUAUGCAUUACAAACGGUAGUAUAUAUUCUGAACAUAGUUCCAUCUAAGUCAAUCCCUAACACUCCCUUAGAGUUAUGGAAUGGUCGCAAACCUAGUUUGAGACAUAUUCGCAUAUGGGGGUGCCCUGCACAUGUGUUAAAGGGAAAGAUUGGGAAACUAGAACCUCGCUCUGAGGUAUGCAUGUUUAUAGGAUAUCCUAAAGGAACAAGAGGAGGUCUGUUUUAUAGCGCUCAGGAUAACAAAGUAUUUGUGUCAACAAAUGCUACGUUUCUCGAGUAUAACUAUAUGGCAGAUUUUAAACCUAGAAGUAAAGUAGUUCUGGAAGAGUUGCUAGUUGAUGAGAUCAGCCCCACGCCAACAACAGUUGUUGAACGACAAAGAAAAGAAACCACUGCUCGAGAUCUAACACCACCGCCACCAUGACGUAGUGGGAGGGAAAUAAGAUUGCCCAUUCGCUAUCGUGAAAAUAGAGAAGCACAAGUUGCAGUCACUGAUGGCAGUGAUGAUGAUCCAUUGACAUUCAAAAUGGCGAUGGAUGAUGUUGAUCAAGAGAAAUGGCAGGAAGCUAUGAAACUCGAAAUAGAGUCUAUGUACUCAAAUUCAGUCUAGAAGCUUGUAGAUCUACCAGAAGGCAUUAAGCCUAUUGGUUGCAAAUGGAUCUAUAAGAGAAAAAGAGGACCUAAUGGGAAAGUAGAGACUUUCAAGGCAAGACUGGUGGCAAAGGGUUUUACCCAAAAGGAAGGAGUAGACUAUGAGGAUACUUUUUCACCAGUCGCUAUGCUAAAAUCCAUUAGGAUUCUCUUGUCCAUUGCUGCUUAUUAUGAUUAUGAGAUAUGGCAAAUGGACGUCAAGACAGCAUUUUUGAAUGGCCAUCUUGAAGAGACUAUUUAUAUGGUCCAACCAGAGGGUUUCGUGGUCAAAGACCAAGAGCAGAAAGUGUGCAAACUACAAAGGUCCAUUUAUGGACUUAAGCAAGCUUCUAGAUCUUGGAAUAUCAGAUUUAACGAAGCCAUAAAAUCUUAUGGUUUUGAACAAAAUCUGGGUGAACCUUGUGUCUAUAAGCAAAUAGGAGGAGAUAAAGUGGUUUUCUUAGUUCUUUAUGUGGACGACAUUCUACUCAUUGGAAAUGAUGUAGAAUCUCUAUCCAAGGUAAAGAACUGGCUAGCCAGCCAAUUCCAAAUGAAGGAUUUGGGAGAGGCAAGCUACAUUCUUGGUAUCCAAAUGACUAGGGAUCGUAAGAAUAGGCUUCUGGCAUUGUCUCAGGCAACAUACAUUGACAAGGUGCUUGUCAAGUUUGCAAUGGAGAACUCUAAGAAAGGGAAUUUGCCUUCUCGACAUGGAGUUCAUCUCUCUAAAGAGCAGUGUCCAAAAACACCGCAAAAUGAGGAGAAAAUGAGACGAGUUCCCUACGCAUCAGCAGUUGGUAGUUUGAUGUAUGCAAUGUUGUGUACAAGACCUGACAUAUGCUUUGCAGUGGGAGUGGUUAGUCGAUACCAGUCAAACUCAGGAUUAGAUCAUUGGGUAGCAGUCAAGCAUAUACUUAAAUAUCUGAGAAGGACGAGAAACUAUAUGUUGGUAUACUCUGGUAGGGAAUUAAUUCCUAUCGAAUAUACAGAUUUUGAUUUCCAAUUAGAUAGAGACUCUCAGAAGUCUACUUCUAGGGCCGUUUUCACUUUGGGAGGUGGAGCCAUUGUAUGGAGGAGUGUCAAGCAAACUUGUGUUGCUGAUUCAACCAUGGAGGCUGAAUAUGUAGCGGCUUGUGAAGCAGCUAAAGAGGCAGUCUGGCUUCGCGAAUUCUUGAAAGAACUGGAAGUUGUUCCAAAUAUGCAUGAGCCAAUUAGACUAUAUUGUGAUAAUAGUGGAGCAGUGGCUAAUGCCAAAGAACCCAGGAACCAUCGCAAAGGAAAACACAUAGAACGGAAAUUCCACCUGGUAAGAGAGAUUGUUAGUAGAGGAGACGUUUUAGUUGAAAAGAUCGCAUCUGCGAACAACAUAGCUGAUCCGUUCACUAAGACUUUACCGGCCCGGAGUUUUGAGCAACAUCUUGAAGGGAUGGGACUUAGAGACAUGCCACAUUUGCUUUAGGGCAAGUGGGAGAUUGUUGGAAUAUGUGCCCAUAAACAAAUGAGAUGUUUUUUAUUUUGUUGAUUAUUAAUAUUUUUUUAAGGAAUAUGUGCCCAUGUUAUAGAUGCUUUAUAAGUAUCGAAAACCCUAGAUUAUUUAAUUGUAACUUUAAAUAUUGUAUAUAAGUGUUAUAUACAGGAGGAUAAUAUUUAAAGUAAAAAAAUCUAAUAUGUUCGUAAUUAAAAAUUAAAGUUGGGAUCUUUAAUUUAAAAUUACUAGAGCGGUUCAUUACAUUCUGAAUGAAAUGAUCUUAUCCGGAUUGUUAAUAAUGAGAUUAUUGGAAUGAAAGUGCUUUAUAUAAUUUGAUUAUAUAGGACUGGAACACGAUUAAUUAUGAAUCUCUGAUAAAUUCCGUUAUAAUAUAGAGCAUUCAAUAUUAAUCAAUGAUGGUCAUAUAUGCAUUGAUCUUAAUUCUGAGUAAUUAAUAGACUCCUAUUUAUUGUAUUGUAUUUUUUGACAUACCGGGGAAUGACACAAAUACAUAGUGUCAAAUUCUUGGUGUAUUGGAAGUAUAAUAAAAUAAAUAGUCGGGAAUAUUAAUAUACAAGAUGAAAUCCAUUCCUUCGUUAAGAAGUCAGAUGGACGGUUCCCAUAAGUAUUGGUUCGGGCCUUGAAUGAUAAGAGCGCUCAAUUUAUGAUUAGACCAUAAAUAUAUUAUUCAUUAGAGAACCAAUGGCACUUAAGGAGAAAGAUAUAAUUAAAGAGGUUAACAGAAAAACCUAGCUUUAAUUAUGAACCGUUUAUGGAGGAUUGACUCAUAUGUAGUGACUAUAUCAAUGGGCAAUUCAAAUCAUUUGAAUAUAUUUAAUUUUAUAAUUUUAAGAGUGCAAUUCCAAAUUUUUAGUGGAGUAAUUUUGGAAUUAAUAAUUUUGAUUUUUUAAUUAAGUUGUUAAUUAAUUGUCAAAAUUAUUGGAGCUUAAAAUUAUAAUGUCCAUAGUUCCUCUCAACGGCUCCAUUAAAAUUAUAUGAACAUUUUUUUUUAUGUUGGGUUGAUUUUAUUAGUUUGGAAUUUUGAAUUCUAAAUUAAUUUCACACAAUCUUGAUUUGAUUUAUUUAUUUUAUAAUUUGAUUAUUUAAAAUAUUUUUUGAUACAAUGUGGUGAAGACCACACUUACUUGUAUUCCCUAAGAAACACUUUUUUAAGUGGGGAUCAUGGGGAGAGAUAUUCUCUCCCUGGUUUUUCAAAAUUCAAAAUAUGUUAGUUAUUUUUUCUUGGUUGUAUUAAAAAAAAAAAAAAGUUUUUUUUCUCAAUGAGAAGGGGGAUGAGAAUGCAAGUUUUCAAUAGAUUAAGUUGUGUGAUAAAAACCCAAAAAAUCAAAAAACGCCCACUCGUUUUGAGUUCAUCAUAAUUUGGAGAACGUUAGAGAAAGAUCUAUGGUGCUUUAGAGGAUUUGGAAUUCUAAGAUCUUUUUGGUGGAGUUCAAAUUUAUCAGCCUAAUCGCAAGGUACAAUUCUAAAUUACCUAUAUUUGUUAUUUCAUUAAAUUAAUACAAGUAUUGAUCAUUGAGAAAAAAUUUUGAGAAAAUUUUUCUGGUUUCCGUUUUUUCUUUUAUUUAUCUGGUUUCAAAACCAACAGUCAUAACCCCAGCGAAGUAGUGGUUGCAGAUUUUGGGCUGGCUAAACUCGUGGACUACAGGGAUACUCAUGUUACCACGGCUGUACAUGGAACACUUGGGCAUAUUGCCCCAGAGUACCUCUUCACUGGAAGGUCUUUGGAGAAGACUGAUGUUUACGGAUAUGGGAUCAUGCUUCUUGAGCUCAUCACUGGGCAGAGGGCUUUUGAUCUUGCCCGUUUGGCCAGCAAUGAGAAUGUUAUGUUGACUUCAAGCGAUGCAUUUUCUUAAGUAGUUCUUUGAGUUCUUGAAGUCCUUUUGCCACAUGUUGGGUGUUGGGGUUUUCAAUUAUUACUUCCAGGUAACUGGCUGGGGUGCAGGGUACUCAGAGAGCACAUGCCAGUGGACUCUUUUCAGUUUUUCACAUAAAUCAAAUGAUAAAUUUUGACUUUGUAACAUUCAAGUGUUUUUCCUAACACUUGUCAUAGGUAAACGCAUCCAUGCUUACAAGAUAAUGUGAUGUACAACUUGGUGGAUCUCUCAGGCUGCUGUCCCUAGUGUAAAAGCCUUAAAAUCAAAGUGAUGUUACCAUAAGGGUCAUAAAAUUUUUCUCCAGAACUGAGACAAAGUGGGAAUCAGAACACACACACACACACACAAAAGGCAAUGAUCUUUAGACUGUUGCAUGCCCAAAACACAAAUAAGUCUAGGACCCGCUACUGUUUGUAGAGGACCCAUCAAUACUCACAAUAACAAUAGGCACUGAGAGAAUAACAAAUAGUAUGUAUUCUAAUAACUUUCAAACAGUAAACAAUCACCCAUUCACAGAUUGAAGCAUGAGCCAAGAAGGAAGAGGAGUGAAUAGAAGCACAAAUAGGGAGAGAAACAACCAGCAGCAAUAGUCCCCUCAAUGGAAAUUCUGGCAUGGCACUGAUAUACCUCAAAAAGAAAAAAUCAAUUAUAGAUUGAAUAUAUGGGACAAUGCUGCAACCAUUAGUUAUCCUGAACAACAUGCUUCAGUAUAAUGAUAUUUUGUCCAUAUAUUAGAAAGAGUAGUGAUAAUAGAGACUGAAGAUUGCUGACCUCUUUUGAAGUGAAGAAUGCAGUGAUUGAGAGAUCUGCAAAUUCACCGGCAUCAGGGAAAGGGCUACAGUUAUGUAAGUGAUGUAGUCUCGUUCUAAUUCAUAGUAAAUUUUCAAGCAUGUCUCUUUACCUUACAUACUCCUUUGAGAUGCUUAGAGAAGCUCUGAAGGUAUUUUCUCUGGGCUAGAGGUGAGAAAGUACCACAUUUUGUGAACUGGGUGACUUUUUCAUGCCAGAAAAUUUUGGUGGGAUAGGAAUUAAAAAUUUGUUGGUUUUAAUGGAGCCUUGAUUGGUAAGUGGUUGUAGAGAUUUUAUCCUUUUUGUUUUUUUUUUCACAUGGGGUGUGUUGGUAGGGGAUUGCAGGGCAGGUCAUUUGAGGCUUGGGAGAAAUAUCUCAGUGGAAAAGUUCUGAAAGAUGGAAGGGACUAGUUACCUGCGGCUCAGGGGGUUCUUCAGGAUGAAGCCUUUGGAAAUCUACUAGGAAGGAUUAGGUCGUUCUUCAAGCUUGAGUUCUUUAUUAAGUAAUGAUUAUAGGACAAAAAGUUUUAGCUUGAUAUGAGGUUUGAGGAAGUGUGCCUGAGGAUUUGGUUCCCAUCUAUUUUUGCUUUGACUUUUUGUAGGGAAACCUGGAUAGCUUUCAAUUGAUGGAUGGUAGUUCUGGACAUUAGAAUGGGUCCACUAAAAGCUUUCAUGAUUGAGAUUUGGAGAAGAUGGGGAUUUUUCUGGCAUACAUUUAUCAGGGAAAUGAAAGAAAAUGUGUAAGUUUGUAAUAUCAAUGGAACAUUUUUUUUAUCAAAUCCCUUUUGCAGCAGCAUCAUCAUGGCCUAAUUUUAGCUUCCUGGUAUCAUCAUUCAUCCGAUUGGGAAUUUUUUUUGCCCCAUCCGAUGUUGCCUUUUCUGUGUUGGUAGCUACUUGUGAGAAGAUCCAAUGGACUAGCUGAUGCAAAAGGGGCUAGGGGUUAUGCUGCACUAAGCUCAAAGUAGGAGAGGUAAUCGUACUUGCCCUUUAUGCUGCACUAAGGAGAUCGAAGUAAAUGUAGAAUUGACCAAUGAUGUGAUGUAAAGACUGGAGGGAAAGUUAAAAUGAAAAGCCCUUUCUCCGUAUUGCCUUAUCCCAGCAAUAUUUUCCAUUACAAUCUAACCAAUUUCCCUAUAGAAUUUAUUUUCUUUUUCUUCAUUCUGUUUGUACCAUGAAUGUUGCCCUAGUACAUAUUGUGGCUUAAAUCUUAACAGCUUAAGCUUUUAGGGAAGUUUGUAACUUAAUCAUAUCAAAGCUAGAGAUCUUGGGUUGGAGUGUUUUAUCACAAAAGAGAAACAGAGUAGAGAAGAAGCUCACGUCAUUCUCAUUCAUCAUACAGAGAAAAGUGAGUAGGAAGGUUCUAGAUAUAGGGGGCUAGAAAAGAGUGCUCUAACCAAUUUGUGACUAACUCCAGCUCAUCCUCUUGCAAAAAAAACAGAAAAAAAAUACAAAAGUAGUUGUUUAACUAACAGAGCUUAUUAUUACUGUAAUGAGAAUCUUAAUAUGUUUCCUAAUGCUAUUGUCCCCGUCUAUUUAUCUACUCAGUUUUUAGGAAAGUUGGUAGCUUGGUAAUAGGCUUAGUUUUUUUUGGGUAGGUAAGAUAUGGACUUCUUGACAGAAACUUCUUUUGAAAUUCACUUUCAUUUUCUUUUAGUCCUUAUAUAAACUCACUACAUUGAAUGGGUCUAUUUUUCUUUUCUUGACACUCUGGAAUUAAGGCAUUUUAGAAUUUCAAUUAGGAACUUCAUCCUUUUUGUUUCAUUUAUGGUGACUAUGGCCAUACCUUCAUAUCGCAUUAUAAACUUGUAUAUUUGAAUGCUGCCCAAAACAAAAUUUGACAACUUCAAUUCCAUGGAAGCCCAAACACUUAUUUAAUGUAAUCCUCGCAGUUAACACUAAAUCUCUUUUUUUUUCAGUAGUUUCAUUCUAACAUCCUAUACAUGGCACAAGCUUUUUCCAGAAUUUUAUUUUCCAUUGCUGACUUAUGUGUAUAUUUGCUGCUCUUUUGGAAAAUUUAAGGUCAAGGAACUGUUGAACAACAAGAAAUUGGAAACACUGGUUGAUUCUAAGCUGCAGGGCUAUUACAUUGUAGAGGAGGUAGAGGAGCUAAUCCAGGUGGCUCUCCUUUGCACACUAAGCACAGCUUCAGACCGACCCAAGAUGUCAGAUGUGGUUAAAAUGCUUGAAGGUGAUGGUUUGGCUGAAAGGUGGGAACAGUGGCAAAAGGAGGAUAUAAUUUGCGGAGAGCAAAAUCAUAGCAACUUCCCCUCUAAUAAUUGGAUUAUAAAUGACUCCACUCCAGGCCUUCAUCCUGAAGAAUUGUUCGGUCCCAGAUGAUGCUUUUGCUAUUCCAUAUGCAUAUGUAUAAGUAUCUCCUUUAUUGGUGUCUCUGAAAUCCAGAUCAUUAAAUAAGUGCAUAUAAUCUCUUUUUCUCAUUUUAUUUUUCCUACUACCAAUUUAUAUUAUUUGGUAGAGUUAAUUGACAAUGAUUAUAUAUUGUCUAUUGUCUGUAGGGUUGUUUCGGUUCACACCUGAAGUCUCAGUUUCUAGUUUGUAGCGAAGUGUAUAUUAGAACAAGCAGAUUUGCAUAGGUGUGCCAUAGCUAUGAGUUUAAUCAAUCUAAUUCAACUUUUGCCCCGAAUUAUCAUGAUCGUGAAAAAUGUUUACAGCACAUCUUCUAAAUGCUAACAGAAGAUCAUCCAAGGCAAGGACUAGACCUGCCUAUGUUUUGUUGUAUAAGCAUUGUAAGUGAAUUGGAUCAAUCCAUAUCAAAGUUGAAGCAAAAUUCAAUAGAAAUUUAGUAAAAAUCAUGUAGUCGGAAAAGCUUAGUUACCAACACAUCCCUCUUCCUGACUGUUCCGAGCCCUCAUUCUGCUCCCCCAACUUCUCUCCUCGUGCACCAUUCUAUAGUUGGACCUUCUCUUCUCAAGGAUUAAUUUACUCUUCCCAUCUCGCCAUCGUUGUAUCUGACUUCAUUUUCUUUCCUGGAAUCAGCCAAACCCAUAUCAUAAUCAUACUGCAUUCGUAGAGUGGGAUCAGACAGUGUCUUGUAAGCUGCAUUCAGCUGUAUAAACAUCAUUGUUGAUUCUUCCUUCAUGGAAGGAUCACAAACAUCAGGGUGAUAUUGCAGGCUCAUCCUCUAUAAACUCUAUUUAUAUCAUCAAUGCCUGCAUUUUCUGGAUGCCAACCAAUUAGCUUAUAGCAGUUGGGAGACUCAUUUUUACAGGACAACUUGGGUGCUCAUCUUGCUGCUCUGCAUGAGACCAAAACGAACCUGGAAGGCCACUGACAAUUAUGAGCUAGUAGAUGAAAAUAGCAGUGAUGAGGCUUGAUCUGAGAGAAAUGUCCAUGGGAGUCUGGCUGAUCACCUUGUGUUGAACGUGGAUGAAGAAGGGUUUGAGUAGUGCAUAUAGAUAUGGAAGAGAAUGAGGAGAAGAGGGAGGAAAGCAUAAGGAAUGUAUGUGAAGUAGGCGACAAAGCCAAGACUGCUGCUUCGGAAUUCAAGGCUGUGCUUCGGAGACAUCAUCUUAUGGACAUGGGAUGAAUAUCUUUGAAAAGGUGAAGUCGUGUCCAUGCAUGAUCUUAUAUUAAUACGAGGAGGUUCAUGGACGGUUUAGUAUAUAAUUUGAAAGAGAAUCCCUCUGAGGUUCAUGGAUAGUCUUUUUUCUUCCAAGAGAAUUCUAUGGUACACAUUCCCUAUCUGUUGAAAGCUUAUAAAAAUAUAAAGUUCUGGCUAAAGGCUAAAGGCUAAAGUUAAGGUUCAAGCGGGAAAUGACGUCAUGCUCCUUUUUGGUUUUUAUUUUUUUAUUUUCGGUAUUUUUUUAAUUAUAAAUAAAACAGGUAUUAACAUAUAAAAAUAACCAUUCAAACCUUCAACGAUGCACAACCCCAUUUGGCAGGCUGUCGACGUUUAUUGAUCAACAAGGGAAUGGAAACAACGUGUAGGCUUGACCAUAGACAAAAUGUCGAUGAUUUUGGAGGCCUUCUAACUCAUGUUGGCUUUUCUUUAUCAAAAUUUCUGAGCUCCAGAUAUAAUAUUGUUGGAAGAGGAUAUUCUUUCUUUUAGAAAUGAUUUCAUAUUCUUAUAAAACAAAUAUUUUAUUGAGAAAAUGUUAUUUUACGAAUUAAAGGAAUUGAUCUGUUGUAGAAAAUGUUGACAUUUAAAUGUUGGAUCUAAAGACAUAUAUAGGGUAGGUAAUAAAAUCCAAGUAUGUGGCUAACCUACUAUGCUUUUACAAUAAAAUAACUAGAAAAAAUGAGAUCAUUCCUUGUCUUUGGUGUAGAAUGAACUAUAACUCCAAUAUCCACAAUCUUCCAUUCUAUCCUACGAUGGUGUACCGUUGAGUGCGCCAUGAUGCUUUGCAAGAUUUGAGUUGGACUUGCUCUUUGGAUGAAAGGGAAACUGUUUGUUUUUUGGUUUCUAAUAAUUUAUAGGAGGUGAAAAAUGAGAGGAAUGACCUACUUUGGUUUUCCAUGUUUCCUUAUAUACUAAGGGGAGAAAAGACCAAAAUGCUUUCCCAUAUUAGAAAACAAAUCCAAUCUCUAAAUUAAGUUCUAUAGAGUCUCAAAUUUCGUGCACAAAAAUUACACCUAUGAAGGUAGCUCGAUUGAGGACCAAUGAAACAUCUAAUUGUGGUUCCCAUAAAAUUAAUCAAACAAAAUUUGAUAGUCAAUUGAUCACACCACUAAAGUCAAUUGACUGCACUCCACUAAUAAGAUCCAACUAUAUGAAGCUAAUAGCUAUCCCACAACCUACUAAUCCUUGUAUUUAUUCCCAAAUGAAUUGAUAUCUAUAAUUUAAUUGAUAUGUGUUAUUUACUAAUAAAUUACAUCUUUACCUUCGAGUUGCAAAUUCACCUUUCACUACUACAAAAAACUAAAUUAAUGGCGUUCUAUUUCUUAACGCUUAUAAAAAAUGUCAUUAUUUGUGACUAAAAUUAGUAAGCAUUGACGCUUGUAUAUCAUUGGCGCUUUACAAGGAGAAGCAAUGGCGUUUUUAAAUAAUGACCCUUUUAAAAACGUUAUUGUAUGCUGAAUUUUAAAUAAUGACACUUUUACAAGUGUCAUUGUUGGACAAGUUAAAUAGUGGCAGUCUUUCAAAGUGUCAUGUCCAGUUUCUUUAUAUAAAAACUCCUUAUUUCUUAAUUUAAAAAGCCUAACACUCUAGCCCACAAUCACACCCAACAAACUCACUGCCCGACACCCACACUCAAACCCUAACCUCCAUGGAUGACCCUCUUUGAAACCCUAACCCUCUCUAAAACUCUAACCCUGAAAUUUAUGAGGCCUCUGCUACUAUUUGACUGAUUGUGGAGGAGGCAUAUCCAUGUUUGGCCACCAUUAGCUGACUGGUAAAUCUCUUUCUCUCUCAAAAUAUUUUCGAUUUUAUAGUUUAGGGUUUUUUCUUUUGGGUGUUUAUGAUUUUUUAUGGGGUGUUUGUUAUGGCUAAAUAUCUAAUCUAAUAAAUAUAACAAUUUGUUUGUGUUUGUUUUAUUUUUAGAAAUCCAUUCCUUCAUGUUGUUUGGCAUUCGACUGCAAUUUUUGGCAUUGACACCUAAUGUAAGCUCUAACCUGUAUCUAUUCAUAUCCAUAUUUUGUAUUAUUGUUUUUUUUUUCUUUUUUUUUUUUGUAAAUUUUGGGUUUCAAUGUACCUGGAAUGAAAUGAUGCAUGUUGCUCUGUUUUUCGGGAAGUGGUGGCUGGAACUCUGUUUUUGGAAAAUAGCAGCUAGAUUCUCUUCUCAUACAUGCAGAAUUAAUGUUGUUAAUUUGUGGGAAAUGAAUUUUCUGCAAUGGGUUUUGCAACUAAUUGCAAAAAUAAAAAUUUCUUACCAGAUUUUUGUACUAAAACUAAAAACAUAGAAACCAUAAACGGGUUACACUUUCUCUUCAUUAACAGCUGAAACAACAAAACUACCAAUUCUUGCAUUCGGCACCUUACCCAGCUACCUUAGCUCCAAGAAACAAAAAGCCUAGCCACCCAUUCUCUGAGGAAAAAUCCUCAGAGCUUGUUUGGCUAGUAAGAAAAAUACAAUCAAAUUGAGUAGGUAAGGCAGAGCAAAGCUCUGUAUUUUACUUCCUUCAAAACUAUACAAAAAGUCGUCUCCCAGAACAAGCUCCGAGAUAUCUGUAAUGAAAAUUACAAAAUAAUAUAUAUGAGGUUAUUCACCAUUUUGUUCUUAUUUAAUAACUAAGGAAUCCUAUAAUUGGUGGAUUACAAGGAGAAAAUGGGGAUUUAGACAUUAAAUAUCUGAAGCAAAAAAUCUAAAAAUGUCGGUCACAAAUAUCUGGAAGCACUCAGGAGGAUUUCGCAGGCGUGCAAGAUGGCUGCAAAAUUUUGCAGCCAUCACCUUGUGAUUUCGCAGCCAAAGGCUGAUUUCGCAGCUUGUAAAAUUGGCCUUUAGCUUGGUGUGAUUGGCUUCCAAUAGCUCUAACUUCUUUAUUUCAACUCCGAUUCAUGCACCAUUUGAAGCAUUGGAUUGAUGACUUCACGAGCUUCGAAACGACAUAUAGUAUGCAUCAAAUGGGCUCUAGAAAGUGCUCCAAAAGUGUCCAACAGUCCCUGUCCUCUUGAAUUCUUCAUGUUAGAUUUCUCUCUUUACUUUCAUCCUUGCAUUCAUGAUUUGUUUAUGGCAAAGGACUAUAAAGCUUCAAAGCUUAGGUUCUUCAUGUUAAUGAGCUUCCAAUUGCUUUGCCAUGGAUUCCAUAGAACUAUCCUCAAUCUUGGAUUGCUUUGGUGAUCAAAUUACUAUCAAAAACACCAAAACUUACACAAUUCGAUUAUAAACGAUUGCAAAGGUACUUAAUAUGCUAAUUGAGUUAAAAGGUAAUAACUACUACUCAAAAGUGUUUAAAAGAGUUAAUUACAAGCUAUCAAAUAGCACUUUUUGAGUAGUAAUCAUUCCCCCAACCGACAUAUUGCUAGCCCCUUAGCAAUAAAGGAGAGAAAAAGAAAAAUAAAAAGUACUAUAAUUUACAACAUCAUGCUGAUCAAAAAACAAUUUUCAAGUGGCAUGAUGAUCUAACUCUCACAUGGAACACUAAAGAAAUAAAACUCAAACUUCAACAAGAGCUAUCAAAUACUUUACCUAAUCACAAUUCAUAAAGAUAAGGCAUUAUGCAAAUUGAAGCUUUAAAAUCAUUUCCACUUCCAAAGGAUCAAACCUUACUGUGGACCAGCAUUUUUCACGUGCGUCCCCACUCGAUCGACGAGACUCGCUUUUUAUUGGUGAAAAAAAUAAUUUAGUUUUGGAAAAGUUGGAGCCGCCACUUAUUUUAUUUUUAUUUUAAAGGGAAAAUAAAACAAGAAAGAAAAACCCUAAAAUGUGACUCCAUAAUUUUUGGAAAAAGCAUGUCUUUGAAAAACCUGAGUCUAGGUCCGGGGAUCAGGUUACUUAUUGGCAAGGUACCUCUAGGAGGUAGCACCCCUCUAAGCCCUAAAGAGGUCUUUACUGACUAAAUUGGGGAAAUGGGGUAAUUAAUUGAUUAAUUGUAGAUACCUAAGUAAACUAGGUGAUUUUCAUAAAGUAGCAUGCUAAAUAAAGAGAUCAAUCACAAUAAAGGAGAGUUAGGGUGCGUACCUGAACCACUUCUUAAGCGCUAUCAUAAAACAUCAAUGGUUAAUUCAGAAAUAUGACACACGACAUGCAUUUUUGUCAAGGAUGAUCAAACAAGCAUCAAGGCAAUCAAGUAUGGCAUCAAACAUGGCUCAUGAUAACAUACACAUUCAUAGAAUUUUAGAGUUGGAGGGUGGAAAGAGCGUACCUGGAUAGCAAUCUAGUACUCCUCUAUGGGAAACAAGAUUACCCAGAUAACAGAUUAAAAAUAAUCUCAUAUAUACCACAAAGAGGAAGCACAAUCAGUCGAAUAUCAAACAAACACUAUCAAAGAGAAUAUUCGUGAAUGUCGGGCCCCCACCAAAGCCCUAAUUAAUUUCGCAUGAGUUGAUUCUAUGAAAUCCAUUGUUUGGAAUCAUGAGAUUUGUUCAUGCUUGUUGAAGAAAAACGAGAAAAUCAUAAAGAUUAGUAGAAAAUAGUGAAAACGCAUACCAGAAAGAAAAUGGUAGCAAAAUAGUUUGUUAGAAUCUAGAUUUUGUGCUUAGAAACUCCUAGGGAAUUUUAAAUAAAACUAGAGUUAUUUCUUACGGAAAAAGAUUUUGAAAUCCAGAUUAAAAAUGUGUAAGAUCACAAAAAGAAGAAGAAGAAACAUUAGGAGUAUGAUGUGUGGCAAAGUGACCACUAUGUGAGUGAGGUUUGGAGGUGCACUUGAGACUAAAUGGUUGAAACAGAUUGCAUAAGGAGGAUUCUGUAGACCACUGGUUGUCUGGAAAGAAACUGAAUGUAUUCGUUUCAGAGCCCAUGUUCACUGGAUUUUAGGGUGCCAUCUCAUAUAAAAAAAAAGGCUUCAAUACAACUCUAGUUUCUCACGAUCACAACUUGAAUUAUCAACAGAAGCUUCUGGUGAAGACGUAAUGCUCAAUUUCAGAUUAAGUUUCCGGUUCUAUAACUCGUUUUCUCUGAAUUUUCCUUUUAUGUUUGUGCUUUCUGAUCAUAUAAGUUACCCGUCUGGUUCCUUGUUUGAGACUCUGCAGAACCUGGAAUAAUGCUCUUAGGUCUAGCAUGGCUGUGUAGGCGACUCCAGUAUUGUUCAGAUCAGCCUUUGAACAUGAGGGGAGGAGAGCAUUAUAAAUUCUGUUUCAAUUUUCCUACUUCCAAUGACAUUUGCCUCAGUUUUUGGAGAACAGCUUCGUCGUCUAGCCUGGCCAUUUGCAAUUCUUUCGAGAAAUUCUUGCAGCCUGCAUCAUCUUGAUCACUUGGUUUGUUGUGAAAAACCGUUUGUUCCUAUGAGAGGAGCAAAUAUUGAUUCUGCAUUCGGUGCAUAGGUGGAUGGCCAGAAACUCCACUCUUUCAUCAUAAACUGAGUAUUCGUCAUAGGGUGAGUGCUAUUGAAGCAUUAGAAUCCUCCACUUAAAAUAUUUGAGCGUUCCAGAACCUCUUGGUAGAGUACCUUCUAGCACUAUAGGAGACAAAGGUGAAAUAAUUGGCUGGAUUCAUAGUAGCAUAAUCCUCCAGUGAUGCAGCGCUUUCAAUGUGUUCCUGACUGAUUCCAAGAGCAUUUUGCUGCUCUUUGAGGUCAACGGUCUGACCAAUAAAAAUUUCAGCACUUGUAUCAACUAGAAAAUUCAUCAGCUGAUGGCCAAGAGAAUCCCAAGAUCUGUCUCGCAAUGGGUUCAGUUUUGAUGCGAAUGUUGCCCUCUUUAUCCUCGGGCAAUCUGUUGAUAAAGCUUACCAUCCUUUCACAUUCAACCCAAUCUUUUUCCCUCAGAGCAAAACUGGUAGGAGGAGACCUCCCAGGAGGGAGUUGCCCAUAUGUUUGAACUUGAAUUAUUUCAGAGACAGCGGCUAAAAUUUCCAACAUGGGAGGAGUGAGUGUAUAAGGAUGACGCUUGAAAAGGAGGUUUAAGGCCCUAAUUUUUCCACUCUCAGCAAGUGCAGCAGCAGCUUCAUUGAUAAGCAUAAUGCGAAAUUUGUUGUAUUCCUUCACGGAGAACCUACCCAUAUUUAUCCCAAGAAAUGUCUCCAGCCUGUCUCUAAACUGCAAUAACUGUAAUCUUACCUUACGGAAAUCCCAAAUUUGGCCAUUCCCAUGGUCAUCUCAUUCAGAAAACCUAUACCGACUAGUUAGAUGGAGCCCAUAGGCAAAUAGAGCCUUCACAGCAUCUUCCAUUGGUCCAAUUUUAUUAACACAUUCAGACAAUGCAGGAUCCUGAAUGAGUGAAGAUUUAGCACCUCUAGAAGCUUCAGCACCAUUUCUCUCAGUAAAUCAACCCAUUCCUUCUGAACAAAAUUUUCCUUGCCCAUUACAUCUGCCAUAUGCUUCAAAAGGAAUUUGUUUAUCAUGCGCUGAAUACAUGCUUAAAUCCAACAACCAUCAGCUAUGAAUGUUACCAUUGCUUCAAGCGUUUCAUGUUCACUCUUCACUUCAAGUUUAGGAAUUUGGACGGAGAGUUCAGCAGAAGAGACCAAUAACCUAUAUGCGUUAUGCCUUAAGAUCAGUUCAUUGGAUGACAUAUCAUAUAUACAACGCGACAAAAUGAUCAGUGCCUGAUUCUUUGAGAUAUUAUUAAAGAACUCCAUGCUAAUCUUUUCAUAAGCAUGAACUAUGGUGUCAUAAUCCAGGCCACUCGUUUCCAUAACAGAGGUCACAUCCAAUUCAUUUAUGGGAUUUGCCACAGAGAGUACCCUAGGGUCAGUUUCAGCAAGAUCACCAAGAAGGCCACAAAUAACCAAACGUAUAUCCAGUCCAGCAGAAAUUAGCAGAGAAGAAAUGACAUUCAAGAUUUUUUUGGAGAAGUUUCACUCCCUGAAACUGGUAUAAUAUCUCGAAUAAGUUGCAAAGCUUCUACACAUGCAUCAGAAUUCUGAGCUUUCUUUCCUAAAAAGGGGAGCAAAUCAUCAAUGAAUUUCCUUGCUUGCAAUGGAUCCUAUAUAUAUGUUGACAACAAUUUGAAAAUUCUAAGCUCUGUUUCUCCAGGAUAUUUGACUAAUUUCCCUUUUGUUACGUUACAACUUUGGAAAAGACAAUGCAAGCUGCAGAUGAGAGUCUUAGUGUUCGGAAGUAGAACCUUUUUGAUAGUGAUGUCUUCAUCAUCCAAUUCGUUAUCAAUGUUCAACAGGUUCUCAAUAAACUUAAGAACACAAGAUAUAAUAGCUUCAGAUGCUGUCGUAACAGUUAAAAUUGAAAAUAUAUCAGCAACAAGAUUCUAUUCCCUGUGCAAUAAUGAUUCAAGAUUGUGGCUUCUACCUAACAUCACCAAUCUCUGUUUCUUCUUCUUCGGCGAGCUGAACCCCAGGCAGUCCCCUCAUAGAAAUCUACCCUUCACUGUUUUCUUUGGUGGAGAGAGAUCCAUGAGACUCCUCUAGCAGAUUCUGAUCCAAUUUUUUGAGGUUCUACUUGUACAUCAUUUGGAAAUUCCAGUACUGUUACUGCAUUCUUAUAUGCAUUUACAAGCUGCUCAAAUGUUGCCUCGGAUGUCAAGAGCUUCUCAUAGCUUAUUGAUUGAGUUAUCUAUCCAGCAUCCACAACCAGAAUUUUUUCGACUUCAGAGAGAAACUCCACUUGAUGAGUCACUAGAAUGACGAUUUUAUGAGCAAGGGCAGCCAUGACGCAUGCAUAGAAAAGAAUUGCUGCUGUAUGUGCAUCUACUACACUGAAGGGAUCAUCUAGGAAAUACACAUCUGAAUCGCUAUAUAUUUGCCCUUGCCAGUUGGAUCCUCCGCUUUUGGAGUUGAUGAACACUAUCACUGGACACUCGAGUACAUAAGAAACAACCUCGACCUCUGAUUCUGGAACUGGAACAUAAUCAGGGAUGCGGAAAUUCAGCCCAACUCCGAAUUAAAAUAUGCCAUUACUGGAAAACGAUUUCUUUGAGAAGUAUUUCUCAGCUUCAAACGAGAUCCGUUCUCCUUCCCUAAAACCCACCAAAAGGCCAUGAACACCAGUUCCUUUUCAUUCUCACCAAAAGCAAUGGAGAAUUCUUCCUUUCUUCCCCUUUUCCUCAUGCGUGCUACUAGUCUCCUCUUCCGAGAUCCUCCACUAUUUCAAUUAGGUUCUUCAUAGUAUCACCACAAAAACUGAUCACCAAGUUGAGCAAUCAGAACAAGUGCAAAUCCCCUAUGUGUUAAGUAUUGGAGCAGUGUGCUGCUAUUACGUGGGUACAGCAUAUUGCUGGAUCAUCAAAGUUCCAUGGAGUGAGAAUGAAAGGAAGUGGAGGAAGCUUUAGCAUUGCGGUUCCUUGUGACCAAUGGGAUUAUAAUGCGUAAUCAUCAGGAAAACUUAAUCAGGCUGCAGCUAAUAUAUUCAAAGCUUCGAUAUCUCCAAAUAAAACUUUCCAGAAUGAUAAAAGAUCAGUUAUCCUCGAACCACAAGUUUAAAAGCAAAGUUGGAGAAUGUUACUUUCUGAAGCAACAGACAUAGAGAAACACCCGUAAAGAGGCAAUAGCUGUUCUUUAGUAGAAGAUAUGGAUGCCAAAUUUGAGCUGCUUGUCAAUAAGUUCUGGAAAGAAGUCAAUCCAAACUGAAGGUUCUUAACCAGUUCGGAGUUUUCAUCGGUUGUCACUUUCCCAUCAGAGACUACAAGGGAAUCAUCAGAAAUAUUCCGUACAAAGACUGAUUUAUCUAUUGUAUCAGUUUGAACCUCAGGUGUAUUGAAGGGUGAGCCAUUAAGAUUAAGUAUGUCCUGGUCAUCCGAAACUGCAGCAUCUUGGUUGUGAAUUAAAAAUGAAAUAAAACCAAGAAAGGCAAUACAGAAUGCUUCUGGUUCACUGAUCUUGAAGUCUGGUUGAUCAUUAUAGGCUCUCAAGCACACAUUACCGACAUAAGGUUCUUUCCAUAAUGCUCUAUAUAAAGGAAUUUGAAUCUUUCACUUCAUAUGAACCAUCUGGGACAGUUUGAUUGACUUCUUGCGUCAUCGAAAAUUUUGGGCAGUGGAGUCCAUGUCAAAGGAACCUCCUAUGUUUCUGGGAAAACCUCUUUCUGGGGGAUUUUGGGUGAGGAGUUUUAUCAAACAAUCUGGGUACAUGAACCAUGGAAUUGAAUUUACAAUACCAAUUCAUUAAAGAAUUAACUAUUCGAAGUCGGUGAUCCCUCUCCAUAUAAUGAUAAGAUCAGCAGAGAAUGGCAACAAGGCUGCUUCCAUGAGGAUCAUCAGUUGCAGCAUGAACUCCCAUCUUCUAACAGAAACAAAAAUCAAACUCCCAGAAUUUCUUCCCUAUUUCCCGAGGUUGGUAGUGUGGGAUAGAUCUGAAUUUCAAUGAUGCGUAUUCCAGAUUUCUGUAGUUCACUAGAAAAACCUCGGAAUCAACUAUCCAAUAUUUGAGUGAGAUUGUUGCAUACUUCAUCUCGUAUUAACACUUCCGUCACUCCUCAAUGUACACCCAAGAGUAAUGAGAAGGAUUUGGGCAGCAUACAGGAAAAGGGAUAGGGGAGAAAUAAAAUGAAAUAAAAACGAAGUAAAACUCAGAGGAGGAAAGAACAGAAGAUGUUGAUCAAUAAAAAAAAAAAUAGCCCCCACUUCAAGUAUUAAUCCAUGGGCUAAGAACAUAACAAGGGAACAAUACAAGAUAGGAUUCAAACAAACAAAAAAAAAAAAUGUAGGAUCACAUUCAAGCAUGGAGUUGUAUAUUUCUGAAGACAUUCAUGACGCGUAAAAUAAUCAAAAUCAAAAUUGAAUAAAGAAGUAAACAACCAAGCUCAGCAGAACAACUUGUGGCCCUUAACGUCCACACCAACGAACAAUAUAUUAAAUGUUCCGAAAACAAAUAUACGGAGAAAUCGAAUAUGGGUAAGAAUUUCAAGAGUAACAAGAAACAUACCUGGAUGAACUCGGCUACUCUUGCUCCUUUCCCGCUUUUCUGUGCUUUUCCUCAAGACUAUCUCCCCUUCCCAAAAAAUCCUUCAAAUCUACUGGGGGAAAAUCCCCUCAUUUUCUUUCCUUUUUAUGCAAUGCAUGCCUUCCUUUUAGUGCCAGAUCUCGGUAUCAAAUCCCCUUGCUAUUCAUGCCUCUAAUUAGAAAAUCAUAAAAUCUUGCCUUUCUUUCCAUGUAUCUGCCCGUCCAUGGAGAUUGCGUCUCUCUAAAAAAUCCUUUUUGUAUGGAAGUUUCCAUAUAUUCUUCUAUGGGCAGCAACCUCUUCCUUUUCCUUUGUCUUCCUUAUAUGCAUGGUGGAGGUAACUUUAUAAAAUAAUGCAGCUGUCACUUUCCUUUCUCUAAAAUUUUGGUGAUCUUCCCCCUAAAUAGAUGGCAACCGUUUCCUCAUGCAAGAAAUAAAAUAAAGAUAAAAAUAGAAAUAAAAAUAAAAUAAAAUAAAAAUAAAAUGAAGAUUAAAAUCAAUAAAUAUCAUGAAAUUGAAAAUCAAAAGAAAUUUAAAUCACGCACCUAAAAAUAAAUAAAUAAAUAAAUAAAAAUAAAAUAAAAAAUAAUUAAAAACAAAAAAUAAAAAUAAACCACAUGCAAGCCAUACGAGCUAUGUAACCACCAAAAAUAUGAGUCAUGCAACCAUGCAAAAAACACGAGCCACGCAACUAUGCGAAAAUACGAGUCAUGCAACCAUGCAAACCAUGCAGAAACAUCUAAAGGUGACCUAGGGUGUGUUCUAGUGCGCUAGGGCGAACGAAGUGGACCAAGUGUGCUUAAGUGGGCCUAAGUGGGUGCCUAAUGAACUAGGUGUCUUAAAGUGAUUGGGAUACUGUCUAAAUGACCUAAACAUGCCUAAGAACUAUCUUAAAAAGGAAUGGAAAGCUUAAGUCUAAAUCGAAACUGCCAAGGGUCAUAAUAAAGGGGUUAGGCGAUCCCUUAACUAGAGUCUCCAAGGUGGCUCAAGAAAGGUAAGUAGCGUAAGUAGAUAUGGGCUACCAAGGAGCUAACUAUAAAGUAUCAAACAAGUAUCUAAUAAGACAUGUGCUAGGAGGACAAAAUUGAGGGUCUAUACUUACUCUUCCACAAAAAUCUAAGUGUUACUUGAUAGCUUCCGAAUAUAGUAUGCUAAACUAAUCUCUCCCCUUAACCUAGUUCUUUUCCAACACUUAGCAAACUGACCAAAUUCAAUAGGCUAAGAACGCACCCUUUUAUUUCACAAUUUUUUUUCAUUGUAGGAGUACAAGGUUUAAAGGUAUUAUUUUCUAAUUUGUCCAUGUAACGGGGGUCCAUCGAUGACUCCCAACCAAUUAAGGUUUAGGGCAUCAAGUUUUAAGGAUCUUUCAACCACUAACUCCUCGGAUUUUACCCCGGACUUUUGAGAAUGAAUUUUUAAUACCCAAGCACCUACAAUAUGUUAAACUCCACCUAUUCACCCUUGUAACGAGCAUUGAAGUCGGUGACUCCCAACCAAUGAAGGCUUAAGGCACCAGGUUUUAAAGAUUUUCACCAUAUACCCCUCAGACCUUGCUCAGGUUUCAAGGCAAGUAAAACAAUUUUUUUUUUUUUUCAAAAGCUCAUUGGCCUUUUAUAAGGUGUCCCAACACUAUUAAAUGAGGUCAAAGGUACCAAGUCUAAAUUUUCCUAAGUCAAGAGGGAAAUAGUUUUUCAUCUUAUAAUCGGAACCUAUUGUGCACAGUGUGUGAGUAGCUUAAAAUGGAAGAACUAAGCUUAAAUUCAAUAGAAGUUCAACAAUUCAUCAACUUUAAUAAGCAUAAUACAAACUCUAAGUCAAGUAAAAACAAAAAUUCGAUUUCUCUUAUUUUAAUUUGAGAAUUUUUCCUUAAUAACCAUGGAGAGUGGAAUAAAAACUUUAAAAAUUUUAAAAUUAAACAAAAAUCAACUAAAUUACAGAAAUACUUAGCAUUAACAACAAAAAACUUCCUUCCUCAACUCUUCUCCCCCCAACCAAGCUGAACAUUGUCCUCAAUGUGGCAUGAGCGAUUGAAAUUACAGGAAGGAAGUGGUGUCUCCUGAGUGAUAUGAAGUUCGAGUAGAAUAGGAGAAACCACAUGUUUCAAAAACAAUAAAAGAUAUGAGUAGAGGAAUUAAAAUAAAAUAAUGCCAAGAGUACUCAAAAAUGAUAGAUUUGUAUUACUUCAUGAAAAUAUACUAUAGAGGAAAACAAGUAAUACAACCAAUCCCAAUAUAUAAAAUAUCAAAAGCAUGGGAUUACAAGUGCUACUAUAGUAAGGAAAUACAUAAAGGAAACUAUGCAAAUGAUCAGAUAGUGGGAGGAUGAUGAUGUGAAGAUGAUGGGUCAGCUGUAGAGGACGGAAUGCUGGGGGUGGAUGCCUCUGCUUCUCCUAUAGUCGGCUCCUCAGAGGGCAUAGUCUGCUCUACGAAAAGAAGGGCUUGUGAUGGCUUUGUGGGCACUGAGAGGAUAGGAAUGGGGUGCUUAGGAGCUGAUAGCAUACCCAUAUGGUGCUGAAUCUGCCUCAGGAUGGCAGUAUGCUGAGCCUGAGUAGCAAUAAUCUGCUCCUGAUGAGCACGAAGAGUUGUCAUCUACUGAGUAAGGAUGCUCUGAGAAAUGGUCAAUGCCUGCAAAAUGUGACAUAGGCCUCUGUACUCGGAAAUGGAUAUGGCGAUCCUAGGCUCAGAUGAAGGAGGGGGCUCUGAUAUAGAUGGAAUAACAGGGGGAGUCUAUGGUGUGGCAGGAGGAGCAAAGGGUGCAACCUCAGGUAUCUCAACCAGUUGUGGCUCCUCUGGCUGCUUUGGAUGUGGAAUCUCUGGAUGCUCUGCUCCAACUGGGGCUCUCGGCUCUGCACCAUAGGCUGUCAUACUUGUCCAUUUGUCGGGAGUGAAUAUCUCUCAGCAAAUGCGUUUGCGCUCAAGCUGAGGCUCAGAUGGGUACCCCAAGUGCUCCAGAAUCUGACAUAGCAAUCUGGGGAAGAGAAAUGGAAUAGCAUCCGCUCUGAGCAGCUUCUUCCUAUGGACCUUUUCUUCAAAGUACAGAAGAGCGGCCAUAAUGAGAUGAUGAGGGCCAAAGAAGAAUCCCUCAGAUAUCCUGAACAAUGCCUCUAGCAAGACUCCUCUCCUCUGCACCCAAUGCUGAAGUGGAAAGAUGUUAUGGCGCAGGAGUGCAUCUAUAAAAAACAUGCUGGGAGAGAGCUCCUUCUUCAACAGAUACUGGCGUGUGGAUGCCCCUUUGGACAGAAUAUGAACUAUGUUGCUCUGGGAAGGAUGAGUCUAUACUCGAUAAUCCUCUAGACGGGCUAGCUCAUAGGGAAUACACAAUGCCUCUGCUAUAUUUCUGGCUCCCAAGAUACCAUGGCGUCCGUCUAUGGUGAAGUGGAUGACAGUAGGAUCUUGGACCUGGUGUGUGGUCAUGGACUGAUAAAAGUCCAUUGCUACACAGGGAUAGAAAAAAUCCCUGGGAGUCAUCAAGUGCUCCAUAUGGUACCUUUGCAGCAGAUGGAAGGAGUCCCUGAGCUCUGGCUGAAGUCUGAAAGUGGCUGUGUCAAAGCAAAGCUCGGAGUGGAAUGGCCUAGCCCUACAAUCCAAAUUACCCUCAAUGGGUGGUUGAGUGACCAUGGGACGUCUGAUAACCACCUCAAGGGUCAUCCCUGAGGGAAUUUGAGACUCUGUGGCUGGUGGCUGAGACGGCUGAGGCUCUGAUGGAGGCUCUGAAGACGGCUCUGAUAAGUCAAUUGGUGCUGAUACCCUGGCUUUCUUAUUUGAGGGAUGGCUACCUGACUUUUUGGGACAAGAGGAGCUUGCCCUAGGUGUGGUGGGUGGUCUCCUCGUCUCAUAGCGUCUCGAAGGAGGACUCAACGGUGGGUCCUCAACUGGAGGUGGGACGACCAGUGGAUGUGGAGGCUCGGGAAUGGAGCCUUGAACAGUGGUCUCUCUUGGGGUUCUCAGACGGCUUGAAGGAGACGAGGACUUAGCUCCUUGGGUUUUUGCCAUGGUGAUUACUACUCAAAAAGUGCUAUUUCAUAGCUUGUAAUUAACUCUUUUAAACACUUUUGAGAAGUAGUUAUUGUCUUUUAACCCAAUUAACAUAUUAAGGACCUUUGCAAGCACUUCUAAUCAAUUUGUGUUAAGUUUUGGUGUUUUGAUAGCUUUUUGAUCACCAAAGCAAUAUGAGAUUGAGGAGAGUUAUUUGGAAUCCAUGGCAAAGCAAUGGAAAGCUCAGAAACAUGAAGAACCGAAGCUUUGAAGUCCUUUGCCAUAAGCAAAUCCGGAAUGCAAGGAGGGGAAGCAAAGAGAAAUCUGCCAUGAAACAUUUUUUAUGACAUUCAUGUCAGCCACUUUUGGAGCACUUCCUGGAGUCCAAUUUAUGCAUGCUAUAUGUCGUUUCGAAUCUCAGGAAGUCAACAAUCCAAUGCAUCAAAUGGUGCAUGAUUCGGAGUGGAAAUGAAGGAGUUACAGCCAUUGGAAGUCGAUCACUCUAAGUUGAAGGAAGAAUUUUGCACGGCUGCGAAAUGACCCUUUUGCUGCGAAAUGAUUUCGCAGCCAUUUUGCACAGUGCUGUGGAAUUUCUCCUGAAGUUUCCCGAUAUUUGCGACCAACACUUUUGGAUAUUUUGCUUCAGAUUUUUGAUGUCUAAAUCCCCAUUUUCUCCUUGUAACCCACCAAUUAUAGGAUUCCUUAGUUAUUAAGUUUGGAAAAGAGGUGAAUAACCUCAAAUAUUUUGUAUUGUAAUUUUCAUAUUUAAGAAUCAAUCGGGAGCUUGUUCUCAUACGACGCAUCCUUUGUACAAUUUUGGAAAGGAAGUAAAAUACAGAGCACUUGCUCUGCUUUUCAUAUAUAUUUUUGUUUUCUCGUUCUUUUUAUUUCUAGCCAAUCAAACUCUGAGGAUUUUUCCUCAGAGGAUGAGAGGCUAGGCUCUUCGUCUCUUGGAGUGAAGAAAUUCGGGUAAGUUUCCACAUGCAUAAAUUGGAAGUUUUGUGGUUUCAGCUUUUAAUGAAGAGAAAGUGUGACCCGUUAAUGGUUUUUAUCUUUUUAGUUAACUUAAAACGCCUUGAAGUCACCUGGGCCAACACUUGGUAAGGCAAGUGAUCUCCGUCCAUGGAGAUUCACUAGUUUAUCUCUUGCGAGCCUUUGGGAGGUGACUUGAAGGUAGGAUUUUCUAGAAUUGCCAACACUUGGUAAGCUUUUGGACUCUAAGGAGACAUCCAUUAGUUAUCUCUUGCGAGCUUGAGAAGGGAAGUCCAAGGUUAAUGAUCACCUUGAAUGGUAAAUGCUAGGUGAGAGGCACGAGCCAUUGCGAGAUGCAUCAGUGAGAGGGAAUUAAUGCUGAAAUUCAUAAAUGGGCUGCAUCUGUACAACACCGGUUAGAGAAUUAACUAUAUGUUAAUUCUCUAAUGCGAGGAAAAGAACCAAAGUGACCAAAACUCUGUUUUUGUAUGAGGAGCCUGAUCCCGGUGAUCCUAAAACUCCAAGAAACACUUUUCUUCAUAAGUAAUUCCCAUUACUUUCUUUUUAGUUAGCUUAAAACCAAACCCUUUCCAACUCAAGUUUAUGUUUUCUUUUAAAGCUAACCUUGAAAUGAAAAGGCACCAAUUCAACUUUGAAUUAAUAUCAUUUGUGAAGUGAAAACCCAUCCCAGUGAACGAUCCUAGAGCCACUAUGCUAUAGUAGCUUUGUCUUUGCUACCCUAGUUCAUGGUGUAAUAGGUUAUAAAUUUUGUUGAUUACUUCCUCAAUCAAGGAGCACCAGCUGGACACGAAUCAACUGAGACACCAAUUGGGCAUGAAUCACAUGGCUAUCUCAGAGAAGAUAGCCGAAGGUGCGCACGCGGCUUGGGCUCAGAUGGGAGGGAGAAGACGGAAGGUUGCUCUGGUUUGGCUUCUCUUUGCCACCUAUUUGAAGUUCAAAUGACCGGUUUAAAACAAAAUAUGGAAUUUAUAACGUUUAAAAAUGGAUGCCAAGGGACGGUUUUAAUUUUCGCAGCAGGGGGGCGAUUUAGCAGCGGAUGGGCAUUUUCGCAGCCCAUUUCGCAGCUGCGAAAUGAGGAGUGGGGGCUGCGAAAUGGCACUCGUGUGCCAAAGGGUGGUUUCGCAGGUGCGAAACCCCUUGUGAAAUGGGGCUUUGGCUGCGAAAAUUGGAGUUUUAAAGCUUUGGGGAUUUCGCAGCCCAUUUUGUAGAUGCGAAAUGAGGUGGGGGGCUGCGAAAUGGCACUCGUGUGUCAAAGGGUGGUUUCGUAGCUGCGAAAAUUUUCAUAGAGGGGGGCAUGGGGCUGCAAAAUCAUUUCGCAGCCAAGGGGAGUUUUCGUAGACAUGACCUGAUUUCGCAGCGCACUUCUUGGGGCUGCGAAAUCAUAUCGCAACCAAGGGCCAUUUUCGCAGAGGCCACUUUUGGGCUGCGAAAUCUCACAAGCCAUGAAUUUUCCCUUGCUUUUGAACUCCUUUUGGCUCCAAGAGGCCUUCCUUCAAUUUCUUUGCAAUUUCUCCUAAAUUAGAUCAUUCAAAAAGAUUAAGUUACAUAUAAAUAACACAACUUAAGACCAAAAUUAAAAUCAAAAGAAUUAAUAAAGCUUUUAAAUUAACAAAAUUAAACAAAAAAUAUAGACUUUGGUGAAACCAAGUCCAUCUAACCAUUUUUUGAUUAGGCUUUCUGUGGCUCAAGGAGAUUGAUUUCUUUCUUUUCUUGCUUGAAUGGCUCAAUGAAUGGCUUGAGACGAUGACCAUUGAUUUUAAAAGUGUCAGUGCUAUUGGAAUUCAAUAAUUCCACCACUCCAUUGAGAUGCACUUGGUGAAUAAUGAAAGGGCCUAUCCACCUUGACUUGAGCUUCCCAGGAAAGAUAUGGAGCCUUGAAUCAUAGAGUAAGACUCUUUGUCCUUUCCGGUAUUCUUUGUUGGAGAUUAAUUGAUCAUGCCACUUCUUCAUCCUCUGUUUUGCAACUUUGGAAUUGAUGUAAGCAUCAUUUCUUAAUUCCUCCAUUUCAUUAAGGUUUAAGCACCUCUUUGCCCCGGCUCUGAUCAAGUCCAUGUUUAACUUCUUGAUUGCCCACCAAGCCUUAUAUUCAACUUCUACAGGGAGAUGACAUGCUUUGCCAUAGACUAGGCGAUAGGGAGACAUGCCAAGAAUAGUCUUGUAAGCUGUUAUAUAUGCCCAUAGUGAAUCAUGAAGCUUAAUAAACCAAUCUCUUCUGCUCGUGAUCACCACCUUCAUCAAUAUAUUCUUGAUUUCCCUUGUUUGCUAGCUCAACUUGCCCGGAAGUCUGAGGGUGAUAAGGUAUAGCUACCUUAUGCUUUACUCUAUACUUGGCUAAUAGGGUUUCAAAAGGUCUGUUGCAAAAAUGAGUACCUCCAUCACUGAUUAUGGCCUUAAGCAUCCCAAAUCUUGAGAAGAUGUUCUCCUUGAGAAACUUGAGAACCACCCUAUGAUCAUUGUGUUUACAGGGGAUUGCCUCAACCCAUUUAAAAACAUAGUCCACCAUUACCAAAAUAUAAGAGUUACCAAAAGACAUAGGAAAUGGUCCCAUGAAGUCAAUGCCCUAAACAUCAAAGAGAUCAACUAUUAGAAUGGGGGUCAUGGGCAUUUGGUUUCUUAUUGUAAGCUUCCCGAGCCUUUGGCAUCUAUCACAGCUCUUACACAUGAUGUGGGCAUCUUUGAAAAGUGAUGGCCAAGUAAACCCUGAUUGCAACACCUUCAUGGCUGUUUUUUGAGAGGCAAAGUGGCCUCCACAUGUACUUUCAUGGCAAUGGCUGAGGAUUCCUUGUUGCUCUUCUUCAGGGACACACUUCCUUAUUAUUUGAUCUGCACAAUACUUGAAAAGGAAAGGCUCAGGAAAGUCAUCAUUAAUAGGUAAGACAUGAGAAUUGUGUGCUAUAACCAACCUUGAAAGGUGGUCAACUACCACAUUCUCCACUCCUUUCUUAUCUCUGAUUUGGAGAUCGAACUCUUGUAAUAAGAGAAUCCAUCUAAUCAACCUUGCUUUUGCAUCUUGUUUUGUCAAUAAAUACUUCAAGGCUGAAUGGUCAGUGAAAACAAUGAUGAAAGACCCUACUAGAUAAGCACGAAACUUGUCUAAGGCAAACACUACAACUAACAAUUCUUUCUCUAUAGUUGUGUAGUUCCUUUGAGCUUCGUUCAAUGUCUUGCUUGCAUAGUAGAUCACAUAGGGCUUUCCAUCUUCUCUUUGGCCAAGCACAGCUCCUAUAGCAAAGUCACUGGCAUCACACAUUACUUCAAAGGGUAGUUGCCAAUUAGGAGCCCUCACUAUUGGAGUUGUUGUCAAAAAUUGCUUCAGUUGAUCAAAACUCUUUUGACAUCUUUCAUCCCAUAUAAACUUAGCAUCCUUAGCCAAAAGUUCACAAAGAGGCUUUGAAAGCUUAGGGAAAUCUUUUAUAAAUCUCCUAUAGAACCCUACAUGGCCAAGGAAUUGCCUUACUCCUUUUACAGUUGUUGGGGAUGGCAAUUUGACAAUAAGUUCUACCUUUGCUUUAUCAACUUCAAUGCCUUUCUCGGAGAUGAUAUGGCCAAGGACAAUUCCUUGAUGUACCAUAAAAUGACAUUUCUCCCAGUUGAGCACCAGGUCCUUCUCAAUGCAUCUGUUAAGAACCGCUUCCAAGUUGACUAAGCAUUCUUCAAAUGUACCUCCAUAUAUGGUGAUGUCAUCCAUGAAAACCUCCAUAAUUCGCUCCACCAUAUCACUAAAGAUACUUAGCAUACAUAUUUGGAAUGUUGCAGGUGCAUUGCAUAAACCAAACGACUUUUUUCUGUAGGCAUAUAUUCCAAAUGGACAUGUGAAAGUGGUCUUCUCCUGAUCUUCAACAUCAAUUUCAAUUUGAAAAUACCCGGAGUACCCGUCCAAGAAACAAUAGAAAGGAUGGCCAGAGACUUGAUCAAUAAAUGGCAAUGGAAAAUGAUCUUUCCUUGUCACAGCAUUCAAUUUUCUAUAAUCAAUACACACCCUCCAACCUGAAGUGAGGCGUGUAGUAAUUUCUUCUCCUUUUUAAUUUUGAACCACAGUAAUCUCUAACUUCUUUGGUACCACUUGAGUAGGACUCACCCAAGGGCUGUCAGAUAUGGGAUAAAUAAUACUAGCUUAAAGUAGCUUCAGCACUUUAGCUCGCACCACCUCUUGCAAAUGAGGAUUCAAUCUUCUUUGAGGUUGACGAAUUGGUUUAGCUUCUUCCUCCAUGUAUAUAUGAUGUGUACAAACCAAAUGACUAAUGCCUUUCAAGUCAGAUAUUUGCCAUGCUAUUGCUUUCUUACACCUCUUAAGAACUUCAAGUAGACACUUCUCUUGAGGACUAGUAAGAGAUGAAGAUAUAACAACAGGGCAUUGUUUAUUCUCUUCCAGGUAUGUGUAUUUCAACUCCAUGGGCAGAGACUUCAAAUUGAGCUUUGGGGUCUCUUCUUUAGCAACUUCUUGUGCCUCCUCUUUAUUGAACAAAGAUAGAAUCUCUUCUCUCCUCCUCCAACCUUAUAGAGUAGCAAGCACAUCAAAGGGUUCAGGCAACCCUUCUUCAAGAUCCCCAAGACUUUCAUUCAACUUGUCUUGCAUAUUCUGAUUACAAUGCUCCUCCACUAGAGUGUCAAUAAUGCAUACCUCUUCUGGACCUUCUUCUUCUUCCGGAGUGAUUAACUUUUUAGACAUAUAAAAGAUAUUGAGCUCAAGUGUCAUGUUGCCAAAGGUGAGUUGCAUGAGUCCAUUCCUACAAUUUAUAAUUUCAUUUGAAGUAGCAAGAAAUGGCCUUCCAAGGAUGAUAGGAACAUAAUUAGCUUCCUUGACAAUUGGGUCCGUAUCAAGGACAACAAAGUCUACUGGAUAGUAGAAAUUAUCAACUUGAACUAAGACAUCUUCAAUUAUCCCCCUUGGAAUUUUCACUGAUCUAUCUGCUAGAGAUAGAGUGAUUGAUGUUGGCUUCAAUUCACCAAGUCCCAAUUGAUUGUAGACAGAGUAUGGUAGCAAAUUCACACUUGCUCCCAAGUCUAACAAAGCUUUCUCCACUACCUUUCCUCCAAUCAUGACUGAAAUGGUAGGACAUCCCGGAUCUUUGUACUUCAAAGGAGACUUGCAUUGUAUGAUAGCACUUAUUUGCUCAGUCAAGAAGGCUUUCUUGUUCACAUUCAACCCUCUUUUGAUAGUACACAAGUCCUUUAGAAAAUUUGCAUAUGUUGGAACUUGUUUAAUCAUAUCCAACAAUGGAAUAUUGACUUUCACUUGUCUCAAUACUUCAAGAAUUUCUGAUGCAUUUCUGAUCCCCUUUUUCCCAUGUAAAGCUUGAGGAAAAGGUGGAGAGGUGUGUUUCUUCAACAUUUCUUCCUUAAUAAGUACUUUUUUCGGAUUUGCUUUCACUAUUGAAUCAUGGUCCUUUUUUCCUUCACUGAUAUCUUUUUUCUUUCCUUUGAUUUUCUCCCUCUUCUUUGUCUCUUUUUCUUCUUCCUCUUCAAUAUGUGGCUUGGGUGUUGGUAGCUCAACUUUUUUACCACUCCUUAGAGUGAUCAAGGCUUUAACAUCUCUCACCUGUGAAGAUUCUCCUUCAUGAGUUUCCACUUCAUGGAUACCCUUGGGGUUUUGGUGAGGUUGAGAAGGAAAUCUACCCUCUCUUGCACUGUGUUCAAGUUAGUGAGCCUUGAGAUUGAGUAUUGGAGAUUAUCUAUCUUUUGAGAUAAGUCAUUUUGCAUCCCAUCCAUCCUUUUAUUCAAAGUAUUCUCCACACUGUCAAUUCUUUGACUGAGUUGAGCAUUGAUGGCUUUUUGGUCUCCAACAAAAUCUUCCACACUCUUGCUGAGAUUCACUAUUGCUUGUUCAAGGCUUGAAGCUUGUUGAGAUGGUUGAGUUGGCUGUUGGUACUGAGGUGCUCUUGGCUUCCAUGAGAAAUUUGGAUGAUUCCUCCAACUUGAGUUGUAAGUAUUUCCAUACGGAGCAUUGUUAUUGGGCUUGAAUUGUCCAAUGACAUUUGCUUGAUCUCCAAACAUUUCCCUAGCAGCUGGAAUUGUAGGGCACUCUCCACCAAGUGUUCAUAAGAUUGACAAAUAGGACAUAGCUUUACUUGCACUGGUGUUUCAGAUACAGCUUGCACUUCAUGCAUCUUUUUCAGUUCUAGCUCCUCCAAUCUUCUUGUCAUAGCUGCAAACUUUGCUUUCAUAUCAACAUCUUCAUUCAAGGUGUACAUCCCAGCCUUAGCAUUGAAAGCAUUCGGUUGAGACUUCAUCUUCCCCACUUCUCCUUUGUUUGGUUCAUCCCAUCCCCUUGAAACUUCAGCCACAUAACUCAAGAAAUCCAUAGCUUCCUCCGGAUUCUUACUCAUGAAAUCUCCUCCACACAUUGUCUCGAGGAGUUGCUUCAUUAAGGAAGACAUCCCAUCAUAGAAAUAACUCACCAAUAGUCAUGUAUCAAAACCAUGGUGAGGACAAGCAUUGAUGGCUUCCAUGUAUCUUUCCCAACACUCAUAGAAUUUCUCAUUCUCUUUAGCUGAGAAGUUUGAAAUUUGCCUUUUCAAGCCAUUUGUUCUAUGAGUAGGAAAAAACUUCUUGAGGAAUUCAGCUUGUAAAUCAGUCCAAGUACGGAUACUCUUUGGCCUUAAAGAAUUAAGCCAAAUCUUGGCCUUAUCCUUUAAAGUAAAAGGAAAUAGCUUCAGCCUCAUUAAGUCGAUUGAAGCUCCUCCUUCUUGGAAUGCAUUACAAACAUCUUCAAAUUCCUUGAUAUGUGUAUAGGGAUUCUCACUUUCCAUCCCAUGGAAAGUUGGUAGAAGUGGAACAAUAUGUGGUCUGAUCACUAGUUGCUUGUAGGGGGCACUAUACAUGAUGGUGCACUCAUACGAGGUGGAUGCAUGUGGUCCCUCAUUGAUUUGGAAGCAUUGGGAUUGUCCUGGUGACCAUGGUGACUAUGCUGAUCUUCAGGUGUAGCUUCCAUGAUAUUCAAGCUCAAUUCCAAUUCCUUGUUAUGAGGUGUAUCACGUUUCACAAGCCUUCCUCCACUAUCUCGUAUCCAAUUUGGCAUACACAACUAGUAUCAACUGUAACUAAAACAAAAACAAAAGAAAACAAAAGAAAACAAGACUACAAAAAGACUAAAAUUAACUAUAACUGAAUUAAAAGAUACAUUAGAAUGUGAACAAGUAAAAUAAACAAGUAAAAGAGUUAGUAAAAUGAAAGAAAAAUUUACCAAACUUGUGAUGAAAAUCACAAGUACUCUGAAAUAAUAUCACUGUGAAGUUGGCACCUUCCCCAGCAACGGCGCCAUUUAACUCAUUCCCAGGUUGGUGUACCAGCAGAUUCAUGUCCUCUCAAUGGUCCUUGGUAACAGCGCCAUUUGAUUCAUUCCUAAUUGGUGUACCUUGAGUUUGGUCCUCAGACAGGAGUAAUCAACAAAAUUUAUAACCUAUAUCACCAUGCACUAGGAUAGCCUUAGCUAAUAUAGCAUAGUGGCUCUAGGAUCGUUCACUGGGAAGGGUUUUCAACUUACAACUUAUACCAAUUCAAAGUUGAAUUGGUGCUUUUUCAUUUCAAGGUUAGCUUCAAAAGAAAACAUAAACUUUGAUUGAAAAAGGAUUGGUUUCAAGCUAACGAAAAAGAAAGUAAUGGGAAUUACUUAUAAAGAAAAAGCGUCUCUUGGAGUUUUAGGAUCACUGGGGUCAGGCUCCUCAUGCAAAAAACAGAGUUCCGAUCACUUUGGUUCUUUUCCUCGCAUUGGAGAAUUAACAUAUAGUUAAUUCUCCAACCGGUGUUGUACAGAUGCUCCCCUUUUAUGGAUUUCAGCACUAAUUCCCUCUCACUGAUGCAUCUUGCAAUGGCUCGUGCCUCUCACCUAGCAUUUGCCAUUCAAGGUGAUCAUUAACCUUGGACUUCCCUUCUCAAGCUCGCAAGAGAUAAGUAAUGGAUGUCUCCUUAGAGUCCAAAAGCUUACCAAGUGUUGGCAAUUCUAGAAAAUCGUACCUUCAAGUCACCUCCCAAAGGCUUGCAAGAGGUAAACUAGUGCAUCUCAAUGGACGGAGAUCACUUGCCUUACCAAGUGUUGGCCCAGGUGAAUUGAAGGCGUUUUAAGUUAACUAAAAACAUAGAAACCAUAAACGGGUUACACUUUCUUUUCAUUAACAGCUGAAACAAAAAAACUACCAAUUCUUGCAUUCGGCACCUUACCUAGCUACCUUAGCUCUAAGAAACAAAAAGCCUAGCCACCCAUUCUGAUUACUACUCAAAAGGUGCUAUUUCAUAGCUGGUAAUUAACUCUUUUAAACACUUUUGAGUAGUAGUUAUUACCUUUUAACCCAAUUGGCAUGUUAAGGACCCUUGCAAUCAUUUCUAAUCAAAUUGUGUAAGUUUUGGUGUUUUUUGUUAGUAAUUUGAUCACCAAAGCAAUCCAAGAUUGAGGAGAGUUCUUUGGAAUCCAUGGCAAAGUAAUGGAAAGCUCAGAAACAUGAAGAACCAAAGCUUUGAAGUCCUUUGCCAUAAGCAUAUAUGGAAUGCAAGGAGUAUGGGCAGACUGUCGGAAUGUCGUAGCAAGGCUUGUGCACUUUAGUCAAUGAUCCAGACAACAUAUCCGGAUAGGAUAUGCUAUCGUUCGGAUGUGAUGAUUGCGAGUGCAGAGUGCUUCUCCAUGAGGGAGUUCGGAUAGGGGAGCGCGCCGCGUGUCCUCUUGGGGAUUCAGAUGGAGUUGAUCCGGAUGGGUCCCUACACCUUGCACACGCAGACGAUCCCCCUUGCAACGUUCCACCUUCUCCGGAUGUAUAACAGCCGCCAUUCUGUUCGGCCGAAGUUAUACCUUCUCCAGAUGUAUCACAGCCUCCAUUCUGUCCGGCUGAAGUUCCACCUUCUCCAGAUGUCUCACAUCCGACAGACAUAUCCGGAUGGGAAAGGAGGGCAUUUCAACUUCCUCGGUCAGACAUAUCCAGAUCUGCUGAUAGCGCUUACCCGGAGAGUUUAGCAGCCAUUUUGCACAGUGUCGACAACGCUUACCUGGAGAGUUUCACAGCCAUUUUGCACAGUGCCGCGGUGUUCUCCUGAAGCUUCCCGAUAUGUGCAACCGAUAUUUUGAGAUAUUUUUCUUUAGAUAUUUUGAGAUAUUUUACUUUAGAUAUUUUAUGUCUAAAUCCCCAAAGUCUUCUUGUAACCCACCUAUCAUAGGAUUCCUUAGUCUUUAAGUAAAAACAAAGGGUGAAUAACCUCUUAUAAAUAGUUUGUAAUUUCCUUUACAGAAGAAAUGGAUGAUAGAUCGAUCAGAUAUCCUUUGUACAGUUUUGGGAAGGAAGUAAAAUACAGAUCACUUGCUCUGCUUUUCAUAUAUAUUUUUGUUUUCUCGUUAUUUUUCUUUCUAGCCAAUCAAACUCUGAGGAUUCUUCCUCAGAGGAUGAGAGGCUAGGCUCUUUGUCUCUUGGAGUGAAGAAAGCUGGGUAAGUUUCCACAUGCAUAAAUUGGAAGUUUUGUUGUUUUAGUUUUUAAUGAAGAGAAAGUGUGACCCAUUAAUGGUUUUUAUCUUUUUAGUUAACUUAAAACGCCUUUAAAUCACCUGGGCCAACACUUGGUAAGGUAAGUGAUCUCCAUCCAUUGAGAUGCACUAGUUUAUCUCUUGCGAGCCUUUGGGAGGUGGUUUGAAGGUAGGAUUUUCUAGAAUAGCCAACACUUGGUAAGCUUUUGGACUCCACGGAGACAUCCAUUAGUUAUCUCUUGCGAGCUUGUGAAGGCAAAUCCAAGGUUAAAGAUCACCUUGAAUGGCAAGUGCUAGGUGAGAGGUAUGAGCCAUUGCAAGGUGCAUCAGUGAGAGGGAUUUAGUGUUUGAACCCAUUAAUGGGAAGCAUCUGUACAACACCGGUUCGGGAAAUAACUAUAUGUUAAAUCCCCAAUGCGAGGAAAAGAAACAAGUGACCGGAACUCCCUUUUUGUACAAGGAACCUGAGCCCAGUGAUUUAAACUCCAAGAGACACUUUUCUUUGUAAAUAAAAUCAGUUACUAUUUUUGGUUAGUUUAAAACCAAAACUUUUUCCACUAAAGAUUAUGUUUUCUUUUAAAGCUAACCUUAAAAUUAAAAGGCACCAAUUCAGCUUUGAAUUGAUAUCAAUUGUGAAGUGAAAACCCAUCCUAGUGAACGAUCCUAGAGCCACUAUGCUAUAGUAGCUUUGUGUUUGCUACCCUAGUUCAUGGUGUAAUAGGUUAUAAAUUUUGUUGAUUGCUCUCGUCUGAGCACUAAAAUCAAGACACUAGCUGGACAUGAAUCAGCUGAGACACCGACUGGGACACGAAUCACAUUCUCUGAGGAAAAAUCCUCAGAGCUUAUUUGGCUAGUAAGAAAAAUACAAUCAAAUUGAGUAGGUAAGGUAGAGCAAAGCUCUGUAUUUUACUUCCUUCAAAACUAUACAAAAAGUUGUCUCCCAGAACAAGCUCCGAGAUAUCUGUAAUGAAAAUUACAAAACAAUAUAUAUGAGGUUAUUCACCCUUUUGUUCUUACUUAAUUACUAAGGAAUCCUAUAAUUGGUGGAUUACAAGGAGAAAAUGGGGAUUUAGACAUUAAAUAUCCAAAGCAAAAAAUCUAAAAAUGUCGGUCGCAAAUAUCUGGAAGCACUCAGGAGGAUUUUGCAGGCGUGCAAGAUGGCUACGAAAUUUCGCAGCCAUCACCUUGUGAUUUCGUAGCCUGCGAAAUUGGCCUUCAACUUGGUGUGAUUGGAUUCCAAUGGCUCUAACUUCUUCAUUUCAACUCCGAUUCAUGCACCAUUUGAAGCCUUGGAUUGCUGACUUCCCAAGCUUCGAAACGACAUAUAGUAUGCAUCAAAUGGGAUCUAGGAAGUGCUCCAAAAGUGUACAACAGUCACUGUCCUCUUGAAUUCUUCAUGUUAGAUUUCUCUCUUUUCUUUCAUCCUUGCAUUCAUGAUUUGUUUAUGGCAAAGGACUAUAAAGCUUCAAAGCUUAGGUUCUUCAUAUUAAUGAGCUUCCAAUUGCUUUGCCAUGGAUUCCAUAGAACUCUCCUCAAUCUUGGAUUGCUUUAGUGAUCAAAUUACUAUCAAAUACACCAAAACUUACACAAUUCGAUUAGAAAUGAUUGCAAAGGUACUUAAUAUGCUAAUUGAGUUAAAAGGUAAUAACUACUACUCAAAAGUGUUUAAAAGAGUUAAUUACAAGCUAUCAAAUAGCACUUUUUGAGUAGUAAUCAUAUACCUAGAUAACUACAUUAGAAGAUUACUAAAUGACUUGUGAAUUUUGAUUAUAGGCUUUACUUAUAGUAGAAUAGCAUAGGAAGAUACCUAAUUCAGAUUUAACAUCAAAAUUUCCAAGGUUUUCCCCAUCCUUAAGAAUAUAACAUUCACUGCCAAAAGUCCUAAAAUACUUAAGGUUAGGUUUACUCCUAGUCCAUAAUUCAUAAGAUGUCUUAUUUGUUCUAGGCUUAAGAAAAAUCCUAUUAGCAAUAUAACAUGCAGUAUUAAUAGCCUCUACCCAAAAUUGCAUAGGGGUAUUAUGGAUGUGAAUCAUCACCCUAGCACUCUAUUCUUUCUUUGAACUACUCCAUUUUGUUGAGGAGUUCUAAGGGUUGAAAAUUCAUGUCUAAUUCCAUUAGAACCACAAAAGAGUUCACCAUCCACAUAAUCGAACUCUUUCCCCCUAUCACUCCUAAUCCUUACAAUUUGAUGAGAAAUUUCCACUUGUAUUUUAUUGAAUAAUGACUUCGAAUUUUCUAUGGCCUCAUAUUUCUCCCUUAGAAAAUUCACAAAAGAGUAUCUUGAAAAAUCAUCUACAACCAUAAGGAAAUAUCUCUUACCACCUCUGCUUUCAGUUCACAUUGGAUCCAUAAGAUCCAUAUGAAGAAGAUCUAAAGGUCUAGUGGUCCUUAUCUCCUUAACCUUUUCGUGUGAACUAUUGGUUUGUUUUCCUUUCAUACACUUACCACAGAUGGCUUUAGGUUCACUAGUAAGUCUAAGGAUACCUCUAACAUUUUCAGUAUUCACUAAAUGCACAGGGUCCUUGUAAUUUAUGUGACGUAGUCUUCUAUGCCAGAGCUCAGUAAGAUCAAGCUUUGCCCUAUUGCACAUAAGAGGUGUUCUAAAGUCAAAUUUAUAGCAUAACAAUUAUCCAUAGUCGUAUGUGCUGUGAUGACUACUUUUCCCUCUUUAUUAACCACCUCACAUAAGUCUUGGUGAAAAAUCACCUUAUGAUCUUUGUCACAUAUUUGACUAAUGCUUAAGAGGUUUGUCUUGAGUCCUUAAACAUAUAGAACUCCAUCUAGUUUGGGAUAGCUAGGGAAAAUAAUACUCCUAUUUCCUUUCACACGAGCUAAGUUUCUAUCUCCAAAAGUAACAAUCCCACCAUCAUAGUUUUCAAGAGAAGUAAAGUAGGUUCUAUCUCCUAUCAUGUGUCUAGAGCAGCCAUUAUCGAGGUACCACUCACUAGAAUAUUUGGCUUUAAGUGCAUUUAACACAACUUGACAUUUAGAUCUAUCAUUUCUCAACCAAACUUGUUUAGUUCUAGGUGGUAGCUUGGAGAAACUAAAUUGAAUUUUAGGUUUAUGAUUGGUUUUAUUCCCUCUCCCAUUAUUGAAGAUGUUAUUUUUAAGGGAAUUGAAAUCAUUCAUAAGUCUAUUCAUUUGAGUUUCAAACCUUUCAAGAAACCUAAUGUAGCAGCUAAUUUGAGGAUGUCCAAUGUUCUUAUAAUAUGUGCAUAGUGAUGUCUUUUUCGGAGAUUCUACUUGGUUAUGGGCAUCAUCCUUACCUUUGAUAAACACAGUUUCUCCACUAGAGAGAGUUUCAUCUUUAUUAAUGUACCCCAAACCUCUUUUAUCCCCAUGGAUUUUACAUUUAUGAAGAAUUUCAUUAAGCAUUUUAGUUCCAAAGUGAAAAUUUUCAUUCAUAGAUGAAGAAGACUUAUUACUUUUUUCAGAUUCUUGGUUCUUGUAGAACCUUUCAUUGAAUUUCAUAGCCCCUUUAAUCCUUUUGGCCAUAUGUGCUAAUUCAUCAUGAGUUAUAUCAUAUGGCUUUUCAAUGUCUUUCUUCUCAUCCUCAAAAGCCUUAAAGGUAGAGUCUUUAGGCUUAUGGGAACUAGGAAGGGUCAUCUCAUAUUUUGAAUGGUCCUUACAAGUUCAUCAACUCUUAUGGAAUUGAUGUCCUUACUCUCCUCUAUGGUAGUUACUUUAGGUCUAAAUCUCUCUAGAAAAUAUCUCAAUAUUUUCCUAACUACCUUAGAAUCAGGAAUAGGUUCUCCAAGGCGGUUACUACUCAAAAAGUGUUAUUUCAUAGCUGGUAAUUAACUCUUUUAAACACUUUUGAGUAGUAGUUAUUACCUUUUAACCCAAUUGGCAUGUUAAGGACCCUUGCAAUCAUUUCUAAUCAAAUUGUGUAAGUUUUGGUGUUUUUUGUUAGUAAUUUGAUCACCAAAGCAAUCCAAGAUUGAGGAGAGUUCUUUGGAAUCCAUGACAAAGCAAUGGAAAGCUCAGAAACAUGAAGAGCCGAAGCUUUGAAGUCCUUUUCCAUAAGCAAAUACGGAAUGCAAGGAGUAUGGGCAGGCUGUCGGAAUGACGUAGCAAGGCUUGUGCACUUUAGUCAAUGAUCCAGACAACAUAUCCGGAUAGGAUAUGCUAUCGUCCGGGUGUGUGAUGUUCGCAAGUGCCGUGUGCUUCUCCCUGAGGGAGUCCGGAUAGGGGAGCGCGCCACGUAUCCUUUUAGGGAAUCUGGAUGGAGUUGAUCCGGAUGGGUCCCUACACCAUGCACACGCGGACGGUCACCCUUGCGACGUUCCACCUUCUCCGGAUGUAUCACAGCCGCCAUUCUGUUCGGCCGAAGUUCUACCUUCUCCGGAUGUAUCACAGCCGCCAUUCUGUCCGGCCGAAGUUCCACCUUCUCCAGAUGUAUCACAUCUACCAGACAUAUCCGGAUGGGAAAGGAGGGCGUUUCAACUUUCUCGGUUAGACAUAUCCAGAUCUGCUGAUAGCGCUUACCCGGAGAGUUUCGCAGCCAUUUUGCACAGUGCCACGGUGUUCUCCUGAAGCUUCUCGAUAUGUGCAACCGACAUUUUGAGAUAUUUUUCUUUAAAUAUUUUGAGAUAUUUUGCUUUAGAUAUUUGAUGUCUAAAUCCCCAAAGUCUCCUUGUAACCCACCUAUCAUAGGAUUCCUUAGUCUUUAAGUAAGAACAAAAGGGUGAAUAACCCCUUAUAUAUAGUUUGUAAUAAUCAGGAAAAAGAUAAAACUUAGAAUAGAACUGGGAGCUUGUUCUCAGGACGUAUCCUUUGUAAAGUUUUGGGAAGGAAGUAAAACACAGAGCACUUGCUCUGCUUUAUAUAUAUAUUUUUGUUUUCUCAUUAUUUUUCUUUCUAGCCAAUCAAACUCUGAGGAUUUUUCCUUAGAGGAUGAGAGGCUAGGCUCUUCGUCUCUUGGAGUGAAGAAAGCUGGGUAAGUUUCCACAUGCAUAAAUUGGAAAUUUUGUUGUUUUAGUUUUUAAUGAAGAAAAAGUGUGACACGUUAAUGGUUUUUAUCUUUUUAGUUAACUUAAAACGCCUUUAAAUCACCUGGGCCAACACUUGGUAAGGCAAGUGAUCUCCAUCCAUUGAGAUACACUAGUUUAUCUCUUGCGAGCCUUUGGGAGGUGGUUUGAAGGUAGGAUUUUCUACAAUAGCCAACACUUGGUAAGCUUUUGGACUCCACGGAGACAUCCAUUAGUUAUCUCUUGCGAGCUUGUAAAGGCAAAUCCAAGGUUAAAGAUCACCUUGAAUGGCAAGUGCUAGGUGAGAGGUAUGAGCCAUUGCAAGGUGCAUUAGUGAGAGGGAUUUAGUGUUUGAACCCAUUAAGGGGAAGCAUCUAUACAAAACCGGUUAGAGAAUUAACUAUAUGUUAAUUCUCUAAUGCAAGGAAAAGAAACAAGUGACCGGAACUCCCUUUUUGUACAAGGAAUCUGAACCCAGUGAUCUAAACUCCAAGAAACACUUUUCUUUGUAAGUAAAAUCAAUUACUAUUUUUGGUUAGUUUAAAACCAAACCUUUUUCAACUAAAGUUUAUGUUUUCUUUUAAAUCUAACCUUGAAAUGAAAAGGAACCAAUUCAGCUUUGAAUUGAUAUCAAUUGUGAAGUGAAAACCCAUCCCAGUGAACGGUCCUAGAGCCACUAUGCUAUUGUAGCUUUGUCUUUGCUACCCUAGUUCAUGGUGUAAUAGGUUAUAAAUUUUGUUGAUUGCUCCCGUCUGAGGACUGAAAUCAAGACACCAGCUGAAUGAAUCAACUGAGACACCGACUGGGAACGUAUCAAAUGGUUAAGUGAGGAAUUUACAAUAUCACCAAGUUUAGAAUAAAGAAAGAAAAAGUUUGUUUUUCAUGCACCCUAAUAUUCUCAAACUUAACAGCAAGUAUUUUCCACUUAGAAAUCUUUAUAGUAGAUGUACCUUCAUGAAUGGCUUGAAGAAUAUCCCAUGCUUCCUUUGAAUAUUUGUAAUUUGCUAUCUUGCAAAACUCAUGUGGACAAACUCCAUUAAAAAUACUAAAUAAAGCCCUAGCAUUGGCUUCACUACCUUCAUUAUUGGCUUUGUCCCAUUCAUGUUAAGGUUUACAUUCUCAUGUUGAUCUUCCUAUAGCAUCAAGGAUUAAUUGUGGUCCCCAACCAUAUUUAAUUGAAUUUCAUACCCUUUUGCCUUGCAUUUUAAGGAAAAACAUCAUAUGUGUUUUCCAAUGGGAGUAAUUAUUCCUAUCAAAAUAGGGAGAACUAUUCAAAGGAGCACCUCUUUUAUAUUGUUUCAUAUUGGACUAAUAGGAUCAAUAAAAUUUUGAUUUACAAUAUAAAUAAUAAAAAUUAAAUCUCUAAUCAAUAUGAUAAAGAAUCGAUUUUUUAUCUUGCUCUAAUACCAAGUGAAAAAUGGGUAUUGCUUUGAAUACCACUUGAAUAAUAAUCGAAAAUCCAAUAGGAAACUGUUGGGAUUGAGCUCCAAAAAGCAAGACAUGAUGUAACAAAGUUAGACUUAACUAUCUCUUGCUAUCCCCUUGGUAUAUUGACAUUGAUUUGAGUAUUCAAUCCAUGUCUCUUACAUGGUAUAUGAUUUGGGUGUAUUAAGAGUUGCACCGAAGAUAUAAGUCAUAGGUUCCUUGUAAGGAGAUAGAUUGUCCAUAAUUGGUUCAUAGAUUUGGUCAAUCUAGUUGAGAUUAUAGUGCACCACCUCCUAAUUGAAGGGAUGGCUUCUCUUGGCCGUCAAGAUGGGUUUCUUAUGGUGAGUGUGCUAGUGUAUGUGGUGCACACUAGACAGGACCUACGGUGAAUCUUGAUGCAAGGCUAUCAAUUGCUAUGAUUUACCAAGCUAUUAUAUUGCAUGGACUCUCAAACUUGAGAGGAUAUUAAGCAUGUGACAAAAUCAAUAGGAAGCUUUGAUCUAUGGGUGAGACCCUAAAGUGGUCAUAUAUCCAUAUGGAUUAGGUUACUAUUGAUGGAGGCUGGUGGCAACAAAUAUUCUCAAUAGAAGCACCAUGAUAUCUCAUGGGAUUGAGACAGUGUGUCCCCUUAGGUGAUCCAAAGGACAUGCGAUCUUGAAAUCUAUGGCCAUAGUAAUUCCUUUAGUGGAAUUUGACAUAUGCUCCUUAGAGCUAGAGUAUGUUAGAUGAUCACAUAAUAAGUGGGAUCUGUAACUCAAGGAUUUGAGAGGUAAUCUUGAUAGGUGAUAGCACUACCUUGUUAGAUUACAGACACUAGUUCAUAGGGAGUCUACAUGCAGUGGAUAGUAGGUCACAGACCUGAACACUUGGUGUCUCAUUAUAAUAUACAUAGGAUACUGGAGUAUAGUUGACCCUUUGUAGUGGGAUGUUGAGUCAAUUUUAGAAUUUCAUUAUGAGGGAGCCAAUACUCCUAUGGGUCCCAAUGGUCCCCACUCUGAACUCAUAUUCCUUGAUGACACGAUUCAUGAGGGUUAGAUGGGUUUUAAGUUCACUUUUGUGCAUAAGAGCGUUUUGGUAACUACGCAAAGUUGCAUAGGGAUAAGUGAGUGGCAUCUUUGGAUUAGGCUAAUAGAUUAAUUAAGGCCUUGUGUGGUUAAUUAAUCACUUAGCAACCUUUUUGGGCUAUAUUAAGUGACCCAAGCCCAUGGUGGGCUUAACUCACUUAAGCCCAAUAGAAAACCUAUAAAUACCCCUUUAGGGGUUAGGAUUCUAUGUCUUGCUAAUAUUCCCUCUAGUUUAGAGAGAGAACCCUAACCUCCACCCUUGAGAUCUCCACCAUCUUAGUGCUUAGGCACAAGGAAGAGUCAUCGGGCAGAAGAUCAUGGUGUUUACAAGAUCUACUAUGACUUUGGAGUUAUCUAUAUCGAUUGGAAUUGAUCUAGGAACAUUCAGAUCAAAGGUAUGUGGUUUUAUUUUCUAGAUCUAUGUUUUCUAUGGUAUUCUUAUUGUUUUUGAAUACUUGUUUAUCCACUGUGAUCGAUUUAGAGAGCCUAGGAUAGAUUUGUAUGCACUCUACAUGAUCCAAGGUAUGUGAACACAGUAAUCCGGGGUUUCCAAUAGGAACACCCAAAGGGAGAGGGAGGGGGAGUAAAUGAGUGAUUUAAAAUUUUAUAACAAUAUUAAUUUGUAAAUCAUAACCAACUUUUCUUACUCCAAUAUAUAACAGGGAUAUCCUAAAUAACUAAAUAAAUUAUCCCUAAAGUUUUUAAGUAUACAAAAAUAUAAUUUUUAGUUUUUAGGGAUACCUUGUAGUUGGUUAUGGAUAAAAAUAAUUUAAUUAUUAAUAUCCAAACAAUAUCCUAAGAGAUGUUAGAGAUAAAAAUAAUCAAGUAUAAGGAGAACAACCAUAACCACCAAGAUAACCACCCUAAUAACCUCAAUAGUAAUCCCAACCAACCAAACAACCUAAUCAAGUAAUACAUGCAGGAAUAAAUAGAUAUGUACUUUUUAGGAAAACCCUACAAGAUAUUAGGAAUAAUCAAUUUAAUUUAUUCUAGGUAAUUCAAACAAAUAUUAAAUAUAAGAGAUAUAGAUAACAAGGUACAAGAUUUUUACGUGGAAAACCCCCACAAACUGUGGAGAUAAAAAAUCACGAGGUCUAAGACCUAUUCAUCAAAAUCCACUAUUAGAAAUCAAGUUACACAAAUUUACCUAGUAGUUUUACCCUAAAGGCUUACUCUCCAACACCUACAACUUGAUCCACGUCCGCGAUGUAGCAACUCCCUAUUGUUCCUUAAUAGAUCCUUUGGCCACUUCGAAGGGAUUAAGGUCUUCAACCAACGAUUCAAAGAUUCAAAUCCUUGAAUGAGAGAUCAGGAAUGAUGUGGAAAUAAGAUUUUUCUGACAAGAAGUCCCUCUUUAAGGAAUGAGAGGUCUCAAUGAAGUAUUUUGAAUCUCUCUAAAAAUCUCCACACGAUCACUCUAGGAUCUCUAACACUCAAGGGGUUACAAAAGAGGUAUUUACAGGCAAAAACCAUAAGAGUUUUGGUAUCUUAAAUUUUCAAAUUAGAAUUUGAGUGAAAUUCAUCCAAAAUACGUUUCUAAUCUCGGUAGGACUAACAUGAUUACUUGAGUGAACUUAGAGCACUUGAGAACUUCACUUGAUCAGUUCCUACCACUUGAGCAGGCAAACCGCUUAAGUGGGAUUAAUCGCUUGAGCGACCCUUGCUUCUUAAAAAAUCAUUUUAAGUCGGAAAAAUGAUAUCAAACCUUAUUAUACCUUAAAUAAGCCUUUAUAUGCCAUAAACUAAACCUUUUUAAAUGUACUUGUGACUUCCCAGUUGGACGAACAACAAUCCUUGAUCUUCAAUGGAGAGCAAGUCAUUAUCUAAAAAGAUUUCUAUGACCAAACAUUAAUUGGAACAAAAUUUCCAAAAAAUACAUAAGCUCAAGGUCCUAACAUAUUUAAUGCUCAAUCAUGCAAGUAGUAUGUUGUUGUUCAUAUUGAAUAUCAGAGGUACAUAAUAUAUAUAUAUAUAUAUAUAUAUAUAUAUUGUGAUUGAGCCCCUAAAAGCAAGGCGUGAUGUGACAAAGUUAGACUUAACUAUCCCUUUGCUAUCCUUUUGGUGUAUUGACAUUGAUUUGAGCAUUCAACCCAUGACUUGGGUGCAUUAGGAGUUGCACAAAAGAUAUAAGCUAUGGGUUCCUUGUAAGUAGAUAACUGUCUACAAUUGAUUUAUGGAUUUGGGUAAUCCAGUAAAGACUAUAGUGCACCACCUACUAAUUGGAGGGAUGACCUGUCUUAGCUGUCGGGAUGGGUUUCCCAUGGUGAGUGCACUAGUGUAUGUGAUUCACACUGGACAAGACCUAUAAUGAAUCAUGACACAAGGCUAUCAAUUGUCAUGAUUCACCAAGGUACUAUACUGCAUGGACUCUCAACCUUGAGAGGAUAUUAAGCCUAUGCCAAAAUCAAUACGAGGCUUUGACCUAUGGGAGAAACCCUAAAGUGGUCAUAUAUCCCUAUGGAUUGGGUCAUUGUUGAUAGAGAAUGGUGGCAACAGGUAUUCUCAAUAUAGGCACCAUGAUAUCUCAUGGAAUUGAGACACUGUGUCCCCUUGGGUGAUCCAAAGGACAUGUGAUCAUGAAAUUUAUAGCCAUAGUAAUUCCUUUAGUGGAAUUUGAUAUAUGCUCCUUAGAGGUAGAAUAUGUCAGUUGAUCACACGAUAAGUGACAUCUGUAACUCAAGGAUUUAAGAGGUAAUCUUAAUAGGUGAUAGCAUUACCUUGUUAGAUUAUGGACACUGGUUCAUGAGGAGUCUGCAUGCAGUGGAUAGUAGGUCAUAGACCCUUAUGGAUUGGGUCACUUUAGACGAAGCUUAGGGUCUAUGACCUACUAUCUACUGCAUGCAGACUCUCUAUCAGCUGUUAUCUAUAAUUUAACAAGGUGGUAUUAUCACCUAUCAAGAUUACCUCUCCAAUCUUUAAGUUAUAGAUCGUACUUAUUAUGUGAUCCAUUGACAUACUCUAGCUCUAAGGAGCCUAUGUUAAAUUUCUGCUAAAGGAAAUGCUAUGACCAUAGUAUUCUAGAUCAUAUGUCCUUUGGAUCACCCAAGGGGACACAUUGUCUCAAUCCAUGAGAUAUCAUGGUGCCUCUAUUGAGAAUACCUAUUGCAACUAAUCUCCAUUAAUAGUGACCCACUCCAUAGGGAUAUAUGACUAUUUUAGGGUCCCACCCAUAGGUCAAAACCUCCUGUUAACUUUGGCACAAGCUCAAUAUCCUCUCAAGGUUGAGAGUUCAUGUAGUAUAGUAGCUUAGUGAAUCAUGACAAUUGAUAGCCUUGUGUCAUGAUUUGUUGUAGGUCCUAUCCAAUGCGCAUCACAUGCACUAGUACACUUAUUAUGGGAAAACCAUCCUGACAGCCAAGACAAGCUAUCCCUCCAAUUAGAAGGUAGUGUACUAUAGUCUCAUAUGGAUAACCCAAAUCCAUGAACCAACUAUGGACAACUCAUCACUCUACAAGGAACCCAUGGCUUGGAUAUUUUGUGCAACACCUAAUGUACCCAAGUCAUGUACAAUGUAAGUGGUGUGGGGCUUGUAUGCUCAAAUAACCAAUUAAUACAAAUGAGAUAUUUAAGGGACAUAUGCUCCUUGGAGCUAGAGUAUGUAAAUUGAUCACAUAAUAAAUGGGAUCUGUAACUCAAGGAUUUGAGAGGUAAUCUUGAUAGAUGAUAACACUACCUUGUUAGAUUAUGAACACCAGUUCAUGGGGAGUCUGCAUGUAGUGGAUAGCAGGUCACAGACUCGAGCACUUGGUGUCUUGUUGUAAUAUACAUAGGGUACUGGAGUGUAGUUGACUCGUUGUAAUGGGAUGUUGAGUCAAUUUCAGAAUUUGAUUAUGAGGUAGCUAGUACUCUUAUGGGUCUUAGUGGUCCCCGCUUGAGCUCAUAUUCCUUAAUGACAUGGUUUUUGAGGGUUGGAUGUGUUUUUAGUUCACUUUUGUGCAUAAGCACAUUUUGGUAAUUACAUAAAAUUGCACUAGGAUAAGUGAGUGGUAUCUCUGGAUUAGGCUAAUUGAUUAAUUAGGGUCUUGUAUGGUUAAUUAAUCAAUUAGCAACCUUUUAAGGCUAGAUUAAGUGACCCAAGCCUAUGAUGGGCUUAAGUGAUAGGAAAUUUAUAAAUACCCCUUUAGGGGUUAGGGUUUCAAGGUCUUACCAUUCUCCCCUUCAGUCUAGAGAGAGAACCCUAACCUCCAUCCUUGAGAUCUCCACCAUUUCAAUGCCUAGACACAAGGAAGAGUCAUCAGUUGGAAGAUCUUGGUGUUUACGAGAUCCAUCAUGACUUUAGAGUUAUCUACAUCGAUUGGAAUUGAUCCAGGAACAUUCAGAUCAAUGGUAUUUGACUUUAUUCUCUAGAUUUAUGUUUUCUAUCCUAUCCAUAUUAUUUUUGAAUACCUGUUUAUCUACUGCGAUAGAUUUAGAGAGUCUAUGAUAGAUUUUAAUGCACCCUGCAUGAUCCAGGGCAUGGGAACGAAGUAAUUCGGGGUUCCCAACAACUGGCAUUAGAGCCCUAGGGUAGGUUAUAGCAUGUUAGAUCUGUUAUAAGGUGUGUUAACAUUGUUUUUCAGGAUUGUUUUAUUCAUCCCAUGACCCUAAAGGAUGAAUGAAUGAGAUGUUUUUAUUCAUUUAAUUAAAUAUAUCAAUAUAUUUGGAUUGAUUGAUUAUAAUUGUGAUAUGAUAUUUGAUUAUCACUAUAAGAAAAAAAGGGUAAUAAUGACACUUUUAUAAGCGUCAAUAAAUGUAUACGAUGACGCUUCUCUAAAGCGUCCUUUUCGCCUCUAUCAAGGAAUGGGUGCAGGCAACCAUGUCGCUUCUAGAAAGUGUCAUUGUUGAUUGAUCUAUAUUAACACGUUAAAAAACGUCAUUAUUGAUCUACCUAUGUUAACACUUACACUAGCGCCAAGGAAUGACCAAAAUAUCAUUUGUCUAUUUCGACACUAAAAAAAGUGUCAUCUUAUGUGGAUAAUAAUAUUGAAAAUCCUCCUAUUGAAAUGAUAUAUUUUGUAUGUCCUGUUAUAUAUAAUUUUGGCUGCAUGAUUAUUUAUAAAGUACAAAACAAUAACUUCAAUAUUAAUAACUACAUCUUCCAAAAGAAAUUGAAUAAAUUUGGGAAUAAUAUCAUGAUAAAGAACUAAUGUCUACAUAGUUAAUUAAUACGCAAAUUUGUAAAUGUAUCAAAAUAUUUACAAGAAUAUUUUCCAACUUCAACUUAUAUAAAACAAGUACACAUGUACCAAAAACACAAGGUCUCUAAAUUCCUUAUUAAAAAUAAUAUUACAAGAAGAAGAAGAAGAAGCCAAAAGUAUUUAUGUUGGUUGCAUAUCCACUCCUGAACUUGAAAUCUUUUACCUGUAUACAUUUAAAAAUAAUAAUAAUAGAAGAAACAAAUUAUAUAUGUUUAGUUAAUAUACAUGCAAUCAAAGUUAAAUUUAAAUCCAUAAAUGGUCCAUGAAAGAAGUGCAAAUGAGAAUAACUUGGUAUUUAAUGAGAUGUUAUAUAUGCUUCAAUGAAGAUGAAAAAUUGUUUAAUUUGAUACUUGUUUAUAAAAUAUUAAUAGACUUCUUAGUUCAUUAUUAAGUUAAAGGAAACAAGUUAGGCUUUCAAUGGUAUAAAUUCUACAAUAUGGAAUGUAAUAUAAUAUUUUCUUAUCUAUGUCUAACAUAUGAAACUCAUUUCUCAUAAAUAAAUAUAUGAAGAUACCGAUAGGUAUGGUUUAUAAUUAUUUUCAUUCAUAAAUCAUCAUAUCUAGUAGUAUAAGACAUUUAAUAUUAACCACUUGAAAAUGCCUUAAUUUCUUCUUACAACUUUCCUAUAUUACCAAAUUUAGUUGACUAAUAACAUUCCAUAAGGAAAAAAAGAGUAUUAAACUAAAAAUUAAUAGAGCAUAACCAAGGAAAUAGAAACCUACAAAUCAUUGGUUAAAUGUCAUAAUAACAACCAUUCUAAAACUUGCCUUUAUUUCCAAUUCCAAAAUUAUAACCAAAAUAUAAUAAUUAACCCUACACAAAAAAAGCUCUCUACCAUCCCUCCAUCCAACAACAACCUUUUGAUGCAACAACAACCUUUCCAACAACAAUAACAAUUUCUCCAUGUAACAACAACAACAACAAUAAUUAUAUUAGUAAUAAUUUGAUUUGUUUAGUGAUCCAAACAUAUAACAAAAACAACUUCUCUAUGCAACAACAACAAUAAUAAUGACAACAUUGAUGAUAAAGAUAUAAUAAUUUGAUUUAUUGAGUUCACAAAUUACAUGCUUCUUCUCCAUACAACAAUAACAAAAAUAACUUCUCCAUGUAACAACAUUGGUGAUGAUGUAAUAAUUUGAUUUGUUAUAUUGAAAUAGUUUAUGUAUAAAACUAUUAUCUUCUAUUACUAUGGAGGAAAAAAUUACUUAUCAUGAGAUGAGAACAUAUGAGAAUUGUCAAAAUGUGAUCUACAACUCUUACUGGACUGAAAUGAGGGCAUCUGCAUACAUAAGAUGGUAAAUAAAAAAAAUUAGUCCAUUCAAGACUUCAUUAAUAAUGAAAAUCAAGCAUUGUAGAUGUUAAUUAUACCUUCAGGCAUGGGUAAGAAUUAAUUGAGUUACCAACAUAACCCACUCAGAUCGUACUUCAUUAAGCUCAGCUUCACUAUACGAUUUUUUCCCUUUAAACUAAUAUAUAAUUGUACAUACAUGAUGAUUAGUUAAGAUAACAAAAAAUUACUAAGUAUAGAAACUAAUAAAAUUUAUUAAUGAGUACAUACCUUUGUGGAUAGGAGGCUUGGAUCAACAAUUAUAUCUUUCAUGUAUCUCAUCACAUAAUAGCCACACUCCACACUACCUAGUUGUCUAGGGCACUAUAUGCACACAUAUGAAUUUUGGUACCAUAAAAACAUUAAUAUCAUGAUGUUUUAUGUCAUUAUUAUCUAAGUGAGAAAACAUAAAACCAUAUUCAAAUUUUAUGGGUUGAUAUAAGUGGUCAUAUGAUAUAUCUUACUCUAAAUAACUUACCACUACUUUUACCCAUGUCGGCUUCCUCUUUGAUGAUCUUUGUUUCUCUGGUGGAUGAAUUCGUAGUGCCCUACAUGGAAAAAAAAACAUUUUAGAUACUAUGCACUAUAUUCAAGUAUGGAAAUGAAGACACUUACAUGUUAACAAUUUCCUUAAGAUCAUCACAUGGUUGCUUUUGCAUCGGAUCAAGGUAGUACACAGUCAUUGUCCUCAUAUCCAAUGCUACCAAGACCCAGUGGAAACUACAAUAGUACAUUAGAUAUUAUUUACUUAUUAGCAUUGAUUAAGUUAUUUAACAUAAAAAAACUUAAUGUUUUUCAUAACUUACUCAGGGUUAUAUGGAAUAAAAAUGUAGUCAGCACGUUUUGCAUGCAUUAAACGAUUUGCAAUCAACCUUGACCUAUUUUCCUUUGUUGUCUCACCCAUUCCAGCUUUAGAGACUAAAGAUGGAUUGAUAAAAGCAAAUCGUUCUGUGAGCCUAGCAUCACUUAGCUUUUUCUGCAGGUGCCUGUUUAAUUCCACAUACCUUGAUAAGAAAUGAAUAUUUUACUUUUAUAUAUAUAUAAAAAAAAAAUUAACACACAUUAGCAAGUUAUAAAAUUAUUUACCAUAUAUAAAAAUCAACACACACUUCCUUAAAUGAAGUUAUCAUAUCCAUGUCUUCUUUCAUAAGGAAGGUCUUAAAACUCUCGCCAAAUACAUCAUUUGGGACCUCACACCUUGUGCUUUCCCCUCAUUUAGCAUGAGACCUACUAAUGCAUCAAAAUUCUUGAUAUCUUGAGGGUUUUCACCAACUUUCAAUUCAUUUUCUGUUGUUUUUUGUCUUUUCCCUUUUUGAGAUCCCUAUAAAAGAAACCACCAUGUUUUCAAAUGAUAUACGUCUCUUUAUAAACUAUUGCAAAUGAAAAUAACACACCUUGAUGAAUUUAGUACUCAAAUUGACUAAAUGGGUUGGCCAUAAAACUUGGUAGCCCACUGCCGCUCCAACUAUUGUAGCUUGACCAGGAAUAGGAAUAGGAAGUGGUGUAUUUGACUCAUAGGGAGCAUCCAAAACAACUAGGUAGUUGGGACCACAAUCCAUUACAAUUGUUCCACCAGCCACUGUAUUUUCUCUGGUCCCUACUGCCAACUCACAUUUUCUUGCCUUCAAAAGUAAAUUAAAUUGUUAAUUUCAAUAUAAAAAAAAAUCAAUAAAUGAAGUUUAAAGUGCAUUGACUAUGUUAGGGCUAUAUUUAAGACAUAAAUUUCCAUAUUUUAUAAGUACUAGUUGUAGUGGAAUAGAAUAUUACUAGUAUUAAUUAGACUAUAAUAGAAUCUACCUAAAAUGCAAGUAUCAAUCUAACAAAAAUAGAAGCAAUUGGAAGCAAUUAUUUAUGAAAAUUAUCUAGGAAUUUGUUACAAUUACGUCAUUGAAAUAGGAAAUGUAAACUGAAAAUAACACACCUUCAUGUGUGGUUCUAUUUUCAUAGGUAAGGUCUCCUCCUCAACUUGACGAAUUGGUUUCUCCACUACUUCUGGUAGAAGCAAUAGUUUUGAUUUCAUGUUGGAACUACUCACAUCGGAUUGUGGUGUAGCAACUCCUAUUUGAGAUAGUCUCGCUAAUACAUCAGCCUCAAACUUAACUUGACGUUCUUGAGUUGCUUUUAAAAUAUCCCUCACAACACGUUCUGACAUACUAUUGAAAUAUUGUCCAGGUGUGUAGUGCUUCCCUUUAGCCCGAACCCGACCAGUAUACUCAGGAGUACCUAGUGCUUGAGAAAGUAUGUCAUUGCUCCCACUAUAGUUUAUGCCACUCUCUUGAGAUUCUUUCAUCAAUUCAUCCUAAAACAAGAUGAAGUUAUGAAGUUAACUUUGAAAUAGGUAAAAUAAAAUAAGGUGUUUAAAGAUGUGAUUUUUGGGUACAAAAUGUCUACUUACUAUCUUUUCCACUACCGGUAUGACCACAUCAUCAUAGCUGCCAUCUUUUUUUUGCAUUGCCUUCUUCCAAAGUAAACUCCUAUCAAUGAUUUCUGUGGAGCCAGCUUCAAUCAUCUAAUAGAAAUGGAAACUUAAAGAUAGUUAUUAGAUGACACAUGUGUUUUUAUUUUUAUUUUUUUGUCAAAAAAGAAACAAUUAAGAAAACCAUAUAAACUAUUCAUUCAUUACUUAUACAAUCAUAUAAAAUUAAACCAUAAUAAGAACUAAUAAAAACUUACCAUCUCUUCCUCAAGUCCAACAUACCCUUUUCUACUUAGAUGAUGAUUAUAUAUAUGCUUCUUUCUUCUCUAUUUUUGUACUUCCCUAUAUUCCUACAAAUUAAAAUGGAUGGUUAGUAUAUAUAUGUGGAUGCAUGUAGUAUGUUUAAUGUUAAUUGUAUUUGUACUUGGAAUUUUUCAGACAACCUAUUUUUCACAAAAAUAUUCCAAUCUUCAUCAUCGAUAAAAUGAUAUUCAACUGGUGGUUUCUUAAGAAGCUCUGGCUCAUCUUUGAAAGGAAGAAUAUGUUUCACAGUCAACGUGUUCUUAAAAGAUCGGAAACAUUUUCCCAAUGUAAGCAUACAAUUCCUUCUGCUUUUCUUGUCUAAUGUAAAAGCAAUCUACAAAUUGCAAAGUCAUUAGUACCUCCAAAUUUUAAAGAAAUAUAGAGAUUGUAGAAAACUUAUUUAUGUAAAAAAAAAAAAAAUGAAGUAACCUCAAUAGAGUCCCACAACUUAUCCUUCAAUUGUUCAGGGACAUCUCGCCAUGUGUUAUAUCUUAUUGGUACCAUCAUACGUGCAAAUACACCUAAGUAGCUUGUUAGGUGCACAGAAGAUUCUCCUACAUAGAUACCAUCAGCAUUGUACUUUAUGACCAACUUUAUCCCUCUAUUCCUAUUCCUUAUAAUCAUGGAUUUCCUUGUUGUCCCUCUAUAUUUUUUUUUUUGUAGGGGGUUUUCUCUUCCUUUGAAUCCAUGCCUAUAAUACAUAAAUGACAAAUGAUAAGUAAACCCAUUAAUUGCAAGUAAAAUUGAAUUUUUUAUAACAUGCACUCAUAUUAGUAGCAUGAACAUACUAGGAAUAUUUUACAUGCUAGAUAACAACAUUCACAUGUUGUCAUGAAAUAUUUAAAAUAAAUAAUAAUAAAUAACUUACUAGAAAAUCCUCACCAAACUUUUUUCUUAUGGAACUAGAAAUCAUAAGCUUUGAGCUAAGACAAAUUGAUAUCCUUGUAUUACCCUUUAGAUCACUCUAAGAUAUGUGCAUAAUAAUAAUCAUGAAAUAGGGAAUCAAUAAAUUUAUAGACAUGAUGAAUUUAAUGACAUUAGAAAAUAAAUAAACUAUUUACUGAAAUGCAGAAUUUCAAUAUUAACAAGUUAAUGGGAUAGUUGCAACCUUCACAACAAAACAACAAGGUCCUAAAUUUAGUUACAUAGAAGAUUUGUUAUCAAUCCAGAAUCCCUCACAGUCUCCUCGAAUGCAAAUGACAUCAGAGUCAUCCAUUGUAUCAAAUGAUUCAACUUGUGGCAAGGUGGUAAUGAGAGGAUGGUGUUCAAUAGAAUUAUCCAUAAAGUCAUCAGAAUCCUCUGCUGAAAUGGAGAAGUCCCUUUGAGGAGUUGACAAAACAACUGACCAUCUUAGAUCAAGUUGGUCUUGUACAUAGAACACUUGCUUGGCUUAGGAGGCUAAAAAUGAAUGGAUCUAAUUUAUGAGCCAUCUUAGUGAAGUCAACUAAUGUCAGCCCAAACUCAUCAACUUUGAUGCCGUUCUUAUUAUCAACCCAAUUGCAUUUGAAAACUAGAAUCCUAAACAUGGUAUAAUCAAGAUCCCAGAUCUCAGUAAUAAUACCAUAGAAACAUAGCUCACCAAAUACUAGAUUUUUAUCCUUGGCACUAGAAAUUUGCAUUGUUGUUGCUACAAUGCUGACUCCACUAUUCUAGGUAACUCGUAAUUCAUCACGGUCUUUUGUAUUGUAGUGACACCCAUUUAUAACAUAGCCAUGAUACUUGGACACAUAGUGGGUAGGACCAUGUGCUAUCCAUCUUAGGGUUUCAGAUAUAGGUUCUUUGUCAGCAAUGGAAACUUCUACCUGUUUCAAUGGGCCAUAGUUAUUAAUAUUUUUUUAUGAUUUGUGCUAAGAAUGGUGCAACUUUUACAAUAAAUUCAAUACCUUUUUUCGUAACCAAUGAGUGAAUGUUCGCAUGUGUUCUUCUUGUAGCCAUUUUUGUCUCUUAGAUUGACGAGGAUUGUUCAAUUUCAACCAUUUCAUGUGUUCUCUAUAAGAUAUGUAUAAGAAAGUAACAAUAAGUUUCCAAAUUUAGUUUAAGUAAUCUACACAUAAAAUCAAAAUAGUUGACCCUUACUCGAUAUAAGGUUGGAUGAUAGUUGUAUUUUCUAACACAUAAUGAUGUGCUUGCAACAACAAAUUAGAAUCAACUUCGGUGAUAUGACCUCCAGGAAUAGGUGCCCCAACUUUAUGGUCAACAUUAGUGCUACUAGGAACCCCAAUUGCAUCCACAUUUGAUAAGUACUCUGUACAAAUUCAAUAGCUUCCUCUGCAAUGUAGCAUUCAACAAUGCAACCUUCAGGGUGGUUACGGUUUCGCACAAAACCCUUUAAUACUUUCAUGAACCUUUCAACUGGUACAUCCAUCUUAAAUAAACCGGUCCAUAAAGUCUCACCUCUCUAACAAGAUGAACUGUUAAAUGAAUCAUGAUAUCAAAGAAGGAUGGUGGAAAAUACUUUUCAAGCAAGCACAAUGUCACAACAAGUUCAUUUUGUAACUUAUCCAAUGUAGACACAUCAACCACCUUCUUACAUAAAGCAUUGAAAAAAAAGCUCAAUCUAGCAAUAGCAUGUCGUACAUGCUUUGGCAAAAGUGAUCGCAAUGCCACUAGUAACAAUUGUUGCAUCAGUGUAUGAUAAUCAUGGGACUUCAGGCCAUAAAGCUUCAAAUCUUCCAUUGACACAAGAUUUCUAAAGUUUGAGCAAUACCCAUCAGGAACCUUUAACUUAGCUGAAGUUUGACAAAAUACUUUCUUCUCCCUUCUAGACAAUGUAUAACAUGCAGGCGGAAGGUAAGUUCGAUUCGAUUCAAACCUUGGUGCCAGUUCACACCUUAAGCCCAUGUCCAUAAGGUCUAGGCGAGAGUUGAGUCCAUCUUUUGUCUUCCCUGGGAUGUUAAGUAAUGUACCAAUGACGCUUUCACAAACAUUUUUCUCAAUGUGCAUUACAUCCAAAUUAUGACGAACAUGCAAAUAUCUCCAAUACUCAAGUUCGAAGAAUAUGGACUUUUUCUUCCAAUAAUUGGCAUAAGUCACAUUGGAUUUAUCAUGUUUUCCCCCUUUUUUUCCCCCAUGAAUUACAAAUGGCAUUCAUUUUCAAUAGUAUUUCAUCUCCACUUAAUGGUUGUGGAGGUGAUCGAAACUCCUGCUCACCAUUGAAUGCCUUUUUAUGUCUUCUAAAAGGAUGAUUGCAUGGAAGAAAACAUCUGUGGCCUGUAAAUGAGUUCUUUCUCCCAUGCAAAUUUAUGAUAUUGGACAAGCAAAAUAUCCUUUGACUGUGCAACCAGAUAAGUUUCCCUAUGCAGGAAAGUCAUUUAUUGUCCAUAAUAGAACAACCCUUAAUGUAAAGACUUCUCUUUGAUAUGCAUCAUAAGCUUCAACCCCUAUCUCCCACAAGGUUUUAAGGUCCUCAAUCAAUGGUGCUAAAUAGAUAUCUAUGUCAUUGUCAGGUUGUUGUGGACCCGAUAUUAACAAAGAUAACAUCAUAAAUUUUCUCUUCAUGCACAACCACGAUGGAAGAUUAUAAGUGAUCAUGACAACUGGCCAACAACUAUACCUGCUGCUCAAGGAACUAUGGGGAUUUAUGCCAUCUGCUGAAAUGGCAAGUCUAAGGUUUCUAGGUUCUACAGAAAAAUCAGGCCAUCUAUGGUCAAUUACCUUCCAUGAUGGCGAGUCGGAUGGAUGACGCAUUUUUCCAUCAAAUUCUCCACCUUGUGCAUGCCAUAUGAGGUCUUUUGCGAUUUUUGAGGACUGAAACAUUCUUUUAAAUUGUGGGAUAGGUGGAAAAUACCACAUCACUUUAGUAGGAACUCCUUUACUCUUUUUGCUUCCUCUUCUAUUCACCUUCCACCUUGAAGCUCCACAUAUAGGACAUGAAGAUGCAUCUUUUAACUCAUUCCUAAAAAGUAUGCAAUCAUUGGGACAUGCAUGUAUUUUUUCAUAUUCCAUUCCCAAUGCAUUCAAUGUUUUUUUUGCUUCAUACAUAAACAAUGGCAACUCAUUGUUGAUAGGCAACAUAUCACCAAGUAAGCUUAAUAGCUCAGAGAAGCUUUUAUCAGACCACCCAUAUCUUCCUUUUAGAUUGUAUAAUUUAACUAAAGCAGAUAAUUUGGUGAAGUUUUUGCAAUUGGGAUACAAAGGUUUUUCAGCAUCUUCAAGCAACCUUUCAAAUAAUUUUGGAUUAGCCUUACAAUCAUCUUGUGCAGCUUCAACCAUUUCUACUGUAUGAUCCACAUUACCAAUAUGAAUUCUAUCAAAACAUUCAGCCCUUGUAGUUGGGGGUCCACUACUUAGAGCUGCUUCCCCAUGCCAAAACCAAGUAUGGUAGCUUUGGUCAAUUCCAUAAAAGAAUAGGUGUUCUCUAAUCUUUUGAGGAGUAUUGAAUAUCAAAUUUCCACACUGUAGACAUGGGCAUUUGAUGGAGUUUUGAUGUGCAGAAUUUUGAAUUGCAAAUGAAAUAAAAUUUUCAACCCCAUCCUCAUAGUCUUUUGAUCUUCUAUCUUUUGACAUCCAGGAACGAUUCAUUUGCCUAUAAUAGGUGAACUCAAUUCCUAUAUAGCAAACAUAAGCAAACAAUGGAAAUGGAAAAGACUUAGAAACGUUACCUUUAGAAAACACUCAAAACUUUCAGUUUCUCAUUUGUGACAUCCAAAAUUUCUUUUUAAUUAUCUAUGGACAAACAAAUAGGAUUCAGAUGCAAUAAAAAAUUUGAACUCCAUCCUAAAAAAAAAUGAUUAACAAUAUGACAAUAGAACCUUUUGAUGCAUGUUUUUAUGCCUUUUAACAUGUCCAACAUCCAAAAUCGGGUAGUAGUUCCUAUCCCAUGUAGGAAUAAAUAAUCCCUAUGUGUUAACUGCCAAUAUACUCAAUUUCAUUUUGAAGAAAUUUUGGCAGCAUUUCCCCAUAGUUCUCCAAGUACACAAAAUGAACAAGGUAUAAUAUGUGACCUUAUUCAAAUAUGCACCCAGAGAACAAGAGGAAAUUAAAGACUACCAAAAUUUCUAAAAAGUGAAUUAAGCACAAGUAAUCAACUUCAUAGAUAUUAUGUUUUCCUACACUGUCCAAUCGGACAAUUCAAGCAUCAUUGCAAAAAAAAUAUCUUUAUCACAUUCUAGACAAUUUAAAAGUUGUCAACUUGAAAGUGGCUUGGAUAAAACCUUUUUCACCUUUGACAACUUAAAUGUCUUUAGUGUGUAAUAAGAGAAACUUUUUAUCUUACAAUGAUAGUUGAAUGGGAACUCUAAGGUUUCAUGCAUGCAUGUUUGAUUAAAAUUAAAACACAAUUACUUAUUGAAUAAUCUAAUAAUUAUAAAACACCUAAAGAUGUUCCAUAAUUAUUGGUAUAUUUCAUGUUAUCCAUUAACCAUUAAACAAGAUUAUUUUAAGAAAGCAUACGUAUGGCCAUGAUUUGCGAAUCAAGUCACACCAGUCUAUGUCAUAGCCUUGGGUCAAAAUUUGGGCCUUAGUAUCAAACUAAGCUGGGGAAUAACUUGUAGAAUUCAGGUACUCAAUAAGAUUUAAAAAAAAAUUAAAAUAACGCCUCCAUUAUAUUCUUCUAACCACCCAAAGCAAAACUGGCAUUAUAAUUAAAAUAUGUUGGUUUGUAUAAGGAAAAAUAAUGUACCUUCCUUAGUCUGUCUUUGUCUCAAGUCUUGCAUCACACACCUCUCACAGUCCAAUGUAGCUCACUGUCCCUUAAAAUAUGUAUAUGCAAAACAAAUAAUAAAUAAAUAAAUAACAUAAAUCCAUUAGUAGAUAUUAACAAAUAAAUAAUAAAUAAAUUAAAAUAAGAAAAUAAACUAAGAAAAAAAGACAUAUAAGUAAGAAAAAAAAGAUUUUCACACGUGCAACAAUGGUUAGAUAUUUUUAAAAAUUUAUAAAAUUAUUAAAAUUAAACUAUUUUAGUUAUUAAUUUUUUUAAAAUGGUAAUUAAUACUCCUAUAAAAUAAAAUAUAUGCAUGGUGAGAAAGCUAAGAAGAUUCUUCCUUGUGCCUCUUUUCAUUUGAGAUUCUGACUUUUGGUGAUGACCUAAUGGUGGGUGAACCGUGAACCACACUGUCUAACCCGGGUCAAGUUCUUAUUUUUUGAAAGAUGACUGCAAGAUGGGUAGAACUUAAAUGAAUGAGAUAGAAAAGCCUGGUCUAAAUUAAGGUGGCUUAACAAUAUUGUAAUCAUCUUGGCUAGGUUGUAUCAUAUAGUGAAAAAAACGUUACAGGCUAGGUCUUCAGCAUCCAACAAUUCCACCCUUUGAUUUUUCCAACAAGUUACACCAUCUAAUAAUAAUACCUAUGAUCCUAUACCUUAGUUUUGAUUCGUUAUGUAUACAAAGUGUAUAUAGUUACACUACAUUAAAGUUUUUUUUUUUCUCUAAAAAGUAAUGAGUGUAAAUUUUUAAAUUAGGCUAAUAUUCAUUUUUUUUUUCACUUCUUAUUUUUUGUUUUGAAAAUAGAAAAUAGUUACAACUCUUAUACAAAAUAUUUUACUAUUUUUUGUUUUUAAAAUAGAAAGUUAGAAAUUGUAUUUUAAAAGCAAUAUUCUAUUUCAAUCCACACAAAUUAUACAAGUUUGGAAAUAUUCCAUUACCAUAUUUUGAGUAAUAUUUUGAAAGGGUUAAUUUUAUUAAUUUCCCGUCAAGAUUUGACUAAAUAUAAUGGCCUUUAUUGGUUUAAAAUUCAUUAAAUACCUCUCUUACUUUGAGUGAGAGUAGAGUUCAUCGAAAAAAAUAAAUAAAAAGAAUAGUAAAUAUGUUUGAUAAAUUUCAAACUAAUGAAGAUUAGAUAUAUUUAGCUAAAAACUUAAAGGUGAAUGAAAUUAAUCUUAUUUUUAAAAGAUAAUAUAUUUUUGAAAGUUUAAAAAUAUUCAACUACCUUAUAUUUUUAAAAAAGAUUGUAAUUUGGAGUAUUCUUGAAGCAUUGUAAACUACUUAUUUUCAAUCUAUGGCAAAACCUUAUGUAACUUUUGGCUAUCUCCUCAUCCUUAGUAAGAAAUUGGAAUUUUAAUAAUUUUGUAUUUUGAUUUCUCAUAAUUUAGAUCUUUUUCCAUAAUUAUAUAUCAUUUCCUAAUUUUAUAUCUAUUAUUCUAAUUGAAGAUUAGUUUAAUAAGGAAAGUUCUAGAAAUUGGAAAAAAAAAAUUCUAAGAAGCUUUUAUCCAAUAAGGAAGACUUUUAUCAUUCAAGGGUUCUUAUAGAAUAAAUUUAAGGAAAUUAAAAUAAUUUUUCAUAGACUUAGGAUCCUAUCACAAAUUCGAUAUUAGAGGGGUAUGUUCAGAAAGGGGAUGUGGAGGAGGCGAGGUUGAUAUUUGAUCAGAUGCCAGAAAGGAACAUAAUUGCUUCCAAUUCAAUGAUUGUAUUGCUUGGGAAGAUGGGGCAAGUGAUGGAGGCAUGGAAGUUGUUUAAUGAAAUGGAUGAAAAAGAUAUGGUUUCUUGGAGUGCAUUGAUUUCGGGUUAUGAGCAAAAUGGGAUGUACGAAGAGGCUCUGGUUAUGUUUAUUGAGAUGAAUGCUAAUGGAAUGAGGUUGGAUGAGGUUGUGGUGGUUAGUGUUCUUUCUGCAUGCACUCACUUGUCCAUUGUUAAGAUAGGGAAGAUGAUCCAUGGAUUAGUCAUAAGAAUGGGGAUUGAAUCUUAUGUGAACCUUCAAAAUGCUUUGAUUCAUAUGUAUUCUGGUAGUGGGGAAAUAAUGGAUGCAGAAAAAUUGUUCAAUGGAAGCCACAACUUGGACUAGAUAUCUUGGAACUCCAUGAUAUCUGGGUACAUGAAAUGUGGGUCAGUCGAAAAGGCCAGGGCAUUGUUUGAUGUCAUGCCAGAGAAGGAUAUUGUGUCAUGGAGUGCAGUGAUAUCGGGUUAUGCCCAACAUGACUGAUUCUCGGAGACUUUGGCAUUGUUCCAUGAGAUGUAGCUAGGACAAAUAAAGCUUGAUGAGACAAUUUUGGUGAGCAUCAUCUCAGCUUGCACCCACUUAGCUGCCCUUGAUCAAGGCAAGGGCCCGCGAAGCAUCGGGCAACAAUACUGAUGACAAUGAAGCCAAGGAGAGGGAACUAGAAAACAUUAUGGCAAUGUGGAAGAGAGCAGCACAAGUAGGAGAGAGAUGAGAAGAAUGAAAGGUUAACUCAGUUCCGAAUGUCAAAAAAAAUGCCAGUAAGCUAGAAAAGAACAUCAUGGUGCUUAUAACAGGUUGACCAAUGAUAAUAGGAGGAACCAAACUCUUGAAAUGGAAAGCAAAGAAUUGAUGAUAGGUGAUAGAGAACCUAAGAAAGCGCAGUCAUCCUGUAUCGAUACGUCCAGAUUGUACAAGUCUUGCCUCUCCAGUCAUCAGUCAUCGUUCAUGAUUCUGUAGGAGGGACGAGGUGGACCAAACUAGGCAAGAUCGCAGGCUUGCAUUGAGCCAUAGUUACCUUCAGCCGGAUGGGCCCAAAUCUAGCCACAUCCAAAAGAACAUACCAAACCCAGUCCAAAUUCCUACAUCCUAAAGUAAAAUUUAAAUUGUGGAAAGUCUACAGUCUAUUUCCAACCGAGCCAAGCCCAUAUAUUUUGGACCUGGUGCCUCAACCCUUGACUGCCGAACAACUAAGAAUCAGACCCAAGCCCACCAGAGAAAUUUUUAAAACAUGUCUCUUCCAAACACAUCAUUUUUGCCAGUUGUUCCCCUCUCAAUACCAUUUAAAAAAUCCCCCAUUCUGCAGCUUUCUCAACUGCUGCAGCCUCACUUGUCUUUUCCUUGGUGUACGAACACGGCAUGUCCAUACCUACAGACAGUAGAGGCUGCACCUCCUUUAGCCCUAACCUCCAUCCCGAUCACCAUGCUCGCUGCUGCAUCUCCUUAUCACUACACAAAGCAAAAACAGGGUGGCACUUCCCACCACAAUUGAAAGGAGAAGCUGGAACAACCUACCACAACUUGCAACGCACCAGGCAUACUACUUCUAUAGAUGUUAUUUACACCAACCAUUUGGUUAUUUACAAUAAGAACAAAAAUGCUCUGUAUUUAUUUGGGAUACCAUUUCCCUGAUUUUUUCCUCCCAAAUUAAUUUCCUCAUCUAUGAAACAAUAAUAUCAGAUAUUUGGAACAAUGAAAACCCUUCCAUUUGUCUUUAUUUGAACUAAUCUAUUCAAGUAUGAGGAAAACAACAUUAGUUGAGAAAGAGAUUUACCUUAACUAUGAUGCUCUAUAGUUGAUUUUCACAAUGGUAACCUCUCAUGCAUGAAAGUUAGACAUGGCCAUUCCAACGGAUUAGGGCAUUUUAGUGGUGGACUUUGCAAGGGGAAUGGAUUUUGGCAACUGAUGUGGAGUGAAAUGACUUUGCAAGGGGAAUGGAUUAGGGAAUUUUAGUGGUGGACUUAGUGAGAGCUAUAAGGUUUCGGGGUUUCUUCAGUUCUGAAAUGGUGGAGGGAAUGUUUGGAGGGCACUCGUACGUAGAAAGGGAAAAGCUUUUAAUUAAUAUAUAUUCAGAACAUAUAUAUAUAUAUAUAUAUAUAUAUAUAUAUAUAUAUAUAUAUAUAUUAUUUAAUGUCACUCCAUGAAAUAUCACAACUAUGACACUUCUAUAAAGUGUCAUGACAUAACUAGUUAUUCUUAUAAUUAAAGGCCUUAUCAAACAAUGAUACUUUAAAUAAGUGCCAUGAAAUAAAAAAAACUACUAUAAAAAAUGACCCCUUUAGAAAAACGCCAUUGUAUAUCCCAAUAUAAUGAUACUUUAUGAAAGCGCCAAGGAUUAAAGCUAUGACACUACUAUAAAGUGUCAUGACAUAACUAGUUAUUCUUAUAUAAAGGCCACAUCAAACAAUGAUACUUUAAAUAAGCACCAUGAAAUAAAAAAACUACAAUAAAAAAUGACCCUUUUGGUAAAACGCCAUUGUAUAUCCCAAUAUAAUGAUACCUUAUGAAAGCGCCAAGGAUUAAAGCGUCAUAAUUUUCUAUUUUUGUAGUAGUGUAUUAUUCGCUAGAUUGGGUUGUACACCCCAUAAGGUGUAUAGGAUUUUUAUUUGGUUGUAAAAAUCUUUGUUUUUCAAUAGAUGAGUUGUAAGCUUCAUUAAAAGAGCAUAGAAAUUUUCAUUGUUGUAAAAAUUUCAAUUUUUUAUAUCCAUCUAUUGUGACCCAAGAGAAAAGAAGGAACCUUGAAAGUUCUUUUUGAGAUUCUAUGGUGGUUAAAGAAAAAAUAAGCAUUUUUGGAAUUUCUUGGUUUGAGAUCCAUGGCAGCAUAGUGAUGUUGACUUAAACUAAAAAUUAGGAUUACCUCCUAGUAGUUUCUUAGGGCAAGCCACAUAUGGAUUUAAAGCUUAAGAAGUUGUGAAUCCAAUGCUUUAAACAUAUCAUAAUUAUGAAGGAGAUAUGGCCGAUUGAAACAAGGUUGUGCAAAGUGCAUGGUAGCACAAUGAUGUCAACUUUGAUCCAAAAUUGCGGCUACUUCCAAUAAGUUUCCUGGGGCAAGUCACCUAUGGUUUUGAAUCUUAGAAAGUCAAGAAUCCAAUUAUUCUUCAAACAAAUUGUAAUUCAGAGUUGAAACAAGAGAGAUAUGGUUAAUCGAAGCAAUGUUGUGUAAGGAGCAUGCUGUUAUAGGAUUGCAUACGGGUCCAAUUCCUUUUAGUUGUUUGGUUUGAAUUUUGGGCCUCUCCUUGGACGUAAUUUUUUGUGGAAAUUAGGCCUUUUAGGUUUUCUAUUUUCACUAACCUUAUUUUUGGUUGCAGGGCUAUUUUUUGGUAAUUUGGAUUUUUUUUCCAAAUUUUAAUUACCAAAUAUGCAAUAGGAUUCCUCCGAGCCAUGAGAAAUUUUCUAUUUAAUUACUCCCUUAUUUUUAUUGUAUGCUCUUGUUUAAUUGCAUACGCGGCCUCAAGAUAUUUUGGUAUUCUUAAUUGGAAAUGAAUUUUUAUGUUUUUUUUCAAAAUAUGAAAACUUAUUUAAAUUGGAAUGUGCAUGGUUAGGAAUUUUUUUUUCUUUUUAAGAAAAGAUAAGUUGGAAAAAGGAUUAAGAGCUUUCUUAACUUUAAUUGUUAAAGACUUUAAUUUUAUUUAAAAAAUCUUCUCAAAUAUUUGAGAUCUCUAAGAAUAAAAUCUUUCUUUUAAGAAAAAGCUCUUGUUUUCCCAAAUCUUUAUAAAAUAGUAUUUUUCCUAUUUUGCAUAGGAUUUUGACUUAAAGAAAAUAAGUUAAUUUUUGGAAUUCAUGAUAGAUAAUUUAUAAUUAAGAAUGGUUGCCAAAAUAAGCAUUAGAACCCAAAGAAACAUUUUUUUAUGUUCUAUUUAGGCCAACUUCUAUAUACUCUAGAGCACUUUGCAAAAUUAAAUUAUUUUUUGAUCUUUUUAAUUUAAAUGAAUAUUUUUCUCUAUAUUAUUGACUUAUUGAAAUUGAAUUUUGACACAUAGAAUAUUAGAAAAUAUGCUUUCUUGAGGGAGAUAUGAUUUUUCAAAGUUGUACCUACUAUACAUGAUGGAUUCUGGACAUCUCAUUAAUUUGAGUGUUUAAAAAAAAUACUUUUGAGUGCUAAAUGACUCUAGAUUUAUUUUUUCUAUAAACUAGACACCUUAAAGGACAUGUAUGAUUUUUUUUAUGAUUUUAGGAGGCCUAUGAAUAUUUUUACAAAUUCAAUGUAUGCACGUUACCGUUUUCUGCCCAUUUCAAGACUUCCUAUAACUUUUGGGUGUUUUUGCUUAAAUAUGUAAUAUGAAUGGGUGUUUGGGCUUUUUUAUGUUGUUCUAGACAUGUAGGAGUUGUUUCCUGAAAAUAUUUGUAAUUAAAUUCCACUCCAAUAUAUUUUUUUAGGGUUUGUGUCAUGAUGCUCCCUAUUCUGACUACAUGCCGAUGAUCUUGUACUUUGCUUGACUUUGUUAUUUAUUUUGGGAAUUGUUCGACUUAUCUUGGCUCGAAUUUGGCUUUGGUAUUAUAUAUUAGACAUAAUGAGGAUGUUGUAUAAUUCAUUACAUAAUCAAAAAUGUUUCUAGGUAUUUAAUUAGAAUUUUUCUUGUAUAAGCUAUUAUUCCGCCCCUUUGCCGCUUGUCCUAUCAUGGUCGCUAAUUUUGAUUUUUUUACUCUCUUGUACAUUAGUUUAGCUUUAACCUUGAACUGCAUAUAUGUCAUAUAUGAUAGUUAAUGUUAUUUAGGGUCUCAAACUAAUUUUUGACAAUGUAUGAAGGCUUGUUUUGUUGAUUAAAUGAGAUAUACGUCUUCAAGUUUAUUUUUUUCCUUGUCAUUCGAUCUUGCUAAGUUUUUGCCAUUUCAUUUGAAUUAUGCAUGUGCAAUGUGUAUUAGGAUUCACUAUCAUUAUUAUUUGUCAUUAUACUUGUUCUAACCCACUCUAGCAUUUUUGGAAGCACCUUGUAAAUUAUGCAUGCUAUCUAGGAAUGCCUCUCCUCCCUUUUAUCCUUCUAAGUUGUAUGAAUAGAUAUGCUUUGUGUGUAAAACACCCUCAUGCUUGAUUGUGUUUUAGAUUGCUUUGAUUAGUGCCUAGUAUUGUGAAUAGAAUAGAUUGCAUGUUGUAUGUUAUCUAUCUUGUUGUUUAAACUAACUUCGAUGUAUUGUGAUAGUGCUUAAGUUGCGGUUCAGGUACGCAUACUACCAUUUCUUUAUGAUUGUGUUUUGAAUUCUUCUUUGGCAUGCUAGUGAUCAUAGAGUUUUGAAAUCAUCUUAGCUACUUGGGUGUCCGUAAUCAACCAACUAAUUUCCAUACUUCCCUUAAAUUAGCUAGUAGAGAACUUUAUAAGGCUUAGAGGGGUGAUAACUCUUUAAAGGUACCUUUCCAAUAGGUAACUUGAUCCCCGGACCUAGACUCGGGUUUUUCGCAAACAAUUUUUCCAAAAGUCAGUAGUCAUUUAAGGGUUUUAUUCUUACUUGAUUUCCUCUUUAAAAAUAAAUAAAAGUAAAUGGCGACUCCAAAUUUUAAUGAAAAUAUAGUUUUUUCACAAAUCAAAAGCGAGUCUCGCCAUUUUGAGUGAGGAUGUAUCAUGAAAAAUACGGGUUUACACAUCUCAUGCUACAUAUGGAAAGGAUAAAACCUACUAGACACAUCACCUCGAUCUAAGCGAAGUGCCUUAAUAUGUUUACCUUAUAGGUUAUCCGAUUCCACUUUAAAUUCAAUAAAUUUAUCCAAGGCAUCAGAUUUCCUAUCUACAUAUCCAAACCUAGAGUAUUUAUCAAUAAAAUAAUUAAAUACCCAUACUUUCCAUGCAUAAACACAAAAAGGUUCAGAUAUGUUAGUAUGCACUAACUCCAAACAUUCCCUGGUUUCAUGUCCUUUAGAAAUAAAAGGGUCAUCUGGUCAUCUUACCAUCUAUACAAGAUUUGCAGACUGAAAUAUCAUUUGGACUAAAAGUGUCCAGACUUAAUCAGUCUUUGGAUCCUGUUUAGAUUAAUAUGACAUAGGGAUUAGAAGCCAAAUGUUUGAUUAGUGCUAGGUUCUUUCUCUUAGUGAGAUCUGACUACUCUCAUUACUUGGGAAAGUGAUAAUGGAGUCUCACAUAAAAGAGGUAAUACCUCCCACUAACUUGCACAAUUAAUCUUGCAACUGAAACUAAGGUAAGUACAAUCCCAUCAUGUGAAACCCUAUAAAGAACUAUAAAUAGUAUGUCUGAAAUCUAUCCACCACAAUUGGUGAAAUCCACAAUUAUGUAUUCAACAAUGAUAACAUGAUGUGUUCUUGCUUAUCCUUAGGCACUCUAAGCAUUGUUUUUAUAAGUGUCCCAAAAGGUCAUAAAGGAAUCAUUGCCCAUGAGUUUGUUCUCUCAUUCCUUUCCUUGAACUUUCCUUAUUUGAUGUUGUUCUUCUUCUUAUUGGUAGAAGAUCCUAAAGAACCUUGACUUCCAUUUUAACACCCUUCCACUCUUUGAGAAUCUUUUUAUCCAUCUCAAAGGAUUUUAGUAAGAUGUCCAAGAUAACAUGAAUCCUGGUGUUCAUAAUAGUCUUAAGGGUAACUUGUCUAGUUGACUUGCCCUUAUCACCAGAUAACGCUUGCAACUUUAAAUACAAUAUCAUAGACCAUGGCAAUAAACACAUUUUACUUUUGCAACACAUUAUCUAAAGACCCAAGUAUGAGACACUUAGUCUUCUAAUUCAUCUUAUGCCACCUUUGAUAUGCUUCUCUUACUUUAUGUCAGGUUUGUUAAAAGGAAAUAACAAACUCUACCUAAAUUAGCUUUUAUACAAUUAAUACUAUAUCCAUAUUACUUUUAAUCUAUAACUAGGUCCAAUUUAAACAUGAGAUAAGAGGUGAUAGGUUAAGGACUUGAUAUCUGUAAUAAAUAUAACAAUUCCAUGCAUUAUUAAAAGUAAUUGAGCAUUCAAGCAAGUUGGUAAUUAAUUUAGCAAAAAUGUAGUGUUGUCAAACUACAUGUCAUUUUGCAAAGUAUCCUAGUAUCAUAAGAAUCAAGCCUACUUUAGGUAGGUCAUGACUCUUAUUACUAGGGUAGAGACCUUCUCUAAUUGAUCAACUUGCCUUAAACUUUAAAAGUUAUCCUAAGGCAUUAAUCAACAUACCCUUUUUGUUAAGCCCUUAGCCCAUGCAAAUGGAUCACUUUAGGUGAUUCUACCACUUCAUGUCUAAGUUAAGUGUGUAACUGAGAUCCUUGACAUCAAUGUUACCAAGUGAAGAGUUUUAUCUUUAGGAUUGCUCACUCACACUACAAACAUAUAUAGUCUCAUCCAUAAAUGAUAGUCUAUAUCCCUUGAUUCCUUGGGCCACCCCAUUUUUAGGAUGGUGAUGCACCCAAAAUCAAAAUGGACUCAAUCUUGGAGGUUAUGGGCUUACCUAUGGCCCUCUCCCACUUAAUAUUUUGAAAUUAGAGUUUUUAAAACAUUAGUAAUUACCUAGAUGAAUAAAUUAUCCUUUUUGAGAAUUUCCAAAAAUAGUUAUUUCUUAAUUGGAAACUAGAGUUACAGAAGAAUGUCCAUAUGCAAAAUUUAAAAUUUCUAUUAAAGUAAUUUAUCCAAAAAGGAAUUUUGAUAAAAUUUCAACUCUCAAAUGUUAAAAAUCUACUUUCAUAAAAAAUUCUCCUUCUUCACACAAAUCUAAUUAAUAAAUAUUUUUUCUAGGAAGUAUUUUUAAAGAAAUUUUUUUCCAUCAAAUUACUAAAUAUCCUUUUGGUAAUAACCUUUAAUGAUAAAUUAUUUCUAAAAAAAAUUUCCAUAAGAUAUUUAUUAUUCAAAUUGGAAACUUAGUGUAAUAAGGAAACAUCCAAUUUAUAAAAUUUUGAAAACUUGAGAACACUUUGUCCAAUUAGGAAAGAUUUAAUUCUUCAAGGAUUCUCAAAAAUAAAUUUAAGAAAAAUAUUUCAAAUCCUUAAGAAUAAAUUUAGAAAAGAUCUUUAGCUCUCAUUGUUGGGAACCCCAAAUUACUUCGUUCUCAUGCCUUGGAUCGUGCAGGGUGCAUGCAAAUCUAUCAUAGGCUCUCUAAAUCUAUCACAACAAAUAAACUGGUAUUCAAAAACAAUAUGGAUAUCAUAGAAAGCAUAGAUCUAGAGAAUAAAGUCACAUAUCUUUGAUUAAGAUGUUCCUAUAUCAAUUCCAAUCAAUAUAGAUAACUCUAAAGUCAUAAUGGAUCUCUUAAAUACCAUAAUCUUCCACCCAAUGACUCUUCUUUGUGUCUAGACACUGAGAUGGUGGAGAUCUCAAGGGUGGAGGCUAAGGUUCUCUCUCUAGACUGAAUGGAAGAAUGACAAGACCUUGAAAUCUUAACCCUUAAAGGGGUAUUUAUAGGCUUCUUAUUGGGCUUAAGUGACUAAAGCCUACCAUAGGUUUGUGUCACUUAAUCUAGCCCAAAAAGGUUGCUAAUUGAUUAAUUAACCAUACAAGGUCCUAAUUAAUCAAUUAGCCCAAUCUAGAAAUACCACUCACUUAUCCUUAUAAAGGGGUAUUUAUAGGCUUCUUAUUAGGCUUAAGUGACUUAAGCCCACCAUAGGCUUGGGUCACUUAAUCUAGCCCAAAGGGUUGCUAAUUGAUUAAUUAACCAUACAAGGUCCUAAUUAAUCAAUUAGCCUAGUCUAAAGAUACCACUUACUUAUCCCUAUGCAACCUUACAUAAUUACCAAAAUGCCCUUAUGCACAAAAGUGAACUAAAAACUCAUCCAAUGCUCAUAAACCAUGCCAUCAAGGAAUAUGAGCUUAGAGUAGGGACCAUUGAGAUCCAUAGAAAUAUUGGCUGCCUCAUAUUAAAAUUCUGAAAUUGACUCAACAUCCCACUAUAGAGAGUCAACUACACUCUAGUACCUUAUGUAUGUUACAACGAGACACCAAGUGCUCGGAUCCAUGACCUACUAUCCACUACAUGCAAACUUCCUAUGAACUAGUGUUCAUAAUCUAACAAGAUAGUACUAUCACCUAUCAAGAUUACCUAUCAAAUCCCUGAGUUACAAAUCCCACUUAUUAUAUGAUCAAUUGACAUACUUUAGAUUUAAGGCGCAUAGGUCAAAUUCCACUUAAGGAAUUAUUUUGGCUACAAAUUUCAUGAUCACGUGUCCUUUGGAUUACCCAAGGGGACACAUUAUCUCAAUCCCAUGAGAUAUCAUGGUGCCUCUAUUGAGAAUACCUGUUGUCAUCAGCCUCCAUCAAUAGUGUCCCAAUCCAUAAGGAUAUAUGACCACUUUAAGGUCUUACCCAUAGGUCAAAGCUUCUUGUUGAUUUUAGCAGAGACUCAGUAUCCUCUCAAAGUUGAGAGUCUAUGUAGUAUAGUAACUUGGUGAAUCAUGAAAAUUGAUAGUCUUGCAUCAUGAUUCAUCGUAGGUCCUAUCCAAUGUGCAUCACAUACACUAGUGCAAUCACUAUAGGAAACAUCCCGACCAUCAAGAUAAACCAUCCCUCUAAUUAGGAGGUGGUGCACUACAGUCUGUAUUGGAUUGUCCAAAUCCAUGAAACGAUUGUGGACAACUUAUCUACUUACAAAGAACCCAUGACUUGUAUCUUUUAUGCAACUCCUAAUGCACCCAAGUCAUGUACAAUAUAAAAGACAUAGACUAAAUGCUCAAAUCAAUGUCAAUAUACCAAAGGGGUAAUAAGGGGAUUGUUAAGUCUAGCUUUGUUACAUCAUGUAUUGAUUUUUGGGGCUCAAUCUCAACAAACUCCUACUUGCCCCAAAACCAGACUAGGUACUACCAAAAGAUUAUGCUCCAUAGUCAUAUCACUUCCAUGUACUAUCUCAUAAUAAGGUAACACUUCCUCUUUAUGUGUUUUGUCUUCUAGUGGUACUUCGGUUCUUUAGACCAUGCCACCAUCCCACUGUUAUCACAUAAUAGGAUCUUAGACAAUAUAGCCAAGGGAACUACCCAUAAGUCGAAAGGCUUUCUUUAUUGCUAUGGAAACAACAAAAAAUAGCUUAGAGUGUACACAUACCUAGAGGUAGACCUGCAAGAGUCCUUAUCAAAUUGAAAUUCAAUUUCUAGGUACAAAAAGAGUACCAACUCAUCGCAAAGACUCACAAACAUAUAAUCCCUCGUUCUCCAAAGAUACUAGAGUAUAUGUUUGACAUUGGCUCAAAGCUUUAAUAAGGAAAUGGACUAAUAUCCACUCAUUAUUCCUACAACAAAGCAAAUAUCUGGCAGCAUUGAUACUUAAAGCUAUCCAUUGCAAAGACAUUGGAUACCGCCUUAAUGCAAUCUCUUUCCAUAGAUGUCCAAGGACAUUAUUCCUAGGAAAGACAACUCCAAAUCCAAAAAGUAACAAACCCUUCUUGGAGUUUUCCAUUAUGUGCUUGAUCAAAUGCUUAUCUAUGUAGGUGACAUGGCAUAUAUUUUCUAUUCUUGCAGUCCUAAAAGACCUUAACCCUAAGAAUAUAUUGCACCUUCCUCUAGAUUUUCAUCUAGAACUGAGUAGACUACCAAAUCUUGAUUGAUGGUAAUAUCCCUACAUCAUAUCCAAUGAGUAGAUUGUCAUCUACCUACAAGAUCUUAGAGCAUCACCACGCUUCCCUGUGCUUUCUUAUACACAUACACAAAGGGCCCUUUGCUAUGAAAAUGUUUGGUUGUUAUAUCUUACAAAUGAGACACACUACAUUAGAUAGGAGUAAUAUGAUGGAUUUGAGUAUGACCGUUGUUGAAAAGGUUUUCCAUAGUUGAAACAAAGUUUCAAAAUAUAACCUUUAGCUACAAUCUUAACCACAUAAAACUCAAGUUUUCCAUCUACUUUUGUGCUCCUCCUAUAGACCAACUUACACCUAUGGGUUUUUUUUUCCCUUUAGGUGCUUCUACAGGAACCCAAACUAUGUUCAAAUAUAAAGAUUCUAACUACCUCUUCAUAGCUCCUUGCUUUAAGUGAGUGCAAACAUUGCUCACUCCUUCAUCCUAAUCUAUGGGAUAUAAGCCUCUCACUAUGAUGAGGCACUGGUGUACUAGAAACAUAGGAAUGGUAUGUCUUUAACCCUUUGGAUCCAUAAUAUCCUAUGCAAUGUGGGACUAUCUUCUAAUAAAUCUUACAAUCUAUAUCACUCUUUGCCUUAUUCCUUAUCAUAUAGUCUUCAUAAAAAAAUUUGACAUUUGUGUCAACAAAUAUUUUCUGAUGAUAUUCAUUAUAAAGGUAAUAACCCAAAUAUCCUUUGAGAUGUCCAAUAAUGUGAUAUACCACUUAAGAAAGAGAGGUAUUACAUAGUUUAUAAGACAUAUCCCCAAAAGAAUCUGGGAAAAGAUAAGAAUCCUAUCCACAAUCUCAUUAUGUCCAUCCAAGUUUGAUGUCUUCUUUCCACCUCUCCAUUUUGCAAUGGAGACCCUGGUGCACAUAAUUGGGAAAUAAUCCUAUGUUCCAAUGAAAAGAAUCAAACUUAUUAGACAUAUCACCUUGAUAUAAUCAAAGUGACUACUCAAUAGGUUAUCUGAUCCCGCCUUAAAUUCAAUGAAUGCAUCCAAGGCAUCGGAUUUCCUAUGUACAUAUCCAAACCUAGAGUAAUCAUCACCAAAAGUGAUGAAAUACCCAUAUUCUCUCCAUGCAUGGACACUAAAAGUUUUAUACAUGUUAGUAUGCAAUAACUACAAACAUUUCUUGUCUCUAGUCCUCUUGUUCAUUUUACCAUCUAUAUAGGAUUCGUAGAUUGAAAGAUCUUCUAGAAUCAAAGAGUCCAAACUUUAUUAACCUUUGGAUCCUAUUUAGAUUAAUAUAACCUAGGUUUAGAAACCAAAUGUUUAAUUAGUUCUAGGAUACUACCUCCCACUAACCUGCAUAACUAACCUUGCAUUUGAAGAUAAGAUAAGUAUAAUCCCAUCAUUUAACCUUCUCAUUUGUUGAAUAUCCUAUAAGGACUUACAAACAGUGAGCCUAAAAUCUAUCCACCAUAAAUGGUGAAAUCCACAACUAAAAAUUCAACAAUGAUAAAAUGAUGUAUGGUUUCCUUUUUUUCUUUAGGUAAACUAGGCAUUCCUUUUCUAAUUAUCUAAAAGGUCACAAAGGAAUCACUUUCCCUUGAGUUUGUUUUCUUAUUCCUUGUCUUGAACUUUUCUUAUUGGUAUUGUUCUCUUGUUCUCAAGAGAAAAACUUGAAAAACCUUUAAAUUCCAUAUGAACACCCUAUAAUCUUUGAGAAUCCCCUUAGCCAUCCUAAAGGAAAAUGGUAAGGUCUCUAAGAUCAUAUGAAUAUUGGUGUUCAUAACAGUCCUAAGAGUAGCUUGUCAAAGCUAACCUACCCUUAUCACACAAUAAUCAUUGCAAACUAGAAAAAAAAAAUCAAAGUCUCUAGUAAUAGAUAUGUGUUGCUAUUGCAACACAUUAUCCAAAGAUCCAAGUAUUAGACACUUGGUCUUUUGAUCCAUCUAAUACCACCUUGAUAUACCACUCUUUCUUUUGACUAGGUUAGUUCAUAAGGAAUAGUUAACUCUUCCUAAACUAACUUCAAUGCAAUUAGUUACUAUAUCCAAAAUAAAAUUAGUCCAAUUGAUUAGUUGGGCUUAGCCUAUUAUGAGAAAAAGAGUGAUAAUAACACCAACAUGAUAUCUGUAACAAAGAAUAUAACCAAGUAAAUGACAUAAUUGAGCAUUCAUAGCACUUGGUAAUUUAGCAAAAAUGUAGCGCUCUUAAACUACAUGUCUUUUUUCAAGGUAUCCUAGUUUCAUAAGAAUCAAACCUACGUGGGGCAAGUCAUGACCUUAUUACUAGUUAGAAACCUUCUCAUAUUGAUUUCCUUGCCUUAACCAUAAAGGUAUCUAAAAGCAAGAUCAACAUACCUUUUAUUUGGCCUAUUGACUAUGCAACUGAGACUACAUGAGGCGAUUCUACCACUUCAUAUCCAAUGUCAAGUGUAUAACCAUUGUCCUUGAACUAUCAAUGUCACCAAGUAAAGAAUCCCUUUGUGGGGGUGGUCGCUCCCACUACAGAUAUAUCUAGUCUUGUCCAUGUGGAGCAUAUCUCUUGAUUCUUAGGGCUAACCCACUGUGGGGGUGGUGAUGAACCCAAAUCAAGAUGGACUCCACAAUGUAGGUCGUGGGCUUGCCCAAGGCCCUUUCUCGCUUAGUCUUUUGAGAUAAAUAAGAGCAUUUCAAAACAUUAGUAAUUACCUUGAUGAAUAAAUUAUCUUCUUUGAGAAUUUCUAAAAAUAUUUAUUUCCUAAUGGGAAACCCAAUGUUUCAAGAGAAUGUCCAUAUGCAAAAUUUAAAUUUUCUAUGAGAAUAUUUUAUUCAAAAAAGAAUUUUAAUAAAAUGUUUACUCCUAAAUUCUCAUUCUUCACACAAUUCCAAUUAAUAAAUAUUUUUUCUAGGAAAUAUUUUCAAAGAAAUUUAUUUCUAUCAAAAUUAAAAAAUAUCUUUUUAGUAAUAACCUUCAAUGAUAAAUUAUUUCUAACAAAAAUUUCCAUAAGAUAUUUAUUAUCCAAAUUGGAAACUUAGUGAAAUAAGGAAACUUCCAAUUUAUAAAAUUUUGAAAACUUGAGAGCACUUUAUCCAAUUAGGAAAAUUUAAUUCUUCAAGGAUUCUUAAAAAAAUAAAAAAUAAAAAUAAAUUAAAGCUCCUUAAGAACUAAGACAUGUCAGUUGAAUACACAAUAGGAGAAUCUAUAACUCAAGGAUGGUAGAGGUAGUCCUGAUAAGCUGAUAGCUUUCACCUUGUUAGACUACAGAUACUAGUUCAUGGAGAGACUGAACGUAAUUGAUAGCAGGUCACGGACCCGAGCAAGUAGUAUCUUGUUGUUAUUUACAUAGGAUACUGGAGUCCAGUUGAUUCUCUAUAGUUGGAUGUUGAAUCAACUUCAUAAUUGGAUUUUAAGGGAACUAGUACUCCUAUGGGUCCUAAUGGUCCCAGUUUUAAGCUCAUAUACCUUGUUGACACAGAUUAUGAGGGUUGGAUUAGCUCUAGGUUCACUUUUGUGCAUAAGGACAUUUUGGUAAUUAUGCAAGGUUGCAUAAGGGUAAAUGAACAAAGUCUCUAGAUUAGGCUAAUUGAUUAAUUAAUAGGCUCUAUUGGGUUAAUUAAUCAAUUAGAACCCAUUUUAGGUUAGAUUAAGUGACCUAACCCCAUAUGGGCUCAAGUCACUUAAGCCCAGUUAGGAUCUCUAUAAAUACCCCCUAGGGGUUAGGGUUUCCAUAACUUUUGUCUUCCACCAUUCACAAAGAAAGAGAGUCAUAGCCUCCACCUUCCUUUUCUCACCACCGGAAGUGUGCCAAGAACAUGGUUAAGUCAUUGUGUGGAAGAUCAUGGGUUUAGGAAACUUCCAACAAAUUCAAGGUCAUCUUCAACACUUGAAAUUUAAGGUUUAGGAACAUCCAAACCUAAAGGUUGGUACUUUAACCCUAAAAUAUCAAUUUUUUUAAAAAUCGGUAUUGCUUCCGUUGAUUAGAUUUAAGAUGCCAACAACCGGUAUCGGAGCAUAAUGUUAUAAGCAUGCUUAGAUUUUUAUUUAGGGGGUGCUAACAUCUUUUUUGCAGCCUUGAUAGUAUCCUAUGGCCAAUGGACGCAUAUAUGUUCCCUUUUAUUAUUGCUUGUGAUGAUUGAAUGGGAUAAUUUGUUUUCUUUAUUUGUUUCUUCAUAGAUUUGGUUGUAAUCUUCAUUAAAGGAGCAUAAGUUUUCUUUUUCUCUUGUAAAGUUUUAAUAUUUUCCAGUGUUUGGGUUGUAAGCUCCAUUAUAGGAGCAUAGGAAUUCUUUUAUGAUGUGAAGUCUUGUUUUCUAUUAUCUAUAAAGAGCUAUAAGAGAAUAAUUCCUCAAUGAUAUUAAUAAAGAUUAGAUAUUUAUUAGAUAAUCAUCUAUGGAGAUUCAAGGAUUCGAAUGGCAGGAGAAGAAAGGAUGAAUCCUUCCUUUCAUUAAAUAAAGAAAAAAAAAAAAAGAAGGAGAAAGUUUUUUUUUUUAGAUCUAUGGUUAUACAUCAAUGUUCUCUUUGACUCAAAAUCGGGGCUUCCUCCUUUGAUUUUCUUAGGGCAAGCUGCAUAUGGUUUUAAAGCUUAGGAAGUCAAGAAUCCAAUGCCACAAACAGUUUGCGAUUCAGAGUUGAAACGAGGGAUAUGGUCAUUUGAAUCAAAGUUGCAUAGAGGGUAUGCUAUUAUAGGAUCGCAUAUGGGUCCAAUUCUUUUUGCUUGUUUGGGCUCAUAUUUCAGGCCACUUUGUCGGCUUGAAAGUUUAUGAAUUGUGGCAGCUAUACAGGACCUUCUUUUGGCAAGUUUUGAUGCUAAAUAUUAGUGUCAAGUCGAAGACAAAUGGCUUUGGUUUGCAAUUGGAAAAUUGUGAAAAAUAUCCCUUGGUCAUGGAAAUUUUGAGAGUGGAUAUUUUAUUAAAAUUCUUUUUGAAAAUUAACCUCAUGGAAAUUUUAAAUUUUUUGUGUUGGUAUUCUCCUAUUACACUAGGUUUCCAAUUAGGAAAUAAAUGUUUUUGGAAAUUUUCAAAGUAGAUAAUUUAUUCAUCGGGGAAAUUACUAAUGGUUUUAAAAUGCUCUUAUUUAUCUCAAAAGAUUAAGUGGGAGAGGGCCUUAGGCAAGCCCACAACCUCCAUUGUCGAGCUUAUCUUGAUUUGGGUUCAUCACCACUUUACCGGCAGGUUGGGCCUUAGGAAUUGAAGGAUAUGAACUCUCUAUUAGGAUGAGACUAGACAUGUCUAUAGUGGGAGCAACCAUCUUACUAGUGGGGUUCCUUACUUGGUGACAUUGAUGGUUCAAGGACAAUGGUUAUACACUUAUCAUUGGAUUUGAAGUAGUUGAAUUGCCCAACGCAAUCCCACUUGCAUAGUCCAGGGGCUAAAUAAAAGGUAUGUUGAUCUUGCCUUUAGAUACCUUUCAUGGUUAAGAUAGGGAGAUCAAUCGUAAAGGGUCUCUAACUAGUAAUAAGGUCAUGACUUGCCCACUGUAGGCUUGAUUUUUAUGAUACUAGGAUACCUUACAAAAAGAUUUGUAGUUUGUGAGUACUACAUUUUUGCUAAAUUAAUUGUCAAAUGCCUUGAAUGCUUAAUUAUGUCAUAAGCCUGGUUAUAUUAUUUGUUAUAGAUAUCAUGUUGGUUUUAUUAUCACUCUCUUUCUCAUAAUAAACCAAGCCCAACUAAUGAAUUGGACGAAUUUUAUUAUGGAUAUAGUAAAUAAUUGCAUAGAAGUUAGUUUAGGAAGAGCUAGUUAUUCCUUAUGAACUAACCUAGUAAAAGGAAAGAGUGGUAUAUCAAGGUGGUAUUAGAUGGAUCAGAAGACCAAGUGUCUAAUACUUGGAUCUUUGGAUAAUGUGUUGCAAUAGCAACACAUGUCUAUUACUAAAUACUUCAACAUUCUCUUUCUAGUUUGCAAUGGUCAUUUGGAGAUAAGGGUAGGUCAGCUUUGAUAAGUUACUCUUAAGAUUACUAUGAACACUAGUUUCAUAUGAUCUUAAAGACCUUGUCAUUUUCCUUCAAGAUGACCAAGAGGAUUCUCAAAGAUUAUAGGGUGUUCAUAUGGAGGUCAAAGUUUCUUUAGGUUCUCCUAUCAAAAAGAAAAAGAACAAUACCAAAUAAGGAAAGUUCAAGAGAAGGAAUAAGAGAGCAAUCUCAAGGGCAAGUGAUUCCUUUGUGGCCUUUUAGGACACUAGAAAAGGAAUGCCUAGUUUACCUAAAGGAAAAAAGGAAAGUAUACAUCAUUUUCUCAUUAUCAAAUAUUUAGUGGUGGAUUUCUCCAUUUAUGGUGGGUAGAUUCCAGGCCCGCUGUCUGUAAGUUCUUAUAAGACAUACAACAAGUGAAAAGGUUAAAUAAUAGGAUUAUACUUAUCUUAGCUUCAAAUACAAGGUUAGUUAUGCAGGUUAGUGGGAGGUAAUAUCCUCUUCUUUUAUAUGUAUUCCAUUAUCACUUUGCCUAGUAAUGAGAAUAGUCAAAUCUCAAGAUUAAACCUAGCACUAAUUAAACAUUUGGUUUCUAAACCUAGGCCAUAUUGAUCUAAAUAGGAUCCAAGGAUUGGUAAAGUCUAGACUCUUUGAUUUUGGAAGAUCUUUCAGUCUAUGAAUCAUGCAUAGAUGGUAAAAUAACUAAGAGGAUUAGAGCCAAGGAAUGUUUGGAAUUAGUGCAUACUGACAUGUAUGGAACUUUUAGUGUCCAUGCAUAGGGAAGGUAUGGUUAUUUCAUCACAUAUAGUGAUGAUUACUCUAGGUUUAGAUAUGUGCAUAGAAGAUCUAAUGCCUUGGAUACAUUCAUUAAAUGUAAGGGAGGAUCAAAUAACUUAUUGGGUAUACAUACCAAGUCACUUCGAUUGGAUCAAGGUAGUAUGUCUAGUAAGUUUGAUUCUUUCUAUUGGAGCACAAAAUUAUUUCCUAGUUAUGUGCACCAAGGUCUUUAUUACAAAAUUGAGAGGUAGAAAUAAGCUAUCAAACUUAGGUUAACAUAGUGAGAUCAUGGAUAGGUUUUCCAUAUUUUCCCGGAUUCUUUUGGAGAUAUGUCUUAUAAAUUGUGUAAUACCUCUUUUUCUUAAGAGGUAUAUCAGUUUAUAGGAUAUCUAAGAGGAUUUUUGGGUUAUUACCUUACAAUUAGGACACUAGAAGAUAUUUAUUGACAAAAAUGUCAGAUUUUUUAUGAAGACUAUAUGAUAAGGAAUAAGGUAAAAAGUGAUAUAGAUUGGAGGAUAUAUUAGAAGAUAGUUUUAUGUUGCAUGGGACACUAUGGAUCCAAAGGUUUAAAGGCGUACCAUUCCUAUUAUUUCUAGUACACUAGUGCCUCAUUGUAGUGAGAGGUUUAUUUGCACAAAUCAUGAUGAAGCAAUGAGUAGAGUUUAUGCUCACUUAAGGUUAGGAGCUAUGAAGAGGUAGUUAGAAUCUUUGUAUAGGUUCAUGUAGAAGCACCUAAAGGGAUAAAACACAUAGGUGUAAGUUGGUCUACAAGAGGAACACAUGAGUAAAUGGAAAGCUUAAGUUUUAUGUGUCGAAGACUGUAGUUAAAGGUUAUAAUUUGAAACUUUGUUUUAACUAUGGAAAACCUUUUCAACAGUGGUCAUACUCAAAUCCAUCAUAUCAUUCCUAUCUAUUGCAGUGUGUCUCAUUUAUGAGAUUUAACAACCAAACAUUUUCAUAGCAAAGGGCCUUGUGCGUACAAGAAGACAUAAGAAAGCGUCGUGAUGCUCUAAGAUUUUACAGGUAGAUGACAACCUACUCAUUGGAUAUGAUGUAGGGAUAUAGUCAUCAGUUAAGAUCUGGUUUUCUACUUAGUUCUAGAUGAAAAUCUAAAGGAAGGUGCAAUAUAUUCUUGAGGUUAGGGUCCUUUAGGAUCGUAAGAAUAGGAAAAUUAUGUCAUGCCACCUACAUAGAUGAGCAUUUAAGCAAAUACAUGAUGCAAAGUUCUAAGAAGGGUUUGUUACUCUUUGGAUUUGGAGUUGUCUUUCUUAGGAUUAAUGUCCUUAGACAUUUGUGGAGAGAGAUCGCAUUAAGGUGAAUUCCAAUGCCUCUACAAUGGAUAGCCUCAAGUAUGCGAUGCUAUGUGCUAGACCAUAUAUAUGCUUUUCUGUAGGAAUAGUGAGUGGAUAUUAGUCCAUUUCCUUAUUAGAGCUUUGAGCGUAUGUCAAACAUAUACUCAAGUAUCUUUAGAGAAUGGGGGAUUAUACGCUUGUGAGUCUUUGUGAUGAGCUAGUACUUUUUUCAUACUAGGAAUUCGACUUUCAGUCUAAUGAGGACUCUCACAAGUCUACCUCAAGGUACGUGUACACUCUAAGUGAUUUUUUUUUGCUUCUAUAGCAACAAAGGAAGCCUUUUGGCUUAUGGGUAGUUCCCUUGGCUAUGUCGUUUAAGAUAAUGUUAUCUAAUAAUAAUGGGACGGUGGCAUAGUCUAAACAACUAAAGUACCACUAAAAGAGGAAACACAUGGAGAGCAAGUGAUACCUUGUUGUGAGAUAGUACAAAGAGGUAAUGUGAUAGUAGAGUAGAUUCUUUUUGCAAUACCCAGUCUUCUUUUGGGGCUAGUGGGAGUUUUUUGGGAUUGAGCCUCUAAAAGCAAGACAUGAUAUAACAAAGUUAGACUUAACUAUCCUCUUGUUAUCCCUUUGGUGUAUUGACAUUGAUUUAAGCAUUCAACCCAUGUUUCUUACAUUGUAUAUGACUUGCAUGUAUUAAGAGUUGUAUAGAAGAUACAAGUCAUGGGUUCCUUGUAAGUAGAUAAGUUGUCCACAAUCGGUUCAUGGAUUUGGGCAAUCCAGUAGAGACUGUAGUGCAUCACCUCCUAAUUGGAGGGAUGACUUAUCUUGGUCAUCGAGAUAAGUUUCCCAUGGUGAGUGCAAUAGUGUAUGUGAUGCACACUGGACAAGACCUACAGUGAAUCAUGACGCAAGGAUAUCAAUUGUCAUGAUUCACCAAGCUACAAUAUUGCAUGAACUCUCAACUUUGAGAGGAGAUUGAGCCUGUGCCAAAAUCAACAGGAGGCUUUAACUUAUGGGUGAGACCCUUAUUGGGAUUGAGCCCCUAAAAGUAAGACAUAAUAUAACAAAGUUAGACUUAACCAUCCCUUUGCUAUCCUUUUGGUGUAUUGACAUUGAUUUGAGCUUUUAGUCCAUGUCUCUUACAUUGUACAUGACUUGGGUACAUUAGGAGUUACACAAAAAAUAAAAGUCAUGGGUUCCUUGUAAGUAGAUAAGUUGUCCACAUUUGGUUUAUGGAUUUGGGCAAUCUAGUAGAGAUUGUAGUGCACCACCUCCUAAUUGAAGGGAUGACUUAUCUUGGCCAUCAAGAUGGGUUUCCCAUGGUGAGUGCACUAGUGUAUGUGAUGCACACUGGACAAGGCCUAGGUGAAUCAUGAUGCAUGGAUAUCAAUUUUCAUGAUUCACUAAGCUACUAUACUGCAUGGACCCUCAACCUUGAGAGAAUGUGAAGCAUGUGCCAAAAUCAACAAAAGGCUUUGACCUUUGGGUGAGACCUUAAAAUGGUUAUAUAUCCUUAUGGAUUAAGUCACUAUUGGUGGUGGUUGGUGGCAAUAGGAUUCUUAAUAUAGGCACCAUGAUAUGAGAUUGAGAUAGUGUCCCCUUGGGUGAUCUAAAGGACAUGUGAUCAUGAAAUCUAUGGCUACAGUAAUUCCUUUAGUGGAAUUUGACAUAUGCUCCUUGGAGUUAGAGUAUAUAAGUUGAUCACAUAAUAAGUGGGAUUUGUAAUUCAAGAAUUUGAGAGGUAAUCUUGGAAUAAUGACAUGUAAAAUUUAUUUAAAGGCUAUCAUGACUUAUAAGAUGUAACCCUAAAUAAAAAAAAAUUAAGUCAAGGUAUAGUCGAUAGGAAGUGAAUCUUAUUUAGUAUAGUUCCUGUGACAUAUUCUUUAUAAGUCAAGGAAGAAAAUUUUAUUAUCUUUCAAGGUUGCUUGUAUGAUAUAUUGAAACACUUGCCUUCUGUAUUUUUCAGUCUACAUUAAACAUCAUACUUGUAUCAAAAGAGAAACCACCAGUAGGAGCCAUCAAGAACAGGUGGCAACCAUUGAUAACUAAUAAGGAUGGGCAAGUUCCUAAGAUUGACUUUUGGUAGCCUCCACAAUUGUGCACCAUAUACUCACUUGACAAGGAUUCAAUCAAUCAAUAUCAAGUUCUUCAUACAUGAUGUGGAUUCAAAGGUAUGUGCUUAACUUAGAGUUAGAGUUUUUCUUGAGAGAAAAGUUGUUUUCAUAGAUUCGUUGUAAUUUCAAAGUUUAUGUUCAUUUACCCAAAGAAAUUGCUUUCUGUGGCAACAUAAAUCAUGGGUUUUAACUCUUUAUGCUAUAUUCUCACAAAAAAAUGAAAGACGUAUGCCAAGUUGUUUAUGUAAAAUCAUCUCUAGAUAAUGAAGAAUGUUGUCAUUAGAGUUGCCAUAAUUUUUUUGUUUUUGGAUAAGAAGUGAUCAUCCACAUGUCCUACCAUUAAAAAAUUUCAACAUUGUUUUCACUACAAACCCAUAUCUAUGCAUAUUAGUGCCCUGACAUCCUUAUGAACAAUUGUUAAAAUCAAGUGUAUAAAUUAUUUAAUUUGUAUUUAACUUCCAGAUGUUGACAUCUUUCAAGUGCCUUCCGAAGCACUGUAUAUUUAUUUAGAUUUUCCCACUUAGAUUUUUUCCUCUUAUAAAACUAAAAUGUUAGAGAAAAAAAAAUUAAAGGCUUACAAUAUGCAGUUAAGUUUUCUUGCAUGGAAAAUGUUUUUCCAUUUGCAUUUGGUAUUUUGCCCAGAUAUAGUUUUCAAAUAAAUGUUAAGUUUGUUUUAGAAAAUUACAUAUUUAUUUUAUUGCUAACAAGUUAAAAGUCUCAUGUCUAAGUGGCUUAUAUAUGUUUUGCCAGUUUAACACAUGUUUACUCUUUUAUAACUCAUGUUUUGCUAAUUUAAGAUCUUAUGUUCUGUUAUUAUGCUGCUAACUAGGUUUUUAUUUUUAAAUGAAUAUUCAACAUUAAAAGAAUUGACUAUUAAGUGUGUUAACUCUAUUUUUCUCGAUUUUUGUUGUUAUUAGGUCCUUGAUGAAGCAGUUAUCGAAUAUACUUGUCACAUAGAUUUUGGACCUUUAAUCUAACAAAAGUUUCAAUUUAUUUUUUUUAAGAAUUAUUAUGUUCUGACUUUUAACUUUAGGCUUUGUUUAAGUUAAGGCACUUGUCUCUUUUUUGAUUUGAUAUACUUAUGGGAUUCGUUUUCAUCUGAUCAUCACUGUAGGAACUAAGGGGAUAUUUUUUAUGACAAGUGUAUUCAAUGUAGAAUUAAUUGUUCUCAAUGCAGAUUGAGCUCAACCAGUUCAAGUUUGUGACCAAUGCGUGUAUGCACUUUUGGUGUUUAACUGCUACUACUGUUAUUUUUCUUUUAUCCUUUGGCUCUGAUUGGAAAAUUUAAAUUUCUUGUUUCUAAGACUGAUCCAAUUGUUUGAUUUUCUUUAUCGGUAGAAGUAACCUAAAGACGAAGUAGUGCAAGUGAAGUAGUAGGAUAAGCAGAAUCACGAAGAUCUUGCAAAAAGGCUUCAAGUGUUUUAAGAUUUCCACCCUAAGAAUCUAAAACGUUGAGAUUGUAUUAUUGGAUUCCUAUGGCACUUCAACAAGGAACAUGACACUCUAUUAAAUGAGCCGAGGGGACAUAGGCUAGUUUUCUUGAUUGAAGAUUUUUUUUGGCCCUUAUCUACUUGAAUUGAAGUUCUGAUUUCAAUGAUGAAACACUAUAAUUCUAAAUAUAUUUAUAUAAAGCCCAAAACUUUGUUCAUGCAAUCAUUUGUCCUAUACUAAAGAAAAAUGUUUCUCCUUUUCUUUAUGACACACUUGCUAUCCAUUGAUCUACAGGCUUGAAGUUGCUUGUCCAACUUGCACAGUCCAUUUGAAGGUUUCUAUCCCUAUUCAAUUUAUUGUUGAUUAUUAGUAUCUUAUAAAAUUUUCAUUUCUAUUUGGAAUGGGUGAAACUGAACUUAUGUUCACCAAAUACUUGCAACAUAAGGCUUUUAAUGGCUUGUGUAAUGUAGGUUCAUCUUUUAUGUUGUCAAUUGGUUUUUCUCAGGUUUAUCUAUCUUUUGUAUAUUACUAAUCCUUUGAGGCAAUUGUUGAUUCUCAUAUAGAAUCAAGUUCCUCCUUUUCCAUAAGAUAUUGUUAUAUCUAUUGUUGAGGAAGAGCUUUAAGCUCUCGUGAGUGUUAUGUUUGAUUAGUUUGACUAUGAACCAAUAGUUGUUGUGAAUCAUGUAUAUUUGGUGGAAGCAUUCCAAGGAGUUUAUGAGAAGGAUAAGGUAAUUAUUUCUCAGUUUUGCGGCAUAGUCAUGAAUGUUUCGUGGUUCUUGAAUCUUAGAGUUAUUUCUAUGUGUGGAUGAUUUUCUUAUUGCUAGAAACUCAUUCUUUCAUGUAGGUCCUUCAAGCAAUGAUCCAGAUGGGUGUUCUCGUACCUAUUGGAGCUAUGACACCUAUUAGGUGAAUAACACAGUUCUUCCUUAAUAGGCGUUUUUCAAUGAAUAAGUGAAUAAAAAGAUUAAGAAAAAAGUUUACCUUGGGUUCUCUUUUCAUAGUCAAAACCAAGAAAAGGCCGAUAUUGGGUGAAUUAUUUGUCCCAAAUCAAAACAACUCAUAGCUUUUAUUGUGGGGAUUAUACUCUCAAGGAUGACAUGCUAUUGACUGAUAAUAAUCAUUAGUAAUAAAAUAGUUGGUGUGUUUUGUCUCAAUCUACUCUACAUUAUGUUGUACCUGCAAAAAUUGGCUUGAUAUAUUGUUGUUUCUCACUUUUAAUAGAAAUAUAUAGGUUUAUUUAAAGAUUGUUUGUGUUGACCAAUAAUGCUAAUUUUUGGUUGCAUGGUGAAUUUUAAUGUACAAAAGAAAACCUUUAGGUCAUAACCAAUUAAAGAAAAACAUCUAAAAUUAUGAGUGAUAAAUCAUUGUCAAAAAAUUUAUAUAACCAUGGAUAUCUAACUUUUGCAGUUCUAAAGAGCGUCUUUUAGCACAUAGAAAAGAAAGAGAUGACAAUAGAAGAACUUAGAUUUAAAAAUCAAUUAAGCAAAAAGGAAAAAAUAAAGAAAAAGAAAAUUGGUAAUCCACUUGGUAUAUGAUUCAAUUUUGUUUUAAGAUUAUUGUUAUCAAGAUUUCUUAACUCUUUAUCCAUUUGAGUAUCAAUAAUUUGAUAGAGGACUAUCUUUUCCUAAGAUUAGUGAAUUUGGCUUACCAUGAGGUGGAGUUUGUCACUGCAAAAUCAUGGUUAAAGUUCAAGUUGAGGUUUUGCAACCAAUGUUUGGAUGAUUGAUGGAGACCAAACAUGCAUUAUGCUAGAGAUUGCCCUAUUUCUGAAAACAUUAAUUAAGAUUUGAAAAUUAGUUUGUUAUGUAUUUUGUUAGGGUAUAUGUUCCCUUUUGAGAGUUUUUUUCUUUUUCUCCUUAGUGUAGGAUUCAUCAUCCAUCCAUUUGUUUUUAAAUUAUAUCUUUUUUAAUAUUAUAUUUCUUUUUUUCUUCUUAUUCUUUGUUCUUUUUGGUUCAUUGAUUGUCAAACUCUUCUAGAGUUAUGUGGAAAAUUCAAGUAACUAAUAUAUAUAUUCUAAUUUAGUAUCCUAUUCACAAGUUUGUUUAUCAUUUGUUUAUAUAUUAAGUAUACAAUUGAGUAGCUUUUCUUUGGAGGAUCCUUAUUUUGGAUAGAUUUGUUGUUCUAUGUUAUUUUUUUGUUGUUGUUGUUUUUUUUUUUUUUUUUUUGUCACUCUUCUUUUAAUUGUAGUAUCCUUGUAGUUAGACUUAGACAAACCCAUAGGAAACUAAAUCAUGAUGAGUGCUUGAUUUGACAUAGCUUAGCAAUAUAUUCAGAGAUUUUCUUAUGGGAACUUAAGAACAAUUAAUGAAAAUAAUAAUAAUAAUUUACAAUUCAUUUAUGUAGCUUGUUUUCUUUUGACUAUUUGGUAGUGUAUUAUUAUUAUGUAGACCCUCCAUUUUGUCCCAUUGGCAUAUGCCCUAAUUAAGUACUCUUUCAAUACUCCACAAUAGUUCUUGGAGUCCAUUGCUACUCAUAUAGCUUACCUCUUUGAGUCAUUCUGAAUAUUAGGUACACUUUUAUGAUAGCUUAGACAUAUUUAGGUCCAUUAGGCACACCUAACCUAUCUAGGUGCACCUAGUCAGCUUAGGCUUGCCCCAACACCCCUAAGUCAUUUGCAUGGUUGACGUAGCUUACAUGGCUUGCAUGGCUUACGUGGCUUGCAUGCCUUAUGUGGCUUGCAUGGCAUACAUAGCUUGCUUGGUUUCUUUAUGAAUGUGUCAUGUAAUUAUGUUUAUUUAUUUAUUUAAUCAUUGUUUAUUUUUGUUAUUAUCAUCUUGAGGAUUGUUUUUUUGUAUUAUUGCUUUUAUUAUUAUUAUUAUUAUUGUCAUUAUUACUAUUAUUAUUAUUGUUCGUACUAUUAUGUUUUAUUUUAUUAUUAUUAUUAUUUUAUUUUAUUUUCAUUUCGUUUUUUCUAAAACACUUUAUUUAUUUGUUUAUUUUAUUUUUUAUUUUUUUGCUUAUUUAUUUGAAAAGAAAAAAAAAUGUUAGAGAUAAUAAUGGCAUGACUAAUUGUUCAAAAACACCAAAGCAUACGUGCAUGCCCAAGCAUAAGUCCCAUACACAUGCAUGCAGCUUUUGCCAUGCAUGACCAUUUUUGAUCCUUUAUUUCAUUUCAUCAGGCCAACCAUUUCCACUUCCAAGGCCUAUCAGUAGCCCUUAAACUCCAGUGGCAGCCCAAGAAUGGCUGCAUGAGAAAUCGAAGAAGUAAUGAAGGAGCACAGAAAAAAAAAAAAGGGGAGGACGGGCUGGGACAUGAGGGAGAUGAAAGGAGUCUUGGUGGGGAAUGAACUACAUGGGAAAGGAAUAGGUUAGGAUUCCCGAAGGGACAAAGAGUGAAGCCUUAAAAAGAAAAUCUUCAAAGAGAAAAGAGAAGGAAGAGGAAGGACAUCAUAGGGGGAGUAGAGAAAAAGGGUGUAAGGCUCACUGGUUUCGUUGGUUUUUGGAAGAGGACACAAGACACUUAAAUCCCAGUAAAACCUUAUUAGAGAGGAGUUCUUCCAGGUAUGAAUGUAAUGGUUAUUUGUUCAUUUGAAUUCUUAUUGUUCUUCUACAUUUCCUGUUGAUAUCUGAAUAUUGAUGGCUUGCUUAGGAAUGGAUGGUAAAGGCCACUCAUUGCUUGUUGGAAUUUGAUCCUGAAUCCUUAUUUGCUAUUGCUAAUCUCACAUUAUUUUGCCUCUACUGUGAGAUGCUUAAGAAUCAUGUCAAUAAUUACAGUUGUCAUAGUCUUUCCCACCUAGUCAGUAGGCUCACUGAUGACCCAUGAAAUGAAGCCUCAUUGGAUGAUCUCAUCAAUUUUAUAUUAUUUUUAUUUAUUUAUUUUUUUGUGUUCUGUUUCCAUGGUUGUCUUCCUAUUUUUAUUUUCCCAUACUCUUGGUACAUUUUUCUGGUGUGCAUAAGUAUGUACAUCAUCAGUUGAUGAUGCUGAGGGUGAUUUGUGUCCAUGCACCAAGCCAAUCUUGUAUCUUUUUUUUUUGGUAGAAUGCCAUCACUUCUAUAGUGUGCUGCAUGAAAGCUUGUAGGGGGGAAAUAACAGACAGUUGAAAUUGAAAAAGGGUGGGAGUGUGUGUGCAUGGUUUCAACUGUCAUAGUGCGUAGUGAAUGACCCAAAAAGCUGCAGAAACUGAUCUCUCUUAUUCAAUUUCGUUGCUGAGUUCCCAAUUAUCUGGGACAAAAGAGAAUUGGAUUGAAUUUCUCUCAUGGGUUGUCCUUGAAAGGAAUAGUAGAAGUAGGGUUUAGGUAAUGUGUUAUCAUCUAAGGUUGAGUAAAUUCCUCUCUGAGUAGGGAUUUCUGGCAUUUUCUUUUUCAUUAUUUGGAUAUUGGUGAGUUUGGUUGUUCAAGGAAAAUGUUCUCAUAUGUGGGUUUUUAUUACAUCUUGUUGAUAUUGAUGUUUUCCUUUUCCUUUCUCUUCAAGUGUGGAAAAUGAAGGAACUGUAAAGGAGUUUUAGUAUUUCAGAUAAAUAUCAACAGAAGAAUAAGUUUCUUUUCCAUAGUAUAGUAUUUUUAUAGUUUUUUUCUUUCUAGUUGUUCUGUUGGUGGGCAUUUUGAUUGCCUUUGAACAGUGGAUUAGGGUUUUGUCAUGGGAAUUUCUAGGUGUUGGGUGGGACAUUUUCUCAACUGGGUCUUGAUGAUCCAAACAUGGCAAGUUGAAUUUCUUGUACAAAUUAGAGUCUUUGUGGUGUUCUCAAAUUUAUGGUGGUUAGUUUUAGGCCUAGGCUCUAUGUCUUCCAUAGCCAUUUCAUAUGGUGGGAAUGACCCUGUUUUGUUUUGUGUUUUUUUUUUUUUUUUUUUUUUUUUUGUGGUCUAAAAUCAGACGGGUCUCAUCUUGUAACUCGUUAUGGAUCAAAUUCUGCUAUAAUCUAUGGAACCCCCUGUCUAUUUCCCCUUUUUGGGACUAACUGCCGGGGACGACUUUGUGUGCUAGCUCUUGAUGAAUUUCAACCAGACUUACUGCUGGGGAAGUAGUCGUUAUGUUUAAAUGGGCUAAGAAUUUAGAAGUUAGUGCAAGCAAUUACCAUUUAUGUGGAUUGAGAAAACUCUUGACAGGUAGGCUUGGGAACUUUUCUUUUGUUGAUUGUUGGGGAGCAUCUCUGUUCACGCUGGCAUGUUGCCAUAAAAGAGACAGUUUGUACCUUUGAAAAGGGCUCCAAUCACGCACCAUGAGGACCAGAGAGGGAGAUAAAAUUAAUAGUGAAGAAAAGGUAUUAUAGAAGUGGUUGUUAGUGGACAUAUUUGAAUUUUGGUGGGAAUAAAAGAAUGUUCAGAAUAUUUAGAGGGAAGUCUUUAGAACUUUGGGGUGGCAAGCUGAUUGUGUAUGACUGUUAAUGGUGGAGAGGUAAGUUGAUAGUGCAUGGCUGUGAGGAGAAAAACAAUAAGCACAUGAUCACACCAUCAGAUUUUGAAACCACCAGAUUGCUAGGCACACAUCAGAUUACUGAAUUUUGAGAAUUUGCAUAAGCUUGUGAAAAACAACACUACCAGCUGAAUUUCAGAAAACACACACUAGCCAAAUUGAUGAAGAAAGCGCAGACAGCUGCAUAGAGAAGGAGACCACUAGGUUGCGACUAUAAGCACACACACAUCAGCCAUACUUUCACUCUCAUCACACACAACUCAGCCUGCUUCACUCACUUUCAGCACACACCACUUUGUUUCUUUAGGAAAUUUCUUCUUUUGGUUGUAUGAUUUUAUGUGAUUAUUUGCGUUUGUUAGUGAUUCAAAAUGCUUAUCAAUGUAGCUUUCUAAAAAAGUUAAUUCUAAAUUUUUGAAAUUCAUCUUAGACAUUGUUAGGUUAUGAAAAUUCAAUUUUCCAAAAUUCAUGCAACCAAUUUUAUUCGGCAUGCAUAUUUGAAAAAAAAAAAAGUUUUAAAAGGAAUUUUGGUUUUGAAUAUAUGUGAAUUAAAUUUCAUCUCUCCAAUCAAUGGAGUCUUUAUGGAUAAAUUUGUGGAAAUUAAAAUGGGAUUUAAUUGAUCCUUACAUACAUGGUUUUUCCAAAACAUAGUUUUUCAUUGAAAUUGUGGAUAGUUUACUAUACUUCUGCAUUCGUAAAUUGGAAUCUAACAAUUUAGAAACCCUUUUAAAUUUUCCUAACUAUUCUAUGACAUUAUAGAAUCCUUGAACUUGAUUUUAGAAUUUUUUUGGGUUAAAUAUGGUUUUCCAAUUAGAAGAUAUAAAUUAAUUUUUUAGAAGGUUCAUUUUUCACUCUGUUUUUAACACUUAGUUUUGUUUCACAAAAUUAAAUUACUAAACAAUCUCUUUAAUUUGUUUGAACAUUUUAAUAAUAAUCUAGAAUUCUUAAUUUAAAUUUUGACACAUAAAAAAUUAUUAAAUUAUUUUUGAAAUAAUAUAUAUAAUUUUUUAUUCUUGCACCCACUACAUGAGUGCUCUUUUGGAGCUGAGAGAUGUUUAUUUAUUUUUAAAUAUAUUAUAAAUGUGUUAUUUCCUUAUAAUUAUUUUUCAUAUAAAAUAUACACAUUAAUAUAUUUGUGUACAUUUUUGUAUGAUUUUAAGACAUUUCAAAGUUAAUUAGAAAAAUCAAUUAUUGAAUACCUUAAAAAGAUGCCCUAUUCUAGACCUAUUAUCAUCAUUAUGAAAUCUGGUACUAAACGAGGGUUGGUUAACUAAUUUGGCCACUUAGAUGAUAAACUAAACAUAUAGGAGAUGUUCUCUGAAAAUUUUCAUAAUAAAACUUAACUUCUAGAUAUUUGUUUUAGAUUUAUUUUUUACAGUCUUCUGUUCUGAUCAUUUGCUGACCUUUUUUUGUGAAUAAAAAUUGAUAUUAAUUGGAAUAUAAUUGAUUAAUUUAGCCAAUUGGAAGUUAAUUUGGACAUGUUAAAGAUGUUAUCUGAUUUUUAUUUUAGUGAGAUAGUCUUUCUUGAUAUUUACUUGAAGUUUAUUUUGUGAACCAAUAUUCUACCCUUUUAAUGAUAUUUCCUUUGCUUUUGAUAAUUUGGUAACUUUUGAACAUGCUUAUGAAUUUCCUUGAUUUGAGGCAUGCUAAGUGUAUAUAUAUAUACAUAUAUACACAUAUAUACACAUACAUGUUGAGAUAUUAGGAAUGUUUUCCUUAUAUCAUUCUUUCCUUAUAUCAUUAAGUGUUGAGAUAUUAGAAAAGUUAAGAUAUUAGGAAUGUUGAGAUAUUAGGAAAGUUGAGAUAUUAGGAUAUUAGUUGUUCUUUCCUUGUAUCAUUCUUUCCCAUUCUUAGAAUGGUGAUUACCCUCUAUAUAUACUUUGUACAUGAACGAAUGAAAUAAUGAAUGAAAAAACUACCAUUUAUCAAUUUGAAGAUGGUAUCAGAGCCAUGGAACUGAAAUCCUGGAUAGUUUGUCACUAUGGCAGUCCGACAGCGAUCAACCAUCCUAAGACAAGCCCUAAUAUUGAUAAGUCAACCUUCAAAUGCACUCAUUGCAAUAAGACUGAUCCCACCAUAUCCCACAAUUUCAAAGCAAUGACUCUUGGUAUGAUUAGGAAAACAAUGAGGAACCAAGGGUUUGUACCAUGGACCUUUAGAUCAUGUUUAGGCUAUCACCAUUUUGUUAUUAAUGAUAAUAAUUGUGAUCAAUGGAAGAAGGAUUCCAAGAAAACCUCGACUGCAACUGUUAUUGAAAUGAAAACAAAGGUUAAUGUUGCUGAGAAAGGCUCUACGUUGGUAGCCGCUACAGAUUAUGGUGGUAAGUUUUUAAAUACUUCUACACCUGUUAUUAAUAGUGCAUGGAUAAUUGAUUCCGUUGCUACAGAUCAUAUGACUUUUGAUUCUAGACAGGUUUCACCCCUUAGACCUUCCUCACAAAAAAUUGUUUCCACGGCCAAUAGUAACACAACCCCAGUCAUUGGGAAAGGAUCCUUAACUUUUACUAACACUUUGAAUUUGGAUUCUGUUUUAGUUGUUUCAUCUUUAGAUUACAAUCUUUUGUCAGUUUCUCAAAUCACUACAGCCUUAUCUUGUAUUGUCAGUUUUUGGCCUGAAUUUUGUGUUAUUAAGGACAUCCAAACAAGACAGACGAUUGGUUGUGGUAUUAAGCGGGGAAAACUCUAUUACUUGGACUUGCAGUCAAAGGAUUUAAAUAAGUUGCAACAAGCCUUGAUGGCAGAUGGAUCUGAGGGGGAGAAGAAAAAGUCUGAAAUUUGGUUGUGGCAUCGACGUCUAGGACAUGCUUCCUUUGGUUAUUUAAAAAAAUUGUUUCCUAUUUUGUUUGCAAAUAGUGAUAUUUCUAGUUUCCGUUGUGAUAUUUGUGAAUUGGCUAAAAGCCAUCAUGCUUCGUUUCCAUUAAUUUUGAAUAAAAGUUCGCUUCCUUUUAUGGUUAUAUAUUCUGAUGUUUGGGGCCCAUCCAAAGUCCCAACUUUAAGUGGCUCGUGUUGGUUUGUUACUUUUAUUGGAUUGUACCAGAAUGACCUGGUUAUGCUUGAUGAAGACCAAAGAUGAAGUGAACUUGUUGUUUCAAAAAUUUCAUAAAAUGAUUGAAACUCAAUAUAAUGGUGGAGAAUAUCAGAGUUCUGAUCUUCAAAAGUAUUUGGAAGGACAUGACAUCAUUCAUCAGACUACUUGUUCCAAUACACCCUAACAAAAUGGAGUCGCUGAACGGAGAAAUCGGCACUUGUUAGAGGUUGUUCAUGCUUCCUUGAUAGCAGCAAAAAUACCGAUAUCUUAUUGGGGAGAAGCAAUCACAUCUGCCGCAUACUUGAUCAAUCAGGUACCUUCAAGCUCAAUUGACUUCCAAACACCUCUCCAAGCUCUUACUAAUGUCGUAGUUGCCCCAAUCGUCACAAAUCUACCUCCUCGUGUUUUUGGUUGUGUGGCAUUUGUGCAUCUACACAAGCACCAACGCACCAAGUUAACUUCCCAUGCAUUGCAAUGUGUGUUUGUUGGAUAUGCAUUGCACAAAAAGGGAUAUCGAUGUUACCAUCCUCUAACUCGACGAAUGUUUAUUACAAUGGAUGUGGUGUUUCAUGAAGAUUUGAUAUAUUUUUCAUCUAAGUCUGAACUUUAGGGGGAGUAUCAUAAGGAAAUUCAGACUCUCGAUUAUGAUUAUAUAUCUCUAAGGAUGAUGAAUUUGGACAAUCUGAACUAGUGAACCAGGAAGCGGGUGAAUUGGAUAUGAGUGGUACAACUCUAAAACCAAGUAGUAAUGACCACCCAAAAGCUGAAGAAGUGAUAGAAGAGGGGAGAGACAGUACAAUUCAACCAUAUAAACAAUUUGGGUCCGAAGAUGCCUUCAUUGAAAUACCAAACCAAUCGUCAUCUACUAAGGGUGUUCUUAAUUUGGAACCUGAUCCAUUCAUGAAACGGUUACCACACCGUCAUAAUAGAGGUAUUCCUAAACCCACAUAUGAACCUGAAUUGUCUACCAAAGUCAAAUAUCUCAUGAGCAACUAUGUGUCUAACCAUCGUUUGUCUGAAUCAAAUAAGUCAUUUAUAAAUCAAUUAUCUACUGUAGCUAUUCCUAACAGUGUGCAGGAAGCCUUAGCUGAUCCAAGGUGGAAAGCAACCAUGAAUGAAGAGAUGAAAUCAUUGUAGAAGAAUGAAACAUGGGAACUUGUAGAAUGUCCACCAGGAAAGAAGCCAGUUGGGUGUCGUUGGAUCUAUACUGUGAAGUACAAGGCAAAUGGUAGUAUUGAACGAUUUAAAGCAAGACUGGUAGCAAAAGGGUACACUUAAACUUAAGGAAUUGACUACAUAGAGACAUUUGCACCUAUAGCUAAGAUCAACAUAGUUUGAGUAUUAUUGUCUUUAGCUGCAAACCUGGAUUGGCCAUUACAAUAGUUCGAUGUUAAAAUGCCUUUCUACAUGGCUAGUUAUCUGAAGAAGUAUAUAUGGAUCUUCCACGAGGAUGCAUGGUCUCAGAAAAGCAAUGUUAAAAGGUGUGCAAAUUGAAGAAGUCGUUGUAUGGGUUGAAGCAAUCCCCGAGAGCAUGGUUUGGAUGGUUCACAAAGUCAAUGAGAGCUUUUGGCUAUUGUCAAAGUAACUCAGAUCACACUUUGUUCCUGAAAAAACAUGGUAAGAUUACAACACUCAUCGUAUAUGUGGAUGACAUGGUAAUUACAGGAAAUGAUCCUGAAAAAAGAAAAACUCUGCAGAAUUAUCUAUCUAGAGAAUUCGAAAUGAAAGAUCUAGGCCCUCUGAAAUACUUUCUUAGGAUUGAAGUUUCUCGAUCAAGUGAAGGAAUUUUUCUGUCUCAAAGAAAGUAUGCCUUAGAUCUUUUACAGGAGACUGGAAUGUCGGGAUGUCAACUUGUUAAUACACCAAUAGAAGAAGGUCUGAAAUUGUGUGUUGAGCCUAAUCAAGUAUCAACCGAUAAGGGAAGAUACUAGAGACUUGCGGGCAGAUUAAUGUACUUAGCUCAUACAAGACCAGAUCUUGCUUAUGCAUUGAGUGUAGUGAGUCAAUACAUGCAUAAUCCUAGAGAGCAACAUAUGAAUGCAGUCAUGCGUAUUUUGAGGUAUUUGAAGAAUGCUCCUAGGAAGAGAAUUUUGUUCGCUAAAAAUGUUGAUCAUCAGAGUAUAGAAGUAUAUAUUGAUAUUGAUUGGGCCAGUGCAGUGGAUGAUAGGCGAUCUCCAUCUGGUUACUUUACCUUUGUAGGUGGUAAUCUUGUGACAUGGAAAAGUAAGAAGCAGAAUGUCGUCACUCGUUCAAGUGCAAAAGCGGAAUUUAGAGGUAUGGCUCUAGGACUUUGUGAGGCAUUAUGGCUAAGACUCCUCUUAUAGGAUUUAGGUUACCUAUCUAGGCAACUAAUUUGAUUGUUUUGGGACAAUAAAGCCACAUGUGACAUUGCUCAUAAUCCAAUACAACAUGACCGUACAAAGCAUGUCGAGGUGGAUAGAUUCUUCAUUAAGGAAAAGUUGGAUGAUAAGAUUGUGGAAUUGCCUAAGAUUCGAUCAGAAGAUCAAUUGGCCGAUAUCCUCACCAAAGCUGUCUCAAGUCAAGUGUUCUCAAAAUUUUUAGACAAGUUGGGCAUGUGUGACAUCUAUUCACCAACUUGAGGGGGAGUGUUGAGAUAUUAGGAAUGUUUUCCUUAUAUCAUUCAGUGUUGAGAUAUUAGAAUAUUAGUUGUUCUUUCCUUAUGUCAUUCUUUCCUUGUAUCAUUUUUUUCCAUUUUUAGAAUGAUGAUUACCCUCUAUAUAUACUCUAUACAUGAACGACUGAAAUAAUGAAUGAAAAAACUACCAUUUAUCAAUUUGAAGAAUACACACACAUAUGUGUGUGUGUGUGUGUGUGUGUGUGUGUGUGUGUGUGUGUGUGUGUGUAUGUAUAUAUAUAGAUUUAGUUUGUGAUUAUUCUUUAAUCUCAUUAUUAUUAUUUUUAAGUUAACCCCAUUUUUAUAGAAGCGUUAAUACUUUCUACUCAGGUACACUCUCUAUCUUCCCAUUUCAAAGUUCCAUGAAUAUGUAUGUCAUUGGAAACUAUAUCCAUGUUUGAUAUUGACUUCGGGUGCCUUGAUGUUCAUUUGAUUUCCUCUAAUAAAAUGCAUGUUGAGUGAUAUAAUCCUUGAACUAACUUUGGUUUUUUGUGAUAGCAUUUAAGUUAUAGAUCCAGGUACACAUAUUAUCAUUUCUUUAUGAUUGUGGUUUGAAUACUAGUUUGGCAUGUUAGAAUUAGCCGAGUUUUCAAAUCACCUUAGCCUACCUGAGUAUCCUCAAUCAACUAACUAAUUGUCAUAUUUCCCUCAACUCAGCUAGUAGAGAUCAUUUUAAGGCUCAAAGGAGUGUUACCUCUUUGGAGGUACUUUCCCGAUAGGUAACCUGAUCCUUGGACCCAAACUUUAGUUUUUUGCAGAUAGCUUUUCCAAAAGUCAGGAGUCAUUUUAAAGGUUUUGUUCUUACUUGAUUUCCCAUUUUAUAAAAAAAAAAAAGUAAGUGGUUACUCCAUUUUUUACAAAAAUAUAAUUUUUCAUUAAAAGAAUGCGAGUCUCACCAUUGAGUGAGGAUGCAUCAUGAAAAAGGCAGGUCCACAUAUUAUAUUCUAGUUCAUCAUAUUUACUUGGAAUUUCCAUUUAUGUGGCUUAUUUUUCUUUAACCAUUAGCCAAGUGGGAUGUUCUAGAAGUUUUUAUGAGGGAAUUAAUCGAAGUUGGAACAAUGAAAGAUGCUUGUUAGAAACCUUGAAGUAAAUUUCAAUGUCCCUUACUUUUUCUAAUCGAUAAAAACAAAGAUAGCUAAGGUAAAAUUAAUUUUUAAAAACUAGAUACAAAACCUUUCUUUUUCUAUUUUUAAAUUUUUCAAGAUGAAAUUUACAUCACAUGUGACUUUUUAAGCUGAGAUUGAAUAAUUUGCUUUUAGAUAACUUCAAUUUCCUUUUUUUUUUUUUUUAGUUCUUGUUCCCUAUAUGGUUGUUAGUAACAAGAUUCAAAAACUUAUCUAGCACCUAAUACGUCUAAGAUUCGUUCUUCUUUUUUUUUUUUUUAUCUUUUUUUUUUUGUUAUGAACAAAUAGAAGAUUUUCUUUUUGUUUCAUAAUGGCAAAUUGAACCACCAAGGUCUAAGAUUCCCUUUUCUUAUUGAUGAUGAAAUAGAAGAUUUUCUUUUUAUUUUAUAAUGACAAAUUGAACCAACAAGGUAUUUGACCUUGAAAAUUUGUUGCUUACUAACUUCUCUAGCUAAGAGCUUAUUUAGGAAAAAAUUUUAUUCUUACUUUCAAAUCCCUACAUUUUGAAACUAAUCCCACGUUGUUGUUUCCGUAGAACAUAUUCUUUCUUUAAUGCUAGAAAAGUAUCUUUUUUUUUUUGUUAUUUUAUGAUUUGAAAUAAAUGAUGAAUAUUCUAUUAAUUAUCUAGAAAUAACUUAUUUAUUUUUUGUUGCUUUUUUUUUUUUUUUAUAAUCAUAAAGGUGGUACAAGUGGCAUCAAAGUAAAAGGCAAAUCUAAAGCUCCCUUCUUCAUUAAAAUAAUUAUUCUAUUCCUGAUUUUUUUUUCAGUAUAUCUCUUUGACUAUAACUACUAGUUGUUAUAUAUUGUAGCCAAUGUACAUAAUAUUUAAGCCAUAUAAAAACUUAAUAACUGAUAUACACUCAAUUCAAUGGGUGUUUGAUUCCUAGAACAAUAUGGGACCUAUUAAAGAGUUCUUCCAACAAAAACAAGAAAAAAAUUAGUCUUACAUUUUUAUUUUUAUUUUUUUGUUAUUUAACAAAAUACUUGAACAUUUGUUGAGUUAUAUUUUAUGGAUGUAUUUGUUAAUAUUUAGGAAAUAACAAUCUUAUUAUUAAUCUAUUUUUUCUUCUAAACAUUCAAACACAAACUUAAAACUAAUGUAGCUUUUUUUUUUUACUUGCAAUUGGUUAGGUGACAUACAAGAGCAAUGAUUUUGAGAGUCCAAGAUCAUGUGCAAGCUUUAUCUUUCUUUUUAUCUAUCUAUCUAUCUAUCUAUCUAUCUAUAAUGUACAAUCGUUUGAUUUGUAUUUUUUUUUUUAAACACCUGAGUGUUUAUCUUUUAAAAUCUAAGUGAAAUCAUGUAUAGGUUUUUUCAUCAUGUAUAUUGUUAGAUUUCUUGAAUAUAUUUGGGUAUAUUGGUUAUCUAUGUAAUUGAAAUUAAUUUAUAAAUUUAAAAUUGAUAUGUAUUUAUAUUUAAAAAAAAUGGAAUUUAUAAGAGUUUAAAAUUGAUGGUAGUGGCCACCUUCCUUUCUCAAAAUUCCAAUCUCGGAUCUCCAAUAUUACAUGUCUUCAACCGCUUUCCUAAUGAUUUUCCGCUUUAAAAAUAAAUCCAACCUUCGCAUAAACAUUUUUUAAAAUAACAACCAUUUCAUUCCCAUUUACACAGCCAUUAAAGCUUUCCAUUAAAACAUUUUUUUUAUUAUAAAAAAUUCAACCACCAUUUACAUGCAUACCAUUGGAAACUUUAUUGAAGCAUUUUAAAAAAUAACUACCAAAACUAUUUAUGUACAUGACAUAUUAAGAAUUUUAUAUUGAGACAUUUUAAAAAAUUAAUUUACGAAAAUUCUAUUUAGCAGAUUAAAAAUUUUAUAAUGAAAUAUUUUAAAAAAUUAACUUACCAAAAUUCUAUUUAGGUACUUGACAUUAAAAAUACUUUAAAAAAGUAACUUAUCAAAUUUUUACUUAUGUACAUGAUAUUAAAAAUUUUAUAUUGAAACAUUUAAAAAAAAUUAACUAACCAAAAUUUUACUUGCCUACAUGACAUUAAAAUUUUAAAUUUAAAAUGAUUUACAAAAAUUAACUUAUCAAAAUUUUACUUACAUACAUCACAUUAAAAAUUUUAUAUUGAAACAUUUAAAAAAAUUAACUUACCAAAAUUUUACUUACAUACAUGACAUUAAAAAAAUUUAUAUUGAAACAUUUUAAAAAGAAUUAACUUACCAAAAUUUUACUUACAUAUAUGACAUUAAAAAUUUAAAUUUAAAAUACUUUACAAAAAUUAACUUAUCAAAAUUUUACUCACAUACAUCACAUUAAAAAUUUUAUAUUGAAACAUUUAAAAAAAUUAACUUACCAAAAUUUUACUUAUGUACAUAACAUUAAAAAAUUUAUAUUGAAAUAUUUUAAAAAAAAAUUAACUUACCAAAGUUUUAGUUACGUACACACCACUAAAAAAAAUAUAUAUUAAAAACACUUCAAAAAAAAAUUCUUACCAAAAAUUAAGUGAACUUUUACAAAGCAUCUAAGUAACCUACACCAAAAAAUUGUCCAAGUAAAAUCUAACCUAAAAAGUGUUAGGAUAAAACCCUUAAAAGCAUAACAUGAUAUAAUAAAUUUGGAAUUCAUUAUUUAUUUAAUGAUAUUCCAGUUUUACUUUUAUCUAUCCUUAUUCCAUAUAUAAUACUUUAUGACCAUUCUUGCCUACUUCUUUUGCAUUGUACGUGACUUAGGUGCAUUAGGAGUUGCACAGAAGAUCUAAGUCAUGGGUUCUUUGCAAAUAGAUGACUUGUUCACAAUCAGUUCAUGGACCUAAGCAACCCAUUAGAGGCUGUAGUGCACCACCUCCUAAUUGGAGGGAUGGCUAGUUUUGGCUAUUGGGAUGAGUUUCCCAUGGUGAGAGUAGUAGUGUGUAUUGUUACACAUUGGACAAGACCUAUGGUGAGUUAUGACUUAACGCUAUCAAGUAGUCAUGACUCCACCAAGCUGCUUCAUUGUAUUGUCUCUCAACCUUGAGAGAAUAUUGAGUUUGUGUUGAAGUUAGCAGUAGCUUUGACCUACAGGCGAGAUCGUAAGUUGAUCAUAUAUUCCCUAUGGAUUGGGUCAUUAUUGAUGGAAGUUGGUAACAAUAGGUAUUCUCAAUAGAGGCACCAUGAUAUCUCUUGAGAUUGAGAUAGUGUGUCCCUUUGGGUGAUUCGAAGGAGGUGUGUUUAUGGAAACUAUGGUCAUAGUAGUUCCUUAAGUGGAACUUGACAUAGGCUCUUUGAGAGCUAAGAUAUGUUCAUUGAACACAUAAUAGGAGGAUUUGUAACUCAAGGGUAGUAGAGGUAGUCUUGAAAGACUAGUAGCUUUUACCUUGUUAAACUACAAACAUCAGUUCAUAGGGAGACUGAACACAAUGGAUAGCAGGUCACGAACUUGAGCACUUGGUGUCUCAUUGUUAUUUACAUAAGAUAUUGGAGUUUAGUUGAUUCUCUAUAGUGGGAUGUUGAAUCAACUUUAUAAUUAGAUUAUGAGGGAGCCAGUAUUCCCAUGGGUCCCAAUGGUCCCCGCUUUGAGCUCAUAUACCUUGUUGGCAUGGAUGAGGGUCAGAUUGGCUCUAGGUUCACUUUUAUGCAUAAGAGCGUUUUGGUAAUUACAUAAGGUUGCAUAAGGAUAAGUGAACAAGGUCUCUAGAUUGGGCUAAUUGAUUAAUUUGUAGGCCCUAUUGGGUUAAUUAAUCAAUUGAAACCCAUUUUGGGCUAGAUUAAGUGAUUCAAGCCCAUGUGGGCUCAAGUCACUUAAGCCCACUUAGGAAACUUAUAAAUACCCCCUAGGGGUUAGGGUUUCCAUAGCUUUAGUCUUCCACCAUAUAGAGAAAUAGAGAACCAUUGCCUCCACCCUCUUUUCCUCCCCACUGGAAGUGCAUCAAGAUUAAGGUUCGAGUCAUUAGGCGGAAGAUCGUGGGUUUACGAGAUCUACUACAACUUUGGAAUUAUCUACAUCGAUUAAAAUCGAUCCGAGAACAUUCAGAUCAAAGGUAUGUGGCUUUAUUCUCUAGAUCUAUGUUUUUUAUGGUAUUCUUAUUGUUUUUAAAUACUUAUUUAUCUGUUGCGAUAGAUUUAAAGAGUCUGGGAUAGAUUUGCAUGCACCCUACACAAUUCAAGGCAUGGGAACGGAGUAAUCUGAAGUUCCCAACAAAAAGUGCCUUGGUGAACUAAACUUAAGAAAUGCAUCUAAGUGAAGCCUCACCUAAGCUCAAAGGGCGAUCAAGGUCAUAAUGAGGGUCUAAAUGAGAGCCCUUUAACAAAGGGUUCCUAAAGGUGGCUUAGAAAAGGAAGUUGUAUAAGUGUCAAUGAUCCACCAGGGAACUACUAUGGAAUACUGAAAGAGCACUUAAUAGGGUCUAUGCUAAGAGAGCAAAAUGUCAACACAUAUUCAUCUAUACAAGAUCCAAAGAUUGGUCAAGUUUGGAAUAUUACACAUUUUGAUUCUAGAGGAUCUUCUACUUUAUGAAUUCUGUAUAGAAGGUAAAAUGACCAAAAGGCUCUUUGUUGUUAAAGAAGUUAGAACCAAAAAAUGUUUGGUGUUAAUGCAUACUAAUGUGAGUGAGCUUAAUGAAUACUAAUGGGUACAGGCCUUUUAACGUUCAUGAGUGUGAAGGGUAUGAAUAUUUCAUUAUCUUCACUAAUGAUUACUCUAAGUAUGCUUAAGUUUACCUUAUGUAUAGGGAAUAUAAUGCCUUAGAUAAAUUCAAGGAAUUUAAAGUGGAAUUGAAAAAGUAGUUAGGUAAACAUGUCAAGGCACUUUGAAUUGAUUGAGGUGGUGAGUAUAUGUCAAGUGAGUUUCUAUGAACUAGUUGUUAACAACUAAUUAAGUUACAAGGAACCAAACUCAAGAUAUCACCCAUAGCUUAAAGCUAUUGAAGACCUUAGCACUCAAUCAAUAUUCUUUCAAGGUUGAAAGUCUAUGCAACAUAGUAACUUGGUGAAGUCACAACUACUCGAUAGCCAAUGUCAUAACUCACCAUAGGUUUUGUCUAAUAUGUAACCAUACACACUAGUAUACUCAUCAUAGGAAACUCAUUUAGAUGAUCAAGACAAGUCAUCCCUCCAAUGAAAAAGUAAUGCACUAUGACUUCCAAUGGAUUGCGUAAAUCCAUGAACUAGUUUUUAACAACUAAUGAAGUUGUAAGGAACCUAUAACUUGAAUCUUUCAUGCAACUCCUAAUGCACUCAAGUCAUGUACAAUACAAGUAAUGUAAACCUUAAAGAUAAUUAGUAAUAAUAUAUUAAUGGAUGGAAAAAUAAAAACUAAAAUCAUAAUAUUUAAAUAUAUUAGUGAAAUCUUAUUUUGUUAUAUCAUGUCAUACUGCUAAGGGCUCUAUACUAAUAGCUAGUCCCAAAAUAGUUAUUUCUUUGUGUUAGAGUAACAAACAAUCUUAUUUUGUUACAUCAUGACAUACUUUUAAGGGCUCUAUUAUAACAUCUAGUCCCAAAAUAGUUAAUUCUUUGUGUUAGAGCAUCUUGUUGGAGUAUUAAGAAAUGAUACAAUGUUGGUGGGGGAUUCUCAGGUUACUAGAUGGGAGAGAGUGAAUAAGGCAAAAUAGAGAAUGAGUCACCUAAUAUUUUUAUUCAUAGUUAGGAUUAUUGCAUAGUUGCUAAUGAUUACAAAAAUUAAAAUACAUGUUGUUAUAUGUUUGCCUUAAUUUGAUUCACUCUACAGAGGAUAUACAUGGAAUGAACAUAAACUUUCCCAUUGAGUUAUAAACUCACCCUAUCCUUUCCACGCUCACUAAAAGUCAGGGGACACUUAUCGGAAAUGAUGCUUGAACUUUUCAUGUGCUGCUAAUUAGAUGUUGUUUUGUUCAUAUUAAGACUUUUUUUUUUUUUUUGAGGUCUUUUCCUUUCCACCAUAGGAUGACUGGAUCAUUUUAGAGAUAGGUAGUUUAUGUUAUUUAUUUUUUUAUUUGUAAUAUAGGUCACCCUUAGUGGACUAUAGGGAUUAAUACGUGCAAAGUAAUGUUGUAUAAGAUUUGGUUAUGCUAAAUGAAGUAUACUUAAAGAUUUGUCUAAAAGGGUUUGAUCCUAGUAUACAUAUUUCUUUAUACAAGUCUCCACAUCCUUAUUUUAUAUAAGAAAAUUUCAUGAAACAUAGCAUCUUCUUUGUCUUAGUUAUGAGAGCACUAGUUGAGUCUGGUAUUUAUAUGACUGGUUAGUGAGACCGAAAUCAUGGGCAUGACAAGUAUCUCAAUUAAACCUUAAUUGAAAAAUAUUCCCUGCUUUGAAAAUAGUUCAACCAAAAUUUUUUCAUUAAGGGGCAAAGAAUAUGCAAAGUAAAGUUAUAGGUAACUCUCCAAUCAUUAUAUAUUUUCAUUUUAAACCAUUAAAUCCAAGACGAAACAUAAAUUAAUUAAUUAAUUAAAGUGGUGUUUGUAUGCACUUCCUAUUCUUUAUUUUUAAAAAUAAAAACUCUUGUAUAAAAGGAAGAAAUUUACGUUGUGCUCCUCAAAACUCCUCAAAAUUUAACAAAUUUUUGCAAUUGGAAUUUUUUUUACUUUUUUAGAUGUUAAAUUUUUUAAAGGUGUUUUAAUAUAUAGAUGAUAUAUAGCUACUUUUUAUAUAAGAAAUCUUAUCAUUUGUAUAGAAUUUUCUAUCUUUUUUUUUAAAAAAAAAAAAAAGAAUAAAAAGUUUUAUCAUCAUAUGCAAAAAUGUUGGCUUACAAAAUAAAUUUACUUUAAAAAGUCGGCAAGCUGAUAAAAAAUGAAUAUUUUUAUGCGCAGUACUCAGUGGAAGUUCCACACACAUAUAUACAUAUAUAUAAUGAAUCCAUUUUACUGUGUGCUCCUAGAAAAAAACAUCUCCAAAUUCCCAACAUCAUCACCAAUCAGAAUUGCAUGACGUCCUGUGGACUGUCACACUACCAAGCAUCAGCAUGAACCUCUUUCUUAUGCUUUAGUUUCCUUGCUUUUCUUUUUCUUUCUUUAAUGCCCUGCUUUGUAUUCUUGUCCAUUUUUGCUUCGACCACAAGAAAAGCCUAAGAAUAUGUAUGUGGGUACUGUGUUAAUUGUGAGAGUUGGGAAAUAGGUUUUCACAGCCAUUGCCAAAAAUAAAAAAGUCAGCAUAUAUUCUUCUGUUUUUGCAGAACACAUUCAUGGAUGAAUUGGAAAAAGCAGAGGAUGACAUCCCCCUCCAUCCUUAUUUUCAAAAAAUUCAAGAGGUUCUGGAAAGUGAAAGCAUCACGCCAUCAACACCCAUUAGAAUGAAGGAUUGUCUUCACAAUCUCAGCGCAUUGCAUUGACAGACUGUAUCAUGCUCUUGGAGAAGCGCAAAAUCAAAGGCAAUAGGGAUUCCUCAAAUGGGCAAGGCCAUUACUCUCUGCCCGAGCCAUGGUUUCUGUUCAGAACAAAAAGGAAGUUGAUUCGCAUCAAGAAAAAGCUUGUUGCGACAGGCCACCCAGUACUAGUGCAGACUUCUCCUCCUGCCAUCACCCACGUUGCCAAAACUUCUUCUUCUUCUUCUAGCUCUUUAUCAUUUGGACCACCAGUGGAUUUCGUAUUCUAUAUGUAUGAUGCUUAUGGAUUUGACGAACAAAAGGAAAAAAAUGAAAUUUGUUUAUGGGUUCAAACGAAUUGGACAAAAGGAUCGAUUUACCUAGGACAUUGGAAUUGUGGGGAUUGGGGGUUGCGGUAAGACCACUCUAGCCAGAAUGUAUGUUAUUCUACAACUGUGAUGUAGCAUUGCAUGAACACUGUGAUGCAGCUCUUUAUCAUUCAUUCAUGCACAAAUGAAAUGAAUAUCACAUAUUGAAUGAUGUUUGGCAUUGGAAGUGGAAAGUAAUUGAAGGAAGAAGGUGAAUAGUUUAUUAGAGUCAUUUUCAGUCUCUCUUCUUCCCUUGGAAGUUUGCUAUACUUACAUAUCAUCCAUUGUUUAUGCGUAUGAAUGAUUUUGGAGGUGCCAUCACCAUAUGUUCAUGAAAAGUGAAAAUAUACUGAAAAUUCUUAUGGGUAGUUCUCACUCCAUGGAAUAAUAUGUGGACUGAUAAACAUCAUCCACAUGUUACAGGGGAUUCUAGUUAGGUGGUGUUUGUUUCUUUAAUUUAAUGUUAAAUCUAAUUUGCUUUCGGAAUUUAGAUUAUUUGUUUUUAAUUUUUUUAUUUAUUAUUUAUUUUAAAAAUUUUUUUACUAAAUAAAAAAAGACAAAAUAUUUAGUUUUUUUGUUGAAUGCUAAAAAUAACUUUAUGAAAUAAUUAAAAUAUAAUCUUAAUAUAACUCUCACCCUAUUAGUAUAUAAUACUUAAUAAAAAUAAAAAAAUAAAAAAAUAAUAUAGUACUCAAUACUAUUAAGUUGUCUUUGGAUUUAAGUUAAAUUCAAUUUUAUUUAGAUUUAAAUGAAAAAACAAACAAAAAAACACCACCUUACACAGAGUACUUUCUUUAUAAAAAUGAGAGAAAAAGAGAGUUAAAAAGAGUGUUUUCUUCAUCUUGACCAAAUUUUAAAAAAUCACUUUUAAAAAAUUUAAAGAAUUACUUCAAGUAAAUUUGGAAUUCACAAUCCAUUUUGCUAAAAGAAUCGUUCAAUUAUAUAAUCCAUAAUUUGACUAGUUUUAACACCAAUUCUAUACAUUGCAUGAAGUUGAACCUUAUCCAAAUUACUUAGUAUUCAAUGAGACUAAAUAAAUUGCGUAUCAAUUGCACUAACCAAAGGAUGAUCAUGGUCCCCACUAAACUCUUUAACAAUUCCUUUUUCCAAUUUUCUAUUAAACCUAAUAUGAAAUGCAACUUCACAAUCAACUCUAGUAAAUGAUCUUGGCUCACAUUAUCUAUUUUCAUUUUGAAAACACUUUAUUAAUUGACGUCCUUCUUCAUAACAAACCCAUUUUAGAGAUAUAAUAUGUUCAUUCUUAUAACGUUUCAAAUCAUCUUUUUGAACAUUAAAUCUGAUCACUUUAACAUACAUGUUGUAAAAUGUUUUUGCUUUAUUUAUAUAAUUAAAUUCCUAUUUACACACUUCUUGAUUUGAAAUAUUAUUUAACACCUUGUAGACCCUGUCAGAUGAAGGGGUUUUAUUUAUUUAUUUAUUUUAUUAUCUUUUUCUUACCACCCCGAGGAUGAGCCGUUUGGACGGCCGGAGAGGACUGAUGUGUGGGCUGCUGGGGGAGACCAGAUGGGACGGAAAGACAACGGGAGCAGAGGCGUUUUGGGGGGGGGGGGGGGGGGGGCCGGUUUAAAAAAAAAAAAUUUUUUUUUUGGGGGGUGGGGGAGAUUUUUUUUUUUUUUAGGGGGUUUUUUUUUUAGUUGGGGAAAAAACUUUUUGGGAAAAAAACCAAACCUUUUUUAAAAAAAAAGGAAAAAAAGGUUUUCCAAUUUUUACAAAAAAAAAACCCCUCCUUUUUGCCCCCGGAAAAUUUUUGGAAGGCUUUGAUUUCCCCCUUUGGGUUUUUCUCUUUUUUUUUCCCCCCAAUUUGGGGUUCUCCUUGUGCCUUGAAAAAGGUUUUAAAAAAACAAUUUUUCCUUCUUUUUAUUUCCCCCAUCCCCCGGCCCUUUNNNNNNNNNNNNNNNNNNNNNNNNNNNNNNNNNNNNNNNNNNNNNNNNNNNNNNNNNNNNNNNNNNNNNNNNNNNNNNNNNNNNNNNNNNNNNNNNNNNNAGAGAAAGCUUGUUGGAAGAGAAGCAAAGCUAGUUGAGAGAGAUAGGAGAAAUAGGCAUUCCGAGUUUGAGCAGAGGAAGAGCCUGUCGUUUUGGCCCAGGUAUGAUUUUAGCAUGCUUUGCAUUUCCCAUUUCGGUUUGUUCUAUUUCAUUUCCUGCCGAUUUUGGGUUCAUCUUGAUGCUUGAAUAAGGUUUUGAAGAUCACAUUCUUGCUUCCUUUUGAUUCCACCUAUACCCGGCCCAUUGACAUUUAAGGAAUGGAACCAGAUUUAUCUGUGUUAUUUUCCAUUUGCGCAUGCUCUAUUUCUUUUUUACUUUCUUCUCUAUUUCUGGUAUUUUUGGAGUGUUGGGUAUCAUUUUUGGUGGCCCAAAGGAUGAGGACUGCAUCUUCACCAAUAUUUAUGGGUUGCAUGACCCAUUUCUUAAAAGUGCCAUGAAAAUGGGUGGAUGGUACAAGACCGGAGACAUAGUACUCAAGGGUUCUGAUUGGAUAGUAAGUGAAAUGAAGGAAUCUGGUCUCCGUGGACGUGGUGGUGUUGGUCUUCCAUCUGGCAUCAAAUGAUCCUUCGUUCCAAAAGUAUCCAAUGGCCAUCCUUCCUAUCUUGUUGUCAAUACUGAUGAAAGUGAACGAAAAAAUGUAUCUUACAUUGGAUGAGAAGUGAGAAAUGGGGUUGAGCAUCGUGGGCCAAAUGUUUUUCCAGCAGGUUCCAAAUGAAGAAUUUUCUGAGUAAAGAAAUUUACCCAGCUUCUGGUUAGUUUAGCAGCUGGAAACCAAGAAAAUCUCCACCCCAGCAAGUGAUGGUGGGUUGGUAAGAUUUGACAUCUAAGAAGGGUAAGUGCUGGUCUAUGUUAAGAUUUGAAGGGAUGGAUGGGGAGGUUGGCAGCCUAGUGAAGUGGAACCCAGGUGGGAGAAACCGUUCCAUGGUGGUGGUGCAAGCGGGAUUGCAGGAGAUGGUUUCCCACCUCAUGGUUCUCCUGGGCGUUUGAAAGAUUUAAUGGAAAUGGGUUUGUGGUGCCUUUUUUUUAUCUGUUUAUUCCUUAAGGACAUGCUACACAUUGGCCAUGCUAAGGCCAUUUUUUUUAUUAUUAUUAUUAUCUUAGUUUUCUCCAACUUUUGAUGUCAAAAAUUUCAUUUUCAAAAUUUUAAUUUUUCAAAACUCUAGUUUUAAUUUAAUUUUUCAAAGCUCCAAUUUUAAUUUUAAUUUUCAAAACUCCCAUUUUUAAAAUUUUAGUUUUUAAAACUUUGACUUCCCAAACUUUAAUUAUUUUCAAAUUUAUUUUUUUAUUUUUAAAAAACUCCAUUUAUAAUUAAUUCUUCAAAAUUCCAAUCUCCAAAUUUAAUUCCCAAUUUCCGAAAUUCCAAUUUUUCAAUUUCCGAAUUUGAUUUCCAAUUUCCAAAAUUCAAAUUUUCACAUUUAUUUAUUCAAUCAUUAUUAUUUUAUUUAUUUAUUUUUAAAAUUCCAUCUUUAAAUAAUUCUUCAAAAUUCCGAUUUCCAAAUUCAAUUCCCAAUUUCCAAAAUUUCAAUUUUCUGAUUUGCGAAUUUAAUUUCCAAUUUCCAAAAUUCCAAUUUUCACAUUUAUUUAUUCAAUCAUUAUUAUUUUCGUUAUUAUUAUUAUUUUAUUUAUUUAUUUUUAAAAUUAUUUUCAUUAUUAUUAUUAUUUUAUUUAUUUAUUUUUAAAAUUCCAUUUUUAAAUAAUUCUUCAAAAUUCUGAUUUCCAAAUUUAAUUCACAAUUUCCAAAAUUCUGAUUUUCCAAUUUCAAAAUUCAAUUUCCAAUUUCCGAAAUUCCAAUUUUCACAUUUAUUUAUGUAUUAUUAUUAUUAUUUUAUUUAUUUUUUAAAAAACUCCAUCUUCAAAUAAUUUCCAAGAUUCCAAUUUUCAUUAUUUAAUUUUCAUAGUUUCAAUUCUCAAAUAAUUUUCAAAAUUCUAAUUUCUUUCAAAUUUAAUUUCCAAAAUUUCAAUUCUUAAAUUUACUUUUCAAAACUCCAAUUCUCAAAUAAUUUGCUAAUUUCUUUCAAAUUUAAUUUCCAAAGCUCCAAUUUCUUAAUUUAAUUUUCAAAACUCUAAUUCUCAAAUAAUUUUAAAAUUUCCAAUUUCUUUCAAAUUUAAUUUCCAAAAUUCCAAUUCUUAAAUUUAAUUCCCAAGACUUCAAUUUUCAAAUAAUUUUCAAAACUCCAAUUUUCAAAUAAAUUUGAAAAAUCCAGUUUUCUCUUGAACAAUUUUAAUUCCACUCUGGUUCUCAAAUAAUCUUCUGUUUCCCUUGAUUUUACAUAAGCAACAAUGAAUUUUUCAUAAUUCCAAAGCAAUGGAAUUUGUGAGAUUAAUUCAUGCAAAAUAAAUUAGGUUUUGGUGGGGGCCCUACAUAUGAGUUUUCUCUUCUAAUGGUCAAUUGUUAUGCUUAAUGAGAAUUGUCUGAUCUUUGCAUUGCUCUUUGAUAUGCAUGUGAUGAUUUUAUACUUGAGUUGACCCUAUUUCCAUGAUAGCACACUGUUAAUUGCUAUUAAGGUAAAAUCUCAUUCCCGCCUCGCUUAUUCUUAUGCAUAAUUCGCUUUAUUAUUUUAUUAUUCCAUUUUGGUAUCCAUUGAUUUCCUUACCAAUUGUCAUGUUUGCUUCAUCUUAUUAGUAGAGACCCGUUUUUAGGGAGUUAGAGGGGUGCUACAGUCAUUGUCGUACCUUCCCAAUAAGUAACCUAACCCCCGAACCCAGAUUUGGUUUUUCACAGACCACAUUUUCCAAAUAAGGAGUCACACUUAGGGUUUUCUUUCUUAUUUUGUUUACCCUUUAAAAAUAAGUAGCGACUCCAAGUAUUUUCUAAAAAAAAAUCAUAUUUUUCACCAAAAUAAAUAAAAAAACGAGUCUUGCCAUCAAGUGGGAACGCACGUACGAAAAUGCGGGGUCCACAAAAUGGCAACUCCAUUGGGGAGUACAUAGAGGGUCAAACUUAAACUCAAGUUAAGGCAAAUGUGGCAUUUGAUUAGUCGGUUGAUGGAUACCUUUCCUAUGUGCUUCUCUAUGCUUGAGUGAUCAUAACACAUUGAGGAUUUUUAUGUGGUGAUUUUCUAUUCUUGAUUGCUAUAUCCAUUUGUGACAUUAGCAUGUUGAUGAUAUUGAUCGAUUUUGCUCUUGCCAUGAUUAUUCUGGUCACUUUGACAUGUACAUUCUUCUUGUUGCUUAUCUCAGUCAUCUUAACAUGAUUGAUUAUUUUGGUUGUAUAUUAUCUUGAUUAUCAUGGAGCAUGCUAUAUUUGCUAGAUAUUCAUCUCAAUUAUCAUAUUCUUACCUAGCUUGUGUGUCGAUAUGAGUUAUAUACAUAUACUUCGCAUGACUAUCUAUUGCAUGACUUCUCUCAUUUUGUAUGAUUACAUGAGUUGUUUGUCUAUGUGGGACACACACCUCUCCCCUUAUCUCCAAAUCCCUAGCCUCGGUCGACCUUGUUUUCCUUGAUCUCGUAUUUGAUAUGAGACUUGUUGCUUUGUUUGCUCUUCGACCAAGCUAGUGAUUAAGAGUAGGGUCUAGCGAUGGGCUAUAUCUAUGUUUGGGAGCAUUUUGGAGGUGCCCAACACAUUGAUAUUGAUUGGAGUCGGACCUUUGAAGACUUGUAUAGCCUAGAGCUAGAUUUCAGGAUAUUUGUGUGACCAAUAUGUUUCUGCUUAGUUUGAUAGGAUUUUCGGAUGCACCUAUACCAUUCACUGUGCACCUUAGAUUACCACCGAGUGUUGAGAGUUGUGAGAGCUUUCACCAUAGGAAACCCCCUAGGACGUCGAGGUAGUGCAUGUGUGGAGGUGAUGACCACCUUGCAUGGAAGUACCUUGUCUAUUUGGAGGCGUGUAGAGGGUUGCGUACCGCCAGAGGGUACAAUCGCUUUUGUUAGGGAUCCUUUAAAGUCUGUCAUUUUUCUUUUUAAAGCCACCUUGACCCUGUAGGUUGAGCCUUAGAUCAUUCGAUCAGAACUUCCUUCCAUACACAUGGGUGCAUCUGAGAGCCUUUAGAGCCUCUUUAGUUACAGUUCGGAUCCAAUACUCCCCAUUUUGGUCUCCAAUUGAGAGUGUUGAGAUACCGGUGCGAGUUUGAGUAUCAGUUGGACCACCCCUUGCUGUAUAGUUUUAGUUUCCUCUUGUCGCUCGUUGAGUUUAACACAAUUUCUCCCUAAGGCUUUAAAUAGUCUUCUUUUCUUGAUUUGACACAUUCUUUGGGUUUGUUGUCACUUUUUGCUUGACGUUUUGGGAUAUGCUAAUUGAUCAUGCUCACUUUUUUACAUUCUCUACCUGUCAUGGGCUCGAUGCUGCAUUUUUUUGGUUGAUUUGCCUAAUUUUGUUUUCAACCCGAUAUUUUUAUUAUAGGAAGGUGAAAGGCAUCUUUUUACAUUUGCACCCUUUUUGAGAUAUCCGCCUUGAUCACCUUAUCAUUUUUCUUUAUGGAGCUCGGGUUGAAAGUGAAUUAAGGAUAUUUUGUUAUAGAUUGAGUAUCGAUCUCGUGAUAAUGUUGUUCUUCGCACCUCAUUUAUUUUCUUCACACUUCAUUCAUUUUCUAGAUCAUUGAUAGAAAUUCUUUAGUCAUAUUUGUAGUCAUCUCACACUGGACAUUCCUGUGACUUUAGAGUUUUUAUCAUAUAUCCAAAUUUUGAUUGUCACCAUAGGACUAUGUAUCGCACCUUGUCAUGUAUUGGGUUGGGUUAUAUCAUGCAUUGGUCAUUGUUCGUUGCAUCCGGUGUCAUUGCAUGAGUCAUGUUUGAGUCAUUUUGUUUUGGUUCUUUUGUAGGAGUCUGUUUGUAGUCCCAGUCUUAGUUCAGUGCCCUGGGUUGAGUUAGAGAGAGGUUGAUUCGUAUCACCGAGCUGCUAUAGACGGAUUCAUGAUCAGUUUUGAUUGGUUAGCUUACCACUUUUGUGGCUUCGAUUCAAGAGGCAUUGAUUGGUUUGAGUUAGAGGAUGGAUACUCAGCAGAGUAGGCAUGCAGUGCUCGAGGACACACCAUCUGAUUUAGUGCCACCAUCACCUCUACCUGUUCUGAUGCCAACCACGCAGACUUUGCAUACUAUUUCGCAUGAUCAGGCUACUGUCAUUCCACCCACCGUCACACCAGUUACCAUUUUUGAGGAUCCUCGUUCUCGUAUGGAUAGAAUCGAGCAAAGGAUUAGACAUAUGAGAGAUCCUAAGGAGACGAUUUCUUAGGAUGACACUGAUGACGUGCCAGUGGCCACUUUGCCAGUCAGUUUCAGGAUGCCUGAGAUAGAGAGAUAUACGGGUGUUGGAUGUCCUCAUAUUCAUCUCAAAAUUUACAGCAUAGUUAUGAGGGCUCUUGGUCUAGAUGAGGCACAAUUGCUCACUUUGUUCCCAUUAUCAUUGAGCGGCACAACAUAGAGAUGGUAUGCUUCAUUAAGGUCAUCUCAUCGAAGAACUUAGGAGGACUUAACGUAGGAGUUUCUGAGACAAUAUUCAUUCGGUAAUGAUACGAGAGUUACAUGUAGAGAGCUUGAGUUUCUUAGACAGGGAUCAGAUGAGUCUGUUUCUUCUUUCAUCUCCCGCUAAAGGGAGAAGGUUGCAGAGAUGAUUGAGCGACCUACUGAGAGAGAUCAGAUGUGCAUGUUUUUUAGGAGUUUGCAACCUAGGUUUGCUCGACAUCUGGUAGGGGUACCUUUCCAGGAUUUCAGAUCAUUGGUUCAGGCUUUGUUUGAUGUAGAUGAUGGCAUAUCUAGAUGAUUAUGGUAAGAUAUUAUUCAUUCCCCAAAUACUAAGGGGAAGAGAGUUGUUGGAUCAUCUGAGAGCUAUGGAGGCGUGUAUUCUAUGAGCUUUCGACAUCGAUGACCUAGUUAUCAUCCCUACACUAGAUCAUUACAGAUACCUAGGAGUAAUUCCCCACCCUCACAACAUCGUCAUCCUCAAUCAAUUCAGUAGUAUCCUUCUAUGCAUCCUCAUACUACCACGGUCCGACCUUUAUUUUAGUUUCAGCAUCCACAGACUAGUACCGCAUGACAUGAGCAGUCUCGUCCCCAUUAGCGACAUCAGAGGACUUAUUCUGAUUUGGGGAUGCAUUUGGAUAAAGCUUUUGAGCGACUCAGAACUACUGGUCUUUUAGUACCAUUGGCCCCUAAGCCGCCUCCGAGUACUUUGUCUCCGCGUUUUCUUGCUCACGAGUUCUGUGCAUUUCACCAAAUGGCAGGCCACCAUACUGAUUAUUGUGCUUCUCUACGUCAUACCAUACAGGAUCUUAUUGACAGUGGUGUGGUUAGCUUUCCUGUAUCGACCAUAGAUACUAAUCUUGAUCCAGAUAUGACUAUUGAUUCCUUUCCAGCCUAUUCCACACAUGCAGUUCUUUCUCCUUCAGGCUUAUACCAUCAUGUUUUGACACCCAGGACAUUGAUAUUCACAAGACACCUUGAUAUUGUAGACCUUGUUGAUGUAUUCAGGAACUACAUUUUAUGGUUGUCGUUUGAGUUUUUGUUCACUUUUAUUUUAUAUUUGAGUUUUGUUUUACUGUUAGUGAUUCGAGCUUGUACCCCGUGUUUUGAGAGUAGGCCUUAUUGUCUUGUUAUUUUGCAUGAUGUACUCUUGUUUCACUUAGUGAUAUUAUUGUUUUUCUUGAGUAUGUGUUUCUGUUUUUUUUUUUAAUUAUUAUUAUUGUUUCAUAUCAUGCAUUUUAUAUGUUGUUAUUUUGAGUAGCAUUACGUGUUGCUUUGUUUUGUCUCUUGCAUGUGUUUGUUUUAGAGUCUUGAUAGUUUGAGUACUGUGACUGGUUCCCAAGUAGAGAUUAAUGGCAUGAUGGUUAUGAUACAGAGUACAUUGAGAUUAGACUUUUUCAGCUGAGGUUCACCAUGUCGGACGAGAUCGCACCAAUUACUCUUACUACUCUAUAUGAGAUGAUGGUGGAUUUGACAUGCAGGAUUGAGAGGAUUGAGCUUAUUUUGUCAGAGUAUCCAUCGUCAUCAAGAGGAGCUCCAAGAGUAGUGAUGCCUUUAUUGCCACAUUUGGCUUCACCGACAUCUGUUACUUUGGGUGCCUCACAUCCACGACCUCACCCAUAUUCAGUGUUCCAGUAGCGUUCCUCAUCCAUUACAUUGGCUACAUUGACACGAUCUCCAUCCCAGCUUCGGGAUCCUCGGAUCAUUACAGUUCCUCAAAAGCAGCUUCACCCUCGUCGACGAUGUCGGAGACACUUUUCAAACUUAGGCAUACCCUUGAGUAGAGUUUUUGAGACGUUCUAGACCAUGGGAUUUUUGGCCCCUUUGUCUCCUAAGACAUUUCCAGAUCCUGUGCCUUCACAAUUUCAACUUGAUUUAUAUUGUAUGUACCAUCAGUCAGUAGGGCAUCACAUUUAUUGUUACACUGCUCUACGACAUGCCAUACAAAACAUUGUUGAUUUUGGGACAUUUGGACAUCCUCAGUCAGAUAUGUUUUUUAUUCCUACCUUAGCUCAAGCCAUGCAUGCAGACACCCCUUCACUAGUAGUCCCUGAUCUUAUUGACUUGGGUGAUUGACUCAUGAUUGGCUUACUUUGGUACGGUGGUGCUCAAAUUUUGUUCCCUCUAUGGUUAGAGAUGUGAUGACAGGACCAGUCACUGUUUUUGUUUUUUUUAGUCUUGUUUUACUUUUGACAUUUAGAGACUAUAACUCAAUUCUUGAGUAUUAUCUGUGUUAUUCUUCUUUUUGCAUGAUGUACUCAUCUAUUAUUCCAUCGGAUGUCUUUUCCUUUAUGGACAUAUGCUCGUGUUUUGUGAUAUGAUGUAUUGUACUUUUGACUCGAGGCAUUUAUUCAUUUGCACAUUAUGGUUUUGAGGUCUAACCUAUCAUGGAGAAUAUUGAGCUUAUUAGCCUAGGAUCAGAGAUUUGACCUAGAGAGUUUGAGGUUGUGACCCAUCCUCUUAUGAUCAAAGUAGUACCUUACUCACUCUCACACCUUGACUUUGCUUUGACCUACAUCCACCCAUUGUGAGCUUUGCACAUCGUCACCUUGAGACCAUUAUAUGACCUUUUCAUCCUCAGCUUUUCUAGCUUUGCACAUCUCCUCUUUGAUCUAACCAGGUAGAGUGUGAGGAGUUUGAGCCUAGGGUUGAUAUUGCAUGGCGAGGGAUGGCUUAUGAUUUUUAGGUGGCUUACGACGUGAGGAUUGGUCGAUUGUCUUAUGGGAUUGUCACUUAUUCUGCUAUGAGCAUAGAGAUUGAUCUUGUAUGUUAAGAGUUGGCUUGUGAUGAGUAGUUGUGCUUGAUGAGAUCAUCGUUUAUUUCGCUUUGAGGGGGUCAUCUUUGGUACUAUUAUAGAGCAUCUGGAGUACAGUUUGGCGCACGAUUCCAAAAGGUUGACAUGGUUAUAUCAAAUGGACACUGAUCUUUAGUAUCGAUCAUUUAAGGGUUAGAGAGCACAAUGUUUGAGACUGUGGUUGUAGAAUGGGUGGCCUUCAUUUCGGUUAGCUCACACCUUACUACCUUCAUUGACAUCUAGACCAUUGCUAACCCUUUAAGCCUCGUAUGAGCAUCAUAGCCUUUUCUUUCUUAUAGCCUUGCUCACCUUUUACACCGGGAUAGGGGCCCUUUGGUGUAUAUAUGCUUUAUUCAGGAGUCUCAUGAGCCAUGGACUUAUUGACUCAUUUUCUUCAUUAUUUUUUUGUUGUCCUACCAUUAUUUUUCUUCAUACCUCUUUGUUCAUAUCCUUUCUUUUAUCAUUUUGUUUUUGUCAUCGCGUUUCUUUUUAUGCCAUGAGUGAUGAUCUUUCACAUUUCAAUGCAUGGAGGACAGUCAUGUCCCAUUCCACUCCUAUCUCAUGGACAUUGGUUCGGAGAUCCUUAGUUGAGAAAGUCAUCUGGUUAGAGAGAGUUCGCCUACAUCAUUGUUUGAGAGUAUAUCUAUUUCAUUACAUAUUUUCAAUGGAGUUCAUUUGUUGAUAUUCAGAGUAUGUGCAAAAAAAAAAUGAAAAAAAAAAGUGAUAAGUGCAUGUGUUUAUGUUUAUAUGUAGUGUCAUUCUCCAUUGAGUGUGCGUAUUGGUCAUUGAGGUUGCUUUAUUGAGUUAGUUGCUUAUGAAAGUUUGUAUGUGAACUUUCAGGAGGCUCUCAUCUUCUUGUGUCUAUCUCGUUAUGUAUUUUUUGUGUGAGAGACGAAUGGCCUUUUCCUAGGGGCUCCGGAUCAUUAUCAUUUCCAUCAUUACAUACAUUAGUGAUUUGACCGUUCUCCAUGACUUGAUUUGAGUGUUAGUGCUCAUUCAUUUUCCUUCGAUUUAUUUGUUUUUCUCAUGGUAUUUCAUUCACCUUGCCUACAUUGUUCUUUGUUCAUAUUGAUUUACAUUCCGUGUUUGAUAUUUUCCACACAUCACUCUUGUACAUCCCAUCAUCAGUUCGAUAUUAUUCAUUUCUUCUCUUUCAUCAUUGAUAUAUUCAUCUUGGAUUCUUUCUUCAUCACCAAUAAAUUCAUAUUGGACGUCCUCAGAUCCAUGGUUUAUGAGGCUCUCUGUACAUGUUGCAUUUUAUACACGAGAGUAUGGGGUUUUAUCAUUGGGUAUUUGAGCCUUAUUUCCUUUCAUUUCUUUCACCCUAUUACCUUAGCCUACGUUACGUCCCGAGUCUUAAGACCAGCCUGAGGCCAUGACAUCACACAUUGUAUUUGAUAGCUCUUAUGUGGGCGAUACUCGAGAUUGGUUCGAGAGCAUUCUAAUUGUGAUGGACCAGGAGUUGUGGUAUGACUCUACAUUGGGACAUAGCCACCUUAAAGAGUUUUUAUUGGGUAUGCAGCCAUUCUGAUUGAUACAUCGCAUUGGGGUGCACCCUUCUUGAUCGAGGGUUGAUUUUUUUAGAUGACCAUCAUGCUGAGGCAUACUCUUCUCAGUCGAUGAUGGAUUUUUGAGUUAUGUCAUCCAUCGGUGGAGAUCAGAUGUCUUUUUCACAUUGGAGUACGAGAUAUGACUAGGUGAUUUCUUUGAUGUGAUUAUAGGAGCAUAACCUUCCCAUCAUUGUUGACAGAUUUUUGAGAUGAUUGGAUCAGGACACACACACUUGUGAGAGCAUGUAGCAGAGUUUAGUCAUUUCAAAGAUUGCCUUAUACUGUGGCAUAACCCUUUCAUUGGCAAUUGAUCUUGGAGAUACUAGCUUACAUUUGGGCAUGAUCAUGUCAGAGCGUAUUUUUGUUGAGGCAUACCACUUUAUUUGAUCUUAUUCAAAUACUCUCUUCACGUUACCACGAUGACUUUGAGGAGCGAAGAUUCAUUUUGAUUUAGAGAUGCUUACACUGGGACAUAGCCCACUCAUUGAUGAUAGAUUUUGUGAGAUGACAGUUUAUGCUAGACACAUACUUUCCAGAGAUUAUCUUGUACUGAGGGUUUACCCAUUUUGAGAGGAUGCAUUCAUAUUGGGGCAUAGCCACCUUGAUGAUUUUGACAUUGAGGCUUCACCUCCUGUUUAUGAUUGUUGCUUUUGAUGGAUCAUAGAGUUAUUGACACCAUGGGUUCAAUCUUCUCAACAUACUUGGUCCGACUUGGAUACCCACUUUCCUUUGUUACACACCCAUACAUCCUACAUUUGACACCAUUAUACCUGGAUUCAUCUUAUCAGAGCCUUACAUCUUUUGAGCCUACAUAUUUUAUCAUCUUACAUGACCUUAUCCCCUUCUCUUGAUUAGAUGAGGAUACAGACUAGUCUUGAGCUUUUUGGUUAAGUUUUCACAUGCCUUUGGACAUUAGGUUCAACAUCUUCCAUGAUGUUAGGACCUAUUAGAUUGUUGAUAUAUUUGUGAGGAUGUUUUCAUGUUGAUAGUUGACAUGUCAUGUCUUGACUUGCUUACAUUUUAGACUUGGUCAACUUUUGUUUGGUCCCUUGUUUUAGUUUUGCUUUGUCAGCAUAGUUUCGGUGAUACUUGGUCUUGUUUAAGCAUUUGUUCAUUGAGGCUAUGUAUGUGCUUUUCAUUGCAUCAUCAUCGAGCAUAUCUUAGAGUGUUUUGUAUGGUGACAUUCUAUGUCUUAUGUUGGUUACUAUCUUACACUGGGGCAUUCCAUCAUCCUUGAGUUCCUCAGAUGUUUUGCAGAUUUUUCUCACUACUCGAUCUAUUUCUUGAUCUUUGCGAGUCGUCAUACUGGGACAUACCCCCUUUAGCACUCUUCUAUUGGGGCAUACCCCUCUUUUUGGGUUUACCAUAUCUCGUGAUGAUUUCAUGGUCGUUCGACCCAUUUGUUGAUACUUCCGAGUCUUUUACUAGGGCAUACCCCAUUUUCCUUGAGUUCACUAUCCCAGUCACUUCUUUAGGGUUCUCUUGGGCGUUUCUGAUUGUAGACCACAUUCCUUGUUUCUUGUUUUUUGCUUUAGGUGUUUUUCGUUUGCAUAUCGCAUACUUCUUCCUCUUCCGUCAGUUUGUUUAGGGCAUUCCCCUACUAUCAGUUUGUUUAGGGCAUCCCCAUACCAUCAGUUUGUUUAGGGCAUCCCCCUUAUUUCAGUUUUCACCACCAUAGAUCAGACAUCUAUGGGCAUUUAAGUUUCACCACCAUAGAUUUUCAUCUAUGGGCUUUGAUCAGUUAUCACCACCAUAGAUCAGACAUCUAUGGGCAUUUCGAUUAUUUCACCACCAUAGAUUUUCAUCUAUGGGCGUUUCAGUUAUCACCACCAUAGAUCAGACAUCUACGGGCUUUGUUUCAGUUAUCACCACCAUAGAUCAGAAAUCUAUGGGCAUUUCAGUUAUCACCACCAUAGAUCAGACAUCUAUGGGCAUUUUGGUUAUUUCACCACCAUAGAUUUUCAUCUAUGGGCGUUUCAGUUAUCACCACCAUAGAUCAGACAUCUAUGGGCUUUGUUUCAGUUAUCACCACCAUAAAUCGGACAUCUAUGGACAUUUCAGUUAUCACCACCAUAGAUCAGACAUCUAUGGGCAUUUCAGAUUCACCACCAUGGAUUUUCAUCCUUGGGCCUUUGAGAUUAUCACCACCAUAGAUUUUCAUCUAUGGGCCUUGAUCAGUUUUCACCACCAUAGAUUUUCAUCUAUGAGCCUUGUUCAGUUUUCACCACUAUAGAUCAGACAUCUAUGGGCAUUUCAGAUUCACCACCAUAGAUUUUCAUCUAUGGGCCUCGAUCAAUUUUCACCACCAUAAAUCAGACAUCUAUGGGCAUUUUAGAUUCACCACCAUAGAUUUUCAUAUAUGAGCCUUGAUCAAUUUUCACCACCAUAGAUCAGACAUCUAUGGGCAUUUCAGUUAUCUCACCAUCAUAGAUUUUCAUCCAUGAGCAUUUUUUUCAGUUAUCUGACCACCAUAGAUCAGACAUCUACGGGCAUUUCAGAUUCACUACCAUAGAUUUUCAUCUAUGGACCUUGUUCACUUUUCACCACUAUAGAUCAGACAUCUAUGGGCAUUUCAAAUUCACCACCAUAGAUUUUUAUCUGUGGGCCUUUGAGAGUUUCACCACCAUAGAUUGACAUCUAUGGGCAUUUCAGUUGUAUCACCACAGUAGGACUUCACCUAUGGGCCUUCUAGUUUAGCAUUUAGAGUUAGCUUUUUGGUUUGUCUUCUAGAGCCAUUCUUUUCUUAGUUUAGCGUUUAGAGUCAAUCUUGUCAUUCAGAGCCAUAGUUCUUGAUAUUAGUGAUCACUAGCAUUACAUGCUUUCUUUUCACAGUUUCACAUUUCAUCUUACUUCUCUUUUUGGCAUAUGUGUUUCUCACUUCAUUGUGAUAUUCUAGAGUUUCUUCUCAUCUUUUGUGUAGGAUAUAGCUGUAUGAGCUCAUAGAAUGUGUCUUAAUUGUAUUUUUAGAUGCUCUAUGUCUUGUGUCGUCGUAUGGUACACAUAUGGUUCUUCCUUUUGUACUCAUUCCUAUGCUCUUUGGUGGUUCGACUGCUACUCAACUUUGAUGUCGAUUUUUGAGUCACUUUGAAGACUUUCCAGGGGUAGUCUGGAUCCAUAGCGUAGCUCUAGAGACACUCUGAGAGCUACCAUUCUCUUAGGAUUUUAGAGCUCUUUUUGUUCAUUUGUUGGUUUGAGCAAGUCUGUGUUCUACAUGUGUGCCUUUGAGGGUCUUUCCUUUUCUUCAGUAGAGUUCACUUCAUUUCACUUAUUUUUCAAACUUUCUUUUCACUCUAGUGUUCAUAUUCCUUGCACUCAUGAACUCUACUGAAAACAUUUUAAAAGUCAAGGAAUAUGUGAAAAUUGCUUGCCUGAAAGAAAAUGGCAGCAUAUUUUAUUGAAAAAUGGGAUUUUUGAUGAACCUAAACACUCUAAGAAUGAAAAAUUAAAGAGUCGAAUUAUUUAAAAAACUAGAAUUUGGAAAAUUAUUUGCAAAAUGGGGUUUGGGAAAUUAUUUUUAAAAUCAAAGAUGAAGAAAUGAAAGAAAGAAGACACGUGGCCCAAAUGUGGCCAUGCAGAGAUGCAUAAGUGGGAAAGAUGGUGAGAGAUAACCAUGCAGGGGUGAAGCCCAAAGUGCAACUGCAUCUGCUCAGUCAUUAGGUCAUCUUCAUCUAAAUCAUGUAAACCUUUUGCAUGGGCCAACCAUCUGAGUGCUUCACCACCAACUAAUUGGAACAAUCCUUGAGUACCUCUCAAACAUUUCUCCAUAAACUCCAAUGAAACAGGCUUCAUCAAUUGAGCUGCAGUUGUCAUGAUCUCGCUCCCAGUAACAGUACUUCCCGUAAAUGCAAUCUUGUUAACAUGGAGACGGGAUGCCAAUGGAUGUUCUAGAAUGAAAGGCAAAUUCGGUUUUCUUUUGCAGAUCAGCAAGUGGAACUGCCCUAAGUAUUUUGGCACUUGGACCUGCUAUAUCUGGCUUCAAUACUGCUGGACUGGGGAAACUUGGCUCUCGAGAUGAGAAGUCGGCCAUAUUAGUUGGCACAGGUUUCCCAACACAUGUUUUAGAAAGGGCUCAACCUUACAUGGGGAUGCCUGGUCGAACUAAUGUAGUAGUGUAUCUGGCUUCCAAUUUCGUAGCUUACUUUAAUACAUGGGAAGUUGCUAAUGCAUGAUGCCUGGGUAUUUCCAGAAUUCUCAACAAUAAUCACCCCUAGGCCACGAGCUUCUCUCACAAAAGAUGCAACAAAUGUUGUCUCAGAUGUACUUGAAGUGAAGCAAAGUGCCACCUUUCCAGCCAUUGAAGUGUCAUUCAAUGAUAUAGAUAGACAAUUGCUAACACUUUCAACAUAUGGGUCAUCUAGGUACGCUAAGCUGGCCAAGCCAGUAUGGUUUCCAAUUGACAUUGCUUGACUCAUGAUCGUGCGAUUGUUGCCUAGUAUGAUGGGUAUAGGGAAGGACCGGUCAAUGUUGCCAGCUACUACAAUUAAUAUCCACGGUGUUGUAUUCUCUACUGUUUGAGUACUUGAGUCUCCAUUUCUUCUUCCUUCACUCUGCCUCCCACUUGUCAAUAAAACCCACAUACUAAAGCUAGAAAAAAAACUUUAGAUUGAAACAUAUAAAUCACUUUUUCAGCCUCACAGGCACUGUUUAGUUGAAAUGGAGUAGUAAACACCUCCAUACGCUGAAUUACUUCGGAUCCUAACUUUCCCAAUCACCUUUGGUCCAUGGAUUUCACCAAAUUUCGGCCUUCAAAAGCAUACUCUCGAACUGUAGAUGAGUGGAGAUGACUCUGAGACAAAUGAAUAAGGUUGAUAUGAAAUCAACCGUUAAUGGUGGAUAUGGUGCGUAUGAGGAUGUGGGGAAAUGAGGGUGGCCAUGCACAAGGGAAUUCGUUUGUAUGGGAAGGGGAAGGAAGUGAGCCAAGAGCGAGGUGGGUGGUGUGGUGAAGGAGGUGAUGAGUUGUACGUGUGAAUGCGUUGUGGUGAUUAGGUUUAAUGGAUAUGAAGGAUGGGAACCUGUGGGUAUGAAAGAUGUAGGUUGUAGUGGUGGGAUGAAUGGUGGAAAGUAAUGAGAGAAAUGGGUUUAGAGGGUAUGAAAGAUAAGGAAGUGGUGCGCAUGAAUGGUGAUGGGCAUUGUGGGUAUGAAGCGUAGUAGGUUUUGCAAAGGUUUGGUGGGGCCAUGCAUGGCCAUGCAAAAGUGGAAAAGUAACCAAGAUCAUGCAACCGCUUCAAUCCAUAACUAGCAUCAUCUAAUUUCUCCUCAUCCACAACACUCUUAAUGCCCAUGUCAACACCACGAGUCUCAUCAAAGGUGCACAACCCAAUUUGCAAGCAAAUCUUCUGUGGUGAUGCCUCUGAUAGCAGUAAAUCCAUAAUUGUUUACCUAUACUGUGCAACUACGGCCUUACAUUCUUGGCUAACAACUUCGGUGGCUCAAAUGGCAUGAUUUUAUCAUAACGACAACAGCUGUUGGGCCUGCCAACAAAGAAGUUCCAGAAUCUGCUAUUGCUGCACAACCUCCGGCACAAUACCCAGUUGUUUCACCAUGUCGCACCACACUAAGAGAACAUUACCAAUUGAAAUCUCUUGAAAUCCAAGUCCUAAUAUACCAUCAAACUUAGCCACCCAAAAUAUGACACUGGGCUCUCUAGUUGCCUCAAUAAAUUCCUGAUUCUUCACAAUAAGAACACCAACUUUCACAUUGUCUUGACUAAAGAAACCUGAGAUAGCUCCGGUACCAUAAUGGAUAUCAGUAGAUUUUCCAUUCUUCCUGUAGGUAUUUGAUUAGCAUGACUUGUACUUUAAAUUGAAAUAGCAAGGAAACGAGAAAUAGCACUUAGAUGAUGGAACCCAUAGGUUUGAGCCACUAGUGUCAAGUAUUACGGUGAACGUUUGAGGGGAGGGGGGUACCAAUACCAAUUUCACCAGAGUAUUGAGCAUCCAUGUAGCUUUCAAUCCCACAAUAUCUGUAUCCUGAGAGUCCCCAAGAUUACCACGGCGAAGACACUUCCUAAUAGAAGCUUUCAAUGACUCCCCUUACUUGGACUCGAGCCGUGCAGCAAUUUUUCAUACCCACAGAUUGAGAAUACAUCCUCUGCAGUUCCUUGCUCCCUUAGGCAAAGAUGAGAAAACAGAUGCACACCAUGGACAAGUACCAAAAAUAGGGAAAGACAGCAAAAUAGAGCACAAAGGGUAGAAAAAAAUGAACCCUUACAAACUACGUCUCAUGUUUCAAUCAACGAGCUUAGAUGUAGAAAGUAGGCAAAAAUGGAUUUCGAAUGGGUUUCAAAGAGAAAUCAAGACAUGAUUGCCAAUAUAUCAUAUAAAAUCUCCAAAACAUAGCCCAAAAAUUAGGUUAGAGAUCAAGCAUAAAGUGAGUAUAAGCAAACUCAAAUUCCAUAAAAAUAUGCAAAAGACUUAAAUGCUCACACUCAGGCAUCAAAAUGAAAUCUCAUUAUAUACAGAAAACAUGAUAAAAAUGGUAUAAGAAUGAAGCAAACGAUAGCUUGUAGACAUCAUACCUGUGUUAUUCCCCUUUCAAGCUCAUUUUCUUCUCAUCUUCAAAAGAAAACACCCCUCUCACAACCUGCUCACCCUCCUUCCUUGCUUCUGGUUUCUUCUUUUUUUAAGCUAUCUCCCUCCGCUCAAUCUCACUAUUCAACUCAUUUUUCUUCCCCUGUUUCAGUUCUCUCCAAGAGGACCUCUCAUUUCUGUAUCUUUUUCGUCCUCUGAAAUUUUCUUUUCUUUCCUCUCUAUACUCACCCCCCUCCCCCUCCUCCUCCUUACAACUCUAUCUCUUUCUCUGGUGAUCUCCCUCAAGUUGUCUCGCUCCUCAAGCAACAGAACACACUCUCCUCUAACCUUCUCGAGAAAAUCCCCAGCUAAUUUUCUCCUUGUCCAAGCAGCAACCCAACACACUAUCAAGCAACACCCCGCUCCUCCUAUAACGACGUCCUACAGCUCUCAAAUCUUCAAAACUGUUUUUGAAUAUUCUCCAUUGCAUGUGUCGUUCUCUCAUUACACCUUCAGCCCACUAAUGUGAUUCCCUAAUGGCCAAUCCAAAUGCAACACGUGGCCUUCAAAGAUCGUAACACCCAGAAAAAUAAACACCUGCAAGAAUGACCUAAAAUGGGGAUCUACAAUAGGUUUUACAAACUGGAAGAUUUUCUUAUAUCAAAAAGUCUAGACUUGACCAGUCUUUGGAUCCUAUUUAGAUUAAUAUAACCUAGGUCUAGAUACCAAAUGUUUAAUUAGUAUUAGGUUUAAUCCUAAGAUUUGACUUUUCUCAUUACUUGGUAAAGUGAUAAUGGAAUACAUAUAAAAGAUAAAGACAUUACCUUCCACUAACCUGCACAACUAUCCUUGCAAUUGAAGUUAAGCUAAGUAUAAUCUCAUCAUUUAACAUUCUCAUUUGUUGAAUACCUUGUAAGGACUUACAAACAGUAGGCUUAGAAUCUAUUCACUAUAAAUGUUGAAAUCCACCACUAAAUAUUCAACAACGACAAAAUGAUGUAUACUUUUCUUUUUCCUUAGAUGAAUGGGGCAUUCUUUUUCUAGUGUCCUAAAAGGUCACAAAAGAAUUAGCUAACCUUGAGCUUGCUUUCUAAUUCCUUCUCUUGAACUUUCCUUAUUUAGUGUUAUUGUUAUUCUUCUUAGUAAAAGAUCUUGAAACAACUUUGACUCCCAUAUGAACACCUCUAUGUUCUUUGAGAAUCCCCUUAACCAUCCUGAAUGAAAUUGGCAAGGUCUAAGAUCAUAUGAACUUUGGUGUUCACAAUAGUCCUAAGGGUAGCUUGUCUAAGUUGACAUAUCUUCAUCACCAAAUAACCUUAGUAAACUAGAAAGGAAAUAUCAAAAUCCUUGGUAAUAGGCAUGCGUUGCUAUUGCAACACAUUAUCCAAAGAUCCAAGUAUUAGACACUUGGUCUUUUGAUUUGUCUAAUACCACCUUGAUAUUUUACUCUUUCCUUAUGCUAGGUUGGUUCGUAAGGAAUAGCUAGUUGUACCUAAACUAGCUUCUAUGCAAUUAAUUACUAUAUCUAGAAUAAAAUUAAGUUCAAAUGAUUAGUUGGGCUAGGUCCAAGUGAGAAAAAGAGUGAUAAUAAAUAACCGACAUGAUAUCUGUAAAAAUAAAAAAAUAAAUAAAACCAUUCAUAUGAGAUAGUUAAGCAUUCAAGGCAACUGAUAAUUAAUUUAGAAAAAAUGUAGUACUUUUAAACUACAUAUCCUUUUGAAAAGUAUCCUAGUAUCAUAAGAAUCAAGCCUAUAGUGGGCAGGUCAUGAUCUUAUUUCUAGUUAGAGACCCUCUUAGAUUGAUCUCACUACCUUAACCAUGAAAGGUAUCUAAAGGCAAGAUCAACAUAGACUAUGCAAGUGGGACAUAGAUUAUGCAAGUGGGAUCACGAUGGAUGAUUCAACCACUUCAUAUCCAAUGAUAAAUAUAUAACCAUCAUCCUUGACCUAUCAAUGUCACCAUGUAAGGAAGCCCGCCAGUGGAGUGGUUGCUCCUACUAUAGACAUGUUUAAUCUCAUCCUAAUGGAGACUCCAUAUCCCUUGAUUUCUAGGGCUCAACUCACCAAAGGGGUGAUGAUAAGCCCAAAUCAAGAUGAGCUUGACAAUGGAGGCCAUGGGCUUGGCUAAAGCCCUCUCCCACUUAAUCUUUUAAGAUAGAUAAAAGCAUUUUAAAUCAUUAGUAAUUACUUUAAUGAAUAAAUUAUCUAUUUUGAGAAUUUAAAAAAAAUAUUUAUUUCCAAAUUGGAAAGCAAGUGUAAUAGGAGAAUGUCAAUCAUGAAAAAUUUUAAAUUUUCAUGAGUGUUUUUCAAAAUAAAUUUUGAUAAAAUAUCUACUCUCAAAAUUUAAAAAUCUAUUUUCAUAAAGUUAUCAUUCUAUACACAAUUCUAAUUAAUAAAUAUUUUAUCUAAAAAAUGUUUCAAAGAAAUUUAUUUCUAUCAAAUUACUAAGCCUUUUGGUAAUUAUCUUUUAAUGAUAAAUUAUCUCUAAUAAAAAUUUCUAAAAUAUUUAUUUUUCAAAUUAGAAACUCUAGUGUAAAAAGGAAAUUACCAAUUUAUGAGAUUUUGAAAAUCUUGAGAGCACAUUAUCCAAGAAAGGAGCUUUAGCUUUUCAUAUUCAAAAUUCCUCACAAAUUUACUUUCCUUGUCCUUACACCUUUCCAAUCUAAAAAGUAUUCUCAUGGAAACUUUAGAAAAUUUAUUUCAUUAAAUACUAUCAAAAUCACAACCUUUUUAGUAAUUCCUUAAUUGAUAAAAUAUUCUCUAUAAAAAACUUCAAAAAAUGUUUAUGUCCUUAAAAGUAAUUAGACAAUCCAUUGUGGAAAGUAUUUUCAAAAUUUUUUAUAUCUCCGUUAAAUUACUAACAGUUUCCAAAAAUAUUUUAGUAACCUUCCUUAUCAUAAACUCUCUAUUAUGACAUUUUUCAAAUCCAUUAUUUAUCUUUUAAACUUGGACUCCUAUGCUAAAAGAAUUGCUCUCAUAUUCCUUAUCCUUGAAUUAUCCAUAUCCAAAUUGAAUGGUCUCCUCCUUCUUUAAGGGGAAAAGCCUGGAGAACCACCUAUCCAUAAUCAAGUAGAUGGUUUCAAAAGGAAUAUUAUUCUCAUUAGCAACAACCAAUUUAAAUAAUUAAUCUUAGAAAAAAAUUCUUAUGAAAAUUUACUAAGAAGACCAAAAUACAUUUUUUUUUAUAGAUUUAAACAUUUAUUUUGGUAAACUUUUUAAUUAUUAAUUAUCAAUAUUGAAUUUCCAAAAUUAACUUAUUUUCUUUAAAUCAAAAUCUUAUGCAAAAUAGGGAAAAUAUUAUUUUAAAAAGAAUUAGAUAAACAAGAGCUUUUUUAAUUAAAAAAAAAAGAUUUUAUUCUUAGAGAUUUCAAAGAUUUGAUAAGAUUUUAAAUAAAAUUAAAAUCUUUAAGAAUGAAUUUUAAAAAGGAAAGAAAGCACUUAAUUCUUUUCCAACUUAUCUUUUCUUAAAAUAAAAAUUUUUAACCAUGCACCUUACAAUUUAAAUAGGUUUUCCAAUUUUGAAAACUUCAUGAAAAUUAAUGUAACUCAAAACAAGUCCUAAUUGAUUAAUUAACCACAUAGGGUCAUCAAAUUAAUUAAUUAGUCCAAUCUAGAUAAUUUGAUCAUGUUGGAAUCUUUGAACUAAGCAAUGGAAGUAAUAUCAAUUUUUUAAAAAAAUUGAUCUUUUAGCGUUUGAUGUUCCCAAAACUUAAAUUAUAAGUGUUGAAGACAACUUUAAAGUUGUUGAAGGUCUCGUAAACCCAGAAUCUUUUGCCCAAUGACUCAACCUUCUUCUUAGUACACUUUCAGUGGGGGAGGAAAAGAGGGUGGAGGCUAUGACUCUUUUUUCCCCUGUCAUUCUAAAUUAAACCUAGCUAGUAUUAAAAAAUGACCAAAAUGACUGCUUAUGUAAAUCAUUUUUCUUAACUUAUAUGUAAAUGUGAUUUUAAUAAAAAUCAAACUCAUAUUUUAUAGACAAGUGGCUUUGUAACUAAUUUUAAUAAAAUCUUUUUUUAAAAUAUUGUCUUCAUAUGAUAAAUAAAAUGAUAAAUAUUUUUAACAAUAAACAAGUCAUAAAAAGUUUUUUAAAAUUCAAGACUUGUUUGGUAAUGGUUUUAAAAUCAAAUUUUUUACAUGUUUCAAAGCACGAUGACUUGAAAAACAAGUGAAAUUUAUUCUCAUAAAGACAUUAUUCCCGUGUUUCAAUGAUUCUCAAAAUAACUAAUAGUGAAAAUGUCCAAAAUUUGUUUUAAAUAAAUUUUCAAAAAUUUGCUUGGGCAAAAAAAUUGUUUAAUAUGUUUUUGAUAUUGGAAACCUUUAUUUUUUAUUUUUUUUAUUUUUAUUUUUUCUUUUAUAAAAGAUAGGAAACUAAUUUGAAUAGUAGUAACAAAACAUCUCUAACCCUGUUUGGUAAUUUUUUUUUUUUUUAUAAAAAAAACAGUUAUGAAAAAUAGGUUUUGAGAACAAUUUUUGAAAAUUGUUUUAUGAUGUUUUAUAGAACAAAAAUCUAUUUUAGAACCUGAAAUAUCUUUAACCUAUUUUUAAUAUUUUUAAAAAUAUUUGUUAUAUCUAGUACUUUAUUUUUAAUCAUUUUAUAUACUUGUAUAAUCAUUUUUUUAAAAUAAUCCUAAAAAAAUAAGUGAAAAUAUCAAAAAAUAGUUUUUAGUUGUUGAAGGUAUUUUCUUUCUUUUUCUUUUUUUUUUUCUUGUGAAAAACAAAAAUAUGUUCUAGAGAACAAAAUUUUGUUUUCGAAAACAAUUGCCAACCAGGACUACUCUCUCUCUCUCUCUCUUUUCUUUUUUUUUUUUUUGGGGGGGGGGGGGGGGGGGGGGGGGGGGGGUGGGGGGNNNNNNNNNNNNNNNNNNNNNNNNNNNNNNNNNNNNNNNNNNNNNNNNNNNNNNNNNNNNNNNNNNNNNNNNNNNNNNNNNNNNNNNNNNNNNNNNNNNNUGGGUUUGCAAGGUAGACCAUUUUAUUGAAGUAAAUUUUUAGCUAAUUAAAAUUUUGAAAAUGUUAAUAUUAUUCUUAUUUUGACACAAAAUUUUCAAAAUACAGUUUUCAAACAUAAAAUUCUAUUUAUAGAUGAUGAGUUUUUUAUUCAAAAACUUGAUUUCGGAUAUGGGUUUUUUAUCAUAUAAAUUGCAUAUAAGCACAUUUGCUUGCUUCCACAAUUGGAUUCAGUAAUGGGGUGGAUUUAUAUUUGCAUUUUGGGGUUUUUCUUUUUGGUGGGGGACAAAGAUUGUUGGUAAAUUUAUGAGGUUGAGAAAGGUAUACUAUAGAUUCAGUUCUGUUUCCAUCUUUAGAAAAAAAAUGAGCCCUUGAUGACAUGAACAAGACAAGGAGGUCUAGUCUUGGAUUCGAUCCAUGUCUUUGUACUAUAGACAUUACUACAUCAAGUGGCUACCACAUUUUGUGUUCUUUAUUGAUUGCUUUAUAGUUAAUGGGUUCUAUUCGGAUAAGCUUUUUUACAUGAUGAUUCUUGGCUCGGCCAAUUGGGAACUUUUUGGAUUAGAUUUUGACUGUCUUUGUUGUUUGAGGAUUUCGAUGAUGCUUAUGCUAUUAUUGUUGUCUUAAGGACUUGGAUUGUGGUUUUGCUCUGUUCACCCUGUAUCUUAAAUUUGAUUCACUAGUGUAACAGAGUAUCAAAUAAGAAAAAAAUCUGAGGAUUUUUCUCAAAUUGAUUGAAAUAAUUGUUUAAUUGUAGUAGCUGAAGCCAUAGUUAUUGGGCUCGAAGUUAUGUACUUCUGCCGUUUCCAGGCAAUUUGCUACUCCAGAGAUGUAUAUCAUCUUUUAAUGGUUGGUCACAGGAAGUAGGUGGAAUUUUAAAUUUACCUGAAAACUUCCACCUGCAACAGGACUUUUGUGGAUGACUUCCAGCUUCAUUUUCAAAACGUAUGAAAAUUUCCCAACAUUAAUGGGAUGCUGUACUGUAUAAUGCGCUGGAAAAUCUGAUACCCAGAUCAUUUCAAGUUAAUUACAGCUAAUUUUUAUCUGUUUAAUGGCUUGAAAGAUGAUAUCAGUGGUCAUGAGCAGGUGGUUUCCACUGAAGCCAGAGCAAUGUACAAUGUUGGAUUAGCAGGGUUGACAUUUUGGUCCCCAAACGUCAACAUAUUCCGAGACCCCAGAUGGGGAAGAGGCCAGGAGACUCCAGGAGAGGACCCACUGCUUUCAAGCAAGUAUGCAUCAGGUUAUGUCAGAGGCCUGCAACAAAGCGAUGAUGGUAGCCCUGACCGGCUUAAGAUUGCUGCUUGCUGCAAACACUAUACUGCCUAUGAUUUGGAUAAUUGGAAAGGAGUUGAUCGCUUCCACUUCAAUGCAGUGGUAAUUUUCGUUUGAAGUAUGUUCCAUUACACUAAUAUUUCUGUUUUGUACUACCAACACUAUUGCAUAUUCUGUUGGGUGAGUUAGGUGACAAAGCAAGAUAUGGAUGAUACAUUUCAACCCCCAUUCAAAAGCUGUGUUAUUGAUGGGAAUGUUGCCAGUGUUAUGUGUUCUUACAACCAAGUUAAUGGGAAGCCAGCUUGUGCUGAUCCUGAUCUCCUCUCAGGGAUUGUCCGAGGCGAAUGGAAACUAAAUGGGUAUUAUGAGUUCUACCUAAUCUAUAAAUACCAUUUACAGUUUGGCUGAGCUAAUGCUCUGUUAUAUUUACAUGAAUCUUGGCUGCUGCAGAUACAUAGUUUCGGAUUGUGAUUCAGUAGAUGUGUUCUACAAUUCUCAACACUACACCAAGACACCUGAGGAGGCUGCAGCCAAGGCUAUAUUGGCAGGUGACUUCACUGCUUACAUCUUUAAAUUUAUGGCUUCAUGUACAUUAAUACAGCAUAAUUCUUGACUCUGAACAAUACUAAAUAGUAUGAUUUAUGCAGAUAGAAAUGCUUAGUGGUUAGUUGCUAAAGGGGUUUGUGUUGUUGCUGUAAUGCAACAGGGUUGGACCUCAACUGUGGAUCUUUCCUUGGCCAACACACUGAAGCUGCAGUGAAAGGUGGACUUGUGGAUGAGUCUGCAGUUGAUAAAGCUGUCUCCAACAAUUUUGCUACACUGAUGCGACUUGGCUUCUUUGAUGGCAACCCAAGUAAGGCAAUUUAUGGGAAGCUUGGUCCAAAAGAUGUGUGCACAUUAGAGCACCAAGAGCUGGCUCGGGAAGCCGCCAGGCAAGGGAUCAUGUUACUUAAGAAUAGCAAAGGAUCCCUACCUCUGUCUCCCACUGCCAUCAAAACCUUGGCAAUAAUAGGACCCAAUGCCAAUGUCACCAAAACAAUGAUCGGAAACUAUGAAGGUAUUCAAUGAUUAGUGCAAUCUCACUAUGUAUCUCUGCAUUCUCCUCAACUAGCCAUGUGGCCAAAUGAUUCAAGUAUUGUUACUUUUGCUGAUAUUAUUGGAAAGUUUUGCAGGCACCCCAUGUAAAUAUACAACCCCUUUGCAGGGCCUUGAUACAUGCCCAAUUGGUGUAUCAGCUGAUUCAUGUCCAGCUGGUGCUCCUUGAUUGAGGGAGUAAUCAACAAAAUUUAUAACCUAUUACACCAUGAACUAGGGUAGCAAAGACAAAGCUACUAUAGCAUAUUGGCUCUAGGAUCGUUCACUGGGAAGGGUUUUCAAUUCAUAAAUGAUACCAAUUCAAAGUGAAUUGGUGCUUUUUCAUUUCAAAGUUAGCUUAAGAAAUAAAACACAAACUUUGAUUGAAAAAGGUUUAGGUUUAAGCUAACGGCAAAGGAAGUAAUGGAAAUUACUUGUGAAGAAAAACAUUCCUUGGAGGUUUAGGUUCACAGGGGAGGUUCCUCGUGCAAAAACAGAGCUCUGGUCAUUUGGUUCAUUUCCUCGCAUUAGAGAAUUAACAUAUAGUCAAUUCUCUAACCGGUGUUGUACAGAUGUACCCUUUAAAUGGAUUUCAGCUCUAAUUCCCUCUCAAUGAUGCAACUUGCAAUGGCUCGUGCCUCUCACCUAGCAUUUUCCAUUCAAGGUGAUCUUUAACUUUGGACUUCCCUUCUCAAGUUCGCAAGAGAUAACUAAUGGAUGUCUCCUUGGAGUCCAAAAGCUUACCAAGUGUUGGCAAUUCUAGAAAAUCCUACCUUCAAGUCACUUCCCAAAAGCUGCCAAGAGGUAAACUAGUGCAUCUCCAUGGACAGAGAUCACUUGCCUUACCAAGUGUUGGCUCAAGUGAAUUGAAGGUGUUUUAAGUUAACUAAAAACAUAGAAAUCAUUAAAGGAUCACACUUUCUCUUCAUUAAUGGCUGAAACCACAAAGCUACUAACUCUUGCACUUGGAACCUUUCCCGGCAACCUUAACUCCAAGGAACUAAAAGUCUAGCCACUCAUUCUCUGAGGAAACAGCCUCAGAGCUUGUUUGGAUAGUAAGACAAUACAAUCAAAAUGAGGAGGUAAAGCGGAGCAAAGCUCUGUAUUUUUCUUCCUUUUAAAACUAUACAAAAGUUGCGUCGUCCCUUGGGAACAGGCUCCCGAGAGAUAUUUAUAUGAAAAUUACAAUAAUAAUAUAAACAAGGUUAUUCAUCCUUUUUCCAAACUUAAUAACUAAGGAAUCCUAUAAUUUGUGGGUUACAAGGAGAGUUUAGGGAUUUAGACAUCAAAUAUAUAAAGCAAAAUAUCUCAAAAUAUCUAAAGCAAAAUAUCUCAAAAUGUCGGUCGCACAUAUCGGGAAGCUUCAGGAGAACACCGCGGCACUGUACAAAAUGGCUGCGAAACUCUCCAGGUAAGCGCUAUCAGAUGAUCCGGAUAUGUCCGACCGGGGAAGUUCAAGCGCCCUCCUCUCCCAUCCGGCGUCAAGCGCCGGAUGCGAAAUAUCCGGAUGGAAUGGCGGCGGAGCAAAAUUCCGGAUGUGAGACAUCCAGGUGGAAUGUCAGCGGAGCAACUCCAUCCGGAUUCCCCAAGAGGACACGCGGCGUGCUCCCUUAUCCGGACUCCCUCAGGGAGAAGCACACGGCACUCGCGAUCAUCACACCCGGACGAUAGCAUAUCUUAUCCGGAUAUGUUGUCCGGAUGCCCUCCGAUGGUGUGUCCGGACGCCCUGUCCGGACAUCUUUGCCAUGGAUUCCAAAAAACUCUCCUCAAUCUCGGAUUGCUUUGGUGAUCAAAAAGUUAUCAAAACACCAAAACUUAACACAAUUUGAUUAGAAUUGAUUGCAAGGGUCCUUAAUAUGUUAAUUGGGUUAAAAGGUGAUAACUACUACUCAAAAGUGUUUAAAAAAGUUAAUUACAAGCUAUCAAAUAGCACUUUUUGAGUAGUAAUCAGGCCUAAUGGCCUUGGUUGCAACUACGUAUUUGUCGGGAUGCUCCAAUGUGGCAUGUAGCACUGCACAAAUAGACGAAGCUAAGAAAAUAGCAGCAGCAGCAGAUGCCACGGUUCUUAUAGUCGGUAUUGAUCAAUCUAUAGAGGCGGAGGGCCGUGACAGGGUCAACAUUCAGCUUCCAGGACAGCAGCCACUUUUGAUAACAGAAGUUGCUAAGGCAUCCAAAGGAAACGUGAUUCUUGUUGUAAUGUCUGGAGGGGGAUUCGAUAUAUCAUUUGCUUAAAAUGAUGACAAAAUUGCAAGCAUCCUGUGGGUCGGUUACCCUGGUGGAGCUGCCAUAGCAGAUGUGAUCUUUGGUUUUUACAAUCCAAGUAAGUCCAUCUCUCCUUGGAUUAGUUUUCAACUUAUCAGACAUUUUUCAUUUUGGUAUAAGUCUUAAAACCAUGAAUCAUUAUCUUUCAGGUGGAAGGCUACCCAUGACAUGGUAUCCUCAGUCGUAUGUAGACAAGGUUCCGAUGACAAAUAUGAAUAUGAGACCAGAUCCUGCCAGUGGCUAUACUGGUCGGACUUACCGGUUUUACACUGGGGAAACCAUUUACACAUUUGGAGAUGGACUAAGCUACACCCAGUUCAACCACCACCUUGUUCAAGCACCUAAAUCAGUCUCCAUCCCCAUAGAGGAGGGUCACAGUUGUCACUCAUCAAAAUGCAAGUCUGUGGACGCUGUGCAGGAAAGUUGCCAGAAUUUAGCCUUUGAUAUCCAUCUAAGAGUCAAUAAUGCGGGAAACAU
Molecule: long non-coding RNA, 358605 nt
Filed under: Vitis vinifera (wine grape)
Lineage: Eukaryota; Viridiplantae; Streptophyta; Magnoliopsida; Vitales; Vitaceae
Description: long non-coding RNA (VVIN_LNC003816)
Source: RNAcentral